RNAcentral lists this long non-coding RNA (358610 nucleotides) under Cucumis sativus (cucumber). RNAcentral describes it as "long non-coding RNA (CSAT_LNC000685)". The record is from RNAcentral. Lineage: Eukaryota; Viridiplantae; Streptophyta; Magnoliopsida; Cucurbitales; Cucurbitaceae.
UUUCUCUCUCUCUUUCGGAUCGGGGACUAGCUUUCUCGAUUGUAGCCAGUCUAGCCGCCGGGGAGAGGUCGCCAUCGGUUACGGCGGUGGAGGAUUGUCCAGUGAGGCGUUGAACGACGGACAUGAAGUUAUUCUCCGCGACGUGGAUGACUUUGGGGGAGAUGUCGUAGAUUAUAAGGGGUUGAGGCCAUUGGGAAGGACCCGGUGGGAGAGGAGGCCGGCCCGGUUGGGGAACCGGCUGAGGAUGCGGUGGUGGCUUCUUGAUUUUACGAGACUCUUGACUGACGCGGAGUUGAGGUGGACGAGGACCUUGUAGCUGGAUCUCUUUCUUUCUGGGGGUAGUGGGGCUGCCGGCGGCGGAAUAUCCCGGCGGAUUCAUGACGGAUCUGGCGGGGAAUCGGAUCGGAGGACGUGAGGAUCCGGGGGAGGAGAAAUGGAAAAUUGGGUUAAUUUUGGGGGUUUUGUUUGUAAUAAUUGGAGGAGAGGAGAGGAGAGGAGAGAGUUGAGAAGCAAUGUGGUUGGGGGAAUUAAAUAAAUAACCCUUUUUUUAAUUUUCUUUCAUUAUUAUGAUUAUUAUUAUUUUUUGUAAUAUAGUUUUGUGACAAAAAUAUUAUUUGUUUGACUUUUUAUUUAUUGACUUCAUAAAAUGGAAGAUGGAAACCCUAAAUUUCUAAUAUAUAUAUAUAUAUUUGCAGUCCCUAAAUAUUAAAUUAAAAUAGAAAAAGUUUGGUUUAGAUUUUGAAAGAUGGAUUUGCAUUUCAAAAAUUUAGACUAAAGUCAAGCAGAUUUAAUAUAAUAUAUAAUUAGGUUUAUAAUAUGUUACUACUUGUUCAAAUGAAAGAAUGGGUUAAGGAUGUGAAUAUACUUUCUAAUUAAUUUGAAGAAAAAUAAUAAUAUAUUUAUCAUAUGAUCACCAUCUUUUUCAAUAGGAUGACAAGUAGGAAAUCUCUUGUUCAGAAUUUAACUCAAUUAAUUUUGUUUUUCGAACUAGGGAUAAAUUCUAAUUUUGUGGGGGAACAAGUUGGGGGUAAUUUUCUUAAUUUUUUAUGAUUGUUAUGUUAACCACAAGGGUGACUUUGAAAAACACUUGCAAUAAUUCAAAAUUGAUUAUUAUUGUAGUUCGUACUAUAAAAGAUUGUAUCCACAUGUGAAUUGAUUUGAGAUUUUCUAAUAGUGUUCAACACUAUUCUAUAAGGCAAAUCUAUAUAUUCUUAAUUAGGUUGGGUUUUCCUAAAGGUUGUGGGGGAGUAGGGUGUGAAUGCUAUACUAUUGUGUUGUUCAAUCAACUAGUUUAGUUAUUGAAGUAUUGUUUGAUAAGUGCCGUUGUAUAAGAAAUUUGCUUGUUGAGUAUAAUAUGAGUAUUUGAAUUUUAUAUACUGACAAUAUAAGUAAUAGUCUAUAUGAUUUAGAGUUUAUAGGAAUAAAGUUUAGUGUCUUAUUUUAUAGACAUUAUGGAUGCAACUCCCUUUUUGUAUUUAGUACAAAAUGAUCUUGAGAUGCUUGUGCAAAGACAUGUGUGCAAUGAGAUGAUAUAAAAUCAAACCAUGAAAUAGUCAUUUUUUCUUUAAUACACAUUUAACUAAUUAAACCUAACUACUUCAACUUUGAUAAUCUAGAUAAUUUUGGCCUUAAUCCUGAAUUAACUAUCAUAUUUAAUCAAAGACUAUAUUGAAUUUUGACUUAAUCGUAAGUAAAUUAUAAUUUUUAAUGAAGAUAUUAGAAAAAGAGAAAAUUUUGAAUUUUGGUAAAUGAGAGUCAAAAGUCAAAAUGUUGACUUUUGACCCUUGAAAGUUAAAAGUUGACUUCAAUCUUGAGUUAAUGGAAAAUUUAACACACUUAGUUGAGAAUUAUCCCAAAAAUGGUGAAUAAACUAUGUGUUUGGUGUGUUCUUCUUCAAACAGAAGAUCCACUUACUUAGUGCAUACUUAAGUUUUAAAUUCAUUUGCAAAUAAGAUCUAUAUUGUGAUCUAGCUAUAUAAUUACACAAUUUGAUUGGGUAAAAGGACGAUGAACUUGAGUGAAUUUUCUUAGAAAAUGAUUUAUGUUCGUAGCUCUUUCUCGCUUAAAAAAAACACACAAAACCCUACAACCAAACUCUAAGGCGAAAGAAUUGUAGCAAAGACUUAGAUGGUUGUCUUUAAUAUAUUCGUUCUUGUUUAAAACAUGUUUAAUCUUCUAAAUUCGUGUUAUUAAAACGAUAUAUAUCUGACCCAAUUGCUUUUCAUUACAUGAUAUUGUUCCACGCUAAAUUAAAAAGCUAGAGGUAAAAAUGUUAUUCCCCAACCAUUAACAAUAUGUACACAUCUAUGCAAAAAAAAAAAAAAGGCCAUAAUUAGGUCUUACAUGACAAAAUCUUAGGCAUGAGAAUUUGUCUUUUACCCAUAAUAUAGAGAAAAAUCUUCUUCUUCUACGAAGGUCGGAUUAAUAUACGUUAAAUUCAAUUUACCAUGACUAGUAUCCAUAUCUCGAUAGAAAAAUCACAUUUUUUUUCUUCAUUUAUCGACGACAAAACCUUGUCAUAGAAAAUUCGACAUUAACAAUUUAUCAUCAUAAAUAAUCGAUUAUUAUUAACUAGUACAAAAGUCAUUAUAUUAAAAAUUAAUUAGGGAUAUAGUUUUGUAAAAGUACCAUUACUCUUUCUUUGUUGUUCGAUUCAACGACUAAAAAGAAGCCACAUAUGAUAUAGUUGUGAUAGUUUUUAAGGGAUGCUACAUUUAUGGUAAAGGAUGAGAGUUUAUGGUGACACCAAAUAUGGACGAGAGACUUUGUGAAAAGACUAAUUAGGUUUAUGGCAUAGAUUCCUUUGUUGUUGAUAUCUCUCUGAAAAAAGGUUGAAAAGCAAUGUGUAGGCAUCUUAGAUAUUGGAUGAGGCCACCGAUACCCAAUAUUAGUAAGUGGAAAGACUCAUCUUCAUGUUUCAAGCAAUAUCAAGACCUUGCCAUUAAUAAUAGGUGAAAACACAUAUCAAAGUCUUUUUUUUUUUUUGAUAGAUUAUAAGUGCAUAAGAACAGUGCAAAUAAAGGUGAAGAUUGUAACCACACGACCAAGUAAUCAUUAGUUUAUUUCUUAUCCUAAAUUGGAGAAAAUAAUCCUUAUAAACGGAUGGUUAAAGUUUGUUUUGAAAAUAUCCAUAGAACUAUUGAAAAGUUUCGUAAAUAACCUUGACCUAAAAAAAAUUUAAAAAUACUUUCAUUAAUCCAAUUUUUAUAACAAAUUUCUUAGCACACAAAAUAAAAGCCAAAAUUUAAAGUUAAUUAAUCCAUAGUUUUGGAUUUUUUUCAUAUAUUUCUAUCUAUUUUCACACUCUAACGUGCUGAAUAUCUAUAGAAGGGUGAUUGAUAUUUUCAUUACAUUGUAGAAAAAUCCACGAAUCACAAAAAUGUAAAUAUCAAAAUGACACUAGUAUAAAUAAAAGACAUGUUUACUUAUUUGAAAAUACUAAAGUAUUUAUUUAGUAAUUUUAAUUUAUUUUUACAAUUUUUCAUAAAUUUUUUGUAUAAUUAACUCUUCGAUUUAUCCAUCAACAUCCUUAAUUUAGACCUUGGAGAAAACAUAAAAUUUUACAAAAUCUCUCUCUUUUUUAACAUCCUUUUAAGUACAACUUGAGGUAGGAGAAUUUGAAUCUGGGAACUUUUGUCUUUAAGAACGUACAUGUAAUACUCGAGUUUAGGAGAUUUGAAUGAAUUAAUAUCUUAUCUGAAUGAGAGGAAUUCUAAGAACAUGAAAGUAAAGUUAAAAAAACUUAAAAUAAUUAAAAGUUAAUACAUAAACCAACAAGCUAAAGUGCACAUUUCUUUUCGAUGACUUGAUCAUAGGAACUCCAAAGUUAAGCGUUCUUAGCUCGAAACAACUUUGUGUUGGGGGCGACUUUCACUCUAAUAAGCUUUUAAGACAAAUAAGGACGAUGUUGCUAAGUUGCAGGAAAAUGUGAUGUCGCAAAGGCGUAUAAUUUGGAUCAAUAAGAGUAUUUUUAUAUUUUUACACAAACUACAAAGAUCAAGGGCAUUUUUUUGUAAUUUAACCAAUAAUAAAUAGUAAGAUUGAUGGUUAAUCUUCAUAUUUGUAUAGUUUUCAAUAAAGGAUAGUGGUUAUAUAGUCUCUAAUAAAUAAUCCUUUUCUACUUUCUCUAAAAGGUAAACUUGUCUCGAGGACUUUACAACUUGCUCUCGAAUAUUGAUUUGUCUUGAGAGCUCUGUAGCUUGUUCUCAACAGUUUGAAGAGUGUUAUGCUUUUUGAACUCUCUCCAAAAACUUUCUCUAGAGUCUUAACUUCUCGUCUCAAUCUUCUUUGGAGUUUGUUCAGAGUUUUAAAAGAGUUACGCUUUUCAGGACUUCCAAGUUUUAGUCUUUUGUUCUUUAAGGAAAAGUUUGAGGAAAGUUGUAUUCUUCACAUCUGUAGAGCUUAAGAACUUUAGGAGUUUUAGUCUUCACAUAACUAUUAAAAGAUAAUUCAACACUGCGCCAACUUUCAAGUUUCUUACAUUAGAAAGUUGAUACAAAUUGUAUUCACGUGAAACAAUUAAUUAAAAUACUCCAUGAAGAAAAAAAUUAGAUUAUGAAGUUACAAAACUUAACCUAAUUUAGGAUGGAAAUGGAUGUAAUAAAAGGUAAAAAAAGUGAUGCUAAAUUAACAAAAAAGGGAAAAAAUUAGGGCAAAAAUUAUUGAGAAAGUAAGGAAGGGGGAGAGGUUUGUCAGUUUGUAGUUUGUUUAAUAACUUCCCUUUAGUUAAUUUGAGCAUCAAAUUCCGUGCGCGCCACAGAGGCGUAAAUUAGCACCAUCCAAUCACAAUCUUCCACGUCUGCACGACGUUGUGCGCACUCCCCCCCCCCCCCCCCCCCUCUCCUCCUCCUCGCCGUAGAAGCCAUUUCUGAAGAGAGAGAGAGAGCGGUAACAAUAUUCCGCCAUUUUCGUCUUCCUCCAAGCACCUUUCACAGCUUCACCAAUCGAUUCUCCUCCCUUGCAUUUCUAUCUCCUCUCCCAAUUCUCCCCUUUUCCAAAUCCCCUCUUCUUCCUCAUGACUCCAGCUUUCUCCUCUUCCUCUGCCGCCUCCCAGCGUCUUAUCCGCUGCAGCGCUUCUCCCCGUCGCACCCACGCCCCUCACCGACCUUCCUCGAUGUCUCCGCCACUCAGGAAGCUGAAGUCAAUGACGGAAAUAAUGGCUAAGGCUAAGCAUGUGGUUCUCGAACGGGAAGAUUAUGAUGAUGUCAGCUGUGAGGAAUGUGGCUCCGGUGACCGGGAUGAUGAGCUGCUAUUGUGUGAUAAAUGUGAUAAGGGAUUUCAUAUGAAAUGUGUUAGUCCGAUCGUUGUUAGGGUCCCGAUUGGAUCCUGGCUUUGCCCCAAAUGCUCUGGCCAAAGAAGAGUAAGAAGUAAGAAUAAUCUCCAAUUUGUUGGUUCUGUUCUUUUUUCCACCAUUUUCUGUGAAAUUGUUUUGGUGUGUAAUCUCUGAAAUGUCAAUGUGUUUGUCAAUUUCUUUUGUUUUGUUUCUAGGCUUUUCUCAGAAGAAGAUUAUCGAUUUUUUCAGAAUUCAGAAAUGUAAGGACGACGGAGAUGUUCUUUAUCUGUCUGCUCAAGGUAAAAUUCUUCAUUACAGUAUUCAAAAUUGAUAUCAUACUAUGUUUGUGUUAUAAUCUUGAUCAUGAUCGUGCUCCAUUUGGUAUUCAUUUUUAUAUUUUAUGCUAUUAUCCUUAGAAACUGCUUUUCAAUUUCAAGCAUUAAAACAAUAUAAUAGUUGAGCUACUGGAUUUUAUAAUAUGCUUUUUAUAGAUUUUGCUCAAAUCAUCAUUCUUGCUGUUUAUGUUUCCCAUCACACCCAAAUUUAAGUCUUUAGUUUAUUGUUAUAGGUAUGAUUCUUGAAGUGAAAUUCUAUUGAUAUCUUGAUGAAUUCGAAGGAGAUGAAAAGUAUAGCGACCAAUUCUUCCCUAUACUUCAUUAUAUAUAUCAAGGUGUAUUAGGCAUAAAAUUUCUUAGUGGACAUCAAUGAGCCUUUAAAUAUCAAGGAGUUCAUUUAGUUCUUGUGGUUACUUGAGCUCUAGUUGCUUAAUAAAGACAUACCGAAUGUGUAUGCUUCAUAAGGUGUGCUGUGAGAUCUAGCAUUCCAGAUAAGAUAUUACGGAGAUAUAUUGAUAAAUAAAAUGUUACGACAUAUUUGGUGUGUCAUCCUCGUGUUAUAAUCAUAUGUGUGACAACCGUACUUAGCUUGAUCAUGUAAUAACGUUCAUAGAAUUUAUGUUUAGUGGAGGCAUUGCAAUUUCAAGCAAAAUGUCAGAGAUUUGAAUCCCACUCUCCACAAUUUCGGGUAUUGUCGAAUUUGAAAAAAAAGUAAAAGAAUAAUCUUUCGGAAUGAUUUGAAGUUUUCUUUUUCCUUGAGACUAUUUGAGAGCAAGAAAUCCUCAAGAAGUUCUCUCUCGACGUGUUCUUGUGAAUUGAUCCUUUUAUGUUGGUAUUUUAUGAGAUUUCUAGAUUUGAGACCUAUUGGCAUCAUAACUUAGAUCUUCUAAGUUCUCUGCUUAAACUUUUCUACACCAUAGUUGUUCCUAAACCGAUCUUUACACGUUGGCCGGUUUUAUUUUACUAUUCCUUGAAUCUAAAAUUAUUCAUGGUUUCAUCAUUUUAAUAUUAUAUAAAUGGUCAUGAACUGAAGCUAUAAAGCGUAGGAGACGAUUACGGUCAUUGGUGUGGCAGAAGAAAAGGAGAAGAUUGCUACCAUUUCUUCCAAGUGAAGAUCCUGAUCGCAGAUUGAAACAGAUGGGUUCACUUGCUACAGCUUUAACAACAUUGCAAAUGGAGUUUAGUGAUGAUUUGACUUAUGGGCCGGGCAUGGCUUCGAGGUCUGCGAAUCAGGCAGAGUUUGAAGAUGGUGGAAUGCAGGUCUAAAAACUUAGAACCAUUUGGAAGCAUUUUCCAGUUGGAAUCUUUUUUGUUGUUAAUAGUGGAAUGGUCAUGGAUUAUGAUACUUGCCUUCUACUUUAGGUUCUUUCGAAAGAGGAUGCUGAGACCUUGGAACUCUGCAGAGCCAUGAACAGAAGAGGCGAAUGCCCUCCCCUUUUGGUUGUUUUUGAUUCAUGUGAAGGGUAAAUUUACCUUGAACUUGUUAACCAUAUUGCCAUUUGCUUCCAACCUCUAUAAUGAGUUGGUCCAUGCUCAAUUUAUGAUGUAGUUUCACAGUAGAAGCUGAUGAUCAAAUUAAGGAUAUGACGUUUAUCGCUGAAUAUACUGGUGAUGUGGACUAUCUUAAGAACCGUGAACACGAUGAUUGUGAUAGUAUGAUGACCCUUCUUUCAGUAAAAGAUCCAUCUAGAAGUCUUGUCAUAUGCCCUGACACGCGAGGGAACAUCGCUCGGUUUAUUAAUGGAAUAAAUAAUCAUUCUCCGUAAGUUCGCUGAGGCUAUCACAUUUUACAUGUUUAUAUAAUCAUUCAAUCAAUUCAACCUUUUCUAUGAAGAAAAAAACUGACUUAUGAACAUAUCCAAGCAGCUGUGUGUACCUCAAGGCCACACAUUGAUUACUAGUCAUUUAGAAUAACUAUUUUCUUAGAAUUUCAUCGUAUGUUUAGUUUUGUUUCCUCUUUUACUUCACCUAAUAUUUGUGAGAUUCAAAUUCAUGAUGCUCAAAACAUAUACUUCAUUUUUGUGCAGAGAAGGUAAGAAGAAACAGAACUGUAAAUGUGUGAGAUACAAUGUAAACGGCGAAUGCCGGGUCAUUUUGGUUGCUAUUCGGGAUAUUGCUAAAGGGGAGAGGCUUUAUUAUGACUACAAUGGAUAUGAGUAUGAGUACCCUACCCAUCAUUUCGUUUGAUAAUUUCUUAGAUUACUUCUAACAAAUUUGGGAUUUGAUUUGUCCCAUACAAUUUUUUUCCAUUCUUUCUGCUGAAUCUUGUUACAAAGUCAACAGUUUUUGCUGAUUCCAUCAGAGUAAUUCUUAUAGCAUUUCCUUGGCCGAGCUCAGCCGAGGCCACGAUCGAUGCCGGGAGGAGGAGGGUGGGGUAGAAAUGCAGAUUUUUUCCCGAGUUUUGGUAGGUAGCGUAGGACAAAACUCCGGUUCUAGAAGUUCGUCUAUUAGGUAUAUGUAUUGUAAUACAGUUCUGAGAUCAAUUGUUUUCAAUUUUAAAGCAAAAGUUAUACUUAUUCCCUUCCUACUCCUCUCUCAUUAAGUUUCUUUCAUCCAUUUCAUUGAUGUUUUCUUACUAUUUCUUUACCAUUCAUACUCAUAAGUCAUUCCAUAGAAAUGGAAUAUUCUGUUCGUCUAAAAGUUGAAAGAAAGCCAAUAUAAACUGUCAAAACCAUUGGAAGUAAAAUAAAGGAAAAGUAAGAAAAGGAAUCACUCAGUGUUAGUGAAUUCCAUUGUAGAUGGAGAAUAUAAUGAUCAAAUAUGAAUCUCCCCUAUAAAUGCAUCAAAUGUUUUUAGCAAUAUUUAGAUUAGAUUGAGCAUUGCUCCAGUUAUUGCAUAUAUUUAUACUCUUUAACAUGAUUUAUAUGGAAUGAUCAAAUAUGAAUCUCUCCCAAUUAUGAAUUUCCAAGUUGGAACAAUCUAAACAUUGAGCUAAUCAUAUCAUGAAUUUCAAAAAAUUCUCUAGUUCUUGUGGAGGAUACAGUCUCAAAAGCCCAUGAAGUAAAAAAAAAAGAGAGUUCUAAAAAAUAGUAAUAACGAAUAAUUAACUAUCAUAACGAAGAUUUUACAUUAUAUUUUUUGUUCGACACAACGCAUAAAUUACUUCUCUAAUUGUCAUUUGAUUUAACUGCAUAUAUCAUGUAUUAAUUUAAUCGCUUAUAUCGUAUGCUUGAGUUUAGCGUUGGGAGAAGACAAGUUAACAUCAAAGAAGAGUGUUUAGAUGAAAGUGGUGAAAAGCGACUUAGUGUGAAGAAACAUUCAUUCGAAAUUGAAAGACCAAAGGGACUUGUAGUAGUAAAGGAAAAAGAAAACAAAGGAUCAGUUCCCCUUAUUUGAAGAAACCUCUCAUUCAAAAUGGGGGACCAAAGGUUUGUAGCUAACAAAAAAACCAACCCCAUUCUCUUUAUAUUGCAUUUUUAGUCCAAUUGUUAGUAACAAAGCUUUCUAAAUUUUCAAUCACCAAACACCAAAAGCCAAACGCAUUAUGACUAUUGACCAAUACAUUGCUCUAUUAAUUCAUUGGACUCGAGGGUUAGCCAACCAAUUCAACACUAAAUAAAUUAUGAGACUAGAAGAUUAAACCCUUCAACUUCAAGGGAUCGUAAAAAUUAAAUAAAAUAUUUCCAUGAACCUAAGCUCAACUCUAACCACUCCAACUUUUUAGUUGACUUAUUCUUUCAAGUAUAUAUUAAAGGAUACAAUACAAUAUUAGAGAGAGAGAGAGAGAAAAGGUGUCCAAACCUUAUCAUGUAAGUGUGUAAGUGGAGGCAGUUCCUGUGAGGGCCAAGAAACAAUAUUUUUAAUGACAAAGACGAGAACAAAACACAAAAUAUAUAUAUGGUAAAAUUAAAGGUGGUAUAGAUUUAUUUAGCACAUUGGAUCAGUAAAGCUUUAUUAUAACUUGGGUUGUUUUGUCUCUUCUUGGCUCGUUCUUUCUUUUUGACACAACCCUAUACCACUUGUCCCUUUCAAAUUAUUAGUGUCUUGUAAAUCAAACAAAAGAUAAGGAUAUAUAUAUACCUUCAUGAUUGAUCUGAUCUUUUCAUGUCAAAAAAAUGAGCUCAUCUUUAAUAUUUUUUUCUCUGGUUUCUAUAUAUUUACACCUGAUCUCUUCUUCCCACACCCACCGCCAUAGCCCAAAGACUUACUGAAAUUUAAAACCCCCACUCAUCUCUUUCCUUUAUUAAGAAGUGAAGGAAGAAAAAGAGAGAAAAUAUAUAUGGAAAGUUUAGAAGAGGAAAAAUUAGUUCAAAUGGUUGAUGAUUUUAUCGAAUCAGUUGAUGAUCAUCAUCAAUCACCAACUUCUUCUUCUUUUCGGCCUCUUUCAUCCAAUUCCAAAUCCCAUCAUUUUUUCACAUUAAAGGUAUGUGUGUGUGUAUGUAUGUAUGUACGUAUAUUCAACGACCACUUUUAAAUUAUAAAAGAAAAGAAUGAUUAAAUUGUUGGGUUUUGCAAUAUAAUUAUUAUUAUGUGUGUAGGAGAUUCUUGGGAAUGGAACGAAGGAAGAAGAAGAGGUGGGUGAGAGUGUGAUGAAACACUUGAGAAGAUGGAAAGCAUCAGAUGCUUCUUCCAAAACCAAUAGCCUUAGGAAAUGGCUUGUGAUGAAGCUCAAAAUGGACGGCUAUGAUUCUUCUCAUCUUUGUCAUACCUCUUGGGUCACUUCCAUGGGCUGCCCAGCAGGUGAACUAGUUUAUAUCAUUCUCUCUCUCUCUCUCACACACACACACCUCAGUAGCACUUCUAAUAACCUUAACCUUUUUUGAAAACAGAGAUUAAUUUAGUAGAUUUAGAAAUUAAGCCAUAAAAUAAAGUAGCAAGGUUUUUCGUAGGUAUGUGUGAUAUUUUGAUCACUAAUUUGUUUUACUUGAAUUAAUUUGAAUUUUGUAAUAGGGGAUUAUGAAUACAUAGAGAUGAGAACGAAGGAUGAUGAAUUAGGGAGCAGAAAGAGAUUGAUAAUAGACAUAGAAUUCAAAGCACAGUUUGAAGUAGCAAGAGCAACAGAAGAAUACAAACAACUCACAAAAGCACUUCCAACAGUGUUUGUAGGAAGUGAAGAGAAAGUGAAGAGAAUAAUAAGUGUUUUAUGUUCAGCAGCCAAGCAAUCCCUUCAGAAGAGUGGUCUUCACAUUCCACCUUGGAGAACUUCCACUUAUAUGCAUGCCAAAUGGCUUCUUCUUCACCUUGAUCACUCUACUAAUAAUCACUCUAAUUAUUAUAUCCCUACUAAUAUUAAUAUCAAUAUUAUGAGACAUAAUAAUAACAACAACAGUAACAAUAAAUAUUAUUAUUGGAAGCCUCCAAUGGUUAAUUAUUAACCAAUUUUCAAGGAGGUAUUCAUUUGGGGUUGUGGUGCUUCUUCUGCUUUGUCUACUCAGUUUUCUAAUAUCACUGUUAAUUGUUGUAAUUGAUUAUAUUAUUAAUUAUUAAUCUCUCUUUCUUUCUUUAAUUAUUCUUCAUUUGAAGUUUGUAACUUUUGUCUGUUUUGGCCAACCAUAGUUAGAGUAGAUUAUAUAAUUAUGAAUCUAUGAUAUCAUUUGUGUUUGUUUUGUCCAAUUAAAAAUUAAGCUAACUAAGAAUUUAAAAUUUUGAAGUUAGAACACAUAUAUAUUGCAUUUCAUUCUAUUCUUUAACUAUCAAAAUUUAGUCCAUACUUUUAAUAAGCUUGAAAUUGUUUCAAUAAAUAAUCUAAUGUUUCUUUGAACAUAAUAAUUUAAAAUUUCUAAGAUAUUCAUAUAUUAAUUACCUUUAAAAAUGAAAGCUACUUUACAAAUAGAAAAAUAAUUAUCCCAUAGAGAACCCAAAAGGAAAACAAAUUAAAUUUGCUCUUUAUCCUCAUUGCUUUCUCUAUUUUUCCUCUAAGGAUACCUCAUUUUGAGGUCAAUAUAAUUAAUCCUCACAAAAUAAAUAAAUAAAUAAAAAUUAGCUUGCAUUUUUUUUUUUUUUUUAGGAAAAGUCAAGCCAAAAUAUCACAAAAACAAAUUCUUUUUCUCACAAUAACACCAUUUUUCAAUGUGGGAAUUUAUUAGCAUGUAAUUUGUAAAUUUCUUUCCAAUUCUUAUGUCGUAAUUGCUAAUAGUAAUUUUUACUAUUAAAGUAUUUUUUUAUUUAAUUAAUAAAUAAAUAUUAAAAUGCUAUUUUGAUCCUUAUCUUAUACUUUAUAAAUUAUUCGAAAAAAAUAAUGCUAUUGUCUUUGUUAUAUAAAAUAGAGAAAUUUGAAAUAAUAAACUUCCAAGAAAAGCUUUUAUUUUUCAUUGGAGAGAGGGACAUAGAUAUAUAUAAAGUUUAAUUAUUGAUAGGUAGGAUAUGUCAUUUCGUGAAGAUGGUAAUACUAAAACAAGAGGCACUCUUUCAUACAAAACAAUUGGCCCAAAAAACAAUGGGAUGAAAGAGAGACAACAGAAGUUUACUUUCCUUCUUGCUCUCUCUAUUUCUAAGUGAUUAUAUUUAGUGGUUUAUAUUCAAUUUCAAUAAUCCUUAGUAAUUCCAUAUACACUUAACGUUAUCUACAGUUAUAUUGGGUUGAUCAUGGAGAUAAACAAUUUGUCAUAAAAACUCUUUUAACCAUAAAGCAUUAGAUUUAAUAUUGAUAAUUUUGUUACAACUUAAAGGAUUCAAGUCUAGCUUUAUACAGACUAGAGCAAGCUUGAAGAUAAAUGAAUAUAAGUGAGAAGAAAGAUUAGACAUAUAUUUGGAUAUAUCACACUCACAGGUGGAAUAUAAUCUCUUUAUUGAUUGAAGUUAUUUUUUUUCUCUUUCAAAUGUUCUCUGAUGUUUCACACCUACCAACCCAUCUGAUCACAAGAGCUUGGUUCCAUCUCUCUUAUGAGAAAACAAAUUUAUCUUUUUAGGAACCACUUAUGUAUGUGCCUCUAAUGCACAGCUAAAAUGAUUAGAAAGUUGGCCCAAACAAUCACCAAUCAAAUCAAGUGACGUGUAGUGCACUUCAUCUUCAUCUUGGGAGUAGUCCAUAUUCUCUAGGUGCCCUUAAAUUUAUGUUGCACAAUCUUGACUUUUUGACAAAGCUACAUACACCUCACACCAUGCAUAUUGAUCACUAACUUUCCCAUAUGUGCUAGAAAAGCUCAUUGUACCUAGUAACCUAUGAAUCUCACUUUACAGUUAAAUGCAACAACAUUCCUAUUUUAUCACCAAAUUACUACUAACUACAAAUGUGAAAUUUAAAUUAGUUAUUUGCCUCAAAACAUGGCAUGAGACCUUCAAACAUGUAUAAUUUAAGGCUUUCAAUUACCAUACAUAAAUUUCAAACUUGAUUCAAUUUGAAUAAAAAAUGAAUGUGAACAUAAUCAAAUCUUUAUCCCCUAUCAAAUUACACAAAACACUAUAUAUUAGCAUUUUAUUUUGAUUUUAAGCUAAAAUUUGGUGAAAUCUGACACAUAUUCACAUUCAAACUAUCUACGGUUUAUCUCAUAUUAAGAAAAAUUGUUACAUUCAUAUUCAAUCUCAACUCAAAUUUGAGUGAUAUUAAAAAUCAAAAUUUAUAUGUAGUUGAGAAUGAUUUUAACCCUUUUUUUUUUUUGUCAUGUGCAUUAUUGUUGAAAAUGUGAAAUUAAAAAAGAAAAAGAUUAAAAGAUGGUAUUGUAGGAGAGUAUGGGCAAUAACAACUACAAGUCAUCAAAACACAAAUGGAAUAUGAGCACUUCAUGUGGUGAUAAAGCCAUUUAUAUGUUAAUGUCAUUUUCUUUUGAUAGUGCUUUGUCUAAUGGGUCUACACAUUAAUUAUCAUCUCUUUUCCCCCCCACUCCCCAUUCUCAUCCAAUAUCAUCUUCUUGUUUAUUUAUAUUGACAAUAACCAUAUCAUGAAAAUAUAAAAUUGUUGAGUUGGGAGAUUUGCUUAAAGUUGUAUAUAUAUAGAACCAAUAGCAUGUAUUUGAUUUUCAAUUCAUUCUCAAUCAAAAUGUUAUAAGAAUAUGAUAGAUUUUGGUUAAUACUUAGAUUCUACUUGACUUGAUACACAAUUAUAUGCCUUCUUAAUUACAUAUCAAAAUAUGUUAAUACAAUAAUAAGUUAAUUAUGACAUGUCAACUUUUAAGUUGAGACAACUUAACAUAUUAUUGUGCUAUAAUAAAAUGAUGAAAUAAUAAAUAAAACUUAGCAACCCAUGCAUUGAAUAUUUUACACAAUAAAAAUAAAGUACCAAAUAGGGCUUCAAAUUAGAAACCUAAAACAUUGACAAUUAUUUAUGUAUCAAUUUUGGCCCCUCCACUUCAUAUAUAUAAUUCAAACACUUCAACAAAAAUAAGGGUUAGUUAUCCAAAUAAUCCAAAAUUCAAAAUUUCUAUACCAAAAUUUGACUUCUUUUGUAAAUCUUUUGUAAAUAAUAAUCUAUUCUAAACAAUCACAAAUAAAUCAUAUACAAAACAGCAGAGAGCAUUAGUCAAUGAAACUACAUAGCAAAUAUCAUAACAAAAUGAUAUUCAUGAUUCUAAAUGUAAAGAAAGGAAAUAACCUUUGUGAGAAAUGAUCAAUUGGAUAAAUUUUGAGUUAUUUUGGACAAGUUUACAAAAAAGAACACUGAUCCUUUUCAACUAUUUUACUUUCAAAAUCCAAACUUGAUCUUCCAUUUAUUUGUUUCGGUUUCUCUUCUUUUAGAAAAAUGGAGACUUUGAUUAAGUUUAUGCAUACUUGUUUUCAAUCAAAAUGGUUGAGGCAACCUCAUGAUGUGAAAAAAUACAUCCAAACUUGAAAAUAAGAAAGAAAUGAGAAGUGGAUUAUUUGGUAGGCUUUUUUGUAGACUGAUAAUUUUAUACUUCUUUCAUGUAGAGAAAUUUGUAAUUACAAAAGGAUUUGUAAAUCUAAUCUAAUUUUACAUCUUUACUUCUCUUGUUCAACAUUUUUUGUUCAUCAGAUGAUUCAGAUGAAGGAAUCCAUUCAUCUCCCUGAAUGAAAUUCUCAACAGAGUAACUAAAAACAUGUUGUGCCGGAAUCUGACUACUCCAACCCACUCUCUCCGACGUCUUCGACCCCGCACCCGAGUUCUCAAACUCUCCGUAGAACAGAGUCUUCAAAGCAAAAUCUCCACUCCACGGCAUCCACCCCGACGGGGACACAAGAGCCUCCAGAUUACAGUGUAUAAAAACCGUCCUCGAGUACUCCUUCCACGGCCUCCCCAAGAAGUUCUUAUGUACUUGAGGCUUGCUGUAGUACAAUGACAUAUACUCUUGAGUUCCAUUUAUGAGGCAGUUUUGGAAUACAAAACCAGUGGAUUGAGCAGGGUCGGUCCUCCCAUGUGCAGUUACGGCGUUGUUUUCGCCUUUCUCGGGCUUGAGUUGUCGAGGGCGGACUAGGAUCUCGCAAUCUUGGAAGAUGGAGGCUGAGUUUCCAAAGAUGAAAUCUACAUUGCCUUGAAUCUUACAAGAUUUGUAGAAUUGGCGAAGGGAAUGAGCAUAGAGAGUAUCUUGGUUGCCUAGAAACUCACAAUCUUGAAUCACAGAGAGAUCGCUGUCUGAUCUAAAGGCCACAGCUUGAUGGGCAUCAGGCCCUGCUGUGUUUUGAAUGGUGAGACCACUAGCCAUGAAUCCAUCACCAACUACUCCUGCACGUAUCAACAUUCAACUUUAUACUAAAUUGGCAACAUUUUUCACAAUCUUUUCUAUACGAUUCCAUAAAGAAUUAAGAACUAAACAACUCUAAAAUUGUAAUUAAGAAGAGAAGAAACUGACCAAGGGUGGCAGUGUUGUAAGUGGAAAGCCCAGGCUGGCCUACAUUCAAAGAGCCAGUGAUGACCGUUUUGCCCAUCCCAUCUCCUAAAAACACAACAUUCUUCUUCUCUAACGGAACCCUCACGAUUUCCUCAUAAACGCCUUCUUUAAUAUGAAUCACAAACCUACGCGCAGCCGCGUUCUCCGGCGCCGCAUCCACCGCUUUCUGAAUACUUCCAUAACAACCCCCACUACCAUCCUUACACACCGUCGCAUCUGCCGUCACCUUUGCCGGAAACCCACCGCUAAACCCCAACCCAGAUCCACCUCCGCCUUCCCAAAACCCAUCGCGCUCUGUCCUCGGUGGCGUCCACGCCGCCGUAUCAUUUCCGUAAAUAUCAUAAGCCACCAACAUACUAAGCGCAUUACUGGAGAGACCGAUUAAAGAAUCAAGAAACGCCAUGGUUUUAUCAACCAACUGAGUGUCGUUCGCGUAUUUAAGCGCUGACCAGCAAUCGUAAUGGUAAAGCAGAGACGCGCUGAGCCAGGCGCGGGCGUCUUUGGUUCGACCGUGGUGGAGAGCGUCAUUGGUGAGGGAGAUUCGGUAAUCGGAAUUUCGUAGGACCUCGAGGCAAUUCUUGGCGGCGGUGGUACGAUUGAGAUUCGUGGCAGAGGAAUCGAGGAUCUGUUUAACCAAGGAUUGGGCAGUGGUUAGACCGUCGGAGGAUAAAGCGAUGGCGGAUUGAAGGAUUUGGAGAGGGGAGGGAUUAGGGGGGAGAGAGGAGUGAGAGAGGGAAGAUCCGCAUUGAUCGGGGAAACGGGUGGAUUUGCAAGCGUGAAGGAUCUGGUCGGAGGGGUAGUUGGUGAAAUGGGAUGGGAGGUGGGGGUGGGGGUGGUGGUGGUGGUCGGCGGAGGAGGAAGAGAGAGAGAGGGAGGAGAAGAAGAAGAAAAGAGAGAGGAAAGAGAGAAAGGAGAGGGAAGCCAUGGAGAGGAAAAGGAGAGUGGAUUUGGAGAAUGGGAAAGUGGGUUUUCUGGGGAACACCAUGGAAAUGGAAAUGGAAAUGGGAAUAUUUAUAAUGGAGAAUGUGGAGAUGAUGAUAAUGGCUAAAAAUGGAGAAAGGGAGUCACGGGGAGAGAAAAAACAAAUGUCACGGGUGGUUGUUGAGACGGUUAAAAUGGUGACCGUGGCAGUCUAUGGCGGAGGAGUUGUACUUUUCCGAGCUGUUUUUCUUUUUCUUGAUUGGAAUGACAUAAAGAAAAUAAGCAAAGGAAUCCGCUCAUGCCUUGGACUUUCUAAAUCUAAGCGUUAUGUUAUAAAGAUAGAAAAUUUGACAAAACAUUUCAAAAAGUACUUCUAACCAUUUUUCUUUAUAUAUGUUUCAUUUUUUAGGAUGAGAAAUAUAUAAACUAAUCAAAACAAUCCCCAACAAACUAAUUUCAAAAUUACUAUUACACAUUGUUUGCUUGAGUAAGAUGGUGUUCAAAUUUUUGUAUAAAUUCAUAUGUGUUUUUAAAGUAACUUUUUAACUUAGAAAUGGAUGUAACUUUAAUAUUCCAAUGAAUUUUUGUUUCAAAUAUCAUUAUAAACAAAUGAAAAGUUAUCCUACCCUUUCAAUAAUGUUUUUGUAUGAUAUGAAAUUGAAUGAAUUUUUAGUUUCUUUUACGGAAAAUUAAGCUUUCUUUGAUGGAAUCUUUAAGGACCUUUUCAAGACAAAGAACUUUCUAAUUAAUUACCUUUGAAAAAGAAAAAAAAAAAAACAACUUUCCAAUUAAGACAUUAACAUUACCUUUGAGAAAGAAAGAAAACAACUUUCUAAUUUAAAACAUCAUCUUUCUAAAUUAGAACAUGAUCUUUCUUAUAGAAUGUUCAUUUAAAUUUUUGUUCAUUCUCUCAUGAAUUUUUGAAGUGUAUAGAUGUGUUUAGAAAUUGAAUAGGAACAUAAACUUUUGGUUUCUUUUAUUUAUUACUAGUUGUUAAAACGAUAGAUAUUAUCAAAGUUGCAUUUAAACAUCAAUAAAAUCAGGGACAAAUGGUAAAAAUUACUUUGAAAGUGUGCAGUGGUGUCGUAGACUCUCAAACUUUUAAUUAUAGAAAAUUUAAACAUUCACAACAAUCUAAUUGUUGAAAUUCACCUCUCAAAGUUAUAAUAGUUGUAAAAAUUUAAAUAAUAAAAAUGAAACAUUUCAAUUAUUGUAACAUUUUAUACUCUACAAAUACAAUUCAAACCUUGAUAGAAGGUAUCAUUUCCAUUCGUGUAGUAAAAUUGGACUCUUCCAUUUUUUAAAUUGAGGUAAACAAUUCAACUUCAAUAAUAAACACGAUUAAAGUUAUAUACAAUUCAAUUAUUUUACCAUAGUGGGUAACUUCAACUAAAGGGUUAUCAAGUCAACUUAGUGGGUAAACAAAACCAACCAAAGGUUUCAACUAAAGUGAGAAUUAACAUACCAAGUGUCUUCUAAGGAUGAGAGACAAUAUGAAAUGACUAAGAAAAAUGGACCAAAUGAUGGAAAGACAGCUGCAAACCUCUCAGGCUCAACAAAUCCUCUCCUACCUUCUUCACCACGCUUUGCAGACUACACUCAUCCAUAUUAUCAUUUUACUUCAACUAUAAAUUUGCUCCUUCUAUCAUGUUUUUAUGUGGUAAGAAUUUUUUGUUUCAAGUGUAGAGUUAAAAAAGUAGAAUUCCCAAGUAGAAACAGAGUACAUAACACGAUGGUUUGGGGUUGAAUUGAAGUGUAUAUAUAGAUCUUGCACUUUCACUCCUUUUGAACAAAUACAUAUUUAUAUAAAUUGGAGUUUAUAAUUUAUAAAUCAUAAAUUUAUGUAAUGUAUAGCAACAAAAGUGAAAUGCUAAUCCUAGUUUUAUCUUUCAUUUAAGAGGAAGGAAUCCACUCAUUUCCUUGGAUGAAAUUCUGUACAGAGUAACUAAAAACAUACUCUGCAGGGAUUUGAUUGCUCCAUGCAACUCGUUUUGACGAAUUUGAACCAGUCCCAAAAUUCUCAAACUCCCCAUAAUAUAGUGUAUUCAAUCCAAUAUCUCCACUCCAUGCCAUCCAUCCGGAUGACGAAACAAGAGCUUCAAGUUCACAAUGUAUAAAAACCGUUCUCGAAUACUCUUUCCAAGGCCGCCCCAAGAAGGUCCUAUGCCUCUGAGGAUUGGCAUAGUACAAUGCCAUGAACUCCUCAGUGCCAUUUAUCAAGCAGUUUUGGAACACAAACCCAGUCGACUGCGCUGGGUCUGUCCUCCCAUGUGCAGUGAUUGCAUUCUCAUCUCCGAGUUGAGGAUUGAGUUGGUGAGGACGAAUUAAGAUAUGACAGUUUAGAAACAUGGAAGCUGAGUUGCCAAAAAUGAAGUCCACGUUGCCUAAAAUACGACAGGAGUUGUAGAAUUGACGGAGGGAAUGGGCGUAAAGAGUGUCUUGAUUGCUUAUAAACUCACAGUUAUCUAUGAUCGAGAGGUCACUGUCUGAUCUAAAGGCAACAGCUUGAUGGGCGUCAGGACCUGCUGUGUUUUGAAUGGUGAGUUCACUAGCAAUGAAUCCAUCCCCAAGAACUCCUGCAAUUUCUUAUACAUUAUUAUUCUCUCUAAUGAUGAAUAAUUCUCAUUUUGUUUGUGACAGACACGCUAAUAGUACACUCCCGACAACUUUAUAUUGCUUACAAAGGUAUUGAUAAUAAUUAUCUUCUACAGAAAGCAACAAGAAAUAAAUAAAUAAGUGAGUUUUGGUGAAUUGAAAAAGGUGACUCACCGACGGUGGCCGAAUUGUAAGUCGAGAUCCCAGGCUGACCCACGUUCAAAGAUCCGGUAAUCACCGUUUUGCCCAUCCCAUCCCCCAAAAACACCAAAUUCUUCUUCUCCAUUCCCACUCUCACACUCUCUUCGUAAACCCCUUCCUUUAUGUGUAUCACAAACCUCACCGCCGACUCUCCCGGCGCCGCAUCCACCGCCGCUUGCACCGUCCUAUAACACCCCUCACUCCCAUCCUUACACACCGUCACAUUCGCCUCUGUCUUCGUUGGAAUCCUCACCCCUCUCACCACCUCCCCCGUUCCACUGCUCCGUUCCCAGAACCCGUCUCGCUCCGUCCUCGGUGGUCUCCACGCCGCCGUCUCAUUCCCGAAAUUAUCGUACGCCACCACCAUGCUCAGCGCGUUGCUGGACAGCACGGUUAAGUUGUCAAGAAAUAACAUCGUUUGAUCCACUUCACGCGUGUCGUUCACGUACUUCAACCCCGACCGGCAACCGGUCUGGUAGAGGAGGGACGCGCUUAACCACGCGCGCGCGUCUUUAAUUCGACCGAGCGGAAUUGCGUCGUUGGAAAGGGAAAUUCUGUACUCCGAAUAACCCAACGCAUCCAUACAGCUUAGCGCCUUCUCGGUGCGGUUGCGGUUGGGAAUCUUCUCAGCAGAAUCGAGAAUGGCUUUCACCAUGGAUUUAGCAGUCUUGAGAUUGUCCGAGGAGAGGUAGAGGGCGGCCUGAAUGAUCUGCAGCGAAGUGGGAUUCUGGGGGAGACGGCUGGAUUGGGAGAUGGAGGAUGCGCAUUGGUCCGGGAAGCGGGUGGCGUUGCAGGCGGCGGCGAUGUCAGGGAGAAGGGUUUGGUGGGCGGCGGAGGAGAAAUGUAGAGGGAGGAAGAAGAGAAAGAGAAGAGAAGGCAUUGUUGGGUUUGAGAAUUGGUUGGGAAAUUCAUGGCGGAAAUAUAAAGAGUGAAUUUUGGGAGGAAAGAGAGAGAGACGGUCACGUGUUGCAGCGGCGGCGGAGGAAAUGGAAAGUGGUGACGGAAAACUUAUACUAAUAUUUACAAUUUAGAAAACUAUAUAUGAAAAUGAUGUAAUUCCAAAACUAUUUAUGAAUAGUGUGUGAAUUGUUUUCUCUCUAUAUUUAUUAUUUCUUUUAGAAAUAUUGGUUCAAUUUUACUUUUGUAUUUUUAAAUUAAUUAAAUUUCCUUCCAAACUUAUUUCUUAUGUUCAAAGUUUUAAAACUAUUUAGCAUUUUAUCAUAAAAUUUGUUGUGUUUUUUCUUUUAACACUAAUAAUCUCUUUCUUUUUUUUUUCUUUUUUUAAAUUUUAGAAAGUCCCAAUCUAUUUUUCUUUUCUAAAUGUUUAGAAACAUUUUGUUUAGUUUGUUAGAGGGUGGCUGCCUAUUUUGUUCGUUUAGCGUUGGGCAUAACAACUAUUUUGCUUUUUUCCUCUACUUUUAGAUAACUUCAUAUGUCAUCUAUUCUAUUUUUAAAUAUAUUGUAAAUAUAAAUAGGUUAAUGAUCAUGUCUAAUCUUAAUAAAUUUUUUAAUUUGUACUAUCUAUUUUUUAAAUAGUCUACAAAAUUUAGAAAUCCUUCCUAUAUACUAAGUUGAGUAGAGUAUAGUAUUAGUAAAUAUAUCGACCCUUCACAAAACUAGUUUUUUAGUUAAAAUAUUGAUCCAAAGUUUUGUGUAACUAGACAAAAGUGCAAAUAAGUAAAGACUAGAUAAUAUAUUAAUAUCGUUUCUUAUAAAAUUCUACAAUUAUGUUUUUAGUUGUUUGUAAUUGAAAAAUAGCUAAAGGUAAAUUUAAAAUGUCUAUACCAAUACAAUGUAUAAACAUAUAAGAUUCGUUUAUCGUAUGUAUUGAUAGUUCUUAUAGUUUGUUUUAUACUUUAUCUUAGACAAACUAUCUAUUAUUAUAGUUUUGUAUGUCUCUCAAAUAAUUUGAAAUAAUAACAUAUUAUGUUAAAACAAAUAAUCAUAUUGUAGAGAUGUUUGGAGGCAUAUUAUCUCUCUUUAAAAACUAAUAUUGAUCAAAUCAAAUAUCAUAAAAAAGAAUUUAAAAAAAAGACUUAUCUUUUAUUUUUCUCUAAUUUUAUAUGGGUUUCAAUAUACAUAUCUAUAAGCAUUAAAACUAAUUUUUCUAAACGUUAAUCUUUAUUUUAAUAUUAAAAUAUUUCUGCUAAUCAUAAUUUUCUUUUCUUUUGAAUUUAAUUAUUUUCUUUAUUUCACUAAUAAGUUCUUGAAAAUACAUGAAUAUUUCAAUAAAUCAUUCAUGGAGUGAUUGGUGUAGUUUUGUAUGUAGUGACAUAAAGUGAUUGUUAUUAUUAAUGUGAUUUCAUUAUUUUUGUUUUGUUCUCAUACAGAACUUCAUUGUUAUUAAUUCUUUCAAAAUUGUAUGUCAAAAUCAGUAUAGUUAAUGUAAUAUCCACUCUUAUUUGACUAUUCAUUUAUGUUUUAAUUUAACAUUUUCUCGUGUUGUAGUCUAUCUAAUUUUUACGAGCUUCUUAAUAAACUAUCGAUAUAUAAAUAUCAUACUUAGUAUUGUAUUUUAAAGGAACGAUGAUAUGUACUCAUUUUAAAGACUUUGAUACCAGGGAACGAGUUGGAUUAUCUGUGAUUGUAGUGAAUCUUCUAUUAUUGAUUGAUAUUGGAUUUCAAAAAGACGAAGAAGACUUUGAAGAUUAUUAAAGUUUUAUAGAUGAAAACUACUGAGUUUAGUCUUCUCUCGGUGUUGUUCAAGUUUGUGAGCGCAACUCUUUUCUUUUUGGUUGCAUCAAAUUCCUCUUACUUUAACAUUGCAUUAGAUUAAAUUAAAUUUGUUUCCUGUAAUGUUCUUCUUUUAGCCGAUUCUUUGGAUAUUAAUCAUUUUCUUUUUGAAGUAUCCUUGUAAUUCUGCCGCUCACUAGCUUGCACACGUUUCUUUUAAUAUGUUUUAUAUUUGUUCGUUUUUGAGUUCUCUUGCUUCUUCCUCUUUCGUAGAAUAUUAAAAUAACGAAAUAUGAGGUGUAUUCAUUCUUUAAUUGAUAUAUCAAUUUUUAAUUUAAUUGAUACGUCAUCUAAAUUAUAUCAAAAUUUAAAAAUAGAAUAUGAUUUUUUUCAAAAAUAAUAAUAAUAAGACUUGCACCAUUAUUUUCCAAAAAAAAAAAAAAAAACAUAUAAGAUCUUAGUAAAUGCUCACGAAAUUGGUUUAAAACAGUUAAAACUAAUAUAAAGUUUGUUCAUUUUAGAUCAUUUUGGGGUCAAAUUAGCAUAUGAUCAAGUACUUCUAUAAGAGAAAGUUAGUAAACAUAUAUGUAGCCAAAACAUCUACCUUUUCACAUUUAUCACCUAUAAUAAAAUGCUAUAUCUUAGUUGAAUGUUUAAAUCUUACAAUAUACUCCUAAACUUCGUACUUUGUAUUUUUAAAUGUUUCAAAUACCCUUAAUAAACUAUAUAUAAAAAAAGGUUUAAAAUACUUUGGCUAUUAGUUUUGGACAAAAUAUGAAGAUUAUUGUUAGGUAGUUUAGGUUGAAAAUGCUAAAAAAAUAGUCAUAUACUGAUUUCUUUUAUCUCCAUCAAUAAAAUAAUAGACUUAAAAAACAAAAGAGUUGUGUUAUGUUAGUGAUAAUAUUAAACGCUUAAAAUAGAUCUAACAAUAUUUUUUAAAAAUGAAAAAACCCAUCAAAUUUAUUCAGAUUUGUGUUUUUUCCUUUCCUCUUGAGGUAUAUUUAAUAAUAUGUUGGAAAUAAGAAAAGUUGAAAAAUGGUUGAGAGAUAUAGCGUAGAUGAAGUGAAAUGGAGGUAAGAGUUUUCGAUCCCAACGUGCAUUCAGAUGAACUACAACUUUCUUUGAAUUGAAUUAACCAAAAAAGCAAGAGAAGACAUUUUUUUUGGUUAUUGAUUAAAUGCAUCAUCAAAUUCAAAUCAUUUUUUGGUUAUUGGGGAAAUGAUUAAAGCUUGAAGUUCCCACAUCACUUACCCACUUAUUAAUUAUUAUUACCAAAUAAAGAUAGAUUUUCUCUUUUCUAUUUUCAUUUUCAUUUCUUUCCUUUUCUGUAUCAUUACUUUUUUAUUUUGCUCUAUUUGUUGCUGCUCUCGGACGCUGUUUUGCUUCUCUCAACUCUCAACCACCUUUCAUUUCCAUCUUCCUUCCUUCCAUUUCAAUUCAUACCGACAUUUUCCAUUCCCCAUUCUCCAAGUUUCUCAAGUCUUUCCAUUUCCAAAUUCAAAGGUAAUUUCUUUCUGCCUCUGCAACUUCCAACGCGCACACACACACUCACUCGCUUUUCGAUUUGCUUUUCUUCUUUCGAUUCAAUUCCAAUAAAUGAACAAUCCACAUCCAUUUCUGCAUGUGGGUUUCUUUUUUUUCUUUUUUUUUUUUUGGCUUAUGAAGCUACCCCACUUCCCAUUUUACUCCAUUCCCUUCAAUGCGUAAUCCAACAAUUUGGUUUUUGAGAUCAAUCAUUACAGAGUGGCAAGGGGUUGGUGAUUUUAGGAUUGGAUCGACGCUAGUUUUGAAGCUUUCCUUGAAAAGAUUUGCUGAAUCUUCAACUUCUUCUUGUUUUCUUGCUGGAUUUCUGAUGCCCUUGUGUAAACAUUAGGUGAAAUGGUGAUUGAGACGAUUAGUAAUUUGAGCAAAAGCACAUCUUUCAAUAAAAGUGCUUCGUUUAAUAGAAGGCCUUUAAGUUCUGGAAGCCCGAGGGUGACUCGGGUGAGCUGGAUCUCCCGUUGGUAUCAUGUGUUUGUGGUCGUUGGAUUUCUGGUUUCAUCUCUUGUAGUGAUUAGUGCUGGUUAUAUUCAUGUACUGCCUGGUCUUACUUUGUCUUCUCAUAAUAAUGAUGUUCUGAAAUCAAGUUAUUUGAAUGAAACCUCGAAUGGAAGCUGCAAUGUGUAUGAAGGAAGCUGGAUUCUGGAUGAUGGUUAUCCCCUUUACAAUGCUACAGAAUGCCCUUUUGCUGAGAAGGGAUUUGACUGCUUGGGUAACGGUAGGGUGGAUCAAAACUAUCUGAAGUGGAGGUGGAAACCGACAAAUUGUGAAAUACCAAAACUUGAUGUGCAGAAUGUGUUGGAAAUGCUGCGGAGUAAAAGGGUCGUUUUUGUUGGAGAUUCGAUGAGCAGAUCACAGUGGGAAUCCUUGAUAUGCUUACUUAUGAGCGGGGUUGAGGAUAAAAGGACUGUUUAUGAGAUUAAUGGGAAUAAGAUCACAAAGCGGAUUAAAUACUUAGGUGUUCGGUUUAGUUCUUUCAACCUCACUGUUGAGUUCUAUCGCUCGGUUUUCCUUGUGCAAGAAGCCCAGAUGCCAAGGCACUCACCUAAGAGAGUGAAGUCUGCCCUUAGACUGGAUGAGCUGGAUAGUAUUAGCAGCCAGUGGAUUGAUUCAGAUGUUCUAGUAUUCAACACUGGACACUGGUGGGUACCUGGGAAGUUGUUUGAAACGUAAGUUCUUUUUUCAUAUUCUGGUAUUUGUUUGAAACUUGGUUACCUAGAUUUGCCAAUUUCGAUCUUUUCUUAUCAUAGAAAAAUGUAAUUUGAUAUCACGUCUUGUGUACAUGGUGAAGCUAUUACUUCAUUAAUCUAUUACUUUGUUUACUCUGUCUGCCCAUACGCUUUCAUAUUACUGUUCUCCUUGGAAAGAUUUUUGUAUCACUAUAUGAAGUUAAUAUCUACUUUUUAAUCUGAUUUAUAUAUGUGCCGUUUGAAGGGUGGAAAAUAUCUGUAAGGGGUGUUUGGGGUACUGAAUUAAGUUAUGAAGUUUAGAGAUAAUAUGGAGUUAGAAAACCUGUGUUUGAGGUGCAUAAUUGUAAGAUGAAGUUCCUUGAUAAAUACAUAAAAGAGAGCGCUUACCUACUUAUAAGUUUUGAUAGCUAAGUUUCAACUGGGGAAGAUUUGUUCAGUAGUUGGCUUGACUAUUUGAGAUUGUAGGUCUUCAAGACAAUGCUCCUUCCUGUGACAUGGAUUCAAUAUUUACCGUUAGACUAGAUCUUGUCUUUGGAUACAUAGGUUUAGUAAAGCAUAUGAGAUUUGUUAAGUAUAUCUCCUAACAAGAGAACUCAAGUACACAAAGAUGAAAGAACAAACAAAGAAAACUAAAAGAUAGGUUUAUUUUACAAUAUCAAUGAAGAAACUACAUAUGCCAUAGCCUUUUGAGAGGCUACUCUCUCCCAAUAUUUCCUACUUGAAAUGACUACAAAAUUCUUAACACCUUGCUCCCCAACCUAUUACCUCUAUUUAUUACUGAAAGCUCUAACAAUCUAUCUAUCUAAUUACUAAUAUGCCCCUUCUAAUACACAUAUUAAUAGGAUACUAAUAAUCCUACUAUCUCCAUAACUAGGGGUCUUACAGUUUGUAAAACAUGCAUUCCCGACUGAAGUUGGUGAUUCGACUGAAGCUUCCAUUCACAUGUUAGCGAUGUUAUUGUCCUUUGCGUGAAAGGAAAAUGAUCAAGGGAAGUAGGCAUAUGAGUGCAAAGAAGAUUUAGUUUCCUGAAACGAACUGUAAAGUUCUGUAUUAUUUUUCCUCAAUGCACAAAAUGAUAGUCCCAUGAUUGUCUCAUACUCGAAAACCUUUUAUUUAUUUAUUAUAAUUCUUUUACAAUCACCCAAAUUCAUGAUAUUCAGUUUAAUCACUGCAAAUUUUGCUUCAUUUUGGAGUGGGGAUGCAGUUCUCCUUUUUGUUGUUUUAGUGAUGUAAUGAUACGAUAGCAACAGACUAACAAUCGAGAGAGAGGACUUCAAAACUGCAAAUUUUCUGUUACCUUUUGGUUCAUUUCACAUUAAUAAUCUUGCCAUCUUAAGAACAUUUUGAAGGCUUCUAAAGAUUUGUUGGACAGUGGUUGCUAUUUUCAGGUUGGACAUUCGCUGAAGCUUGGAAUGUCAAUUCCCACAGCUUUUGGAGUAGCACUUCGCAGUUGGGCAUCUUGGAUUGAGGAAAAUAUCAACACAAACAGAACCCAUGUUUUCUUUCGUACUUUUGAGCCGUCACAUUGGAAGUAUGCUUUUUUUGUUGACUUAAUGUCAUUUUAUUUUUUCAAGUUCCUUUGUUUUGGGAUGAAGAACUGGGAAUGGAUUUUCUUGAUGCCUUCAUUAUUUACAUUUAACUCUUUUUAAAUGGUUUUUCCACCAUGCAUUUGAUCUAUGUAUAUAUCAUAAAAUUCUGGUGUAUACAGGUUGGGAACUAUUUAGCAUGGUCAAUUUUAUCUUGAUGUCUUGAUUUUUUUUUUUCUGCUUAUAUCUUUUCUGUCAAACUUAUAGCUUUUUGUGAACUGCAUGAUUAAAACUUACAGCUUUGAUGCAUUGUUGCUGUGUUGUCCUCUACUUAUGACAAACUACAAGUUAAACUUCUCUAUCUAAUUUCUCAAGUACCCUUACAAUACUCUAAUAGCAUUCCUAUCAGUCAUUCCAACAAAAGUUUUUACUCAUGUAAAGAUUCUGCUUUGUAAGCUGGUGGUUGAAUAUUGAUGAUUUCUUGUGAUAAGACAUUAUUUAUUUUUCAACCAGAAAUGAGGCCUUCCAUUUAUUUAAUGAAAAGAAACAAAUGUUCAAAGAUACGCUCUCCUAAAGGAGUGGUAGAGCAUUAUUUUGCAUCAUUAUUGACAUCGGUGCUGUAAGAAUGUACUCUUUAAUCAGUUGUUGGUGUGCUUUGGUCAUGCAUCAGGGACCACACCUUCAAAUAUUGCAGUCUUACCCGUCAACCUGUGACCGAUGCUGGAGACAGGGUCAGAAGCAUUUUUUCGGACACCAUAUUAGAGGUGGCAAAGAAUAUGAAAGUUCCCAUUAACGUUUUGCACAUAACUUCCAUGUCUGCUUAUCGAAGCGAUGCCCAUGUCGGUAAAUGGAGCAACAACCCAUCCGUCCCGGACUGCAGUCAUUGGUGCCUACCCGGAGUGCCUGAUGUGUGGAAUGAAAUUUUGCUCUCUUACCUGCUUACUGAAUAUGAUACUUUCUUCAAAUGACCAAUACACAUUCAAGUAAGUAUUUACCUCUCAACCUCCAAAAUGAAUUCAUAAGAACCCUCAGUUUUUGGUUGUGAAUGUUCAUACUACUGUGUGCUAAAUUACUCUCUCCUCUUAAACUUAUGCAGAAUGGUUUAACACGAAUUUGCUAACAUCUAAGAGAAAUACAUGCCAAGUAUGGAGACAUGUAUUUGCCAAUGUCGAAGACUGCUGUAUUCAUUACUUUGGUGACAUAACGGCAAUAUCAGUCAAGAUCAAUCAUCUCGAGUCUCAAGUCACGCGUGUUGCAUAUACUCUACCACGGUCAUGUUAUUUCUCAAAUUCUUUAAAGGAAGUGCGUAUAUAGAGUUACACAAAUAAAACUAUUUUCAGAACAAGUUCUUUCUAUCUUGCCCUUUAUUUUCCUUCCAUUCUUUAGGAAAGACCAGAUUGAGGUCAUGAGGUGUAUCGGUGUCUAUUUCCCUUGUACUAAUCAUGGUGUUUUUAAAGGACAAACACAAAUGAGGGUGAAAUGUUGGACAUGAAAUAGCAAAAGGUAUUUCUACUUUAUUAUCUUCUCUGAAUUUUCUUCCUUUGGGGAAUAACAAAACACAAGAAAGAAAUCGAUGACAAUUUUAAGUUUACAAACGCAUUCUUGAAUACAAUAGAUGAAUUUUGCUAGUUUAUGUCAACUCAAUGUCAGAACUUCAAAGGAAAUAGAAUUUGCUCUAAUGAGAUUUUGAACUGCAAAAUCACAACUUAGUCUACUCAAAAUGUGCAUCAGUGACUUUGAUAGAUUAUGUUGGCCUUUUUAUGGCAUCUUUUAGUGUUAUAAAGAACUUUUAUGCAACAUUUUCUUUAAAGUUAUAAAAAGCUAUAUUUAUAGAAAAAUAGAGAGUAGUUUUUGUCAAUAUAGCAUUUAUUAUAAACAUUUGAAAAUUAUGAAUUUUGGCAGUAGGCAAAAGCAUUUAUUGAGUGGUUCACUCCCUUUGUUUUUUUUUUUUUUUUUUUCCCAAUAAGGAUUUAUUGAGUUUAUGAAUUCCAUUUCAUUAAAAUUAGUGGGUGAGACUGAAAUUAAUACAAAUUCACCUAAUACACUGUUAUAGCUUUAAACAGAAGCUUAGUUUUUAUUUAAUAUUAAUAUUUAUUCAUUUAUUUUAUGCAUUCCAAGAAGCUUCUCCAGAAUCAACCAAAUGGCAGUAGGCAAUAGCAGCAAGUGAUGAAUCCAAUCCUCUAAAUCAAGCAACUCCAAAUGCCACAUUUGUCAUAGUUCUCUUAGUAACACAACCCUACACAAUAAACAUAAACAAGAAUAUCAUAAAACAAUAAUAACUUAGAUUAUGAGACAUUGCAACUAACAUUCCGAAUAGACUUAGUUUGAUAACGUUUCUCCUUUUUAUUUCCAAGAUUCAUAAGACUUUUAAAUUUGUUGUUCGAUAAUUCUAUAUUUUGUUAAAUUUUUGUCAUAUAUAAAUUUUUCUAUUGUGUUAUCAAACAAAUGGCAGUAGGCAAUAGCAGCAAGUGUACUAACCAACUUAAGUAACAAACACGUUAAGAAUUAGUAAAAACAGACUAUUUGUUCUGAUGAAAAUAGAACUAAAAAGUGGUUGAAAUUAGUCAAACACUAACAAAAUAAAAGAAUACCUUCGAAGCAGAAAAAUCUACAAGAUCCCAAAAGAAUGGCCUUUCCCAAAUGAAAUUGCUGCGGAAAUAGCUCUUUGAAGAACAAACCAAGUAAUGAAUUGAAAUGUGUACUUGGAUUCAACAACUUAGUGGCCUCUAUAUUGAAUCGACCAAUAAAUUUUCAAGAUCAUGUGCCCAUACAACAGAAGCACUUGUGGUCUCGUGGUCUCUAGAAAACUUGUUUGUCGCUGUCGAUUGAUAGAACGACCAAUAGUAUGAUUGAACAACUCGAGUUUCAACUGGUUGCUACUUGAAUAGAAUCUGUUCAAUUGUGCGCUAGAAUGCUAAGUUGUUUCACAGCUUACGGCUGCUUGUCUUACUGAAUUUAAUGGUUCAGAUAUUCUCAAAGCCAAAGGAUGAGAAUUCCCCCCUCCGUAGAAUUUAUGUACAAUUCCAUCAAUGAUUAUGCAGCUGCAACCAGGAACUUUCGUCAAACCCAGGUCUCUCAUCUUCUCUCUAGUCAGCGAAACACCAUGCGUCAUACCAAGAGAUUCAUAUAUACUAAUCAAGGCUAUAAAAUUGCUUGGAUUUGUAGGUUCCAACUUGAAAAGCUGGUUAGCUGCAAUUUCUCCAAACUCAAGGUUCCUGUGGAUCAUACAACCAGAAAGCAGAGCACCCCAAAUGCUUGCAGCAGCUUUGACCUUCAUAUUUCUAAUCAACAGAAACGCUUCCUUCAGAAAGCCAAAGCGACUCAGAAGAUCAACAGCACAAGCAUAAUGUUCUACCGUCGGUUCAACCUUAUUAUCUGAAAUAAUAGACUGGAAAAUUCUCCAACCUUCGUUGAUAUAACCUGCAUGACUGCAGCUAGCCAAAAUGGCUGUCAGUGUUACAGAAUUGGGUUGGAUUCCACAAUCCUUCAUUUUGUUAAACAAGACCAAGGAUUUCUCUCCUUUCCCAUGAGCCCCAUAACAAGAAAUCAUUGUGGUCCAUGUAACAAUGUUCAACCUACUCAUAUUCCAAAAGACCUUUUCAGAAUUAAGCAGGCUUCCACACUUCGAAUACAUAUCAAUCAAUGAGUUCCCAACUGCAACAUCAGCAGCAAAUACCGGACUCUUCAAAACUAAGCAAUGAAUCUCUUUUCCUUUUCUCAAAUCUCCUUCCCCUCCACAAGCAUUCAAAACGCUAGGAAUUGUCAUAAAAUCCAUAUUCGCUCCUUCCAAGAGCAUGCGCUUAAAACAAUCCAACGCAUCCAUAUAAACCCCAGCCCUCCCAUACCCAGAAAUCAUUGAGUUCCAAGAAACUGUAUCUUUGAAGAUCAUAUCAUCAAACACCUUCCUAGCAUCACCCACAAUCCCACAUUUAGCGUAAAAGUCUAAAACCGUACUGCCUACAACAACAUAACCAACAAACCCCAGCUUAAUUGUCCAACAAUGAAGUCUCUUUCCCAAAUAAGCAUCCCCAAUACCAACACUAGCCUUAAACAUCUGAGGCAAAGUAUAGUGGUCAGGCAGAAAACCAAGGUGUCUAAACUCAUUAAACACAUUUAAUGCAUCAAAGUAGAAAGAAUUAUGAACAUAAGAAGCAAUCAAGAUAUUCCAAGAGUGCAUGUUUCUGUGAGCCAUUUUGUCAAACACGUUGCGGGCGUCGUGAAGGAACCCACAUUUGCAAUACACCAAAAGAAGAUCGGUUAGAAGAGUUAAAUGUGGAAGGAAGCCAUGGAUGAGGAUUUGAGCGUGGGCUUGCUUUGCUUGGGCAAUUGCAUAAGAUUGAGCACAGCUUCUGAGAACGAAAGAGAAACGAGAAGUGCUAUGACUAAGAGACAUUAUGAAAUUACCUUUUUUUAAAUUUGACGGCCUAUUAAUUUAGAUCCCAACUUUGUAUACUUAAAUUGUUCCUUUCACAUUCUCUCUCUAACAUUUGUUAGUGGUAUUAUUAUCAUAUUCUUAAUGAAUAAAAAAUUUUGGGUCAUUUUUUUUUGUAGGCUAUAGCAUUCGUCAUUUUUUUUUCUUUCUAAAUUUUGAGUUUCUCCUUGGUCGACCACCGAGGAGCAGCAAUCGCCAUCUCGUAGCUCAUUCUCCUAUGUCAUAGACCUUGCUAUCCCACACUUAUCACCAAGAAUAUGUGAUAUAAAGAGAUCUAUACUAAAAAAAGAAGAAAAGAAAAGAAAAUAAACCGUUAGAAAACUAAUUUGUACACUAAAAUAAAAACCGGGUGUGUGUUUUACUUUUCAACUUUCUUGAAAAAAAAAACUUAGGCAUUCCUCCAAACGAGGCUACCUGCUAGUUAUAUGUCAAUUUUAAGGACUUUUCGACGUGGCUGAAAUUUGGUCCUUUUUGUAGGCUAUAACAUUGACCAUUUUUCGAACCAUUUUAGUCCCCCUUAGUCGACCACUAAGAAGCAGAAAUCGCAACCUGUAGCUCAUUCUCUUUUACUAUGGACCUAGCCAAAUAUAUGAUCCCAAACUUAUCAGCUAAGAAUCCUCGAUCUAAGGAAGUCUAGAGCAAAUAGAAAAAAGAAAAGAAACCUUAGAAAGACUAGAUUUUACACCAAAAUAAAAACGGAGUGGGGACUUCCCUUUUCAACUUUUUUUUGGAUAAAACUUUAAGAUUCCUCGAAAUGAGGUCACUUACUAGUUGGAUGUCAAUUUUCAAGACCUUUUGACAUCACCAAAGUAACGACACUAUACACAAGAAAUGUAAACCACUUUGGGUAACAAGUGAUAGAACUAAUUCAUGCACAGCGGAAAAAGAAUCGAAUUUCUACCCUAAUUGCCACAAUUAACAUGUAACCAUAAACUAAUCAAAUUAGGGAUUUAAGAAAUAUUACCUUUGAAGCUUUCAAAAGGUUUGAUAUCUUCUUACCAAUUCUAACCGAGACCACCCCUAGUACUCAACUGCUAUCCUCUAGACAAAGAACCGGGUUGUGGGACCCAAUUUUGGUGUAGAAAGUAAUGGAGAUAAAAUGAGAUUGGAAGCUUUCUUUUUUCUUUUGUUGAGAUGAUGAAAAUGAUAAAAGAGGCAAAAAUUCUUCAACAUUUGAAAACACCUCUAUUUAUAGCCUAAUUACAUGCAAAAAUGCAUGCAAUUCAUUUGCCAAAUCUCAACACCUAAUGUUCCACUAACAAUUAGUGGAACUUAGUGGGCUAGGUGUCUAUAUCUCAUAUAGCCACAUUUCCCCCUAAGAGUUAGUGGGAUUAUCCAACAAAAUGUUGGAUUUUCCCACUAACUUAGUCCAAGGGUAAAAUGGUCAUUAGAUAUUUCUAGUCAAAAGUCAAACUUUGACUUUUCUUAGUCAAAAGUCAAUAUUUUGACUUUUUACCAUUUUGUCCGUCUUGACUAAUUCCAACCUCCCGAGCAUGAAUCCGCAUUCAUUUUUCCAAAAUUCAAAUCACAUUUGAAUAUAAGGCCGGUCAAAGUUUGACUUUUCAAAGUCAAAAGUCAACAUUUUGACUUUUUACUAUUUUUGACCAAUUCCGAGCUUCUUAGUAUGAAUCCGCAUUCAUACUUAUAGUAUGUAAAACAUAAAGCUCUAUUUCUAAUUAGAAGACCGACGACUAUAUCACUGUAUAUGUCGGUUUCCCUUUCUUCUCCCAAUUCGAACAAUUCGACUUAUUUCAUCACACUGUUCUAAGUUUAAUCCAUAUGAGCUAGCAGAGGAACCUAAUGGACCUAUAGAUCAUGGGCUCCAACGAUUCAAGAUUAACUAGCUAAACUCUUUUAAACCGAGUUAAUCAACAUUCGUUAACUAACGGGUCAUUCCACUAAAGUCCCGUAGUUGCACUCCCCUCACUAUAGAUAUAUUUGUGUCCAUUUGAUAAAACCAUAAUCAGUAAGUUAAUCCUUCACAGGUUGCUCGUAACCUUGGCUGGGUCAAAAUACCGUUUUACCCCCAAGAUUACAUCUUGCUCCUUAAGUCCCACUAAUCCACUAUUGAACAAUUGGUUUAAGGUUCAACCUAUAAACUUAAUCCCUCUCGGGCCAAUGAGAGGGUGGGGCCCCUUGUUCAAGACUUGGAUUCAGUGCUUAAGAGAGCAACCUAUCUACUAACCCUAAAGCGGGUAGGAGUGAAUUCCAUCUUGUACCCUAUGUUCCCAGCUAUCCACCCGAUCUUACCCCUGAAAUGGGAGGCUUAUUGGGCCAACGCUGAUGAGCUGCCCUCACCUAUGCAGAUCUAAGGAUAAUCUCGUGUGAACAGGAGUUCAUAGUUAACUCAGGAUUAAGACUAAGUUACCUAGGUCAUCAAUAAUUGAGAUAGUCAGUUUUAAACAGUAAACGGUGUUAUAACGUAAAAAUGACUAAUUCAUGGUUCAGUCUUAUGUAAACAUUUUACAUAGGAUGCCCCCACUUUCAUGUCUCUACAUGAACGAUUAGGAUCACCUCGUUUGUACUACAAAGUGGGCCGCAUCCAUAGUUUCUCUAAAUAAGGCGCCCAACCUUUAUUUCAUAUACUAUAGACUAUUUAGGCUAUAUACUCGAACUUGAUCCACGUUUAUGUUUACACAUAAAGUUCAAGUUUAUUCAAAAAAUAGCCUUGGAACUUGAUUUAUUGGAUUUAAGAUUAUAAUAUUUAAUUUCUCAAUAACAACUUUAUUGAACAGAAUAUGAUUUACAAACUACGAGUUUUAGGACAAAAAAUUCCAACAACAAGAUAACAUGAAAGACAAAUCUUGUUCAAACAGCACCUUUUAAACACAAAUGAGUUUGUCAAGGAAUUGUUUCCCUUCUGCUCAACAAAGAAUGAUACCUCCAAAAACUUCACUGAAACGUCGUUGAAAAGUUAGACCACUACAAGACAGUCAAAUACCACCAAAAUAAUCACAUUGGAAGACCAAACACAAUUCAAACUCUUCCAAGCAGUCAUAGCUUAAAGAACCUUGACCUCACUUAAAUUUGAAAUGAACUUAAAAUUUUAGGACACUAACAUACUAACAAUUCUUACGAAGGUGAAAUUUAUAGGAUUUACGUAAAUUUAUAGAUGAGUAACAAUCUCACAUUGAAAAGAUUUGAAGAAGUGAUAGCUUGCAACAUUAGUUUCAAAUCAUUCAGUUAAGUAGAUCAUUUAAGAAUGGUGUAGUAACUCUAAUUCAAAAUCUCCUAUAUUCACUAGUUUGAGAAUAAAGAUAGUGAGAAGAAUGCAAAAAACUUCAAGAGACUCGGAAAAAAUUAUAUGUUAUUUCAAUGGUUUUUCACAUUAUUUAAUUCUAGAGUUUUUCACGUAGAUUCUUUAUUAAUUUUCUUAAUUAUUUUCUGUUAUUCCCACUACAUAAGAAUUCAGAUUUAAGAGCCAUUAGAGUUCAUAAAGGAAUGAGUUACAAGUAUAACUAUGAUUUGAUAUAGUGUAAAAAUUGUGGUGGGUUAUUUACAUUAUACCUAAAUGAGUAUGUAAAAUAUUGAAUUAUGCUAAUAUUACAUUGUAAACUAUAGAACAUAAUAAGGCCGGUAAAAGAUUAGCAAUGCAAAUUCCAUCUUGUUCAGCAUGAUCUGAGCUUAAUGAUAUUUACGAGAAGUUGAGACGUUGUGUUCCUCUUCUUUUCAAAUCUAGUAUACCAAAUGAGAUUUCAUUAGGAUUUCACUUGUUCUUCCCACCAGCUAGAAUCCUUUGGAUUUGGAGACCUCUACUGAAUGCUUGGUUGAAAAGAAGCCUGGUUUGGAACUCCGACACGAACGGGAACCAAGCGAGCAUGGCCACGGGUGCGAAAAUUACAACGCCCAUCAUGUACUCGUACCCUCUGGCUAGAGCUUUCACUGAUCCCCACAUCCCCAUUGCUUUCGUAAUAGGUCUACAAGCUUGCGCUAUCUACAACCACCGUAAAACAACACUCUCGAUUAAAAAAAGUGACCUAUACAUAACAUAAUGCAUGCUUUCCCAGGUUACCUGAAUGUAUCGGUUUCAAAAUUUUAAUCCCGAUCUUGAGUAAUAAUCUGGAAUACUCUUUCUUAAAUGAAGAGAAUUAGUGCAUCUUUCCAUAUGUUAUGAUCCAAGAACAAAAUCUAGGAAUUAUCUAGCAGUUGUCAACAACAAAUUCUUGGUUUUGUUUAGAAUUCUGUUUUAGAGAUAAAACACUAAUAAAUUAAUAAUUAUAACGCGUUUAAAGUACCUAAAUGCAUAAAUUUAGUGGCUAAUAGUUAUACUACCCAAAUGAGGGAGAGUAGUUAGAGGGUAACUGAAAAGCAAAGGGCUUUUAGGUGACAUACUUGCAAAAUAGCCCAGCCUGUGGGCAUGAAGGCUAGAAUGCUUGCAAAAAUGUCGCCCACUGUGAGAUGGAGAAGCGUAAACAACAUCGCUACUACGACCACUGAACCAAUAAACAAGGACAGCUUCAGAAGUCUAAACAACAGCUGGAAGUCUGCACUGAACUUCUUUCUACCCAUAGACACAAUCUGCAGUUCAAGCGUUCUUAGUGAGUAAGUAAUUCUGGAAAUAAACAAGGUUUCUUUAAUGCAGGAGAAGUCAUUGGAGUUGAAUCAUUAACCUUCAAUAUAACCAUCACGGCAACAAUGACAAGCCAAGAUAACCCAUACACCUGAAAAUGAUAACCAAAAACAAAGAGGUCGCCAUAAUGGUCAGUCAACAAGUCUCCUGCUAGCGCUAUAUAUGAGAUCAAGACAAUGCCAAAAAGUUAAUUUAAACAAAAAUCAGUUUUUUUGUUCGUUCCCUAGAACCAAAAAGGAAUCGGAGAAUUACCGCAAUGCUUUUGUUAUUUCCAGCCACGUGUAGAUGAUACACUAUUCCAUACUGAUAGAGAAAGAAUCGGAUAGAUAGUACGAUUUCCCAGAAGCGUCCAACAAAUCCAGUGUGCUGAAGGUGCUCUUGUCCCUCAUCCCACCAGGACUCCCAACUUUUGUUUGCAGGCACACCAAUACCACCUCUGCUGUUGAUCCAUUUUGACCAAUCAUCCCAAUCAUCAACUAUCUUUUGCCAUUCAAAACCUGAAGGGUUGAAAAGGAAAGGGGCAAACAACCAAGAAACAACCAGGAACCACAUUGAGAAUGUGACAAAAAUAUAAGCUAUAGCAUCACUAGCAGCUGUCCCAUAUAUCUGGUAAACUACAAGCAAUAUCAGAAGCUCUAGUCCUUUGACAAAGUGACUCCUUGAAUACAUCCUAUAGUUCUCAGCGUAUUUCUCAUGCCGCACAACAAAACCACGACCAGUAGCUCUAUACUUUGCCCCACCAUGAAGGAUUGUGCGCCCAUAAUAAUGCACCUUUGUGCCAAGAGAGAAGGUGAAGAAAACGGAUGCUAGUUGUAAUUGCAUGAUUAUCAAGUCCCCGAUUGCAGUUCUGAAUCCUCUCUCAAGUCCAAUUUCCAUGAUCAUUGGCAAGGCAGUUAGAAGACCUAACUGAACAACCGAUUGUGAUGCCAUGGCCGCCUUUAAAGGGUAAUCUCCUUUUGACCUAGCAUAUCUCAUUAUGGACUUCUCCAAUCCACUCAAUGACAGAUAAAGUCUACCAUAUAAGAAAACAUACACUGUAAUGAUAAUCAUCUGCAUGACAAGAAGAUAAUCAUUGCACGGGAGAAAAUUUCUGAGCUAUGCAAAUCAAACAUACAGAUUAGUUCUAAGAGGUAUAAGAGCACAUUUAAAGGUGAAAACUUACCAUUGUGCUAACAUAAAAUCCAACUGUUGUGAAGUAGAAAGACAACAUGCGAAAAAAGUCAAAACGAUGACCCAAACGAUAGAUGUCUCUGCUAAGAAUUUGCUCUCCAUUACCACAAGCUACUUUUGCCUCAAAAAGAGAGAUUUGAUUAAAACCAACAUCUCUCCCUUUACCAACUUGAAUAUACUCAUGGUGGGUUAUAUUUCCUCGUCUCAACAUUGAGUUGAAGCCUGUGGGGGAUUUUUUUUAAAGAUAAUAAAAACUGAGAAGAAAAAUUCACUUGAUGAGUGGAAGUGAAGUGUAAAGAAUAAUACCAGCAAAGAUAUCCUCACUGAGGUUGAUUCCUCGAGAAGCUUUGCUAAUGCCCCCACGAGUAAUAUGGAAUAAUCGAUCAAAAACAUCUGGAUGACCAUAGUGGAACCUUACCCUAGAACCAGGCAAUACAGGUUUAUCUAUGCGUAAACAAAAUAUGCUGACAUUUAGUUGGGGUGACUGCAAAGCAAUUAAAAAUUCAUGUUCGAUCUAGUAUUACUCUUUCCCAAAUAUUCAACAUUGUGCAACAAAAAAAGAAAAAGAAAAAGAGGUCAAUCUUUUCACGUUAAGUCAUGACAAAGAGAAUUAGAAUUAAAAUUUUGUUCAUUCAAGUACCAACUUAUUCUAAUUCUAUAAAUGUUUUGAAUUAUUCAGUAGUGCUUUGUUUAAACUACUUUCUAAAUGUAAUUUGUUUAUUUUGAAAUAUGUACAUCUCCACCAACAACUUUAAGAAUCUUGGAUACAGUUUUUCCAAAACUCACGCUCAUAUCUGAAUAAUAUCUAUGUUGGGUGAUAAGAUAUGUAAAAUAAAUUAACAGCAAGAAGGAAAGCAUACUUUAGAGGCCUUGCAAGAACCCUCUGACCAAUAGUAACAAAGCUAGUUUCUUGAUUUGACAUAAACCAAGCUAGAGAAGAAACACUGGAAUGGAAGAAAUGAAGUUAGAAAACGAAGGCAUAACAACUUUUCAUAGCUCUUGUUAAGAAAUAACCUAACCUUCCAGUAAAAAUAUGUUCACGCACACCCAAAAUUGUAGGUGGACGAACACCAUGGUCCUCAUUGAACUCUUCUAAAAGGUUUCGCAUUUUGAAUGCUUCUUCCAAGUAAUUAUCCUAGAAGGGAUCCCGAAAGUUGACCACCAUUAUUCAGCAUCUAUGUGAUCAUAACAAAAGGCAAGCAGCAAAAUCUAGCUUUUCAUGGUUUACCUGAUUCAUGUCAAUGGCUUGAAGUGCUUCACCUCUGGUAAAAAUUAUAGCAUGGUUCUGAUUUUCAGGUUUCCCUUCUCCAACCUUAGCUGAACCAGGUAGCUUAAUCCGAUAGAUUUCCUUUAAAAAAACGAGCAGAAAAUAACAAGAUUACUUUAAUUGUAAGGUGAAUUAACAUUUUUAAUCCUUGAGUUCAACUUCUUAUUACUUGGUCAAGAUUAUCGACAGCUUUGACCAAUACAGAAUAGUAUACUUUUUGUGCUUUUCCACCUUCUCUCUCUUCAACUUCAUCAAUAUAUGCCACUCGAAGAGAUGGAUUGCUGUGCCCAAAAAGAAAGUGAAGGAAAAAAUGUUUAUUUGCAAAUUGCACCAAGCAAAAACAAAUCUGAAAAAACCUUUAUCCCAAAGACAUUGAAGAGGUUGGGAACAUACUUAACCAUUAGAUUCAGGAUAUCUGUAGCUCGACGAUUCCCACUUCGUUUCUGAUUUCCAUAAUUCUGGCAAGUAGCAACGUAUGUGAAUUUCAUGUCCGCCACGGCCUCUAAUUGUGCAUAUAAGGAUCUCUGGCUUCUUUUAUCCUCUUCUGAUGGAACUGUGAUCGCUUUGUAGCCUUCAAGUAUCUCUAUCAUUAUCAAAGCAAUCAUUAAGGAAUCCAUAGUUAUUUAACACUCAUCAGAGAGCACAGAAACAAAAUUGAUACGAAAACAAGACAUCCCAACCACACAAAGAGUGUAAGAAUGAUAAACAAGCUUUCUUGAGAAGUAAAUAUGAUUGCAAAUUGUUCGAAGAAGGUUAACAUGCAUAUGCUUACCACUUUCAGAAGCCAUGUCAAGAAAUGCCUGAAGCUUUAGUGCCCUUCGAUAAUACAUCAUACCUCUAACUGCAAUAUUUGUGUUAAUGCCAACAACAUAGAUGUGCAAAUGAUCCCAAAGGUAAAAGUAAUGAGAUUAAGCUACCUGUUCUUGAUAGAGUUUGUCCUCGCAAGGACGCCCAAUGACGGAGGUGUAAUAUGUUUUCUUCAUUUUCCCAGAUCUCACUAUCUUUUUCACAAUUGAGUCGCUCCAUGAAGUUGUUCCAUUCAUCUAGCAAGAAGGCAAAUGUGCAUGAGACAAGUCAAACAGAAGUCACUUAUCAAAGAACCAAGAGAUAUUCGGUCAUUUCCAUAGAUCACUCACCUGGAAAGAUCUUCUGCAAGUAAUAUAUGAUGGAGACACCAUCCUCAUUUUCCAUCUCAAGAUCAGUUUUAGAAUAGACAGUCUCUUCACUAUAGUAUGGAGUCAUAACGCUGUGAACAACCAAAAAAUAUUCAUCCCAGAGCCAUUUAUAGAACAGUCCCAUAUUUUCACUAUGUUUUGGAGUCAUAAUGCAUCGACAACCCAAAAAUAUUACAAGUAAAGGAAUUGAGGUAUAUUCAUAACAUUUAAUUUUUAUAGGAAGUGCAAAAAGGUAGAAAAGAUCUCUAAUUUUUAUAUCAAAGAUUCAAGAAAAAAACUGUUCCGUCUGUGAUAAGAUAUGAAACUUGAAUGUGUGCUUAAUAAAGCUGGCCCAUAACAAUUAUAACUUAUUUUAGUUCGUAACCUUUGAGAUCUUUAAUCUUAGAGCAGCUACAUAGACAACCAUACUCUAGAAAAUGGGUGAUGUAUCCAAUCUCAAAUUCGGAAAGAACUUAACCAAACAGAAGAGACAUAAUAUCUGCUCCUAUAGAGUUAAAGAAAACCAAACCUGAAUGAUAACAUCUUACGGACUCGUGGAGCACGUGGCAUAUCCAUAAAUAAAGAAUUUGUGAAAAAUGCAAUUCUUCUUCGUGCUUCAAGAUUUAUGGGUACCUCAGUGACAGAUUCUUUCACAGUCAAUAGUAGAUAGAGGCGUCUAAUCUGACAUACACACAAAAACAAGAUUGUGUUAUUGCAAUUAACCGGUUAAAAUCAUAGAAUGAUAGGUGAUUUCUCGAAAGUAUGAUUAUUUAUUUUCAGUGUGCCCACCUGCUCUUCCCAUUGAGCUGUAACUGAAGGAGGAAAGUUUAUGGCAGGUCUAGUGUCAGUACCAGCAAAGAGUUGCCUUCCAGAGUCUUUGUUAUGACCCAGUUCUGCCAUUUCACUGAAAGAUAUAACAAAGAAAAGUUACCAUUUUAGCAUAUAACACUAACCAUUUGAAGAAUGGCAGUGGAUAUAAAUAAAUUUAAUUCAAAUUGAACAAAUUAAAUUUCCUAACCGGUCUUCAUUGAGCAUCAUAUCUCUAGUGACAACUUCUAGCAUAUCUUGCAGCAAAAGCACCACUGUAUCUCGCUUGGAUGGGUCUCCAUCUUUCUGAAACAGAAAACAAGAGCAAAGUUUCCAAUCUGAAGUAAUAGAUCAACAGAUACUUCAGAGUUGCAUCAUAACUGACCAAGAUCUCCACGAGUUCCACAAAUUUCUUGCACAAAAUGAGCAAGGGGCUCAUUCUGAAGGUUGUGAGAAGUGUGUUCUUUGAAAUAUUAUCUUCAACUUCUUUAAUAAUGGUUGCAAUAAUCCUGUAAAGUCAAAGUAGAAUUAGAAUUCACAAAAAAAAAUUACAUAGGUACUCAUUCCUCCAUUUAGUAAUCGCAUCUUGAAGAAACGUAAUUGCAGUUUAUGCAUUAUUUCUACCCUGGAUGAUUGGUACCCAAAAAGCAUCUGCAGGUAACCUAUAAACAAUCAUAGAUGAAAUUCGUUGACAUUAUAAAACAUUAAUAGUUUUCUGGAGUGAUGAAAAUUAUUGUUUAUCAAAAUCCCAAGGCUGCAAUUUCCCCCCUUCACAUGCAAUACUUGGUUUUACAAAUGAUAUACAACUGAAGUUUAAGCUUUUUCAUGUCUUUUCUUUGCAUGAAAGAAAAACUUUGAACAGUUGAUGUUUGGUUGAGUAAGUGGAACUGUAGCUUAGAACCUUUUCUCAUUUUCUCCAACCACCAGAACGUUCAGGACAUUUUUGAAAGACUCGUAACACUCUAUCACUGCACAUUUCAUGUACUCAUCUGCACAAAUACGCUUCCAGAGGUCAGAGUCUCUGGAUCGAAAUUCAGCAGCCAUAUCCAAUGCUAUUGGAAUCUGUAACAGUAGAGAGUUGUUAACCAUUGCUACAAGUAUGCCCGAAAAAUGAAAAGGUAAGAUAUACAUAAAAUUAAACAAAAGGGACCGUAUCGACCUUGCUUGCUAGUAAAAAGGGAGGCCAUUGGAUUGUUUUUAAGCUGGGAUCUGAUGAAUAAGGAACUAGCAAUAGAUCCAUCUCCCUGUUUCAUUUGAAAAACAAGUUUAAUUUUAAAAAUAAAAUUAAAAGGAUGCUUGGAAUGAAGAUAUAAAAGAUGAACUUAGUUUAUAUAGCCUUUCCUGUCACUUAUUAAAUCUUCCUCCCGAAAACUACAUAUCACUUCAUUCCACAACUGUGCGAACUUGGCAGCUUCACUUCUCUUGCUGGCUGUAAUCUACACAGAAAAAGUAGAAAUUACUAAAGAAAUAAUGCUUGAACCUCUGAUUUUAUACAUCUUAGAGCAAUGUAAUAAUAAAAAAAACUUUCAAAAAUAAAAGAACAACCUCAGCAAAACGCUUUGACAAAGAGAAUCCCCUUUUCUGAGACUUAUCUGAUGGCACCAAGUUUGUGUUGAAUGCACCUGGUAAGGACUGAAACCUAGACCUAAGCAUACCUAGAGUUCGUAUCUGUAAUUAAAAGAAAAAUCAAAUAAAGUUAAACCAAUCACAUUUAACCUGGUAAUUAAAAUAAGUGAUUUAGAUAAGCAUUGUUAAACAGUUCUCCCAUCAACACGAGAAAUAUUUGUACUAUAAUUGAAUGCACAAUUAUUUGCUAAAUGAAAAAUAGUACAAUCGAAUAGUUUCAACCCAAAAGAUAUGAUUCAAACAACAACUUUCGGCAUAAUCUUUUGGCAGGUCAGUGAUCAGUAAUUUCAAAACCAGUUCGAGACAUUAGAAUAUACCAAAAUAAUUGUGAAUGCUAGGCCAAUAGAAGGUUGGAGAAAAUAUGUGAAGAUGAUGAGUCACUUCAUAAGAUUAAUGAAUAGAAUAAAAUAAAAUAAUAAUAGUUAAACAAGCAAAAUAUCACCUCUCCUAAUCGAUCACAAGCUCCAAUGAAACCACCAUAUAUGGUUGAAAAUAUGGCAUACCAAAUUUGAGUAUCCAUGAAAUAUACCUGCAUUUAAAUUAAAAGGUACAAGAGGCUUUAUUCAAGACAAACUAAGAAAAUGAAAAUUUUUCCAUACAUUGUACAGUUACAAAAUAAAACUAAAACAAAGAAGUGAAUAAGAACACACCAAAAUAAUUGGCAUCCAGAGUACUAUAACGGCCCCGUAGUUGUUCUUGGCUACAUGGAAAAGAUAAUUUCAGCACAAGCAAAAGUAAUCAGGCAUUAAAGUGAACUGAUUGGACAGGAAACAAACACCUUUAGGAAAAAAUGCAUGCCAUUCAUAUUCAACUCGAUGGAUACUCAUUAUAUCUUUUGUUGGCUUCACCAAUGGCCUUAUCUGUAGGGAUAAAAUAUAAAAAGGUUAGAGGAGCUCAUUGACCAAAACCUUAAUAUCCUUGCCAUUUCAAAAAAUUUAUUACCUGAACAAAGUAGCUAAAGGUGAAUUUGCAGCACAAAAGUGACACCCAAAAGAUGGUAUACCUAAAAUCAGAGAAUGUCGUACAAGGAAGCACAUACUGGCUAAUCAAGAAAACAGAAUUUGCAAUUUCAUAAAUAACAAAGAAAAAAUGAGAUCCAUAGUCUGUCAACUCACUUUAUAAGUGCAAAUUGACUUUCAUGCAUUCCUCUUCCGACAUAGAUUCUUGGCUGUAGAAAGAGACACAGUUAUCAAGGACUUCUCCAUGAGACCCAGAAUAUUGCAGACCUCCAACAAGAAGCUUAUGUACACAGUUAAUAACAUAAAUGAACCAACGUCAUGAGACAAGGUUUUUUCCACUUGAAAAAGUCAAAAUGGUCAUACACAAUUCUUAUGGUUGCAUAUUCGUAAAAAAUCAAAAGAAAAGGCAAAAAGGAUAAAUAUGUUACAGACAAUUUACUGGUGUAAGGACACCAUACAUGGGGAUCACGAUUGUUAGUUAGCCACCAAAGUUUUAUCCUAUAGCUAGAUUCAAAAUUAGGAAGAUAGAAGAGUGUAUUCUUUAAUCUGGAAGAAAAGAAGGUUUCAGCAAAAUCAUCACUAAUUUAAUGAGGUGCAUGACAAUAGCAGUUAAGGUAUAAACUUGCAUCAGAAUCGUGAAGUGAUCAAAAUGUAUUUAAUUGAAGGAGCACUUAAGGACAAUAAAAUGGAGGAAGAGAAACAGAGAGAAAGAAAAUUGAGCAGCAUAUCUACCUGAGACCACCAAAGUAGGAAUCUAAUAAUGUGCCAAUUUGAGUUUUCAAUCCAACGUCGAAGCAUUGGAAAUAUGAAGAGAACUGCUGCAAGCAGAUUUGGUAGCAGAUAUAGAACAACUGCCAUUAUAUAUAGAGGAGGAAUGCUCCUCAACGUGUUAAGAUAUGACAGCACGUCUUUGAAUUUCUCAGAAGCCAUCUUGAAAGUGUGAAGAUAGCAUAGGGGAAGAACAAUAGCCCAAGCAAGACUGACAAUAACCUUCAGAAGGUUUCUUAGCACAUCAGUGAACUUCCGGCGGUGAAAUCCCGGGAAGUUUAAAACUAAGUCCAAGAUACCUGCAUUAAAAGAUGCAUGUCAUUUAUUGUAAAUAUAUAAACAAAAAACUACACUAAAAAAUGGAUCCAUAAUCCCCCUCCCCAACAAUUUCGACAGAUACAAUUCAUAUGAACUUUCAAACAUACAAAUAUCGAAUAAAGAUGUAGCCAUAUCAUAUAGGAAGAUUUAGUGAUUUGACCACGUAUUAAAUCAUAGAGAGAUUACAUUAUGCAAAAUUUUGUAUGAAAAUAUGCUAUAUUCCACACAAAAUUCUUCACACCCUCGCUCCCAACUAACUCCCUCUAUUUAUAAUUAAACACUCUAAUCAAUUUACUAGCUAUUUAUUAAUUUGUCCCUUCUAAUAACCGUAUCAAUAUUCUAUUAAUAGCCUACUCUAUCAUAACUAGGGUCUUACAAAUUCUCAACGGGAGUCAGAAGGGGAAAUGAAGAAGAAAUAUCAAAUUCAUUCAGAUAUUUUUUUUAUUACAACAACUCAAACAAUAUAGUAUUCCAAUUGUUGUUGCUAAUUGGGAUAUUAUAUUUGAAACAUAUAAAAGCAUCAAGGCUCUUGAAUGACAAUAUUUUACUUUGAAGAAGACGAAGGACUGCAGCAGUGAUGAAAAUGCUUGAUAAGGAGUACAAGACAUCCUUUUGGAAAAUCUCCAGUGGUGAAACUCCUUUCCAUGCAGCAAUGACCAUCGCCUGUAACAAACAAAUUGAAGAUUAAAUAUAGAGCAAACAAGUCAGGAGAGUAACUUGAAAACAGUCUAAACAUUUGUAUGCAUUGUAAUUGGAUACCUGAAGAGCUAGUACAUAAAAGGUCCAUAAACGAUCAAAACUUCGGAAUGUGUGCCAAAAUGUCCUGGUCUCAACAAAAUAAGAUUUCCCCGUGCUUACAGAUUUUCUUUGUAGUCCCUUUCGUCCCUAAUACAACAAUUUUUCAAGUGUUGACAAACAAACCUGUUUGAACAAAAAGAUUAAUACACAAUUUAACAAAAAGUAUAAAAAGACCUGUGCUACGUCACGUGUUGAUUUGAAAAAUUCACCAUCGUCUCGCAUGGGCCAACCAAGAGAAAAGCAAUCAGAUGACCUACAAUGUAAUCAGUAACAUUCAAAACUCAAUAAAACAUAUAGUAUCUGGAAGGUCGAGUUUUUGUUUCAGGCUAACCAGAAGUACUCAUUCAGAUCAUCAUAGUUGCACCAGGUUGAGUGCGGAGCUUUACCAUUUUGGCUCUUUUUGGCCUCCUGGAAAAUCAAAAGGAGAACCGUUGUUGUGUUGAAAUUAAUGGUAUGUAAUUCAAGUAUUAGGCCAAAAUAAAAUUAUAUGUAGCGUAAGGAUUUGGCUGCUUUACCCUUUCAAUAACCCGGUAAAGGGGAGUGAUAACCUUUCGCAAGAAAGCCUCGUCAUCCCCACCAUAGGAAGGCUUAAUAUCUUCCCCAGUAACAAUGCUUACGUUUCCAGCCAACAAACCAUGAAGUUCAUAUGCCAUCUAGUUACAAAGAAUGUCAAAUACUAUAAUUUAAGGGAAUAUAUUAACAACUUCUAUAGCAUAAUCAGAAGGAGAAGAAAAGCCAUAUGCACGCAAAAAAUAAAAAAUUGCCUCACAUUAUGAAAUAUAUAACUCAAACAUUCUGGCAUGAAGCGAACAUUUGCUGCUUCACCCCAUAUGAGAAGAUACAAACCCAUAUAGAGUAUCUUCCUUUGUUGAAUUUCCAGCUGACCUUGAGGGAACCUAGACAAAUAAUGAUUUUAGUUAUCUAGGUGCUGCGUAAUAAUCAUUUGAUUUUUUGUUUUGUAGUUAUUAAAAAUUAAGCUUAUAAACACUUAAAAACUUCUUGUUUUGUCAUCAACUUGCUAUCAAUGCUUUCAAAUACCAAGCCAAAAUUCAAAACAAAAAAAUGUAAAUUCUGUCUUUAGAACUUGACUAAGAAUACAAAUGUUUUUAUAAGAAAAGUGAAAACCUAGUAAGAAAAUUGGGAGGAAACACACAAGUUUCACAAACAUAAAACUAAAAACAAAUCAUUAUCAGAUGGAGGCAUAGUUUUCACGUCUCCCACCAGUCAUAAUAAUUUGAAUAUAAAAUUGCAAAAGCACAUGGGGAUCGUUAGAAUAAAACAAUGAUGUCUUACCUUAGACUAUGUUUCCGUCCCAAAAACUUGCACCACGUUUUGUAAUUCUUAAACAGUUUGUUCAUUACUGCAUCAACUGCUCGUUCAUCAAGCUGCAUUAAUAGAACCCAAGAAUAAGCUCAAAAAAGAGGGGGGAAAGGAAAAAAAAAAUCCAAAAUUUGAUAAACGAGAAGAUCCACUAUGCACCAGGAAGAAAAUCAUAUAAAUGAACUAAAUAAUUUGUGAACUCCAUGCUUGGAUCAAGUAUAUUUGAUAAACAUAUCCUUAAAAUGGCAUGAUUUGCACGUACAAGUACGUUUUGUACCUUGUUGAGGGGUUCAGGCUUGGGGUGAAGCCUUAUAUGAGAAUUAGCAAGUAGAAGGAUCAAAUGUUCCCGCUGAUUUCUAACGUUAUCUCUCUGUAUCCACAAAAAUGUCAGUUGCAUAUUGAUAUUGUUUACCCCACAAGGCAGUUAGUAGAAUUGAUUGAGCAUUACGAAAAACGUACCUGAAAUCCAAACAUUGCCCUUAACCAAUCCAGUAGGUCCAGAUCACCUGCUUUCUGCCUGCGCUGCUCAAACGUACUUGGCCAGUUCAGGCCACGACUAUUCCACAAGGCACCCACAGCAGCCUUAACCUAAAAGGAACGGACAAAGAACAAAAUUAAGGUUGAAUUUGGUAUGAUAACAUGAUGCACAUUAUCAAUGGCGGGAGGCAAACCUCUUCGAGCUGCAUUAUAGACUGGGAAGCGCCAGCAGAAUCAAGAGGUAGAAUGUUAUAGGGUGCAUAAAUUUCAGUCUUUUCUUGGACAUCCCUAGCUGCAGCGAUAAUCUAUUGAUGUAGAACAUUAGUUUAGACGACCUUCGUGGCAACCAAUUGAACAGUAAGAUCAAUUAGACAGCUGAGACUAACUGUAACGAACCUCGGGAGCAACUUCUUCAACUUUCUCGCUCUUAUUAACGGCACAAAGCACUUCGAAAAGCACACCGGCUGUCAGGUAAGCCUUACCUACCUGGGCUCUGCCAAAAGUUUAGAAGGAAAAAAGUGGCAUUCAGACAGAGGAUAUAUACAAUAUAAACAUCAAAACAAAUUAUGAAUGAAAGUUGGGAAAUUUCACGAGUACCUGUCACCUUGCUCUCCUUGUUCAAGAGCAGUGAGAUAAUUGUUAUAAUAUUGCUGAUAGAAAGCCUCGAUUUCCGUAGCAUCUGUUUCUUUCACUCGAGAUGCAAGACUCGAUGCGUUGUCCUGGAUCAAAAGAGAAAUGUCAAAUCAAAUCUUCCGUUGGUAAUUGGAGUUAUUUUACAGCCUUCUGACUCCAUGGCAGGAAAACACAGCAGAAUCCAUCUUUUGUCUCAUAUCGUGACUGCAUGAUACUAUUCACACGUAACCUUGUUUAAGUUGUCCAGGUUCAAAAUGAAUCUGUAUGCCUUCAGAAAUUAUUGGAGAUGGCCGCAGCAAUGUGGUUCGUAAUUUAUACGUUGGAGAGGAUUUGUAAAUGUAGGGAGAUUUGGAAUCCACAUAUCGCUAUUGUCAUUAUUAAAGACAGUUUUUUCUAAAGUAGAACAAGAGUUGGAUCACAAAUCUUGUGGUCGCAAAUACAGUCCUUUAAUUGAGCUAUAACUAAAGAGAGCUACAUUCUACUGUUAGUCUCAUGUUAGAAAUUUGAUUUAUUCACCCAUAUAAUAUUGUGAGGGGAAAAAACAGAGCAUGAUGCUAGUGAGAGUUCAAUAAUUCUUUUGCCUUACGUGAUUAUUGAUAAGUUUAUAAUUGUAUUUUCCUAAUUCUUCCAUGUCAAAGUCAAACACAUUCUUUUAAUCCAUCCAAUAAUUUUCUUUAUAUAGAUGAUUUGAGGAGGUCGUCGCAAUGUUGAUUUCCUCAGAAAAAACAAAAGGCCACAAUGUUAGUUUUCAACUAUUAGAUAACAGGGGAAGGAAACUACAAAAGUACUCUAAAUUUCUAUUCAAUAAUUAUUAAAAAUAUAUAGAUUUUUCAUCUACAUCCUAACAAAAAGAGGCAACCACACUGUGGUGGCCUCAUUCUGUUAAAAAAAAUCCUAUACUUCUAGUUUUUUUAAACUACUUUAUAAUAUUUCGAUUUUUUAUUCAUCAUGGGUUACAAAAGUGUGUUAAGAAACUGUCAAAUUUAAAAUAUAUUAAUUUUUGUAUACUUUAAUAAAAUUUUAGAAGCCAAGAGAAUAUUCAUGGUAAUGCAAGAAACAUGUUAUUCAUAUACCCUUAAAAAAGGGGAGAGAAAUAGGGGAAAGAAAUUCAUGGUAAUGCAAGUAAAGAAAAUUAAUGGAGCAAUUAAUAAUUAAAAAGUAAGAGAGUCCUACGUAUGUACCCUUUCUAAUCGUUGUGAAAGUGCUGUUUUAAAUUGCCUAACACCACGUCCACGGGAGCUGGGAUCUAACCUGUUGGCCUUGUCAAACGCAUAAGAUCGACCUAAUGUUGGCAUGCAAGAAAAUGAAAAGGGCACGAUUGAUUUUAUUAAUAAUGAUCCGAUCAAAUCAAGCUUAACUAAUUUUAUAUAGAUUGAACCUACAGAGAUAGGCAACACGUGGGCGUUCUGCUUCAAUCUCUGUAGCAGCGCGAAGAAUGAGAGCAAUGGAAGCAAGAGAGGAUGGAACCACCUCAUUGUCAAAAACCUCUGUUGAGAACAUUGUGGUAGCGGCGCUACGAGAUGGCCACCGCAUCAGCCCUUGCGGACCAGAUUCUAGUGUCGACAUCACUCUUACGUACACCUUUGCUCUAUAUCCCUCUUCAAAUCAUGCCCUGCGCCAUAAUUACAUUUUUACAAAUGAAAUCGAUUGAUCAAUCUAUACGCAAGAACAACCUUAACAAACACAAGAUAAUACUUGAACUAUGCAUUUGGCAACACACCAUUGAAACUAUAGAACAUUAACAACAAUGGCCAAAAGAAGAAAAAGAUGUGGUUCAAUGUUAAUCAGCAAACCAAACCAUAAACAACUUUAUUGAUCCAAUCAACUAAAGCUUAUCAAACCGAAGAUAAAAGACUAAUGCAAUUGAAAAAAUUGGGCAAAAUGCAUAAAAAUAAACAAGAACUUACAAACUUUCAAACACAAACAACUAAACAAAUUUAUAAAACUCAAUCAACUAAAGCUAAAAUAUGUAACGAAACGCAUGGACAGAAGGCAGUAAGGAAGAACAAGUUGUGACCAGGGAAUGACCUUGUUUAUACUGCAUAUUGAAUUGAAAAUCUCACAAACGCUAAAUUAUUAUUUCAUUUGUUUGCAGAAAUGCAAACAGAAAUGUCGUUAAAUCAGUACACAAUUGAAGCAAAGGGAAAAAGAGUUCAAUAAAGCAAUAAUGUGCAUAGAGAAGCCAUUAUCUACUGAAGUAUUCAGCUCCGAUGAGCUGAAGAGGAAUGCUACUAGAAGAGGAAGAAAUUACUCAACCAGUAGCCAGAGUAUUCAUCUUCGAUCAUCCAUUAUGAAGCACUAUCACUCUAAAACAAAAUCAAAACAUUAUACUCACUUAGUCAUUCCAAAAACAACAACGAGGCCAAUAUUUCCGUCGAAUGCAAGUUCCAUCGUUGUUGAAGUUGUCGAAAGUAAGGGAGAGUCGUGAGUUCUUGAGUAAGACCAUCAAUGCGGUCACAUAAACAUUGGUGGCCGAAGUCCGUACGCCGUUGUCGGAGGUCGACGUGGGGUGGUCGCCGGAAAACUGCUGCGGAAGAAGAGAUCAGUUAUUUUGUGGACACGUGGCCUAAAGAAUAGAAAACUCAACCCCCGAGUUUUGUGAUUUCUUCUUUUGGCUUUCACCGUUCCAUUUCCAUUCCAUUUCCAUUCCAUUUUCCUUCUUUAUAUAUUAUGCUAAUAAUGAAUUGUUUAUUAUUAUUAUUAUUAGGUACCUUAUUACUACGUCUACGUGCAUGUUAAUUGCUUUUUAAAACUAAUGAAAUUAUCUCUAAGGAUGAAUUAAUUUAGCAUCUCCCCAAACUUUUAAGAACACCAACCAUAGCUUAAUUGUCAAUAGAUUGUGUUAUUCACGGGAUAAGUCAUUGAAAACAUUGAAGAAAUGAAGAAAGUAUCGAGUUGGAGUUAGAGAUUUGGUAAAAAUAACAACUUAACUCAAUUCCAUCAAUCUUUUAUUAUUGCUUAGCUAAAUAUUGUCUAAUUUUCUUUUAAUAAAUUUAUGAGACGUGUACUUGAGUGAUUGUUGAUAAAUUAUUUAUAAUUGUCUUUUCUCAACUCUUUCGCGUCAAAGAUUGAUAAAUGAUUUCAGGAAACAUGUGUACAUAUAAGAUGAAAACUAAAAAAACAUAAUUCCAAAAUUGUAUUCAAUGAUCAUUGAGAAUAUAAAGAUUUAUGAAUCUACACUUCUUAAUAAGAGUAACCACGUCCUAUUGGUCUCAACAAAUAUUUUCCCUAUACUUUUGGAUUUUUUUUAAAAAAUAUUAAAAUUAUUUUAAAAUAUUUAGAUUUUCUUUCCAAAAAUUAUUAUAAAUUACAAACCUGUUGAACAUAAAUAACAAGAAAUAAGAAAAUUAGAGAGAUUCUAUAUCAUUGAAUAAACACAAACAGAAGUCUACUAUUAGUUUCUACUAGAAAUCUAUUAUAUAUAUAUAUAUAUAUAUAUAUUGGUUAAUUAUUUUGCUAUAUUUGAAAAUAUUCUCCUCGUUAUUUUCUUAUAUCAUAUUAAUUCACUAAUUUAACCUAUACCUAUCGAGUAUCCUUUUCUACCUACCUUUUCGGUCCCUUUCUAAACAAAAUUAAAAAAUUCAUUAAUUUAACCUAUAUCAUAAAUGAUUUAUUGAUUUAUUUAAGAAUAAUGAAAAUAAAUAUAUAUGCCAACACCAGAAACAACUCAUCUAAUUAACAUAAAAUUUAUACAUAACUAUCAUAAUUAACAAUAGAAUUUUGAUUCUCAUAUAUGUCAAAAAAGAAAAAAGAAAAAAGAAAAAAAGAACACUAUGAAAAAUGUUAUAAUGGUGUAAAAGCUACAAUUUUAAUUUUCUUUUUUUCAAAGGUAGGGUUGGUCUUUUCCAACCUUAUAAAUUACAUCAAACUAGUGGGUUGUUGGUAUAUAUAAAGACUAUUAAGCUACGAUUCAAUUAAACCUCAAAAAUACAUUUUCCUAUUCACAACUCUAAAAUUUAUCUUAAACUAAGAAAUUCAUAUUUUAUUUUUCUUAUACUAAUUUACUCCAUAAAUUCUUCAUUUUUUUUUUCAACUUCUCACUAAUUAUUAUUAUUAUUUGAUCAAGUUUCAUACAAUCAUAUUUUGUUAUUAAUAUAUAUGGUGGAUUAUCUUCUCCCAUGUGAGCUGGUUUUUAGGAUAUCGUUUCUUCAAGUAAAGAUUAAUAUGAAAAUAAUGAUGUCAUGUGGUGAUAUCAUAUGUAGCCACCGUCGCAAUCAGUCGAUAAAAAAAAAAUGAUCAUGUAUCAAUUAUACGUGUCUAUAAAAAAAUAUUUUUUUACUAAUUUUCUAUGUAUAAUCAAAGUAUGAAAUUAAAUACAAUCUCUAGUUGCAUUCAAUCAUUACUUAAUAUAUUGUAAAGAACUAAUGAAAUCACACAUUUGAACCAAAUAAUAAUUUAAAAAAAAUCUUCCUUUUUUGCAUUCUAAGAAACAUUUCAAAAAUAUAUUAAUUUAUAGAAUAAAUAUUAUAUGAAAUAUAGUUCAAUUCGUUAGAGAUACUAUGACCUAAACAAAAAAUAUUUAAGAGUUGAUUCUUUUUCAUUCUAGAAAGAAAAAAAUAAUAAAUAUUAUUUUAAAUAACAAAAUAAUAAUUUAUCUACAAAUAUAAUAUAAUAUAAAGCAAAAUUAAAAUAAUUUGCUAUAUACAAAAAACAACUAAGAAAAAAAAUCAUAUUAUUGUGAGACAGUAUGAUAAUAAUAAAAAUAAGGAUUAAACAUCUAGUGGAAUGUGAUAUAUGAAAAUAUUUAAAUGCAUUUUGAGCGGUUCAAUCUUUAUACUGUUCUUUUAGUUGUCUUGACUAAAAUUUACUACGUGGUAAACAUUUUUUCAAUAUUAAACUUUUUUUUUUCAACUACGUAACAAAUGAGGAUUGAAUAAUGGGAACAUACCAUUUUUUAUCAACUAAUAUUCAUUUUUGUAUAUCAUAUUACUCCCCACUAAUUUAAUAUAAUGUACUUAAUGUAAAUGAUUGAUUUGUUUAAUAACAAUUAUAAUAUUGUGUAAACCAAAGUUUAUACAAUUGUCUUAGGGAUAGAGGUUUGAUUAUGUCACCAUGUAUGUAAACAAAAAAUGGCUUGAUGGGAAAUUUUAUAAUGGUGUACAUUAAUUGCUAUUUAAUUUUCUUCUUCUUCUUCUUUUUUACAAACCUAGGUUGAAAUUUUCCAACCUCAUACAUUACAUCCUAGAUGGUGUUGUUGGUAUAUAAUGCUAUAAGGCUAGCAUUUCCAAUAAAACGAGAUUAUAGUUAAUUUAAUAGACAGAACGAGGUUUCUUCUGAAAAUCAAUUGACGAUUUAAAAAAGUGUAGUUCAUGCAUCCAUCAUAUAAAGAGUGUAAGGUUUUUCGAUUUUUUUCAAUGUGUGAUUUUCUCAACACGUCCUCUCAACAAAAUGAUAUCCCUUUUAGGUUCACAAACUCAAAUAUUAUUGAGUGGAUUUCAUGUAUUUCAACUUAGAGUAAAUCAUAUAUCCUAACGUUAAACAUUAUAUUGAAUCUAUCAUCUUUUACUAACUUACGUUUUUUUGGACAAUCAAUGAUUUAAAAUAGUAUAAGAGCAUAUGGGGUAGAAAGGUCAUCAUGUGUUCACAAACCCUUGCAAUGUUGUUUCCUUUUUAUUUAAUAUAGAUUUCCAAUACUUGUUUGAUCGUUCUCAUAUUUCAAGUCUACAAACAAGAAGAGACAGGGUUAAAUAUAUACUAUAUUAAAUUUAUCAAACUCGAAACACUCCUAAUAAUCAAAUCAAACUCGAUAUUGGAAACUAGUUAAAAAAGAGAAUAACACCAAACUAUAUAUCUAUAUAUACACGCACAAUUUUGUAAGUAGAAAGAGUCAAGAAAAAAUCAUUGUUGAAAGAGGGGUUAUCUUUUUUUUGUAUUAUUUGACGCCGGCUUUGAUCAAAAUUAGGGUUUGGCCGGCAAGUUCAAGAAAAUCAUGAUGCUAUUAAAUCCUCCCUCAAUAACUUCAUCAUUCAUCAUCUUCUUCAUCAUAAACAUAUAAUAUAUAUAUUAAACUAAAUAACUCAUCGUACAUACUUAUGAAAAUGAUCAGAUCACCAAAUCAGCUGCCUCAAUUUCUCCUCUUCAUCUUUGCAACUUCCCUUCUUUGCUUCAAUAAUUUCUGCUGUAAGUAGUAGAGGCUUAAUUUUUAUCAAUAUUUGUGUACAUCUAAUCGACCUGCAACGAUCGACACCCCCAUCUUUUUGUAGUUUAUUUAAUAGUUGGAUUGUAAAAAGAUAGAUGGAUGUUAUUCUUAAUGCAUGAAAAGUAGUUUUCAAUUUAGAUGCUUUACUUUUUGCAAAUUUUUUAAAAUGUUUCUUAUACUUUAGUAUUAUUCGUAAAAUUCCUAUAAGUUAUAAUUACCUUAUUACAUGUUCUAUUUAUAAGUUUGAUUUUAAUUAUAUUUUAGUGAAAAUUUAGUUUGGGCUGUGAUUCUACGAAUGCAAAAUUAUUUUUUUACUAAAAAAGGUAAUUCAUAGAAUCAUUUUGCAAUCACAUUUUGAAGAAUCAACUUUAAUUAAAAUGGUUUUUCCACAAAAUAUUUUUGACUAAUUUGAUUAUCUAUUCCAAGAGUGUGACUUUAAUUUGGUUCAAAAAUUCAAACAAAGAAAAAAACUUUUCAACGUAUGAAGAAAGUUAAUCCAACAUGUUCUAUCUUAAAUACAGAUGCAAAAAAAGUGAUGAUGGAGUACAUCGGAGCGACCGGCAUUCCGAUCACCUUCGACAAUGUCCCAAUCUUUGAUGAUAUCGACUUCCAUUUCAUCCUCAGCUUCGCCAUUGAUGCAGAUCCCUCUGCCAAUCCUCAAAAUGGGAAAUUCUCUCCAUAUUGGCAGCCCUCCCUUACCCCAGAAUCAGUUGCAGCCAUUAAAGCCCAACACCCCAACGUCAAAGCCCUAGCCAGCCUCUCUGGUUGGAGCCUUGACAACAUCGUCCUCCGGUGGCGCAACCCUCCAGACCCUAACCUUUGGAUCUCCAAUGCCUUCUCCACUCUCCAAGACCUUGUCAACGAAUACCACCUGGAUGGCAUCGACGUGGACUACGAGAACUUCCCGAGACAUGGCUCCAACUUUGCUUUUUGCAUUGGCGAGCUCAUAACCCUAUUGAAGAACCAAAGCGUGAUCUCAGUAGCCACAAUUGCACCAUAUUACUCAACAGUUUUGCCGUACUUGGAGCUCUUCCAUGGCUAUGGGAAGGUGAUUGAUUUUGUGAACUACCAAUUUUAUACUGAUAAGGUGACAACUGCGGAGGCAUAUUUGAAGAGAUUUAAGACUCGAGCUAAGGAGUUUGGAAGUGCAAAGUUGUUACCCAGCUAUGAGGUGAAUGGAAGAGGGAUUCAAGGGGAUGCUUUUUUUGAAGCUUUGAGUUUGUUGGAUGAAAAUGGAUUUGAUAUUAAUGGAGUCAUGAUCUUCUCUGCAGAUGCUUCCUUGUCCAAUGAUUUCCUUUUUGAGACUAAAUCUCAACAAUUUUUACUUAAUACCGCAUAAAUUCGACAAAUUCAAACUUAAAAACGAUGAGAUGUCUUAUCUAUUCAAUUAUAUGUUAUUCGAAUUAUAUAUUUAAAUGUGAAUAAAACUAUUUGUGUAAUUCAUAAUCUAUAUAUAUGAGAGCGUUGAGGAGUACUCGAAGACUUUUUUAUUUUUACUAAUUAGGCCUUGCAACCCUCAUAAUGUUAAUGUUCGUGAAAAGAGGAUAUAAUUGAUGAGAUUAAUUGGUAUUAUAAAAUACUUUUUCAUAUAUUAAGGUAUAGUUUUUUCAUUUAUAUAUUUAAUUUUAACCCGAACAUUAGGUUGUAACCUUUUGGAAAUCGAUGUUUGAGUUGGGAUAUUUUGCUCCAAAUUGGCUUGCUCCUCAUACUUCAAGAAAGAUCACGGAUUGUAACGUUUUGUAUUAGUCGUACGAAUAACAAUAUAACUAGCAUCAUAGCCAAAAACUUGAAAUGAGCAAUAAGAUGCGAUCUUUCUGUACAUCUCCUAAAAGGAAGAAUAGCUACUCUUAUUUAUGAACUUCCAUAUGGCAAGGUGGGAAUGGACUUCAACUUAGACAACGACGACCCUCGGUCUCAAUCAAGUGGAUUAUUUUUAGGGUGGUAAUUAUUUGGGUCAAAAGAAGUAACUAUCUUGGACUAUAUCAUGACCUAAUUAGAUCCAACCAAAAACCUAUUCAAUUCAAUAGUCAUAAUGGACGACCUUGUGAGUAUGUGACGUUAUGAUUUCAAGCAACAUAAGUAUAAUCAAAGCAUCAUCAUAUAAUCUAAUAAAAAGAGAGAGAAAAAGAUUAUAUAAAAUUAAGAAUAAUAUUAAAAGUAAAAUAUAUAAAACCAGUUUGCAGAGACCCAAAUGAAAGGAUUUAGGUUUACAAAUGGAAGUAGGGUAGGGUAAUUUAAUUUAGGGAGAGAGGGGUAGCUAGUGAUAACUAAGAUCAUAUGGGUAAUAAUUAUAUUAUGUAAACUUGUUAGAGAUAUUGUUGCUAAUGUCUUGAGCCACAGCCUUUGCAUCAAAAGAAACUCCAGCCAGCCCUUGCCUUGACAGUCCAACACAAUACACAUUCUUCUUUCCCUUCCAAUGAUUUGGAAUCCCACUUUUUGGCAUUCCCUUUUCAUUUAGCACCAAUUCAUAAUCCUACAAUUAUUCACAUCAUUAACAUUUUUGUCAAAUACUCAAUUUGUAUUCUCGGUUUGUAAGAAGUAAAAUUAGCAAAUUUACCAAAGUAAUACCUGCAGCCAGUUGUUAGCAGAGCUUCUGUAGCCAGUGGCAAAGACAAUGGCAUCAAACUUCUUCCUCACUCCAUUUUCAAACUCAAUGGUUUCUCCAUCAAUGUUGGAUAUUUGUGGAACAACCUAUAUUAUUCAUCACAACCCAAGAAUGGUAUACUAUAUUUUGGAAAUUAGAACACCAAACACAUAUAUUCUUGGCCAAUUAAAAAUGAUUCACUAAUUACAAUUAAUUUUAGUAACUAGUAAAUUGCAAUCUUUUAAAACAAUAAUUAAUUUUAAAAAGAAAAAAAGAAAAAAAACCUUAAUUUGACCAUCCUGGAUCUUGGAAAUGGUUCCGACGUCAAUGACGGGGGUCUUGCCGGUAGCGUAUUUGAGCUGCAUAGGACCCAACUUGGGACGACAUAUCCCAUAAGCCGACAUGUCGCCAAAUUUGAGCUUAGAGAGGCCUACAAGAAUUCCAUCCACAACACUAACUGGCAAAUACUUCAUCAAUACCAUUCCCACGCACACCACUUCCCUCUUCAGCACGUGCAACUUCAAAAUACCAUUUUCAUUUCCAACCCUUAGAUUUUAUCCACCAUAUAAAUUCUUAUAAUAAAAAAUCAGAUCACAAUACAAACUUCCAUCAAAUGAGAUUUUUUUUAAAAAAAAAGGUGCAUUUAGAUGGAUGGAUGGAUGCAAAUUCAUAAAAAAUUCCAUUCCCAUCUAUAAGAACUAAAAUAAAAUCUAAAUUAUUGUUAAAGAAAAUAACCGAAUAGAAAAAUUGUAUUGAGUAGCUAAAGUUUCACUUAAACGGUCUAUAAAUAUACUAAAUCCUUCGGUAAACAUAAACAUAUAUAUAUAUAUAUCCAUUUAAUUGUUAGUUCAAUACGUGUUGUUAAGUCAUGAUUUAGAGGAGUAAUAAUGGAUAAUAUUAAAAAAGUGAAUUAUGUCAUCCAUUGCAUGGUGAUGGAUGAGUCAACUCUAAGAUCAAUAUAACCUUAGACAACAUACCAUUUUAACUUACAAGUCUUUAAGGAAGAAAGGAUAAUGUUAGGAUAUGGGCAAGAUUAUUAUUACACCUAAUUUCAUGCAUCCUUUUAGAUAGUAGAAAAAUAAUACGAUUUAAAAAAAAAAAUCUGUCAUUGAAUCUUUUAACUUUAUAUGAAAUUUUAAAAUUUUGCAACGUAGAUUAUAUAUACAUAUAGCUUAGUUGGCUAUAAACAUGUACUUAGAAAGAAAGAGUAUCAAAUUUUAUAUAUGGAUAUGGAAGAAAUGAAGUUGCUUCAAAUUUUAUGGGAAUUUGAAAUAUUGUUGCAUGUACAUACAAACAGUUUCAACUUUAUUACUUUCCUAUUAUGAAUGAAUGUUAAUUAAACUAUAGUUUGAAAAUCUAAUAUUUAUUGAACUUAAAUAUAGAAAUAAGUACUUACAGGGUUUCUAAUAAUAAUUGAAGGAUGAGCUCCAUAAUUAGAGAGGUCAAGAGCAAUUUCCAUGCCGGAAUUCCCACAUCCAACCACCAAUACAUCUUUCCCUUCAAAUGCUUUUCCACUCUUAUACUUACUGGAAUGAACAAUCUCUCCCUCGAACGUGUCCAACCCCGUCACCUCCGGCACGUGCCCUACGCUGUUCUCUCCGCUUGCAACCACCAGGAACUCUGCUUUGUAAGCCUCCAUCUCCCCCGUCUCAAUGUGCCUCGCCUCCACCCUCCACUUCUUCAUCUCCCCGUCUUCUUCAUCCUCCAACCAUGCCCUCUCCACGUUCCUGCGUAUCAACAACAACUCUGUUGAACUUCUGUCUACGAGUUGAUAUUUUCGUUUAAUAUGGACGAUAUUAAAGGUUAAUCAAAACGCUAUUCUUUGUGAAUAUUUCAUUAACAAUAAGAAAAAAACCUUAACCCCCUAAGUCCGUUAACGUAUGUUUUCUAAUAUUUACAGAAGUUUUAUACUCUAUUACAUGAACUUAAAUCAAAAAGAUCAACCAAUAUGAUUAAAGCUAAAUAUCUGAGUGUAAAAACAAUUCAAGAGUUUAUUUCAAAAAAAUUAUUUUAAUGGUUGAGUACGAUUUCUUAUUUUAGUGAUGUAUUUGUGAAACAAUGAGACCAUAACAUUUAUAAUAUAAACAUCAUAUAUAUUACCUGCUAUAUCGAGGCUUGAUGUUGAACUUGGAAACGUACUCAUCGAGGUACUUGAGAAAUGUAGCUCGGGACAUGAACGUUGGGGUGGAGGAGGAGUGGGGCAUCAAGGGAAGAGAGCAAAACUCUUUGGCUAAGUGAAGGCAUAAACGAUCAUAAGCUCUUUUCUUCCAAAGAGAAGCAUAACAGUCUUCUUUCUCUAAAACAAUGUUUGGAAUUGAGAGGUGAUUUAGGUAAGCUGAGGUAGCCAAGCCAGAAGGACCAGCACCAACUAUCAAGACUCUCACUUCUUCCAUUUUUACUAUAAUAUGAACAGCUCUUUAGUAGUUUUUUCUUUAAUUGUUUACUGUGUGAUUUGUCUUUGAAGAUUCAUUUUGCUUUUAUAGUGAGAGGGAGAAGGUAGCUGCCAAAGUUGUGAGGUUAAUAUAAUUAUCUUUGUAACGACGGUUUCAUUAUUUCUUGGUGUUUGUUUCCAGCAAAAAGCACUUUUUCCCCAUGAAUAUAUCGCGUUUAGGUUUGGUAUCACCAUUUUAUUUGAAAAUUGCAAAAGCAGUACCACUUUUUAUCCCUUCUUCUAAGGGUUCAAUGACAUAUUGGGAUAGAGAUUAAUCCAUACUUUCUUUUAGUUGAUGACAAAUGUCUUAACCAGUUAAAGGUAUAUGCAUGAUGCAAUUAACGUUACUAAAGUCUUGUUUGAUAACUAUUUUUAUGACUUUAGAAAAUAUGAUCGACAUGAUCACCUUGUUUGAACAAAAAUAUUUUGAUUCAAAGAAAAAAAUUUAAAAUGAAAGGAAAGUUCGGUUUGGUUUUUAAAAAUAUGGUAAAAAUAAAAGAAGUAUAGGUAGAAUUAGUGAGAGUGUCGAGUCUUUUUAAUCAAAUCAAAUAUAUAUUCACGAUCCAAAACUUCAACUAACAAAUAGGAAUCAGUAGCAAGACCAAGUUGAAUUAAUUAUAGGAAGGUGCAAAGAUUAGUUCCUCGAAGUCCAUUUUCCAGUUACAAUGAUCAACACGAGAAAUGAGUGUUCAAGAUUUGAAUAUGCAUGAAAAAUAAAGUGCAAGCUAAGGAAGGUAAAGAAUAGAAAUGCGACCAACGUUCUACAACAGUCAUUGGAGGAAUAGCGAAUUGACCAAUGAAAUUUUGAUCAUUGAAUUAUCGGGUAUGAUAUUUUAGCUUCUUGUCUAUGCAUAACUCAAUUGAUUAAAAUCCUAGUCAACAUUCAAUUAUCUAAUUAUCCAAUAUGAGUAUAGAAUCCGUUCUACACAACACUUCCAAACGAAUUAAGUUAUGAACACUUCCUAACCCUAAAUUUUUCUACAUACCGCCGUUAUUUUUUAAAACUAAACCAAAUUGUGAAACUUGGCUUAAUGCAACAAAAAAAAUUCAAAACUUGUUUUUGUUUUCAAAUCUUGAGUGAAGAUUCAAAUGUUUAUACAAUGUCCUAGCCUGGAUUAAGAUCCACGUAGGGAUUAAGCUAAAUCUGAAUUUGACACCCGGUAGCUCUAAUAUUGAUCUUGCAACUUGUCAAAUGUUAUCACUAUUCGUCUCAAAAUGCUUAAUAUUAUUUUCAUAAAUCAAAAUGAUUUUUUUUUUUUUUUAGCAAUUGUUACUUUCUCACUUACUCACAUAUUUUAAAAGUGUAAGAGAGUUACAUGCAUAAAUGAAUUUACCACAAAAUUUACAAGUAUCAAAGUCCCAUGAUGCCACAUUGAUGUCUAUAAUUAUAGGAAUUAUAAACUCUCUCUUUCCAAAGUAAAAUAGCCCACCCUAAUCUAAAUUCUAAAUUAAAUAUAUUUUGCUAACACACAAAUGAUAUAUAUAGAUAGAGUUGCGUGUGUAUUUAUAAAAUGUUUUAGUUCGUUUUUUUAUAUUUAAAAACAACUAUUACCUCUUUAAUUUUUCUACAUUGUACUAAUUAUUAUUAUAUUAUUGGAACACAAUUAAUAUGUUUAUGAUUAAUGUCACUUAUAGCCAUUUUUAUACUAAUUAAACAAUGUAAAUGAUGAUAGGUUUGAAGUAUUUUAAAAAGAUGUCAUCUACACUUGAUAUAAGUAUGAAUCGAGAUUUAACGUAAUUGGUUACUUGUAAAGGACGAAAUCGCAAAAGGUACAUAUUGGACUAUACUUAUAAAAAACGUUUACGUCGAUAUAAUAUGUUAUUAUUGACGUUAUUUCGUUAUGUCGAUAUAAUAUUUGUCAUGAUAAAUAUAGUUGAUGAGUAUUUAAUUAUUGUCGAUCAAUUACAAAUGUUUCCAUUCCAUUAUUGAAAAUCUAUUUUGAGAAAUUAGGAUAUGAUUAAGACCAUUGGUUUAACUUUUUUCCAAAUAUAUUAAGAGUGAGAGGAAGAGAAGAAAAAUAAAUGAGAGUUGGCUUCAUUGCUACAUAAAUAGGCUUUUGAUGACAUUUAGAAAGUGUCAUAAUUAACAUUUGUGAUACUUUGUUUUGUGUGUCGUUGUAUUGUCCGUAAAGAUAUGAACAUUGCAAAUAAGUUUUUUUUUCGUAAUUAUGAACUAUACAAAUAUUUUUUCUUAUGUUAUAAAAAGUAAUACUUACUGGAAAUUCAUAGUUAGUAAGAUUGUCUCUCAUUUUACCACUAGGUCAAACUAUGAUGGUUGGAAAAAGAGCAAUUUGUAAAAAAUUUAUUUUGUUUUUAAAAUUUAGCUGCGAAUUCAACUCUUUUACUAAAAAAAAGAUGAGGAGACCAUUGUAGAAAUCGAGAGUAAAUAAGUAUUGAGAAUUUUGGGAAAAUGUCAUUUUUAUUAAAUUUGCAAUAUCGGGCCAUUACUCAAAAUAUUUUUGAGAAAUGAAUUUGGAAAAUAUAGUAGUUGGAGGGAAAAAUUGAAUCCAAACUCUAACUUUCUUUUCCUAUUUAAUUCGAAAUGUCUUUCUAUAUUGUUUUGUUUGAUCAUUAAUGAAGCGAGAAUGAUAAAAGUGUUAAAGAGGUAUUCACCUAAUGAAAAUGUCUAGAUGCUAUCGAUCCAAAGUGUCCUUUUUCUUCAAAGAAUCCCUUCCAAAUUUUCAUGAUAUAUGAAAAUGACAAAAAUAUUCUCAAACUACUUCACUUCUCUUAGUUGUUAUCAUCGACAACUACCAUCGAUCACACAUCAACUUCAAUUAUUACAUAAAAACCAUAUCAACAAUUGUCACCACUUAUCUACUAGUGAUUGUACCAGUUGAACACAACCAACUUUGUUCGUCGGGGUUUGCCAACGACGACUAUCACGAAAGGUCCCUUUGCAAGUAACACUAGUCACAAUUACUAUUUACCACUAAUUGUCACCCAGUUAUGCGUCAACUGAUAAUUGAAUUGUAGAGUAAGUUACAAAAUAAAUUUGUGCAUAAUUUUUCCUCUUUUCUAAUAAAAUUGUAAUCAAACACAUAUGAGUGUUAAAUUCCAAUCUCUUUUUCUUUUUAUAUUAAAAAUGCUUAAAAUAAAAUGUAUUUCUUAAAGAAGCUAUACACAAAGUAAAAGUACUUAAUGGAAGAAAAAAACUAAUUAAACAAAGAAACAUUCCCACCCAUUAAAGAAAAAUUUCCAACUAUAAAUAUUUUCAAAUUAGAAAAUGGAUAAAUACCAAUUAAAUGGGAAUAAUAUAUUAUUGUACCAAAAAUAAAUAUGGAUCAUAUAGUGUGAAAACUCUUCUAUAAAAUUAGGGUUUAUAUAGGAUUGCUCUUCACAUAUAAUUGAAUCAUAAAAUUUGUGAGUGUGACAAGUCAAAAGUGUCAAUGUGAAUAUAUAAUUUGAAUUAAUGAUAUAAAUAAACACGUAUAUGAUCUUCAAUAAUUAUAUUUCACAUGCUAUGUUGAACUAAUAACUAAAGAGAAUACAAGUCAAAACUUACUAGAUUUUUACCAUUUAUUAAAGUGAAACUUAAUUUUGUUACAUGUGGCAAAAUAUUAUGCCAUGUGGAUUCAACUCUAUUUACUAUCUAAUUUAAUGCACAAUAUCUUACCUCUUUUCAAGUUAUUAUGGAUUUUAGGUAGAGAACACAAUUUCUAAUUCAUCUAAUUUUUUAGGUAGAGAACACAAUUUCUAAUUCAUCUAAUUUUAAAUGCAUUCGUAUGAAAUUUUAAAAUCAUAUAGUAUAUGCUAGAGUGAACCUAACUAGUUCAAUGGUAUAAGUGAGAAUAAUUAGUUGACAUACGAAUAGUGGCCGAGACCUAUAAUUUUAUGUUAGGGACGUAACUUUAAUUUAUAUAAAUUUAAAAGUUGAGUUCAUUAGAUUUUAAAUUUGUAUAGUGAUAUAGUAGAUCAAUAACAUCUUGAUUUUUUUUUUUGUAUGUAAUACGUCUUUUUUAUUAUAAAAGUGAAAUGAUUAGUUACAAAUUAUUUGAAAUUUUAAGAUUUAAUUAGAAAUAUAUAUAUAUAUAUAUAUAUAUAUAUAUAUAUAUAUAUAUAUAUAUAUAUAUAUAUAUAUAUAUUUAUUUAUUUAUUUAUUUAUUUUGCCUUUACCAGUAAUUUAUAAACAUUAUUUAUAAUUUUAAAUUUUAAAUUAAAAGUUUAGAUAUCUAAACCCUAAAUCUAUUAGAUAGUUAUACGCAGAUAAGAGACUUAUUAGAGUCAAAAUUGAAACUUUAGAUACAUAUUAGUUAUAAUUUUAAAACUAGGGACGAUUAAACUUGUACUAAAAUGAAUGUAAUUUUAAACUACGAACAAAAAAAUUCACCUUUUAUACUUUUUAAUUUUCAAAAACUAAAAACCAGUUUAAAAAAUAUUUGUAUAUAUAAACCGCUUGGAUCUAGAUGUAAAAAUUAAAUUAAGUUUUUAACCCAUUACAAAUGUAUCUAUUGUACAUAUGCAUAUACACACGUACAUGUACGUAUGUAUAUAAAUAAAGCAACGAAAAUUAGUUAAUAUGUCACUACUUAACCAAUGUAGCAAAGUGCCAAGUUUUGAUCUAAUGGAGGCAUGGGUUAGGUAUAUACAAAUGUAUAACAUCAUGAUGGGGAGGUAUCUGCCUCCCUUCACUCAUUCAUUAAUUUAUUCACUCGUCAUGUUGAUCAUAUGGAAUCUAUGAAAAUGUGAAAACAAAUUGAUAAAAAUUUAAUAUUGUGUUCAUGUUGCACAUAAAUAUCAACUAUAAUAUGACAUAAUAAAUAUAAAUAAUUCAAAAAUAUAUAUUGAAAGAUUAAACAUGUGUCAUUUCAGGCAAGUUUCAUCCUCAUCUAAACUACUAAGGAGUAAAUAUCAUAUAACUCAAUCGAUACGUUGUUUCGUUCUAAACUUUAAACUAAUAACAAGUCACUAGUUUUACUUGAAAUUUCAUUUGAUAUCCAUUCAAAAUUACUCGUAAUUUUAUCAACGGUUCAAACAUUGAUUAAUACAUAGUUUGAGUUUAUAAUUGGAUACAAAAAUGGUGGUUAGGUUUUAAGGGUUUUGAGCAAUACAGACUUUUAAAGUCUGUGGGUAUGAAGAUAUAGAUGAAUAUUAUGGAAAAAAGUAAAAAGAGGAAAAACCAAAGAUAAUUAUAACAAUUGUAUUUUUUUGACAGGCAGACCCUUAGAAGGUGUGAAUUAUGAAACUUGUUGAAUAACUUUCAUAUGACUUUUUUCACUAACAAAAUGUAACGUAACUGACCAUUCCAUAUUGUAAUUCCCAAUUCAUAAAUUGGCAUUUGCUUACCAUUCCAUAUUGUAAUUCCCAAUUCAUAAAUUGACAUUUGCUUAGUUGUGUUCACAAAUAAUAAUAAUAAUAAUCCAAAAAUCAUGCACUGGAUUUUCUCAAAGUCAUGUGAAAGCUAACUUUUACUCUUUUUGUUUUGGUAAGAUGGUUUAAUAUUUUGGUGGUAUCUAUCAUUAAAACUAUACCAAAAGGAGAAAAUUUGAAUUUGCAUAGUUGGAGAGUUUUGUACUCUUUUCAAAUUUUGAAAUCACUUUCAUACAGCUUCCAUAUUUGGUAUGGCUAUGAAGAAUAUAUUCCACAAAACAAUUUAAUAAGAAAAUGUCUUUUUUUUUUACACUUUAAGUGUUUAAAUUAUAUACUUAUUUAUAUUAGAACCAUGCGGUGAUACGCUCUUGUUUUCAUAGUACGGUUUAAGGAGUCAAUCGACUAAAAUCUUGAAAAUAUUUAUAGAUAUAGUAAAGUUUCAUAAUGUAUCAAUGAUAGAUACUGGUAAGCUUCUACCAAUGUUACCUGUCAACACUGAUAAAUGACUUUUAUUUGAUUGUCACUGAUAGACUUGUUUAUCAGUGUACAUCAUUGAUAGAAUCUGAAAUUUUGUUAUAUUUUAUAAUUAGUUUGGUUCAUUUUAUUAUACUUGAGAAUAACUCAUAUAUAUAUGUAUGAACAAAAACAUCAAGUUUAUGUAUAACCAUUAAAUGAAUUAGGACAUACUCUUCGUCGCAAAUGAAUAAUUAAGACACACUUAUUUUAUAUUUGGUAAGGUAGCCAAAUUUAUUAGUUAAACACACAAGUUCAUGUCGUUGCUACUAUGCGUAGACUUAGUUUGAAUCUUUAAUCAUUUACGUUUAUUAGUAUGUCUUAUAAGUACAUUAUCAUCCAUUUAUGAUGGUUAAAUUUAUCAUGUUACCUAACGUUGAUAAACUAUUGAUACGUGUGUACAUUUCGAAUUUUAAGAAGGAGAUAUGAAUGAACUGAAAUAUCACUGUUCAAUGAAACAACUCUUGAUGACAUUAAAGUAAGGUUAAAGAAAAGCUUAUAAGAAUUGAAAUUAAAGUCACUGCUUAUAUCAAUAAUGUACACAUUCAUGUCCAAUGACUCAAACUAAAAGCUUCAAAGUUAAAACGUGUUUAGCUUGGAACAAUCCUAUAUUCCUAUAUUGGAUAACUUUCUAAAAAAUUUUUAAAAAAACAUGUGAGUGAAAACAAAGCAUGCUUAAAAAAUUUGUGUAUUGGUUUAUGAAAACAACUUUCACACUUAUAAACCUUCAAGACAAACAAAAAUGACGCAGGUGAAGUCGUAGGAGAUAGAAAGAAAUUUUAAAGUCUCGUUAUUGGAUCAGAAUUCUAAGUCCUAUAUGAUUUACACAUUUUGGAUUACGCAAAUAUUUUAGAUCGUCUCCUCCUUUCAACUAUACAUAUUUAAGAGAAUACGUUUGAGCACCUAUAACAAAGAAUGUGUUGUUGAGCACGUAUAGAUGUUAAUUUAACAAAGUUCUUGUUAGCAUAGAGGUACAUAGUGGAGUCAAGAACGAUAACCUAAACUUUUUGAAGUUAAAAAUAAAGGAAAAGUUUAUAACUAUCAACAACACUAACCUAAAAUUUUUUAAGUUAAAAAUAAAGGAAAAGUUUAUAACUAUUCAAACGUGAAUUAUGAAGUCUAAACAAGUGACAAAAAGGUUAAAAGUGAGGGUAGAAUCUCGAAGUUUGCUAAGAUGGUAAAUUAUGUUAUAAACUUACCGUGAAAGAUUUAUGUAUAGACUAAUUGAGGUUUGAAAUACUACUCAAAAUCAAAAUAUUGAAAUCUCAAUUCCGUACUAAAUAGUCUUUUUUCUUCUUAUGAUCUUUUUUUUUUAAUAUUUAUUAGUCUACUACAUAGUUUUUUUUUUCUUUUUAUAAUCUUCUUUUUCUAAUAUUUAUUAGUCGUAAAUUCAAAUAUCAGAUUAAAUAGUAUUUUUUCUUUGAAAUCUCAUUUUUGUACUAAAUAGUCUUUUUUUUUCUUUUUAUAGUCUUCUUUUUUUAAUAUUUAUUAAUCCUAAAUUCAAAUAAAUUCUCUUUUCUAAUAUUUAUUAAUCCUAAAUUCAAAUAUUAGAUUUAUUAGAUCCAAAGUAAUCGAGUACGUAACUAAAAUUUUAAAAAAUUUACAAAUAUAACAAAAUUUAUAUAAAAAAUUUACAAAUAUAACAAAAUUUAUGAUAUAAGUCUUAACAAAAGACCACACGAAGUAAAACUCUACGUAGUCUAUCAACGAGAAAAAACUACACAAAGUCUAUCAAUAAUAAAAUAAUAGACACAAAGUAAAAACUACACAAAGUCUAUCAAUAAUAAAAUAACAGACACAGAGUAGGUAGUCUAUCAACAAUAGAAUGAAAAAAUCCUAUCAAUAAUAAAAUAAUAGAACAAUAGAAUAAUAGAGAUGGUCUAUUAACAAUAGAAUAAUAGAACUAUCCGUAACAAAUAGAAUAAUAGAACUAUUUUUGUUAUAAAAUAUUGUUAUAUCCUUCCUUAUUAAAAUAUGGUCAUCAAUUUGAAUUGCAAUUUUCCUAUAUAAUUCGUUUAGGGUAAUAUUUUCUUUUGGGCCUAGGCCCCUAUUUUCUAUAUUUGCUAGAUCUUUUAUUUUGGGCUUUAGCCCAUUUAUUAAUUUUUUAUUUUGGGCUUUAGCCCAUUUAUUAAUUUUAGGUCAUUUGAAUGAGAACUUUUCAUUUAUAUUUGAUGAUUCAACAACCAAAAACCAAGAAUAUAAUUACAAAAGAAAGAAAUAACAAAAAACUACAAUUCUCAACAUCAACCUUUCAAGUUACAUGAAAAAGUAAAAUUCAUACCAUGUAAAGCUAACAGUCAUCCGAAAACUUAAAACAAAUAUUUCCAUAACUUAACCUUGGUAUCAAAAAGUCCAAAUGAAAAAAUUAGAAUAAGGUAAUAAAUUUCUAUCCAUCUUCCAAUAUUCUCAUAAAAAUUGAUAUUUUUAUUCAUAAAACAUGAAAGAAAAAAAAAACCAUAAAAAUAAAUGAUAAACGUUUUACCAUAUUCAAAUUGUGUAAACUAUUUAUUAAUUUAAAAUUUCCACCAAUAACAACAAUUGAAAGCUCCUUAAUUAUUUACAUUACUAUUAAAACAUUACAAAAAGUUGAACCAUUGUUCUUUCUUUCUUUUUUUUUUAAAAAAGGAUGAAUGGAUGGAAAUUAAGACUUGCUCCUUUCAACUAAAAGAAUGAAGACAGAAACCUUUACAUGUGUGUGUAUUUUCAUCAAAAGAAAAAGAAAAAUUAAAAAGGGGCAGAGACAAUGUCUCUAAGUUGAUAAAAAGGUUGUAACGACUCAUCAAUCUCUUCAUCAUGGUACCAAUUUUUCACUAUUGAAUCUUUAUCUUCCAUAAUUGCUUUACAUUCCACUGGUUGUAAUCCCUGCACCCAUUAUUUUCCACCCAAUUUAUUCACACCUCAAUUAUAUAUAUUGGGUAAUACCAAAAAGAAUUUGUAUAUAUAUUUGUAUCUAAUUAAUAAUAAUUACCUCUGUGAAAAUCUUCAUCGCUUCUUCUAUUGUUGCUGUGUUCAUUACAUAAAGUGCUGCUUCCUGAAAUAUAUAUCAAUCCAAAUUGGUCAUAAUUAAGAAAAAAUAAAUGAUGAGCUAUAUAUAUAACACCAAAUUCAAUCACCCAAUCUAAAAAAUAAAGCAAAAAAAUAUAAAAUAGUGAAAAUAAUUUUGAAAAAGAGAGAGAGAGAGAGAGAGACUUACUCUUGCAAAUUGGAUUUGAUGCAUUUUGAGAGUUCUUGGCUCAUUUUCAAUGGACGAUUUUCUAUCAAUACUUCCCAUUAUUGUUAUUAUUACUACUACAAUUCCUUCUUAGCUUUUCUUCAAUCUUCUUUAACGACAGCAAGUCGUCCCAAACACACAGCUCUAGAAAGAGAAACGAAGGAUUAUAUGAUCGAAAAUGGCUUCCAACUGUUUUCACUUUUGAAAGAGAAAGAGAAUGAAAUGUUCCUCUUUGGUUGUAUGAUGUCUAUAUAUACUGGAAGAGGAGGAGGAGGAGGAGGAGGAGAGUACUUGAUUGAAUCUGCCACGUGGAGUCUCUCAACCAUUAGAUUCGGGUACAACGUGGCAAGAGAAGGACGGGGAUCUCCGACCACGUGGCCUUCUCAUGUGCCUGUCAGCGUCACCUCCAAAUCUCUUGUCUUGAUCGGGUCUUUGCGUGACGGACCAAUGGGCAGCUGCCAUGGCGACACCACGCUGGGGUCGUGGCGUUGUGGAGAAUCGCGUCCCAAGUGGACACGUGUGUGGUUGGAGAGAAGGGUGCAUGGGACAUCAUGCACGUGAGUAGUCGUAGAUUGAAUUUCUAUUACAUCAACAGAACUAAACGAAAAGUCUAAUUAUAAUAUUUUUAUAUUUUUUAUUAUUUUUUCUUUUAAAAAAUGGAUUUAAUGAAUUCCAUAAUAUUAAUUAAAAAUAAUGUAUGAGUUUUGAUUAAUUAAUUAAUAUUUAAGUGUUCCGUAAUCAUCUUUUCUUAACAAUAAUAAUAUCUAAACACCAAGUUAUUGAUUAGGUUAGGUGGUAGUAUAUGUUGGAUAUAUACCUAAUCAUUUUCUCACUACCCAAACAAAUUAAUCUUCAAUAAUAGCAUCCUUCCAUUUAUAUUUUAUAUUUUUUUAUCGUUUCUAUUUAAACGGACUAAAAUGAACUAAAAUUUUUGUAGUUUGUAUCAAUGAUAGAUAUUGAUAGCUAGACAUAGAUAAAUUUCUAUCACUAUGAAGUUUCAGGGGAGUCUUUUAGCAAAUUAGGUUAAUCAUUAGACAUUGUUUGCUAAUAUUUUGCACGAUUAACUCCUUCGUUAAUUAAUUAUAACAUGUCUAUAAAGUCAUUUUGGAAAAGUGGUCCAUACCUGAGAGUGAAAGAGGAAAGCAAAAUUAAAAAUGGUGAAGAAUAUAAGAUUUCAAAUAGGAUUUGAGAAUUACUUUGUUAGGAAGAGAAAGAUGAAUGUACAAGUGUAACGUGUAACAUUGGAGUUGUAUAAAUAUAGAAAAAACCACACCACAUGCAACAUGCGACAUUCUUUUGCCCAUUUAGGUUUGAGAAAUCAUGAGAUAAUUAAUCUUUCUCUAUGUUAAAUUCAUGUAUUUUUAAAAUUGAUAUUUACUAUUUACACUCAUGGAACAAUAUUUUACAAUUCAAACCGAGUAUCGAUUGUACACGUGUAUAGCUAGGGUUUGGGGAAAUUUCAACAAAGAAAAAAAAGGUGCAUUUGACAUUAUAUGCACGUGGAAUUUUGUUAUAACCAAACCUUAAGGAAACUCUUUUGGUACUUAAACAUUUUCUCUUCAACUUUUUCUUUUUCUUUAAUCAAUAAAUCAAUUCCGUAAUCCUUAAGCAUGAGUGUGAUUAAUUAAUAUUUAAUAAUUAUCUGAAUUCCAAACAAAAAUCUCACACAACUUUCCACAAAUGUCUUAUUCAUUUUUAUUUUUAUUAUUUUUAGAAUUAGUUACAUGACUUAAUAAAGUUUUCAAAAAAAUUUAGAUUAUAAUCUAAACUAAAAUAAUUUACGCUACAAAUCCAAACUAUUCUAAUCAAACUAUAAUAACUCACUUUUUUCUUUGAACACUCCUUAAGUGAUUUGACACAAAAGUAAAAACUCUGCAACCCUAUUCAAUUGGUGAAGACAUAAGACAUAUAUACACCUUGAUCAAGAGGUAGAAUAGAAGUUUAAUUUUCUCUGUUUUUACAAACAAGAAAAAUAAGUAAACCUCCCAAUAAAUCAAUAGUCUCCUCUUGGGAAAUUGGUAGAAAAAUUAAGGUUAAAAAAAAGUGAUGUUAAUUCAAACAAAAAUAUAAAAUUAAAAUUUGUCCUCCAUGCUAUGCCUCGCUUUACCAUGACUAAGGGACGUGAUGUGUUUGUGGUUCAGUGUGACAUACAAUAACACUCUCGACUUGAGCCCAAAACUAAGUUGUGUGCAUAGGUUGAUCUCGAUUUUAUUAUUUAGGAUGCUUUAAAUAAAGUUCUUUUGUACAUGAUUGUUAUACAUACAUCAAUGUAUGUAGUGGAAGUUAUGUUAGCGAUUGUUGAUGAAUUUUGAAGUGAGCCAAAUAUAAAUUGUAGGGUUAAAAAUUAAGACUAAUUUUGGAGUAAAUUAUAGUUCUUGUAGUUGUAAAUUAUGAUUACCAAUGAAGACAAUAUAUGCAAUAAGAGCUAUGAAUUCUUCACCAAUAAGAGCUACGAAUUCUUCACUUGCUAUCACGAAUUCUUCACUUGCUAUCUUUGCUAAGAUGGAAUUUGUAACGCAUUUUGCAAACUAUUAGAACAGUAACAAUUCCACAUAAAAAAAUGUUAAGAAAAGAACGAGGGCUCUAAACACUAAAAUUAACUUUGUAAGAAAAACUUCUAAAUUUGGUGUUCAUCAGUUAAAUUCUCCUUUUGUAUUCUCUAGUUUGAAAAUGAGGAAGAUAGUGUAAAUAAUUUAAGAUGAAGGAGAAAUAUUGAAAUUAAUGUAUCAAAAUAAUUUUUCAUAAAGUGAAUUUCAAUCUCGUGGAUUGUUAAUUCUUCGGUGACAUCGAACUAACAAUUCAUCAUAAGACUUUUAUGUUCGAGUAAACAUAGAGAAGAGUUAAGCACUCUCGAAAUGAAUAGCAAAGUUUUACGUCAGCGAUUGAAAGCAAGUGAAAUACAUAGUGAACUAUAAUCUAUAUUAAAGCUCGAACACUAGACUAAUUAAUGAGAUAGAUGAAAUGAAUGUCUAAGAAGAUUGAAAGUAGUUCUUAAUUAUUCACUUUUAUUACCACUACAAAAGAAUAGAGAUUUAGGAGUGAUUGAAUUGAAUUCAUGAAGAAAUGAGUACAAUUACAACUAUGAUUUAAUAUAAGGUAAAAAUUGUGGUGAGUUAUUUAUAUUAUACGUAAAAUAAAUGUGUAACAAUAUCGAAUUACGCUAAUAUUACAAUGGAAACUAUAAUACAUAAUAAGGCUUCUUCUUCUCAUAAAGGCGUAGUGAAGUUGGCUUGUAGAAGAGGAAAGCAAUGCAAAUUCCAACUUAUUCAACUCGAGCUUAGUGGUCUUUACGAUGUUGUGUUCUUCCUCUUCUUUUCAAAUCUAAUAUACCAAUCAGCUUUCAUUUGGGUUUCACUUGUUCUUCUUCCCACCAGCCAAAAUCCUUUGAAUUUGGAGACCUCUGCUGAAUGCUUGGUUGAAGAGGAGCCUGGUCUGGAAUUCUGACACAAACGGGAACCAAGCGAGCACGGCCACGGGUGCAAAAAUGACAACGCCCAUCACGUACUCGUACCCUCUGGCUAGAGCUUUAACUGAUCCCCACAUCCCUAUUGCUUUCAUAAUAGGUCUACAUGCCUGUGCUAUCUACAACCACAAAAACAAUACUACAUUAAUUUUUUUUAAAAAAAAAACGUGACUUAAUUAGAUAACAUUACCUCAAAACAAAUUGACAAUGAAAAGAGUAUUCAAUCUAUCUUAUAAAGAGUGUGUUGUUACAUAAUAUGUCUUUUUUUUUUCUUUUUUUUAAAACAAAUAAUUUAAAUUACUCUUUAUUAGGUGAAGAGAAAUUGAAUCACUUCUUACAUGUUUUGAUUGAAGAAUAAAAUCUAGGAAUUGUCUACCAGUUGUUAAAAACAGAUUCUAGUUUAUGUUUAGAAUUCUGUUCCCAGAUACAACAUGGAAUGAAAUAUUAGUUUUGUGAAAUACCUAAAUGCCUAAAUCUAGUAGCAAGCCUUUUUUUUUUUUCUUUUGCAAUAUGUAAGGCGGAAGAACCAAGCAUCUAAUUUCAAAAUUGAUAAUACAAAUACUACCUAAGUUGUGCAAUUAUUUCAGAUGUGCAUAUGCAGUAAUGGAAGAGGGAAAGUUAUAGUCAAAAUCAAAGCCUAAUAUUUACUACCCUGAUGAGGGACAGGCGUAGUUAGGAAAGUGAACGAAAAAAAUAGGGCUUUAAGAUGACAUACUUGCAAAAUAGCCCAGCCUGUGGGCAUGAAGGCUAGAAUGCUUGCAAAAAUGUCGCCGACCGUGAGAUGGAGAAGCAUAAACAGCAUUGUUACUACGACCACUGAACCAAUAAACAGGAACAACUUCAGAAGUCUGAACAACAGCUGGAAGUCUGCACUGAAUUUCUUUCUACCCAUGGACACAAUCUGCAGUUCAAACGAUCAUUAGUGAGUCAGAGAUUCUGGAAAUAAAUAAGGUUUCUUCAAUGCAGGAGAAGUUAUUGGAGUUCAAUUAUUAACCUUCAGUAUAACCAUAACAGCAACAAUGACAAGCCAGGAUAAGCCAUAUACCUGAAAAUGACAACAGAAAACAAAGAUCAGAGGCUUUCUGCUCAUUUGUUUGUUCCUUAAAACCAAAUAGGAAUCAUAGGCUUACCGUGAUGCUUUUAUUAUUUCCAGCCACAUGUAGAUGAUACACUAUUCCAUACUGAUAGAGAAAGAAUCGGAUAGAUAGUACAAUUUCCCAGAAGCGUCCAACGAAUCCAGUGUGUUGAAGGUGUUCCUGUUCCUCAUCCCACCAGGACUCCCAACUUUUGGUUGCAGGCACACCAAUACCACCUCUGCUAUUGAUCCAUUUUGACCAAUCAUCCCAAUCAUCAACUAUCUUUUGCCAUUCAAAACCUGAAGGGUUGAAAAGGAAAGGGGCAAACAACCAAGAAACAACCAGGAACCACAUUGAGGAUGUGACGAAAAUGUAAGCUAUAGCAUCAGCAGGAGCUGUUCCAUAUAUCUGGUAUACUACAAGCAAUAUCAUAAGCUCUAGUCCUUUGACAAAGUGACUCCUUGAAUACAUCCUAUAGUUCUCAGCGUAUUUCUCAUGCCGCACGACAAAACCACGACCGGUAGCUCUAUACUUUGCUCCACCAUGAAGAACUGUGCGCCCAUAAUAAUGCACCUUUGUGCCAAGAGAGAAGGUGAAGAAAACGGAUGCUAGUUGUAGUUGCAUGAUUAUCAAGUCACCUAUUGCAGUUCUGAACCCUCUCUCAAGCCCUAUUUCCAUGAUCAUUGGCAAGGCAGUUAAAAGACCUAACUGAACAACUGAUUGCGAAGCCAUAGCGGCCUUUAAAGGAUCAUCUCCUUUUGCCCUAGCAUAUUUCAUUAUGGACUUCUCCAAUCCACUCAAUGACAGAUAAAGUCUACCAUAUAAGAAAGCAUAUACUGUAAUGACAAUCAUCUGCAUGACAAAAAGAACAAAUAAUCAUUGCAUGAGAAAAUUUCAGAGCUCAUAAAGCAAAUUAAAUAUACAAGUUAGUUCUGGAGGUAAAAGAAAAGAUUUAAAUGUGAAAACUCACCAUUGCACUGACGUAAAAUCCUACUGUUGUGAAGUAGAAAGACAACAUGCGAAAAAAGUCAAAACGAUGACCCAAACGAUAGAUGUCUCUGCUAAGAAUUUGCUCUCCAUUACCACAAGCUACCUUUGCCUCAAAAAGAGAGAUUUGAUUAAGACCAACAUCUCUGCCUUUCCCAACUUGAAUAUACUCGUGGUGAGUUACAUUUCCUCGUCUCAACGUCGAGUUGAAGCCUAUGGGGGAAAUUUUUUUUUAAAAAAAGAUAACAAUAAUUGAGAAGAAAAUAUCACUUGACUAGUGGAAGUGAAGUGUAAAGAAAAAUACCAGCAAAGAUAUCCUCACUAAGGUUGAUGCCUAGAGAAGCUUUGCUCAUGCCCCCACGAGUAAUAUGGAAAAUUCGAUCGAAAACAUCUGGAUGACCAUAGUGAAACCUCACCCUAGAACCAGUCAAUUCAGAGUUAAAUUUAUGAAUAAUAUCUAUGUUAGGUAAUAAGAUAUGUAAAAUAAGUUAAGUCCAAGAAGGAAACCUUACUUUAGAGGCCUUGCAAGAACCCGCUGACCAAUAGUAACAAAACUAGUUUCUUGAUUUGACAUAAACCAAGCCAAAGAAGAAACACUGCAGCGGAAGAAUUGAUGUUAGAAAAAGAAGUCGUAACAACUUUUCAUAGAUCUUGUUAAGAGAGAAACCUAACCUUCCAGUAAAAAUAUGUUCACGCACACCCAAAAUUGUAGGUGGACGAACACCAUGGUCCUCAUUGAACUCUUCUAAAAGGUUCCGCAUUUUGAAAGCUUCUUCCAAGUAAUUGUCCUAGGAGGGAUCCAGAAAGUUAACCAUCAUUAUUCAGCAUCUAUGUCAUAACCAAAAUCAAGCAGCAAUAUCUAGGUUUUGGUGGUUUACCUGAUUCAUGUCAAUGGCUUGAAGUGCUUCACCUCUCGUAAAAAUGAUGGCAUGGUUUUGAUUUUCAGGCUUCCCUUCUCCAAUCUUAGCUGAACCAGGUAGCUUAAUCCGAUAGAUUUCCUUUUAAAAAGAAAAAAAAAACAAGAUUACUCUAAUGGUAAGAGGAAUGAAUAUUUUUAAUCCUUGAGUUUAACUUAUUAUUACCUGGUCAAGAUUAUCAACACCUUUGACCAAAACAGAAUAGUAAACUUUUUGUGCUUUUCCACCUUCCCUCUCUUCAACUUCAUCAAUAUAUGCCACUCGAAGAGAUGGAUUACUGUGCCCAAAAAGAAAGUGAAAGGGAAAAAAGUUUAUAUAGAAAUCGCUCCAAGCAAAAACAAGUCUUGAAAAAAUCAUUAAUUCAAUUGCACUGAAGAGGUUGGGAACAUACUUAACCAUCAAAUUCAGAAUAUCUGUGGCUCGACGUUCCCCACUCCGUUUCUGAUUUCCAUAGUUCUGGCAAGUAGCAACGUACGUGAAUUUCAUGUCAGCCACGGCCUCUAAUUGAGCAUAUAGGGAUCUUUGGCUUCUUUUAUCCUCUUCUGACGGAACUGUGAUUGCUUUGUAGCCUUCAAGUAUCUCUAUCAUUAUCAAAAGCAAUAAUUAAGGAAACCAUAGUUAGUUAAUACUCAUUAGAGAGUGCGCACAAACAGUACCGAUAAGAAAACAAGACAUCUCAAUCACACAAAAAGAGAGAAUAGAAAACAAGCAUUCUUGACAGGUAAAUAUUGCACAUUACUAUAAAAGGUUAACAUCCACAUCUUACCACUUUCAGAAGCCAUGUCAAGAAAUGCUUGAAGCUUCAGAGCCCUUCGAUAAUACAUCAUACCCCUAACUGCAAUAAUUGUGUUAAUGCCAGCAAUGGAGAUGCAUAAAUGAACUCGAAAGUAAAUGUAGUGCAUUUAAGCUACCUGUUCUUGAUAGAGUUUGUCCUCGUAAGGACGCCCAAUGACGAAGGUGUAAUAUGUUUUCUUCAUUUUCCCAUAUCUCACUGUCUUUUUUACAAUUGAGUCGCUCCAUAAAGUUGUUCCAUUCAUCUAGCAAGAAGGCAAAUGUUCAUGAGAUAAGUCACUUAGAAAUCACUUAUCAAAGAACCAAGAGAUAUUUUGUGUCAUUUCCAUAUAUCACUCACCUGGAUAGAUUUUCUGCAAAUAAUAUAUGAUGGAGACACCAUCCUCAUUUUCCAUCUCAAGAUCAGUUUUAGAAUAUACAGUCUCCUCACCAUAGUAUGGGGUCAUAACACUGUGAACAACCCAAAAAUAUUCAUCUCAAGGUCAAUUUUAGAACAGACACGCCAGUUCACUAUGUUUUGAAGACAUAAUGCUGUAGACAACCAAAAAACAUUACCAAAUACAGGAACUGGGGUAUAUUAAUAACAUUAGUUUUAACUAAAGAUUUUUCUUAAGAAAAACCGAAAAGUAAUUUUUUACUUGAAAUGCCAAGAGGUCGAAUAAAAUCUCUAAUUUCUACAUGAAAGAUUAAAAGAAAAAUUCAUUCCUGCAGUGGUAAGACAUGAAACAUGAAUGUGUGCUUAAUAAAGCCACCGGCACAUUUAUAACUUCUUUUAGUUCGUAACCAUUCAGAUAUUUAAUUUUAGAUCAGCCACAGGAAUAAGCAUAGAAAGGGCGAUGCAUCCAAACUCAAAUUUGGAAGAAAGUUCAUAUAGAGUCAAAGAAAACCAGACCUGAAUGAUAACAUCUUACGGACUCGUGGGGCACGAGGCAUAUCCAUAAAUAAUGAAUUUGUAAAAAAUGCAAUUCUUCGCCGUGCUUCAAGAUUUAUAGGAACCUCAGUAGCAGAUUCUUUCACAGUCAAUAGUAGAUAGAGGCGUCUAAUCUGACAACACCCACAAAAACAAAAUUGUAUUAUUUCAAUUAAUCAGUUGAAAUCUUAGAAUGAUAGAUAAUUUCUUGAAAGUAAUAUUAUUUUCUUUUUCAAUAUACCCACCUGCUCUUCCCAUUGAGCAGUAACUGAAGGAGGAAAGUUUAUGGCAGGUUUAGUGUCAGUACCAGCAAAGAGUUGCCUUCCUGAGUCCUUGUUAUGACCCAGUUCUGCCAAUUCACUGAAAGAUAUAUUAAGUUACCAGUUUAGCAUAUAGCAGUAACCAUUGGAAGAUGCUAGUAGACAUAAAUAAAUUUACUUCAAAUUGCACAAAUUAUAUUUACUAACCGGACUUCAUUGAGCAUCAUAUCUCGAGUGACAACUUCUAACAUAUCUUGCAGCAAAAGCACCACUAUAUCUCGCUUGGACGGAUCUCCAUCUUUCUGAAACAGAAAACAAGAGCAAAGUUUCCAAUCUGAAGUAAUAGAUCAAUAAAUACUUCAGAAUUGCAUCAUAACUUACCAAGAUCUCCACGAGUUCCACAAAUUUCUUGCACAAAAUGAGUAAUGGACCCAUUUUGAAGUUUGUAAGAAGUGUGUUCUUCCCAAUAUUAUUUUCAACUUCUUUAAUAAUGGUCCCAAUAAUCCUGUAAAAUUCAAAGUGGAAUAAGAAUUCAUGAAAACAGUUGACAUAGGUUCUUGGUUUUACAAAUGAUAUAGAACAAAAGGUUAAGAUUUUUCGUGUUUUCUAUGGGCAGGAAAGGAAAACUAUGAUUAUUUGAUGAUGUUUGGUUCAAUAAGUAGGACUGUAGCUUGGAACCUUUUCUCAUUUUCUCCAACCACCAGAACAUUCAGGACAUUUUUGAAAGAUUCAUAACACUCUAUCACUGCACAUUUCAUGUACUCAUCGGCACAAAUGCGCUUCCAGAGGUCAGAAUCUCUGGAUCGAAAUUCAGCAGCCAUAUCCAAUGCUAUUGGAAUCUGUAGCAGUAGAAAAACUGUUAACAGUUGCUACAGGUAUGCCUAAAAAUUAAAAGAAAACAUAAAGGGACCGUAUUGACCUUGCUCGCUAGUAAAAAGGGAGGCCAUUGGAUUAUUUUUAGACUGGGAUCUGAGGAAUAAGGAACUAGCAAGAGAUCCACCUCCCUGUUUCAUUUGAAAAUCCAGUUUAGUUUUAAAAUUAUAAUUAGAAGGGUGCUUGGAAUGAAGAAACAAAAUAUAACUUAGUUUACACAGCCUUUCCUGUCACUUAUUAGAUCUUCCUCUCGGAAACUACAUAUCACUUCAUUCCACAACUGUGCAAACUUGGCAGCUUCACUUCUCCUGUUGGUGGUAAUCUACUCAGAAAUAAAAAGAAAUUACUACAGAUAUAAUGCUUGAACCACUUAUUUUAUACAUCUUAGAGAAAGGUAAUUUAAAAAAUUCAAAAAUAAAAGAGCAACCUCAUCAAAACGCUUUGAGAAGGAGAAUCCCCUUUUCUUAGACUUAUCUGAUGGCACCAAGUAUGUGUUGAAUGCACCUGGUAAGGACUGAAACCUAGAUCUAAGCAUACCUAGAGUUCGUAUCUGUUAUGAAAAGUAAAAUCAAAUCAAGUCAAACCAAUCACAUUUAACCUUGUAAUUAAAAAUAAGAAAUUCAAAUAAACAUUGUUAAACACUUGGCUAUAUUAACACAAGAAACUUUCGUAAUUUAAUUGAAUGCACAAUUAUUUGCUGAAUGAAAAAUAGUCAGUACAGUGUAAUAGUUUCAACCUAAAGUAUAUGCUCAAACAAUUACUUUCGCCAUAUUCUUCUGAAAGAUCAAAGUGUAACAAUUUCUAAGCCAGUUCGAGACAUCAGAAUAUACCAACUUAUUGUGCAUGCUAGGCUAAAAAGAGGUUGAAGAAAAAUAGGUGAAUGGAUAGUCCAUUAAGGAUGAGGAGUUACUUCAUAAGGUUAAUAAAUAAAAUUAAAUAAUAAUGGUUAAACAAGCAGAAUAUCACCUCUCCCAAUCGAUCACAAGCUCCAAUGAAACCACCAUAUAUAGUCGAAAAUAUAGCAUACCAAAUUUGAGUAUCCAUGAAAUAAACCUGCAUUCAAAUUAAAAAGUACAAGAGGUUGUAUCCAAGACAAUACAAAAAUUCUUCAAUACAUUGUACAGCUAUGGCAUAAAACAAAAACAAAGAAGUGAACAGAGAACAUACCAAAAUUACUGGCAUCCACAGUGACACAACUGCCCCAUAGUUGUGCUUGGCUGCAUGGAAAAGAUAAUUUCAGCACAAGCAAAAGUAAUCAAAGCAUUAAAGUGAAGUGAUCAGACAUGAAACAAACACCUUUAGGAAAAAAUUCAUGCCAUUCGUAUUCAACUCGAUGAAUAUUCAUUAUAUCUUUUGUUGGCUUCACCAAUGGCUUUAUCUGAAGGGAUUAAAUACAGUGGUUAGAGGACCUUAUUGACCAAAACCUCAAUAUAUUUAACUACUGAAAUUGUUGUCCUUGCUAUUUUAAAAUUUUAUUACCUGAACAAAAUAGCUAAAGGCAAAUUUGCAGCAUAAGAGUGACACCCAAAAGAUGGUAUACCUGAAAUCAGAUAAUGUCUUAGCAUGAAGUACACACUAACUAAUAAAAAAAAAUAGAAUUUGCAAUUUCAUAAAUAACAAGGAAAAAUUGAGAUCCAUAGCCUGUCACUCACUUAAUAAGUGAAAAUUGACUUUCAUGCAUUCCUCUUCCGACAUAUAUUCUUGGCUGCAGAAAGCGACACAGUUAUCAAGGACCUUACCAUGAGACCUAGAAUAUUCAAGGCCUCCAACGAGAAGCUUAUAAACACACAGUUAAGAACACAAGUGAACCAGAGGCAUGAGACCAGAUUUUUCCCACUUGAAAAAAGCCAAAAUAGUCUACCACAAAUAUUUGUAGAGAAUCAAAGGAAAAGAGAAAAAUGAUAAACAUGUUGCAGACAAAUUACUGGUGUAAGCACACCAUGUACAGGAAUCAUGAUUGUUAGUUAGGCACCAAAGUUUUACCUUCUACAGCUGGAUUGAAAUUAGGAAGAUCGAUAAGUGUAUUACUAAAUCUGGGAGAAAAGAUGGUCUCGGAAGAAUCAUCACUAAUUUAGUGGGGUGCAUGACAAUAGCAGUAAGGUAUAUAAUUGCAUCAAAACUGUGAAGUGGUCAAAAUGUAUUUAUUUGAUGGAACACUUACGGACUAUAAAGGGGAGGAAUAGAAACAGAGGAGAGAGAGAGAAUUGAGCAGCAUAUCUACCUGAGACCACCAAAGUAGAAAUCUGAUAAUGUGCCAAUCCGAGUUUUCAAUCCAACGUCGAAGCAUUGGAAAUAUGAAUAAAACUGCUGCAAGUAGAUUUGGUAGCAGAUAUAGAGCAACUGCCAUUAUAUAUAGAGGAGGAAUGCCCCUCAACGGGUUAAGAAAUGACAGCACGUCUCUGAAUUUCUCAGAAGCCAUCUUGAAAGUGUGAAGAUAGCAUAGGGGAAGAGCAACAGCCCAACCAAGACUGACAAUAACCUUUAGAAUGUUUCUAAGAACAUCAGUGAACUUCCAUCGGUGAAACCCUGGAAAAUUUAAAGCUAAGUCCAAGAUACCUGCAUUAAAAGAUGCACGUCAUUUAUGAUAAACAUAUAAACGAAGGACUGCACUAAAAGGAGAUGGAUUCAUAAUUCCUCUCCCCGUCCAUUUCAAUGGAUAAUUCAUAUAAACUUUCAAAAAUACAAAUACCGAAUAAAGAUAUAGUAAUAUCUUAAAGAAAGAUUUCUCCAAGUUUGACCAGUGAUUUAACCAGAAAUUAAAUCAUGAAGAAAUUAUGUAAGAUUUCAAUCACUAUAGCAUUCUCAACAACUUCUAAGCAUUAAGGCUCCUGAAUGAGAAUAUUUUACUUUGAAGAAGACGAAGGACUGCAGCAGUGAUGAAAAUGCUUGAUAAGGCGUACAAGACAUCCUUUUGGAAAAUCUCCAAUGGUGAAACUCCUUUCCAUGCACCAAUGGCCAUUGCCUAUAACAAACAAAUUGAAGAGUAGAUAAAGUAAGGAACCCAAAAUUAGGAGUAACAUGAAAAACCAUCAAAGAAUUUGUGUGUUCUAUAAUUGGAUACCUGAAGAGCUAGAACAUAAAAGGUCCAUAAUCGAUCAAAACUUCGGAAUGUGUGCCAAAAUGUUCUUGUCUCAACAAAAUAAGAUUUUCCUGUACUUCCAGAUUUUCUUUGCGGUCCCUUUCUUCCCUGGUACAACAAAAUUUUUCAUCAAAGUGUUGGCAACAAAACUGCUUGAACAAAGGGAUCAACACAGAGUUCUUAAAAUAAAAUUGUAAAAAAACCUGUGCUAGGUCACGCGUUGAUUUGAAAAAUUCACCAUCAUCUCGCAUGGGCCAACCAAGAGAAAAGCAAUCAGAUGACCUACAAAGCAAUCAGAUAACAUUCAAAACCAAAUAAAGACCAACAGUAUUUGGAAGGUCAAGUCUUUGUUUCAAGCUAACCAGAAGUACUCAUUCAGAUCAUCAUAGUUGCACCAGACUGAGUGUGGAGCUUUUCCAUUUUGGCUCUUCUUGGCCUCCUGAAGAACAAAAGUAAAUCCAUUGUUGUUGAAACAAAAUGGUAGGCGGUUGAUAUAAUAUUAAAUUUGUCUUCACUCUUCAUCUAUUAGCUUAACUUUUUUAAUUAAUUAUUUAAAAAUGUCAUUUCGACUUGUUGGGUUUCAUUAUAUUUCAAGUACACACAUGAAGGGGAGUAUUAAAUGAUAUGAUACUAAAUUUGUCUUCACCCAUUAGUUUAAGUUUUUUGGAUAAUUGAUAAUUUAAGAAUUUGAAAUAAAAUGAUAUGCAGCUUAAGGAUUUGGCUGACUGACCUUUUCAAUGACUCGGUAAAGGGGAGUUAUAACCUUCCGCAAGAAAGCUUCAUCGUCCCCACCAUAAGAAGGCUUAAUAUUUUCACCAGUAACAAUGCUCACGUUUCCAGCCAACAAGCCAUGAAGUUCAUAUGCCAUCUAGUUAUGAACAAUUCCAAAGACUAUAAUGUUAAGGGAAUAUAUUAACAAAUUCUUUAGUACAGUGAUCAAAAGGAGAAAAAAUCCUUACAUUAUGAAAUAUGUAACUCAAACAUUCUGGCAUGAACCGAACAUUUGCUGCUUCACCCCAGAUGAGAAGAUACAAACCCAUGUAGAGUAUCUUCCUUUGCUGAAUUUCUAGCUCACCUUGAGGGAGCCUAGACAAAUUAAGAUUUUAGUCAUUUAGGUGCAGUGUUAAUCAUUUGAUUUUUUGUUUUUAGUUAUUAAAAAUUAAGCUUAUAAACACAACUUGCACUUAUAAAUUUCUUUAUUUUGUUAUCCACUUUCUAUCAAUGAUUUAAAAAACAAAGCCAAAUUUUGAAACCAAAAAAAAAAGUAAUUUUUGUUUUAAGAAUUUUACUAUGAAUUCAAAAGUUUUUAUAAGAGAGGCGAAAAACCUAGUAAGAAAAUAGGGAGACAACAUGCAUAAAUUUCACAAAUGUAAAACCAAAAAUAAAUCGCUAUCAAACAGAGUGGUAAUUUUCACAUCUUCCGAUCAGCCAUAAUAAUUCAAUUAUAAAAUUCCAAAAGCACAAUGGACAUUUUAAAAUUUGAUAAAAAAAAAAUGAUUUCUCACCUUAGACUAUGUUUUCGUCCCAAAAACUUGCACCACGUUUUGUAAUUCUUAAACAAUUUGUUCAUUACUGCAUCAACUGCUCGUUCAUCAAGCUGCAUUUAAAGAACACUUGAAUAUGCCACGGAGCAGAGAGGGGAAAGAAAAGCAAUCUCAUAGUUUGAUAAACAAUGGGAUUCUCUAACCACCAGAAGAAAAUCAUAUAAAUGAACUUGAUAAUUUGUUUGAAUCAACGUACAUUGGAUAGACAUAUCUUUAAAAUGACAUGAUUUGCAUGUAAGAGUACGUAUUGUACCUUGUUUAGAGGUUCAGGCUUGGGGUGAAGCCUUAUAUGAGAAUUAGCAAGCAGAAGGAUCAAAUGUUCUCGCUGAUUUCUAACAUUAUCUCUCUGUAGCCACAAAUAUGUCAGUUGCAUAUCGUUUAUCUCUUAAGGCAGUUAGUAGAAUUCUUGAGUAUUACGAAAAACGUACCUGAAAUCCAAACAUUGCCCUUAACCAAUCCAGUAGGUCCAGAUCACCAGCUUUCUGCCUGCGUUGCUCAAACGCACUUGGCCAGUUCAAGCCACGAGUAUUCCACAAGGCACCCACAGCAGCCUUAACCUAAAAGUAAUGGAAAAAAGGACAAAGAUAAGGUUGAAUUUGGUUAUGAUAACAUGAAGACCCUUAUUAGCCAAGAAGCACAGACCCUUUAGUUUGACUAGUGACACUUGUUGGACACGUAUUCAACACUUGUUGGACACAAUGGAUAUGUUAGAGAUUAGUUUUACAAAGUUAAAAUAGGACCAACAUUUGUUAGACAUUUGUUAGGCGAGCAAACAAACACUUGUAACGUAAACUCAAACAGAAACAUAUAUGACAAAAAUAAUAAAAGAAAAAAUAAGAAUAGAAUACAUCAAACUAACUUAACUUUGAAUUUCCCUUAUUGUAUAAAAAUGAUAUAUAUUCUAAUCAAGGUGUCCAAGUCGAGUCUGCGUUCUAGAUUUUGAAAAAAAAUGGUGUCAUCACAGCUAUGCCUAUGUUGUAUUUUGUCUCGUAUUUGUAUCCAUGCUUCUUAGCUUAUCAGUUGCAAGACACAAACCUCUUCAAGCUGCAUUAUAGACUGGGAAGCACCAGCAGAAUCAAGAGGUAGAAUGUUAUAGGGUGCAUAGAUUUCAGUCUUUUCUUGGACAUCCCUCGCAGCAGCAAUAAUCUGUAGAUGUAGAACAUUACUAUAGACAUCUUCAUAGCAACCAAUUAGGCGAAAUGGUAAGUAAGAUGAAUUAGACAAUUGACACUAAAUGGAACAAACCUCCGGAGCAACUUCUUCAACUUUCUCGGUCUUAUUAACGGCACAAAGCACUUCGAAAAGCACACCGGCUGUUUGGUAAGCUUUACCGAGCUGGGCUCUGCCAAAAGAUCAGAAGGGGAAAGAAUUUCGCGAUGAGACACAUUGAAACAGAGUGUAAAUGAAACUUGAGAAAUUUACGAGAGUACCUGUCUGCUUGCUCUCCUUGAUCAAGAGCACUGACAUAAUGCUUGUAAUAUUGUUGAUAGAAGGCUUCGAUUUCCCUAGCAUCUGUUUUCUUCACUCGAGAUGCAAGACUCGAUGCAUUAUCCUGGACCAAAGACGACACGCUUCAAAUUAGUUCUAUUCAAAGUUCUUCCGUCGAUAAUCGGAGGACUUUACAGGCCACCGCCAAAUUCAUGGCGGGGAAACAGAGCAAAGCAAAAUAUUGGAGACGGGGCGCGCCACAAUAUGGCUUUUGUAACUUUAUGCGUAAGAGAGAACAUUUGUGAAUGUAACCAUAUUUUUAAAUUUGAAAUUUCACUAAUUAUUAUUUAAAUGAUAUAUUAGCAUUUACAUUAUAGGACCAUAUAUUAUAAAUUGUAACAGAAACAAAAUUUACAUUUCCACUGCUAUAGAUAGUAAUAUGUUAGAAAAUAUUUUUAGUGGCAUCCUUCUUACAUAUUACUUUUAUUGAUUAUUUAAAUUUAAAAGAAAAUAGAUCACAAGCAAUAAAUUAAAAUAGUAUAAAGAAUUAUAGUAUUAGAAAAUUUAAUUUAUUGUAUGUCACUUUAACACCCUUUUAAAAAUAGAAUAGAGUUUACAUACACUAAUGUUUGGUUCAUUAUUAAUAUGAAACUAAAUUUAUGAUAAUCGUAUACUAUAAAUUUGAGUGCAGUAACAAUAUCAUUAAAUAAAUUUUACAAGUUAAGACACAUAAUUGCAUGUGCAAUAAUUUUGAAUGGAUAAAUGAUUUGAGUAGGUGUUGGGUAUAGUUUAAAUAAUUUGUAUUGGGUGACACGGUUUUGAUUUAUUUGUGUGUUUCUUGAUAUGAAUAAUGACAUCACUUAAUGACAGUCAUGCAGUUAAGAUUGCAAAAGCACAUGGACGGAUCCUUUAUGAAACUGCAUGGAAUUAGCCAUGCAAUAUUAUAUAUACGUACCCUCUCUAAUCGUUGUAAAAGUGCUGUUUUAAACUGCCUGACACCACGACCACUGGAGCUGGGAUCCAACCUAUGGGCCUUCUCAAACGCAUAAAAUCGACCUAAUUAUUUCAUUGGAUCACAAUUACGGUGAGAUAGAGAUCAAAUACGAAUUAAGCAUAUAUAUAACCAACAAAACCAAUAUGAAUAUUAACGUACAGAGAUAUGCAACACGAGGGCGUUCUGCUUCGAUCUCUGUAGCGACACGAAGAAUAGGAGCAAUGGAAGCCAAAGACGAGGGAACCACCUCAUUGUCAAACACCUCUGUUGAGAAGACAGUGGUAGCAGCGCUACGAGAUGGCCGCCUUGUCAGCCCUUGAGGGCCAGACUCCAGCGUCGACAUAACUCACACGUCCACCACCACCACCACAGCAGUAGUAUAUAUAUAAAUAUAUAUCCUCUUUAAAUAUUCACGCCCCAAACAAUGAUCAUAAACGCACAUGUGAGAUCCAGAUCAAAAGGCUAUAGCAUUACAAUCCGAAGAUGUAUAAAUAGUGAUGCCAUGGAAGAAGAAAACUUACGUAGUUAAAAGGAGAUGGAAGAGGGAAAUGGGAGGCGCCUUCUCCUAAUGGAAGGUGGAGGAGAGGCAAAAAUAGAAGGGGAAGCUGAAGAAUGAAUAAUAAUAAUAAAACGAAAGGGGAGAGAGAGAGAGAUUGUGUGAUUAUGUUCCUUACAGUUAUUUUUUUAUGGGACACGUGGCAAUUGGAGAUUGAUGGGAUUCUUAAACAAAGACUGUGGUUCAACGUCCUUCUCGGAUGUUUGUUUUGUUCUGAAUUCUAAUCCUCUCUGUUGUCUUUCUAUUCUUAUGUUUCUUUUCUUUCCUAACAAUCCAUUCUUCUAACAACAAAAAUAAUUAGUAGAAAAACGUUUUAGGAACUAUAUCACAUCUAAACGAUAGAAAUUUUAAUAUCAUAUAAAAAUAUAGUUAAUAAAAACUUACAACGACAGAAAGUUAAUUACUAUUUUACCAAAAUAUGAGUGCACGUUCAUUUUUUAUAUGACUCAAUCAUAUAUUGUGUCAAAAGUUAAGGAUUACAUUUAUUUCAUUAAUCUCCCUCAUCGCAUGACCUUCGGGUCUAAAUUGUCUUAUCGACUUUAUGCCUUUGACAUGAAUCUUACGAUGACUUUUAACAAAUUUACUCUCUUUUAGAAGAAAGCUUAGGGCAUAAAGAUACCAGAGACUCGAGUUGGCUCAAACCCUAGAAGGCAUGGGAGCAUAUCUACCAUUAAAAAAUAUUUUUUUUGGUACACCAUUGAUCUUUUUAAAUCGGAUGAUAUCUAUAACCAAAAGGGCUAGCUCUAUAACGACAUUGAUUAGGAGUCCCUUACGUGCUAUAUUUACUCUUUUAGUCCAACUGUGGCCACUUUGCUUUAUAGCUUAGAGCAAUUUUUUUUGUUGAGGUCAUCGAAUCGCAAGACGAUAUCGGAGUUAUCAGUUGUUGAAUCUUGAAACAGAGAUGUUAUAUUUAAACAAGUUAACGUGUUUAUUAUUGCUUCAUAUUGAUGACUUUUUUUUUUUGGAUUUUUUUAUAAUUUAAACAAAAAAAAUUAAUAUCAAUAAUAUUACUGCUGCAAAGCCUUAAUUAUUCCCUGUUUUCUAGUCUGUUGGAGGUCAAGAAGAUUCAAGAUCCCACAUAACUUCCUUUAAAUUCGUGCUCUUAAUAAAACUUCUUGUAUUUAUUUAUUGUGUAAUAUAAUUAUUUAAUUAUUACAUUCACAUUAUCCAUUAUCAGUCAUGUAAAUAAAAGUAUUAGAUACAAUGAAUUUAUAUAAGACUAAACCUUAAAAUAUUUAAUCUCUAAUUUAUAAAUCGAUUAAUGUAAUUUAUAAAAUUUUUAAAAUGUAAUUAAGAGUUUAAUUAUUAUUUAUAAAAUUGCCGAAUGAAAGAUUUGCUUCUAAAAUAUCUUUGAGUUGGCGUUAAUGGCGGGUAGUGUUAGUAGUUGUUUUUUUUCUUUUUUUUUUUCUUUUUUGUGCUAUCCAAAGACAAUGAAAUUGAAAGGAGAAAACAAAUUGUUGAGAAGAGUCGAAACUAAAAAAAAGAAAAAGAAGAAGAGGUGUUUAUGUAUAUUUUGUGAUUAUGGAUCAUGAACGAACUAUGAAGUUAAAAAAUGGAAAUUAAUCUAAUUUCUGUAAUACAAUGAUCAUGUAUCAUAAAUUAUUUGAGUUCUCGAUGGAGUAUGUUGCCUCAAAUUCGUGGAUCUCAAGCUUUGGUAAGGAUCAUUUGGAUCAAGAUUACGUGGUGUAACUUCUUCUUCUUCUCCAUGCUCACCCGCCAUUGUUGUUCCGAACUGUUGCACUACCAAAACUGAAGUUGUUGCCGCAAAAUCCGAUGAGGCUAGCAAAUCGCCUAUUGCUCCCAGCUCUGGACAUUCACUCCAGUCCGUUAGUCCGGCAGUGAGGGGUGAUAUGUGAGAUUCACCUCUACCAACGAUGAACAGGUCGUGAGCAUCGUUCAUUGAUCUUAUGGCCGCCACUGUCUCUUCGCCGUUGUUCAACACUUUUUCUGUGUAAGUAAUUGACUCACUGUUUGGGUUCCUUGCCCUAAAUUCGCUUAUAUGAUCUUCGUCCAGUUUCCUAUCUCUGUUCAUUUCUGUUUCCAUUGUUGAAAUUCUUGAUGUGUUUUCUUCUAGUUUUGGUUCCAUUAUUUCUUGUGCGGCGAUGAAUCUCAUUACGGUUAAAUUCACUCCUGGAUGUUCUGACAUUCUCCAUGCAUAUGAUAGGGCUUCUCUAUCAUCUUGCCCACCAAAGAACAACACGAUUAUGUUAUAAUGAGUUCCUUUGUUUGAUGUGGCUCGAUUCGCGCCGUUUAAGCCUCGAUCGACUAGGAUUCCGACGGAGCAAGGGGCAUUAGCUAAUACAUUUUGGUUUACCAAUCUAAAUGCUGGAUUUGAGGCUUCCAUUCCUCCAUCCACUGUUUGUUGUUUAUGGAAUGGGAUGAUUAUGAACGCAACUCGUUUAUCUUCAGCUAAAUUGCAGAUGUCUUCGUGCAUUGUGGAGUAAGGGGAAAUGGCGGUGAGAGGUUGAACAGAGACGCAAUCGACGUGUUGUUCAUAGUUCUCGAAUGCAUUAAUGAUGUGAUCUGAUUGAGCUUGUGUUCGAUUUAAUGCAGGGCGGCCUGAUUUUCUGGUGUUGUGGACAAUGAGCAUGGCGGAGGCUCGACCUGUGAGUUCAACCAAGUGUAGCACGUAAAUGCAAAUUGGGGAUCUUUUAGUUGGAUGGGAAGCAUCAAGGAGGUUGAUGAUAGUUGGCACAUUUCGAGGUGUGUGUAUACAAACUAAUACUCUAAAUUCUGAAUCUGGUUUUGAUGCUUGGAUUGUUCGUUUCUUAUAGGGUAGAAACCUUCUUGUUGGCCUAUAGAUUAUGGUAACUACUGGUGUUAUUAUCCCUGUCAUAAUGAGAGCUACAAUCACCAUGACUGUGAAUGUUUGAUCAUCUAACACCUGCAUAUUUAGUUUAAAUUGAUUAUUUGAUAAGAAUGGUACGAAAAAAUAAUGGUAAAGAAAGAGAUAACACGUUGAAAAUGAUCAUUAUUUAUUGAGUGUUUACCUUCUGAUCCUUUCCGACAUUGAGGAUGAUCAUUUCAAUAAGGCCUUUGGUGUUCAUAAGCAAACCUAACGUGACGCCUUCACGAUAGGACAUUUGAUAACAAAUGGAGGCAAGAAGAGUUCCUAUGACUUUGCCAAGGAAAGCAAGGAGAGUGAUACAUAGAAUAGAUAUCCAAGCGAAUAUUCCUUCUAUGCUUGAAAUAUUAGUCUUAAGCCCACUUAUUGCGAAGAAAAGAGGAAGCAAGAGGCCUGAAACAAAAUCCUCAAGUUUCUCAAUUAAAGCCACCCCAAGUGAACCAUUUGGGAUAACUAAACCAAACACAAAAGCCCCAAAAACGGAGUGUGUUCCUAUGGCAUCUGUAACAAAUCCUGAGAUCAUAACUCCUGUCAGAAUCAAACAUAUGUAGAACUCACUCACACUUUCCCCUUCUGGAGUUUUUCGAAUCAUCCAUGAAAUCAUUGGUCUAACGAUGAAAAUGCAAAACAAAACGAAGGCUGCACUUGACAGUACAACCCAUAAUGAAGCAAAAGAUGAGGAAUCAUUCUCCGAUAAGGCUAUGGCUAAAGCUAAGAGAACCCAAGCACACAUAUCGUUGAAAAGUGCAGAUGCCAUAGCCAUCCUUCCCAGCUCUGAAUUUAUAAGUUUAAGCUCUGCAAGAAUUCUAGCUAGCACUGGGAAAGCAGUCACAGAGAGCGCAAUACCAAGAAACAUAAUGUAAGUGUUGUAGUUCAAUUUUUGGCUUUCUUUGUGCAAUUGGAAUGAAAAGGCAGCUCCUAUUCCGAACGGAAGAAUCAUUCCUGCUACAGCUAUUGCCAUUGCCUUCUUCCCUGUUCGACGAAUCACUGAGAGAUCCAUUUCAACACCAACCAAGAACAGAAAGUAGAGAAGCCCCACAUUGGCCAUUGUCUCAAGCACCAUUACACUUCUUAGAGGAAAUACCGUGUUGGCAAAUUUAGAACUCCUCCCUAGUACCGAAGGCCCCAAAAUCACUCCACCCUAUUACAUAAAGAAACCAAAUUCAAGGCUCGAUUAGUGAUAUAAAAUUAAACUUGCCUUCACUAAUUGGUGAUAUAAGACUCCAAAUGUCAUCACCAAUGCCAAUAAGUUAGUUGCAAGAAAGAACCUAACUAGAGAAUCUCAAAACUCACCAAAAUUUCAGAGAUGACUCGAGGUUGACGAAAGGGUUUUAAGAGGAAAACCAAAAUGCGAGUCAUCACAACCACCAUUGUUAACUGCAAGAUGAAAAGGGGGAGAGAAUAAUCCAAAGGGUUGUCACCUUGCCACACCCCAUUUGUCGUAAUCAUCGUCGGCGCAUAGCAGACAAUGGUAUCAUCUGUGCCAUUGGAUAUCGAAGCUUGUCCAUCCAUUUCUUCUUCUAUUUACUUAAUCACCUCUUUCUUACAAUACAAGCAAAGCCACCAUUAACAAAGAACUUCGAAUGAAACUUGUGGAAUCUAAGCUAAAGGAAGUAUUCAUAUUGAGGAUUUGGUUUGGUUAGCAUUUUGUGUGUUGUACCAGCGAGGACCAGCUUGCUUGGAAUGGGGAAACGAAAACAGAAAGAGAAAUUUUGAAGUAAUAUUUGUAUUUGAGAAAAGUUGGUUGGAGAUGUGUGGUCAAAGAUAGAUUGACUAUUUCUAGACCCCAAAUUAUUCUUGGUGGGUUGAUCAGAGGCUUGUAAAUAGGCUUUUCUUAGGCAAUGAACAAUAUUAACCUACGUUUAGGGAAUAAUAUAGAUAGACAGUCAAUUUUUGUUGGGGAGAAUUUGCGUUAGAGUUGCAAUGGCAUGAGUAUUUUAAAUUAUUUAUUUAGAAACAUGGAACUUUAUGUUGGUUAUGUUUUCUUAAAUUAUUUCUCAAAUUUUGAAACAUGGAACUUUCUCAAAUUUUGAUUUAAAUUCAUUGCUAUCUUCUAUGUACCAAUAGUUUAGAUUUAAAUAUAUUUUUAAAAAUAACAAAAUAAAUUAAAAUAUUUACGAGCUAUAACAAAACUUGUCAUAUAAGUUGUAAAUAUUUUUGUAAAAUUUUCUAUUUUCAAAAUUUUUCCUUAGAUUUAUCGGAUUCAAGACCUUUAUUAGAAGGCUUAUCCUAUUUUGGCCUAUAAAUGUUUAAAAUUUAUUCUAGAUAAAAUUUGUACACAUAACUAUUUUUAUCCUUGCCAUUAAUUUUUCUUCUAAAAUAAAUCAUGUACAAAAAACUUGAUAUAGGUAUAUGUUUUAUUCAUUUACUUCAUCCUUAUAUUCUCUGAGGUCGUAUGUAAAAUCAAAGUUUUCAAAUAAAUUUAAAUUAUUGUUGUAAAGAGAAACCAAUCACAAGGAGAGCGACUAAAAUAAACAUAGCUCAAUAUUGUUAUAGUGUUUGUAUUAUAAAACUCGAGAUCAUAGAUUUUAUUUUCCUAUCCAUACAUCUAUUUAAAAUAGUAAGAACUAAUAUAGAUUUACUUUUAACUUUUCUUUCUCUUACAUAAUAUACUAUUAAAAAUAAAUUUGUAUAUAGUAUCAAGUUUCUAUUUAAAAAUAAGAUUUAAACAAACCCAUUUACAAUUAUCAUCCAUCAUCUUAUUUCAUUCUCCAGUAUCAACAUUUUUCUUUUCUAAAUUGUACUUUAUGCGGAAUACUUGCUCCUGUCUAUUCGAUAACCAUGCUAGAAAAGAACUUUUAGAUAAAGCAAAAUUUUAUUGCAAUUUUUGGAGCUUAUGAAUGAUAAUUGAUAUAAGAGUCUUAUAAAGGAGUCUAUCAAUAAAAUAUAAUUUAUUACUUGAUAAAAUUUUCUGUAAUUUUUUGAAACGAUGUUAUACAUUUAAUUAUUAGUUUUAAAAAUAUUAUCCGUUAUAAUUAGUUUGUUACAGUUAGCUCAAUUUUUACCAUCGAGAAUUUAAAGAUAUAAUUGUAAUUACUAUAUCUUAUAAGUGAUUUUUGCAAUUGUCCAAAUUUUUUUUAGAUUUAAUCUUCUCUUAUUUUAAUCAUCUUCUCAACAUAGAUUCCUAAUCUAAUGAAUGAUUGAUUAUUAAUGAUCCAUCCAAUUGUACAUGAAUAACAAAUUAUGUCUUGAUUUAUCAAAAGGGAAACUCAAGAUUUAAAAAUCUCUUGAAAGUGCUAACAUUUGGAAUUGUGACUCAAAUUUGAUGGCUUUAUGCAUCAUCUUUUAUGAAUGAUGAAAAGCAUAAAUAAAUAAUGUUACCUUUUUUAUGCUUUGAUUUGUUUUUCUUUCUUUGUUUGUUCAAAUGCCAUAUGACAUUAUAUUUUUAAUUCAACAAUGGGAUGCAGCUAAAGCAGUGGAGUUGUCACCAAAUCUCAACUUGAGAGAUUGCCACAUGGUUCACCACUUUCUUAUUAAAGCCACCAAGUUCUCUAUAUUUGAUUUUCAUUUUGUUCCUAGAUGUUACAUUAUAUUUUGCCACCUAAUUUCAAAUCUAGUUUAUUUUCAAAACUUUUUCUACUUCGUUGUGUUAUUCUUGAAGAGCAACUCGUGUGAGAUGCUUACUAUUGAAAUUGUGUCACAAUUACUUUCAAGGCAGUGAUCAUUCCACGACACAACAAUUGAUUUGUUCGACACUCCAAUCUACACACAAAAAACUUGAGUUACGAAAUUCAUGUUGACAUCAUUAUUGUUAAUAUUAAUCGUGAACAUGAUCUUUAACUUUUCAAUAAUUUGUCAAUUAAUAGAUCGUUCCUCAACAUCCAUAUCCCUUAAACUCUCGCUAAAAUGUAAAAGUUUAUUGGUUUCAAUUGAAAGAUUGGUGGUGUGUUUUAAAGAUAAAUUCACUUUUGUUAAUAAAUAGUUAGUUAAGUCGAUUCGAAACCUCUAUUGUAGGUUUGGUGAGGCACCAUUAUAACUAUAAGUGUACGAAACGAAAAUCCACUGGUGAGUGAGAUUAUUCCUUUCUUUUUCUUUUUUCUUUUUUCAAUAUAGUUUAAACAUUAUUAGUCCAUGUGAAGGAAAUGAAAAUAUAAUUUUAAAAGAGAAAAAGUUAGUGGCAAAUUUUUGUAACCUUUAAUUCUUUCAAUUGUUUUAAAUUCAACGAUUGAAUUUUGAUAAAAUAAAAACACAUUUAUAAUGAUAAAUAUUUCACUCCAUUUGAGUAAGAAAUGGUUUGAGAUACAUCUUAGUCCCUGCUUAUCUUUAUAUGAUCUAUCUAAAAAUUCAAUUAUGAUUUAACAAUAAAUCGAACAUAUAAGCUCAAUUUACAAAUAUGUUAGUAAUACAUUGUGGUUUAAAUUUUUGUACCUCAAUUAUAUUAAAAUUGAUAAAUUUUUGUUACGUAACUAAAUGAGGUUAAAAAAUGUAUUCGAAUUUGAUUAAGUUAAAAUAGUUAAAGUUUUGAAAAAAUAUAUAUUUUUUUUUGUAGAAAAAAAUGUUUCUUAAUAGACAUGGUUGACUAGGUAUUUUCCAAAAAUUAGAGAAAAUUUUAAAAAAUAAAAUUGGUUUGCAAAACUAAGAUGGAGAUUAGAGCAUGAAAAGAAAAAUGAUAAUAUGAUAAUUUACAUGUAUAUAUAUAUAUAUUCAUAAGUAAUUAUGGAUAUUUUAAUUGUUAAUCCAAUAUUGUAGUAUUGAAGAUUUUUUGACCAUAUUUAUUUGUUAUUCUUUUAAAGACUUAUCUCUAAAUUGUAUAUAAGAAAAAUUCUCAAUAAUACGACAAACCAAUUUUUUUGACUAUUUGAUUUCUUCUGUCCGUUACAAAAACUACAAUUUUUCCUUUUCAAAUAACAAUAUUCUUUUUACACCUUCAUUUCAUGAAUUGUGAUCUCAAUUAAUUAUCAAACAUACCCAAAAAAAAUAGAAAAGAAAAAAAAUCAUAAUUAAUGUUUUAUAUUAUCAAACUAUAAUCAAUCCUAAUCAAAUUGGUGAGACUCGAUAUUUAUAUUAUAACGUAGUGUUACAAUGGUGAGCUAAUAUUUCAAAAUAUGUAAGACAAGAAAAUUAUUGAUUGAAAUAUAGAUGGAUAUUUUUCUAUUUAUUAUGCAACUUUAUUAUAAGUUUGGAUGAAAAUAAACUUUACUAUUGUUAUUGACAGAAAAUGUUGCUCAAAAUGUGAUUAGCUAAACAUAUGAUUGUUGUUUGUUGAGGAAAUUUUAGGUUUUAGAAGGCAGUCGAUGCAGUAUGAUUAUUAAUGCAAAAUUGAGAAAUGAAAGAAGUAUUCAAACUUAUAAAUAAUUGUAGACAAUUUUUAGUUGAAGGUUUAGAGAUUCCUAAAAGGCAGCGUUACAAUAAACAAACAACAAAUUAAGAGAAAAACAGAGUGGAAAAUGAUAAGAAGAGAUGAUUCUGUUUGAGUGGAUUGAAGUUUGGAUUUGAAUAAAUUAGGCAAAGGAUAGAGGCAAGUGCGCAUUAACCCACCUCUCAAAUGCGUUACUUUACAAGAGUUUCAACCAAUAUUCUGACCAAAAUUCCCCAUUUCAUAGUAUGAAAUUUCCAAGUUCUCACAUUUUUCUUCUGGGUAUUAAAAUAGCAACAAAAAUCUCUUCCCUUUUCCUCUAUAAGCUUCAUUUGAUUCAUUCCCCAUGUUGUACACCUUUUGAUUUCUCCCUGCUCCCGCUUUCAACUUCACCCGCCCUCAAUUCUUUCCUUCUUCAACUUUCCUGUUUCAUUCGUGGGGAAGACGAGUCAACCGAUUUCUGUGAGUUUGUUUCGAUUUUCAAGUUCUGGGUUCUUUGUAUUUCGCCUAUUUUUGCUGAUGCUUACGACUUUUCUUUCGCAUUCUUCAUAACUUCCCGCCAUGCCACAGUUUAUCGUCUAUGAGUUUUCUGUAAUCGAGAAGUCGAUUGUCUUUCUUCUGUGUAAUUACUGAGUUUCUGAGUCUGAUGAUUCACAGGUGAUUUUGUUUAUUAUUUCUUCUCCAGUAUGGUUUCUUUUCCAGCCUUAAUUUGGAAUCAUGAAUGCCUCUAUAUCCUUUUGGGUCUUCAGAUAUUUUGAUGUCUUAGAAGGAAAGAAGGAUAUUAGGAAAUUUAGGAAUCUUUACUUUUAAAUAAUGGGGACUUCUGGAGCUCAUGUUACUCUUUCUUGCAAUAAGACGUGGAAUAUUGGAAGUUGGAGUACCUUUAUAGGGAAAGGAACAAAUUGGGGCAUUGGAUUUGUAGCCAAAACGUAGUAUCUGAAGUUAUUGGUAUGCCGCAUAUAUAAAUUCAUUAGUUUGCACCAUGCACAAGGGGGACAAAUAUAAUUUUUUUUUCUAAGUUAAUUCUUAAAUUUGAAUGAUUAGUAGAAGAAUUAGAGGGAGAACACCAUGAAAAAAAGUUUGGGAUUUCACAAGGUUGGCCGCUUCUUUCCAUUCUUUUUUCUUGCCAGUGGAUAUUUGGGAGGUCCUCUAGUUUUAAUCCAAUCAUUGGAAUGCUUUUAUUGCAUUUAUCCAAAGACUCUUCCUGUUCCUUCUUAAACUAUGGCCACACAAAAUUUGGGACUUAUGUUCUUUUGCCUUUCUGUUCAUAAAUUCAACAUAUAUGAACAUUCUUCAGAAGGAAUUUCCAUCAUCACCUACUAAAAUCACUAUGAUAGAACAAAUGUUUCAUGUUUUACUCUGCUUCUCUACAAUGGUAAGAGCAACUUGAUUGGAGAAGAGAACUGGGGCACCCCUUCUGAAUUAUUUCUUCUGUAUUCAAACCUUAAUACUGGAUGGACAUGGACCUCAUAUAUCUGUUUUUUAUAUUUUUUUAUUAUUCAGGCCCUUCCACAUUGCGAACUGCACUCUUUUGAUCACUGUAAUAAUACGUCAGAGAUGGUGUUUGUACUUCUGUUAUGGAUUUAUUUAUUUGUUUUCUUUUUCUCCCUUUCAUUAUUGUCCAUACUUGUAGUUAACCACAACGAAUUAUAAACUAUUAAACUGUAUUACGAUCUUCUCAUUUAUUACUUUGUUAUUGCAUCUCAAGAUAUUCUUGCAAAAUGUUGUACUUCUAUAUCUUACAUGAUUCUUGGCAGUUUGUGAGAAUGAGAGUUAAUUGUCAAGCUAUGGCAUGUUGCUUUCUUUUGUUUUAUACCGCUGGUGUUCCUAAUUCCUAUUUGAUGCUCAGGUUAUUGAGCAGUAAAAUUGACAGGUAACUCCAGUGUGGAUUUACGUGGAUGCAUUUGUAAUACAUAUUCAUCAGUUAGCAUUUUUCAUGGAAUUGAUUCCUGUAUCUACUUGGUGUUCAGUGUUCUGUUCUUUAGGCUUCUGCCUUUAGGAUUGCCUUGAGUCUUUAAAAUCUCUAUUAACAAAACCAUCGUCUAUCUAAAAUAAAGUUGAAGUCAAUUUAUGCCUAAUUUAUCUAAUUGGCUUCCAUGUAUGUAAUAGUUGGAGAUGAAGCAUUUUGGAAAGAAACCAUUUUCAGUCUGAAUGACACUGCUACAACUCUAGCGGUGGGGUAAAGUGUGUUGGAAUUGUAUAUUGAACAGCAGAUCAGAGAUUGACUGCAGCAAAAGAGAAGAAAUUAACAGGUUUUUUUUUUUUUUUUUUUUUUCACAAUAGUUACUUGUAUUCAAUAUUGCAUUUUCUUCUAUUCUUCAUAUUCAGCAUUUCUUUGGAUUUGACAUUCAUUCAUUCUUUCUGUCUCAAGUAGUUUUAUUAUUUUUCCCCUUUAAAUAUAUGGUAAUGUAUAAAACUCAAGGUAGAUCCACAUUUGUCAUUAUUUUUUUAUUGUUGGUUCUCAUGUAGGUAAUAAGUAGGGAUGAAACAUUUUGAGAAUGGUGAAUCUGACUUGGAAGAGGGUAAAAUGGGAAAGGACAGAGACAAAGCAUUACGCAAUAACAGGGCAUUCAGAUUACAUAACCAGGCCUUAUUGUCUGGCCUUGCAUACUGCAUUUCUUCGUGCAGCAUGAUACUAGUAAACAAGCUUGUGCUUUCCAGUUAUGAUUUCAAUGCUGGGAUAUCAUUGAUGGUCUAUCAGGUUAUUUCUCAUUGUUGAAAAUAUGUUGAGAAGUUAACAUCUAUUUUUCCGUUAUAGCAGCUCUCAUGUUUAACAUAACUUCUGAGUUAAUUGGAAGACUAACAAGUUGUUGCUCUGUUUAUUGAUGCAGAAUUUUAUAUCAGUGAGUAUUGUGACAAUAUUGAGUGUUAUGGGCAUUAUAUCCACGGAACCACUCACUUGGAGGCUGGUUAAAGUGUGGAUGCCUGUUAAUGUUAUCUUUGUUGGGAUGCUCAUUACUAGUAUCUUCAGGUAGGAUCUUUCUUUUCCUUAUUCCUUAAUUACAGAAUGUAAAUAUGUAAUUUACUGAAAGGAAGUUAUGAAGAUUUCUGACUUGACAUUUUUCACUGGUUUUUCUUGAAAAUGUAUGUGUAAUUCUUGAUCAAUCAACACAUGCAUAAUUAUUAUUUUUUUAAUGUUGAUCGCAGAACAUAGUAAAUAAUUUGACUUCUACCUAAGCUUCUUGAUGAAUAUUGUUGCACAAAACCAUCUUGGGUAUCCCAAAUCUUUAAAAAUGGAUUCGUACGCAGGAUUUCUCAGUCGGCAUCAGUUUAGCCAAACUUUUCUGAGUUUUUUGUACCACAUCUUAGUGGAGAAAAUAGUUUUCUGCCUUUGGGUCAAGUCCAAGAUCUUAACAAGAUGGUAUAUUCUUUUAUUACUAAUUUGCCUGGUGAAGUUUAAACUGAAUUGUCUUCUACUACCCAAACCAAUUUUUCUAAAAUGAAUCAAUCCUUUUGGGUUUGGAUCAGUUAUAUUUCUGUCUGUAACUUAUCUGUAGGUUUGUGUUUCAUGUACUUUCUUAAGCAGUGUUUACUUCUCCUGCAGUUUGAAAUACAUUAAUGUUGCUAUGGUCACAGUUCUGAAGAAUGUUACCAAUGUAAUAACGGCAGUUGGUGAAAUGUAUCUUUUUGGCAAGCAUCAUGACAACAGGGUCUGGGCUGCACUUUUUCUCAUGGUAUAUAGCAUAUUUGAGUACUAUUAUAAGAACUAGUUGCAAAAGGCACAGUUUAUGUUAUUUUGUUGCAUCCUUGGUGAUCAUGAAUUAAAAUGGCCAUUUGAAAUUCAAAUGCAUUCUGCAGAUAAUCUCAGCAAUUACUGGGGGGCUUACUGAUCUAUCUUUUCAUGCGGUUGGAUAUGCGUGGCAAAUUAUCAACUGCUUCUUGACUGCAUCGUAUUCCGUAUGUACAUAUCUUUAAGGCUUUUAUAUUUUGUUCAUUCUUAUGGUUCCAUUUCAAUUGUUUUAUUUGUUUCAUACCAUUUCCACCACCUGAACGAUUCUUACAUUUUCUAUUGCUUCCUUUUAGUUCUACUUCUGCAUCUUUUCUAAUUACUUUAGUGGUUCCAGGAGUUACCGACGUUUGUUGCUUUCUCAAAAAUGAAUUGGUUCUGUUUGUUUGAAAAUAAUUCAAUGUUCAAAUUGUGAAAAUGAUAGCUAAGAGUUAGAGGGAGUUCAAUGUGGAUGUAUCAAUCUAAAUUUAUUCAUUACUCCAUUUCGGGCAGUUGAUCUUAGCUGUCUUAAAUAUGCAGUUAUAUUAGCUUCCACAAUACAGCUGAUGUUCAAUUUUUAUGCAGCUAACUCUACGGAGGGUUAUGGAUACAGCAAAGCAGCUAACCAAAUCUGGAAACUUGAAUGAGUUCUCAAUGGUCCUCCUAAAUAACACUCUUUCUCUUCCUCUUGGGAUAUUUCUUGUUUUUGUGUUUAAUGAGAUUGAUUAUCUCUCAAGAACGUAAGUAUCUUUCAUCUGCCUUUUCUCUUUCUGCUAGUUUAUUAAAUGAUUCUCUUUGUUUCCAUAUAACGUUACCACAUUUCUAGCAUCUACUUUAUCUCCUUUUUUGAGAUUUGUUUCUCUUUAGUCAAAUGAUUUUCAUAGGAAAAAUUAAUCAAAGCCUCCAAUCAUCAACUUUGGUUUUUCCAUUUUUGCUGUUUAUUUUAUAAUAACUAAAAUAUUGGGUCCUGUGAUUGAAUUAUGCUCUAGGCUCAUCUCACUAAUUCUUACCGCCUACUCCAAGGCUUGAUCCAAUAGACCUUAACAUUAUUAAGUUUCUACUUAGAGAUUGACCAUGAGCUUGGACUUCAGAGAGAAAUUAUUAGUUUCCAUGGAGGAAAGUUGUAACAUAAAAUUAUGUACUAUUGACUUGGAAAGCCUUUUUCUUGCCAUUCAUGUGCAUUUUGAGUCUUCGACCUGCAUAAAUUUGAACUUUAUAAGUGUUGAAUUCUUGGCAGACCGCUUUUGAGAUUGCCGAUGUUCUGGUUGGUGAUUACGUUCAGUGGUGUUUUGGGUCUAGGAAUUAGUUUCACGUCCAUGUGGUUUCUCCAUCAAACUGGGGCAACAACGUACAGGUAAAAUGAGGAAAAAGAGAAUCUAAUGCUGAUGCUAUUUUUAAGACUCGUAUGAAUGACAAGGCACAGUACAUAUGGUUUAUUUGUGCAGCAUUUUUAACUAAGAAUCUCAUGCAUUGUGCUUUGAUACCAUACUAAAUCACCAUCUUAGAAAAAGCUGAUAAUUAGUGGAUUUCAAGCUUGGCUUCUGACUUCUCUACACCAUGACAUGUGCAGCAGGUGGUGAAGCAUCCUUUGUGAUGAAUGCCUGUUUUAAAAUCUGUUUAUAUGUAGAAAGAUGGUGAAACAAAUAUUUGCAAAUAUACUAGUAUAGUCUCUCCUUAAUUCUUACUUCGUUUUGUGUGUCAAAGACUUCAUUGCUGAUUAUCCACUAUUAGUUACUUGUUCACUGACUAAAUUUUCUCUUUUUCAACUUGCAUUUCCAUAAAUAGUAUGCCUCUACUUGCUAGAUUUAAAAAUAUGUUAAAAAAAGACUCCCAGUUCAGGUUGAGCUAACUAAAUAAUAUUCUCAUCUGAUCUUCUGCAAUAUAACUUGCAGCCUAGUGGGUUCACUAAACAAGAUCCCUCUCUCUAUUGCUGGUAUCUUCCUUUUCAAGGUCCCUACAAGUGUGGAGAACUCGGCGAGUAUAUUUUUCGGUGAGCUUUCCUCAUGAAUUGCCUGAUCCUAAUAUUACAGUUCCUUGGCAGCUAUAUGUCUGAAAAUCAAAUGCUUGAUUCGCAUUUGCCAAACAACUAAAGGAAAUGGUAAUUUGCAGGGCUUUUGGCUGGUGUGUUUUUUGCGAGAGCCAAAAUUCGAGAGAGAAGUUAAUCCUUGGAAGUCAAAAGUGAUAUCUGAAAAAGAACUUAUCGUCGACCUCGUUCUUAUUGAACUACUGCUUGCUGAAGCUGGUUUGCAGUUGACUAUGAUUUGGAAUAGAAAAUGGAACCAUCUCUCAUUGCUGCGGUUCCUUUUUUUUCACUGAGGUGGUUUUCAGCUUUGUAAUUGGGAUGAAGCUGGAAAAAAUUCUGUUGAAAUCCAAUUUUGACUUUGCUUUGUUUGCUGUAUGGAAAGGAAAGACAAUGCAGAUCAUUGAUUGUUGUAGUUUCAUCUGUAAGUUGGAUGUUCUUUGUUGUUUUUCUGUCAUUUUUAAUGGUUGUAAUUACGGGACAUUCUCUAUUUGUAAAUGGGUUUGUCUAAUUAAAAAAAAAUUAAUUUUAUUCGUGCGUGAGUAUUCGAACUUUUCCCGAGAAAUCAUAGAACUCAGUUUUAAAGCUGGAAUUCAUUUUUGGCUCAAUUAUGGUUAACUUUUUUAACUUUUAAUUUUAAGGAGUGAACUUAGUUCAUAAAUAAUUGAUAUGAUUUUCCAUUCUAAAGAUGGAUGGAUCCAUCUUUCAUAUCUACAAUUAUUGUACUAAAAAACCUUUAAUCUUAUUUAAGUUGGAUUAAUUAUAUAUAUUCUUCCAAACUUCAAUUAUAAAUUUGCCUAUAAAUUAACAAAAAAAAAAUCAAGUCAAAUAGAAAAUGUUUGAACUUAAUUAUGAAAAGACAUGAAACUAGCAGGUGUGUUAAAAAGAACAAAUAACCCGGCCAACUUGGAUUACCCAACUCUAACCGCCAUGAGGGAGAAAAAACAAGUUGAGUCGUAUUGUCGGGUUGUGCAAGUAAAGGGUGGGUUGACUUUUGUACAUCCGUAGAAACGAAUUCCAAAUUGAGACAAAUUGGUAUUGAGAAAAACAUCAACACAUGAAGGAAAGAGUGUUUGAUAGCUUGUUUGUUUCAAGAAUUAGUGACAUUAUUAUAACAAAACUCAUUCAUCUAUUUGGUUUGGCUACUAUGAUAUGAGAAGAGAUUUUGAUUGUUGAUGUGUUUGAAGUAAAAAGUGAAAAAUACCCUUGAUUUUUCAAACAAAUACAGUAAUUUGAUUACGUCUAAUUGUCAUAUGAUUACCACAUCUAACUCUCAUCGGAUUACCAUUAGAUAGUCCUCAUUUUGAAACAAUCAUUUGAUUACUUUUGGAUUGUCUUAUACUAAUUGCUAACGAUAUUAAUUUGUCAUCUGAUUGUUAUUUAAUUGCAAAUAAAAUCUUUUUUUUUUAUAAUUAUUAAGAAUUUGAGUAUUUUAUAUGAUUGUUAUAUAAUUUCUAGUGGUAACAACUGUGUAUGAUUACUAUGUGAUAAUAAGUCAUGUAAUACUGAUUGUUAUCUAAUUACAAAUCAAUAAAGUGAUAAUGAUUUAUAGUUGUAUUGUUAUUAGAUUGAUUGAUUAGUUACUAAUUGUUGUAUAAUAAUUAUUUUAUAGAUGAUUGAUUAAAUAUGUAAAGAAAAAAAAGUUUGUUUUAAGUUAAAUGAAAUUAAAGAAAGAAAAAUGAAAGAAAUACAAAUUAUUUUUGAAAAAGAAAGAGAGAAAAAAAAUACAAUUUUAAUAAAGAAUGGUAGUUUUUAUUUUUUAAAUCAUGGUUGCAAAUAUAUAAAUAUAUUUUGCUUUCUCAUGCAAUUUCUUUACUUAAAUAAUGAAAAAAUAAAUUUUGAAGCGAAGUAAAAUUGAGUAAAAGAGAAAACGAGGAAGGAACGAUUUCUCAUUCGAACUCCUCUCGCAAUGGAGACCUUGCAGAAUCCAAACGCAAACACCAAUUCCAAUCCAAAUACCAUAUCUUCCCCAAUUCGUGUGUUAUGGCCUACCAUCGAUGGCUCUCUGGGUUUGUCGGAGGAAGAAUCGGUGAGCUAUGCUCGUAGGUUCUACAAAUUUGGAUUUGCAUUGCUUCCAUUUCUUUGGGCGGUUAAUUGCUUCUACUUCUGGCCUGUUCUUCGAUCCCGCUCGUUUCCUCGCAUCCGACCCUGUGAGUUUUCCUCUCUUAACUUCUACUUUCAAUUAUUUCUGAAAUUUUCACACUCAUUGCUGUUCAAAGAAAAAUAUGAUUAGGAUCCUAUUGUUGGAUUUAUCAUACCUCAAUAUUCAUGAGCAUCAACAAUUAUAUUUUAACUUCAUUUUGCUUCACUGGUUAUGUUUUAAUGUGUGGUAGGCAAUAACUCAAAUUAUUUUGUACAGAAAUACAUGACGCUAUUGUAAUGUAGAUAUUUGUGUUAGAAAACCCGACGCCCAUCGGUCAAUCCUUGUUCAUCUGUUGUUUUUUCCGUAGGCUUGGUUUGUAAAUACUAAGCCUGUUUGUUUGUGCAAAUAUCCUACCUUUUUAAUUAUUCCUUCUCAUUGUUGUUUGCUUGGUCGUGGCGACUACAUUAUUGUUUUGAGUUUGAUAGCUUUUAUAAUAAUACUUUAAGGAUGAUACCUUGGUACUUCUCAUAAUUUGAUGAAUUAAAUGGAUAGAAGAUCAGUAAUCGUGUUCAAAUUCAAUAAAUUGAGCCUUAAGAAUUUGUUGUUCUUUUCCUUAUGCUUGGUCGGUAGAUACUAGAAGUUCUAACCUGUUUAUUUGUGCAAAUACCCUGACUGUUUUAUGUUCUACAAAGGACAGACAUAUAUAGAUUGGGUACAUCAAAUGGGGAUUGGAGGAAUUUGAACCUUUGAUCCCAAGUAAGGUAGCACACUCUAAUUACUAUUGGUCUAGGCUCACUUUAGUCAAAGUGCUAAUGCUUUUGAAGGAAGGUAAAAUUUAUUGGCUCUUACGCUCCAAGUAUCACAUUUGUAAAUAAGCUUUUGAUUGUUUGUUGAAGUUGUAGUUCAAUUGAGCUUUAUUAUGCAUAUCCCGUCUUCUUAUGAUUCUUUUUGUGAAAAUUUUGGUCAAGAUUCUUGCAUGUUGUCUGCCAAGUAUGCAGCAAUUUAAACUUUUGGCCUCAGAUUAUUUGUCAUAGUAGUUGGUCCUUUCAACUUCAUUUGGCAUAUCCUCUUUUUGGGAAUUAUGCGUGUGAACUUUGUUAUGCAUUUAUUUUAUGCACCUCGAGCUGUGUAUACACGUCUAUAUGUACAAAUUUAAUCAUAAACCAACUAGGAAAAUUAGGAUGGUUAUGUAUAUAAGAAGGUUGGGUCUUGUGUGUUUGCAUGCAUAUGGACGAGAAAUGCUCAAAGGGGGACAUUCCAUGGUUGUUUACUAUACAUUGAAUGCAUUAUCUCUAUCUUUACGUAUCUUCUUCGUCGUAUGAGUAUUGAUUGUUUGGAGUGGAGAUACUCUCCAAAACCCGUGGUUCAAGCCCACGGAAAAUAGGAGUGGCUUGGUUUUGUGUGUUGUUGCUAAUUUAGUUAAUAAGGGUGGCCUAUCUUGAAUUGCAUGCGUAUAUAUCAAUGAAUUUGAUUCAAAAAUGAAGGUUGGUCGGUUGUCUUUUUUUGAUAAGUGUAUAAUAGGGGUGAUUAAACUUAGUUAUUAUGUACUUGUUCUUACCAUUCAAUUGAAACAUCCAUGCUAGCUACACAGAACCUUGUUAGUAAUAAUUAAUAAGUAAAAUUGUUUUAUAGUUUUAUUUAUAGUUUACUUUAACAACGACUACUAUAAUUUUAAUAUAACAAUGAAUUUAUUUGAGAUGAAUAGUGUGUAUGCUUCAAAGCUUUUCAGUCGGUCAUUCUGAUAAGAUCAAUAAUUCUGAGGAUACUCCUUUUCCAAGACCAUUAAUCAUUGGUAACACAAAUAGAAUUCUAUAUUUAUUUGCAAAAAAAUCGUAGAAGUUCCACAUGUUUUAUAAAGAUGAGUUGUUUCUUUGGGUUUGUUUAUUAUGAAAAGUUUGACACUAGAUAAAAUCCAGAAUUUUGUAUCAUCUCUCUCUGAAUGGCUAUCCCAUGAAAUUUUUAGGAUGAGAUCGCGUCCAUAGUAUCAAUGAGGAGACGGUACUGAGGACUCGUUCGUUCAAAUGCUAUAAUAGGUUACAACUUCUGAAGGAAGUCAGUCAACAUAUUUUCAGUCAUAACUUCUCGAUCUUUAGUCAAGAGUACCGAAGAAUUAAUGAGGGUAUAACUGGGCCCAGGAGUGAAGUUGAGGACUUACGAGUUUCUGUCUUCCUACCUUUUAUGGAUGGUGUUCCUUACAUACAGAUAUUAUGAUUGAUUCUCAUCUUUUAUUCAAAUAACUUAUGGUCUUUUCAUUUUUUUUGUAAUCUCCUUGAUUUUUUUGGGAGAUGGUCAGAUAUCUUGUCAAGUUCCCAUAACUUUAGGCUAUCAUAAUUCUUUCCUGGAAAUUUUGGGUAUGUAUUUCUGUUUAUAGUUAUUCCUAGAACCAGGUGUGGUAGAAUAUUAAUUUUUAUUUAAUAGACAUUUACUUGAGCUGUUUUUCACAUUAACUACUUUUAGGGUCAGUCCAAUUACCUAACAAUUUGAAAUUGUUGUUUCUUUAGAUAUUGUUGGCUCAGCUAUCGGCUUUGGUGUUUUCAUGGCCAUUAUUUCGUCUUGGGCAUUAACAUUUUCCAUUGGAGGAGAACGCCUGUUUGGACCUGUUUGGGAUAAACUAGUGAUGUACAAUCUUGCUGACAAAGUAGGAUUAACAGGUUGGAGCUAGUCUGGUUCCCUCCCUUCGGCAACCAACUUCAACCUUCUUCUAUAUUUCAAAAUUUGUAACUCUUGACGGUCAUUGUUUUCUUGAAAGAUCAAAGUUGAAGCUUUUGGUUUCCCUUCUUCAAGUGCUCCAAUUGUCGAACAUGAACAUUUGCAUUACCCAUGUUGAUUCAUGUUAAUAGUUGAUGCACAAGUUUGAACCGGGUCUCCCUUCAACUGCGAACUAAGAUUUGUGGAUAAAAAUCUAAACCGGUUCUCUUGAAUUCUUCUUUGCUUUCUUUUUGUCCCACUUUCAAUACUAUAAGUCGUGCUCUUUUCUGGUUCCCCUACUUCAGAACAUCCAUUUUGAAGGUGGAAUACAUCUGGAAGCAAGUUAGAAACUCCCUUAAAAUUCUUAGGGGAUGGUAGUGUACAGUGAUCAACAAUCCCCAAAAGAAAGGUAUGAUUAUUGUAUACUGUAGCACUCCUUGUUAUGGAUAUAUUAGGAUAACUAGUACGGUUGGUAAAAGCGUAUUUUAGUAAAUAUAGUUUUCUUUAGAACUUUUAGUUAUAAAUUAGAGGGAGUGUGGUUGAGAGAAUUUUUCUGUGGGAUUUUCUAUCGAGAGGGCUAUUAGGGAGAGGCUGGCUCUCUUGAAAGGCUAGAUUAUCUUGUUACUCUUCCUAUUGAUAUUACAACAAAUUUUCAUAUAUUUCUAUCAUAGUGUUCAUGGUUGGUUUAGUUGUUCUUGAGUAUUCUUGUUAAGGAGUAUCUUAAAAAAUACCUCUACGAUGGGACAGUUGGGAGAUUAUGUGUAUAUAUAUAGUUCUUAAGGAUAUUAUUGUAUUCCCAAUUUGAGACAUGUGCCAUAGUUGAUGGAUUGGAUCAGAUAGCAUUGAAACAAGUUUGUUUUCAAAUGCUAGUUUUGGAUAAUUGCCUCCAUCAGAUUAAUCUGGGAUUCACUUAAUUAACUUCGGUUAGUAGAAAUGCUAACCUCUUGACAUUUUUGUGGUGUUAUCAAUAUCCAAAUGGGAAAGCUAAUCCCUAAAAUAGAAAAAGAGGGAACCAAAAAACUUGCCAGAAAUAGGGAAGGAUGGUGGAUGGGUAGGGUUGGUGGGGAUUUGCUUCUUGAAUGAUGUUUGUUUGGUUAGGUUUUCUUUAUUACUAUUCUUCUUUUCAUGAAUCUCAUCUCAGCACAUAGGGGUUAGGAUUGGCCUGGAUUCCCCACCGAGUCGAGUUUUGAAAGUAAAAGAUUUGUUGCCUCCAUGGAGCACCAAACUAUUUUUUUUUUCUUCUUAAUCAAUCCUUAUUUAUUUGAACAACAAAAUCAUUGAUUUUGUUACUGUGAGGUUAGUUUUGUUAUUGACUUUUUCAACUAAAAGAACAUAGUGUUGGACGUUUGUCGCAUAAUGAUGAUGAUUUCUGAUUUUAAUCACAUUAGAUAUGAAUGGAUAUUAACAGUUGGCACAUAGGGUUCUGCCUAGUUCAAAAUUGAUAGUUGUUGCUGAAUUUAGAAAAAAAAUGUUCAAUGUUGAUAAUAAAUAAAAUGAUUUGGUUAAUUUCUGAAUCUUUUCUCUUGUGGAUUAAGUUAUUGGAUAUGGAAAAAAGUGCUUUUUUUUAUAAAUGUGGAAAGAUGAGGAUUGCUGAAUCAGUCCGUACAAAACCAACUUCUAUCAUUAAAAUGAUUCUGAUUCUGAGUGAUUUUGUCAAGGGAGCAGUAGGUUUUAUAUAUAUCUUUUUAUUUUGUUAAAGGAAAACAAUUAUAUUGGAGAAAACACUGUUGAUUGAAAUUGUUAUUUUUAUCUCUCUACAUUAAACUUAUUGAUAUAUCAAUAGUUCUGGAGAUCAUUUUAUGCCCUAUUAAUCUCUAUAGUUAUAUGUCUACUGAUUUUUACUUGAUUAUUAUUCAUCGGAUCACAUCGCAUAGGGAGAAAUCAAAUCUCUAUAUCAUUUCCAAGCUGCCAAAGUAGAUUUGAAAUUUGAUUGGCUCAUAUAUCUAUCAACUUCCCUUGUGAUUUGAAUGCUUUUAAUCAAAUUCUAUUGUUUCUGAUUAUUUAUUUAUUUUUGGUUUGUGUAAAAACUAAGAUUUAAAAAGAAAAGUAAAAGAUAAGAAGAGUUAUCAAAUGAAUAAGACAUUGUCACAGAUUUUAUUGAAUAUAAUCUGUGGGUACUUUGGAUAAUUACUUAUUUUUAUCUUGUUGUGUAACAAAAACUUCUCAACAAAACCAAAAGGUUGUUGUUGUUGUUAUUUAUUAUUAUUAGUAUUUAAAGGAAAUACUUGAAAGAAAAAAAAAGAAAAAGAAAAGAAAAAAGAAAUUCUUUUGAUGGCAUAUGACAAGCUGUGUGUAACUGCACAGCCAGAAAUGUAUUAAGAGGGCAUUUGGAUUGUUUCUCAAAAUCUCUAAUGAACCAACAAAUCAAUUGCCUUUCCCCUGCAUAGGUUGGUGAGAUCACAAUAACAAAUAAAAUUUUUUAACUGUCCACAAUUAAGACAUUACCCCAUUUUGUUAUUUCUGAUGUAAUAAGUUGUUCUGUUUUGGCGCUAACUUCACUAAAUUAAGGUUCCAAAUUUCAUUAUGCUGAUUAAGCUAUAGGUGGGGCUUCUUUUUGGGUUUUGUGCACUUUAUUGCCAGCUUCAAUUGGAAACAUACACACAGAUGUAUGGUUGAAAUGACAAGUUUUAAGAAAAACUUAGACUUUACUCUCCAAUUUAGUUUAUAUGAUUUGAUAAAAAAAAAAAUUCUAUAAUAUGAACUAUUUAUGAGAAUUUUGUCAAAUCACAAACACUAAAUUACACACUUAUAAUUUAACCUAUAUUUAUCUAUACAAGAUAGCCUUCCUGUGGUCUUAAAGACAAACAUAAUUUGUAAUUUUGGAGAAGAGAUCAAAUUAUUAAUUUGUGUCAAACUAUGAUAUGUAUUUAUAAGAGCAGGGGAGGUGGGCAAUUGGAUUGCAUGACCAAGUUGUCCCUUUCCAUUUGUUUUCUUGGAUUUUGUUAGGGUCUUUUUUAACACAUUUUGAGUUUGAUUAUCUUUGUCUAGUUUAAACCUCGAAAGUUACUUUUCUCUAGGUUAAAUUAUAAAUUAAUACUACCUCAAUUCUCAAGAUUGUGUUAAGUAGGGGAGGAAGCAAGAAGCAAGAAGCAAGAAGCAAGCUUUUUAAGAGAAGAAAGAUAGAAUGUACCAACAUGAGAGUUUAGAGAUAUAGAGAAUAUAAUUCUAGAUGUAAUAAUCUCUUCCUCAUUGUAUAAUAGUUGUUAAUUAAAUUAAUUAAAGUCUUGAGUUUGACCCAAAUUUGAAUUUCAAUUGACAGUUCAAUGUGAUCCAUUUUUGGCAAAUUAAGAUGUCAUCAGAAUCUCUUUACUGAGAUUUAGUUAACUUCAAUGGGAAAAGAAAUUAUGAAAACAAAGAAAAAUAUUAAAUAUUGUUGCUUACCCAAAAAGGGAGAAAAGGGUUUGACUCUUGGGUUAAAUUUUAUUUUACCCCAACGUUAAAAAACUUAUGUUUUAUUAUUAUUAUUAUUUAUUAUUAUUAUUAUUAAUUAGAUAAGAUAAUUUUUUAUUUUUACAAAAUUUAUGAGUGUGAAUAGUGAAAUCUUUAAUUCUUCAAAUCAUCACAUAAUGCCAAUUGAAUUAAUUUGCAAAUUGACGAUGUAUAAUUUUAUUUUGAAACAUUGAAAAUUAUAUUUAUUGAAAGUUGUGAGCUAAACAUUUGGUGACAAUUUUACACUAAAGACAAAGUUUAGCUAUUAUUUCAUCUUCGUUGUCUUUUUUUCCCCAUAUAUUUUACUUUUGAUUUCUUUAAAGAAUAAUUUCUUUUAUAAAUGAAAUUGGUAAUUAAAAAAAAUAUAUAGUUGGAAAUCUAAAUUAAAUUUCAAACUUUUAAAUGACAUUGAUCAUUAUUGCUUAUAAAAACUGCUAAAAACGAGUUUUAAAAAGGACAAUAACACUUCUAAAUAAUAUUAAAAAGAAGGUCGUUUAAUAUAUAUAUGCCUUCAAAUUUUGUUUUGUUUUGUUUUGAAUCUCUCAUCUCAUUUGACUUUUAUCCUUUUUUUUUUUUUUUGGAUCAUUUUAAAUUCCAUUUUUCUUUUAUGAAGUGCUUUUUUUCUUUUAGAAAUAUAUAACUUUGUGAAACAACACUGUGUAAAUCAACAAAAACAUACACACGUCUUCCAAAUUAUAUAAUUUUCAUUGAAAAUAUAUACACACACACACACACAUAGUCUCAUUUUUUCUUCAUGAGCUGAACACAAGGAGAUUUUAAAGCUUAGAUCUACCUAUGUACCUUAACCAAUUAAAAUAAUGAACAACUAAUGAAAGAAAUUAAAUGAUGUUUAUAUUACACUUUAGUGUGUAUAUACACUACUAAUUAAAAAUAAAUUAAUGAUUGAGAACUUACUCUUUGAUCUCAAAGUGCAAAGGGGUAAUCCGAUCCCAAUAAAUAAUUUUAGUUUAAGAAAAUGAGUUAAUUAAGAGAUAGUAAAGAGAGUUUUACCAACUUCUUCCAACUGAUAUUAAUGAGCUUUCCCCUAAGAUAAUUUAUAACAAAAAAAAAUAUAUUUUGGAAGAGGAUGAUAUAAAAGAGAAGGGGAAGAAUUAAUUGUAGUGAAGAGAUUAUCCCAAAUAAGGUACUAUUACAAAGCCAGCCCAUUUACCUAAUUAGAUCACAAAAUGCCUUAUAAUAGGAUGUGUUAUAUGUUCUAAUUAUACAAACAAAAUAAAUAAUACAAUGCCUCCUUCUCAAAAAUUUACUUGAACAACCAAAAUAAAAUAUGAAAUAAGUUAAAGCUGUUUGUUUUCUUUGUGUUUUUCAAAUCUCUCAAAACCCCAUUUCACAAUAUUUUCAUCUUCCUCAAUAAUAAACUUUUUCUUUUUUAAUCUCUCUUUUCCUCUUGAGCUAGGGUUUCUAAGUGUGUUUUUGGAUUUUUGAGAAUGAUGAGAUCAAAAAGUAGUAGUAGCAGUGGCGGCAGUAGCGGCGGUGGCGGUGGAAGCAGCGGUGUCAGCUGCUACCGAGGCCACUGGCGACCGGCGGAGGACAAUAAACUCCGGCAGCUUGUUGAACAGUUUGGCCCUCAAAACUGGAAUUACAUUGCUGAACACUUUGAGGGCAGAUCUGGUAAUUUCCAUUUAACAUCUAUUUCCCUUUGUAGGGUUCUUUUAAAAAGAAAAUAGUUUUGUUUCUGUAGUUUAAAUUUUUUUAUGAUUUAGUUGAUAAUUUUCAACAUGAAGAUGAAAUUUGAUGUCAAUUAUAUUAAUAAUAGUUGACAAAGAGGAAACAGAAUUAAAACUUCACUUGGAAAGGCAAAGUUUAUCACAUUCUAAACCCAUUUUACAUAUCAUAUGUUUCAAUAAUAGUGAAAUGUUAAAUAACAAAACAAAAACUUUAAUAAUAUAUUUAUAUACCAUAUUUUAUAAAUAUAAAAGUGAUCUUCGUCUAUUAAAUUUAUAAACUAAUCAAUGAUCUAACAUUAUAUCAAGUCAUCUUCUCCGUUCUUUACAUUUUUGUUAAGAGUCCAAAUAAUGUAAAUCAAUGAUAAUAGUUAUUAUUAACUUUUAAAUGAUAGGGAAUAAUAAUGGUUAAUUUUCUCCGACUAAAUUAAUUUUCUUUGGUGUAGGAAAAAGUUGUAGAUUGAGAUGGUACAAUCAAUUAGAUCCAAAUAUAAACAAGAACCCAUUCAGUGAAGAAGAAGAAGAGAGACUUCUAAUGUUUCAACAGCUUCAUGGGAACAAAUGGGCAUUAAUAGCAAGACAUUUCAAAGGAAGAACAGAUAAUGCAGUGAAGAAUCAUUACCAUGUAAUAAUGGCUAGAAGAAGAAGAGAACGUUUCACAAUAUUCACUAACCACAACAAAAAUAAUAACACUAUUCGACAUAGCUUACUAUCCUUUUCCAAGACGACGGCAGCCGUCAAAUGGACUCCUCUUACAGCUGGGGCUCCGGUGCUGCUCGGAAAUGGUCGUGGAAAGUCGUCUUUGCCAGCCGUAGUGGCAUCGGGAUCCGGUGAGGGUGAGGAUCACAAGAGAAGGAUUCCAUUCAUAGACUUUCUUGGUAUGGGAAGCUCUUAGUUUAGCAAAGUUUGAAAUUUUUUUUUCUUAUGGUGUGUGAGUUUCUUCUUGGUUGUCAAAUGUUUUGAUAUGUUAAGAGAAAUUAUGAAUUGCCAACUAUUAUAAGAGAGAAAUCAUGGUCCAUUCACUUUUUUUUUUUUUUUUAAUAUAACUUUUGUUUGUUUAGUUUUUUUUUUUUUUUUUUUUUUAAACUUAGAAUCUCUGAAAGAUAUAAGUAAACCUAUUAAAUUAUAUGCACGAACAUGUUAAAGUUUUUAAGUUGAGAAAAUAUACUUAAAAGGUCUAUUUGGAUUUACUAGAGAAAUUGGUUUAAAUUAGAUAUCAAACACUUGAAUAAUAAUUUUAAAAAUGAUUCAUAUUUCAAAUUAAGCGAAAUACAUCCAUUUUAACAAUUUACAAGAGACAAUAGAAUUGGUAGGCUCACCACGUUGAAAUAUCAUAGUUAGAGAAGGAAAAAUGAGUAAUUGAUGAAUUACAUAUAAAAUGUUUAAUAAUGUUAUUAUAGAAAUUGCAAAUUAUUUAGGGUAGAUUAAUUAAUUUAUAAUUGAUGUUUUAGAAAAUAAGAAGUGUGUUUGGUAAAGCCUAUUUGAAAAUAAUUAUAAAAAAAAAAAACAAUAACUCAAAAGGUCAAAACAACACUUAAAAUCUCAUUCUUUUCCAUUUUCAAUACUGCUUUCGAGGUGAUAUAUCUUGGUACCAUUAUCGUUAGACCAACUUCAUGUUCUUUUUUCUUUUCUUUAUUACUGUUAUCCCUUUAAGAAAUCUUCACCUCUUUACAACGAGAGGGAUGAACUUGAAGACAAGAGGAGGAAGACGACCCAACGUGGCCUCCAAACACCUAUAAUCUACUCUGCCUGAAAUGGAGAGAUACAGCUCCCAAACAGAUGCUUCUUAGUUCUUUCUCUUAAUUUCUUUCUUUUUUUUCUUUUUCCAUUUUCCAUAUUCCACGUUGCUUCCUAGUGAUUGGAGUAAAUUAGUUUAAGAAAAAUAAAAUAUGAAUUUCUUGAGUGUAUGAUAAAUUUAAGGGAACAAUUAUUCUAUUUGUUUGUGAAUCGAAAAAAAAUGUUUUGAGAUUUAAUUACAAUUGUAGUUUAAUAGCUUUUAUAUACCAACAACUAACUAUAGGUAGAUGUAAUAAUGUAUAAGGUUGGAAAACACCAACCCUAGCUCUGGAAAAAAGAAAAUAGUGUAGCGCUUGCACACCAUUAUAAAAUAAUCUUUUUUGACGUUUUAUUUUUAACACACAUAUAUGUUAGUGGGAGAAUCAACCCUCUUUACCUUUAAUCUUUAGACAAUUAGUAUAUCAACUUUUACGUUAAUUACAUAUAUAUAUAUAUAUAUAUAUAUUUAUUUAUUUAUUUCUCUCUCUUUACCUAAUUCGAAUAAUUGAAAUUAUUCUAACAUAUUGUUUUAAGCAAUUAAUUUCAUAUGAACUAACAGGGAAACCCAAUAGACCUAGAUUUUAAAAUCUUUUAGAUUGAGCUAAUCAACCUUCGUUAUCAUUUCACAAGGUGGGCCUUGGUGCUGAAAUACAUCUUGCCAAUGAGAGGGUGGAGUCCCUUGUUCAAGACGUGGAUUCAGUCCUUAAGAGAAAACCUAUCGAAUUCCAUCUUGCCAACUAUUCACUCAGUCUUACCCUCUGAAAUGGAAGACUUAUUGGGUCAACGCUUAUGAGCUAUCCUCACCUAUGCAGAUCUAAAGAUAACUUAAUCUCUUAAUCAUAAUCUAACUAUAUAUAAACUCUUGUUCACACGAGAUUAUCAAUAUAAACGAAAUAGUCAAUUUUAAAUAGUAUAUAAAGUUAUGUAAAAUCUUUACAUAGAAUGCCCCCACUUUCAUGUAUUUAUAUAUAUAAACGAUUCAAGAUCACAUGCAUCAUUUGUACCCAAUUAACUACAAAACGGUCGCAUCCAUAGUGUUCCAAAAAAAAAACCAACCUUAUCCAUAUACUAUACUCAACUUGAUCCACGUUUAUGUAAAGUUCAAGGCUAUAUACUCGAACUUGAUCCACGUUUAUGUCUUACCUAAAGUUCAAGUUUACUCAAAAUAUAUAGUCUUGAAACUUUAGUAUCGAAACCUUAGUUUAUUGAAUUUAAGAUUAUAGUAUUCAAUUUCAUUAAUAAUUUCUCAACCAAGUCAGUCCAAUUUGAAAAUUUUAUAAUAUUAUAAUGUUUAACAAUAGACGGUUCUUUCGAUGUUUCUUGAAACUUAUUUUGUUUGUCCCUGUAAACAUAUUUUCAUUCUCCAUGUAAACAUAUUUUCUUGGGUAUACUUCAAUACUAUGUGAAACUCUCUACAUAACAUGUAGAGACGUAGCUGGUGAGAGUUGGGUUGAGUGUGCAUGUGAAAUGGUAAGUUACUUCUCUUAAAUCACCAACAAAUCCAAAAAGUUAAAUGGAUGGUUUAUGAGUUGGGUUGAGUGUGCAUGGGAAAUGGUAAGUUACUUCUCUUCAAUCACCAACAAAUCCAAAAGUUAAAUGGAUGGUUUAUUAUGGGUUAAUCAGGGAGAGUUGAAAAGUUUGUCUAACAGGGUUAAAAGAAAGCAAAAAAAAAAAAGAGUCUAAUAUGAGGUUUAGCUUAUGUUUUGGACUUUUUAUUACUUCGGUGGUGAAUGAGUUUUGUUAUGAUUGUUGGAAUUUCAGGAAAUUGAUUAGCUUAUGAUUCGAAGCAUGAACGUCGGUAGUGCUGUGAGUACUUUAUUUUACUAUAUGUUUUAUUAUUUAGCUAAUCUUAUAUAUGGAUUUUUCACGAAACCAAUAAUUAUGCAUGAUUUAGAGAGAAGUUAUGAAAGUUUUUGAAAUUGCCAUGAUUUUUUUAAAAAAAUACAGAACUCUCAAUUGCAAGCACCGUAGCUAUGCUGGAACCUGGAGUCACCAACCACAUGAUUUGAGUCGAUUAAUCGAUGAAAAAUGGAUUGAAAGUUGUGUUACCUGAUCUGCAUUUGCAUUAUUGAAGGCGAUUUAUGUUUCCAGGAGGCCACGAGCUCUUUCAAGUACCCAUUUAACAAUUGUUUGAAUUCAGCAAGCAAUGUUGCAGCUGCUUCUUCAGUUGCUGUUACGUUUAAGAUGAUAUCUAUAUUUGCUAUCUAUAGAUCAUCUAUCAGAAUAGCACCACCUUGCCUUCAAUUUCAUUUUUCCCCACUUUCUUGGCAACUUCUCUCUCUCUAUCUCUCUUCUUUGACUAUGUAAACUCUGCUGCAUGCAAAGAAAGAUGGUUACAUAUGAUAUCACCACAUGACAUCAUAUCAAUCUUUACUCGAAGAAACAUCCUAAAAACCAUCUCAUAUGGACAUGGGGGAAGAGAAUCCACCAUAUUAAUAUAUAACCAACACAAAUGAAUGAAAUUUGAUCAAAUAGUAAUAAUAAUACUUAUCAUUAACUAGUGUUUUUAAUUAGAACAAUUUAUUGCGUUCAACAAAUAUGAAGAAUUUACAGAGGGGACAAUUUAUUUAUUCUCUAGAGCUUAACAAUAACAAUAACAAAUAACAAAUGGGGAUUAAGACUGGUCUGGAUUCGCUGAGUUUUGAAGGCUUUGUUGUCUCCAUGGAGCACCAAACUCUUUUUUUUCUCUUAAUCAAUCCUUGCUUAUUUGAACAACAAAAUCAUUGUGUUACUGUGAGGUUAGUUUUAUUGUUGCCUUUUUCAAUUAAAAGAAAAUAGUGUUAAGGCACAUAAUGAUAAUAUGAUAGAUUUCUGAUUUUAAUUACAAUUGAUAUGAAUGGAUAUCAACACAGUUGGCACAUUCUCUAUUUGUCAUCUUUUAUUUAUAACAGCCUUAACAUUAAUAUUCUCACAGUUAUCUCAAGAAGGAAUCUAAAAGCCAUUUCAUAAAGUUUUCCUUUCUUUCUUGUUGUUGUUAUUUUAAAAAACAAACUUAUUUUAAACAACCAUCUCAGAAGUAGAGGAAAAGUUGACAUCAAGGGAGAAAUAAACAGCAUAAGUGAAAGAAGAGUUGAAAACUCCAUAAUCAACUUCACAUCGGAACAAAUGAGAUAAGCAAAGUGGAAUGAAACACAAACUUAUGAAGUUGGUGUUGUGAAGAAGACGAGAUAAGACCCAAAAAGAGAGUGACUUAAGCAAUUGAAUAACAAAUUUAAUAUGUCCAUUCCUCUUCUUCCCCAUCUGCACCAUUUUCUUCUUCUCCUCCUCCAUUUGCACUUACGAUCAUAAUCUCACACACUUCAUCGUCCUUUGUUUAUACAUCUAACUAUUUGUUGCUACUAUAUUCUUUGACCUUAAUACAUAUAAUUUGUUGCCAUUUUUAUACUAACACACAGCAAAUCCCCAAAAUUCUAGAUUAAGUAAACAAUAUGUAACAACAAAAUCAAAUCCCACCUCCCAAAAUAGAAUAGACCAUAAUUCUAUCCCAAAUCUUGGCUCAAUCAAUUUCAAAUUUAUAAAUUUUAAAAUAAAAAAAAAAUCUAUCAUCAAAACAAAAUUAUUCUUAUUAUUAUUAUGCAUAUGAAAUAUCAAAUAAAUAAAUACGAAUAGAUCAAAGUUUGAUUCUCUUUCACUAAUAUAUAUAUAUAUAUAUAUAUAUUUGUUUUUUUUUUAAAAGGUAAUAAAUUUUCCUUCCAAAUUUUACUAACUUUCGAAUAAUAAAUGAGAUGACAUUUCAAAAGUAUUAAGAAAAAUAUUUAUUUUAUUUGUUGAGAUCUUGAAUUAAUACUUUUAUAACUUGAGAUGUCCUGGUGAGGAAGUUGUCAGUAUAGUUGAGAUCUUGGUGCACACUCAUAUCUCCUCACAAAUUUGUAUGUAUACACAAAUUCAUUGUGCUUGUUUAUAGAGUACAUUAUUUUGUAUUCUUCAUAUCUCAAUGUGGUGGAAUACUAAUUAGUGGGCGAUUAGAGGUUGGGGAUUCUUCGGUUUUCUCUUGCUUUGUCUCGUGAUUUUCUUGUGUACGUGUUGGUGAGUGUUUUGUGAAAAAAAACAAUUCACAUCCAUGCAUUGCUAUCAAUAAAAUACUAAAACUAGACUGAACAAUAAUCAACAAAGCCGCUUACGUACGAUUCUCCCCUAAUACUCGAUGAAACCUCAUGGUAUAUUUUUUCCCCAUUUUAACAAAUAUUUAAUUAUUUGUUUGCGUAAUCAACAAUUGCAACCUUAAAAUUUGGACUUAGAAAAUGGAUGGUUAUAACUAAGCAUCCUUUGGUUUAGGGAUUUGACGAAAAGGUGAAAUUAGGGUUGAAUAAGAAAAUUGUAUAUAUAUUGAUGAGUUAAUUCUGUUAGUUUGCAUAAUAUGACAAAUCAAGAGGAAGCAAAUGUGGAAGUGAAGGAGAUGAGAACUUUGGGGAGGCCUCUUAUUAUUUGCAUGUCUUUGUUCUGUAUUGGAUUCAAUCUUGCAUUGUCAUUUUACUUAUUACAACAAUAUAAACACAAGCUAUGGAGGUGGAUAAUAGAGCAGUGGAGUGGUGUAGGAGCUUUGGAACUCCAUUUUUCUGAGGAAUGUCUUCUCUGGAGUAUUAUCCACUUAUCAGCAUGGUUAUUACUUAGAGAUAGAUUGACUGUUUAUCUUGACAAUCCGAUCAAAAGGGAGAAUAAUAAUACUAAUUAUAAAGCUCGGUUUCUUGAACUUUUUCCACACCUUUUAGUUUCUCUCCUCCAUGGGGCAUCAAAUUAUAAGUACUUGAGCAUCAACAUCUACUCUCUUCAGUGGCUUUGCUUCACAGCAGUUUGCAUAUCUCAACUAUAUCGACGUAGAGUUGAAUACAUUACUAUAAACUCUUUAAUGGGUAUCACCAUAGCUUUUGCUGUCAAUGCUGACUACGCACUUGUGGGUUACCUACUUCUCUUUUGGGGAAUACCCAUUUCACUUGUAUACAUCAACAUUUUUUCUGGGUUACGGGCCAUUUUAUAACAACACCCAUUCGGUAUUUCCCUUCUCUAUCCCUCCUAUCUUUUCUUUUUCUUUUUAAUUAAUUUCAUUCAUCAAAACACAUUCAUAUGGGAGAGUUUCUUUUUAUUCUUUUUUCAUAUUAAGUUCAAUGGUUAUAAACGAUAGCAGUUUUGUUUAGAUUGUGAUUUGAUUGCAUAUCUUUUAUUGGCAUGAAAAAAAAAAUGGUGUGAAUCAUUUAAAUAUUUGUUAAUAAUUAUUAUAUUUUAAACUGAUGAAUCUGUCAUUAAUCUUCCAAAUUUAAAAAUUCAAGGAAUAUAUGCAAAUGCUAUAAUAACUUUGGAGUGGGCGAGUGAAAAUUGGAACACAUUUGAUCUCUCCAUGUAUUUGGCCACACAAACACAUCCAACUCAAGUCUUAUCAUCAAAUCCCAAAUACACAUAUCUUUGUACACAUAAAAUACUCUGUCACAUAAAAGAGAUAUAGUUGAUUUGAGAGGUCAUCUAAUUAGUUAUGAGGACAAAGAAGAAAUUACUACAAUAAAAAAUUUCAGGAACUAAGAUUAUCUGAUGUUUCAAGGAAGUAGGAAGUUGUUCCACAUUUGUCACAUAAAAGAAAUAGUUACUGAUAGAAGAAAACACACCUUAAAUGAUUUGCUAGAUUUUUUAAAAAUUAUAUGGAUUCAUCUCACGUUUAAAUAAAUAUAAAUUAAAAUGUUUAGUUAUGUGCUUUUAAUUUUAAAUGUAGUCCUAACUAUUUAUAUUUUGAGUAUGACAUUUUUGGUUUUUUAUGUUCAAAUGAAACUAAUAAUUAAACAUUCUGGUAUUUAUGUAUUAUUUUAACAUUUGAUAAUUGUUUUUAUUUAUUUGGAAAUAGAAAGAAAGUUAGGUCCCAUUUGGGUAUGGUAUCAAUUGUGUAUAUUGUAUAGUAAGUUUAAAAACAAUUAUAAAAUUAAAUGGGCAAUAUUAUAUACAUGCACGGUGUUUUACAGUUUUGAUCAUCCUUCCUCCAACACAUAUAUGGAAUGAAUUAAAACAAAAAUGGAGUUUUUUAAUAGUAUGAUAUAAAGAAAUUAAACUAAACUCAUUAAAUUAUUGAUAGCUAAUUGGAAUGAAUUAGAAAUAAUUUAACAUAGACCAUUCAAACAUGAAUGGAAACGCUAACCAUUAUGUCACUCAUUAUCUCACGAAGGGAGUAGUAGGAGAGUCCAAUUUGUAGAGAUAGUGAACAAUCCAAUACCAAAAUGGCAUCAUAAGCAACCUACCUGAUCAUAAUAAAAUCCUUAAAUGAACAAAGUAGAAUAUAUAAUAAAUGAAACAGUGUAUAACUAUUUUAGAAAGUUGAUGGUAAGGAAUAUUGAAGAGAAUAGAAACACCAAAAGUGACAAGAUUGCCGAAAACUCCAUAGUCAAUGUUGCAUUCCAUGUACUGAGAUAAAGGGAAUAAAGGGAGUGGAAGGAGAGUCCUCCAACUUGUAAAGAAGUGAACAAUCCAAUACCAAAAUGCAGCCUACCAACAAAUAUCGUACUUUUACCAACAAAUACCAUAUUUCUAUACCAAGUCUCCAACAUAGUCGUCUUCUUCUUCCUCUCCCCCAUUUGCACAUGAGGAUGAUAAUAGGCUUCUUCGACUUUCACACCCAUCGUCCUUUGUUCAUCUAAUUAUUUGUUGCUGACCUUAAUUCAUAAUCUGUUGCCAUUUUUAUACUAACACACAACAAAUCCCCCGAAAUUCUAAAUUAAGUAAACAAUGUAACAACAAAAUUAAAUCCCAACAAAUGAAUUUGGAGAUAAUAUAGUUAUAAAAUACCACAUCCCACACUAGUACAAAAGUGGCCUACGACGACAGUUAUUUACUGUCGUAAACGAAAUUCACGACAAUUAUUUUCAGUCAUAGAAGCGGGAGUCAUGGAAAGUCCUUCGAUGACAGAUUUUAAAAAAUGUUGCAAUAAGUUAUUUUAUGACAUGAAAUAAAUGUCGUUAAUCAGAAUUCAAUGAUGUCAAAUAACUGUCAUAUUUUAUUUUAUGACAACAAAUAACUAUCAUCAUUUGUGUAUUAACGACGGUUAAAUAAAUGUCGCGAAUUCAUUUAUUGUGACAAUUUUUUAAUUGUAAUGAAUAUGUUAAUCGCCGAUAGUUUUUUUUGUAUAAAAAUGUCAUUGUUUUGCUAUUGACGACAUUUUUUUCCUGUCACAUAUUAGGGCAAUCGUGACAAUUUAUUUUAUUAAACAACUGUCAUCGUUUUCGGAUUGACAACAAUUAAUAACUGUCACAAAUUCAUUUAUUACGUCAUUUAUUUUCUGUUGCAAAUUUCUCAAUUUACUACAGUUUUUUCCUGUUCUCCUUGCCGCUCCACCAUUACACGAACCAUUUGAAUGACAAUAAUGUAGCUGAGAAUGACAAUUUUGAAUUUAUAAUAUUGACACCCAUAUAGAAAAAAGUAGCCAACACUUCAAUAUAUAUACGAUAUAAUACAAUUUAUAAUAUUCGUACAUUUCCAAUCAAGUGUCAACAAUUUACAAGUACGGAAUCCCAACCCUUAAUCAAAAAAUAUUUUAAAUAACAUUAGAAUACAUCUAACAAGAUUUUCUGCAGAAGCAUAAACGACCAACCGAGAAUGUUCGUCUCUGAAAAUGUUCUUUGAAAGAAAACUCAUGAAGUUGUCGACUCCGGUUGAACCUACAAAGACAACAUGAAUAUAAGCAUCCAUAACACAUACAUUUGUGAACCAACAUUACCACAACAAAGAAGAAAAUGGAGGACUACCAUGUAGUAAUGUGAAUGUAAAAGAAACAUUAUAUAUAUUAUGAAUCUUGUUUCUAAUCAAGAACUUAUUUCCUAACCAUGUACUUGAUGAGCGUUUGUAGAAUUUAAUAUCAGCAACCAAAAUCUAUAAACUAAUUCAAGAUAGAGCGAGCUUAUGUUGUAAAAGAACACCUUAGAAUAAAUAUAAUAGAGGAACGCAUGAAUUUCAGCACACAUGACAAAGUAAACUUUUUGAAGGUAAGAAUCCUAUAUAAAAUUCCCUAAACCUUGGAGUCGUCUCCCAAUUUCUUUUUUAAGUUUCCGAAGCCAAAACAAUGCAGUUUAAAAUGUUUGAAGAGAAUUAUUGGUGACGUAAACGAAUAAAUAUAAUUGAUAUAAGCAUUUAAGAAUAGCUUCAUCUCCAUUUUUUAUGAAGUUAAUUUUGCCACAACAAUUGCAGCAGCCUCUUGAUCCAAACCCUUGCACCAAUUCCUGAAAUCAAUGCCUCAAAUAUUUAGCUUUUCCCCAACUUCGAGAUAGAGAAAGAGAACCAAACAGAGAAUUCAUCUGUUUGUAUUGGCUUCUCAUUAUUCAUGGAGACAAAAAGAGACAAAUACAGAGAGCAAAUGCUUUGCGUGUUCAUCUAUAUCCGCACUAUAAACCAGUAUAUCAUCAAAGAACACCAAAACACAGCGCCGAAGGAAAGGUUUAAAUACCUGGUUCAUCAAAGAUUGGAAGGUUGCCAGAGCAUUCGUGAGACCAAACGACAUUACUAGAAACUCAUAGUGCCCUUCAUGUGUGCGGAACGCAGUUUUCUCCACAUCUUCCUCUUUCAUUCUAAUCUGGUGAUAACCAGAUUUCAGAUCUAAUUUCGAGAAAACCGUUGCCCCAUUCAGCUCAUCUAAUAAUUCCUCUAUCACAGGAAUUGGGAACUUAUCCGAUACUGUCGCCUGAUUUAACUUGCGGUAAUCGACACAAAAUCUCCAUCCACCAUCUUUUUUCUUCACUAACAACACCGGGCUGGAGUAAGGGCUAUGACUAGGGCGAAUAACCCCUGCUUGAAGCAUCUCGACCACCAGUUUUUCUAUUUCUUCUUUCUGCACAUGACCGUAUUUGUAAGGUCUUACGUUGAUAGGUUUAUGGUCAGGUAGGGUUAAUAUUCGGUGAUCAAUAGCUCUUUUUGGAGGUAAUUUCUUCGGUGUCUCAAAUAUCUCCGCAUAAUACUUGAGCAGGGAUCGGAUCAUAGAUAUUUCCUCCUCAUCUCCUUUUAAUCUUGUCCCCAGUUCAUAUUCAUUCUCUACUUCCAUCUCAUAAUUCUGGAAUUCUAAGAGGAAGCCUUGAUCUUCUAUAUGUAAGGAUUCAACUUGCUUACUUCACUAUUUCUCCCUUACAAUGGCCAAAAACAGAGGUAGCCCUCUGCUAUCUUUAUUUAUAUAUAGCCAAAAUGAGUACAGAAAAACAUAAAGAUUCAAGAAAAACAAGGAAUAAUAAAGACAAACCCAGCUUCCUCUAGGAAAAGACUGGAUAUUCCUCUAGGCUAAGCAGCCGCCAACUUCAGGAUAAAAAUAAAACCUACCUCCCCUAGACCUAAAAAACCUAUUUAUAUUCCUUCUCUCAUCUUUCUCUUAUUUCUGUGCCUGGGCCCCACCUGCACGAUCUCCUCCUCUUUUUCCUUCCUCAUUAUUAAUUUGUCCAGUUACUUUUCUGCCCCUCCUUUGAUAUGUAUGAAUAAUUGGAGGUCUUACAAUACCCCGGGGCUCCAAGUUCACCUUGUCCUCAAGGUGAAACUGAGGGAACUGCUGAUUCAAUAGGUAAACUGAUUCCCACGUUGCUUCACUGUCUGGUAAGUUCUUCCAUUUGAUCAGCCACUCAUUGCCUCCUAGCUCCUUGUUCCACCUUUUUCCCAGCACGUUUUCCGGCCACAAUUGUAGUUCAAAAUCCUCAGUUAGUAUAGGCUGUUGUUGCUGGACUACAUGUUGUUUUCCCAACUUCAGUUUCAGUUGAGACACGUUGUUUUCCCAACUUCAGUUUCAGUUGAGACACGUGAAAGACAUUGUGAAUGGCGGCCUCGGGCGGUAGUUGCAAUCGAUAAGCGACCUCUCCUAUCUCUUCAAUAACCUCAUACGGCCCAUAAAAUUUUGGGGAUAGCUUUUCACAUUUCUUCCGAGCUAGUGAUCUUUGUCGAUAGGGUCGUAGUUUCAAAUACACUUCAUCCCCAAUUUUGAAUUUGAGCUCCCUGCGGUUUCGGUCUGCCAUUUUCUUCAUUCUAUUUUGAGCUAUGCAUAGGUUUUCCUUCAGUGCAUUGAGUGCUAAAUCUCUCUCCUUCAACAUGACUUCUACGUCAUUGUUAGGAGAUUGCUUCCAUCCAUAUGACAGCAGUGGCGGGGGAGUUCUUCCAAAAACAGAUUGGUAAGGAGUAGUUUUGGUGGAUGCGUGGAAGGUUGUGUUAUACCAUAAUUCCGCCCAAGGGAUCAGUUUAUCCCAUUUCUUCGGUUGUUCAUUGCAAAAGCAUCUCAAAUAGGUCUCUAGGCAUCUGUUUACACUCUCGGUUUGUCCAUCGGUUUGGGGAUGGAAUGCCGUGCUUCUCUUCAAAAUGGUGUCCAUGGUAGUGAACAACUCCUUCCAGAAAUUGCUAAGGAAGAUCUUAUCACGGUCGGUAAUAAUGGACUUGGGUAUUCCAUGUUUGCUGACCACUUUUUCCAAAAAAAUUGAAGCCACUUGCUUGGCUGUGUACGGGUGUUUCAGAGGCAAGAAGUAGGAGUACUUACUUAGGCGGUCGACGACUACCAUAAUCACGUUGUAACCUCCUGCUAUUGGCAGCCCUUCAAUAAAAUCCAUGGUCCAAUCCUCCAAUAUCUUGUCGGGGAUAGGAAUGGGUUGCAGAACUCCCGCAGGCUUAGUAGCUUCGAACUUAUUACGUUGACAAGUGUCACAUUCUUCUACAUAUCUCUUGAUAUCAGCCUUCAUUCCUUUCCAAAAUAGUUCCCCACUCAUUCUUUUAUAGGUUCUCAAGAAUCCCGAGUGCCCUCCUAAUAUGGAAUCAUGGAACGUGUGUAGAAGACUCGGAAUGAGGGAGGAAUUUCGCGGCAGCACCAUCCUUCCUUUAUAUAGCAGCCUGCCAUUGUUCCACUGGUAUUUCCCACCUUGAUCCACCUCUCCCUUAAGUUCGGCAAUAAUUUUCUGAAGUUCUUGAUCCAUUUCAACUUCCUUCUCUAUUAUCUCUAUAUCAACUAUGCCUGUGGUUGUCAUUGUAUUUAACUCCACCGAAUGGUCCUUCCUUGAGAGAGCAUCCGCCACCUUAUUCUGCAGACCCGGCUGGUAUAAGAUCUCAAAGUCAUACCCCAAAAGUUUUGUGAGCCACUUUUGGAAUUGAGGCUGAACUUCCCUCUGUUCUAACAGAAAUUUCAGAGCCUUCUGAUCUGAAACAAUUGUGAACUUUCUGCCCAGGAGAUAAUGUCUCCAUUUUUGCACCGAAAGGACAACCGCCAUCAAUUCCCUUUCAUAGAUCGACUUACCCUGGGCUCUUGGGGACAGUUUCUGGCUGAAGAAUGCGAUGGGAUGACCAUCCUGUGAUAAAACUGCACCUAAACCUACUCCUGAAGCAUCAGUUUCGAUUGUGAAGGGCUGAGACCAAUCCGGCAAUGCUAAUACCGGUAAGGUUGUCAUUGCUAGCUUCAGCUGGUCAAACGCUAUUGUAGCUUCCUCAUUCCAAUGGAAUGCAUUUUUCUGAAGUAAUUUGGUUAAGGGUGCAGCUAUUUCUCCAUAGCUUUUCACAAAUCUUCUAUAAUACCCAGUCAGUCCAAGGAAUCCCCUCAGCCCAGUUAUAUCUUUCGGCCGUGGCCAAUUUACCAUACUGCGAAUCUUGUCCUCAUCAGCCUCCACUCCUCUGCUGGAAAUCAGAUGACCCAAAUAUUGAACUUGGGAAUGAGCAAUGACACAUUUAGACCUAUUUGCAAACAAUUCAUGGUCCCUCAAGAUAGCAAAAACCAUUCCUAAAUGUUUCAUGUGCUCAUCUAUGUCCACACUAUAAACUAGAAUGUCAUAAAAAAAAACCAGGACACACCUUCGAAGGAAUGGUUUGAACACCUCGUUCAUGAGAGAUUGGAAGGUGGCAGGAGCAUUCGUAAGGCCGAAAGGCAUCACCAAGAACUCAUAAUGUCCUUCAUGCGUGCGGAAAGCUGUUUUCUCCACAUCUUCCUCCCUCAUCCUAAUCUGGUGGUAUCCAGAUUUAAGGUCUAACUUUGAGAAAGCUGUCGCACCAUGAAGUUCAUCUAAGAGUUCUUCGAUCACGGGAAUUGGAAAUUUAUCAGCCACCGUUACUUGAUUGAGUUUCCUGUAAUCUACACAAAAUCUCCACCCUCCAUCUUUUUUCUUCACUAAGAGGACCGGGCUCGAAUAUGGGCUGCGGCUUGGACGAAUCACCCCAGCUUGUAACAUUUCUAACACCAAUUUUUCAAUCUCUUCCUUUUGUACAUGGCCAUACUUAUAUGGUCUUACAUUAAUUGGUUUCUGAUCGGCCACGGUCAGAAUGCGAUGGUCUAUGGCUCUCCUUGGCGGUAAACCCGUGGGCAACCUAAAGACAUCUGCAUAUUGCUCGAGCAAUCGCUGAACCAUGGGUAAUCCUUCUUCCUUUCCCUUCAAUUCAGCUUCUGUUUCCGAUUCUCCUUCAUAGUUUACUUCAUAGUUUUGGAAUUCCAAGAGGAAUCCUUGGUCCCCGGAUUGCCACGUUUUCUCUAAGGUUCUCAAUGAACAUUCUGACUUCGUUAGAGAAGGGUCACCUUUUAGGAUUAUUCUUCUACCCUUCAUCCAAAACGUCAUGGUUAGGGAUGGCCAGUGAACCUUCAUGGUUCCUGUCGAAUCUAGCCAUUGCAUCCCAAGCACCAAGUCUACCGUUCCUAACUCUACCGCUAGGAAAUCUGCUACGAUUGUUAACUCUUUUAACUUCACCUUCACCCUCUUGCAAAUCCCACUUCCUUCACAUUGGUUGCCAUUCCCAAUGGUAACUCCAAAACGAGUUCCCGGAUCGAUGCUCAGCUGUAGUUCAUCUACCAACACUUAGCUGAUGAAGUUAUUGGUCGCCCCGCUGUCAAUCAGAAUAACUACUUCCCUUCCGUUCACAUGUCCUUUUAAUUUCAUCGUCCCCUUUGAUGUAACUCCCGUGAUCAACCUCAAUUCAAUAGGGUUAUCCAUAUUCAAUUCCAGAUGAUUCAGUUCUAUUACUUCGCUUGCCUCAUCCUCUGUAUCCUCUUCCCUUUUGUGGUCUUCUUCCUCAUUUAGUAUAAGGAGCAUCAACUCUCUUUUUUCUCUCCCUUUACAUCGAUGGCCUGGGGCGUACUUUUCAUUACAUCUGAAACAAAGCCCCUUAUCCAGCCUUGCUCUAAAUUCCGUAUCCGACAGCCGUUUAAUUGGGAGAUCUUUUUUCUGGUAAUCAUUUUUCAAUGGAAUAGUUACCUGCUUCAUCACAAACUCUGUCUUUUUACUUUCUGUCUUCUCAUUUUUUCCUUGAAAUUUGCUGCUGUUCUCAUUCCUUUUGGGCUCAACUAUAUCCAACUCUUCCAUCGCCAGUUUUAAUGCUAUAUUCCUAUCAUUCGCCAGCUGAGCUUCCUUCAUACAUUCCUCUAAAGUUUGAGGGUGUCUGCUGAUUACUUCCGCUUGCAGUGAGGGUUCCAGACCCGUUAAAAACGCAUCCAGCAGAACACUUUCUGCCAUGUCCGGGAGGGGGCUGAGUAUGUAACAAACUUCUUAACGUACUCGCUGUAUGAGCCUUCUUGCUUAAUACGGAUUAAUCUUGCCCCCAAGCUCUGCUGUCCUGUAUCAUUAAAGAAAUCAAACAUCCUUUCCUUCAAGUCCUCCCAAGAUUCCACCCUCUUUCUACGAUUACUCCAUCUAAACCAGUCUACCUCUUCCUGUCCAAAACUCACGACUGCUACUUUGACCUUCUCAGCUUCCGGUAAGUCAUUUAUAUCAAAAAAAUGUUCUGCUCGGUACGCCCAGGAUUCAGGGUUCACCCCUGUAAACAGUGGCAUUUCUAAUUUUUUGUACUUACUUCGGUCUGCGCUGCUUCCACCCGACUCGACUGUGGUUCCGGCCUCUUCCAGUUUUCCCUUCAGUUUCAACCUGAUGUCGUCCGUAGUCCCUGCUUCUUCUUUUUUCUUAGCACCAUGGUUUUCUCUUAGCUCGCCUGUCAUUCGAUCCAUCGAUUUCUUCAUUUCCAGCAUCAUCUCCUUCAGACUCAUAAUUUCCUUUUCAGUACCUUCUACCCGUUCUUCUAUCUGUCUUUGAGCCAUCAGACGCGUGAUCACCCCCAGUGUGGAGGCUCUGAUACCAAUAUAUAAGGAUUCAACUUGCUUACUUCACUAUUUCUCCCUUACAAUGGCCAAAAACAGAGGUAGCCCUCUGCUAUCUUUAUUUAUAUAUAGCCAAAAUGAGUACAGAAAAACAUAAAGAUUCAAGAAAAACAAGGAAUAAUGAAGACAAACCCAGCUUCCUCUAGGGAAAGACUGGAUAUUCCUCUAGGCUAAGCAGCCGCCAACUUCAGGAUAAAAAUAAAACCUACCUCCCCUAGACCUAAAAAACCUAUUUAUAUUCCUUCUCUCAUCUUUCUCUUAUUUCUGUGCCUGGGCCCCACCUGCACGAUCUCCUCCUCUUUUUCCUUCCUCAUUAUUAAUUUGUCCAAUUACUUUUCUGCCCCUCCUUUGAUAUGUAUGAAUAAUUGGAGGUCUUACACUAUAUCCCACGUUUUUUCCAAUGUCUUCAAAGAACAUUCAGCUUUCACUAAGGAUGGAUCUCCUCUUAACACGAUUUGCUUGUCUUUUGCCCAAAAGGUCAUGGUUAAUGAUGGCCAAUGUACCUUCAUUGUGCCGGUGGUAUCUAGCCAUUGCAUCCCUAAAAUCACGUCAAUAUUUCCUAGUUCCACCACUAGAAAAUCAGUUAUAACUGUCAUUUCUUUCAAUCUCAGUUCCACCUUUCUGCAAAUACCUUUCCCUUUACAGCGGGUCCCGUCUCCAAUAGUCACUCCAAAUUGUGUACCGGGUUCAAUGUUCAACCCUCCUUCCAUUGCCACUGCUUCAUGGAUGAAGUUGUUCGUAGCUCCACUGUCGAUGAGAAUCACCACCUCCCUUCCUUUUACAUGCCCCUUCAGUUUCAUUGUCCCUUUGGAUGUUAACCCCGUGAGUGUCUUCAAUUCAAUUUCGGUGGUUUCAGCAACAACUAACUGGUUCAGCUCCAUUACUUCUUCGGUCUCUUCCAUUUUGACUUCCUCCCCGCCACUCUCUUCUUCGUUAAGUAUAAAUAACAUUAAUUCCCUUUUCUCUCUCAUCUUGCAUCGGUGUCCCGGUGAGUACUUCUCAUUGCAUCUAAAACACAAACCCUUGUCCAAUCUUGCUCUGAAUUCCGUGUCCAAGAGUCUUUUAACUGGAGGUUCAUUUUUCUGGUAGUUUCCUUUAAUGGGAAUAGUGACUUGCUUCAUGGGGAACUCAGUCUUCUUUGGUGAACUUUUAUCUUGACUGCUUUGUCCCUUGCUUGAGCCUCCUCCUUCCCUAGUCACACUGUUUACCCAUUCUGCCUUGGCUAAUUUCAAGGCUAGGUUUCUGCCACUUACCAGUUGUGCCUCCUUCAUACAUUCCUCUAAGGUUUGAGGAUGUCUACUAAUAACUUCUGCUUGAAGAGCCGGUUCUAGACCAGUCACGAAUGCAUCUAAGAGCACGCUUUCAGCCAUGUGCAGUAGUGGUGCAGAAUAUUGUACGAAUUUCUUGACAUAAUCAUUAUAGGAUCCAUCUUGUUCUAUUCGAAUCAGCCUUGCACCUAAGCUCUUCUGCCCAGAAUCUCGAAAAAAUUCAAACAUCCUUACCUUCAAAUCUUCCCAUCCUUCCACCUUCUUUCUAUGGUUACUCCAACGGUACCAAUCGAUUUCAUCUUGUCCGAAACUAACCACUGCUACUUUCACUUUUUCUGCUUCCGGUAGGCUAUUAAUUUCGAAAAAAUGCUCAGCUCUAAACACCCAUGACUCAGGAUUUUCCCCGGUGAAAAUCGGCAUUUCCAGUUUCUUAUAUUUGCUUCGGUCGACAGUUACUACAUUGUUUUCCCCUGGAUUGUCGGCUUCUUCCCAUUUUCCUUUUAACUUCAUGACUGAUCCAUCAGAAGUUCCGGAUUCAUCUCGCCUUUUGUAGCUGCUGUUUUCUUUCAUUUCAUCAGCCAGUCUAUCCAUGGAUUUCUUCAUUUCCAGAAUCAUUUCCUUCAAGCCCAGUAUUUCUUUCUCUGUUCCAUCUAUUCUUUCUUCUAUUUGCCUUUGCGCCAUCAGUCGCGUCACCACCCCAGCGUUUGGGCUCUGAUACCAGUUGUAGAGACUCCACAAAUAAAAUACUAAAUUACCCAAACAGUUGGCAAACAGAGACAGCACUCUGUAGAUCUUUAUUUAUAUAUAAAUGCCAAGAGAUACAGUAGAAGGAAAUAUAAAAGAAAGCAAUAAAGAUGAUAAUAUCAUGUCAAACCUCCCCAGGAAAAGAUAGUAGUCCUUCCUAGACCUAGCAGCCUCUACAGACCAAAUGAAGACAAAAAGUUAACCUAGCCCCCAAUCCCGAUAAGGCCUUAUUUAUAGCUCUUUUCUCAUUCUUCCCCGUGGGCCCCACUCUCAUGUUCUUUUCCUAAUAUUCUCCCCUUUUCUGCUGCGUGAGCUUUUACGUUUUUACCCCUCCUUUUGUAUGUAUGGAUAAUAGGGGGCCUUACAAAUUUCUUCCAACACUAUGAAACAUUUAUGUUAUAGUUUUAUUAUUGUAAACAUUUUUGCUAAACAUCAUUGUAAUUUCCAAACACAACUCUGCCAAAGUUCCCAAGAUAGUUCUAUAGCAAUGUUCCACAGGCUAUCUUGCAAGUGAUGUGGAACUCCUUUGCUUUUUUGAAUAGUAAGCUGGCCUUCCUCUUUUGUUAUGCUUUGUUUUGUUCUUAAUACUUGCUUUUAUCUUCGCCUAUUUCAUUCCUAGUUGAUAUAUUACAUAGUCCUCUUAAAUCUACAUUCUUUUUCUGUUUUAUGAUUCGCUUGAGUUUAAUGACUAACUUUGGCAAAAUAAUGUUGAACUAUAUUACAUGUUUUGCAUCUAAACCUCAAUUGAAAAGGUUUGUUACCUGUAUCAUUAUAAGGUUUCCAUCCAUCUUUCUUAGGCCAUCAAUGAAGUUUUUGCUUAGAUCUAUCUUAGUUCGGCCUCUUUAAAAUGUUACUCCAUACAAGGAAGAUCGAAAGUUGUGAUUACAAAGUGUAGAUUUGUAUUGUAUAGUUGCCUUAGUUAUUUUUUUAAUUAUUCUUUUUAGACGUUAUUUCCUUUUAUAAUUAGUUCUCUUUAGUUAGAAUUUCUAUUAAAUUAUACUUACCUAUUAUCAAGUCCUUUUUCAUUAAUAAGAGAAAAUGGAGUUUUUCUCAAAUAACAAAAAGUGAUUAUUUAAGAUACUAUGCUAAAGGGAACACAUCCAAUUACCAUGUUGAGAAUAUUAUCUUUGCCUAUUGAAGGUCUUGGAUUCUUGGUCAACUUUGAAUGCGAAUUUUUCUUAGUUGAUUAUUAAAUAUCAGGGUAAAAAGAUCUUAUAUUGUAAUGUUGUUUUGCUUCACUUGCAUCAUACACUAAAACACAAGAUUAAAAAAAAAGUUAUAUUUAGACUUUUGUAUGGUAGAUUAGGUGUUCUCUUUGAAUUGGUGUUGGUAUUGGCUUUCUAAUUAUGAUAUGAUUUUGGGAACCUUUGAAUUAUGUUCUUCAAACCUUCUCUCUUCGAUUGAAGCUUAUUAUAUUUUAUCGUUGUUAGUAUGUUUUUUUUCUUCCAUUUUUUCCCUUCUAAUAUUUUUAUUUGAUAUAUAAUGUGCAUAAAAGAGAAAGUAGUUAAUGUGUUUUACAUUGUUGUGUUGUGCAAAGUUGGUGCUGUUGGUUCAAAUAUUUAAGAUUUGGUGAAGCACUUGGAAUAAGUUCAAACUUUUAAUCUGUAGGAUAAUUUACUUUAUAAGAAUCACACAUUUACCUUUUUUUUCUUUUUUGAAGUAGGAAAGGAGCCUCUUCAUUAAGCUGAAAAUGAAUAGACAAGACAAAAGGUAAUACAAAGAAGCCCUAGGAUCAGUGAGUGCACUAGGACAUCUCAUCUAUGUUGACACCUACUUAGCAUUCUCACCAUAUCGAGACUUAAACCAAAAGACUAAACCAACGACAAGGUUUAGAAUAGAUCAUACAAACUGCCCAAUAACUAUACAACAUAGAUUUAAGACCACUAGAAAUCCAAAAGAAAUAAAAUAAGAGUACAGUAGUGGACUAAGAAUUAAAAAUGAAAGUCGGCCAAUUAUGACUUAUAUCUUGUAUGGAGAAAUCUUUGAAGUCUUUUGAAAGAGAGCAUCAAGAAGAAGCAUUGAUUCUAGCCAUUUCGACUCGAGUUGUCCAAGAGGAAGCUUUAUUUUGAAAUGUUAGUUGAUUAUGUUCAAACCAAAUUUCUGGUAAAAUGGCCUUUACUGCAUCUAACCAAAUCAAUCUUGGUUUCUUCUUGAGAAUGGGACAUGAAAUAAGCUGGACCGUGUUCUCCUAAAUCUAUAGUCGAAAACCCAAUUCAAAUGAAGAUAGCCAAGUAAGUCAAACCAACACUUCUUUUCAUGUAAGCAGGAGAAGAAAAUAUGAUGUAAAUCUUCUAAAGCAUGCAAACACAAGGGACAAAUAUGAGGAGAUAAACUGUGAGAGGAAAGUUUCAUUUGCAAAACUUCUGCACAGUUCAUAGUCCAUUUCGCUUUCUCCAAAGCGUGAUAUUCACUCUUCUAGGGCUUUUUGUCUUCCAAAUUGUCGAGUAUAAAUGUUUUUCAAUUGGGGAGGCAAUGGAGAGAUGGUUGACUAAUGAAUGAACCAAAAACAUCCCAUUUGAUUCUGAUUUCUAGGUUCUUUUAUUUUGGGAGACUUGAAAUUCAUCUAUUUCUUCAACUUUUAGAAGUCUCCUGAAAUUUAGAGCCCAUGAAGUAGUGGAAGAGUCCCAAAACUCCUUUACAUCUCCAUUAUUAGAGUUCAAAGACAAUCUAAACGAUCUUGAAAAGAAACAACAUCUGCCCAAAAAUCAUUCCAAAAUGCUAUUCUUCAACCAUCACCGAACUUGAACAAUGCCUAGGAAUCCACUUGAAGCUAGCAUCUCGAAAUGCUAAUCCAGGGACUAUGGAAACUGCAAGUGACAAUUCCUUUAGUAUGCCAUCCAAAUUAACUUUCUCCAUGGAUACUCUUCACCACUUUAGCCCAAAGGGAAUUCUUUUCAUUUAUAAAUCUCCAUCCCCAUUUGAACUUUUUUCGUAGGUUAUGAGUUACGAUCCUACACGUAAGCUAUUUUAGGACAUUUUGAAAGUUCAAGUGAUACUUAGACAGGUUUUUAACUCGGUUUAGGUUAGUUUGAAACUAAGUUUGUUGACCUUAUCCAAUUGGUUGCCAUUUUCGGUCUUGAAGUGCCCUUUUCACACUUUUUGAACUUUUUGGUAGGCUAUGGGUUACCAACUUACACUUAAACUUUGUUAGGUUGUUUUGAAAGUCCAAGUGAUACUUGGACACGCCUUGACCACUUUUUAGGUUGGUUUGGAACUAAGUUUGUUGCACUUGCGCACUUGGUUGCCAUUUUGGGUCGUGUAGUGUUUCCUUUUUUUCCAUACUUCUUGAACUUUUUGGUAGGUUAUGAGUGAUGAAUUUACAAAUAAACAUUCUUAGGUCGUUCUGAAAGUUCAAGUGAUACUUAAACACGGUUUUGAAAUUUUUUUAGAUUUGUUUAAGACUAAGUUUGUUUCACUUGCAUACUUGGUUGCCAUUUUAGGUCUCAAAGUGCAUUUUUCACGCAUUUUGAUUUUUUUGUUAGUUUGUGAGUUACGAACUUACACUUAACGAUUGUUAGGUCGUUUUAAACACAUUUUGCGUUGGUUUGAAACUAAGUUUGUUGCACUUACACAUUGGAUUGAAAUGUUGGGUCUUGAAGUACUUUUUUUUCACACUUUUUUGAAAUUUUUUUAGGUUGUGAGUUACGAACUUACGCUUGAGUAUUGUUUGGUCGGUUUGAAAUCUUAGACACGUUUUGCACUCUUUUUAGGAUGGCUUGAAACUAAGUCCGUUGCACUUACAUACUUCGUUGCCAUUUUGGGUCUUCAAGUGCUUUUUUUACACUUUUUGAAAUUUUGGUAGGUUGUGAGUUACAAACUUACACUUAAGCAUUGUUUGGUGGUUUUGAAAGUUUAAGUGAUACGUACACAUGUUUUGAAUACAUUUUAGGUUAGAUUGAUUUUGUUGCACUUGGUUGUCAUUUUUGGUCUUGAAAUGCUUUUUUCAACCUUUUUGGUAGAUCAUUACGAACCUACAUUUAGGAUUUGCUAGGUCGUUUUGAAAACUCAAGUAAUACCUAGACACGUUUUGAGCACGUUCUAGGUUGAUUUGAACUAAGUUUGUUACAAUUACACACUUGGUAGCCAUUUUGGGUCUUGUAGUGCUUUUUUCAUACUAUUUGAACUUUUUUCGUAGGUUAUGAGUUACGAAUCUACACGUAAGCUGUUUUAGGUCGUUUUGAAAGUUCAAGUGAUACUUAGACACAUUUUGUUCAAGUGAUACUGUAUUAGGUCGUUUUGAAGUGAACUUUUUUCUUCUUGUAUUGACUGUUUUCAUAUUUCUUCAUGGUUUGUAUUCAUGGUAUUUAUUUUCGUAAUGAAUCUUUCAUGUUCUGGUAAACAUUGCAGAAACACAUAAUUUCAGCAAUCUGUCAAAGAGUUGAAGGAGAAGACAGAAGAACUUAAAGGUCACAUGAAGACCUAAAAGUUAGGUAAUUUUUUGAAAACUUUUUUCUUUGUCUUGCUUAGUUUUAGUGGUAUUUGUUAACAGGCUGAGACAUACUCUUGUAUGCCAAGGCUGGGUGGCCAAUUCAAUGGAUGGCCUGAGACGGUGAAAUGACGAGUGUAGAACAAAGUAGACAAUCGAGCAGAUUUACAAGUAGGAGGAUGGUGUUUGGUCUUACUCAAAAGCUACUGCUAGAAAGGUGAUUCUCCCUUUAUUUACACAUGUUAUCUAUAUUUAAUUACUGUUUUUAUGUGAUGGUGAAUAAAUAUUUAAGUUGUUUCAAGUUUGUACAUCAUGCUUGAGUUAAUACAUUUCCCAACUCGCACUAAUUUUAAAGUUGAGACUAAGUUUGUUGCACUUACACACUUGGUUGCCAUUUUGGAUUUUGGAGUGCUUUUUCUACAUUUUUUGAACAUUUUGGUAGGUUAUGAUUUAUGAAGUAAGACUAAAGCAUUAUUAGGUCGUUUUUAAAGUUCGAGUGAUACUUAAACAUUUUUUGAACACCUGUUAGGUUGUUACAAACUAAGUUAGUUUUUACAUACAGCCAUGGUUGCCAUUUUGAGUCUUGAAAGAUUUUUUUUCACACUUUUUGAAAUUUUUGGUAAGUCAUGAGUUAUAAACUUACACUUAAGCGUUGUUAGGUUGUUUGAAAACUUAUACGUGUUUUGAAUACUUGUUAGGUUUGUAUAGAACUAAGUUCGUUGCACUUACACACUUGACAUUUUGGGUUUUGGAGUGUCUUUUUAAAAAAUUUUGAACUUUUUGCUAGUUUAUGACUUAUGAACUUGUAUUGAAUAUUUGUUAGGUCGUUUUGAUAAUUCAAGUGAUACUUAGAAAAUGCAACCGAGCUUAAACAAUUCCGCUCAUUUUUCUAAAAUUUUUUAGUUUAACCUAUUGAAUAAAAUUCGAUGGAAAUUCUUGUUUUCUUUUUGUAGGAAUAAAAGGAAAUGAAAUAUAACCAAACUUGGGAUCUUUGCAAACAAUCUUCCAUGAAGAAACUAGGCUACAAGUGGUUUGGGGUUUGGGUUUUUAGGGCUUAGGGCUUUUUGGGCUUAUGGCUUAGGGCUUUUAGCGCUUUUAGGGCUUUUAGGACGCUUAGGGCUUUUAGGUUUUAGGGCUUAGGGCUUUUAGGGCUUAGGGCUUUUAGGGCUUAUGGCUUUAGGGUUUAGGGUUUAGGGGUUUAGGGUUUAGGGCGCUUAGGGCUUUUAGGGAUUUUAGGGCGCUUAGGGAUUUUAGGUUUUAGGGCUUAGGGCUUUUAGGGAUUAUGGCUUAAAGCUUAGCGCUUUUAGGGCUUAGGGCUUAGGGCUUAGGGCUUUAAGGGCUUUAAGGGUAUUUAGGGAUAAGGGAUUUUAGGGCUUUUAGGGCUUUUAGGGCUUUUGGGGCUUUAAGGGCUUUUAGGGCUUAGGGCGUUUGGCUUAGGGCUUAGGGAUUAGGGCUUGGGCUUUUAGGGCUCGGGCUUUGGGCUUUUAGGACUUUUAGUGCUCUUAGGGCUUUUUGGGCGCUUAGGGCUUAUGACUUUUAAGACUUAGGGCUUUGGGCUUUUAGGGCUUUUAGGACUUUUAGGGCUUUUAGGGCGCUUAUGGCUUUUAGCUUUUAGGGCUUAGGGCUUUUUGGGCUUUUAGGGCUUAGGGCUUAGGGCUUAGGCUUUUAGGGCUUUUAGGGCUUGGGCUUUGGGCGUUUAGGGCUUUUAGGGCUUUUAGGACGCUUAGGGCUUUUAGGUUGUAGGGCUUAGGGCUUUUAGCGCUUAUGGCUUUUAGGGCUUAGCGCUUAGGGCUUAGGGCUUUUACGGCUUUUAGGGCUUUUACGACUUUUAGAGCUUUUAGGGCUGAGGUAUUAGGGCUUAGGCCUUAGGGCUGAGGGCUCAGGGCUUAGGGCUUAGGGUUUAGGGUUUAGGGUUUAGGGUUUAGGGUUUAGGGCUUAGUUCUUGUGCUUUUAUUGCUUAGGGCUUAGGGCUUGUAGGGCUUAGGGCUUAUGGCUUAGGGCUUGGGCUUUUAGGGCUUGGGCUUUGGGCUUUUAGGGUGUUUAGGGCUUUUAGGUCGCUUAAGUCGUUUAUGGCUUUUAAGGCGUUUAGGGCUUAGGGCUUUUAGGGCUUAGGGGUUUUGACUUACAACUUAGGGCUUGGGAUUUUAGGGCUUAGGGCUUGGGCUUUGGCCUUUUAGGGCUUUUAGGACUCUUAGGGCUUUUACGGCGCUUAGGGCUUUUAGGUUUUAGGGCUUAGGGCUUAGGGCUUUUAGGGCUUAUAGCUUUUUAGGGUUUAGGGUUUUUAGGGUUUUUUAGGGCUUUUAGGGCGCUUAGGGCUUAAGGCUUAUGGCUUGGGCUUUUAUGGCUUGGGCUUUGGGUUAUAGGGCUUAGGGAUUUUAGGGCUUAUGGUUUUUAGGGCUUAGGGCUUAGGGCUUAGGGCUUUUAGGGCUUAGGGGUUUUGGCUUACGGCUUAGGGCUUGGGAUUUUAGGGUUUAGGGCUUUUAGGGCUUACCGCUUAGGGCUUAGGGCUUUAGGCUUUUAGGGCGCUUGAGGAUUUUAGGGCGCUUAGGGCUUUUAGGGCUUAUAGCUUUUAGGGUUUAGGGUUUUUAGGGCUUUUAGGGUGCUUAGGGCUUGGGCUUUUAGGGCUUGGGCUUAGGGUUUUAGGGCUUGGGGAUUUUAGGGCUUAUGGCUUUAGUGUUUAGGGUUUAGGGUUUAGGGUUUAGGGCGCUUAGGACUUUUAGGGAUUUUAGGGCUCUUAGGGCUUUUAGGUUUUAAGGCUUAGGGCUUUUAGGGAUUAUGGCUUAGUGCUUUUAGGGCUUAGGGCUUUUAGGGCUUUUUGGGCUUAUGGCUUAGGGCUUUUAGCGCUUUUAGGGCUUUUAGCGUUUUUAGGGUUUUUAGGGCUCUUAGGGCUUUUAGGUUUUAGGGCUUAGGGCUUUUAGGGCUUUAGGGUUUAGGGUUUAGGGGUAUAGGGUUUAGGGCGCUUAGGGCUUUUAGGGAUUUUAGGGCGUUUAGGGAUUUUAGGUUUUAGGGCUUAGGGCUUUUAGGGAUUAUGGCUUAAAGCUUAGCGCUUUUAGGGCUUAGGGCUUAGGGCUUAGGGCUUUAAGGGCUUUAAGGGUAUUUAGGGAUAAGGGAUUUUAAGGCUUUUAGGGCAUUUAGGGCUUUUGGGGCUUUUAGGGCUUUUAGGGCUUAGGGCGUUUGGCUUAGGGCUUAGGGAUUAGGGCUUGGGCUUUUAGGGCUCGGGCUUUGGGCUUUUAGGACUUUUAGUGCUCUUAGGGCUUUUUGGGCGCUUAGGGCUUAUGACUUUUAAGACUUAGGGCUUUGGGCUUUUAGGGCUUUUAGGACUUUUAGAGCUUUUUAGGGCGCUUAUGGCUUUUAGCUUUUAGGGCUUAGGGCUUUUUUGGGCUUUUAGGGCUUAGGGCUUAGGGCUUAGGCUUUUUAGGGCUUUUAGGGGCUUGGGCUUUGGGCGUUUAGGGCUUUUAGGGCUUUUAGGACGCUUAGGGCUUUUUAGGUUGUAGGGCUUAGGGCUUUUAGCGCUUUAUGGCUUUUAGGGCUUAGCGCUUAGGUCUUAGGGCUUUUACGGCUUUUAGGGCUUUUACGACUUUUAGAGCUUUUAGGGCUGAGGUAUUAGGGCUUAGGCCUUAGGGCUUAGGCCUUAGGGCUGAGGGGUCAGGGCUUAGGGCUUAGGGUUUAGGGUUUAGGGUUUAGGGUUUAGGGUUUAGGGCUUAGUUCUUGUGCUUUUAUUGCUUAGGGCUUAGGGCUUGUAGGGCUUAGGGCUUAUGGCUUAGGGCUUGGGCUUUUAGGGCUUGGGCUUUUAGGGCUUGGGCUUUUAGGGCUUUGGGCUUUGGGCUUUUAGGGUGUUUAGGGCUUUUUAGGUCGCUUAAGUCGUUUAUGGCUUUUAAGGCGUUUAGGGCUUAGGGCUUUUAGGGCUUAGGGGUUUUGGCUUACAACUUAGGGCUUGGGAUUUUAGGGCUUAGGGCUUGGGCUUUGGCCUUUUAGGGCUUUUAGGACUCUUAGGGCUUUUACGGCGCUUAGGGCUUUUAGGUUUUAGGGCUUAGGGCUUAGGGCUUUUAGGGCUUAUAGCUUUUAGGGUUUAGGGUUUUUAGGGUUUUUAGGGCUUUUAGGGCGCUUAGGGCUUAAGGCUUAUGGCUUGGGCUUUUAUGGCUUGGGCUUUGGGUUUUAGGGCUUAGGGAUUUUAGGGCUUAUGGUUUUUAGGGCUUAGGGCUUAGGGCUUAGGGCUUUUAGGGCUUAGGGGUUUUGGCUUACGACUUAGGGCUUGGGAUUUUAGGGCUUAGGGCUUUUAGGGCUUACCGCUUAGGGCUUAGGGCUUUAGGCUUUUAGGGCGCUUGAGGGUUUUAGGGCGCUUAGGGCUUUUAGGGCUUAUAGCUUUUAGGGUUUAGGGUUUUUAGGGCUUUUAGGGUGUUUAGGGCUUGGGCUUUUAUGGCUUGGGCUUUUAGGGCUUGGGCUUAGGGUUUUAGGGCUUGGGGAUUUUAGGGCUUAUGGCUUUAGUGUUUAGGGUUUAAGGUUUAGGGUUUAGGGCGCUUAGGACUUUUAGGGAUUUUAGGGCUCUUAGGGCUUUUAGGUUUUAAGGCUUAGGGCUUUUAGGGAUUAUGGCUUACUGCUUUUAGGGCUUAGGGCUUUUAGGGCUUUUUGGGCUUAUGGCUUAGGGCUUUUAGCGCUUUUAGGGCUUUUAGGGCUCUUAGGGCUUUUAGGUUUUAGGGCUUAGGGCUUUUAGGGCUUUAGGGUUUAGGGUUUAGGGGUUUAGGGUUUAGGGUUUAGGGCGCUUAGGGCUUUUAGGGAUUUUAGGGCGCUUAGGGAUUUUAGGUUUUAGGGCUUAGGGCUUUUAGGGAUUAUGGCUUAAAGCUUAGCGCUUUUAGGGCUUAGAGCUUAGGGCUUAGGGCUUUAAGGGCUCUAAGGGUAUUUAGGGAUAAGGGAUUUUAGGGCUUUUAGGGCAUUUAGGGCUUUGGGCGUUUAGGGCUUUUAGGGCUUUUAGGACGCUUAGGGCUUUUAGGUUGUAGGGCUUAGGGCUUUUAGCGCUUAUGGCUUUUAGGGCUUAGCGCUUAGGGCUUAGGGCUUUUACGGCUUUUAGGGCUUUUAAGAAUUUUAGAGCUUUUAGGGCUGAGGUAUUAGGGCUUAGGCCUUAGGGCUUAAGCCUUAGGGCUGAGGGGUCAGGGCUUAGGGCUUAGGGUUUAGGGUUUAGGGUUUAGGGUUUAGGGUUUAGGGUUUAGGGCUUAGUUCUUGUGCUUUUAUUGCUUAGGGCUUAGGGCUUGUAGGGCUUAGGGCUUAUGGCUUAGGGCUUGGGCUUUUAGGGCUUGGGCUUUGGGCUUUUAGGGUGUUUAGGGCUUUUAGGUCGCUUAAGUCGUUUAUGGCUUUUAAGGCGUUUAGGGCUUAAGGCUUUUAGGGCUUAGGGGUUUUGGCUUACGACUUAGGGCUUGGGAUUUUAGGGCUUAGGGCUUGGGCUUUGGCCUUUUAGGGCUUUUAGGACUGUUAGGGCUUUUACGGCGCUUAGGGCUUUUAGGUUUUAGGGCUUAGACUUAGGGCUUUUAGGGCUUAUAGCUUUUAGGGUUUAGGGUUUUUAGGGUUUUUAGGGCUUUUAGGGCGCUUAGGGCUUAAGGCUUAUGGCUUGGGCUUUUAUGGCUUGGGCUUUGGGUUUUAGGGCUUAGGGAUUUUAGGGCUUAUGGUUUUUAGGGCUUAGGGCUUAGGGCUUAGGGCUUUUAGGGCUUAGGGGUUUUGGCUUACGGCUUAGGGCUUGGGAUUUUAGGGCUUAGGGCUUUUAGGGCUCACCGCAUAGGGCUUAGGGCUUUAGGCUUUUAGGGCGCUUGAGGGUUUUAGGGCGCUUAGGGCUUUUAGGGCUUAUAGCUUUUAGGGUUUAGGGUUUUUAGGGCUUUUAGGGUGCUUAGGGCUUGGGCUUUUAUGGCUUGGGCUUUGGGUUUUAGGGCUUAGGGAUUUUAGGGCUUUUAGGGCAUUUAGGGCUUUUGGGGCUUUUAGGGCUUAGGGCGUUUGGCUUAGGGCUUAGGGAUUAGGGCUUGGGCUUUUAGGGCUCGGGCUUUGGGCUUUUUAGGACUUUUAGUGCUCUUAGGGCUUUUUGGGCGCUUAGGGCUUAUGACUUUUAAGACUUAGGGCUUUGGGCUUUUUGGGCUUUUAGGGCUUUUAGGACUUUUAGGGCUUUUAGGGCGCUUAUGGCUUUUAGCUUUUAGGGCUUAGGGCUUUUUGGGCUUUUAGGGCUUAGGGCUUAGGGCUUAGGCUUUUAGGGCUUUUAGGGCUUGGGCUUUGGGCGUUUAGGGCUUUUAGGGUUUUUAGAACGCUUAGGGCUUUUAGGUUGUAGGGCUUAGGGCUUUAGCGCUUAUGGCUUUUAGGGCUUAGGGCUUAGGGCUUAGGGCUUAGGGUUUAGGGUUUAGGGUUUAGGGUUUAGGGCUUAGUUCUUGUGCUUUUAUUGCUUAGGGCUUAGUUCUUGUGCUUUUAUUGCUUAGGGCUUAGGGCUUGUAGGGCUUAGGGCUUAUGGCUUAGGGCUUGGGCUUUUAGGGCUUGGGUUUUUAGGGCUUGGGCUUUGGGCUUUUAGGGCGUUUAGGGCUUUUAGGUCGCUUAAGUCGUUUAUGGCUUUUAAGGCGUUUAGGGCUUAGGGCUUUUAGGGCUUAGGGGUUUUGGCUUACGACUUAGGGCUUGGGAUUUUAGGGCUUAGGGCUUGGGCUUUGGCCUUUUAGGGCUUUUAGGAAUUUUAGGGCUUUUACGGCGCUUAGGGCUUUUAGGUUUUAGGGCUUAGGGCUUAGGGCUUUUAGGGCUUAUAGCUUUUAGGGUUUAGGGUUUUUAGGGUUUUUAGGGUUUUUAGGGCGCUUAGGGCUUAGGGCUUAUGGCUUGGGCUUUUAUGGCUUGGGCUUUGGGUUUUAGGGCUUAGGGAUUUUAGGGCUUUUAGGGCAUUUAGGGCUUUUGGGGCUUUUAGGGCUUAGGGGCGUUUGGCUUAGGGCUUAGGGAUUAGGGCUUGGGCUUUUAGGGCUCGGGCUUUGGGCUUUUAGGACUUUUAGUGCUCUUAGGGCUUUUUGGGCGCUUAGGGCUUAUGACUUUUAAGACUUAGGGCUUUAGGCUUUUUGGGCUUUUAGGGCUUUUAGGACUUUUAGGGCUUUUAGGGCGCUUAUGGCUUUUAGCUUUUAGGGCUUAGGGCUUUUUGGGCUUUUAGGGCUUAGGGCUUAGGGCUUAGGCUUUUAGGGCUUUUAGGGCUUGGGCUUUGGGCGUUUAGGGCUUUUAGGGCUUUUAGGACGCUUAGGGCUUUUAGGUUGUAGGGCUUAGGGCUUUUAGCGCUUAUGGCUUUUAGGGCUUAGCGCUUAGGGCUUAGGGCUUUUACGGCUUUUUAGGGCUUUUACGACUUUUAGAGCUUUUAGGGCUGAGGUAUUAGGGCUUAGGCCUUAGGGCUUAGGCCUUAGGGCUGAGGGUGUCAGGGCUUAGGGCUUAGGGUUUAGGGUUUAGGGUUUAGGGUUUAGGGUUUAGGGCUUAGUUCUUGUGCUUUUAUUGCUUAGGGCUUAGGGCUUGUAGGGCUUAGGGCUUAUGGCUUAGGGCUUGGGCUUUUAGGGCUUGGGCUUUUAGGGCUUGGGCUUUGGGCUUUUAGGGUGUUUAGGGCUUUUAGGUCGCUUAAGUCGUUUAUGGCUUUUAAGGCGUUUAGGGCUUAGGGCUUUUAGGGCUUAGGGGGUUUUGGCUUACGACUUAGGGCUUGGGAUUUUAGGGCUUAGGGCUUGGGCUUUGGCCUUUUAGGGCUUUUAGGACUGUUAGGGCUUUUACGGCGCUUAGGGCUUUUAGGUUUUAGGGCUUAGACUUAGGGCUUUUAGGGCUUAUAGCUUUUAGGGUUUAGGGUUUUUAGGGUUUUUAGGGCUUUUAGGGCGCUUAGGGCUUAAGGCUUAUGGCUUGGGCUUUUAUGGCUUGGGCUUUGGGUUUUAAGGCUUAGGGAUUUUAGGGCUUAUGGUUUUUAGGGCUUAGGGCUUAGGGCUUAGGGCUUUUAGGGCUUAGGGGUUUUGGCUUACGGCUUAGGGCUUGGGAUUUUAGGGCUUAGGGCUUUUAGGGCUCACCGCUUGGCGCUUAGGGCUUUAGGCUUUUAGGGCGCUUGAGGGUUUUAGGGCGCUUAGGGCGCUUAGGGCUUUUAGGGCUUAUAGCUUUUAGGGUUUAGGGUUUUUUAGGGCUUUUAGGGUGCUUAGGGCUUGGGCUUUUAUGGCUUGGGCUUUGGGUUUUAGGGCUUAGGGAUUUUAGGGCUUUUAGGGCAUUUAGGGCUUUUGGGGCUUUUAGGGCUUAGGGCGUUUGGCUUAGGGCUUAGGGAUUAGGGCUUGGGCUUUUAGGGCUCGGGCUUUGGGCUUUUAGGACUUUUAGUGCUCUUAGGGCUUUUUGGGCGCUUAGGGCUUAUGACUUUUAAGACUUAGGGCUUUGGGCUUUUUUGGCUUUUAGGACUUUUAGGGCUUUUAGGGCGCUUAUGGCUUUUAGCUUUUAGGGCUUAGGGCUUUUUGGGCUUUUAGGGCUUAGGGCUUAGGGCUUAGGCUUUUUAGGGCUUUUAGGGCUUGGGCUUUGGGCGUUUUAGGGCUUUUAGGGCUUUUAGAACGCUUAGGGCUUUUAGGUUGUAGGGCUUAGGGCUUUUAGCGCUUAUGGCUUUUAGGGCUUAGGGCUUAGGGCUUAGGGCUUAGGGUUUAGGGUUUAGGGUUUAGGGUUUAGGGCUUAGUUUCUUGUGCUUUUAUUGCUUAGGGCUUAGUUCUUGUGCUUUUAUUGCUUAGGGCUUAGGGCUUGUAGGGCUUAGGGCUUAUGGCUUAGGGCUUGGGCUUUUAGGGCUUGGGUUUUUAGGGCUUGGGCUUUGGGCUUUUAGGGCGUUUAGGGCUUUUAGGUCGCUUAAGUCGUUUAUGGCUUUUAAGGCGUUUAGGGCUUAGGGCUUUUAGGGCUUAGGGGUUUUGGCUUACGACUUAGGGCUUGGGAUUUUAGGGCUUAGGGCUUGGGCUUUGGUCUUUUAGGGCUUUUAGGAUUUUUAGGGCUUUUACGACGCUUAGGGCUUUUAGGUUUUAGGGCUUAGGGCUUAGGGCUUUUAGGGCUUAUAGCUUUUAGGGUUUAGGGUUUUUAGGGUUUUUAGGGCUUUUAGGGCGCUUAGGGCUUAGGACUUAUGGCUUGGGCUUUUAUGGCUUGGGCUUUGGGUUUUAGGGCUUAGGGAUUUUAGGGCUUUUAGGGCAUUUAGGGCUUUUGGGGCUUUUAGGGCUUAGGGCGUUUGGCUUAGGGCUUAGGGAUUAGGGCUUGGGCUUUUAGGGCUCGGGCUUUGGGCUUUUAGGACUUUUAGUGCUCUUAGGGCUUUUUGGGCGCUUAGGGCUUAUGACUUUUAAGACUUAGGGCUUUAGGCUUUUAGGGCUUUUAGGACUUUUAGGGCUUUUAGGGCGCUUAUGGCUUUUAGCUUUUAGGGCUUAGGGCUUUUUGGGCUUUUAGGGCUUAGGGCUUAGGGCUUAGGCUUUUAGGGCUUUUAGGGCUUGGGCUUUGGGCGUUUAGGGCUUUUAGGGCUUUUAGGACGCUUAGGGCUUUUAGGUUCGUAGGGCUUAGGGCUUUUAGCGCUUAUGGCUUUUAGGGCUUAGCGCUUAGGGCUUAGGGCUUUUACGGCUUUUAGGGCUUUUACGACUUUUAGGGCUUUUAGGGCUGAGGUCUUAGGGCUUAGGCCUUAGGGCUUAGGCCUUAGGGCUGAGGGCUCAGGGCUUAGGGCUUAGGGCUUAGGGUUUAGGGCUUAGGGCUUAGUUCUUGUGCUUUUAUUGCUUAGGGCUUAGGGCUUGUAGGGCUUAGGGCUUAUGGCUUAGGGCUUGGGCUUUUAGGGCUUGGGUUUUUAGGGCUUGGGCUUUGGGCUUUUAGGGCGUUUAGGGCUUUUAGGUCGCUUAAGUCGUUGAUUGCUUUUAAGGCGUUUAGGGCUUAGGGCUUUUAGGGCUUAGAGGUUUUGGCUUACGACUUAGGGCUUGGGAUUUUAGGGCUUAGGGCUUGGGUUUUGGCCUUUUAGGGCUUUUAGGAUUUUUAGGGCUUUUACCGGCGCUUAGGGCUUUUAGGUUUUAGGGCUUAGGGCUUAGGCGCUUUUAGGGCUUAUAGCUUUUAGAGGGUUUAGGGUUUUUAGGGUUUUUAGGGCUUUUAGGGCGCUUAGGGCUUAGGACUUAUGGCUUGGGCUUUGGGUUUUAGGGCUUAGGGAUUUUAGGGCUUAUGGUUUUUAGGGCUUAGGGCUUAGGGCUUAGGGGUUUUGGCUUACGGCUUAGGGCUUAGGGCUUGGGCUUUGGCCUUUUAAGGCUUUUAGGACUUUUAGGGCUUUUACGGCGCUUAGGGCGCUUAGGGCUUUCAGGUUUUAGGGCUUAGGGCUUUAGGCUUUUAGGGCGCUUGAGGGUUUUAGGGCGCUUAGGGCUUUUAGGGCUUAUAGCUUUUAGGGUUUAGGGUUUUUAGGGCUUUUAGGGCGCUUAGGGCUUAGGGCUUAGGGCUUGGGCUUUUAUGGCUUGGGCUUUUAGGGCUUGGGCUUAGGGUUUUAGGGCUUGGGGAUUUUAGGGCUUAUGGCUUUAGAGUUUAGGGGUUUUGGGUUUAGGGCGCUUAGGACUUUUAGGGACUUUAGGGCUCUUAGGGCUUUUAGGUUUUAAGGCUUAUGGCUUUUAGGGAUUAUGGCUAAGUGCUUUUAGGGCUUAACGCUUUUAGGAGGACUUAGGGCUUUUAGGGCUUUUAGGGCUUAGGGCUUUUGGUGCUUUUGGGGCUUUUAGGGCUUAGGGCCUUUGGCUUAGUGCUUGGGGAUUAUAGCUUGGGCUUUUAGGGCUCGGGCUUUGGGCUCUUAGGGCUUUUAGGGCGCUUAGGGCUUUUAGGUCUUUUAGGGAUUAGGGUUUGGGCUUUUAGGGCUUGUGCUUUGGGCUUUUGGGAUUUUAGGGUUUAGGGCUUGUGCUUUUAGGGCUUGGGCUUUGCGCUUUUAGGACUUUUAGGGCUUUUACAGCGCUUAGGGCGCUUAGGACUUAGGGCUUAGGGCUUUUAGGGCUUAGGGCUCAUUGAGGAACUGGAUUUAUCUAAUGAGUAUAGGUAAAAUGGUUUUUUAUAUUGGAUUUGAUCAAUGCAAUGAAUUGUUUUAUCAUAAGACCGAUCCCUAAUUAAAUUGAUGAUCCCCAUCCUAACGAAAUGAAUUUGAUUCAUACAUGUACACACACGAACUGAACAUAGAUACAUUCACCGAAUCAUUGAUAAAGCAAUUCUACUUGGCGAGGAAAAAAUUUUCAAUAACUUGUUGAUCCCUAUCUCCAAAUUUUAAAAUUUAUCGUUCUUGAAUUUCUUGGCUUAGUGUGAAAUCGAAAUAUACCUAACCUAAUCUUAACAAUGAGUUAAUCAAUGAGUGAAAGUAUGAGAAAUGGAGUUUAAUCCCGUUUAUAGCAUAUUACAGACCAAUCACUUCCCGAAGGGUACUAGCCUUCGCAUUAUUUAAAUAAAAAAAGAAUAUUUUUUUUUGAAUAUUUAUUAUUUUUGUUUAUUUUAGACGUUUCUUCUAAUCACUACUAAUCACUAUUUUCAUUUUAUAUUCUAUAAUAAGUAAUAUAACUAUAUAUUCCAAUUUGCAAAUUUAUGUAUAUUAUUUAAAUUAAAUAAAUAAAUAAAAGAAAUUAAAUAAAUAAAUAAAUAAUGCAAUUGAAUUUUAAAUAAAAGAAUUUCUUCCCCUACUUCUUCUCUAACGGCUCUCUCUCUACUUUCUCGUCCUCUCCCCUUCUCUUAUCUUCUUCGUCUUCCUCAAAAUCGCGAUUCACGACCAUCUUCUUCUCCUGGCCCUAACAGCGCUGGAUUUCUCAACUGUCGAUCGAGUGACAAUCAUGCCUGCCUGCUUGACAAAGCCUUUUCGGUCUACCAAUAAAGGAAAAACGAUUGCUGGUGACACGAAGGCUGUGCUCGACGCUCUUUUUCUUAUUCCACUGCGCGUCGUGGUCUUUCCCUUGCUGGUUGGAUGACUACUAUGGACGAAGAGCACAAUUACUUCCAGUCUCUGGUCGAUAAGUACCCAAGGAAGGUAAAUUCCAGCGAAGAAAGUCGAGAGCUCCUUAGUUGAUCACAAAUCCUUCCAAAUUCUUUGUUCGUAGACUAAUUUGAAAUCCUUCCAAUAUGGAUCCAUGCUGUCUUUUAUAUCCAUAAGAUACCAAUUAGAUUGUGUUAAUUAUUGUUUAUAAGAAAAUAUUUGUGUGCAGAGUUGCCGUGGGUAAAUCUUAAUGGCUGGCAGAAAAUUGGUUCGGGAUAUAUUACUCUCAAGACAAAGUAUUUUUUAUCAGUUUACUUCCCAUGGGGUAUUUGCUCUUCCUAUGCUUUAUCCUUAUCCCGUCUUUCUCCGCUGUAGUCUUUAUAGGAUCGAUUUCUGUGGUGUAAAUUUAUUCAUCUAGUUUGUUUAAUUUAUGGUUUCAUUUAGGGAGAAGGUAAAUUACAUAAGCCAACGUAGUUAUGGAAAACAUCUCCAAUUUACAGCAAGUUAAAGAAAAAAAAAAAGAAGAGAAAAACAGCAGUUAAAAAAACUGGGCAUCUUGCUUUUUUCUUAUUGAAAGUUUGGCCGUUUCUUUCAAGUCAAAUUGACCACAAAAUGCUCAAAUGAGAUUCUUCAAUAGGAAUAUGUAAAAAAAAUAUAAUAUGUAAAAGAAUUUUUGUGAAACGUGGGAGAGAAGCGGUAACAUUAUCCUUCAAAAAAUUCAGGAGUAAAUAUUUAUGUGAAAGGACAUAUUAUUUGGCCAUUUGACCUUAUUUGUUAUUGAAUUAUUUGGUUGGAAAUGAUAAACUACACAUUAUUGUUUGCUUCAGUUGUGAUCUUGAUUAUGGGCUAUUUGGUAUUUUGCUUACAAACUGUAUAGUUAAUUAUCUGUUAGCUUUUGUUUUCCUGUCACAGCUUUAUGUUUAUGUGGCUCAUUGUAGCCGAAAGUUUUAUUUAUCAAUCUUAUUUUUCAUAGCAUAAAUGAAACUGUGUUUGAAGAAUCAGGUGCUGCUACAUCAUUCAAGGAAAUUCGUCGUAGAGGUUCGUAAGUUUUUUCCUUUGGAGAUGUGAUACUAACCUGUUUGAAUAAAGGAAUCUGACUUGGUCUUUUCCUCUUUAACAUUAUGGAUUAGGUCUUUCUCUUUACCAGAUUUCGUAGCUGAACUUUAAGAAGCAAUCAAACCGGUGUUAACUUCUUAUAUAAAGGUUAGUGCUAACUGCUAAGCUUAUUUCUAAGAUGAAAGAUGCUUUUAUCCCCUCCCCAAAGAAUAUCAUUACUAUUUAUGUUGUAUUUCUGCUAACUAAUUCUUGCAUAGCAUCUGGUUUGAUAAAUAAAGUAAAGUUUCUGACAUGGAGGUUUUCAAGUUGGAAUAUAUAUUUAUGUUUUAGGUAGAUUCCCAAACUUUGAAGAAACGCUGCAGUACUGAGGUAAUUGAACGUUGUAAGGCAGAGCAUUGGGCUUACCAGAGCCAAGGUAUCUUCUUCGAUAACAAGUAAGGAUAGUCCUGAUACUACCUUUCUUUUGUUAUUGAAAUUUAUUGUUCCUUUUGUUGGGGGCUUGGUGGUUGUGCACCUAUAUUGAUUUGUACUUCUGUUAAUUAAUUAUAGUCAUUCUCUCUUGUCUGAGUAAUUAUUGUCAACCAUUUUGUUAGCAAAGGCUUCCCAUGGAAAUUCAGUUUGUUGUGCUGCAUGUCCACGAUGAUUUUCGUGAUUUUAGUUUUAGAUACAUAAAAAGGGCCUUUGCAUCACGACAUGAAUGACUACUUUUUAAUAUGAACCUACAAUACCCCAAAUGAAUGCUGAAGUAAGUUUAUUGAUGUAUGUAAUUUACAACAAUCUUUUUGAACUUUUUGGUAGGUUAUGAAUUACGAACUUGUAUUGAAUAUUUGUUAGGUCGUUUUAAUAAUUCAAGUGAUGCUUAGAAAAUGCAACCGAGCUUAAACAAUUCUGCACAUUUUUCUAAAAUUUUUAGUUUAACCUCUUUAAUAAAAUUCGAUGGAAAUUCUUGUUUUCUUUUUGUAGGAAUAAAGGAAAAUGAAAUAUAACCAAACUUGGGAUCUUUGCAAGCAAGCUUCCAUGAAGAAACUAGGUUACAAGGGGAGGUCUUCUGUUCUCCUUUUUUUUCUUUCCAUCCGUAGAAUCUUGCUUAAAAUGCUUUGAGGACAAUGCAAAUUUUUAAGUGGGGGGUGGGGUUGUAGCCUUGCACAUUCCAUGUCCUUUGGGAAAUUUUCAUUUUGCAAAUUUUGCUAAAAAUGUCAAAAUUUAGAAACUUUUGCAAUGCUCUAUGCUUAGAAUAAGUACCAUGUCUACUUCGCUUUUUAGCAUAAAAAAGCAUAUAUGCCUAACCCAUGAGAACGGAGCUCGGAUUUGUGAUUGUAUUUGUUAUUUGAAUAUGUUACAUAUGUUGAAAAUGCAUAUAUUGAUAGCUUAGAAAUGAGUAGAACACUUGGUUCAUUUUCUGAAUAUUGUGAAUUAUGUACAUAAUAAUAUGUGCGGUUGCCUUUUUUAUCUCAAUUUUAAUCCCCUUUUUUGCCAUAUUCUACUGCCUUUUUUAUAUUAAUUUUAAAUCCCUCUUUUGGCCAUACACAUUUGUAUAAGAUUGUUUGAAAGCAAAAUAUGAUUGUUAGGUCAAGUAGAAAGCAAAGUCGGCAAGUUCUUAGAGUUCUUCACCCAACAUAACAGCCGAUAAAAACAAAACAAUACGACCAAGCUGCUUAGAGUUGCAAAACCCGACCCCCGCCUAGUGGGUCACUAGAGUUCUUCACCCAGCAUGGCAGCCGGUAGAGAGGGAGAGAGAAAAAAAAGAGGGAGCCAAGCCAGCCGCUUAGGUCAAGUAAAAUGCGCGCGAGAUCCCCGGUUUCAGAAUUUUCGUGGGGAUCCUCUCCGCUUUUCUUGCCUAAGCAAAACCGACCCCGCCUAGUAGGUUCUUAGAGUUCUUCACCCAUCAUGGCAGCCGGUAGAGAGGGAGAGAAAAAAAAAAGGGAGCCAAGCCAGCCGCUUAGGUCAAGUAAAAUGCGCGCCGAGAUCCCCGGUUUCAGAAUUUUCGUGGGGAUCCUCUCCGCUUUUCUUGCCUAAGCAAAACCCGACCCGCCUAGUAGGUCUUAGAGUUUUCACCCAGCAUGGCAGCCGUAGAGAGGGAGAGAGAAAAAAAGAGGGAGCCAAGCCAGCCGCUUAGGUCAAGUAAAAUGCGCGCCGAGAUCCCCCGUUUCAGAAUUUUCGUGGGGAUCCUCUCCGCUUUUCUUGCCUAAGCAAAACCCGACCCGCCUAGUAGGUCCUUAGAGUUUUUCACCCAGCAUGGCAGCCGGUAGAGAGGGAGAGAAAAAAAAGAGGGAGCCAAGCCAGCCGCUUAGGUCAAGUAAAAUGCGCGCCGAGAUCCCCCGGUUUCAGAAUUUUCGUGGGAUCCUCUCCGCUUUUCUUGCCUAAGCAAAACCCGACCCCCCUAGUAGGUCUUAGAGUUUUUCACCCAGCAUGGCAGCCGGUAGAGAGGGAGAGAGAAAAAAAGAGGGAGCCAAGCCAGCCGCUUAGGUCAAGUAAAAUGCGCGCCGAGAUCCCCCGGUUUCAGAAUUUUCGUGGGGAUCCUCUCCGCUUUUCUUGCCUAAGCAAAACCCGACCCGCCUAGUAGGUCCUUAGAGUUUUUCACCCAGCAUGGCAGCCGGUAGAGAGGGAGAGAGAAAAAAAAGAGGGAGCCAAGCCAGCCGCUUAGGUCAAGUAAAAUGCGCGCCGAGAUCCCCCGGUUUCAGAAUUUUCGUGGGGAUCCUCUCCGCUUUUCUUGCCUAAGCAAAACCCGACCCCGCCUAGUAGGUCCUUAGAGUUUUCACCCAGCAUGGCAGCCGGUAGAGAGGGAGAGAAAAAAAAGAGGGAGCCAAGCCAGCCGCUUAGGUCAAGUAAAAUGCGCGCCGAGAUCCCCGGUUUCAGAAUUUUCGUGGGGAUCCUCUCCGCUUUUCUUGCCUAAGCAAAACCCGACCCGCCUAGUAGGUCCUUAGAGUUUUUCACCCAGCAUGGCAGCCGGUAGAGAGGGAGAGAGAAAAAAAAGAGGGAGCCAAGCCAGCCGCUUAGGUCAAGUAAAAUGCGCGCCGAGAUCCCCGGUUUCAGAAUUUUCGUGGGGAUCCUCUCCGCUUUUCUUGCCUAAGCAAAACCCGACCCGCCUAGUAGGUCCUUAGAGUUUUUCACCCAGCAUGGCAGCCGGUAGAGAGGGAGAGAAAAAAAAAGAGGGAGCCAAGCCAGCCGCUUAGGUCAAGUAAAAUGCGCGCCGAGAUCCCCCGGUUUCAGAAUUUUCGUGGGGAUCCUCUCCGCUUUUCUUGCCUAAGCAAAACCCGACCCGCCUAGUAGGUCCUUAGAGUUUUCACCCAUCAUGGCAGCCGGUAGAGAGGGAGAGAGAAAAAAAAGAGGGAGCCAAGCCAGCCGCUUAGGUCAAGUAAAAUGCGCGCGCGAGAUCCCCGGUUUCAGAAUUUUCGUGGGGAUCCUCUCCGCUUUUCUUGCCUAAGCAAAACCCGACCCGCCUAGUAGGUCCUUAGAGUUUUUCACCCAGCAUGGCAGCCGGUAGAGAGGGAGAGAAAAAAAAGAGGGAGCCAAGCCAGCCGCUUAGGUCAAGUAAAAUGCGCGCCGAGAUCCCCCGGUUUCAGAAUUUUCGUGGGGAUCCUCUCCGCUUUUCUUGCCUAAGCAAAACCCGACCUAGUAGGUCCUUAGAGUUUUUCACCCAGCAUGGCAGCCGGUAGAGAGGGAGAGAGAAAAAAAAGAGGGAGCCAAGCCAGCCGCUUAGGUCAAGUAAAAUGCGCGCCGAGAUCCCCGGUUUCAGAAUUUUCGUGGGGAUCCUCUCCGCUUUUCUUGCCUAAGCAAAACCCGACCCGCCUAGUAGGUCCUUAGAGUUUUUCACCCAGCAUGGCAGCCGGUAGAGAGGGAGAGAAAAAAAAGAGGGAGCCAAGCCAGCCGCUUAGGUCAAGUAAAAUGCGCGCCGAGAUCCCCCGUUUCAGAAUUUUCGUGGGGAUCCUCUCCGCUUUUCUUGCCUAAGCAAAACCCGACCCGCCUAGUAGGUCCUUAGAGUUUUCACCCAUCAUGGCAGCCGGUAGAGAGGGAGAGAAAAAAAAAGAGGGAGCCAAGCCAGCCGCUUAGGUCAAGUAAAAUGCGCGCCGAGAUCCCCGGUUUCAGAAUUUUCGUGGGGAUCCUCUCCGCUUUUCUUGCCUAAGCAAAACCCGACCCGCCUAGUAGGUCCUUAGAGUUUUCACCCAGCAUGGCAGCCGGUAGAGAGGGAGAGAGAAAAAAAAGAGGGAGCCAAGCCAGCCGCUUAGGUCAAGUAAAAUGCGCGCCGAGAUCCCCCGGUUUCAGAAUUUUCGUGGGGAUCCUCUCCGCUUUUCUUGCCUAAGCAAAACCCGACCCGCCUAGUAGGUUCUUAGAGUUCUUCACCCAUCAUGGCAGCCGGUAGAGAGGGAGAGAGAAAAAAAAGAGGGAGCCAAGCCAGCCGCUUAGGUCAAGUAAAAUGCGCGCCGAGAUCCCCCGGUUUCAGAAUUUUCGUGGGAUCCUCUCCGCUUUUCUUGCCUAAGCAAAACCCGACCCGCCUAGUAGGUCCUUAGAGUUUUCACCCAGCAUGGCAGCCGGUAGAGAGGGAGAGAAAAAAAAGAGGGAGCCAAGCCAGCCGCUUAGGUCAAGUAAAAUGCGCGCCGAGAUCCCCGGUUUCAGAAUUUUCGUGGGGAUCCUCUCCGCUUUUCUUGCCUAAGCAAAACCCGACCCGCCUAGUAGGUCUUAGAGUUUUUCACCCAGCAUGGCAGCCGGUAGAGAGGGAGAGAGAAAAAAAGAGGGAGCCAAGCCAGCCGCUUAGGUCAAGUAAAAUGCGCGCCGAGAUCCCCCGGUUUCAGAAUUUUCGUGGGGAUCCUCUCCGCUUUUCUUGCCUAAGCAAAACCCGACCCCGCCUAGUAGGUUCUUAGAGUUCUUCACCCAUCAUGGCAGCCGGUAGAGAGGAGAGAGAAAAAAAAGAGGGAGCCAAGCCAGCCGCUUAGGUCAAGUAAAAUGCGCGCCGAGAUCCCCGGUUUCAGAAUUUUCGUGGGGAUCCUCUCCGCUUUUCUUGCCUAAGCAAAACCCGACCCCGCCUAGUAGGUCUUAGAGUUCUUCACCCAUCAUGGCAGCCGUAGAGAGGGAGAGAAAAAAAAAGAGGGAGCCAAGCCAGCCGCUUAGGUCAAGUAAAAUGCGCGCCGAGAUCCCCCGGUUUCAGAAUUUCGUGGGGAUCCUCUCCGCUUUUCUUGCCUAAGCAAAACCCGACCCGCCUAGUAGGUCCUUAGAGUUUUCACCCAGCAUGGCAGCCGUAGAGAGGGAGAGAGAAAAAAAGAGGGAGCCAAGCCAGCCGCUUAGGUCAAGUAAAAUGCGCGCCGAGAUCCCCCGGUUUCAGAAUUUUCGUGGGGAUCCUCUCCGCUUUUCUUGCCUAAGCAAAACCCGACCCGCCUAGUAGGUCCUUAGAGUUUUCACCCAGCAUGGCAGCCGGUAGAGAGGGAGAGAGAAAAAAAAGAGGGAGCCAAGCCAGCCGCUUAGGUCAAGUAAAAUGCGCGCCGAGAUCCCCCGGUUUCAGAAUUUUCGUGGGGAUCCUCUCCGCUUUUCUUGCCUAAGCAAAACCCGACCCGCCUAGUAGGUCCUUAGAGUUUUUCACCCAGCAUGGCAGCCGGUAGAGAGGGAGAGAGAAAAAAAGAGGGAGCCAAGCCAGCCGCUUAGGUCAAGUAAAAUGCGCGCCGAGAUCCCCCGGUUUCAGAAUUUUCGUGGGAUCCUCUCCGCUUUUCUUGCCUAAGCAAAACCCGACCCCCUAGUAGGUCCUUAGAGUUUUCACCCAGCAUGGCAGCCGGUAGAGAGGGAGAGAGAAAAAAAAGAGGGAGCCAAGCCAGCCGCUUAGGUCAAGUAAAAUGCGCGCCGAGAUCCCCCGGUUUCAGAAUUUUCGUGGGGAUCCUCUCCGCUUUUCUUGCCUAAGCAAAACCCGACCCCGCCUAGUAGGUCUUAGAGUUCUUCACCCAGCAUGGCAGCCGGUAGAGAGGGAGAGAAAAAAAAAAGAGGGAGCCAAGCCAGCCGCUUAGGUCAAGUAAAAUGCGCGCCGAGAUCCCCCGUUUCAGAAUUUUCGUGGGAUCCUCUCCGCUUUUCUUGCCUAAGCAAAACCCGACCCGCCUAGUAGGUCCUUAGAGUUUUUCACCCAGCAUGGCAGCCGGUAGAGAGGGAGAGAGAAAAAAAAGAGGGAGCCAAGCCAGCCGCUUAGGUCAAGUAAAAUGCGCGCCGAGAUCCCCGGUUUCAGAAUUUUCGUGGGAUCCUCUCCGCUUUUCUUGCCUAAGCAAAACCCGACCCGCCUAGUAGGUUCUUAGAGUUCUUCACCCAUCAUGGCAGCCGGUAGAGAGGGAGAGAGAAAAAAAAGAGGGAGCCAAGCCAGCCGCUUAGGUCAAGUAAAAUGCGCGCCGAGAUCCCCGGUUUCAGAAUUUUCGUGGGGAUCCUCUCCGCUUUUCUUGCCUAAGCAAAACCCGACCCGCCUAGUAGGUCCUUAGAGUUUUCACCCAGCAUGGCAGCCGGUAGAGAGGGAGAGAAAAAAAAGAGGGAGCCAAGCCAGCCGCUUAGGUCAAGUAAAAUGCGCGCCGAGAUCCCCCGGUUUCAGAAUUUUCGUGGGGAUCCUCUCCGCUUUUCUUGCCUAAGCAAAACCCGACCCGCCUAGUAGGUCCUUAGAGUUUUCACCCAGCAUGGCAGCCGGUAGAGAGGGAGAGAGAAAAAAAGAGGGAGCCAAGCCAGCCGCUUAGGUCAAGUAAAAUGCGCGCCGAGAUCCCCCGGUUUCAGAAUUUUCGUGGGGAUCCUCUCCGCUUUUCUUGCCUAAGCAAAACCCGACCCGCCUAGUAGGUCCUUAGAGUUUUCACCCAGCAUGGCAGCCGGUAGAGAGGGAGAGAGAAAAAAAAGAGGGAGCCAAGCCAGCCGCUUAGGUCAAGUAAAAUGCGCGCCGAGAUCCCCCGGUUUCAGAAUUUUCGUGGGGAUCCUCUCCGCUUUUCUUGCCUAAGCAAAACCCGACCCGCCUAGUAGGUCCUUAGAGUUUUCACCCAGCCAUGGCAGCCGGUAGAGAGGGAGAGAGAAAAAAAAGAGGGAGCCAAGCCAGCCGCUUAGGUCAAGUAAAAUGCGCGCCGAGAUCCCCCGGUUUCAGAAUUUUCGUGGGAUCCUCUCCGCUUUUCUUGCCUAAGCAAAACCCGACCCGCCUAGUAGGUCCUUAGAGUUUUCACCCAUGGCAGCCGGUAGAGAGGGAGAGAAAAAAAAGAGGGAGCCAAGCCAGCCGCUUAGGUCAAGUAAAAUGCGCGCCGAGAUCCCCCGGUUUCAGAAUUUUCGUGGGGAUCCUCUCCGCUUUUCUUGCCUAAGCAAAACCCGACCCCGCCUAGUAGGUCUUAGAGUUCUUCACCCAGCAUGGCAGCCGGUAGAGAGGGAGAGAAAAAAAAAGAGGGAGCCAAGCCAGCCGCUUAGGUCAAGUAAAAUGCGCGCCGAGAUCCCCGGUUUCAGAAUUUUCGUGGGGAUCCUCUCCGCUUUUCUUGCCUAAGCAAAACCCGACCCGCCUAGUAGGUCCUUAGAGUUUUCACCCAGCAUGGCAGCCGGUAGAGAGGGAGAGAAAAAAAAGAGGGAGCCAAGCCAGCCGCUUAGGUCAAGUAAAAUGCGCGCCGAGAUCCCCCGGUUUCAGAAUUUUCGUGGGGAUCCUCUCCGCUUUUCUUGCCUAAGCAAAACCCGACCCGCCUAGUAGGUCCUUAGAGUUUUUCACCCAGCAUGGCAGCCGGUAGAGAGGGAGAGAGAAAAAAAAGAGGGAGCCAAGCCAGCCGCUUAGGUCAAGUAAAAUGCGCGCCGAGAUCCCCGGUUUCAGAAUUUUCGUGGGGAUCCUCUCCGCUUUUCUUGCCUAAGCAAAACCCGACCCGCCUAGUAGGUCCUUAGAGUUUUCACCCAGCAUGGCAGCCGUAGAGAGGGAGAGAGAAAAAAAAGAGGGAGCCAAGCCAGCCGCUUAGGUCAAGUAAAAUGCGCGCCGAGAUCCCCCGGUUUCAGAAUUUUCGUGGGGAUCCUCUCCGCUUUUCUUGCCUAAGCAAAACCCGACCCGCCUAGUAGGUCCUUAGAGUUUUCACCCAGCAUGGCAGCCGGUAGAGAGGGAGAGAGAAAAAAAAGAGGGAGCCAAGCCAGCCGCUUAGGUCAAGUAAAAUGCGCGCCGAGAUCCCCCGGUUUCAGAAUUUUCGUGGGAUCCUCUCCGCUUUUCUUGCCUAAGCAAAACCCGACCCGCCUAGUAGGUCCUUAGAGUUUUUCACCCAGCAUGGCAGCCGGUAGAGAGGGAGAGAGAAAAAAAAGAGGGAGCCAAGCCAGCCGCUUAGGUCAAGUAAAAUGCGCGCCGAGAUCCCCGGUUUCAGAAUUUUCGUGGGAUCCUCUCCGCUUUUCUUGCCUAAGCAAAACCCGACCCGCCUAGUAGGUCCUUAGAGUUUUCACCCAGCAUGGCAGCCGGUAGAGAGGGAGAGAAAAAAAAAGAGGGAGCCAAGCCAGCCGCUUAGGUCAAGUAAAAUGCGCGCCGAGAUCCCCCGGUUUCAGAAUUUUCGUGGGGAUCCUCUCCGCUUUUCUUGCCUAAGCAAAACCCGACCCCGCCUAGUAGGUUCUUAGAGUUCUUCACCCAUCAUGGCAGCCGGUAGAGAGGGAGAGAAAAAAAAAGAGGGAGCCAAGCCAGCCGCUUAGGUCAAGUAAAAUGCGCGCGCGAGAUCCCCGGUUUCAGAAUUUUCGUGGGGAUCCUCUCCGCUUUUCUUGCCUAAGCAAAACCCGACCCCCUAGUAGGUCUUAGAGUUCUUCACCAGCAUGGCAGCCGGUAGAGAGGGAGAAGAAAAAAAAGAGGGAGCCAAGCCAGCCGCUUAGGUCAAGUAAAAUGCGGCCGAGAUCCCCGGUUUCAGAAUUUUCGUGGGAUCCUCUCCGCUUUUCUUGCCUAAGCAAAACCCGACCCGCCUAGUAGGUCCUUAUAGUUCUUCACCUAGCACGGCAGCCGGUAGAGAGGGAGGGAGAAAAAAAAGAGGGAGUCAAGCCAGCUGCUUAGGUCAAAUAAAAUGCGCGUCGAGAUUGCCUGGUAUCAGAGCUUGCAUGGGCAACCUCUCCGCUUUAGAUGGAAUUUGAUGAAAUGCUUAUGUCGAAAGUAGGCAUUUCUCUACAGAGUCCUAAUGGUCAUAGAAAUUUAUUAUGUUUGUAUUUAUUUUACUUUGUUGUCAAGAAUCAACUUCUUUUCUGAUUUGUAUGUUUAUGUAUAUGUUGCAUCUCUGUCUUGUUAUCAUGUUGUAUUUCAUUGUACUCAAUAGUCUGAUUUGCAUUUUUUAUUUGUGUUAAUAAGUGUUCGUGUAAUUGCAAUUUUGUUCUUGAAGAUAUUUUGCUUGAAUCAAGUUAGUUCUUUCUAUAAGGAUCAUUUUCUUGUAAGGUUAUAACUUCUUGUCCAAUUUUUCCAACUCACAUUUCAACUUGUAACAGGUGAAUCCCUUCUAAAUAAGAGCUUAAAAAGAAAAAACAAUUGGAACCUUUAACCAUAAAAUCAAGGUACUGCAUCUUAUUUGCAAUGAAUUGCUAUAAUUUUGUAGAGACUCCACAAAUAAAAUACUAAAUUACCCAAACAGUUGGCAAACAGAGACAACACUCUGUAGAUCUUUAUUUAUAUAUAAAUGCAAAGAUACAGUAGAAGGAAAUAUAAAAGAACAAUAAAGAUGAUAAUAUCAUGUCAAACCUCCCCAGGAAAAGAUAGUAGUCCUUCCUAGACCUAGCAGCCUCUACAGACCAAAUGAAGACAAAAAGUUAACCUAGCCCCCAAUCCCGAUAAGGCCUUAUUUAUAGCUCUUUUCUCAUUCUUCCCGUGGGCCCCACUCUCAUGUUCUUUUCCUAAUAUUCUCCCCUUUUCUGCUGCGUGAGCUUUUACGUUUUUACCCCUCCUUUUGUAUGUAUGGAUAAUAGGGGGCCUUACAAUACCCUCGGUUCCAGGUUCACCUUGUCCUCAAGGUGAAAGUCAGGGAAUUGUUGGUUCAUUUGGAAAACAGAUUCCCAAGUUGUUUCACUGUCCGCAGCCCUUUCCACUUAAUUAACCAUUCAUUUCCUCCAAUUCCCGAUUCCAACGGACUCCCAACACUGUUUCCGGCCAUAAUUGUAACUCAAACUCUUCCGUUAGCCUAGGUUGCUGGUGUUGAACAGCUUGUUGACUACCAGUUUCAGUUUUAACUGAGAAAUAUGGAACACAUUGUGGAUACUGGCUUCCGGCGGUAACAUCAAUCUGUACGCAACUGCUCCUAUUUCUUCAGUAAUUUUGUAGGGUCCGUAAUAUUAGGUGCUAACUUUUCACACUUCUUCCGAGCCAAGGAGCGUUGCCGGUAAGGUCUCAAUUUCAAGUAGACUUCAUCUCCUACCUUAAAUUUUAACUCUCUUCUAUUUCGAUCAGCCAUUUUCUUCAUCCUGUUCUAGGCUACACACAGGUGUUCUUUUAAGGCAUUGAUGGCUAAGUCACGUUCCUUCAGCAGCGUGUCAACCUCAUUAUUAGGAGUUUUCUUGUAACCAUAGGAUAACAGGGGAGGAGGCGGUCUGCGGUAUACCGUCUGAAAGGGGUCAUUUUGGUGGAUGCAUGGAAGGUGGUAUUAUACCACAAUUCUGCCCAUGGAAUCAGUCUAUCCCAUUUUUUUGGUUGUUCAUUACAGAAGCAUCGCAGAUAAGUUUCGAGACAUCUAUUUACCCUUUCUGUCUGCCCAUCAGUUUGUGGGUGAAACGCGGUACUCCUCUUUAGAAUAGUUCCCAUGGUUGCAAACAGUUCCUUCCAAAAAUUACUAAGAAAGAUUUUUAUCCCGAUCUGUGAUAAUCGACUUAGGAAUGCCGUGCUUGCUUACUAUUCUGUCGAUGAAUAUGGAAGCAACUUGCUUGGCUGAAAACGGAUGUCUCAAUGAUAUAAAGUAAGAAUACUUACUCAGCCGAUCAACUACCACCAUGAUCACAUUAACCCCCAGCUAGUGGCAACCCCUCAAUAAAGUCCAUGGUCCAAUCUUCUAAGAUUCUGUCAGGAAUUGGAAUUGGUUGAAGUACCCCAGCUGGUUUGGUUGCUUCGUAUUUGUUUCUCUGGCAGAUCUCGCAUUGUUCCACAUAUUUCUUUAUUUCAGCCUUCAUACCCUCCAAUAUAGUUCUCACUGAUCCUCUCGUAAGUUCUUAAAAAUCCAGAAUGUCCCCCGAGGAUAGAAUCGUGGAAAGUAUGUAGGAUCUUGGGUAUAAGUGUAGAAGUUUGAGAUACUACCAUUCUCCCUUAUAGAGCAAUCUUCCUUUUUCCACUUGAAACUUGCUUCCUUCUUCUGCAUUUUCUUCAGAUUUUCCAUAAUUUUCUUAAGUUCAGCAUCAUUCUCAACUUCCUGCUCGAUUAGUUUCACAUCAAUGAUUCCAGUAGUUGUCAAGCUGUGCAGCUCCACCGGUUGCUCCAUUCUAGAUAGGGCGUCCGCUGCCUUGUUCUGAUGUCCGGGUUGAUAUAAAUCUCGAAAUCAUAUCCAAGGAGCUUUGUCAACCAUUUCUGGAAUUGGGGCUGUACCUCUCUCUGUUCAAGCAAGAAUUUAAGAGCCUUUUGAUCUGAAAGUAUGGUGAACUUCCUGCCCAGCAAAUAAUGCCUCCAUUUUUGAACUGAUAGAACUACAGCCAUCAACUCUCUUUCAUAGAUGGAUUUGUUUUGAGCCUUGUGGAUAACUUCUGACUGAAAAAGGCAAUCGGGUGGCCAUUUUGAGAGAUCACCGCUCCUAACCCUACGCCAGAUGCAUCAGUUUCGAUAAUAAAGGGAAUGUUCCAAUCUGGUAAUGCCAACACUGGUAGAGUAGUCAUUGCUAGCUUCAAAUUUUCGAAGGCAGUAUUUGCUUCUUCAUUCCACUUAAAAGCAUUCUUCUGUAAUAACUUGGUUAGCGGUGCAGCGAUCUCUCCAUAACCCUUGACAAACCUCCUAUAAUAUCCUGUCAGUCCUAAGAAGCCCCGCAGACCAGAUAUAUUCGUUGGUGGUGGCCAAUUAAUCAUCUUCUUGAUCUUAUCCUCAUCUGCCUCAACUCCUCUUUUGGAUAUCAUAUGUCCCAAGUACUGUAUUUGAGAAUGGGCUAUAACGCAUUUUUUUUUGUUAGCAAACAGCUGGUUAUCCUUCAAAACAUUGAAUACCAUGCCCAAAUGCUUUGCGUGUUCAUCUAUAUCCGCACUAUAAACCAGUAUAUCAUCAAAGAACACCAAAACACAGCGCCGAAGGAAAGGUUUAAAUACCUGGUUCAUCAAAGAUUGGAAGGUUGCCAGAGCAUUCGUGAGACCAAACGGCAUUACUAGAAACUCAUAGUGCCCUUCAUGUGUGCGGAACACAGUUUUCUCCACAUCUUCCUCUUUCAUUCUAAUCUGGUGAUAACCAGAUUUCAGAUCUAAUUUCGAGAAAACCGUUGCCCUAUUCAGCUCAUCUAAUAAUUCCUCUAUCACAGGAAUUGGGAACUUAUCCGAUACUGUCGCCUGAUUUAACUUGCGGUAAUCGACACAAAAUCUCCAUCCACCAUCUUUUUUCUUCACUAACAACACCGGGCUGGAGUAAGGGCUAUGACUAGGGCGAAUAACCCCUGCUUGAAGCAUCUCGACCACCAGUUUUUCUAUUUCUUCUUUCUGCACAUGACCGUAUUUGUAAGGUCUUACGUUGAUAGGUUUAUGGUCAGGUAGGGUUAAUAUUCGGUGAUCAAUAGCUCUUUUUGGAGGUAAUUUCUUCGGUGUCUCAAAUAUCUCCGCAUAAUACUUGAGCAGGGAUCGGAUCAUAGAUAUUUCCUCCUCAUCUCCUUUUAAUCUUGUCCCCAGUUCAUAUUCAUUCUCUACUUCCAUCUCAUAAUUCUGGAAUUCUAAAGGAAGCCUUGAUCUUCUAUAUCCCACGUUUUUUCCAAUGUCUUCAAAGAACAUUCAGCUUUCACUAAGGAUGGAUCUCCUCUUAACACGAUUUGCUUGUCUUUUGCCCAAAAGGUCAUGGUUAAUGAUGGCCAAUGUACCUUCAUUGUGCCGGUGGUAUCUAGCCAUUGCAUCCCUAAAAUCACGUCAAUAUUUCCUAGUUCCACCACUAGAAAAUCAGUUAUAACUGUCAUUUCUUUCAAUCUCAGUUCCACCUUUCUGCAAAUACCUUUCCCUUUACAGCGGGUCCCGUCUCCAAUAGUCACUCCAAAUUGUGUACCGGGUUCAAUGUUCAACCCUCCUUCCAUUGCCACUGCUUCAUGGAUGAAGUUGUUCGUAGCUCCACUGUCGAUGAGAAUCACCACCUCCCUUCCUUUUACAUGCCCCUUCAGUUUCAUUGUCCCUUUGGAUGUUAACCCCGUGAGUGUCUUCAAUUCAAUUUCGGUGGUUUCAGCAACAACUAACUGGUUCAGCUCCAUUACUUCUUCGGUCUCUUCCAUUUUGACUUCCUCCCCACCACUCUCUUCUUCGUUAAGUAUAAAUAACAUUAAUUCCCUUUUCUCUCUCAUCUUGCAUCGGUGUCCCGGUGAGUACUUCUCAUUGCAUCUAAAACACAAACCCUUGUCCAAUCUUGCUCUGAAUUCCGUGUCCAAGAGUCUUUUAACUGGAGGUUCAUUUUUCUGGUAGUUUCCUUUAAUGGGAAUAGUGACUUGCUUCAUGGGGAACUCAGUCUUCUUUGGUGAACUUUUAUCUUGACUGCUUUGUCCCUUGCUUGAGCCUCCUCCUUCCCUAGUCACACUGUUUACCCAUUCUGCCUUGGCUAAUUUCAAGGCUAGGUUUCUGCCACUUACCAGUUGUGCCUCCUUCAUACAUUCCUCUAAGGUUUGAGGAUGUCUACUAAUAACUUCUGCUUGAAGAGCCGGUUCUAGACCUGUCACGAAUGCAUCUAAGAGCACGCUUUCAGCCAUGUGCGGUAGUGGUGCAGAAUAUUGUACGAAUUUCUUGACAUAAUCAUUAUAGGAUCCAUCUUGUUCUAUUCGAAUCAGCCUUGCACCUAAGCUCUUCUGCCCAGAAUCUUGAAAAAAUUCAAACAUCCUUACCUUCAAAUCUUCCCAUCCUUCCACCUUCUUUCUAUGGUUACUCCAACGGUACCAAUCGAUUUCAUCUUGUCCGAAACUAACCACUGCUACUUUCACUUUUUCUGCUUCCGGUAGGCUAUUAAUUUCGAAAAAAUGCUCAGCUCUAAACACCCAUGACUCAGGAUUUUCCCCGGUGAAAAUCGGCAUUUCCAGUUUCUUAUAUUUGCUUCGGUCGACAGUUACUACAUUGUUUUCCCCUGGAUUGUCGGCUUCUUCCCAUUUUCCUUUUAACUUCAUGACUGAUCCAUCAGAAGUUCCGGAUUCAUCUCGCCUUUUGUAGCUGCUGUUUUCUUUCAUUUCAUCAGCCAGUCUAUCCAUGGAUUUCUUCGUUUCCAGAAUCAUUUCCUUCAAGCUCAGUAUUUCUUUCUCUGUUCCAUCUAUUCUUUCUUCUAUUUGCCUUUGCGCCAUCAGCCGCGUCACCACCCCCAGCGUUUGGGCUCUGAUACCAGUUGUAGAGACUCCACAAAUAAAAUACUAAAUUACCCAAACAGUUGGCAAACAGAGACAGCACUCUGUAGAUCUUUAUUUAUAUAUAAAUGCCAAAGAGAUACAGUAGAAGGAAAUAUAAAAGAAAGCAAUAAAGAUGAUAAUAUCAUGUCAAACCUCCCCAGGAAAAGAUAGUAGUCCUUCCUAGACCUAGCAGCCUCUACAGACCAAAUGAAGACAAAAAGUUAACCUAGCCCCCAAUCCCGAUAAGGCCUUAUUUAUAGCUCUUUUCUCAUUCUUCCCCGUGGGCCCCACUCUCAUGUUCUUUUCCUAAUAUUCUCCCCUUUUCUGCUGCGUGAGCUUUUACGUUUUUACCCCUCCUUUUGUAUGUAUGGAUAAUAGGGGGCCUUACAAUACCCCUCGGUUCCAGGUUCACCUUGUCCUCAAGGUGCAAGUCAGGGAAUUGUUGGUUCAUUUGGAAAACAGAUUCCCAAGUUGUUUCACUGUCCGGCAGCCCUUUCCACUUAAUUAACCAUUCAUUUCCUCCCAAUUCCCGAUUCCAACGGACUCCCAACACUGUUUCCGGCCAUAAUUGUAACUCAAACUCUUCCGUUAGCCAAGGUUGCUGGUGUUGAACAGCUUUGUUAGGUUGUUUUAAAGUCCAAGUGAUACUUAGACACGCCUUGACCACUUUUUAGGUUGGUUUGGAACUAAGUUUGUUGCACUUGCGCACUUGGUUGCCAUUUUGGGUCGUGUAGUGUUUCCUUUUUUUUCCAUACUUCUUGAACUUUUUGGUAGGUUAUGAGUGAUGAAUUUACAAAUAAACAUUCUUAGGUCGUUCUGAAAGUUCAAGUGAUACUUAAACACGGUUUGAAAUUUUUUUAGAUUUGUUUAAGACUAAGUUUGUUUCACUUGCAUACUUGGUUGCCAUUUUAGGUCUCAAAGUGCAUUUUUCACGCAUUUUGAUUUUUUUGUUAGUUUGUGAGUUACGAACUUACACUUAAGGAUUGUUAGGUCGUUUUAAACACAUUUUGCGUUGGUUUGAAACUAAGUUUGUUGCACUUACACAUUGGAUUGAAAUGUUGGGUCUUGAAGUACUUUUUUUCACACUUUUUGAAAUUUUUUUAGGUUGUGAGUUACGAACUUACGCUUGAGUAUUGUUUGGUCGGUUUGAAAUCUUAGACACGUUUUGCACUCUUUUUAGGAUGGCUUGAAACUAAGUCCGUUGCACUUACGUACUUCGUUGCCGUUUUCGGCCUUGAAGUGCUUUUUUUACACUUUUUGAAAUUUUGGUAGAUUGUGAGUUACAAACUUACACUUAAGCAUUGUUUGGUCGUUUUGAAAGUUUAAGUGAUACGUACACACGUUUUGAAUACAUUUUAGGUUAGAUUGAGUUUGUUGCACUUGGUUGUCAUUUUUGGUCUUGAAAUGCUUUUUUCAACCUUUUUGGUAGAUUAUGAGUUACGAACCUACAUUUAGGAUUUGCUAGGUCGUUUUGAAAACUCAAGUAAUACCUAGACACGUUUUGAGCACGUUCUAGGUUGGUUUGAACUAAGUUUGUUACACUUACACACUUGGUAGCCAUUUUGGGUCUUGUAGUGCUUUUUUCACACUAUUUGAACUUUUUUCGUAGGUUAUGAGUUACGAACCUAAACGUAAGCUGUUUUAGGUCGUUUUGAAAGUUCAAGUGAUACUUAGACACAUUUUGUUCAAGUGAUACUGUUUUAGGUUGUUUUCAAGUGAACUUUUUUCUUCUUGUAUUGACUGUUUUACUAUUUCUUCAUGGUUUGUAUUCAUGGUAUUUAUUUUCGUAAUGAAUCUUUCAUGAUUGGUAAACAUUGCAGAAACACAUAAUUUCAGCAAUCUGUCAAAGAGUUGAAGGAGAAGACAGAAGAACUAAAGGUCACAUGAAGACCUAAAAGUUAGGUAAUUUUUGAAAACUUUUUUCUUUGUCUUGCUUAGUUUUAGUGGUAUUUGUUAACAGGCUGAGACAUACUCUUGUAUGCCAAGGCUGGGUGGCCAAUUCAAUGGAUGGCCUGAGACGGUGAAAUGACGAAUGUAGAACAAAGUAGACAAUCGAGCAGAUUUACAAGUAGGAGGAUGAUGUUUGGUCUUACUCUAAAGCUACUGCUAGAAAGGUGAUUCUCCCUUUAUUUACACAUGUUAUCUAUAUUUAAUUACUGUUUUUAUGUGAUGGUGAAUAAAUAUUUAAGUCGUUUCAAGUUUGUACAUCAUGCUUGAGUUAAUACAUUUCCCAACUCGCACUAAUUUUAAAGUUGAGACUAAGUUUGUUGCACUUACACACUUGGUUGCCAUUUUGGAUUUUGGAGUGCUUUUUCUACAUUUUUUAAACAUUUUGGUAGGUUAUGAGUAAUGAAGUAAGACUAAAGCAUUAUUAGGUCGUUUUUAAGUUCGAGUGAUACUUAAACAUUUUUUGAACACCUUUUAGGUUGUUACAAACUAAGUUAGUUUUACAUACAGCCAUGGUUGCCAUUUUGAGUCUUGAAAGAUUUUUUUUCACACUUUUUGAAAUUUUUGGUAAGUUAAUAAAUUUACACUUAAGCGUUGUUAGGUUGUUUGAAAACUUAUACGUGUUUUGAAUACUUAGGUUUGUAUAGAACUAAGUUCGUUGCACUUACACACUCGACAUUUUGGGUUUUGGAGUGUCUUUUUAAAAAAAUUUGAACUUUUUGCUAGGUUAUGACUUAUGAACUUGUAUUGAAUAUUUGUUAGGUCGUUUUGAUAAAAAUAUUAAACCAAGCUUAAACAAUUCCGCUCAUUUUUCUAAAAUUUUUAGUUUAACCUAUUGAAUAAAAUUCGAAAAUUCUUGUUUUCUUUUUGUAGGAAUAAAAGGAAAUGAAAUAUAACCAAACUUGGGAUCUUUGCAAGCAAUCUUCCAUGAAGAAACUAGGCUACAAGUGGUUUUUUGGGUUUUUAGGGGGGCUUUUAGGGCUUUUUGGGCUUAUGGCUUAGGGCUUUUAGCGCUUUUAGGGCUUUUAGGGCGCUUAGGGCUUUUAGGUUUUAGGGCUUAUGGCUUAGGGCUUUUAGGUUUUAGGGCUUAGGGCUUUUAGGGAUUAUGGCUUAGGGCUUAGCGCUUUUAGGGCUUAGGGCUUAGGGCUUAGGGCUUUAAGGGUUUUAAGGGUAUUUAGGGAUAAGGGAUUUUAGGGCUUUUAGGGCAUUUAGGGCUUUUGGGGCUUUUAGGGCUUUUAGGGCUUAGGGUGUUUGGCUUAGGGCUUAGGGAUUAGGCUUGGCUUUUAGGGCUCGGGCUUUGGGCUCGUUGGGCUUUUAGGACUUUUAGUGCUCUUAGGCUUUUUGGGCGCUUAGGGAUUUUAGGGAUUAGGGCUUAGGGCUUAGGGCUUAGGGUUUGGGCUUUUAAGGCUUGGGCUUUGGGCUUUUAGGGCUUAGGGCUUUUAGGCCUAGGGCUUGGGCUUUGGGCUUUUAGUGCGCCUAGGGUGCUUAAGACGUUUAGGGCUUUUGGGGCACUUAGGGCACUUAGGGCUUAUGACUUUUAGGGUUUAGGGUUUAGGGGUUUAGGGUUAGGGUUUAGGGGUUUAGGAUGUAGGGCGCUUAGGGCUUUUAGGGCGCUUAGGGCUUUUAGGUUUUAGGGCUUAGGGCUUUUAGGGAUUAUGUUAGGGCUUUUAGGUUUUAGGGCUUAGGGCUUUUAGGGAUUAUGGCUUAGGGCUUAGCGCUUUUAGGGCUUAGGGCUUAGGGCUUUAAGGGUUUUAAGGGUAUUUAGGGAUAUGGGAUUUUAGGGCUUUUAGGGCAUUUAGGGCUUUUGGGGCUUUUAGGGCUUUUAGGGCUUAGGGUGUUUGGCUUAGGGCUUGGGCUUUUAGAGGUCGGGCUUUGGGCUCGUUGGGCUUUAAGGACUUUUAGUGCUCUUAGGGUUUUUUGGGCGCUUAGGGAUUAGGGCUUAGGGCUUAGGGCUUAGGGCUUGGGCUUUUAAGGCUUGGGCUUUGGGCUUUUAGGGCUUAGGGCUUUUAGGCCUAGGGCUUGGGCUUUGGGCUUUUAGUGCGCCUAGGGUGCUUAAGACGUUUAGGGCUUUUAGGGCACUUAGGGCACUUAGGGCUUAUGACUUUUAGUGUUUAGGGUUUAGGGGUUUAGGGUUUAGGGUUUAGGGGUUUAGGGUGUAGGGCGCUUAGGGCUUUUAGGGCUUUUAGGGCUUUUAGGGCGCAUAGGGCUUUUAGGUUUUAGGGCUUAGGGCUUUUAGGGAUUAUGGCUUAGGGCUUUUAGGUUUUAGGGCUUAGGGCUUUUAGGGAUUAUGGCUUAGGGCUUAGCGCUUUUAGGGCUUAGGGCUUUAAGGGUUUUAAGGGUAUUUAGGGAUAUGGGAUUUUAGGGCUUUUAGGGCAUUUAGGGCUUUUGGGGCUUUUAGGGCUUUUAGGGCUUAGGGUGUUUGGCUUAGGGCUUGGGCUUUUAGGGCUCGGGCUUUGGGCUCGUUGGGCUUUUAGGACUUUUAGUGCUCUUAGGGCUUUUUGGGCGCUUAGGGAUUUUAGGGAUUAGGGCUUAGGGCUUAGGGCUUAGGGUUUGGGCUUUUAAGGCUUGGGCUUUGGGCUUUUAUGGCUUAGGGCUUUUAGGCCUAGGGCUUGGGCUUUGGGCUUUUAGUGCGCCUAGGAUGCUUAAGACGUUUAGGGCUUUUAGGGCACUUAGGGCACUUAGGGCUUAUGACUUUUAGUGUUUAGGGUUCAGGGGUUUAGGGUUUAGGGUUUAGGGGUUUAGGGUGUAGGGCUUUUAGGGCUUUUAGGGCGCUUCGGGCUUUUAGGUUUUAGGGCUUAGGGCUUUUAGGGAUUAUGGCUUAGGGCUUUUAGGGUUUAGGGCUUAGGGCUUUUAGGGAUUAUGGCUUAGGGCUUAGUGCUUUUAGGGCUUAGGGCUUAGGGCUUUAAGGGUAUUUAGGGAUAUGGGAUUUUAUUGCUUUUAGGGCAUUUAGGGCUUUUGGGGCUUUUAGGGCUUUUAGGGCUUCGGGCUUAGGGCUUUAAGGGUUUUAAGGGUAUUUAGGGAUAUGGGAUUUUAGGGCUUUUAAGGCAUUUAGGGAUUUUGGGGCUUUUAGGGCUUUUAGGGCUUAGGGUGUUUGGCUUAGGGCUAGGGAUUAGGGCUUGGGCUUUUAGGGCUCGGGCUUUGGGCGUUGGGCUUUUAGGACUUUUAGUGCUCUUAGGGCUUUUUGGGCGCUUAGGGAUUUUAGGGAUUAGGGCUUAGGGCUUAGGGCUAAGGGUUUGGGCUUUUAAGGCUUGGGCUUUGGGCUUUUAGGGCUUAGGGCUUUUAGGCCUAGGGCUUGGGCUUUGGGCUUUUAGUGCGCCUAGGGUCCUUAAUACGUUUAGGGCUUUUAGGGCACUUAGGGCACUUAGGGCUUAUGACUUUUAGUGUUUAGGGUUUAGGGGUUUAGGGUUUAGGGUUUAGGGGUUUAGGGUGUAGGGCGCUUAGGGCUUUUAGGGCUUUUAGGGCGCUUAGGGCUUUUAGGUUUUAGGGCUUAGGGCUUUUAGGGAUUAUGGCUUAGGGCUUUUAGGUUUUAGGGCUUAGGGCUUUUAGGGAUUAUGGCUUAGGGCUUAGCGCUUUUAGGGCUUAGGGCUUUAAGGGUUUUAAGGGUAUUUAGGGAUAUGGGAUUUUAGGGCUUUUAGGGCAUUUAGGGUUUUGGGGCUUUUAGGGCUUUUAGGCUUAGGGUGUUUGGCUUAGGGCUUGGGCUUUUAGGGCUUGGGCUUUUAGGGCUCGGGCUUUGGGCUCGUUGGUCUUUUAGGACUUUUAGUGCUCUUAGGGCUUUUUGGGCGCUUAGGGAUUUUAGGGAUUAGACUUAGGCUUAGGGCUUAGGGUUUGGGCUUUUAAGGCUUGGGCUUUGGGCUUUUAGGGCUUAGGGCUUUUAGGCCUAGGGCUUGGGCUUUGGGCUUUUAGUGCGCCUAGGGUCUUAACGUUUAGGGCUUUUAGGGCACUGAGGGCACUUAGGGCUUAUGACUUUUAGGUUUAGGGUUUAGGGGUUAGGGUUAGGGUUUAGGGGCUUAGGGUGUAGGGCGCUUAGGGCUUUUAGGUUUUAGGCGCUUAGGGCUUUUAGGUUUUAGGCUUAGGGCUUUUAGGUUAUGGGCUUAGGGCUUUUAGGUUUAGGCUUAGGGCUUUUAGGGAUUAUGGCUUAGGGCUUAGCGCUUUUAGGGCUUAGGGCUUUAAGGGUUUUAAGGGUAUUUAGGGAUAUGGGAUUUUAGGGCUUUUAGGGCAUUUAGGGUUUUUGGGGCUUUUAGGGCUUUUAGGGCUUAGGGUGUUUGGCUUAGGGCUAGGGAUUAGGGCUUGGGCUUUUAGGGCUCGGGCUUUGGGCUCGUUGGGCUUUUAGGACUUUUAGUGCUUUUAGGGCUUUUUGGGCGCUUAGGGAUUUUAGGGAUUAGGGCUUAGGUCUUAGGGCUUAGGGUUUGGGCUUUUAAGGCUUGGGCUUUGGGCUUUUAGGGCUUAGGGCUUUUAGGCCUAGGGCUUGGGCUUUGGGCUUUUAGUGCGCCUAGGGUGCUUAAGACGCUUAGGGCUUUUAGGGCACUUAGGGCACUUAGGGCUUAUGACUUUUAGGCUUUAGGGUUUAGGGUGUAGGGCGCUUAGGGCUUUUAGGGCUUUUAGGGCGCUUAGGGCUUUUAGGUUUUAGGGCUUAGGGCUUUUAGGGAUUAUGGCUUAGGGCUUUUAGGUUUUAUGGCUUAGGGCUUUUAGGGAUUAUCUUAGGGCUUAGCGCUUUUAGGGCUUAGGGCUUAGGGCUUUAAGGGUUUUAAGGGUAUAUAGGGAUAUGGGAUUUUAUGGCUUUUAGGGCAUUUAGGGCUUUUGGGCUUUUAGGCUUUUAGGGCUUAGGGUUUAGGUGGCUUAGGCUUACGGAUUAGGGCUUGGGCUUUUAGGGCUCGGCUUUGGGUCGUUGGGCUUUUAGGACUUUUACUCUUGGCUUUUUGGGCGCUUAGGAUUUAGGGAUUAGGCUUAGGCUUAGGGUUUGGGCUUUUAAGGCUUGGGCUUAGGGCUUUUAGGCCUAGGGCUUGGGCUUUGGGCUUUUAGUGCGCCUAGGGUGCUUAAGACGUUUAGGGCUUUUAGGGCACUUAUGGCACUUAGGGCUUAUGACUUUUAGGGUUUAGGGUUUAGGGGUUUAGGGUGUAGGGCGCUUGGGCUUUUAGGGCGCUUAGGGCUUUUACGUUUUAGGGCUUAGGGCUUUUAGGGAUUAUGGCUUAGGGCUUUUAGGUUUUAGGGCUUAGGGCUUUUAGGGAUUAUGGCUUAGGGCUUUUAGGGAUUAUGGCUUAGGGCUUAGCGCUUUUAGGGCUUACGGCUUUUAGGCCUAGGGCUUAGCGCUUUUAGGGCUUAGGGCUUAGUGCUUUUAGGGCUUAGGGCUUUUAGGCCUAGGCUUGGGCUUUGGGCUUUAGUGCGCCUAGGAUGAUUAAGACGUUUAGGGCUUUUAGGCACUUAGGGCACUUAGGCUUAUGACUUUUAGGGUUUAGGGUUUAGGGUUUAGGGGUUUAGGGUGUAGGGCGCUUAGGGCUUUUAGGGCGCUUAGGGCUUUUAGGUUUUAGGGCUUAGGGCUUUUAGGGAUUAUGGCUUAGGGCUUAGCGCUUUUAGGGCUUAGGGCUUUAAGGGUUUUAAGGGUAUUUAGGGAUAUGGGAUUUUAGGGCUUUUAGGGCAUUUAGGGCUUUUGGGCUUUUAGGGCUUUUAGGGCUUAGGGUGUUUGGCUUAGGGCUUGGGCUUUUAGGGCUCGGUUUGGGCUCGUUGGCUUUUAGACUUUUAGUGCUCUUAGGGCUUUUUGGGCGCUUAGGAUUUAAGGGAUUAGGCUUAGGGCUUAGGGUUAGGGUUUGGGCUUUUAAGGCUUGGGCUUUGGGCUUUAGGGCUUAGGCUUUUAGGCCUAGGGCUUGGGCUUUGGGCUUUUAGUGCGCCUAGAGUGCUUAAGACGUUUAAGGCUAUUAGGGCACUUAGGGCUUAUGACUUUUAGGGUUUAGGGUUUAGGGGUUUAGGGUUUAGGGUUUAGGGGUUUAGGGUGUAGGGCGCUUAGGGCUUUUAGGGCUUUUAGGGCGCUUAGGCUUUUAGGUUUUAGGGCUUAGGGCUUUUAGGGAUUAUGGCUUAGGGCUUUUAGGUUUUAGGGCUUAGGGCUUUUAGGAAUUAUGGCUUAGGGUUUAGCGCUUUUAGGGCUUAGGGCUUUAAGGGUUUUAAAGGUAUUUAGGGAUAUGGGAUUUUAGGGCUUUUAGGGCAUUUAGGGCUUUUGGGGCUUUUAGGGCUAUUAGGGCUUAGGGUGUUUGGCUUAGGGCUUAGGGAUUAGGGCUUGGGCUUUUAGGGUCGGGCUUUGGGCUCGUUGGGCUUUUAGGACUUUUAGUGUCUUAGGGCUUUUUGGCGCUUAGGGAUUUUAGGGAUUAGGGCUUAGGGCUUAGGGCUUAGGGUUUGGGCUUUUAAGGCUUGGGCUUUGGGCUUUUAGGGCUUAGGGUUUAGGGUUUAGGGUUUAGGGUUUAGGGUUUAGGGUUUAGGGUUUGGGGUUUAGGGUUUUAGGGUGUAGGGCGCUUGGGGCUUUUAGGGCGCUUAGGGCUUUUAGGUUUUAGGCUUAGGGCUUUUAGGGAUUAUGGUUAGGGCUUUUAGGUUUUAGGGCUUAGGGCUUUUAGGGAUUAUGGCUUAGGGCUUAGCGCUUUUAGGGCUUAGGGCUUUUAGGGAUUAUUGCUUAGGGCUCACCGCUUUGGCUUUGGGCUUUUAGUGCGCCUAGGGUGCUUAAGACGUUUAGGGCUUUUAGGGCACUUAGGGCACUUAGGGCUUAUGACUUUUAGGGGGUUUAGGGUUUAGGGUUUAGGGGUUUAGGGUGUAGGGCGCUUAGGGCUUUUAGGGCGCUUAGGGCUUUUAGGUUUUAGGGCUUAGGGCUUUUAGGGAUUAUGGCUUAGGGCUUUUAGGUUUGAGGGUUUAGGGCUUUUAGGGAUUAUGGCUUAGGGCUUAGCGCUUUUAGGGCUUAGGGCUUAGGGCUUUAAGGGAUUUAAGGGUAUUUAGGGAUAUGAGAUUUUAGUGCUUUUAGGGCAUUUAGGGCUUUUGGGGCUUUUAGGGCUUUUAGGGCUUAGGGUGUUUGGCUUAGGGCUUAGGGAUUAGGGCUUGGGCUUUUAGGGCUCGGGCUUUGGGCUCGUUGGGACUUUUAGGACUUUUAGUGCUCUUUAGGGCUUUUUGGGCGCUUAGGGAUUUUAGGGAUUAGGGCUUAGGGCUUAGGGUUUGGCUUUUAAGGCUUGGGCUUUGGGCUUUUAGGGCUUAGGGCUUUUUAGGCCUAGGGCUUGGGCUUUGGGCUUUUAGUGCACCUAGGGUGCUUAAGACGUUUUAGGGCUUUUAGGGCACUUAGGGCACUUAGGGCUUAUGACUUUUAGUGUUUUAGGGUUUAGGGUUUAGGGUUUAGGGUUUAGGGUUUAGGGUUUACGGUGUAGGGCGCUUAGGGCUUUUAGGGCUUUUAGGGCGCUUAGGGCUUUUAGGUUUUAGGGCUUAGGGCUUUUAGGGAUUAUGGCUUAGGGCUUUUAGGUUUUAGGGCUUAGGGCUUUUAGGGAUUAUGGCUUAGGGCUUUUAGGGAUUAUGGCUUAGGGCUUAGCGCUUUUAGGGAUUAGGGCUUAGCGCUUUUAGGGAUUAUGGCUUAGGGCUUAGCGCUUUUAGGGCUUAGGGCUUAGGGCUUUAAGGGUUUUAAGGGUAUUUAGGGAUAUGGGAUUUUAGGGCUUUUAGGGCAUUUAGGGUUUUGGGGCUUUUAGGGCUUUUAGGGCUUAGGGUGUUUGGCUUAGGGCUUACGGAUUAGGGCUUGGGCUUUUAGGGCUCGGGCUUUGGGCUCGUUGGCUUUUAGGACUUUUAGUGCUCUUAGGACUUUUUGGGCGCUUAGGGAUUUUUAAGGAUUAGGGCUUAGGGCUUAGGGCUUAGGGUUUGGGCUUUUAAGGCUUGGGCUUUGGGCUUUUAGGGCUUAGGGCUUUUAGGCCUAGGGCUUGGGCUUUGGGCUUUUAGUGCGCCUAGGGUGCUUAAGACGUUUAGUGCUUUUAGGGCACUUAGGGCUUAUGACUUUUAAUGCUUGGGGCUUUGGGCUUAGGGCUUGGGCUUAGGGCUUUUAGGGCUUUUAGGGCUUUUAGGGCUUUUAGGGCGCUUAGGGCUUUUAGGUUUUAGGGCUUAGGGAUUUUUGGGCUUUUAGGUUUUAGGGCUUAGGGAUUUUUGGGCUUUUAGGGCUUAGGGCUUAGGCUUUUAGGGCUUAGGCUUUUAGGGCUUGGGCUUUGGACUUUUAGGACUUUUAAGGCGCUUAGGGCUUUUAGGUUUUAGGACUUAGGGCUUUUAGCGCUUAGCGCUUUUAGGGCUUAGGGAUUUUAGGGCUUUUAGGCCUUUUAGGGCUUAGGGAUUUUAGGGAUUUUAAGGCUUUUAGGGCAUUUAGGGCAUUUAGGGCUUUUAGGUCUUUUAGGGCUUAGGGCUUUUAGGGUUUGGACUUUUAGGGCUUGGGCUUUGGGCUUUUAGGGCGCUUAAGGCGUUUAGGGCGCUUAGGGCUUGUGACUUUUAGGUCUUAUGGCUUUUAGGGCUUAGGGCUUACUUAUUUUCGGGCUUAUCGUUUAGGGUUGAGGGUUUAGGGUUUAGGGCUUUUAGGGCUUUUAGGGCUUAGGGCUUAGGGCUUAGGGUUUGGGCUUUUAGGGCUUGGGCUUUGGGCGUUUAGGGCUUUUGGGCUUUUACGACGCUUAGGGCUUUUAGGUUGUAGGGCUUAGGGCUUUUACGGCUUUUACGACUUUUACGACUUUUAGGGCUUUUAGGGCUGAGGUCUUAGGGCUUAGGCCUUAGGGUUGAGGGCUUAGGGCUUAGGGCUUAGGGCUUAGGGUUUAGGGUUUAGGGUUUAGGGUUUAGGGCUUAGUUCUUGUGCUUUUAUUGCUUAGGGCUUAGGGCUUGUAGGGCUUAGGGCUUAUGGCUUAGGGUUNNNNNNNNNNNNNNNNNNNNNNNNNNNNNNNNNNNNNNNNNNNNNNNNNNNNNNNNNNNNNNNNNNNNNNNNNNNNNNNNNNNNNNNNNNNNNNNNNNNNNNNNNNNNNNNNNNNNNNNNNNNNNNNNNNNNNNNNNNNNNNNNNNNNNNNNNNNNNNNNNNNNNNNNNNNNNNNNNNNNNNNNNNNNNNNNNNNNNNNNNNNNNNNNNNNNNNNNNNNNNNNNNNNNNNNNNNNNNNNNNNNNNNNNNNNNNNNNNNNNNNNNNNNNNNNNNNNNNNNNNNNNNNNNNNNNNNNNNNNNNNNNNNNNNNNNNNNNNNNNNNNNNNNNNNNNNNNNNNNNNNNNNNNNNNNNNNNNNNNNNNNNNNNNNNNNNNNNNNNNNNNNNNNNNNNNNNNNNNNNNNNNNNNNNNNNNNNNNNNNNNNNNNNNNNNNNNNNNNNNNNNNNNNNNNNNNNNNNNNNNNNNNNNNNNNNNNNNNNNNNNNNNNNNNNNNNNNNNNNNUGUACAUAAUAAUAUGUGCGGUUGCCUUUUUUAUCUCAAUUUUAAUCCCCUUUUUUGCCAUCUUCUACUGCCUUUUUUAUAUUAAUUUUAAAUCCCUCUUUUGGCCAUACACAUUUGUAUAAGAUUGUUUGAAAGCAAAAUAUGAUUGUUAGGUCAAGUAGAAAGCAAAGUCGGCAAGUUCUUAGAAUUCUUCACCCAACAUAACAGCCGAUAAAAACAAAACAAUACGACCAAGCUGCUUAGAGUUGCAGAACCGACCCCCGCCUAGUGGGUCACUAGAGUUCUUCACCCAGCAUGGCAGCCGGUAGAGAGGGAGAGAGAAAAAAAGGGAGCCAAGCCAGCCGCUUAGGUCAAGUAAAAUGCGCGAGAUCCCCGGUUUCAGAAUUUUCGUGGGAUCCUCUCCGCUUUUCUUGCCUAAGCAAAACCCGACCCGCCUAGUAGGUCCUUAGAGUUUUUCACCCAGCAUGGCAGCCGGUAGAGAGGGAGAGAGAAAAAAAAGAGGGAGCCAAGCCAGCCGCUUAGGUCAAGUAAAAUGCGCGCCGAGAUCCCCGGUUUCAGAAUUUUCGUGGGAUCCUCUCCGCUUUUCUUGCCUAAGCAAAACCCGACCCGCCUAGUAGGUCCUUAGAGUUUUUCACCCAGCAUGGCAGCCGGUAGAGAGGGAGAGAGAAAAAAAAGAGGGAGCCAAGCCAGCCGCUUAGGUCAAGUAAAAUGCGCGCCGAGAUCCCCCGGUUUCAGAAUUUUCGUGGGGAUCCUCUCCGCUUUUCUUGCCUAAGCAAAACCCGACCCGCCUAGUAGGUCCUUAGAGUUUUUCACCCAGCAUGGCAGCCGGUAGAGAGGGAGAGAGAAAAAAAAGAGGGAGCCAAGCCAGCCGCUUAGGUCAAGUAAAAUGCGCGCCGAGAUCCCCCGGUUUCAGAAUUUUCGUGGGGAUCCUCUCCGCUUUUCUUGCCUAAGCAAAACCGACCCGCCUAGUAGGUCUUAGAGUUUUCACCCAUCAUGGCAGCCGGUAGAGAGGGAGAGAGAAAAAAAAGAGGGAGCCAAGCCAGCCGCUUAGGUCAAGUAAAAUGCGGCCGAGAUCCCCCGGUUUCAGAAUUUUCGUGGGGAUCCUCUCCGCUUUUCUUGCCUAAGCAAAACCCGACCCGCUAGUAGGUUCUUAGAGUUCUUCACCCAUCAUGGCAGCCGGUAGAGAGGGGAGAGAAAAAAAGAGGGAGCCAAGCCAGCCGCUUAGGUCAAGUAAAAUGCGCGCGAGAUCCCCCGGUUUCAGAAUUUUCGUGGGGAUCCUCUCCGCUUUUCUUGCCUAAGCAAAACCCGACCCCGCCUAGUAGGUCUUAGAGUUCUUCACUCAGCAUGGCAGCCUGUAGAGAGGGAGAGAGAAAAAAAAGAGGAGCCAAGCCAGCCGCUUAGGUCAAGUAAAAUGCGUGCCGAGAUCCCCGGUUUCAGAGUUUUCGUGGGGAUCCUCUCCGCUUUUCUUGCCUAAGCAAAACCCGACCCCCUAGUAGGUCCUUAUAGUUCUUCACCUAGCACGGCACGGUAGAGAGGGAGGGAGAAAAAAAAGAGGGAGUCAAGCCAGCUGCUUAGGUCAAGUAAAAUGCCGUCGAGAUUGCCUGGUAUCAGAGCUUGCAUGGGCAACCUCUCCGCUUUAGAUGGAAUUUGAUGAAAUGCUUAUGUCGAAAGUAGGCAUUUCUCUACAGAGUCCUAAUGGUCAUAGAAAUUUAUUAUGUUUUGUAUUUAUUUUACUUUGUUGUCAAGAAUCAACUUCUUUUCUGAUUUGUAUGUUUAUGUAUAUGUUGCAUCUCUGUCUUGUUAUCAUGUUGUAUUUCAUUGUACUCAAUAGUCUGAUUUGCAUUUUUUAUUUGUGUUAAUAAGUGUUCGUGUAAUUGCAAUUUUGUUCUUGAAGAUAUUUUGCUUGAAUCAAGUUAGUUCUUUCUAUAAGGAUCAUUUUCUUGUAAGGUUAUAACUUCUUGUCCAAUUUUUCCAACUCACAUUUCAACUUGUAGCAGGUGAAUCCCUUCAAAUAAGAGCUUAAAAAGAAAAAACAAUUGGAACCUUUAACCAUAAAAUCAAGGUACUGCAUCUUAUUUGCAAUGAAUUGCUAUAAUUUUGUAGAGACUCCACAAAUAAAAUACUAAAUUACCCAAACAGUUGGCAAACAGAGACACACUCUGUAGAUCUUUAUUUAUAUAUAAAUGCCAAAAGAUACAGUAGAAGGAAAUAUAAAAGAAAGCAAUAAAGAUGAUAAUAUCAUGUCAAACCUCCCCAGGAAAAGAUAGUAGUCCUUCCUAGACCUAGCAGCCUCUACAGACCAAAUGAAGACAAAAAGUUAACCUAGCCCCCAAUCCCGAUAAGGCCUUAUUUAUAGCUCUUUUCUCAUUCUUCCCCGUGGGCCCCACUCUCAUGUUCUUUUCCUAAUAUUCUCCCCUUUUCUGCUGCGUGAGCUUUUACGUUUUUACCCUCCUUUUGUAUGUAUGGAUAAUAGGGGGCCUUACAAUACCCCUCGGUUCCAGGUUCACCUUGUCCUCAAGGUGAAAGUCAGGGAAUUGUUGGUUCAUUUGGAAAACAGAUUCCCAAGUUGUUUCACUGUCCGGCAGCCCUUUCCACUUAAUUAACCAUUCAUUUCCUCCCAAUUCCCGAUUCCAACGGACUCCCAACACUGUUUCCGGCCAUAAUUGUAACUCAAACUCUUCCGUUAGCCUAGGUUGCUGGUGUUGAACAGCUUGUUGACUACCCAGUUUCAGUUUUAACUGAGAAAUAUGGAACACAUUGUGGAUACUGGCUUCCGGCGGUAACAUCAAUCUGUACGCAACUGCUCCUAUUUCUUCAGUAAUUUUGUAGGGUCCGUAAUAUUUAGGUGCUAACUUUUCACACUUCUUCCGAGCCAAGGAGCGUUGCCGGUAAGGUCUCAAUUUCAAGUAGACUUCAUCUCCUACCUUAAAUUUUAACUCUCUUCUAUUUCGAUCAGCCAUUUUCUUCAUCCUGUUCUAGGCUACACACAGGUGUUCUUUUAAGGCAUUGAUGGCUAAGUCACGUUCCUUCAGCAGCGUGUCAACCUCAUUAUUAGGAGUUUUCUUGUAACCAUAGAUAACAGGGGAGGAGGCGGUCUGCGGUAUACCGUCUGAAAAGGGGUUAUUUUGGUGGAUGCAUGGAAGGUGGUAUUAUACCACAAUUCUGCCCAUGGAAUCAGUCUAUCCCAUUUUUUUGGUUGUUCAUUACAGAAGCAUCGCAGAUAAGUUUCGAGACAUCUAUUUACCCUUUCUGUCUGCCCAUCAGUUUGUGGGUGAAACGGCGGUACUCCUCUUUAGAAUAGUUCCAUGGUUGCAAACAGUUCCUUCCAAAAAUUACUAAGAAAGAUUUUAUCCCGAUCUGUGAUAAUCGACUUAGGAAUGCCGUGCUUGCUUACUAUUCUGUCGAUGAAUAUGGAAGCAACUUGCUUGGCUGAAAACGGAUGUCUCAAUGAUAUAAAGUAAGAAUACUUACUCAGCCGAUCAACUACCACCAUGAUCACAUUAACCCCUCCAGCUAGUGGCAACCCCUCAAUAAAAGUCCAUGGUCCAAUCUUCUAAGAUUCUGUCAGGAAUUGGAAUUGGUUGAAGUACCCCAGCUGGUUUGGUUGCUUCGUAUUUGUUUCUCUGGCAGAUCUCGCAUUGUUCCACAUAUUUCUUUAUUUCAGCCUUCAUACCCUCCAAUAUAGUUCUCCACUGAUCCUCUUGUAAGUUCUUAAAAAUCCAGAAUGUCCCCCGAGGAUAGAAUCGUGGAAAGUAUGUAGGAUCUUGGGUAUAAAAGAAGUUUGAGAUACUACCAUUCUCCCUUAUAGAAAACUUGAAACUUGCUUCCUUCUUCUGCAUUUUUCUUCAGAUUUUCCAUAAUUUUCUUAAGUUCAGCAUCAUUCUCAACUUCCUGCUCGAUUAGUUUCACAUCAAUGAUUCCAGUAGUUGUCAAGCUGUGCAGCUCCACCGGUUCUCCAUUCUAGAUAUCCGCUGCCUUGUUCUGAUGUCCGGUUGAUAUAAAAUCUCGAAAUCAUAUCCAAGGAGCUUUGUCAACCAUUUCUGGAAUUGGGGCUUACCUCUCUCUGUUCAAGCAAGAAUUUAAGAGCCUUUUGAUCUGAAAGUAUGGUGAACUUCCUGCCCAGCAAAUAAUGCCUCCAUUUUUGAACUGAUAGAACUACAGCCAUCAACUCUCUUUCAUAGAUGGAUUUGUUUUGAGCCCUUGUGGAUAACUUCUGACUGAAAAAGGCAAUCGGGUGGCCAUUUUGAGAGAUCACCGCUCCUAACCCUACGCCAGAUGCAUCAGUUUCGAUAAUAAAGGGAAUGUUCCAAUCUGGUAAUGCCAACACUGGUAGAGUAGUCAUUGCUAGCUUCAAAUUUUCGAAGGCAGUAUUUGCUUCUUCAUUCCACUUAAAAGCAUUCUUCUAUAAUAACUUGGUUAGCGGUGCAGCGAUCUCUCCAUAACCCUUGACAAACCUCCUAUAAUAUCCUGUCAGUCCUAAGAAGCCCCGCAGACCAGAUAUAUUCGUUGGUGGUGGCCAAUUAAUCAUCUUCUUGAUCUUAUCCUCAUCUGCCUCAACUCCUCUUUUGGAUAUCAUAUGUCCCAAGUACUGUACUGGAAUGGGCUAUAACGCAUUUUUUUUUGUUAGCAAAACAGCUGGUUAUACUUCAAAACAUUGAAUACCAUGCCCAAAUGCUUUGCGUGUUCAUCUAUAUCCGCACUAUAAACCAGUAUAUCAUCAAAGAACACCAAAACACAGCGCCGAAGGAAAGGUUUAAAUACCUUGGUUCAUCAAAGAUUGGAAGGUUGCCAGAGCAUUCGUGGAGACCAAACGGCAUUACUAGAAACUCAUAGUGCCCUUCAUGUGUGCGGAACACAGUUUUCUCCACAUCUUCCUCUUUCAUUCUAAUCUGGUGAUAACCAGAUUUCAGAUCUAAUUUCGAGAAAACCGUUGCCCUAUUCAGCUCAUCUAAUAAUUCCUCUAUCACAGGAAUUGGGAACUUAUCCGAUACUGUCGUCUGAUUUAACUUGCGGUAAUCGACACAAAAUCUCCAUCCACCAUCUUUUUUUCUUCACUAACAACACCGGGCUGGAGUAAGGGCUAUGACUAGGCGAAUACCCCUGCUUGAAGCAUCUCGACCACCAGUUUUUUUUUAUUCUUCUUUCUGCACAUGACCGUAUUUGUAAGGUCUUACGUUGAUAGGUUUAUGGUCAGGUAGGGUUAAUAUUCGGUGAUCAAUAGCUCUUUUUGGAGGUAAUUUUUCGGUGUCUCAAAUAUCUCCGCAUAAUACUUGAGCAGGGAUCGGAUCAUAGAUAUUUCCUCCUCAUCUCCUUUUAAUCUUGUCCCCAGUUCAUAUUCAUUCUCUACUUCCAUCUCAUAAUUCUGGAAUUCUAAGAGGAAGCCUUGGUCUUCUAUAUGUAAGGAUUCAACUUGCUUACUUCACUAUUUCUCCCUUACAAUGGCCAAAAACAGAGGUAGCCCUCUGCUAUCUUUAUUUAUAUAUAGCCAAAAUGAGUACAGAAAAACAUAAAGAUUCAAGAAAAACAAGGAAUAAUAAGACAAACCCAGCUUCCUCUAGGGAAAGACUGGAUAUUCCUCUAGGCUAAGCAGCCGCCAACUUCAGGAUAAAAAUAAAACCUACCUCCCCUAGACCUAAAAAACCUAUUUAUAUUCCUUCUCUCAUCUUUCUCUUAUUUCUGUGCCUGGGCCCCACCUGCACGAUCUCCUCCUCUUUUUCCUUCCUCAUUAUUAAUUUGUCCAAUUACUUUUCUGCCCCUCCUUUGAUAUGUAUGAAUAAUUGGAGGUCUUACACUAUAUCCCACGUUUUUUCCAAUGUCUUCAAAGAACAUUCAGGUUUCACUAAGGAUGGAUCUCCUCUUAACACGAUUUGCUUGUCUUUUGCCCAAAAGGUCAUGGUUAAUGAUGGCCAAUGUACCUUCAUUGUGCCGGUGGUAUCUAGCCAUUGCAUCCCUAAAAUCACGUCAAUAUUUCCUAGUUCCACCACUAGAAAAUCAGUUAUAACUGUCAUUUCUUUCAAUCUCAGUUCCACCUUUCUGCAAAUACCUUUCCCUUUACAGCGGGUCCCGUCUCCAAUAGUCACUCCAAAUUGUGUACCGGGUUCAAUGUUCAACCCUCCUUCCAUUGCCACUGCUUCAUGGAUGAAGUUGUUCGUAGCUCCACUGUCGAUGAGAAUCACCACCUCCCUUCCUUUUACAUGCCCCUUCAGUUUCAUUGUCCCUUUGGAUGUUAACCCCGUGAGUGUCUUCAAUUCAAUUUCGGUGGUUUCAGCAACAACUAACUGGUUCAGCUCCAUUACUUCUUCGGUCUCUUCCAUUUUGACUUCCUCCCCGCCACUCUCUUCUUCGUUAAGUAUAAAUAACAUUAAUUCCCUUUUCUCUCUCAUCUUGCAUCGGUGUCCCGGUGAGUACUUCUCAUUGCAUCUAAAACACAAACCCUUGUCCAAUCUUGCUCUGAAUUCCGUGUCCAAGAGUCUUUUAACUGGAGGUUCAUUUUUCUGGUAGUUUCCUUUAAUGGGAAUAGUGACUUGCUUCAUGGGGAACUCAGUCUUCUUUGGUGAACUUUUAUCUUGACUGCUUUGUCCCUUGCUUGAGCCUCCUCCUUCCCUAGUCACACUGUUUACCCAUUCUGCCUUGGCUAAUUUCAAGGCUAGGUUUCUGCCACUUACCAGUUGUGCCUCCUUCAUACAUUCCUCUAAGGUUUGAGGAUGUCUACUAAUAACUUCUGCUUGAAGAGCCGGUUCUAGACCAGUCACGAAUGCAUCUAAGAGCACGCUUUCAGCCAUGUGCAGUAGUGGUGCAGAAUAUUGUACGAAUUUCUUGACAUAUCAUUAUAGGAUCCAUCUUGUUCUAUUCGAAUCAGCCUUGCACCUAAGCUCUUCUGCCCAGAAUCUCGAAAAAAUUCAAACAUCCUUACCUUCAAAUCUUCCCAUCCUUCCACCUUCUUUCUAUGGUUACUCCAACGGUACCAAUCGAUUUCAUCUUGUCCGAAACUAACCACCUACUUUCACUUUUUCUGCUUCCGGUAGGCUAUUAAUUUCGAAAAAAUGCUCAGCUCUAAACACCCAUGACUCAGGAUUUUCCCCGGUGAAAAUCGGCAUUUCCAGUUUCUUAUAUUUGCUUCGGUCGACAGUUACUACAUUGUUUUCCCCUGGAUUGUCGGCUUCUUCCCAUUUUCCUUUUAACUUCAUGACUGAUCCAUCAGAAGUUCCGGAUUCAUCUCGCCUUUUGUAGCUGCUGUUUUCUUUCAUUUCAUCAGCCAGUCUAUCCAUGGAUUUCUUCAUUUCCAGAAUCAUUUCCUUCAAGCCCAGUAUUUCUUUCUCGUUCCAUCUAUUCUUUCUUCUAUUUGCCUUUGCGCCAUCAGUCGCGUCACCACCCCAGCGUUUGGGCUCUGAUACCAGUUGUAGAGACUCCACAAAUAAAAUACUAAAUUACCCAAACAGUUGGCAAACAGAGACAGCACUCUGUAGAUCUUUAUUUAUAUAUAAAUGCCAAGAGAUACAGUAGAAGGAAAUAUAAAAGAAAGCAAUAAAGAUGAUAAUAUCAUGUCAAACCUCCCCAGGAAAAGAUAGUAGUCCUUCCUAGACCUAGCAGCCUCUACAGACCAAAUGAAGACAAAAAGUUAACCUAGCCCCCAAUCCCGAUAAGGCCUUAUUUAUAGCUCUUUUCUCAUUCUUCCCCGUGGGCCCCACUCUCAUGUUCUUUUCCUAAUAUUCUCCCCUUUUCUGCUGCGUGAGCUUUUACGUUUUUACCCCUCCUUUUGUAUGUAUGGAUAAUAGGGGGCCUUACAAAUUUCUUCCAACACUAUGAAACAUUUAUGUUAUAGUUUUAUUAUUGUAAACAUUUUUGCUAAACAUCAUUGUAAUUUCCAAACACAACUCUGCCAAAGUUCCCAAGAUAGUUCUAUAGCAAUGUUCCACAGGCUAUCUUGCAAGUGAUGUGGAACUCCUUUGCUUUUUUGAAUAGUAAGCUGGCCUUCCUCUUUUGUUAUGCUUUGUUUUGUUCUUAAUACUUGCUUUUAUCUUCGCCUAUUUCAUUCCUAGUUGAUAUAUUACAUAGUCCUCUUAAAUCUACAUUCUUUUUCUGUUUUAUGAUUCGCUUGAGUUUAAUGACUAACUUUGGCAAAAUAAUGUUGAACUAUAUUACAUGUUUUGCAUCUAAACCUCAAUUGAAAAGGUUUGUUACCUGUAUCAUUAUAAGGUUUCCAUCCAUCUUUCUUAGGCCAUCAAUGAAGUUUUUGCUUAGAUCUAUCUUAGUUCGGCCUCUUUAAAAUGUUACUCCAUACAAGGAAGAUCGAAAGUUGUGAUUACAAAGUGUAGAUUUGUAUUGUAUAGUUGCCUUAGUUAUUUUUUUAAUUAUUCUUUUUAGACGUUAUUUCCUUUUAUAAUUAGUUCUCUUUAGUUAGAAUUUCUAUUAAAUUAUACUUGCCUAUUAUCAAGUCCUUUUUCAUUAAUAAGAGAAAAUGGAGUUUUUCUCAAAUAACAAAAAGUGAUUAUUUAAGAUACUAUGCUAAAGGGAACACAUCCAAUUACCAUGUUGAGAAUAUUAUCUUUGCCUAUUGAAGGUCUUGGAUUCUUGGUCAACUUUGAAUGCGAAUUUUUCUUAGUUGAUUAUUAAAUAUCAGGGUAAAAAGAUCUUAUAUUGUAAUGUUGUUUUGCUUCACUUGCAUCAUACACUAAAACACAAGAUUAAAAAAAAAGUUAUAUUUAGACUUUUGUAUGGUAGAUUAGGUGUUCUCUUUGAAUUGGUGUUGGUAUUGGCUUUCUAAUUAUGAUAUGAUUUUGGGAACCUUUGAAUUAUGUUCUUCAAACCUUCUCUCUUCGAUUGAAGCUUAUUAUAUUUUAUCGUUGUUAGUAUGUUUUUUUUUUUCCAUUUUUUCCCUUCUAAUAUUUUUAUUUGAUAUAUAAUGUGCAUAAAAGAGAAAGUAGUUAAUGUGUUUUACAUUGUUGUGUUGUGCAAAGUUGGUGCUGUUGGUUCAAAUAUUUAAGAUUUGGUGAAGCACUUGGAAUAAGUUCAAACUUUUAAUCUGUAGGAUAAUUUACUUUAUAAGAAUCACACAUUUACCUUUUUUUUCUUUUUUGAAGUAGGAAAGGAGCCUCUUCAUUAAGCUGAAAAUGAAUAGACAAGACAAAAGGUAAUACAAAGAAGCCCUAGGAUCAGUGAGUGCACUAGGACAUCUCAUCUAUGUUGACACCUACUUAGCAUUCUCACCAUAUCGAGACUUAAACCAAAAGACUAAACCAACGACAAGGUUUGGAAUAGAUCAUACAAACUGCCCAAUAACUAUACAACAUAGAUUUAAGACCACUAGAAAUCCAAAAGAAAUAAAAUAAGAGUACAGUAGUGGACUAAGAAUUAAAAAUGAAAGUCGGCCAAUUAUGACUUAUAUCUUGUAUGGAGAAAUCUUUGAAGUCUUUUGAAAGAGAGCAUCAAGAAGAAGCAUUGAUUCUAGCCAUUUCGACUCGAGUUGUCCAAGAGGAAGCUUUAUUUUAAAAUGUUAGCUGAUUAUGUUCAAACCAAAUUUCUGGUAAAAUGGCCUUCACUGCAUUUAACCAAAUCAAUCUUGGUUUCUUCUUGAGAAUGGGACAUGAAAUAAGCUGGACCGCGUUCUCCUAAAUCUAUAGUCGAAAACCCAAUUCAAAUGAAGAUAGCCAAGUAAGUCAAACCAACACUUCUUUUCAUGUAAGCAGGAGAAGAAAAUAUGAUGUAAAUCUUCUAAAGCAUGCAAACACAAGGGACAAAUAUUAGGAGAUAAACUGUGAGAGGAAGGUUUCAUUUGCAAAACUUCUGCACAGUUCAUAGUCCAUUUCGCUUUCUCCAAAGCGUGAUAUUCACUCUUCUAGGGCUUUUUGUCUUCCAAAUUGUCGAGUAUAAAUGUUUUUCAAUUGGGGAGGCAAUGGAGAGAUGCUUGACCAAUGAAUGAACCAAAAACCUCCCAUUUGAUUCUGAUUUCUAGGUUCUUUUAUUUUGGGAGGCUUGAAAUUCAUCUAUUUCUUCAACUUUUAGAAGUCUCCUGAAAUUUAGAGCCCAUGAAGUAGUGGAAGAGUCCCAAAACUCCUUUACAUCUCCAUUAUUAGAGUUCAAAGACAAUCUAAACGAUCUUGAAAAGAAACAACAUCUGCCCAAAAAUCAUUCCAAAAUGCUAUUCUUCAACCAUCACCGAACUUGAACAAUGCCUAGGAAUCCACUUGAAGCUAGCAUCUCGAAAUGCUAAUCCAGGGACUAUGGAGACUGCAAGUGACAAUUCCUUUAGUAUGCCAUCCAAAUUAACUUUCUCCAUGGAUACUCUUCACCACUUUAGCCCAAAGGGAAUUCUUUUCAUUUAUAAAUCUCCAUCCCCAUUUAGCAAGAAGGUUGCAUUUUUUUAACGUUGCACCAUCGACGCCGAUUCCACCAUCCUCUUGCGAACAAGACACCACCUUCCAAUUAAUCACUUUAUGAAUCAUCUUUUCUGGCAUUAAGAAUAUAGACAUAUAGUGUGUAGGUAUAUGUGAAAAAACCGACUUACAAAGUGUGUCCCAACCUCCACUAAAGAGACAAUAUCUUUUCCACUUAUCUAGUUUAACUUGGAUUUUAUCUAUUUCUUGAAAUUACAUAAGGAGUAGAGAGAGGGCUCCAAGCCGAAGCAGUUAUGGAAAACAUCUCCAAUUUACAGCAAGUUAAAGCAAAAAAAAAAAAAAAAAACCGCAGUUCAAAAAAACUGGGCAUCUUGCUUCCUUCUAAUUGAAAGUUCUGCUGUUUCUGUCAAGUCAAAUUGACCACAAAAUGCUCAAAUGAGAUUCUUCAAUAGGAAUACAUAAAAAAAAAAUAAUAUGUAAAAGAAUUUUCAAUGUUUAAUAUAAUAUGUAAAAUAAUUUUCUUAUAUUGGAAUUGGCAGAUGGCUGAGGGCCUUCGUGAAACGUGGGAGAGAAGCGAUAACAUUAUCGUUCAAAAAAUUCAGGAGUAAGUAUUUAUGUGAAAGGCCAUAUUAUUUGGCCAUUUGACCUUAUUUAUGAUUGAAUUAUUUGGAUGGAAAUGAUAAACUACACAUUAUUGUCUGCUUGAGUUGUGAUCUUGAUUAUGGGCUAUUUGGUAUUUUGCCUACAAACUGUAUAGUUAAUUAUCUGUUAGCUUUUGUUUUCCUGUCACAGCUUUAUGUUUCUGUGGCUAAUUGUAGCCAAAAGUUUUAUUUAUCGAUCUUAUUUUUCACAGCAUAAAUGAAACCGUGUUUCAAGCAUCAAAUGCUGCUACAUCAUUCAAGGAAAUUCGUCGUAGAGAUCCGUAAGUUUUUUCCUUUGGUGCUGUGAUACUAACCUGUUUGAAUAAAGGAAUCUGACUUGGUCUUUUCCUCUUUAACAUUAUGGAUUAGGUCUUUCUCUUUACCAGAUUUCGUAGUUGAACUUUAAGAAGCAAUCAAACCGGUGUUAACUUCUUAUAUAAAGGUUAGUGCUAACUGCUAAGCUUAUUUCUAAGAUGAAAGAUGCUUUUAUCCCCUCCCCAAAGAAUAUCAUUACUAUUUAUGUUGUAUUUCUGCUAACUAAUUCUUGCAUAGCAUCUGGUUUGAUAAAUAAAGUAAAGUUUCUGACAUGGAGGUUUUCAAGUUGGAAUAUAUAUUUAUGUUUUAGGUAGAUUCCCAAACUUUGAAGAAACGCUGCAGUACUGAGGUAAUUGAACGUUGUAAGGCAGAGCAUUGGGCUUACCGGAGCCAAGGUAUCUUCUUCGAUAACAAGUAAGGAUAGUCCUGAUACUACCUUUCUUUUGUUAUUGAAGUUUAUUGUUCCUUCUCUCUUGUUUGGUGGUUGUGCACCUAUAUUGAUUUGUACUUCUGUUAAUUAAUUAUAGUCCUUCUCUUGUUUGAGUAAUUAUUGUCUACCAUUUUGUUAGCAAAGGCUUCCCGUGGAAAUUUAGUUUGUUGUGCUGCAUGUCCAAGAUGAUUUUCGUGAUUUUAGUUUUAGAUACAUAAAAGGGAUUUUGCAUCACAACAUGAAUGACUAUUUCUAAAUAUGAACCUACAAUAACCCCAAAUGAAUACCUGAUUAAAUUGGAAACAGGGCAGAUAGAGAGUGAGAUGGAGAGUGUUUGUGUGUGCUUUAGAGUAGUUUUAAGCACAUUUUUUAGAUUUGUUUAACACUAAGUUUGUUUCACUUGCACAAUUGGUUGCCAUUUUAGGUCUCAAAGUGCAUUUUCACUCAUUUUGAACUUUUUGUUAGUUUGUGAGUUACGAACUUACACUUAAGCACUGUUAGGUCGUUUCAAACACAUUUUGUGUUUGUUUGGAACUAAGUUUGUUUAGACAUUUGAUUGACAUGUUGGGUCUCCAAGUGCUUUUUUCCACACUUUUUGAAAUUUUGGUAGGUUGUGAGUCACGAACUUACGCUUGAGUAUUGUUUGGUCCGUUUGAAAGCUUAGACACAUUUUGAACUCUUUUUAAGAUAACUUGAAACUAAGUUCAUUGCACUUACAUACUUCGUUGCCGUUUUGGGUCUUGAAGUACCUUUUUCACACUUUUUGAAAUUUUGGUAGGUUGUGAGUUACAAACUUACCCUUAAGCAUUGUUUGGUUGUUUUGAAAAUUCAAGUGAUAGUUACACACGUUUUGAAUACAUUUUAGGUUAGAUUGAGUUUGUUGCACUUGGUUGUCAUUUUUGGUCUUGAAAUGCUUUUUUCAAACUUUUUGGUAGAUUAUGAGUUACGAACUUACACUUAGGAUUUGCUAGGUCGUUUUGAAAACUCAAGUAAUACAUAGACACGUUUUGAGCACAUUUUAGGUUGGUUUGAACUAAGUUUGUUGCACUUACACACUUGGUUGCCAUUUUGGGUAUUGUAGUGCUUUUUUCACAAUAUUUGAACUUUUUUCGUAGGUUAUGAGUUACGAUCCUACACGUAAGCUGUUUUAGGACAUUUUGAAAGUUAAGUGAUACUUAGACACGUUUUAAACUCGGUUUAGGUUAGUUUGAAACUAAGUUUGUUGACCUUAUCCAAUUGGUUGCCAUUUUCGGUCUUGAAGUGCCCUUUUCACACUUUUUGAACUUUUUGGUAGGCUAUGGGUUACCAACUUACACUUAAACUUUGUUAGGUUGUUUUGAAAGUCCAAGUGAUACUUAGACACGCCUUGACCACUUUUUAGGUUGGUUUGGAACUAAGUUUGUUGCACUUGCGCACUUGGUUGCCAUUUUGGGUCGUGUAGUGUUUCCUUUUUUUCCAUACUUCUUGAACUUUUUGGUAGGUUAUGAGUGAUGAAUUUACAAAUAAACAUUCUUAGGUCGUUCUGAAAGUUCAAGUGAUACUUAAACACGGUUUGAAAUUUUUUUAGAUUUGUUUAAGACUAAGUUUGUUUCACUUGCAUACUUGGUUGCCAUUUUAGGUCUCAAAGUGCAUUUUUCACGCAUUUUGAUUUUUUUGUUAGUUUGUGAGUUACGAACUUACACUUAACGAUUGUUAGGUCGUUUUAAACACAUUUUGCGUUGGUUUGAAACUAAGUUUGUUGCACUUACACAUUGGAUUGAAAUGUUGGGUCUUGAAGUACUUUUUUUCACACUUUUUGAAAUUUUUUUAGGUUGUGAGUUACGAACUUACGCUUGAGUAUUGUUUGGUCGGUUUGAAAUCUUAGACACGUUUUGCACUCUUUUUAGGAUGGCUUGAAACUAAGUCCGUUGCACUUACAUACUUCGUUGCCAUUUUGGGUCUUGAAGUGCUUUUUUUACAGUUUUUGAAAAUUUGGUAGGUUGUGAGUUACAAACUUACACUUAAGCAUUGUUUGGUGGUUUUGAAAGUUUAAGUGAUACGUACACAUGUUUUGAAUACAUUUUAGGUUAGAUUGAUUUUGUUGCACUUGGUUGUCAUUUUUGGUCUUGAAAUGCUUUUUUCAACCUUUUUGGUAGAUCAUUACGAACCUACAUUUAGGAUUUGCUAGGUCGUUUUGAAAACUCAAGUAAUACCUAGACACGUUUUGAGCACGUUCUAGGUUGGUUUGAACUAAGUUUGUUACAAUUACACACUUGGUAGCCAUUUUGGGUCUUGUAGUGCUUUUUUCACACUAUUUGAACUUUUUUCGUAGGUUAUGAGUUACAAAUCUCAACGUAAGCUGUUUUAGGUCGUUUUGAAAGUUCGAGUGAUACUUAGACACAUUUUGUUCAAGUGAUACUGUUUUAGGUCGUUUUGAAGUGAACUUUUUUCUUCUUGUAUUGACUGUUUUACUAUUUCUUCAUGGUUUGUAUUCAUGGUAUUUAUUUUCGUAAUUGGGCAUCUUGCUUCUUUCUUAUUGAAAGUUUGGCCGUUUCUUUCAAGUCAAAUUGACCAGAAAAUGCUCAAAUGAGAUUCUUCAAUAGGAAUAUGUAAAAAAAAUAUAAUAUGUAAAAGAAUUUUUGUGAAACGUGGGAGAGAAGCGGUAACAUUAUCCUUCAAAAAAUUCAGGAGUAAAUAUUUAUGUGAAAGGACAUAUUAUUUGGCCAUUUGACCUUAUUUGUUAUUGAAUUAUUUGGUUGGAAAUGAUAAACUACACAUUAUUGUUUGCUUCAGUUGUGAUCUUGAUUAUGGGCUAUUUGGUAUUUUGCUUACAAACUGUAUAGUUAAUUAUCUGUUAGCUUUUGUUUUCCUGUCACAGCUUUAUGUUUCUGUGGCUAAUUGUAGCCAAAAGUUUUAUUUAUCGAUCUUAUUUUUCACAGCAUAAAUGAAACUGUGUUUGAAGAAUCAGGUGCUGCUACAUCAUUCAAGGAAAUUCGUCGUAGAGGUCCGUAAGUUUUUUUCCUUUGGAGAUGUGAUACUAACCUGUUUGAAUAAAGGAAUCUGACUUGGUCUUUUCCUCUUUAACAUUAUGGAUUAGGUCUUUCUCUUUACCAGAUUUCGUAGCUGAACUUUAAGAAGCAAUCAAACCGGUGUUAACUUCUUAUAUAAAGGUUAGUGCUAACUGCUAAGCUUAUUUCUAAGAUGAAAGAUGCUUUUAUCCUCCCCAAAGAAUAUCAUUACUAUUUAUGUUGUAUUUCUGCUAACUAAUUCUUGCAUAGCAUCUGGUUUGAUAAAUAAAGUAAAGUUUCUGACAUGGAGGUUUUCAAGUUGGAAUAUAUAUUUAUGUUUUAGGUAGAUUCCCAAACUUUGAAGAAACGCUGUAGUACUGAGGUAAUUGAACGUUGUAAGGCAGAGCAUUGGGCUUACCAGAGCCAAGGUAUCUUCUUCGAUAACAAGUAAGGAUAGUCCUGAUACUACCUUUCUUUUGUUAUUGAAGUUUAUUGUUCCUUUUGUUGGGGCUUGGUGGUUGUGCACCUAUAUUGAUGUACUUCUGUUAAUUAAUUAUAGUCAUUCUCUCUUGUCUGAGUAAUUAUUGUCAACCAUUUUGUUAGCAAAGGCUUCCCAUGGAAAUUCAGUUUGUUGUGCUGCAUGUCCACGAUGAUUUCGUGAUUUUAGUUUUAGAUACAUAAAAAGGGCCUUUGCAUCACGACAUGAAUGACUACUUUUUAAUAUGAACGUACAAUAACCCAAAUGAAUGCUGAAGUAAGUUUAUUGAUGUAUGUAAUUUACAACAAUCUUUUUGAACUUUUUGGUAGGUUAUGAAUUACGAACUUGUAUUGAAUAUUUGUUAGGUCGUUUUAAUAAUUCAAGUGAUGCUUAGAAAAUGCAACCGAGCUUAAACAAUUGUGCACAUUUUUCUAAAAUUUUUAGUUUAACCUCUUUAAUAAAAUUCGAAGGAAAUUUUGUUUCUUUUUGUAGGAAUAAAGGAAAAUGAAAUAUAACCAAACUUGGGAUCUUUGCAAGCAAGCUUCCAUGAAGAAACUAGGUUACAAGGGGAGGUCUUCUGUUCUCCUUUUUUUUUCUUUCCAUCCGUAGAAUCUUGCUUAAAAUGCUUUGAGGACAAUGCAAAUUUUUAAGGGGGGGGGGUUGUAGCCUUGCACAUUCCAUGUCCUUUGGGAAAUUUUCAUUUUGCAAAUUUUGCUAAAAAUGUCAAAAUUUAGAAACUUUUGCAAUGCUCUAUGCUUAGAAUAAGUACCAUGUCUACUUCGUUUUAGCAUAAAAAAGCAUAUAUGCCUAAACCCAUGAGAACAGAGCUCGGAUUUGUGAUUGUAUUUGUUAUUUGAAUAUGUUACAUAUGUUGAAAAAUGCAUAUAUUGAUAGCUUAGAAAUGAGUAGAACACUUGGUUCAUUUUCUGAAUAUUGUGAAUUAUGUACAUAAUAAUAUGUCGGUUGCCUUUUUUAUCUCAAUUUUAAUCCCCUUUUUUGCCAUCUUCUACUGCCUUUUUUAUAUUAAUUUUAAAUCCCUCUUUUGGCCAUACACAUUUGUAUAAGAUUGUUUGAAAGCAAAAUAUGAUUGUUAGGUUCUUAGAGUUCUUCACCCAACAUAACAGCCGAUAAAAACAAAACAAUACGACCAAGCUGCUUAGAGUUGCAGAACCCGACCCCCGCCUAGUGGGUCACUAGAGUUCUUCACCCAGCAUGGCAGCCGGUAGAGAGGGAGAGAGAAAAAAAGAGGGAACCAAGCCAGCCGCUUAGGUCAAGUAAAAUGCGCGCCGAGAUCCCCCGGUUUCAGAAUUUUCGUGGGGAUCCUCUCCGCUUUUCUUGCCUAAGCAAAACCCGACCCCGGCUAGUAGGUUCUUAGAGUUCUUCACCCAUCAUGGCAGCCGGUAGAGAGGGAGAGAAAAAAAAGAGGGAGCCAAGCCAGCCGCUUAGGUCAAGUAAAAUGCGCGCCGAGAUCCCCGGUUUCAGAAUUUUCGUGGGGAUCCUCUCCGCUUUUCUUGCCUAAGCAAAACCCGACCCGCCUAGUAGGUCCUUAGAGUUUUUCACCCAGCAUGGCAGCCGGUUAGAGAGGGAGAGAGAAAAAAAAGAGGGAGCCAAGCCAGCCGCUUAGGUCAAGUAAAAUGCGCGCCGAGAUCCCCCGGUUUCAGAAUUUUCGUGGGGAUCCUCUCCGCUUUUCUUGCCUAAGCAAAACCCGACCCCGCCUAGUUGGUUCUUAGAGUUCUUCACCCAUCAUGGCAGCCGGUAGAGAGGGUGAGAGAAAAACAAAGAGGGAGCCAAGGCAACCGCUUAGGUCAAGUAAAAUGCGCGCCGAGAUCCCCCGGUUACAGAAUUUUCGUGUGGAUCCUCUCCGCUUUUCUUGCCUAAGCAAAACCCGACCCGCCUAGUAGGUCCUUAGAGUUUUUCACACAGCAUGGCAGCCGGUAGAGAGGGCGAGAGAAAAAAAAAGAGGGAGCCAAGCCAGCCGCUUAGGUCAAGUAAAAUGCGCACCGAGAUCCCCCUGUUUCAGAAUUUUCGUGGGGAUCCUCUCCGCUUUUCUUGCCUAAGCAAAACCCGACAGCCUAGUAGGUCCUUAGAGUUUUUCACCCAGCAUGGCAGCCGGUAGAGAGGGAGAGAAAAAAAAAGAGGGAGCCAAGCCAGCCGCUUAGGUCAAGUAAAAUGCGCGGAGAUCCCCCGGUUUCAGAAUUUUCGUGGGGAUUCUCUCCGCUUUUCUUGCCUAAGCAAAAACCGACCCCGCCUAGUAGGUUCUUAGAGUUCUUCACUCAGCAUGGCAGCCUGUAGAGAGGGAGAGAGAAAAAAAAGAGGGAGCCAAGCCAGCCGCUUAGGUCAAGUAAAAUGCGUGUCGAGAUCCCCCGGUUUCAGAGUUUUCGUGGGGAUCCUCUCCGCUUUUCUUGCCUAAGCAAAACCCGACCCCGCCUAGUAGGUCCUUUUAGUUCUUCACCUAGCACGGCAGCCGGUAGAGAGGGAGGGAGAAAAAAAGAGGGAGUCAAGCCAGCUGCUUAGGUAAAGUAAAAUGCGCGUCGAGAUUGCCUGGUAUCAGAGCUUGCAUGGGCAACCUCUCCGCUUUUGAUGGAAUUUGAUGAAAUGCUUAUGUCGAAAGUAGGCAUUUCUCUAUAGAGUCCUAAUGGUCAUAGAAAUUUAAUAUGUUUUGUAUUUAUUUUACUUUGUUGUCAAGAAUCAACUUCUUUUCUGAUUUGUAUGUUUAUGUAUAUGUUGCAUCUCUGUCUUGUUAUCAUGUUGUAUUUCAUUGUACUCAAUAGUGUGAUUUGCAUUUUUUAUUUGUGUUAAUAAGUGUUCGUGUAAUUGCAAUUUUGUUCUUGAAGAUAUUUUGCUUGAAUCAAGUUAGUUCUUUAAGGAUCAUUUUCUUGUAAGGUUAUAACUUCUUGUCCAAUUUUUCCAACUCACAUUUCAACUUGUAACAGGUGAAUCUCUUCCAAAUAAGAGCUUAAAAAGAAAAAACAAUUGGAACCUUUAACCAUAAAAUCAAGGUACUGCAUCUUAUUUGCAAUGAAUUGCUAUAAUUUUGUAGAGACUCCACAAAUAAAAUACUAAAUUACCCAAACAGUUGGCAAACAGAGACAGCACUCUGUAGAUCUUUAUUUAUAUAUAAAUGCCAAAGAUACAGUAGAAGGAAAUAUAAAAGAAAGCAAUAAAGGUGAUAAUAUCAUGUCAAACCUCCCUAGGAAAAGAUAGUAGUCCUUCCUAGACCUAGCAGCCUCUACAGACCAAAUGAAGACAAAAAGUUAACCUAGCCCCCAAUCCCGAUAAAUAAAUAAGAGCUUAAAAAGAAAAAACAAUUGGAACCUUUAACCAUAAAAUCAAGGUACUGCAUCUUAUUUGCAAUGAAUUGCUAUAAUUUUGUAGAGACUCCACAAAUAAAAUACUAAAUUACCCAAACAGUUGGCAAACAGAGACAGCACUCUGUAGAUCUUUAUUUAUAUAUAAAUGUCAAGAGAUAUAGUAGAAGGAAAUAUAAAAGAAAGCAAUAAAGAUGAUAAUAUCAUGUCAAACCUCCCCAGGAAAAGAUAGUAGUCCUUCCUAGACCUAGCAGCCUCUACAGACCAAAUGACGACAAAAAGUUAACCUAGCCCCCAAUCCCGAUAAGGCCUUAUUUAUAGCUCUUUUCUCAUUCUUCCCUGUGGGCCCCACUCUCAUGUUCUUUUCCUAAUAUUCUCCCUUUUCUACUUCGUGAGCUUUUACGUUUUACCCCUCAUACGGCCCAUAAAAUUUUGGGGAUAGCUUUUCACAUUUCUUCCGAGCUAGUGAUCUUUGUCGAUAGGGUCGUAGUUUCAAAUACACUUCAUCCCCAAUUUUGAAUUUGAGCUCCCUGCGGUUUCGGUCUGCCAUUUUCUUCAUUCUAUUUUGAGCUAUGCAUAGGUUUUCCUCCAGUGCAUUGAGUGCUAAAUCUCUCUCCUUCAACAUGACUUCUACGUCAUUGUUAGGAGAUUGCUUCCAUCCAUAUGACAGCAGUGGCGGGGGAGUUCUUCCAAAAACAGAUUGGUAAGGAGUAGUUUUGGUGGAUGCGUGGAAGGUUGUGUUAUACCAUAAUUCCGCCCAAGGGAUCAGUUUAUCCCAUUUCUUCGGUUGUUCAUUGCAAAAGCAUCUCAAAUAGGUCUCUAGGCAUCUGUUUACCCUCUCGGUUUGUCCAUCGGUUUGGGGAUGGAAUGCCGUGCUUCUCUUCAAAAUGGUGCCCAUGGUAGUGAACAACUCCUUCCAGAAAUUGCUAAGGAAGAUCUUAUCACGGUCGGUAAUAAUGGACUUGGGUAUUCCAUGUUUGCUGACCACUUUUUCCAAAAAAAUUGAAGCCACUUGCUUGCUGUGUACGGGUGUUUCAGAGGCAAGAAGUAGGAGUACUUACUUAGGCGGUCGACGACUACCAUAAUCACGUUGUAACCUCCUGCUAUUGGCAGCCCUUCAAUAAAAUCCAUGGUCCAAUCCUCCAAUAUCUUGUCGGGGAUAGGAAUGGGUUGCAGAACUCCCGCAGGCUUAGUAGCUUCGAACUUAUUACGUUGACAAGUGUCACAUUCUUCUACAUAUCUCUUGAUAUCAGCCUUCAUUCCUUUCCAAAAUAGUUCCCCACUCAUUCUUUUAUAGGUUCUCAAGAAUCCCGAGUGCCCUCCUAAUAUGGAAUCAUGGAACGUGUGUAGAAGACUCGGAAUGAGGGAGGAAUUUCGCGGCAGCACCAUCCUUCCUUUAUAUAGCAGCCUGCCAUUGUUCCACUGGUAUUUCCCACCUUGAUCCACCUCUCCCUUAAGUUCGGCAAUAAUUUUCUGAAGUUCUUGAUCCAUUUCAACUUCCUUCUCUAUUAUCUCUAUAUCAACUAUGCCUGUGGUUGUCAUUGUAUUUAACUCCACCGAAUGGUCCUUCCUUGAGAGAGCAUCCGCCACCUUAUUCUGCAGACCCGGCUGGUAUAAGAUCUCAAAGUCAUACCCCAAAAGUUUUGUGAGCCACUUUUGGAAUUGAGGCUGAACUUCCCUCUGUUCUAACAGAAAUUUCAGAGCCUUCUGAUCUGAAACAAUUGUGAACUUUCUGCCCAGGAGAUAAUGUCUCCAUUUUUGCACCGAAAGGACAACCGCCAUCAAUUCCCUUUCAUAGAUCGACUUACCCUGGGCUCUUGGGGACAGUUUCUGGCUGAAGAAUGCGAUGGGAUGACCAUCUUGUGAUAAAACUGCACCUAAACCUACUCCUGAAGCAUCAGUUUCGAUUGUGAAGGGCUGAGACCAAUCCGGCAAUGCUAAUACCGGUAAGGUUGUCAUUGCUAGCUUCAGCUGGUCAAACGCUAUUGUAGCUUCCUCAUUCCAAUGGAAUGCAUUUUUCUGAAGUAAUUUGGUUAAGGGUGCAGCUAUUUCUCCAUAGCUUUUCACAAAUCUUCUAUAAUACCCAGUCAGUCCAAGGAAUCCCCUCAGCCCAGUUAUAUCUUUCGGCCGUGGCCAAUUUACCAUACUGCGAAUCUUGUCCUCAUCAGCCUCCACUCCUCUGCUGGAAAUCAGAUGACCCAAAUAUUGAACUUGGGAAUGAGCAAUGACACAUUUAGACCUAUUUGCAAACAAUUCAUGGUCCCUCAAGAUAGCAAAAACCAUUCCUAAAUGUUUCAUGUGUUCAUCUAUGUCCACACUACAAACUAGAAUGUCAUAAAAAAAAACCAGGACACACCUUCGAAGGAAUGGUUUGAACACCUCGUUCAUGAGAGAUUGGAAGGUGGCAGGAGCAUUCGUAAGGCCGAAAGGCAUCACCAAGAACUCAUAAUGUCCUUCAUGCGUGUGGAAACUGUUUUCUCCACAUCUUCCUCCCUCAUCCUAAUCUGGUGGUAUCCAGAUUUAAGGUCUAACUUUGAGAAAGCUGUCGCACCAUGAAGUUCAUCUAAGAGUUCUUCGAUCACGGGAAUUGGAAAUUUAUCAGCCACCGUUACUUGAUUGAGUUUCCUGUAAUCUACACAAAAUCUCCACCCUCCAUCUUUUUUCUUCACUAAGAGGACCGGGCUCGAAUAUGGGCUGCGGCUUGGACGAAUCACCCCAGCUUGUAACAUUUCUAACACCAAUUUUUCAAUCUCUUCCUUUUGUACAUGGCCAUACUUAUAUGGUCUUACAUUAAUUGGUUUCUGAUCGGCCACGGUCAGAAUGCGAUGGUCUAUGGCUCUCCUUGGCGGUAAACCCGUGGGCAACCUAAAGACAUCUGCAUAUUGCUCGAGCAAUCGCUGAACCAUGGGUAAUCCUUCUUCCUUUCCCUUCAAUUCAGCUUCUGUUUCCGAUUCUCCUUCAUAGUUUACUUCAUAGUUUUGGAAUUCCAAGAGGAAUCCUUGGUCCCCGGAUUGCCACGUUUUCUCUAAGGUUCUCAAUGAACAUUCUGACUUCGUUAGAGAAGGGUCACCUUUUAGGAUUAUUCUUCUACCUUCAUCCAAAACGUCAUGGUUAGGGAUGGCCAGUGAACCUUCAUGGUUCCUGUCGAAUCUAGCCAUUGCAUCCCAAGCACCAAGUCUACCGUUCCUAACUCUACCGCUAGGAAAUCUGCUACGAUUGUUAACUCUUUUAACUUCACCUUCACCCUCUUGCAAAUCCCACUUCCUUCACAUUGGUUGCCAUUCCCAAUGGUAACUCCAAAACGAGUUCCCGGAUCGAUGCUCAGCUGUAGUUCAUCUACCAACACUUAGCUGAUGAAGUUAUUGGUCGCCCCGCUGUCAAUCAGAAUAUACUACUUCCCUUCCGUUCACAUGUCCUUUUAAUUUCAUCGUCCCCUUUGAUGUAACUCCCGUGAUCAACCUCAAUUCAAUAGGGUUAUCCAUAUUCAAUUCCAGAUGAUUCAGUUCUAUUACUUCGCUUGCCUCAUCCUCUGUAUCCUCUUCCCUUUUGUGGUCUUCUUCCUCAUUUAGUAUAAGGAGCAUCAACUCUCUUUUUUCUCUCCCUUUACAUCGAUGGCCUGGGGCGUACUUUUCAUUACAUCUGAAACAAAGCCCUUAUCCAGCCUUGCUCUAAAUUCCGUAUCCGACAGCCGUUUAAUUGGGAGAUCUUUUUUCUGGUAAUCAUUUUUCAAUGGAAUAGUUACCUGCUUCAUCACAAACUCUGUCUUUUUACUUUCUGUCUUCUCAUUUUUUCCUUGAAAUUUGCUGCUGUUCUCAUUCCUUUUGGGCUCAACUAUAUCCAACUCUUCCAUCGCCAGUUUUAAUGCUAUAUUCCUAUCAUUCGCAAGCUGAGCUUCCUUCAUACAUUCCUCUAAAGUUUGAGGGUGUCUGCUGAUUACUUCCGCUUGCAGUGAGGGUUCCAGACCCGUUAAAAACGCAUCCAGCAGAACACUUUCUGCCAUGUCCGGGAGGGGGCUGAGUAUGUAACAAACUUCUUAACGUACUCGCUGUAUGAGCCUUCUUGCUUAAUACGGAUUAAUCUUGCCCCCAAGCUCUGCUGUCCUAUAUCUUAAAGAAAUCAAACAUCCUUUCCUUCAAGUCCUCCCAAGAUUCCACCCUCUUUCUACGAUUACUCCAUCUAAACCAGUCUACCUCUUCCUGUCCAAAACUCACGACUGCUACUUUGACCUUCUCAGCUUCCGGUAAGUCAUUUAUAUCAAAAAAAUGUUCUGCUCGGUACGCCCAGGAUUCAGGGUUCACCCUGUAAACAGUGGCAUUUCUAAUUUUUUGUACUUACUUCGGUCUGCGCUGCUUCCACCCGACUCGACUGUGGUUCCGGCCUUUCCAGUUUUCCCUUCAGUUUCAACCUGAUGUCGUCCGUAGUCCCUGCUUCUUCUUUUUUCUUAGCACCAUGGUUUUCUCUUAGCUCGCCUGUCAUUCGAUCCAUCGAUUUCUUCAUUUCCAGCAUCAUCUCCUUCAGACUCAUAAUUUCCUUUUCAGUACCUUCUACCCGUUCUUCUAUCUGUCUUUGAGCCAUCAGACGCGUGAUCACCCCCAGUGUGGAGGCUCUGAUACCAAUAUAUAAGGAUUCAACUUGCUUACUUCACUAUUUCUCCCUUACAAUGGCCAAAAACAGAGGUAGCCCUCUGCUAUCUUUAUUUAUAUAUAGCCAAAAUGAGUACAGAAAAACAUAAAGAUUCAAGAAAAACAAGGAAUAAUGAAGACAAACCCAGCUUCCUCUAGGGAAAGACUGGAUAUUCCUCUAGGCUAAGCAGCCGCCAACUUCAGGAUAAAAAUAAAACCUACCUCCCCUAGACCUAAAAAACCUAUUUAUAUUCCUUCUCUCAUCUUUCUCUUAUUUCUGUGCCUGGGCCCCACCUGCACGAUCUCCUCUUUUUCCUUCCUCAUUAUUAAUUUGUCCAAUUACUUUUCUGCCCCUCCUUUGAUAUGUAUGAAUAACUGGAGGUCUUACACUAUAUCCCACGUUUUUUCCAAUGUCUUCAAAGAACAUUCAGGUUUCACUAAGGAUGGAUCUCCUCUUAACACGAUUUGCUUGUCUUUUGCCCAAAAGGUCAUGGUUAAUGAUGGCCAAUGUACCUUCAUUGUGCCGGUGGUAUCUAGCCAUUGCAUCCCUAAAAUCACGUCAAUAUUUCCUAGUUCCACCACUAGAAAAUCAGUUAUAACUGUCAUUUCUUUCAAUCUCAGUUCCACCUUUCUGCAAAUACCUUUCCCUUUACAGCGGGUCCCGUCUCCAAUAGUCACUCCAAAUUGUGUACCGGGUUCAAUGUUCAACCCUCCUUCCAUUGCCACUGUCGAUGAGAAUCACCACCUCCCUUCCUUUUACAUGCCCCUUCAGUUUCAUUGUCCCUUUGGAUGUUAACCCCGUGAGUGUCUUCAAUUCAAUUUCGUGGUUUCAGCAACAACUAACUGGUUCAGCUCCAUUACUUCUUCGGUCUCUUCCAUUUUGACUUCCUCCCCGCCACUCUCUUCUUCGUUAAGUAUAAAUAACAUUAAUUCCCUUUUCUCUCUCAUCUUGCAUCGGUGUCCCGGUGAGUACUUCUCAUUGCAUCUAAAACACAAACCCUUGUCCAAUCUUGCUCUGAAUUCCGUGUCCAAGAGUCUUUUAACUGGAGGUUCAUUUUUCUGGUAGUUUCCUUUAAUGGGAAUAGUGACUUGCUUCAUGGGGAACUCAGUCUUCUUUGGUGAACUUUUAUCUUGACUGCUUUGUCCCUUGCUUGAGCCUCCUCCUUCCCUAGUCACACUGUUUACCCAUUCUGCCUUGGCUAAUUUCAAGGCUAGGUUUCUGCCACUUACCAGUUGUGCCUCCUUCAUACAUUCCUCUAAGGUUUGAGGAUGUCUACUAAUAACUUCUGCUUGAAGAGCCGGUUCUAGACCUGUCACGAAUGCAUCUAAGAGCACGCUUUCAGCCAUGUGCGUAGUGGUGCAGAAUAUUGUACGAAUUUCUUGACAUAAUCAUUAUAGGAUCCAUCUUGUUCUAUUCGAAUCAGCCUUGCACCUAAGCUCUUCUGCCCAGAAUCUCGAAAAAAUUCAAACAUCCUUACCUUCAAAUCUUCCCAUCCUUCCACCUUCUUUCUAUGGUUACCAACGGUACCAAUCGAUUUCAUCUUGUCUGAAACUAACCACUGCUACUUUCACUUUUUCUGCUUCCGGUAGGCUAUUAAUUUCGAAAAAAUGCUCAGCUCUAAACACCCAUGACUCAGGAUUUUCCCCGGUGAAAAUCGGCAUUUCCAGUUUCUUAUAUUUGCUUCGGUCGACAGUUACUACAUUGUUUUCCCCUGGAUUGUCGGCUUCUUCCCAUUUUCCUUUUAACUUCAUGACUGAUCCAUCAGAAGUUCCGGAUUCAUCUCGCCUUUUGUAGCUGCUGUUUUCUUUCAUUUCAUCAGCCAGUCUAUCCAUGGAUUUCUUCAUUUCCAGAAUCAUUUCCUUCAAGCCCAGUAUUUCUUUCUCGGUUCCAUCUAUUCUUUCUUCUAUUUGCCUUUGCGCCAUCAGUCGCGUCACCACCCCAGCGUUUGGGCUCUGAUACCAAUUGUAGAGACUCCACAUAAAAUACUAAAUUACCCAAACAGUUGGCAAACAGAGACAGCACUCUGUAGAUCUUUAUUUAUAUAUAAAUGCCAAGAGAUACAGUAGAAGGAAAUAUAAAAGAAAGCAAUAAAGAUGAUAAUAUCAUGUCAAACCUCCCCAGGAAAAGAUAGUAGUCCUUCCUAGACCUAGCAGCCUCUACAGACCAAAUGAAGACAAAAAGUUAACCUAGCCCCCAAUCCCGAUAAGGCCUAUUUAUAGCUCUUUUCUCAUUCUUCCCCGUGGGCCCCACUCUCAUGUUCUUUUCCUAAUAUUCUCCCCUUUUCUGCUGCGUGAGCUUUUACGUUUUUACCCCUCCUUUUGUAUGUAUGGAUAAUAGGGGGCCUUACAAAUUUCUUCCAACACUAUGAAACAUUUAUGUUAUAGUUUUAUUAUUGUAAACAUUUUUGCUAAACAUCAUUGUAAUUUCCAAACACAACUCUGCCAAAGUUCCCAAGAUAGUUCUAUAGCAAUGUUCCACAGGCUAUCUUGCAAGUGAUGGAACUCCUUUGCUUUUUUGAAUAGUAAGCUGGCCUUCCUCUUUUGUUAUGCUUUUGUUCUUAAUACUUGCUUUUAUCUUCGCCUAUUUCAUUCCUAGUUGAUAUAUUACAUAGUCCUCUUAAAUCUACAUUCUUUUUCUGUUUUAUGAUUCGCUUGAGUUUAAUGACUAACUUUGGCAAAAUAAUGUUGAACUAUAUUACAUGUUUUGCAUCUAAACCUCAAUUGAAAAGGUUUGUUACCUGUAUCAUUAUAAGGUUUCCAUCCAUCUUUCUUAGGCCAUCAAUGAAUGAAGUUUUUGCUUAGAUCUAUCUUAGUUCGGCCUCUUUAAAAUGUUACUCCAUACAAGGAAGAUCGAAAGUUGUGAUUACAAAGUGUAGAUUUGUAUUGUAUAGUUGCCUUAGUUAUUUUUUUAAUUAUUCUUUUUAGACGUUAUUUCCUUUUAUAAUUAGUUCUCUUUAGUUAGAAUUUCUAUUAAAUUAUACUUGCCUAUUAUCAAGUCCUUUUUCAUUAAUAAGAGAAUGGAGUUUUUCUCAAAUAACAAAAAGUGAUUAUUUAAGAUACUAUGCUAAAGGGAACACAUCCAAUUACCAUGUUGAGAAUAUUAUCUUUGCCUAUUGAAGGUCUUGGAUUCUUGGUCAACUUUGAAUGCGAAUUUUUCUUAGUUGAUUAUUAAAUAUCAGGGUAAAAAGAUCUUAUAUUGUAAUGUUGUUUUGCUUCACUUGCAUCAUACACUAAAACACAAGAUUAAAAAAAAAAGUUAUAUUUAGACUUUUGUAUGGUAGAUUAGGUGUUCUCUUUGAAUUGGUGUUGGUAUUGGCUUUCUAAUUAUGAUAUGAUUUUGGGAACCUUUGAAUUAUGUUCUUCAAACCUUCUCUCUUCGAUUGAAGCUUAUUAUAUUUUAUCGUUGUUAGUAUGUUUUUUUUUUCCAUUUUUUCCCUUCUAAUAUUUUUAUUUGAUAUAUAAUGUGCAUAAAAGAGAAAGUAGUUAAUGUGUUUUACAUUGUUGUGUUGUGCAAAGUUGGUGCUGUUGGUUCAAAUAUUUAAGAUUUGGUGAAGCACUUGGAAUAAGUUCAAACUUUUAAUCUGUAGGAUAAUUUACUUUAUAAGAAUCACACAUUUACCUUUUUUUUCUUUUUUGAAGUAGGAAAGGAGCCUCUUCAUUAAGCUGAAAAUGAAUAGACAAGACAAAAGGUAAUACAAAGAAGCCCUAGGAUCAGUGAGUGCACUAGGACAUCUCAUCUAUGUUGACACCUACUUAGCAUUCUCACCAUAUCGAGACUUAAACCAAAAGACUAAACCAACGACAAGGUUUGGAAUAGAUCAUACAAACUGCCCAAUAACUAUACAACAUAGAUUUAAGACCACUAGAAAUCCAAAAGAAAUAAAAUAAGAGUACAGUAGUGGACUAAGAAUUAAAAAUGAAAGUCGGCCAAUUAUGACUUAUAUCUUGUAUGGAGAAAUCUUUGAAGUCUUUUGAAAGAGAGCAUCAAGAAGAAGCAUUGAUUCUAGCCAUUUCGACUCGAGUUGUCCAAGAGGAAGCUUUAUUUUAAAAUGUUAGCUGAUUAUGUUCAAACCAAAUUUCUGGUAAAAUGGCCUUCACUGCAUUUAACCAAAUCAAUCUUGGUUUCUUCUUGAGAAUGGGACAUGAAAUAAGCUGGACCGCGUUCUCCUAAAUCUAUAGUCGAAAACCCAAUUCAAAUGAAGAUAGCCAAGUAAGUCAAACCAACACUUCUUUUCAUGUAAGCAGGAGAAGAAAAUAUGAUGUAAAUCUUCUAAAGCAUGCAAACACAAGGACAAAUAUUAGGAGAUAAACUGUGAGAGGAAGGUUUCAUUUGCAAAACUUCUGCACAGUUCAUAGUCCAUUUCGCUUUCUCCAAAGCGUGAUAUUCACUCUUUCUAGGGCUUUUUUGUCUUCCAAAUUGUCGAGUAUAAAUGUUUUUCAAUUGGGGAGGCAAUGGAGAGAUGCUUGACCAAUGAAUGAACCAAAAACCUCCCAUUUGAUUCUGAUUUCUAGGUUCUUUUAUUUUGGGAGGCUUGAAAUUCAUCUAUUUCUUCAACUUUUAGAAGUCUCCUGAAAUUUAGAGCCCAUGAAGUAGUGGAAGAGUCCCAAAACUCCUUUACAUCUCCAUUAUUAGAGUUCAAAGACAAUCUAAACGAUCUUGAAAAGAAACAACAUCUGCCCAAAAAUCAUUCCAAAAUGCUAUUCUUCAACCAUCACCGAACUUGAACAAUGCCUAGGAAUCCACUUGAAGCUAGCAUCUCGAAAUGCUAAUCCAGGGACUAUGGAGACUGCAAGUGACAAUUCCUUUAGUAUGCCAUCCAAAUUAACUUUCUCCAUGGAUACUCUUCACCACUUUAGCCCAAAGGGAAUUCUUUUCAUUUAUAAAUCUCCAUCCCCAUUUAGCAAGAAGGUUGCAUUUUUUUAACGUUGCACACAUCGACGCCGAUUCCACCAUCCUCUUGCGAACAAGACACCACCUUCCAAUUAAUCACUUUAUGAAUCAUCUUUUCUGGCAUUAAGAAUAUAGACAUAUAGUGUGUAGGUAUAUGUGAAAAAACCGACUUACAAAGUGUGUCCCAACCUCCACUAAAGAGACAAUAUCUUUUCCACUUAUCUAGUUUAACUUGGAUUUUAUCUAUUUCUUGAAAUUACAUAAGGAGUAGAGAGAGGGCUCCAAGCCGAAGCAGUUAUGGAAAACAUCUCCAAUUUACAGCAAGUUAAAGCAAAAAAAAAAAAAAAAAACCGCAGUUCAAAAAACUAGGCAUCUUGCUUCCUUCUAAUUGAAAGUUCUGCUGUUUCUGUCAAGUCAAAUUGACCACAAAAUGCUCAAAUGAGAUUCUUCAAUAGGAAUACAUAAAAAAAAAAUAAUAUGUAAAAGAAUUUUCAAUGUUUAAUAUAAUAUGUAAAAUAAUUUUCUUAUAUUGGAAUUGGCAGAUGGCUGAGGGCCUUCGUGAAACGUGGGAGAGAAGCGAUAACAUUAUCGUUCAAAAAAUUCAGGAGUAAGUAUUUAUGUGAAAGGCCAUAUUAUUUGGCCAUUUGACCUUAUUUAUGAUUGAAUUAUUUGGAUGGAAAUGAUAAACUACACAUUAUUGUCUGCUUGAGUUGUGAUCUUGAUUAUGGGCUAUUUGGUAUUUUGCCUACAAACUGUAUAGUUAAUUAUCUGUUAGCUUUUGUUUUCCUGUCACAGCUUUAUGUUUCUGUGGCUAAUUGUAGCCAAAAGUUUUAUUUAUCGAUCUUAUUUUUCACAGCAUAAAUGAAACCGUGUUUCAAGCAUCAAAUGCUGCUACAUCAUUCAAGGAAAUUCGUCGUAGAGAUCCGUAAGUUUUUUCCUUUGGUGCUGUGAUACUAACCUGUUUGAAUAAAGGAAUCUGACUUGGUCUUUUCCUCUUUAACAUUAUGGAUUAGGUCUUUCUCUUUACCAGAUUUCGUAGUGAACUUUAAGAAGCAAUCAAACCGGUGUUAACUUCUUAUAUAAAGGUUAGUGCUAACUGCUAAGCUUAUUUCUAAGAUGAAAGAUGCUUUUAUCCCCUCCCCAAAGAAUAUCAUUACUAUUUAUGUUGUAUUUCUGCUAACUAAUUCUUGCAUAGCAUCUGGUUUGAUAAAUAAAGUAAAGUUUCUGACAUGGAGGUUUUCAAGUUGGAAUAUAUAUUUAUGUUUUAGGUAGAUUCCCAAACUUUGAAGAAACGCUGCAGUACUGAGGUAAUUGAACGUUGUAAGGCAGAGCAUUGGGCUUACCGGAGCCAAGGUAUCUUCUUCGAUAACAAGUAAGGAUAGUCCUGAUACUACCUUUCUUUUGUUAUUGAAGUUUAUUGUUCCUUCUCUCUUGUUUGGUGGUUGUGCACCUAUAUUGAUUUGUACUUCUGUUAAUUAAUUAUAGUCCUUCUCUUGUUUGAGUAAUUAUUGUCUACCAUUUUGUUAGCAAAGGCUUCCCGUGGAAAUUUAGUUUGUUGUGCUGCAUGUCCAAGAUGAUUUUCGUGAUUUUAGUUUUAGAUACAUAAAAGGGAUUUUGCAUCACAACAUGAAUGACUAUUUCUAAAUAUGAACCUACAAUAACCCCAAAUGAAUACCGAUUAAAUUGGAAACAGGGCAGAUAGAGAGUGAGAUGGAGAGUGUUUGUGUGUGCUUUAGAGUAGUUUUAAGCACAUUUUUUAGAUUUGUUUAACACUAAGUUUGUUUCACUUGCACAAUUGGUUGCCAUUUUAGGUCUCAAAGUGCAUUUUCACUCAUUUUGAACUUUUUGUUAGUUUGUGAGUUACGAACUUACACUUAAGCACUGUUAGGUCGUUUCAAACACAUUUUGUGUUUGUUUGGAACUAAGUUGUUUAGACAUUUGAUUGACAUGUUGGGUCUCCAAGUGCUUUUUUCCACACUUUUUGAAAUUUUGGUAGGUUGUGAGUCACGAACUUACGCUUGAGUAUUGUUUGGUCCGUUUGAAAGCUUAGACACAUUUUGAACUCUUUUUAAGAUAACUUGAAACUAAGUUCAUUGCACUUACAUACUUCGUUGCCGUUUUGGGUCUUGAAGUACCUUUUUCACACUUUUUGAAAUUUUGGUAGGUUGUGAGUUACAAACUUACCCUUAAGCAUUGUUUGGUUGUUUUGAAAAUUCAAGUGAUAGUUACACACGUUUUGAAUACAUUUUAGGUUAGAUUGAGUUUGUUGCACUUGGUUGUCAUUUUUGGUCUUGAAAUGCUUUUUUCAAACUUUUUGGUAGAUUAUGAGUUACGAACUUACACUUAGGAUUUGCUAGGUCGUUUUGAAAACUCAAGUAAUACAUAGACACGUUUUGAGCACAUUUUAGGUUGGUUUGAACUAAGUUUGUUGCACUUACACACUUGGUUGCCAUUUUGGGUAUUGUAGUGCUUUUUUCACAAUAUUUGAACUUUUUUCGUAGGUUAUGAGUUACGAUCCUACACGUAAGCUGUUUUAGGACAUUUUGAAAGUUCAAGUGAUACUUAGACACGUUUUAAACUCGGUUUAGGUUAGUUUGAAACUAAGUUUGUUGACCUUAUCCAAUUGGUUGCCAUUUUCGGUCUUGAAGUGCCCUUUUCACACUUUUUGAACUUUUUGGUAGGCUAUGGGUUACCAACUUACACUUAAACUUUGUUAGGUUGUUUUGAAAGUCCAAGUGAUACUUAGACACGCCUUGACCACUUUUUAGGUUGGUUUGGAACUAAGUUUGUUGCACUUGCGCACUUGGUUGCCAUUUUGGGUCGUGUAGUGUUUCCUUUUUUUCCAUACUUCUUGAACUUUUUGGUAGGUUAUGAGUGAUGAAUUUACAAAUAAACAUUCUUAGGUCGUUCUGAAAGUUCAAGUGAUACUUAAACACGGUUUGAAAUUUUUUUAGAUUUGUUUAAGACUAAGUUUGUUUCACUUGCAUACUUGGUUGCCAUUUUAGGUCUCAAAGUGCAUUUUUCACGCAUUUUGAUUUUUUUGUUAGUUUGUGAGUUACGAACUUACACUUAACGAUUGUUAGGUCGUUUUAAACACAUUUUGCGUUGGUUUGAAACUAAGUUUGUUGCACUUACACAUUGGAUUGAAAUGUUGGGUCUUGAAGUACUUUUUUUCACACUUUUUGAAAUUUUUUUAGGUUGUGAGUUACGAACUUACGCUUGAGUAUUGUUUGGUCGGUUUGAAAUCUUAGACACGUUUUGCACUCUUUUUAGGAUGGCUUGAAACUAAGUCCGUUGCACUUACAUACUUCGUUGCCAUUUUGGGUCUUGAAGUGCUUUUUUACAGUUUUUGAAAAUUUGGUAGGUUGUGAGUUACAAACUUACACUUAAGCAUUGUUUGGUGGUUUUGAAAGUUUAAGUGAUACGUACACAUGUUUUGAAUACAUUUUAGGUUAGAUUGAUUUUGUUGCACUUGGUUGUCAUUUUUGGUCUUGAAAUGCUUUUUUCAACCUUUUUGGUAGAUCAUUACGAACCUACAUUUAGGAUUUGCUAGGUCGUUUUGAAAACUCAAGUAAUACCUAGACACGUUUUGAGCACGUUCUAGGUUGGUUUGAACUAAGUUUGUUACAAUUACACACUUGGUAGCCAUUUUGGGUCUUGUAGUGCUUUUUUCACACUAUUUGAACUUUUUUCGUAGGUUAUGAGUUACAAAUCUCAACGUAAGCUGUUUUAGGUCGUUUUGAAAGUUCGAGUGAUACUUAGACACAUUUUGUUCAAGUGAUACUGUUUUAGGUCGUUUUGAAGUGAACUUUUUUCUUCUUGUAUUGACUGUUUUACUAUUUCUUCAUGGUUUGUAUUCAUGGUAUUAUUUUCGUAAUUGGGCCAUCUUGCUUCUUUCUUAUUGAAAGUUUGGCCGUUUCUUUCAAGUCAAAUUGACCACAAAUGCUCAAAUGAGAUUCUUCAAUAGGAAUAUGUAAAAAAAAUAUAAUAUGUAAAAGAAUUUUUGUGAAACGUGGGAGAGAAGCGGUAACAUUAUCCUUCAAAAAAUUCAGGAGUAAAUAUUUAUGUGAAAGGACAUAUUAUUUGGCCAUUUGACCUUAUUUGUUAUUGAAUUAUUUGGUUGGAAAUGAUAAACUACACAUUAUUGUUUGCUUCAGUUGUGAUCUUGAUUAUGGGCUAUUUGGUAUUUUGCUUACAAACUGUAUAGUUAAUUAUCUGUUAGCUUUUGUUUUCCUGUCACAGCUUUAUGUUUAUGUGGCUCAUUGUAGCCGAAAGUUUAUUUAUCAAUCUUAUUUUUCACAGCAUAAAUGAAACUGUGUUUGAAGAAUCAGGUGCUGCUACAUCAUUCAAGGAAAUUCGUCGUAGAGGUCCGUAAGUUUUUUCCUUUGGAGAUGUGAUACUAACCUGUUUGAAUAAAGGAAUCUGACUUGGUCUUUUCCUCUUUAACAUUAUGGAUUAGGUCUUUCUCUUUACCAGAUUUCGUAGCUGAACUUUAAGAAGCAAUCAAACCGGUGUUAACUUCUUAUAUAAAGGUUAGUGCUAACUGCUAAGCUUAUUUCUAAGAUGAAAGAUGCUUUUAUCCCCUCCCCAAGAAUAUCAUUACUAUUUAUGUUGUAUUUCUGCUAACUAAUUCUUGCAUAGCAUCUGUGUUGAUAAAUAAAGUAAAGUUUCUGACAUGGAGGUUUUCAAGUUGGAAUAUAUAUUUAUGUUUUAGGUAGAUUCCCAAACUUUGAAGAAACGCUGCAGUACUGAGGUAAUUGAACGUUGUAAGGCAGAGCAUUGGGCUUACCGGAGCCAAGGUAUCUUCUUCGAUAACAAGUAAGGAUAGUCCUGAUACUACCUUUCUUUGUUAUUGAAAUUUAUUGUUCCUUUUGUUGGGGCUUGGUGGUUGUGCACCUAUAUUGAUUUGUACUUCUGUUAAUUAAUUAUAGUCAUUCUCUCUUGUCUGAGUAAUUAUUGUCAACCAUUUUGUUAGCAAAAGGCUUCCCAUGGAAAUUCAGUUUGUUGUGCUGCAUGUCCACGAUGAUUUUCGUGAUUUUAGUUUUAGAUACAUAAAAAGGGCCUUUGCAUCACACAUGAAUGAACUUUUUAAUAUGAACGUACAAUACCCCAAAUGAAUGUUGAAAGUAAGUUUAUUGAUGUAUGUAAUUUACAACAAUCUUUUUGAACUUUUGGUAGGUUAUGAAUUACGAACUUGUAUUGAAUAUUUGUUAGGUCGUUUUAAUAAAUUCAAGUGAUGCUUAGAAAAUGCAACCAAGCUUAAACAAUUCUGCACAUUUUUCUAAAAUUUUUAGUUUAACCUCUUUAAUAAAAUUCGAAAGGAAAUUCUUGUUUUCUUUUUGUAGGAAUAAAGGAAAAUGAAAUAUAACCAAACUUGGAUCUUUGCAAGCAAGCUUCCAUGAAGAAACUAGGUUACAAGGGGAGUCUUCUGUUCUCCUUUUUUUUCUUUCCAUCCGUAGAAUCUUGCUUAAAAUGCUUUAAGGACAAUGCAAAUUUUUAAGUGGGGGGUGGGUUGUAGCCUUGCACAUUCCAUGUCCUUUGGGAAAUUUUCAUUUUGCAAAUUUUUCUAAAAUGUCAAAAUUUAGAAACUUUUGCAAUGCUCUAUGCUUAGAAUAAGUACCAUGUCUACUUCGCUUUUUAGCAUAAAAAAGCAUAUAUGCCUAACCCAUGAGAACAGAGCUCGGAUUUGUGAUUGUAUUUGUUAGUUGAAUAUGUUACAUAUGUUGAAAAUGCAUAUACUGAUAGCUUAGAAAUGAGUAGAACACUUGGUUCAUUUUCUGAAUAUUGUGAAUUAUGUACAUAAUAAUAUGUGCGGUUGCCUUUUUUAUCUCAAUUUUAAUCCCCUUUUUUGCCAUCUUCUACUGCCUUUUUUAUAUUAAUUUUAAAUCCCUCUUUUGGCAAUACACAUUUGUAUAAGAUUGUUUGAAAGCAAAAUAAGAUUGUUAGGUCAAGUAGAAAGCAAAGUCAGCAAGUUCUUAGAGUUCUUCACCCAACAUAACAGCCGAUAAAAACAAAGCAAUACGACCAAGCUGCUUAGAGUUGCAGAACCUGACCCCCGCCUAGUGGGUCACUAGAGUUCUUCACCCAGCAUGGCAGCCGGGAGAGAGGGAGAGAGAAAAAAAAGAGGGAGCCAAGCCAGCCGCUUAGGUCAAGUAAAAUGCGGACCGAGAUCCCCCGGUUUCAGAAUUUUCGUGGGAUCCUUCCGCUUUUCUUGCCUAAGGAAAACCCGACCCGCCUAGUAGGUCCUUAGAGUUUUUCACCCAGCAUGGCAGCCGGUAGAGAAGGUGAGAGAAAACAAAGAGGGAGCCAAGGCAGCGCUUAGGUCAAGUAAAAUGCGCGCCGAGAUCCCCCGGUUUCAGAAUUUUCGUGGGGAUCCUCUCCGCUUUUCUUGCCUAAGCAAAACCCGACCCGCCUAGUAGGUCCUUAGAGUUUUUCACCCAGCAUUGCAGCCGUAGAGAGGGUGAGAGAAAACAAAGAGGGAGCCAAGGCAGCCGCUUAGGUCAAGUAAAAUGCGCGCCGAGAUCCCCCGGUUUCAGAAUUUUCGUGGGAUCCUCUCCGCUUUUCUUGCCUAAGCAAAACCCGACCCGCCUAGUAGGUCCUUAGAGUUUUUCACCCAGCAUUGCAGCCGGUAGAGAGGGUGAGAGAAAAAAAAGAGGGAGCCAAGGCAGCCGCUUAGGUCAAGUAAAAUGCGCGCCGAGAUCCCCCGGUUUCAGAAUUUUUCGUGGGAUCCUCUCCGCUUUUCUUGCCUAAGCAAAACCCGACCCCCCUAGUAGUCCUUAGAGUUUUUCACCCAGCAUGGCAGCCGUAGAGAGGGGAGAGAAAAAAAAGAGGGAGCCAAGCCAGCCGCUUAGGUCAAGUAAAAUGCUCGCCGAGAUCCCCCGGUUUCAGAAUUUCGUGGGGAUCCUCUCCGCUUUUCUUGCCUAGGCAAAACCCGACCCGCCUAGUAGGUCCUUAGAGGUUUUCACCCAGCAUGCAGCCGGUAGAGAGGGAGAGAGAAAAAAAGAGGGAGCCAAGCCAGCCGCUUAGGUCAAGUAAAAUGCGCGUCGAGAUCCCCGUUUCAGAAUAUUUCGUGGGGAUCCUCUCCGCUUUUCUUGCCUAAGCAAAACCCGACCCCGCCUAGUAGGUCCUUAGAGUUCUUCACCCAUCAUGGCAGCCGGUAGUGAGGGUGAGAGAAAACAAAGAGGGAGCCAAGGCAGCCGCUUAGGUCAUGUAAAAUGCGCGUCGAGAUCCCCCGGUUUCAGAAUUUUCGUGGGGAUCCUCUCCGCUUUUCUUGCCUAAGCAAAACCCGACCCGCCUAGUAGGUCCUGCUUCCAAUUCUUGGCGCUUUCUUGGACUCUUAUCUUAUUAUCCCUUUGUAUAUUCCGUCGGACUUUAUCAAGCUUUUAGCCUCCAUUCCAUUUCGGGGGGAAAGAACCGUCUUUGCAUCUGGGAUCUUAGUAGAUUGAAAUGGAGCAACUUCCGGGCGGUACCUUUGUGGAGGGGAUUCACUUCAGAAAGUAGAAGUCGAAAUUCAGUAGAAGUCGAAGGAAGAGAUAGGGUUUCAGGUAAAUUUAUGGGCAGCUUCUAAAUCUACAUUUUGAGAGAAUAAAUAGCUUGACUCAACGACAACAACUGAAACUGAAGAAAGAGCUGCUACUGGUCUCGCCUUUGCCUGGGCCUAGCCCUCGUACUCUGACUCAGCAGCUAGAUAGGGUUGAUGAAGACUUAUCCGUUGAGUCUGCUCUUUCAUGGGUUUCCUGAUCGGGGUUAGGAGCUUUACCAUUGCAAGAACUAUUCUUCUGAGUUUUUCACCCAGCAUGGCAGCGGUAGAGAGGGUGAGAGAAAAAAAAGAGGGAGCCAAGCAGCCGCUUAGGUCAAGUAAAAUGCGCGCCGAGAUCCCCCGGUUUCAGAAUUUUCGUGGGGAUCCUCUCCGCUUUUCUUGCCUAAGCAAAACCCGACCCCCUAGUAGGUCCUUAGAGUUUUUCACCCAUCAUGGCAGCCGGUAGAGAGGGAGAGAAAAAAAAGAGGGAGCCAAGCCAGCCGCUUAGGUCAAGUAAAAUGCGCGCCGAGAUCCCCCGGUUUCAGAAUUUUCGUGGGGAUCCUCUCCGCUUUUCUUGCCUAAGCAAAACCCGACCCGCCUAGUAGGUCCUUAGAGUUUUUCACCCAGCAUGGCAGCCGGUAGAGAGGGAGAGAGAAAAAAAAGAGGGAGCCAAGCCAGCCGCUUAGGUCAAGUAAAAUGCGCGCCGAGAUCCCCCGGUUUCAGAAUUUUCGUGGGGAUCCUCUCCGCUUUUCUUGCCUAAGCAAAACCCGACCCGCCUAGUAGGUCCUUAGAGUUCUUCACCCAUCAUGGCAGCCGGUAGAGGGGAGAGAAAAAAAAAGAGGGAGCCAAGCCAGCCGCUUAGGUCAAGUAAAAUGCGCGCCGAGAUCCCCCGGUUUCAGAAUUUUCGUGGGGAUCCUCUCCGCUUUUCUUGCCUAAGCAAAACCCGACCCGCCUAGUAGGUCCUUAGAGUUUUUCACCCAGCAUGGCAGCCGGUAGAGAGGGGAGAGAAAAAAAAAGAGGGAGCCAAGCCAGCCGCUUAGGUCAAGUAAAAUGCGCGCCGAGAUCCCCCGGUUUCAGAAUUUUCGUGGGGAUCCUCUCCGCUUUUCUUGCCUAAGCAAAACCCGACCCGCCUAGUAGGUCCUUAGAGUUUUUCACCCAGCAUGGCAGCCGGUAGAGAGGGGAGAGAAAAAAAAGAGGGAGCCAAGCCAGCCGCUUAGGUCAAGUAAAAUGCGCGCCGAGAUCCCCGGUUUCAGAAUUUUCGUGGGGAUCCUCUCCGCUUUUCUUGCCUAAGCAAAACCCGACCCGCCUAGUAGGUCCUUAGAGUUUUUCACCCAGCAUGGCAGCCGGUAGAGAGGGAGAGAGAAAAAAAGAGGGAGCCAAGCCAGCCGCUUAGGUCAAGUAAAAUGCGCGCCGAGAUCCCCGGUUUCAGAAUUUUCGUGGGGAUCCUCUCCGCUUUUCUUGCCUAAGCAAAACCCGACCCGCCUAGUAGGUCCUUAGAGUUUUCACCCAGCAUGGCAGCCGGUAGGAGGGAGAGAGAAAAAAAAGAGGGAGCCAAGCCAGCCGCUUAGGUCAAGUAAAAUGCGCGCCGAGAUCCCCCGGUUUCAGAAUUUUCGUGGGGAUCCUCUCCGCUUUUCUUGCCUAAGCAAAACCCGACCCGCCUAGUAGGUCCUUAGAGUUUUUCACCCAGCAUGGCAGCCGGUAGAGAGGGAGAGAGAAAAAAAAGAGGGAGCCAAGCCAGCCGCUUAGGUCAAGUAAAAUGCGCGCCGAGAUCCCCCGGUUUCAGAAUUUUCGUGGGGAUCCUCUCCGCUUUUCUUGCCUAAGCAAAACCGACCCGCCUAGUAGGUCUUAGAGUUUUCACCCAUCAUGGCAGCCGGUAGAGAGGGAGAGAGAAAAAAAAGAGGGAGCCAAGCCAGCCGCUUAGGUCAAGUAAAAUGCGCGCCGAGAUCCCCCGGUUUCAGAAUUUUCGUGGGGAUCCUCUCCGCUUUUCUUGCCUAAGCAAAACCCGACCCGCCUAGUAGGUUCUUAGAGUUCUUCACCCAUCAUGGCAGCCGGUAGAGAGGGAGAGAAAAAAAAAGAGGGAGCCAAGCCAGCCGCUUAGGUCAAGUAAAAUGCGCGCCGAGAUCCCCGGUUUCAGAAUUUUCGUGGGGAUUCUCUCCGCUUUUCUUGCCUAAGCAAAACCCGACCCGCCUAGUAGGUUCUUAGAGUUCUUCACUCAGCAUGGCAGCCUGUAGAGAGGGAGAGAGAAAAAAAAGAGGGAGCCAAGCCAGCCGCUUAGGUCAAGUAAAAUGCGUGCCGAGAUCCCCGGUUUCAGAGUUUUCGUGGGGAUCCUCUCCGCUUUUCUUGCCUAAGCAAAACCCGACCCCGCCUAGUAGGUCCUUUAGUUCUUCACCUAGCACGGCAGCCGGUAGAGAGGGAGGGAGAAAAAAAAGAGGGAGUCAAGCCAGCUGCUUAGGUAAAGUAAAAUGCGCGUCGAGAUUGCCUGGUAUCAGAGCUUGCAUGGGCAACCUCUCCGCUUUAGAUGGAAUUUGAUGAAAUGCUUAUGUCGAAAGUAGGCAUUUCUCUACAGAGUCCUAAUGGUCAUAGAAAUUUAUUAUGUUUUGUAUUUAUUUUACUUUGUUGUCAAGAAUCAACUUCUUUUCUGAUUUGUAUGUUUAUGUAUAUGUUGCAUCUCUGUCUUGUUAUCAUGUUGUAUUUCAUUGUACUCAAUAGUCUGAUUUGCAUUUUUUAUUUGUGUUAAUAAGUGUUCGUGUAAUUGCAAUUUUGUUCUUGAAGAUAUUUUGCUUGAAUCAAGUUAGUUCUUUCUAUAAGGAUCAUUUUCUUGUAAGGUUAUAACUUCUUGUCCAAUUUUUCCAACACAUUUCAACUUGUAACAGGUGAAUCCUUCUAAAUAAGAGCUUAAAAAGAAAAAACAAUUGGAACCUUUAACCAUAAAAUCAAGGUACUGCAUCUUAUUUGCAAUGAAUUGCUAUAAUUUUGUAGAGACUCCACAAAUAAAAUACUAAAUUACCCAAACAGUUGGCAAACAGAGACAGCACUCUGUAGAUCUUUAUUUAUAUAUAAAUGCCAAAAGAUACAGUAGAAGGAAAUAAAAGAAAGCAAUAAAGAUGAUAAUAUCAUGUCAAACCUCCCCAGGAAAAGAUAGUAGUCCUUCCUAGACCUAGCAGCCUCUACAGACCAAAUGAAGACAAAAAGUUAACCUAGCCCCCAAUCCCGAUAAGGCCUUAUUUAUAGCUCUUUUCUCAUUCUUCCCCGUGGGCCCCACUCUCAUGUUCUUUUCCUAAUAUUCUCCCCUUUUCUGCUGCGUGAGCUUUUACGUUUUUACCCCUCCUUUUGUAUGUAUGGAUAAUAGGGGGCCUUACAAUACCCCUCGGUUCCAGGUUCACCUUGUCCUCAAGGUGAAAGUCAGGGAAUUGUUGGUUCAUUUGGAAAACAGAUUCCCAAGUUGUUUCACUGUCCGGCAGCCCUUUCCACUUAAUUAACCAUUCAUUUCCUCCCAAUUCCCGAUUCCAACGGACUCCCAACACUGUUUCCGGCCAUAAUUGUAACUCAAACUCUUCCGUUAGCCUAGGUUGCUGGUGUUGAACAGCUUGUUGACUACCCAGUUUCAGUUUUAACUGAGAAAUAUGGAACACAUUGUGGAUACUGGCUUCCGGCGGUAACAUCAAUCUGUACGCAACUGCUCCUAUUUCUUCAGUAAUUUUGUAGGGUCCGUAAUAUUUAGGUGCUAACUUUUCACACUUCUUCCGAGCCAAGGAGCGUUGCCGGUAAGGUCUCAAUUUCAAGUAGACUUCAUCUCCUACCUUAAAUUUUAACUCUCUUCUAUUUCGAUCAGCCAUUUUCUUCAUCCUGUUCUAGGCUACACACAGGUGUUCUUUUAAGGCAUUGAUGGCUAAGUCACGUUCCUUCAGCAGCGUGUCAACCUCAUUAUUAGGAGUUUUCUUGUAACCAUAGGAUAACAGGGGAGGAGGCGGUCUGCGGUAUACCGUCUGGAAAGGGGUCAUUUUGGUGGAUGCAUGGAAGGUGGUAUUAUACCACAAUUCUGCCCAUGGAAUCAGUCUAUCCCAUUUUUUUGGUUGUUCAUUACAGAAGCAUCGCAGAUAAGUUUCGAGACAUCUAUUUACCCUUUCUGUCUGCCCAUCAGUUUGUGGGUGAAACGCGGUACUCCUCUUUAGAAUAGUUCCCAUGGUUGCAAACAGUUCCUUCCAAAAAUUACUAAGAAAGAUUUUAUCCCGAUCUGUGAUAAUCGACUUAGGAAUGCCGUGCUUGCUUACUAUUCUGUCGAUGAAUAUGGAAGCAACUUGCUUGGCUGAAAACGGAUGUCUCAAUGAUAUAAAGUAAGAAUACUUACUCAGCCGAUCAACUACCACCAUGAUCACAUUAACCCCUCCAGCUAGUGGCAACCCCUCAAUAAAGUCCAUGGUCCAAUCUUCUAAGAUUCUGUCAGGAAUUGGAAUUGGUUGAAGUACCCCAGCUGGUUUGGUUGCUUCGUAUUUGUUUCUCUGGCAGAUCUCGCAUUGUUCCACAUAUUUCUUUAUUUCAGCCUUCAUACCCCUCCAAUAUAGUUCUCCACUGAUCCUCUUGUAAGUUCUUAAAAAUCCAGAAUGUCCCCCGAGGAUAGAAUCGUGGAAAGUAUGUAGGAUCUUGGGUAUAAGUGUAGAAGUUUGAGAUACUACCAUUCUCCCCUUAUAGAGCAAUCUUCCUUUUUCCACUUGAAACUUGCUUCCUUCUUCUGCAUUUUUCUUCAGAUUUUCCAUAAUUUUCUUAAGUUCAGCAUCAUUCUCAACUUCCUGCUCGAUUAGUUUCACAUCAAUGAUUCCAGUAGUUGUCAAGCUGUGCAGCUCCACCGGUUGCUCCAUUCUAGAUAGGGCGUCCGCUGCCUUGUUCUGAUGUCCGGGUUGAUAUAAAAUCUCGAAAUCAUAUCCAAGGAGCUUUGUCAACCAUUUCUGGAAUUGGGGCUGUACCUCUCUCUGUUCAAGCAAGAAUUUAAGAGCCUUUUGAUCUGAAAGUAUGGUGAACUUCCUGCCCAGCAAAUAAUGCCUCCAUUUUUGAACUGAUAGAACUACAGCCAUCAACUCUCUUUCAUAGAUGGAUUUGUUUUGAGCCCUUGUGGAUAACUUCUGACUGAAAAAGGCAAUCGGGUGGCCAUUUUGAGAGAUCACCGCUCCUAACCCUACGCCAGAUGCAUCAGUUUCGAUAAUAAAGGGAAUGUUCCAAUCUGGUAAUGCCAACACUGGUAGAGUAGUCAUUGCUAGCUUCAAAUUUUCGAAGGCAGUAUUUGCUUCUUCAUUCCACUUAAAAGCAUUCUUCUGUAAUAACUUGGUUAGCGGUGCAGCGAUCUCUCCAUAACCCUUGACAAACCUCCUAUAAUAUCCUGUCAGUCCUAAGAAGCCCCGCAGACCAGAUAUAUUCGUUGGUGGUGGCCAAUUAAUCAUCUUCUUGAUCUUAUCCUCAUCUGCCUCAACUCCUCUUUUGGAUAUCAUAUGUCCCAAGUACUGUAUUUGAGAAUGGGCUAUAACGCAUUUUUUUUUGUUAGCAAACAGCUGGUUAUCCUUCAAAACAUUGAAUACCAUGCCCAAAUGCUUUGCGUGUUCAUCUAUAUCCGCACUAUAAACCAGUAUAUCAUCAAAGAACACCAAAACACAGCGCCGAAGGAAAGGUUUAAAUACCUGGUUCAUCAAAGAUUGGAAGGUUGCCAGAGCAUUCGUGAGACCAAACGGCAUUACUAGAAACUCAUAGUGCCCUUCAUGUGUGCGGAACACAGUUUUCUCCACAUCUUCCUCUUUCAUUCUAAUCUGGUGAUAACCAGAUUUCAGAUCUAAUUUCGAGAAAACCGUUGCCCUAUUCAGCUCAUCUAAUAAUUCCUCUAUCACAGGAAUUGGGAACUUAUCCGAUACUGUCGCCUGAUUUAACUUGCGGUAAUCGACACAAAAUCUCCAUCCACCAUCUUUUUUCUUCACUAACAACACCGGGCUGGAGUAAGGGAUAGGUUUAUGGUCAGGUAGGGUUAAUAUUCGGUGAUCAAUAGCUCUUUUUGGAGGUAAUUUCUUCGGUGUCUCAAAUAUCUCCGCAUAAUACUUGAGCAGGGAUCGGAUCAUAGAUAUUUCCUCCUCAUCUCCUUUUAAUCUUGUCCCCAGUUCAUAUUCAUUCUCUACUUCCAUCUCAUAAUUCUGGAAUUCUAAGAGGAAGCCUUGGUCUUCUAUAUGUAAGGAUUCAACUUGCUUACUUCACUAUUUCUCCCUUACAAUGGCCAAAAACAGAGGUAGCCCUCUGCUAUCUUUAUUUAUAUAUAGCCAAAAUGAGUACAGAAAAACAUAAAGAUUCAAGAAAAACAAGGAAUAAUGAAGACAAACCCAGCUUCCUCUAGGGAAAGACUGGAUAUUCCUCUAGGCUAAGCAGCCGCCAACUUCAGGAUAAAAAUAAAACCUACCUCCCCUAGACCUAAAAAACCUAUUUAUAUUCCUUCUCUCAUCUUUCUCUUAUUUCUGUGCCUGGGCCCCACCUGCAGGAUCUCCUCCUCUUUUUCCUUCCUCAUUAUUAAUUUGUCCAAUUACUUUUCUGCCCCUCCUUUGAUAUGUAUGAAUAACUGGAGGUCUUACACUAUAUCCCACGUUUUUUCCAAUGUCUUCAAAGAACAUUCAGGUUUCACUAAGGAUGGAUCUCCUCUUAACACGAUUUGCUUGUCUUUUGCCCAAAAGGUCAUGGUUAAUGAUGGCCAAUGUACCUUCAUUGUGCCGGUGGUAUCUAGCCAUUGCAUCCCUAAAAUCACGUCAAUAUUUCCUAGUUCCACCACUAGAAAAUCAGUUAUAACUGUCAUUUCUUUCAAUCUCAGUUCCACCUUUCUGCAAAUACCUUUCCCUUUACAGCGGGUCCCGUCUGCAAUAGUCACUCCAAAUUGUGUACCGGGUUCAAUGUUCAACCCUCCUUCCAUUGCCACUGCUUCAUGGAUGAAGUUGUUCGUAGCUCCACUGUCGAUGAGAAUCACCACCUCCCUUCCUUUUACAUGCCCCUUCAGUUUCAUUGUCCCUUUGGAUGUUAACCCCGUGAGUGUCUUCAAUUCAAUUUCGGUGGUUUCAGCAACAACUAACUGGUUCAGCUCCAUUACUUCUUCGGUCUCUUCCAUUUUGACUUCCUCCCCGCCACUCUCUUCUUCGUUAAGUAUAAAUAACAUUAAUUCCCUUUUCUCUCUCAUCUUGCAUCGGUGUCCCGGUGAGUACUUCUCAUUGCAUCUAAAACACAAACCCUUGCCAAUCUUGCUCUGAAUUCCGUGUCCAAGAGUCUUUUAACUGCAGGUUCAUUUUUCUGGUAGUUUCCUUUAAUGGGAAUAGUGACUUGCUUCAUGGGGAACUCAGUCUUCUUUGGUGAACUUUUAUCUUGACUGCUUUGUCCCUUGCUUGAGCCUCCUCCUUCCCUAGUCACACUGUUUACCCAUUCUGCCUUGGCUAAUUUCAAGGCUAGGUUUCUGCCACUUACCAGUUGUGCCUCCUUCAUACAUUCCUCUAAGGUUUGAGGAUGUCUACUAAUAACUUCUGCUUGAAGAGCCGGUUCUAGACCUGUCACGAAUGCAUCUAAGAGCACGCUUUCAGCCAUGUGCGGUAGUGGUGCAGAAUAUUGUACGAAUUUCUUGACAUAAUCAUUAUAGGAUCCAUCUUGUUCUAUUCGAAUCAGCCUUGCACCUAAGCUUUUCUGCCCAGAAUCUCGAAAAAAUUCAAACAUCCUUACCUUCAAAUCUUCCCAUCCUUCCACCUUCUUUCUAUGGUUACUCCAACGGUACCAAUCGAUUUCAUCUUGUCCGAAACUAACCACCGCUACUUUCACUUUUUCUGCUUCCGGUAGGCUAUUAAUUUCGAAAAAAUGCUCAGCUCUAAACACCCAUGACUCAGGAUUUUCCCCGGUGAAAAUCGGCAUUUCCAGUUUCUUAUAUUUGCUUCGGUCGACAGUUACUACAUUGUUUUCCCCUAGAUUGUCGGCUUCUUCCCAUUUUCCUUUUAACUUCAUGACUGAUCCAUCAGAAGUUCCGGAUUCAUCUCGCCUUUUGUAGCUGCUGUUUUCUUUCAUUUCAUCAGUCAGUCUAUCCAUGGAUUUCUUCAUUUCCAGAAUCAUUUCCUUCAAGCCCAGUAUUUCUUUCUCUGUUCCAUCUAUUCUUUCUUCUAUUUGCCUUUGCGCCAUCAGUCGCGUCACCACCCCAGCAUUUGGGCUCUGAUACCAGUUGUAGAGACUCCACAAAUAAAAUACUAAAUUACCCAAACAGUUGGCAAACAGAGACAGCACUCUGUAGAUCUUUAUUUAUAUAUAAAUGCCAAGAGAUACAGUAGAAGGAAAUAUAAAAGAAAGCAAUAAAGAUGAUAAUAUCAUGUCAAACCUCCCCAGGAAAAGAUAGUAGUCCUUCCUAGACCUAGCAGCCUCUACAGACCAAAUGAAGACAAAAAGUUAACCUAGCCCCCAAUCCCGAUAAGGCCUUAUUUAUAGCUCUUUUCUCAUUCUUCCCCGUGGGCCCCACUCUCAUGUUCUUUUCCUAAUAUUCUCCCCUUUUCUGCUGCAUGAGCUUUUACGUUUUUACCCCUCCUUUUGUAUGUAUGGAUAAUAGGGGGCCUUACAAAUUUCUUCCAACACUAUGAAACAUUUAUGUAUAGUUUUAUUAUUGUAAACAUUUUUGCUAAACAUCAUUGUAAUUUCCAAACACAACUCUGCCAAAGUUCCCAAGAUAGUUCUAUAGCAAUGUUCCACAGGCUAUCUUGCAAGUGAUGUGGAACUCCUUUGCUUUUUUGAAUAGUAAGCUGGCCUUCCUCUUUUGUUAUGCUUUGUUUUGUUCUUAAUACUUGCUUUUAUCUUCGCCUAUUUCAUUCCUAGUUGAUAUAUUACAUAGUCCUCUUAAAUCUACAUUCUUUUUCUGUUUUAUGAUUCGCUUGAGUUUAAUGACUAACUUUGGCAAAAUAAUGUUGAACUAUAUUACAUGUUUUGCAUCUAAACCUCAAUUGAAAAGGUUUGUUACCUGUAUCAUUAUAAGGUUUCCAUCCAUCUUUCUUAGGCCAUCAAUGAAGUUUUUGCUUAGAUCUAUCUUAGUUCGGCCUCUUUAAAUGUUACUCCAUACAAGGAAGAUCGAAAGUUGUGAUUACAAAGUGUAGAUUUGUAUUGUAUAGUUGCCUUAGUUAUUUUUUUAAUUAUUCUUUUUAGACGUUAUUUCCUUUUAUAAUUAGUUCUCUUUAGUUAGAAUUUCUAUUAAAUUAUACUUGCCUAUUAUCAAGUCCUUUUUCAUUAAUAAGAGAAAAUGGAGUUUUUCUCAAAUAACAAAAAGUGAUUAUUUAAGAUACUAUGCUAAAGGGAACACAUCCAAUUACCAUGUUGAGAAUAUUAUCUUUGCCUAUUGAAGGUCUUGGAUUCUUGGUCAACUUUGAAUGCGAAUUUUUCUUAGUUGAUUAUUAAAUAUCAGGGUAAAAAGAUCUUAUAUUGUAAUGUUGUUUUGCUUCACUUGCAUCAUACACUAAAACACAAGAUUAAAAAAAAGUUAUAUUUAGACUUUUGUAUGGUAGAUUAGGUGUUCUCUUUGAAUUGGUGUUGGUAUUGGCUUUCUAAUUAUGAUAUGAUUUUGGGAACCUUUGAAUUAUGUUCUUCAAACCUUCUCUCUUCGAUUGAAGCUUAUUAUAUUUUAUCGUUGUUAGUAUGUUUUUUUUUUCCAUUUUUUCCCUUCUAAUAUUUUUAUUUGAUAUAUAAUGUGCAUAAAAGAGAAAGUAGUUAAUGUGUUUUACAUUGUUGUGUUGUGCAAAGUUGGUGUUGUUGGUUCAAAUAUUUAAGAUUUGGUGAAGCACUUGGAAUAAGUUCAAACUUUUAAUCUGUAGGAUAAUUUACUUUAUAAGAAUCACACAUUUACCUUUUUUUUCUUUUUUGAAGUAGGAAAGGAGCCUCUUCAUUAAGCUGAAAAUGAAUAGACAAGACAAAAGGUAAUACAAAGAAGCCCUAGGAUCAGUGAGUGCACUAGGACAUCUCAUCUAUGUUGACACCUACUUAGCAUUCUCACCAUAUCGAGACUUAAACCAAAAGACUAAACCAACGACAAGGUUUGGAAUAGAUCAUACAAACUGCCCAAUAACUAUACAACAUAGAUUUAAGACCACUAGAAAUCCAAAAGAAAUAAAAUAAGAGUACUGUAGUGGACUAAGAAUUAAAAAUGAAAGUCGGCCAAUUAUGACUUAUAUCUUGUAUGGAGAAAUCUUUGAAAUCUUUUGAAAGAGAGCAUCAAAAGAAGCAUUGAUUCUAGCCAUUUCGACUCGAGUUGUCCAAGAGGAAGCUUUAUUUUGAAAUGUUAGCUGAUUAUGUUCAAACCAACUUUGAAUGACUAUUUCUAAAUAUGAACCUACAAUAACCCCAAAUGAAUACCGGAUUAAAUUGGAAACAGGGCAGAUAGAGAGUGAGAUGGAGAGUGUUUGUGUGUGCUUUAGAGUAGUUUUAAGCACAUUUUUUAGAUUUGUUUAACACUAAGUUUGUUUCACUUGCACAAUUGGUUGCCAUUUUAGGUCUCAAAGUGCAUUUUCACUCAUUUUGAACUUUUUGUUAGUUUGUGAGUUACGAACUUACACUUAAGCAUUGUUAGGUCGUUUCAAACACAUUUUGUGUUUGUUUGGAACUAAGUUUGUUUAGACAUUUGAUUGACAUGUUGGGUCUCCAAGUGCUUUUUUCCACACUUUUUGAAAUUUUGGUAGGUUGUGAGUCGCGAACUUACGCUUGAGUAUUGUUUGGUCCGUUUGAAAGCUUAGACACAUUUUGAACUCUUUUUAAGAUAACUUGAAACUAAGUUCAUUGCACUUACAUACUUCGUUGCCGUUUUGGGUCUUGAAGUACCUUUUUCACACUUUUUGAAAUUUUGGUAGGUUGUGAGUUACAAACUUACCCUUAAGCAUUGUUUGGUUGUUUUGAAAAUUCAAGUGAUAGUUACACACGUUUUGAAUACAUUUUAGGUUAGAUUGAGUUUGUUGCACUUGGUUGUCAUUUUUGGUCUUGAAAUGCUUUUUUCAAACUUUUUGGUAGAUUAUGAGUUACGAACUUACACUUAGGAUUUGCUAGGUCGUUUUGAAAACUCAAGUAAUACAUAGACACGUUUUGAGCACGUUUUAGGUUGGUUUGAACUAAGUUUGUUGCACUUACACACUUGGUUGCCAUUUUGGGUAUUGUAGUGCUUUUUUCACAAUAUUUGAACUUUUUUCGUAGGUUAUGAGUUACGAUCCUACACGUAAGCUGUUUUAGGACAUUUUGAAAGUUCAAGUGAUACUUAGACACUUUUAAACUCGGUUUAGGUUAGUUUGAAACUAAGUUUGUUGACCUUAUCCAAUUGGUUGCCAUUUUCGGUCUUGAAGUGCCCUUUUCACACUUUUUGAACUUUUUGGUAGGCUAUGGGUUACCAACUUACACUUAAACUUUGUUAGGUUGUUUUGAAAGUCCAAGUGAUACUUAGACACGCCUUGACCACUUUUUAGGUUGGUUUGGAACUAAGUUUGUUGCACUUGCGCACUUGGUUGCCAUUUUGGGUCGUGUAGUGUUUCCUUUUUUUCCAUACUUCUUGAACUUUUUGGUAGGUUAUGAGUGAUGAAUUUACAAAUAAACAUUCUUAGGUCGUUCUGAAAGUUCAAGUGAUACUUAAACACGGUUUGAAAUUUUUUUAGAUUUGUUUAAGACUAAGUUUGUUUCACUUGCAUACUUGGUUGCCAUUUUAGGUCUCAAAGUGCAUUUUUCACGCAUUUUGAUUUUUUUGUUAGUUUGUGAGUUACGAACUUACACUUAACGAUUGUUAGGUCGUUUUAAACACAUUUUGCGUUGGUUUGAAACUAAGUUUGUUGCACUUACACAUUGGAUUGAAAUGUUGGGUCUUGAAGUACUUUUUUUCACACUUUUUGAAAUUUUUUUAGAAUUGUGAGUUACGAACUUACGCUUGAGAGUAUUGUUUGUCGGUUUGAAAUCUUAGACACGUUUUGCACUCUUUUUAGGAUGGCUUGAAACUAAGUCCGUUGCACUUACAUACUUCGUUGCGAUUUUUGGGUCUGAAGUGCUUUUUUUACACUUUUUAAAUUUUGGUAUUGUGUGAGUUACAAACUUACACUUAAGCAUUGUUUUGGUGUUUUGAAAGUUUAAGUGAUACGUACACAUGUUUUGAAUACAUUUUAGGUUAGAUUGAUUUUGUUGCACUGGUUGUCAUUUUUGGUCUUGAAAUGCUUUUUUCAACCUUUUUGGUAGAUCAUUACGAACCUACAUUAGGAUUUGCUAGGUCGUUUUGAAAACUCAAGUAAUACCUAGACACGUUUUGAAGCACGUUCUAGGUUGGUUUGAACUAAGUUUGUUACAAUUACACACUUGGUAGCCAUUUUGGGUCUUGUAGUUACUUUUUUCACACUAUUUGAACUUUUUUCGUAGGUUAUGAGUUACGAAUCUACACGUAAGCUGUUUAGGUCGUUUUGAAAGUUCAAGUGAUACUUAGACACAUUUUGUUCAAGUGAUACUGUUUUAGGUCGUUUUUGAAGUGAACUUUUUUCUUCUUGUAUUGACUGUUUUACUAUUUCUUCAUGGUUUGUAUUCAUGGUAUUUAUUUUCGUAUGAAUCUUUCAUGUUCUGGUAAACAUUGCAGAACACAAAUAUUUUCAUCAAUCUGUCAAAGAGUUGAAGGAGAAGACAGAAGAACUUAAAGGUCACAUGAAAACCUAAAAGUUAGGUAAUUUUUUGAAAACUUUUUUUGUCUUGCUUAGUUUUAGUGGUAUUUUGUUAACAGUGCUGAGACAUACUCUUGUAUGCCAAGGCUGGGUGGCCAAUUCAAUGGAUGGCCUGAGACGGUGAAAUGACGAGUGUAGAACAAAGUAGACAAUCGAGCAGAUUUACAAGUAGGAGGAUGGUGUUUGGUCUUACUCAAAAGCUACUGCUAGAAAGGUGAUUCUCCCUUUAUUUACACAUGUUAUCUAUAUUUAAUUACUGUUUUUAUGUGAUGGUGAAUAAAUAUUUAAGUUGUUUCAAGUUUGUACAUCAUGCUUGAGUUAAUACAUUUCUCAACUCGCACUAAUUUUAAAGUUGAGACUAAGUUUGUUGCACUUACACACUUGGUUGCCAUUUUGGAUUUUGGAGUGCUUUUUCUACAUUUUUUGAACAUUUUGGUAGGUUAUGAUUUAUGAAGUAAGACUAAAGCAUUAUUAGGUCGUUUUUUAAAGUUCGAGUGAUACUUAAACAUUUUUUGAACACCUUUUAGGUUGUUACAAACUAAGUUAGUUUUACAUACAGCCAUGGUUGCCAUUUUGAGUCUUGAAAGAUUUUUUUUCACACUUUUUGAAAUUUUUGGUAAGUUAUGAGUUAUAAACUUACACUUAAGCGUUGUUAGGUUGCUUGAAAACUUAUACGUGUUUUGAAUACUUGUUAGGUUUGUAUAGAACUUCGUUGCACUUACACACUUGACAUUUUGGGUUUUGGAGUGUCUUUUUAAAAAAUUUUGAACUUUUUGCUAGUUUAUGACUUAUGAACUUGUAUUGAAUAUUUGUUAGGUCGUUUUGAUAAUUCAAGUGAUACUUAGAAAAUGCAACCGAGCUUAAACAAUUCCGCUCAUUUUUCUAAAAUUUUUAGUUUAACCUAUUGAAUAAAAUUCGAUGGAAAUUCUUGUUUUCUUUUUGUAGGAAUAAAAGAAAUGAAAUAUAACCAAACUUGGGAUCUUUGCAAACAAUCUUCCAUGAAGAAACUAGGCUACAAGUGGUUUGGGGUUUGGGUUUUUAGGGCUUAGGGCUUUUUGGGCUUAUGGCUUAGGGCUUUUAGGGCGCUUAGGGCUUUUAGGUUUUAGGGCUUAGGGCUUUUAGGGCUUAUGGCUUUAGGGUUUAGGGUAUAGGGUUUAGGGGUUUAGGGUUUAGGGUUUAGGGCGCUUAGGCUUUUAGGGAUUUUAGGGCGCUUAGGGAUUUUAGGUUUUAGGGCUUAGGGCUUUUAGGGAUUAUGGCUUAGGGCUUAGCGCUUUUAGGGCUUAGGGCUUAGGGCUUAGGGCCUUAAGGGCUUUAAGGGUAUUUAGGGAUAAGGGAUUUUAGGGCUUUUAGGGCAUUUAGGGCUUUUGGGGCUUUUAGGGCUUUUAGGGCUUAGGGAUUAGGGCUUGGGCUUUUAGGGCUCGGGCUUUGGGCUCUUUGGGCUUUUAGGACUUUUAGUGCUCUUAGGGCUUUUUGGGCGCUUAGGGCUUAUGACUCUUAAGGCUUAGGGCUUUGGCUUUUAGGGCUUUUAGGGCUUUUAGGGCUUUUAGGGCUUUUAGGCCUUUUAGGGCUUUUAGGGCGCUUAUGGCUUUUAGCUUUUAGGGCUUAGGGCUUUUUGGGCUUUUAGGGCUUAGGGCUUAGGGCUUAGGCUUUUAGGGCUUUUAGGCUUGGGCUUUGGGCGUUUAGGGCUUUUAGGACGCUUAGGGCUUUUAGGUUGUAGGGCUUAGGGCUUUUAGGGCUUAUGGCUUUUAGGGCUUAGCGCUUAGGGCUUAGGGCUUUUACGGGUUUUACGACUUUUAGGGCUUUUAGGGCUGAGGCCUUAGGGCUUAGGCCUUAGGGCUGAGGGCUCAGGGCUCAGGGCUUAGGGCUUAGGGUUUAGUGGCUUAGGGCUUAGGGCUUAGGGCUUAUGACUUUUAAGGCUUUGGGCUUUGGCUUUUCGGGCUUUUGGGCUUUUCGGCUUUUAGGGCUUUUAGGGCUUUUUGGGCUUUUAGGGCUUAGGGCUUAGGGCUUAGGCUUUUAGGGCUUUUAGGGCUUGGGCUUUGGCGUUUAGGGCUUAGGCUUUUAGGACGCUUAGGGCUUUUAGGACGCUUAGGCUUUUAGGUUGUAGGGCUUAGGGCUUUAGGCUUUUAGGACGCUUAGGGCUUUUAGGACCUUAGGGCUUUUAGGUUGUAGCUUAGGCUUUUAGGGCUUAUGGCUUUUAGGCUUAGCGCUUAGGGCUUAGGGCUUUUACGGCUUUUACGGCUUUUACGACUUUUAGGGCUUUUAGGGCUGAGGCCUUAGGGCUUUUAGGGCUGAGGCCUUAGGGCUUAGGCCUUAGGGCUGAGGGCUCAGGGCUUAGGGCUUAGGGUUUAGGGUUUAGGGUUUAGGGUUUAGGGCUUAGUUCUUGUGCUUUUAUUGCUUAGAGCUUAGGGCUUGUAGGGCUUAGGGCUGAUGGCUUAGGGCUUGGGCUUUUAGGGCUUGGGUUUUUAGGGCUUGGGCUUUGGGCUUUUAGGGCGUUUAGGGCUUUUAGGGCGCUUAAGUCGUUUAGGGCUUAGGGCUUUUAGGGCUUAGGGGUUUUGGCUUAUGACUUAGGGCUUGAGAUUUUAGGGCUUAGGGCUUGGCUUUGGCCUUUUAGGGCUUUUAGGGCUUUUACGACGCUUAGGGCUUUUAGGUUUUAGGGCUUAGGGCGCUUAGGGCUUUUAGGUCUUUUAGGGAUUAGGGUUUGGGCUUUUAAGGCUUGUGCUUUGGGCUUUUGGGAUUUUAGGGUUUAGGGCUUGUGCUUUGCGCUUUUAGGACUUUUAGGGCUUUUACAGCGCUAAGGGCGCUUAGGACUUAGGGCUUAGGGCUUAAGGCUUAGGCUUUUAGGGCUUAGGGCUCAUUGAGGAACUGGAUUUAUCUAAUGAGUAUAGGUAAAAUGGUUUUAUAUUGGAUUUGAUCAAUGCAAUGAAUUGUUUUAUCAUAAGACCGAUCCCUAAUUAAAUUGAUGAUCCCCAUCCUAACGAAAUGAAUUUGAUUCAUACAUGUACACACACGAACUGAACAUAUAUACAUUCACCGAAUCAUUGAUAAAGCAAUUCUACUUGGCGAGGAAAAAAUUUUCAAUAACUUGUUGAUCCCUAUCCCCAAAUUUUAAAAUUUAUCGCUCUUGAAUUUUUUGGCUUAGUGUGAAAUCGAAAUAUACCUAACAUAAUCUUAACAAUGAGUUAAUCAAUGAGCGCCGAGAUCCCCCUGUUUUGAAAUUUCGUGGGGAUCCUCUCCGCUUUUCUUGCCUAAGCAAAACCCGACACGCCUAGUAGGUCCUUAGAGUUUUUCACCGAGCAUGGCAGCCGGUAGAGGGAGAGAGAAAAAAAAGAGGGAACCAAGCCAGCCGCUUAGGUCAAGUAAAAUGCGCGCCGAGAUCCCCCGGUUUCAGAAUUUUCGUGGGGAUCCUCUCCGCUUUUCUUGUCUAGGCAAAACCCGACCCGCCUAGUAGGUCCUUAGAGUUUUUCACCCAGCAUGGCAGCCGGUAGAGAGGAGAGAGAAAAAAAAGAGGGAGCCAAGCCAGCCGCUUAGGUUAAGUAAAAUGCGCGCCGAGAUCCCCCGUUUCAGAAUUUUCGUGGGAUCCUCUCCGCUUUUCUUGCCUAAGCAAAACCCGACCCGCCUAGUAGGUCCUUAGAGUUCUUCACCCAUCAUGGCAGCCGGUAGAGAGGGAGAGAAAAAAAAUAGAGGGAGCCAAGCCAGCCGCUUAGGUCAAGUAAAAUGCGCGCCGAGAUCCCCCGGUUUCAGAAUUUUCGUGGGAUCCUCUCCGCUUUUCUUGCCGAAGCAAAACCCGACCCGCCUAGUAGGUCCUUAGAGUUUUUCACCCAGCAUGGCAGCCGGUAGAGAGGAGAGAGAAAAAAAAGAGGGAACCAAGCCAGCCGCUUAGGUCAAGUAAAAUGCGCGCCGAGAUCCCCCGGUUUCAGAAUUUUCGUGGGGAUCCUCUCCGCUUUUCUUGCCUAAGGCAAAACCCGACCCGCCUAGUAGGUCCUUAGAGUUUUUCACCCAGCAUGGCAGCGGUAGAGAGGGGAGAGAAAAAAAAGAGGGAGCCAAGCCAGCCGCUUAGGUCAAGUAAAAUGCGCGCGAGAUCCCCCGGUUUCAGAAUUUUCGUGGGGAUCCUCUCCGCUUUUCUUGCCUAAGCAAAACCCGACCCCCCUAGUAGGUCCUUAGAGUUUUCACCCAGCAUGGCAGCCGGUAGAGGGAGAGAAAAAAGAGGAACCAAGCCAGCCGCUUAGGUCAAGUAAAAUGCGCGCCGAGAUCCCCGGUUUCAGAAUUUUCGUGGGGAUCCUCUCCGCUUUUCUUGCCUAAGCAAAACCCGACCGCCUAGUAGGUCCUUAGAGUUUUUCACCCAGCAUGGCAGCCGGUAGAGAGGGAGAGAGAAAAAAAAGAGGGAACCAAGCCAGCCGCUUAGGUCAAGUAAAAUGCGCGCCGAGAUCCCCCGAUUUCAGAAUUUUCGUGGGGAUCCUCUCCGCUUUUCUUGCCUAAGCAAAACCCGACCCGCCUAGUAGGUCCUUAGAGUUUUUCACCCAGCAUGGCAGCCGGUAGAGAGGGAGAGAAAAAAAAAGAGGGAGCCAAGCCAGCCGCUUAGGUCAAGUAAAAUGCGCGCCGAGAUCCCCCGGUUUCAGAAUUUUCGUGGGGAUCCUCUCCGCUUUUCUUGCCUAAGCAAAACCCGACCCGCCUAGUAGGUCCUUAGAGUUUUUCACCCAGCAUGGCAGCCGGUAGAGAGGGAGAGAGAAAAAAAAAAGGGAACCAAGCCAGCCGCUUAGGUCAAGUAAAAUGCGCGCCGAGAUCCCCGUUUCAGAAUUUUCGUGGGGAUCCGCUCCGCUUUUCUUGCCUAAGCAAAACCCGACCCGCCUAGUAGGUCCUUAGAGUUUUUCACCCAGCAUGGCAGCCGGUAGAGAGGGAGAGAGAAAAAAAAAGAGGGAGCCAAGCCAGCCGCUUAGGUCAAGUAAAAUGCGCGCCGAGAUCCCCCGGUUUCAGAAUUUUCGUGGGGAUCCUCUCCGCUUUUCUUGCCUAAGCAAAACCCGACCCCGCCAGUAGGUCCUUAGAGUUCUUCACCCAUCAUGGCAGCCGGUAGAGAGGGAGAGAAAAAAAAAAGAGGGAGCCAAGCGAGCCGCUUACGUCAAGUAAAAUGCGCGCCGAGAUCCCCCGUUUUAGAUUGGUUUCAAACUAUGUUUUAAACACAUUUCAUUGACAUGUUGGGUCUUGAAGUACUUUUUUCACACUUUUUGAAAUUUUGGUAGGUUGUGAGUUACAAACUUACACUUAAGCAUUGCUUGGUCGUUUUGAAAAUUCAGGUGAUACUUACACACGUUUUGAAUACAUUUUAGGUUAGAUUGAGUUUGUUGCACUUGGUUGUCAUUUUUGGUCGUGAAAUGCCUUUUUCAACCUUUAUGGUAGAUUAUGAGUUACGAACUUACACUUAGGAUUUGCUAGAUCGUUUUGAAAACUCAAGUACUACCUAGACACGUUUUGAGCAUGUUUUAGGUCGGUUUGAACUAAGCUUGUUGCCCUUACACACUUGGUUGCCAUUUUGGGUCUUGUAGUGCUUUUUUCACACUAUUUGAACUUUUUUCGUAAGUUAUCAGUUAGGAAUCUACACGUAAGCUGUUUUAGGUCGUUUUGAAAGUUCAAGUGAAACUUAGACACGUUUUGAACUCGUUUUAGGUUUGUUUGAAACUAAAUUUUAAACACUUUCAUUGACAUGUUGGGUCUUGAAGUACUUUUUUCACACUUUUUGAAAUUUUGGUAGGUUGUGAGUUACAAACUUACACUUAAGCAUUACUUGGUCGUUUUGAAAAUUCAAGUGAUACUUACACACGUUUUGAUUACAUUUUAGGUUAGAUUGAGUUGUUGCACUUGAUGGUCAUUUUUGGUCUUGAAAUGCUUUUUCAACCUUUUUGGUACAUUAUGAGUUACGAACUUACACUUAGGAUCUGCUAGGUCGUUUUGAAAACUCAAGUAGUACCUAGACACGUUUUGAGCAUGUUUUAGGUUGGUUUGAACUAAGUUUGUUGCACUUACACACUUAGUUGCCAUUUUGGGUCUUGUAGUGCUUUUUUCACACUAUUUGAACUUUUUUCGUAAGUUAUGAGUUAUGAAUCUACACGUAAGCUGUUUUAGGUUGUUUUGAAAGUUGAAGUGAAACUUAGACACUUUUGAACAUGUUUUAGGUUGGUUUGAAACUAACUUUUAAACACAUUUGAUUGACAUGUUGGGUCUUGAAGUACUUUUUUCACACUUUUUGAAAUUUUGGUAGGUUGUGAGUUACAAACUUACACUUAAGCAUUACUUGGUGGUUUUGAAAAUUCAAGUGAUACUUACACACGUUUUGAUUAGAUUUUAGGUUAGAUUGAUUUGUUGCACUUGAUGGUCAUUUUUGGUCUUGAAAUGCUUUUUUCAACCUUUUUGGUAGAUUAUGAGUUACGAACUUACACUUGGGAUUUGCUAGGUCAUUUUUAAAACUCAAGUAAUACCUAGCCCCGUUUUGAUCAUGUUUUAGGUUGGUUUGAUCUAAGUUUGUUGCACUUGCACACUUGGUUGCCAUUUUGGGUCUCGUAGUGCUUUUUUCACACUAUUUGAACUUUUUUCGUAAGUUAUGAGUUAUGAAUCUACACGUAAGCUGUUUUAGGUCGUUUUGAAAGUUGAAGUGAAACUUAGACACGUUUUGAACUCGUUUUAGAUUGGUUUCAAACUAUGUUUUAAACACAUUUGAUUGACAUGCUGGGUCUUGAAGUACUUUUUUCACACAUAUUGAAAUUUUGGUAGGUUGUGAGUUACAAACUUACACUUAAGCAUUGCUUGGUAGUUUUGAAUAUUCAAGUGAUACUUACACACGUUUUGAAUACAUUUUAGGUUAGAUUGAGUUGGUUGCACUUGGUUGUCAUUUUUUGUCUUGAUAUGCUUUUUUCAACCUUUUUGGUAGAUUAUGAGUUACGAACUUACACUUAGGAUUUGCUUGGUCGUUUUGAAAACUCAAGUAAUACAUAGACACGUUUUGAGCACGUUUUAGGUUGUUUGCACUAAGUUUGUUGCACUUACACACUUGGUUGCCAUUUUGGGUCUUGUAGUGCUUUUUUCACAAUAUUUGAAAUUUUUUCGUAGGUUUUGAGUAAUGAACCUACACUAAGCUUUUUAGGUCGUUUUGAAAGUUCAAGUGAUACUUAGACACGUUUUGAACUCGUUUUAGGUUGGUUUGAAACUAAGUUUUAAACACAUUUGAUUGACAUGUUGGGUCUUGAAGUACUUUUUUCACACUUUUUGAAAUUUUGGUAGGUUGUGAGUUACAAACUUACACUUAAGCAUUGCUGGUCGUUUUGAAAAUUCAAGUGAUAGUUACACACGUUUUGAAUACAUUUUAGGUUAGAUUGAGUUUGUUGCACUUGGUUGUCAUUUUUGCUCUUGAAAUGCUUUUUUUCAAACUUUUUGGUAGAUUAUGAGUUACGAACUUACACUUAGGAUUUGCUAGGUCGUUUUGAAAACUCAAGUAAUAGCUAGACACGUUUUGAGCACGUUUUGGUUGGUUUGAACUAAGUUCGUUGCAUUUACACACUUGGUUGCCAUUUUGGGUCUUGUAGUUUUUUUUCAAAAAUUUUGAACUUUUUGCUAGGUUAUGACUUAUGAACUUGUAUUGAAUAUUUGUUAGGUCGUUUUGAUAAUUCAAGUGAUACUUAGAAAAUGCAACCGAGCUUAAACAAUUCCGCUCAUUUUUCUAAAAAUUUUAGUUUAACCUAUUUAAUAAAAUUCGAUGGAAAUUCUUGUUUUCUUUUUGUAGGAAUAAAAGGAAAUGAAAUAUAACCAAACUUGGGAUCUUUGCAAGCAAUCUUCCAUGAAGAAACUUGGCUACAAGUGGUUUGGGGUUUGGGUUUUUAGGGCUUAGGGCUUUUUGGGCUUAUGACUUAGGGCUUUUAGCGCUUUUAGGGCUUUUAGGGCUUAUGGCUUUAGGGUUUAGGGUAUAGGGUUUAGGGGUUUAGGGUUUAGGGUUUAGGGCGCUUAGGCUUUUAGGGAUUUUAGGGCGCUUAGGGCUUUUAGGUUUUAGGGCUUAGGGCUUUUAGGGAUUAUGGCUUAGGGCUUUUAGGGCUUAGCGCUUUUAGGGCUUAGGGCUUAGAGCUUAGGGCUUUAAGGGCUUUAAGGGUAUUUAGGGAUAAGGGAUUUUAGGGCUUUUAGGACAUUUAGGGCUUUUGGAGCUUUUAGGGCUUUUAGGGCUUAGGGCCUUUGGCUUAGGGCUUAGGGAUUAGGGCUUGGGCUUUUAAGGCUCGGGCUUUGGGCUCUUUGGCUUUUAGGGCUUUUAGUGCUCUUAGGGCUUUUUGGGCGCUUAGGGCUUUUAGGGAUUAGGGCUGAUAUUUUAAUACUUUUUUCUCAUUCAGUUAAGUUGUUUAUAAUGUGUUUGAUAUUAUAUUUAUAAAUGAUUAAAUUAGUGGAUGUUACUCCCUAAAUAUUAAUGGACAACAAAUUUAUUUAUAAACAUGUUUUAGGUUAAAUAUUUGUUAUAAUUAUAAUACUAGAAUAUUUUAUGAUUUAUAAUAAACUAGGGAAGGUUAAACACAAAUAUUGGAGAAAUAUAAUAUUAAAAUAAAUAAAUUAUUAAAACUAAAAAAUUAUAAGUAUAUAAUUUUUUUUCAAUUUAUUGUUAUCUUACAAAUACUAGUAGACUAUAAAAUUUUUUUUAGAGCAAUGGUCAAAAAUAGAAAAUUUCACAAAAAUAUUAUAUAUAGCUCAAUUUGAUUUUCAUUUUUCUAAAAUUUAAAAAAUUCACGUUAAUACAUUAAAAAAAGCAUAAAUUAUUCUGUGUAAAUAAGAGUUGGUAAAUUGCUACAUUAUUAUUUAAUUUAUAAUGUCAUUUACAUUGCAUUGUAAUUUACAACAUCCUUUUUUAUUUAUUUUUAUAAAUGGUAUGGGUGAGUACUCAGUGCGGUUUAAUGGAAAGAUUAAUUAUAAUAAAGCUUUAGCCAGCUGUCUUAGUUUGAAACUUAAUGGCGUCAACGGCAUCCAACGGCUACAUUUUUAGGUUUACUUACUUCAUUAUUUAACUUUACAGAUAACCUCCAUCGCAAACCAAUUUUCUCCAGAAUUUUCUUUUUCCGCCUCAGUGCACGCUGGUCUAACCUCUGAACCCUAAUACUGAUUUUCCUUUUCCUUUUCCUUUUCUUCUUCUCAUUAUCAGACGUUUGUGAAUUCUACGGCCUUUGUGAUUCAGGUGAUGCGGCUUUCUAAAUUCUGGGCACUAUCUUUCUACAUCGUUUUUGCUUCGUGUCUUUUUUUUUUUUUUACUGUUUUUCGCUAAAUGUCAAAUUUAGGGCUCGUUUGACAAGCUUUUGAUGCGUAUUGUUUCCUAAUCACUUUUGAUUACAUAGUAUUGGCAAUUGAUUCAGAUUAAAUGUUUGUUUCUUGAAUUCGAAGUGUUCAAUUUUUAUAAUUUCUGCAGCGUUUUUAUCUAGAUGAUUUUUUUUUAAUAAAUGAUAUUUACUGUUAAUUUCUGGCGAAUUUAAACGAGAUAAUGAGUAGAGGUAUUAUAUUCUAGUCUCUUUUAGUGACAAAGGAUUGGGAGUUGCUUCAGAUUUAAUGUUUUUUCCUUGAAUUCGAGAUCCUGGAAUUGUUUUCAAAUACACUUACCGACUUACGUUUAUUUUAAUUAGACAGUAACUGGUGUGUACCAGGAUCGGUUUUCUAUUUCAAUUCUUCUCUGAGAGUUGGGAUUUACUAUCGUUUUAUGACGAAGCUUCUCAUAUAUUUUAAACUUUGAUUACUACUUUUUCAGGUGAGGAAAUUUUUUGUCUGUAUGGACAUCCUAAUGAAACAUGGGAAAUGGUUCUUCCAGUAGGCAGAGGUUCCACCGGAGCUUCUAGAGCCUGCACUUGGAAUUAAUUUUGCAACAGAUGGCAUGGACAGAAAAUAUUGGCGACCUCUUGUUGCUGUACAUGGUGAUUCCUGUUUGCUCUCUGUGGCUUUCUAUUUUGGAGCAAGACUUGACCGAAGCAAAAGGUACAACUGUUCCACUUUUGAAUUUUUGCUUGUGAGCUUUAAGUUAGGUUCUGUUAAAUGCAAUUCUUUUUAAUCGUGCAUUUAUGUGAACUUUUAUAGGUAAUGUCAUUUUACUUUUCUAAUGUUUCUUUUGGCAUCAUUACCAAAUACUCUUUCUGACAUGUAGGUGAUAAGUUCAUAACCAACUUACACAAUCACACAACUUCCUUGUGUUUCCCAGUUUAUUAAGGUUGAUUUACCUUCAAUAACAUUGUUACUGUCUGAGUAAUUGUGGUUUUAGGAGGAUGAAGAACUACAUAACUGUUUAUUCGAUAUGAUUACAUAAUCUUCUUUUAUGUGAAGGUGUGCACUAACUUUAUCCAUCUUACUAAUCAUAUAAUGACAGAACACUUUUCUAAAAGGUCUUUCCAGCAGAUUUUUUCUUCUCUUUUCUUCUAGAAACUCUUUCCAGAACAUAUGUAUAUACACAUAUGUAUAUAUAUAUAUAUAUUUGCAAAAUCUCUUGUUUGAAAGGUCUAUUCAAAAGAAUUUUCUAAAAGUUUUCUCGAUUCAUAUUCUGUUUUCGAACACUUCCCAAAAUAUUUCUUGAACUUUUGUCUUUCUUUUUGUUUUUGUUUUUUUGUUCUAAAAAAGAAAACAUUUCACAAAACUUUCAGAAAACCGCAUGAGCAAGGGUGUUGGCCAGAACACACAGGGCAAUGAGCAACAAGGCAACAUGCACACGGUGCGUGGAAGAUGUUGUCUUGGUGCCAUCUUUGCACAUGUGGAAGCAAACUUUCAAAUGUCAUUUACAAAACAUUUAGCAAACUUUUUUUUUCUUCCUCUUUUCUUCUAGAAACUCUUUUCAGAACAUAUGUAUAUAUGUGUGUUUAUAUACAUAGAUAUUUGCAAAAUCUCUUGUUUGAAAGGUCUAUUCAAAAGAAUUUUCUAAAAGUUUUCUCGAUUCAUAUUCUGUUUUCAAACUCUUUCCAAAAUAUUUCGUGAACUUUUGUCUUCCUUUUUGUUUUUUUUUUUGUUCUAAAAAAGAAAACAUUUCACAAAACUUUCAAAAAACCGCAUGAGCAAGGGUGUUGGCCACAACACACAUGGCAAUGAGCAACAAGGCAACAUGCACACGGUGCGCGGAAGAUGUUGUCUUGGUGCCAUCUUUGCACAUGUGGAAGCAAACUUUCAAAUGUCAUUUACAAAACAUCAUUGCAAACUUUUUUUUUCUUCCUCUUUUUUCUAGAAACUCUUUUCAGAACAUAUGUAUAUAUGUGUGUUUAUAUACAUAGAUAUUUGCAAAAUUUCUUGUUUGAAAGGUCUAUUCAAAAGAAUUUUCUAAAAGUUUUCUCGAUUCAAAUUCUGUUUUCGAACUCUUUCCAAAAUAUUUCUUGAACUUUUGUCUUCCUUUUUGUUUUUGUUUUUUUUGUUCUAAAAAAGAAAACAUUUCACAAAACUUUCAGAAAACCGCAUGAGCAAGGGUGUUGGCCACAACACACAGGGCAAUGAGCAACAAGGCAACAUGCACACGGUGCGCGGAAGAUGUUGUCUUGGUGCCAUCUUUGCACAUGUGGAAGCAAACUUUCAAAUGUCAUUUACAAAACAUUUAGCAAACUUUUUUUCUUCCUCUUUUCUUCUAGAAACUCUUUUCAGAACAUAUGUAUAUAUGUGUGUUUAUAUACAUAGAUAUUUGCAAAAUCUCUUGUUUGAAAGGUCUAUUCAAAAGAAUUUUCUAAAAGUUUUCUCGAUUCAUAUUCUGUUUUCGAACUCUUUCCAAAAUAUUUCGUGAACUUUUGUCUUCCUUUUUGUUUUUGUUUUUUGUUCUAAAAAAGAAAACAUUUCACAAAACUUUCAAAAAACCGCAUGAGCAAGGGAGUUGGCCACAACACACAGGGCAAUGAGCAACAAGGCAACAUGCACACGGUGCGCGGAAGAUGUUGUCUUGGUGCCAUCUUUGCACAUGUGGAAGCAAACUUUCAAAUGUCAUUUACAAAACAUCAUUGCAAACUUUUUUUUUCUUCCUCUUUUCUUCUAGAAACUCUUUUCAGAACAUAUGUAUAUAUGUGUGUUUAUAUACAUAGAUAUUUGCAAAAUUUCUUUUUUGAAAGGUCUAAUCAAAAAAUUUUCUAAAAAGUUUUCUCGAUUCAAAUUCUGUUUUCGAACUCUUUCCAAAAUAUUUCUUGAACUUUUGUCUUCCUUUUUGUUUUUGUUUUUUUGUUCUAAAAAAGAAAACAUUUCACAAAACUUUCAGAAAACCGCAUGAGCAAGGGUGUUGGCCACAACACACAGGGCAAUGAGCAACAAGGCAACAUGCACACGGUGCGCGGAAGAUGUUGUCUUGGUGCCAUCUUUGCACAUGUGGAAGCAAACUUUCAAAUGUCAUUUACAAAACAUUUAGCAAACUUUUUUUCUUCCUCUUUUCUUCUAGAAACUCUUUUCAGAACAUAUGUAUAUAUGUGUGUUUAUAUACAUAGAUAUUUGCAAAAUCUCUUGUUUGAAAGGUCUAUUCAAAAGAAUUUUCUAAAAGUUUCUCGAUUCAUAUUCUGUUUUCGAACUCUUUCCAAAAUAUUUCGUGAACUUUUGUCUUCCUUUUUGUUUUUGUUUUUUGUUCCAAAAAAAGAAAACAUUUCACAAAACUUUCAAAAAACCGCAUGAGCAAGGGUGUUGGCCACAACACACAGGGCAAUGAGCAACAAGGCAACAUGCACACGGUGCGCGGAAGAUGUUGUCUUGGUGCCAUCUUUGCACAUGUGGAAGCAAACUUUCAAAUGUCAUUUACAAAACAUCAUUGCAAAUUUUUUUUUUCUUCCUCUUUUCUUCUAGAAACUCUUUUCAGAACAUAUGUAUAUAUGUGUGUUUAUAUACAUAGGUAUUUGCAAAAUUUCUUGUUUGAAUGGUCUAUUCAAAAGAAUUUUCUAAAAGUUUUCUCGAUUCAAAUUAUGUUUUCGAACUCUUUCCAAAAUAUUUCUUGAACUUUUGUCUUCCUUUUUGUUUUUGUUUUUUUGUUCUAAAAAAGAAAACAUUUCACAAAACUUUCAAAAAACCGCAUGAGCAAGGGUGUUGGCCACAACACACAGGGCAAUGAGCAACAAGGCAACAUGCACACGGUGCGCGGAAGAUGUUGUCUUGGUGCCAUCUUUGCACAUGUGGAAGCAAACUUUCAAAUGUCAUUUACAAAACAUUUAGCAAACUUUUUUUCUUCCUCUUUUCUUCUAGAAACUCUUUUCAGAACAUAUGUAUAUAUGUGUGUUUAUAUACAUAGAUAUUUGCAAAAUCUCUUGUUUGAAAGGUCUAUUCAAAAGAAUUUUCUAAAAGUUUUCUCGAUUCAUAUUCUGUUUUCGAACUCUUUCCAAAAUAUUUCGUGAACUUUUGUCUUCCUUUUUGUUUUUGUUUUUUGUUCUAAAAAAGAAAACAUUUCACAAAACUUUCAAAAAACCGCAUGAGCAAGGGUGUUGGCCACAACACACAGGGCAAUGAGCAACAAGGCAACAUGCACACGGUGCGCGGAAGAUGUUGUCUUGGUGCCAUCUUUGCACAUGUGGAAGCAAACUUUCAAGUGUCAUUUACAAAACAUCAUUGCAAACUUUUUUUUUCUUCCUCUUUUCUUCUAGAAACUCUUUUCAAAACAUAUGUAUAUAUGUGUGUUUAUAUACAUAGAUAUUUGCAAAAUUUCUUUUUUGAAAGGUCUAAUCAAAAGAAUUUUCUAAAAAGUUUUCUCGAUUCAAAUUCUGUUUUCGAACUCUUUCCAAAAUAUUUCUUGAACUUUUGUCUUCCUUUUUGUUUUUUUGUUCUAAAAAAGAAAACAUUUCACAAAACUUUCCGAAAACCGCAUGAGCAAGGGUGUUGGCCACAACACACAGGGCAAUGAGCAACAAGGCAACAUGCACACGGUGCGCGGAAGAUGUUGUCUUGGUGCCAUCUUUGCACAUGUGGAAGCAAACUUUCAAAUGUCAUUUACAAAACAUUUAGCAAACUUUUUUUCUUCCUCUUUUCUUCUAGAAACUCUUUUCAGAACAUAUGUAUAUAUGUGUGUUUAUAUACAUAGAUAUUUGCAAAAUCUCUUGUUUAAAGGUCUAUCCAAAAGCAUUUUCUAAAAGUUUUCUUACUUCGAAUCCUGUUCACAAUCUCUUUCCAAAAUAUUUCUUGAACUUUUGUUUUCCUUUUUUUCUUUCAAAAAGAAUACAUUUCAUAAAACUUUCGAAAAAUUGAAAGAGCAAGGGUGUUGGUCACUCACAGGUCAAAAUUUUAGUUUAAAAGGCCUAUUCAAUAACAUUUUCUAAAAGUUUUCUCACUUCAAAUUUUGUUUGUAAACUCGUUUCAGAAUAUUUUCUUGAACUUUUGUCGUCAACUUUUCUUUUAGAAUGAAAAAAGGCAUUUCAUUGAACUGUCAGUAUAUUCCACGAGCAAGACAGCAUACAAUCGAUGCAUGGAAGACACAGCCUUGGUGCCAUUGUGGCACAGGCGGUCAAACAAACUUUAAAAGGCCCCUUACAUAAUAUUGUCUUAAUUUUCUUCUCUUUUUUCUCUUUAAAAAACUCUUCCUGAAACACAUUUUCAAUUUAUAAAAAACACAUUUUCUCUCCAAUGUAGAUUUUGCAUAAUAAAUUCCCUGUUUAAAUAAUAUUUAAGAGUGAAUUUUCACUUUUGUGUAUUAUUCUCUAUCUUACAUGUAUCUCUUCAUAAUUAUUGGAUCUGUUCUAUAACUUUUCUUGUAAAUUUCUAUAUAAAUUGCAAUCGUUGUAUAACAUUUAUCAAUUUAGAAAAAUCUUAGGUGAUUAAAGGAAAUCUGAUUGUCCGAAAAUCACUUUUUUCUAUUUCAUCAUCACCCGACCCAAAUCCCCCUAUGGUUGCCGUUUGGCUUUUCUAUUUUUUUUUUCUUGAAAUUAAGUCUAUAAACACUCAUUCUAUCUUCAGUUAUAUGUUCCAGAAUUAUAUUAUAUUUUAGUUUGACUUCUUUGUAUAUUAUUAUUGGUACAUUUCUAUGUUUUAUUUGCACAAAAUUAUAUGUUUUUUUUAUAACGAUGGAUAACUUCUUUGUUACAAUGUCCAGUAAUUAUUUGACUAUCAUUAAUUUCUAAUUCUGAUUGAUUUUUCUAUGUUAGCACUGGACGCUUUACAUGUAUUUUUAUUUUACUUCCUUUGAUGGAUUUAUUUUUCUUUUAGUUUUUCUUUCAACAUUUUCUUCUUUCUUGAAUUUUUCUACUUUUGUAGAGUAGAUUGUCAAAUUUUAUAUCUUUGUUAUCUUGGUAGAAGUUAUUUAUUUUUGCCGUAUGGGUGAUUUUUUGUUUUUUUGCCCAUUCUAUUCUCUUGGUUCUCUUUUCUUUUUCGGUUCAUAUAUUUAUUAGUUUAGGGUUUGAGUUGAUACAACCCUCAAAAUUGAAGAAUAUAAAUUGAUAUUUAGCCAAAGAAUUUCUUUAGAUGUUUUGAGGCCAUGCGUGACAGUACUUGACCCUGGAUUUUAAACAGCAUCCAAGGUUUGUUGACUUUUGCCCUACCUAUAUCUGAAAAUUAAAAAACAAUCAAUUGUGUAAUAUUGGCUGAAAGAUUCUUCAUAUGCAAAUAAUGGACAAUUUUUCGGUUUCUACAUUGCCUCAAGGAUGCUAACAUCUUACUACAGUGGGUCUUGGACCGGACCUUUUCUGCAGAGCUCCUUCCAUUGCCUGCCAUGAACUUUUGCAUUUUUGACUUAUAGGCACUCGUUAUUUCUUUCUUGUGUUGUAUUCAAUAAAAAUAAAUACCAUGUUCCUUGACUAUAAUUUUGUGUAUACAAGGGUAACUGAAACAUUCAAAGCCUUGCUUUCGGCUUCCCUAGCUAAGCCACAAUGAUGUUUUUCUAUCCUUUGGGCACUGAGAAAAGGCAGAUGCUGCAAAUGAAGGGGGUACACCUUACAAGACAAUGUUUGAUGCUUUUGCAGGUAAAAUUUGUAUUAGUUGUUAUGUCUGGAAGUGAUUUUAUAUUAUUAUAGUUGGUUAUUAGUUGUUAUAAGUAAUUCUGAAGUGUGGCAAUGAUUAUUUAGAGUGAAAUCUGGGCUCUGACAUACAUGAUUUAUGUUCUUUGUAAUUCUGUGCUCAUUAUCUAUGUGAGUAUGCGUUCUUGUCCUCAAUCUUUUUGCAACCUUUUCAUGUCUUUCAUAUUUUGAACUAUACGCAUUUGUGGUUUUCGUAGAACUUUAACAGACACUCCUAUACUUCUACUGCGAAACCACUUUUAAUUAUCUAUUUGCAAUAUGCUGAAUGUUCUAUCAUUAGAAAGCUACUUUCAGGAGUAUUAUAGAUGAUGAAAUAAACAUUAAAAUCCUAACAUUGAAAAAUCAAGCAAAAGGAGGAGAAAAAGUUUGCCGAGGUGUAGUUUAUAGGAAUCAUCAUUUCCUCAAUUUGACGCAGGUAUAUGAGUGAUUUUUUACUUUUGUAUUCAUUUCUCUCUUUACCAUUAUGGGAUCUGUUUUAUGACCUUUUUCGUGAAUUUCUAUGUGAAUUGCAAUUGUUGUAUAACAUCCAAUAUGAUCUUAGAAAGAUAUGAGGUGAUUAAAGAAAACUUGAUGGUUGAAAAAUCAAUUUUUCUUGUUACAUCUCAUGUCGAUGCUCCAAAUUCGAGAACCAUUUAGUUUUUGUUCUCUUAGUUAAACCUUUAAAUUACAUUAUAUUCUUUAGUUUGACUUCUUGUAUAUUAUUAUUUUGGUACAUUUCGUAGUUUUAUUUGCACCAAAUACUUUCUUUCUUUCCUUGUUUGUUGCAUGGGGCGCUUUCAAGGUAUUUUUCCUUUACAUUAUGGAUUUAUUUUUUAGUUUACUUUUUCUUCGUACAUUUUAUUUUUCUUCUCAUCAUUUGCUACUUUAUUUUAAAGUAGAUAAUUAAAUUUUAUUUAUUUACUUUUGGUGGAUGAUUUUUUUCUUUUUCCGUUUAUGAUCUCUUGGUGUGGUUCAAAAUUUUUUUCUUUUUUUUUUUACUUGUGUAAUUUAUUUUUCUUGGAUGGUUCAAAAUAUUUUCACCAUUUUGCCGUCUGUUUAGUUUCUUUUUAUUACAUUCUUAUUUAUUAUUUUUCUAGCUUUGUUGUUUGGUUUGUCUAGUUUUUGAUGUAAGGUCACUUUUAAAAAUAGCAAAACAAAUUAAAAUAUUUAUAAUAAUAUGGCAAAAUUUUAGAUUUUCUCAAGAUAAAAUUUGAUAGACUUAUAUCAUAAUGUCUAUUAGAAGGGUAAGAAUUGUUGGAAUUUUUUGUCCUAAAACUCGUAGUUUGAUUAUAUUCUGUUUCAAUAAAGUUGUUAUUGAGAAAAAUAUUAUAAUCCUAAAUCCAAUAAAUCAAGUUCCAAGGCUAUUUUUUGAAUAAACUUGAACUUUAUGUGUAAACAUAAACGUAGAUCAAGUUUUGACAUAUAGCCUAAAUAGUCUAUAGUAUAUGAAUAAAGGUUGGACACCUUAUUUAGAGAAACUAUGGAUGCGACCCACUUUGUAGUACAAACGAUAUUUUGAAUUUAAGGAGCAAGAUGUAAUAUUGGGGUACAUAUAGCCUAAAUAAGGUUUUAGGAUUUAAGGCUUUUAGCGCUUAGCGCUUUUAGGGCUUGGGCUUUGAACAGCUUGUUGACUACCCAGUUUCAGUUUUAACUGAGAAAUAUGGAACACAUUGUGGAUACUGGCUUCCGGCGGUAACAUCAAUCUGUACGCAACUGCUCCUAUUUCUUCAGUAAUUUUGUAGGGUCCGUAAUAUUUAGGUGCUAACUUUUCACACUUCUUCCGAGCCAAGGAGUGUUGCCGGUAAGGUCUCAAUUUCAAGUAGACUUCAUCUCCUACCUUAAAUGUUAACUCUCAUCUAUUUCGAUCAGCCAUUUUCUUCAUCCUGUUCUGGGCUACACACAGGUGUUCUUUUAAGGCAUUGAUGGCUAAGUCACGUUCCUUCAGCAGCGUGUCAACCUCAUUAUUAGGAGUUUUCUUGUAACCAUAGGAUAACAGGGGAGGAGGCGGUCUGCGGUAUACCGUCUGGAAAGGGGUCAUUUUGGUGGAUGCAUGGAAGGUGGUAUUAUACCACAAUUCUGCCCAUAGAAUCAGUUUAUCCCGUUUUUUUUGGUUGUUCAUUACAGAAACAUCGCAGAUAAGUUUCGAGACAUCUAUUUACCCUUUUUGUCUGCCCAUCAGUUUGUGACUGAAACGCGGUACUCCUCUUUAGAAUAGUUCCCAUAGUUGCAAACAGUUCCUUCCAAAAAUUACUAAGAAAGAUUUUAUCCCGAUCUGUGAUAAUCGACAAAAUUACUUAGGAUAAUCGCCUAGUAGGUCUUUAGAAUAGUUCCCAUCAGCCGUGCUUGCUUACUAUUUUGUCGAUGAAUAUGGAAGCAACUUGCUUGGCUGAAAACGGAUGUCUCAAUGAUAUAAAGUAAGAAUACUUACUCAGCCGAUCAACUACCACCAUGAUCACAUUAACCCCUCCAGCUAGUGGCAACCCCUCAAUAAAGUCCAUGGUCCAAUCUUCUAAGAUUCUGUCAGGAAUUGGAAUUGGUUGAAGUACCCCAGCUGGUUUGGUUGCUUCGUAUUUGUUUCUCUGGCAGAUCUCGCAUUGUUCCACAUAUUUCUUUAUUUCAGCCUUCAUACCCCUCCAAUAUAGUUCUCCACUGACCCUCUUGUAAGUUCUUAAAAAUCCAGAAUGUCCCCGAGGAUAGAAUCGUGGAAAGUAUGUAGGAUCUUGGGUAUAAGUGUAGAAGUUUGAGAUACUACCAUUCUCCCCUUAUAGAGCAAUCUUCCUUUUUCCACUUGAAACUUGCUUCCUUCUGCAUUUUUCUUCAGAUUUUCCAUAAUUUUCUUAAGUUCAGCAUCAUUCUCAACUUCCUGCUCGAUUAGUUUCACAUCAAUGAUUCCAGUAGUUGUCAAGCUGUGCAGCUCCACCGGUUGCUCCAUUCUAGAUAGGGCGUCCGCUGCCUUGUUCUGAAGUCUGGGUUGAUAUAAAAUCUCGAAAUCAUAUCCAAGGAGCUUUGUCAACCAUUUCUGGAAUUGGGGUUGUACCUCUCUCUGUUCAAGCAAGAAUUUAAGAGCCUUUUGAUCUGAAAGUAUGGUGAACUUCCUGCCCAGCAAAUAAUGCCUCCAUUUCUGAACUGAUAGAACUACAGCCAUCAACUCUCUUUCAUAGAUGGAUUUGUUUUGAGCCCUUGUGGAUAACUUCUGACUGAAAAAGGCAAUCGGGUGGCCAUUUUGAGAGAUCACCGCUCCUAACCCUACGCCAGAUGCAUCAGUUUCGAUAAUAAAGGGAAUUUUCCAAUCUGGUAAUGCCAACACUGGUAGAGUAGUCAUUGCUAGCUUCAAAUUUUCGAAGGCAGUAUUUGCUUCUUCAUUCCACUUAAAAGCAUUCUUCUGUAAUAACUUGGUUAGCGGUGCAGCGAUCUCUCCAUAACCCUUGACAAACCUCCUAUAAUAUCCUGUUAGUCCUAAGAAGCCCCGCAGACCAGAUAUAUUCGUUGGUGGUGGCCAAUUAAUCAUCUUCUUGAUCUUAUCCUCAUCUGCCUCAACUCCUCUUUUGGAUAUCAUAUGUCCCAAGUACUGUAUUUGAGAAUGGGCUAUAACGCUUUUUUUUUUUUUGUUAGCAAACAGCUGCUUAUCCUUAAAAACAUUGAAUACCAUGCCCAAAUCCUUUGCGUGUUCAUCUAUAUCCGCUAAACCAGUAUAUCAUCAAAGAAACCAAAAGCGCCGAAGGAAAGGUUUAAAUACCGGUUCAUCAAAGAUUAGAAGGUUGCCGGAGCAUUCGUGAGACCAAACGGCAUUACUAGAAACUCAUAGUGCCCUUCAUGUGUGCAGAACGCAGUUUUCUCCACAUCUUCCUCUUUCAUUCUAAUCUGGUGAUAACCAGAUUUCAGAUCUAAUUUCGAGAAAAUCGUUGCCCCAUUCAGCUCAUCUAAUAAUUCCUCUAUCACAGGAAUUGGGAAGUUAUCCGAUACUGUCGCCUGAUUUAACUUGCGGUAAUCGACACAAAAUCGCAAUCCACCAUCUUUUUUCUUCACUAACAACACCGGGCUGGAGUAAGGGCUAUGACUAGGGCGAAUAACCCCGGCUUGAAGCAUCUCGACCACCAGUUUUUCUAUUUCUUCUUUCUGCACAUGACCGUAUUUGUAAGGUCUUACGUUGAUAGGUUUAUGGUCAGGUAGGGUUAAUAUUCGAUGAUCAAUAGCUCUUUUUGGAGGUAAUUUCUUAGGUGUCUCAAAUAUCUCCGCAUAAUACUUGAGCAGGGAUCGGAUCAUAGGUAUUUCCUCCUCAUCUCCUUUUAAUCUUGUCCCCAUUUCAUAUUCAUUCUCUACUUCCAUCUCAUAAUUCUGGAAUUCUAAGAGGAAGCCUUGAUCUUCUAUAUCCCACGUUUUUUCCAAUGUCUUCAAAGAACAUUCAGGUUUCACUAAGGAUGGAUCUCCUCUUAACACGAUUUGCUUGUCUUUUGCCCAAAAGGUCAUGGUUAAUGAUGGCCAAUGUACCUUCAUUGUGCCGGUGGUAUCUAGCCAUUGCAUCCCUAAAAUCACGUCAAUAUUUCCUAGUUCCACCACUAGAAAAUCAGUUAUAACUGUCGUUUCUUUCAAUCUCAGUUCCACCUUUCUGCAAAUACCUUUCCCUUUACAGCGGGUCCCGUCUCCAAUAGUCACUCCAAAUUGUGUACCGGGUUCAAUGUUCAACCCUCCUACCAUUGCCACUGCUUCAUGGAUGAAGUUGUUCGUAGCUCCACUGUCGAUGAGAAUCACCACCUCCCUUCCUUUUACAUGCCCCUUCAGUUUCAUUGUCCCUUUGGAUGUUAACCCCGUGAGUGUCUUCAAUUCAAUUUCGGUGGUUUCAGCAACAACUAACUGGUUCAGCUCCAUUACUUCUUCGGUCUCUUCCAUUUUGACUUCCUCUCCGCCACUCUCUUCUUCGUUAAGUAUAAAUAACAUUAAUUCCCUUUUCUCUCUCAUCUUGCAUCGGUGUCCCGGUGAGUACUUCUCAUUGCAUCUAAAACACAAACCCUUGUCCAAUCUUGCUCUGAAUUCCGUGUCCGAGAGUCUUUUAACUGGAGGUUCAUUUUUCUGGUAGUUUCCUUUAAUGGGAAAAGUGACUUGCUUCAUGGGGAACUCAGUCUUCUUUGGUGAACUUUUAUCUUGACUGCUUUGUCCCUUGCUUGAGCCUCCUCCUUCCCUAGUCACACUGUUUACUCAUUCUGCCUUGGCUAAUUUCAAGGCUAGGUUUCUGUCACUUACCAGUUGUGCGUCCUUCAUACAUUCCUCUAAGGUUUGAGGAUGUCUACUAAUAACUUCUGCUUGAAGAGCCGAUUCUAAACCUGUCACGAAUGCAUCUAAGAGCACGCUUUCAGCCAUGUGCGGUAGUGGUGCAGAAUAUUGUACAAAUUUCUUGACAUAAUCAUUAUAGGAUCCAUCUUGUUCUAUUCGAAUCAGCCUUGCACCUAAGCUCUUCUGCCCAGAAUCUCGAAAAAAUUCAAACAUCCUUACCUUCAAAUCUUCCCAUCCUUCCACCUUCUUUCUAUGGUUACUCCAACGGUACCAAUCGAUUUCAUCUUGUCCAAAACUAACCACUGCUACUUUCACUUUUUCUGCUUCCGGUAGGCUAUUAAUUUCGAAAAAAUGCUCAGCUCUAAACACCCAUGACUCAGGAUUUUCCCGGUGAAAAUCGGCAUUUCCAGUUUCUUAUAUUUGCUUCGGUCGACAGUUACUACAUUGUUUUCCCCUGGAUUGUCGGCUUCUUCCCAUUUUCCUUUUAACUUCAUGACUGAUCCAUCAGAAGUUCCGGAUUCAUCUCGCCUUUUGUAGCUGCUGUUUUCUUUCAUUUCAUCAGCCAGUCUAUCCAUGGAUUUCUUCAUUUCCAGAAUCAUUUCCUUCAAUCCCAGUAUUUCUUUCUCUGUUCCAGCUGUUCUUUCUUCUAUUUGCCUUUGCGCCAUCAGUCGCGUCACCACCCCCAACGUUUGGGCUCUGAUACCAGUUGUAGAGACUCCACAAAUAAAAUACUAAAUUACCCAAACAGUUGGCAAACAGAGACAGCACUCUGUAGAUCUUUAUUUAUAUAUAAAUGCCAAAAGAUACAGUAGAAGGAAAUAUAAAAGAAAGCAAUAAAGAUGAUAACAUCAUGUCAAACCUCCCCACGAAAAGAUAGUAGUCCUUCCUAGACCUAGCAGCCUCUAUAGACCAAAUGAAGACAAGAAGUUAACCUAGCCCCCAAUCCCGAUAAGGCCUUAUUUAUAACUCUUUUCUCAUUCUUCCCCGUGGGACCCACUCUCAUGUUCUUUUCCUAAUAUUCUCCCUUUUCUGCUGCCUGAGCUUUUACGUUUUUACCCCUCCUUUUGUAUGUAUGGAUAAUAGGGGGCCUUACAAAUUUCUUCCAACACUAUGAAACAUUUAUGUUAUAGUUUUAUUAUUGUUAAACAUCAUUGUAAUUUCCAAACACAACUCUGCCAAAGUUCCCAAGAUAGUUCUAUAGCAAUGUUCCACUGCUAUCUUGCAAGUGAUGUGGAACUCCUUUGCUUUUUUGAAUAGUAAGCUGGCCUUCCUCUUUUGUUAUGCUUUGUUUUAUUCUUAAUACUUGCUUUUAUCUUCGCCUAUUUCAUUCCUAGUUGAUAUAUUACAUAGUCCUCUUAAAUCUACAUUCUUUUUCUGUUUUAUGAUUCACUUGAGUUUAAUGACUAACUUUGGCGAAAUAAUGUUUAACUAUAUUAGAUGUUUUGCAUCUAAACCUCAAUUGAAAAGGUUUGUUACCUGUAUCAUUAUAAGGUUUCCAUGAUUUGUUACCUGUAUCAUUAAAAAUAUUGGGUCGGGUGCAUUUGCUUACACACCAUUCCAUGGCCAGCAGCAGAGGUUGUACUCUACGAUUCAAUUCCUUUCCUAAUCACAAUUUUGAUAGAUUUGUUUCUGAAAAACAAUAUUUAACUUCCUAUUUUUUUGUUUUUUGAUAAAUCUAUUAGUAUAUUUGAUGUAAACUAUAGCUAGUUAGUUAGUAAAAAUCCCUAACUAAUUAGAAAUACAGCUGUAACUAACUUCCUAAAACAGUCUUGUAACUAACUAAAUAAAACAACCUUGUAACUAACUUGUAACUAACCUUGAGAUAUCAAUAUAUAACAGUCUCCUAGCCUGAAAUAUGGCAGAGAAUUCUUUUGAAAAAUCAAUCCAACUUGAAUUACAUCAAAUUGGUAUCAGAGCAGCCCCGAUUCUUGGACGGAAUGGCUGGCCGAAGAGUUAACAACCCUGCCACGGGGGAAAACCGUGUGCAAGAAGCGGCGGAGGAAAUCACCGUCCUCUCUCCAAAGACAUCAACAGUUCGCUUGCUGGCUGUUGAAGAAUCUUUGGGAGAUCUCCACAACAAAUUUGAUAGGUUGAUGGAAAGUGUCGAACUGUUAAACCGAAGAGGAGAAUUCCCACAGCCACCACCACGGAAUGAAAUUAACUUCCAAAACGACCAACGUUUUGGUGAAGCAAGAGGCCGGCGAGCAAGGGGAUACAUUAGAAACAUGAACAACCCACGAGGACUUCAAAGAAGGAGACCCGGUUACGCUAUACAGCAACAACUUGACGAAGACUUUCAAGAAGAUCAAGAAGCUUGGCAAGAAACCCAAGAAGAUGAUUCUUCAAGCGGGGAUGAACAAGGAAACAUGUGGAACUUCAAUGAUGAAGCACGAGCAGGAAGAAAUAACCGAAGAAUUGAGGCCAGAAGAGGAGAAUACCACGAUUAUAAGAUGAAGAUUGACCUUCCCAUGUAUGAUGGCAAACGAAACAUAGAAGCAUUCUCGGACUGGAUAAAGAGUACUGAAAACUUCUUCAACUACAUGGAUACGCCUGAACGCAAGAAAGUCCACCUGGUAGCCUUAAAAUUAAGGGCUGGUGCAUCAGCUUGGUAGGAUCAGUUAGAAAUCAAUAGACAAAGAUGCGGGAAACAACCGGUUCGCUCAUGGGAAAAGAUGAAAAAAUUGCUGAAGGCAAGAUUCUUACCACCAAACUACGAACAAACUUUAUACAAUCAGUACCAAAACUGCCGCCAAGGUGUCCGGACAGUAGCUGAGUACAUUGAAGAAUUCCACCGCCUGAGUGCAAGAACAAACCUAAGCGAAAAUGAACAGCACCAGGUUGCAAGAUUUGUGGGAGGCCUUCGAUUCGACAUCAAGGAAAAGGUCAGACUACAACCAUUCCGUUUCCUAUCUGAAGCAAUAUCAUUUGCAGAAACGGUAGAGGAGAUGAUUGCAAUCCGAUCCAAGAAUCUAAAUAGAAGAUCAGCAUGGGAAACAAAUUCGACAAAAAGCAAAACAAACGACCAACCUUCAACCUCAACAAAAGCAAAAGGGAAAGAGAUUGAUAAUCAAGAAGUAGCCGUUGAAAGAAAGAAAGAACAGACGUUCAAGCCUAGUGGUCAGAACAGCUACUCCGCCCGUCAUUAGGAAAAUGCUUCCGAUGUGGCCAAACUGGCCACCUGUCCAACAACUGUCCGCAAAGAAAAACCAUUGCAAUAGCCGAAGAAGGAGGACAGACAAGUGAAGACAGUAUAGAAGCAGAGGAAGAAACUGAACUGAUUGAAGCAGAUGAUGGGGAAAGGGUCUCUUGUGUUAUCCAACGGUUACUAAUUACGCCCAAGGAAGAAAAGAACCUGCAACGCCACUGUCUUUUCAAGACAAGAUGCACCAUAAACGGAAGAGUAUGUGAGGUAAUCAUAGACAGCGGCAGCAGCGAAAACUUCGUAGCAAAGAAAUUAGUAACAGUCUUGAAUCUAAAGGCUGAAGCACAUAUGAGUUUCAAUGGAUGGGAAGAAAGGUAGUCUUACUCCCUAUAACGAAAAAGAUUAACGAAGGGUUAAGAGGUGAGAAACAGUUAUUCAUCACUGUUAGUGGGAAAAACAUGCUUAAAGAAAGGGAAGAAGACAUCCUAGGACUGGUUGUUAUUGAAAAAACCAAAGAAAAACAGGUUGAAGACAUAGAACCCAAAUUACAGCAGCUCCUUCAUGAGUUCCCUCAUAUAAAGGAAGAACCGAAGGGACUCCCACCCCUUCGAGAUAUACAGUACCACGUAGACUUGAUUCCGGGAGCAUCACUACCAAAUUUGGCUCACUAUAGGAUGAGCCCCCAGGAGUACAAAAUACUUCAUGAUCAUAUUGAGGAAUUACUAAAGAAAGGGCACAUCAAACCUAGCCUCAGCCCGUGUGCAGUACCAGCACUUCUCACGCCAAAGAAAGAUGGAAGCUGGAGAAUGUGCGUUGACAGCAGAGCCAUCAACCGCAUCACGGUAAAGUAUAGAUUUCCCAUUCCAAGGAUUAGUGACCUGCUAGAUCAACUCGGUAAAGCCAGUAUCUUUUCGAAAAUUGACUUGAAAAGUGGCUAUCAUCAAAUACGGGUAAGACCUGGCGACGAAUGGAAGACAGCCCUCAAGACAAACGAAGGAUUAUUUGAAUGGAUGGUCAUGCCAUUCGGCCUUUCUAAUGCACCCAGCACCUUCAUGAGAUUGAUGAACCAGGUACUUCACCCAUUUCUCAACAAAUUCAUAGUAGUUUACUUCGAUGACAUACUUGUUUACAGCACAAACAAUGAUGAGCAUUUACUACACCUAAGGAAGCUGUUUCAAGUCUUAACAGAGGCGGAACUCUACAUAAAUACUAAGAAAAGCAUGUUUAUGAAAAAAGAAAUUGCAUUCCUCGGCUUUAUAAUCAAACAAGGAAGCAUAAGCAUGGAACCAAAGAAAAUCGAAGCCAUCCAUACAUGGCCGACUCCUGCCUCCAUUAAAGAAAUACAAGCCUUCCUCGGCCUGGCUUCGUUUUACAGGAAAUUCAUCAGAAAUUUCAGCUCUUUAGCCGCACCACUAACUGACUGUCUAAAGAAAGGAAACUUCAAAUGGACCCCAUUACAACAAGAAAGCUUUGAAGAUAUCAAAAAGAAGCUCACAUCCAGCCCUAUCCUUAAAUUACCAGAUUUCUCUUCACCUUUUGAAGUAGCAGUUGAUGCAUGCUGUACAGGGAUUGGAGCUGUCCUAGUACAACAAGGACAUCCUAUCGAAUACUUCAGUGAAAAACUCAGCACCGCAAGACAGACCUGGAGCACAUACGAACAAGAGCUGUAUGCCCUCGUCCGAGCACUAGAACAAUGGGAACACUACCUGAUCUCUAAAGAAUUUGUACUCCUAACUGACCAUUUCUCACUAAAAUACUUUCAAGCUCAAAAGAAUAUCAGUAGGAUGCAGCACGCUGGAUAUCCUUCCUCCAAAGGUUUGACUUCGUGAUCAAACACCAAUCAGGCAAAGAGAACAAGGUGGCCGAUGCUCUAAGCAGAAAAGGCUCCCUACUCACAAUACUGUCCUCGGAAAUCAUAGCAUUCAAACAUUUACCCGACUUAUACGAAGGUGAUACUGACUUCAAGGAUAUCUGGUACAAAUGCUCCAACUUCUUAGACGCUGAUGACUACCACAUUGUUGAAGGAUAUCUAUUUAAAGGAGAACAAUUAUGCAUCCCGCACACCUCACUACGUGAAGCCUUAAUAAAGGAAGCACAUUCUGGAGGGCUAGCUGGACAUUUCGGACAGAACAAGACAUUGGAGAUCACUUCCAAACGAUACUACUGGCCGCAAAUAAGAAAAGACUCCAAUAAUUUCGUAAAAAGAUGCCCCAUCUGCCAAAGAACCAAAGGCUCCAGCACGAAUCCAGGAUUAUACUCGCCACUACCCAUCCCGACCUCAAUUUGGGAAGAUUUAUCAAUUGACUUCGUGAUUGGAUUACCAAAAACACAAAGACAAUUUGACUCAAUAAUGGUCAUAGUGGACAGAUUCAGCAAAAUGACACAUUUCGUAGCAUGCAAAAAGACAAAUGAUGCAAUCUACAUAGCCAACCUCUUCUUUAAAGAAGUAGUACGACUACAUGGAGUACCUAAAAGCAUAGUAUCAGACAGAGAUGUCAAGUUCCUGAGUCACUUUUGGCGAACACUGUGGAAGAAGUUUGACACAACACUGAAAUUCAGCACCACAGCCCACCCACAGACAGAUGGACAAACUGAAGUAACAAACAGGACCCUCGGUAAUCUGCUACGCUGCCUUAGCGGGUCAAAACCAAAACAAUGGGAUCUAGCAUUGGCUCAAGCUGAAUUCGCCUUCAAUAAUAUGAAGAACAGAUCAACAGGAAAGUCCCCCUUCGAAGUAGUUUAUACCAAACUACCACGAUUAACCUUUGAUCUCACUACACUCCCCACAACCGUGGAUCUCAACAACGAAGCAGAAUGCAUGGCAGAAAAUAUCAAAAAACUACCCAAGGAAGUCCAUGAUCAUCUUAUACAGACAACAGACUCCUACAAAAAGGCAGCAGAUAAAAAAGAAGACAAGCCCACUUCAAUAAAGGAGACCUAGUAAUGGUACACCUGAAAAAGAGCAGAUUUCCUACUGGCACCUACAACAAGCUGAAAGACAGACAAAUUGGGUCAUUCCCUAUAUUAGAGAAAUACGGAGAUAAUGCCUUCAAGAUCGAUCUACCACAAGACAUACACAUACACCCAGUCUUCAAUGUUGCUGAUCUAAAGCCAUACCAUGCACCAGAUCGUUUCAGGCUUGCUGACUGAUGGACCCUGGGACAAGUCCAUCCUUAGGGGGUGGAAUGAUGUAAACUAUAGCUAGUUAGUUAGUAAAAAUCCCUAACUAAUUAGAAAUACAGCUGUAACUAACUUUCUAAAACAGUCUUGUAACUAACUAAAUAAAACAACCUUUUAACUAACUAAAUAAAACAACCUUGUAACUAACCUUGAGAUAUCAAUAUAUAACAGUCUCCUAGCCUGAAAUAUGGCAGAGAAUUCUUUUGAAAAAUCAAUCCAACUUGAAUUACAUCAAUAUUGGUAAAAUGGUCUAUCGAUAAUGAAAAUCUAUAACUAAUACACAAGUGAUGGACUAACAAUUUAAAAUAUCAUCGUAUUUAUAAAUCACGUGGUUUUGUGACAUAUUUGCUAAUGCCAUAGAAACCUAAAUUAUAUAUACAUUUUAGGUUAGUCACGAUUUUGAGUCUAGAGUUUAGACUUUAGAGAAGCGUCGUAAAUGAACUCUUUAAUCUUUCAGGCCUUUGCGUCUGGAUCUAUAAUACAAUUGUUAAUUUCCUCUAUUCGUGAACAAAUUUAACUAUAUGUUAGUGAAUAAUCGCAUAAAUCUCAUUGUCGUUUCUUACCGUUCACAUUUUUACUUUUGAAAAUACUUUUGUUAUCAACUUAUCUAUGACAAUUAUCUUUAAACGAAAGAUUCUUUUUAAGUCGUCAUGUAUGAAACGAAGUGAUCUUUUCGUUCAUAUUCUUAACAGGUCGGUCUCUCUCCUGCUAUUCAAAAUCUUAGUACUGCCACAUCGAUGAAGAUGACCAAGGUUUUCCAAGCGUUUCUCAUGCUCCAACCCCAACUCGUAGACCUUAUCCACGAGAUGCAGCCAGAUUGUAUCGUUUCUGACGUCUUUUACCCAUGGACGAGUGAUGUGGCAGCCGAGCUCAGAAUCCCACGGCUUGCCUUCAACGGUUCAAGCUUCUUCAGUUAUUGUGCGGAACAAUGUAUAAAGGAGCAUAAGCCACAUCUUGAAGUUGAAUCCAACAAUGAAAAGUUCAAACUUCCGGGGUUGCCUGAUGUUAUUGAAAUGGUGAGAUCUGAGUUGCCAAGUUGGAUCACUAGACAUAAACCAGAUGGUUUCUCACAAUUGCUUGAUGUCAUUAGAGAAUCAGAGAAACGAUGCUAUGGAAUGUUGAUGAAUCGCUUUCAUGAAUUGGAAGCCUCAUAUGAAGAACACUUGAAUAAGGUGAGGUUUACCUCAAACCAUUGUAUAUAACUACACAUUACUCGUUUCUUAACGUAAUCUUUUGGUUUUGAAAUUUUGUACUUGAUUUAUGAUCACGAUUUCGUUAGAAUUAUAUUAUUCAUAUUUUUUUAAAAAAAGAGAAUAUUUGAGAACAAAAAUUACAUCUUGAAGUAUAUAUUUGUUUAGAAGCUUGAUUUUUAGAAGUUGUUAAUUAAGCUUAUUCACAUAUUUUUAAAACACACUUGAAUUCUAAGUUAAAGUUUUUCAAGAAAACUACAAAUUUUACUUUAAGAACGUGUUUUUAAAAGGUUGUUGUCAAAUAAUACAACAUGAGACAAAUUAUUUACUUAUGUAGCAUGAAAUUUUAUUGUCUAAUAAACACUAAUAAUAUAUAGAAAUAGACAUGUGAUAAAUAAAAAAUUAUCAUUACGUUGGCCUGUUGCACCCAGCCUUGUAUAUCUCCUUCGGUCGCAAAGAAGAAAAAAAUAUUCAAAUUAUCGUUUUUAAAAAAGAGAAGUUUGUCACGUGGUAACGUGUAAUCUGGACAUUGAAUAAGCUAUACAAAAUAGAUGGAGCUCAAGAUGCACCCAAAUAUUUUUGAAUUGAUUCGAGACUUCGAGGAUUUGUUUUUAUUAUUAUUAUUAUUGUUUGAUAGAUUAUAGGGAUCAAAACAUGGAUCAUAGGGCCAGUAUCAUUGUUGGCAAACAAUGAAAUUGAAGAUAAAGAAUCAAGAGGUGGAAACCCCAACAUUCAAACCACCAACUUACUCCAAUGGCUCAAUGAGAAAGAACCAAAUUCAGUUCUCUACAUCAACUUCGGAAGCUUGAUUCAGAUGAGUCGUAACCAAAUAACCGAAAUAGCACAUGCGAUUCAAGAAUCCAGUCAAAGUUUCAUUUGGGUCAUAAAAAAGAACGACGAAGACAACGAUGACGACAUAGUAAACAAAGGGUUACAAAAAGGGUUUGAGGAGAGAAUGAGUAGAACCAAAAAGGGUUUGAUAAUAAAGGGAUGGGCUCCACAAUUGAUGAUAUUAGAGCACAAAGUGUUGGAGGGUUUUUGACUCAUUGUGGUUGGAACUCAAUUCUUGAAGGAAUAAGUUCAGGCUUACCAAUGAUCACAUGGCCAUUGUUUGCUGAACAGUUUUACAAUGAGAAGUUGUUGAUUGAAGUGGUGAAGAUUGGAGUGGGAGUUGGGUCAAAGAAAUGGUGCAUUUGGGAGAGAACCAGAAAUUAUUAAGAGGGAAGAGAUUGGUAAGGCCAUAGCUUUUUUUGAUGGGUGAAAGUGUUGAAGCUUUGGAAUGAGAGAGCUAAAGAAAUGGAGAGGCUGCAAAAACAAGUGUGAAUUGUGUGGUUUCUCUCAUACCAACUUGGUUUUCAUUGUUUGAGGAACUUCAAGAAAUGAAGCUUAAGAGAGUGAGGAAUGGUCAGAAGAAUACUUAGAUGUUUGUCAAAGGAUAAAGUAUUGUUUUUCUUUAGUAGUCUAUUCAUCGAACGGCUAUAGUUUGUUGUAAGGUAAAGUAUUUUUGUUUCUAAAUAUAUUUUGAGUUACUUUUACUAUGCGACUAAGUGAGUUUACUAUUGUAAAUCUUCUACAUUUAGUUUAUGAGAUGCAUGUUCAUGUUUAAAAAUAUUUUGUGAUUCACCCGAGUUCAAAUUAUUAAUUAUCCUCUAGUAAACUUUUUUUAAAGAUAAGAAUUAUUUUGUGAUCAAGGAGAUGUACAAAGUUUGUUGGACUAAAGUUGGAUAAUAUAAGAAUUUGUUUUCUUCUAUUGGUUAAGCCUUGGUUCCAAUUUAAUUAAGAAUCACUUCUAGAAUCUUAUUGAGAUUUUCUUAAAAUUUGACGAGUCUACAAAAUGUGUUAGAAUAGAAUUUGUAAUCGUAACAAAUACUAAAUUGAUUCUCAUGUUUUGCAUGAUAUUUUCAAACCAAGUCAAGGACGUAAAUUUAUAAGCUUAUGGAGUUUAUUGAUUAGAUUACUAAAUCCAUAUUGAUUUAAAUUAUACAACCUUCCAAGCGUAGGGGCAUAAAUUAUUUAAAAGAUAGUGAAUUUGUUUCAAGCUGUCAAUUUGAUGUAGAAAAAGCUUUUUGGAGAAUCUUUAUUUCAAGAAGGAAGCUGCCUUCCUAGAAUCAAUUUGAGCAUUAACAUGGCUUUUAGAACAAUUUGAGCAUUAACAUGGUUUUUAGUCGUUGGAAGCUGCAAAGAAGCGUUCCUAGAAGAUGAAUGUUGAUGUUGCAUGGUUGGAGAACACUCAUAGAGGGUGGGACUGGUUGAAUUAUUCGUGAUUGGGAACCCAGUUAGGGUUGGGUGCUUUCCAAUGUCUUUCAAUUGGUCAAUCCAUGCAUGAGACGAGUAUCAUAUGCUAAUGUCAUAGUCAAUUACUUAAGUCACACCUUGGUUUUCCAACUUAUGUUGGGGUUUAGUAGAACAAAGUUGUCCUAUAAUCAAGUAGUUUGUCUUCUUCAUUUGGGAAUUCCUUUCUAGGGAGUUUUUCUCCUUUUAUAUUUCUUCAUUUCGGGAGGGAUUUAUGAUAUAUGUAUGAAGAAAAACAAGUGAAUACUACUAACAGAGAGUGAACCACGAGUUUUUAAGUACAACAAUCGAGGUAUGAAGGAUCGAACCUCCCAUCUCUAAGAUUUUCGUGGGGAUCCUCUCCGCUUUUCUUGCCUAAGCAAAACCCGACCUAGUAGGUCCUUAGAGUUUUUCACCCAGCAUGGCAGCCGGUAGAGAGGGAGAGAGAAAAAAAAGAGGGAGCCAAGCCAGCCGCUUAGGUCAAGUAAAAUGCGCGCCGAGAUCCCCCGGUUUCAGAAUUUUCGUGGGGAUCCUCUCCGCUUUUCUUGCCUAAGCAAAACCCGACCCGCCUAGUAGGUCCUUAGAGUUUUUCACCCAGCAUGGCAGCCGGUAGAGAGGGGAGAGAAAAAAAAGAGGGAGCCAAGCCAGCCGCUUAGGUCAAGUAAAAUGCGCGCCGAGAUCCCCCGGUUUCAGAAUUUUCGUGGGGAUCCUCUCCGCUUUUCUUGCCUAAGCAAAACCCGACCCGCCUAGUAGGUCUUAGAGUUUUUCACCCAGCAUGGCAGCCGGUAGAGAGGGAGAGAGAAAAAAAAGAGGGAGCCAAGCCAGCCGCUUAGGUCAAGUAAAAUGCGCGCCGAGAUCCCCGGUUUCAGAAUUUUCGUGGGGAUCCUCUCCGCUUUUCUUGCCUAAGCAAAACCCGACCCGCCUAGUAGGUCCUUAGAGUUUUUCACCCAAUGGCAGCCGGUAGAGAGGGAGAGAGAAAAAAAAGAGGGAACCAGGCCAGCUUAGGUCAAGUAAAAUGCGCGCCGAGAUCCCCGGUUUCAGAAUUUUCGUGGGGAUCCUCUCCGCUUUUCUUGCCUAAGCAAAACCCGACCCGCCUAGUAGGUCCUUAGAGUUUUUCACCCAGCAUGGCAGCCGGUAGAGAGGGAGAGAGAAAAAAAAGAGGGAGCCAAGCCAGCCGCUUAGGUCAAGUAAAAUGCGCGCCGAGAUCCCCCGGUUUCAGAAUUUUCGUGGGAUCCUCUCCGCUUUUCUUGCCUAAGCAAAACCCGACCCGCCUAGUAGGUUUAGAGUUUUUCACCCAUCAUGGCAGCCGGUAGAGAGGGAGAGAGAAAAAAAAGAGGGAGCCAAGCCAGCCGCUUAGGUCAAGUAAAAUGCGCGCCGAGAUCCCCGGUUUCAGAAUUUUCGUGGGGAUCCUCUCCGCUUUUCUUGCCUAAGCAAAACCCGACCCCGCCUAGUAGGUUCUUAGAGUUUUCACCCAUCAUGGCAGCCGGUAGAGAGGGAGAGAAAAAAAAAGAGGGAGCCAAGCCAGCCGCUUAGGUCAAGUAAAAUGCGCGCCGAGAUCCCCGUUUCAGAAUUUUCGUGGGGAUCCUCUCCGCUUUUCUUGCCUAAGCAAAACCCGACCCCGCCUAGUAGGUUCUUAGAGUUCUUCACUCAGCAUGGCAGCCUGUAGAGAGGGAGAGAGAAAAAAAAGAGGGAGCCAAGCCAGCCGCUUAGGUCAAGUAAAAUGCGUGCCGAGAUCCCCGGUUUCAGAGUUUUCGUGGGGAUCCUCUCCGCUUUUCUUGCCUAAGCAAAACCCGACCCCGCCUAGUAGGUCCUUUUAGUUCUUCACCUAGCACGGCAGCCGGUAGAGAGGGAGGGAGAAAAAAAAGAGGGAGUCAAGCCAGCUGCUUAGGUAAAGUAAAAUGCGGUCGAGAUUGCCUGGUAUCAGAGCUUGCAUGGGCAACCUCUCGCUUUAGAUGGAAUUUGAUGAAAUGCUUAUGUCGAAAGUAGGCAUUUCUCUACAGAGUCCUAAUGGUCAUAGAAAUUUAUUAUGUUUUGUAUUUAUUUUACUUUGUUGUCAAGAAUCAACUUCUUUUCUGAUUUGUAUGUUUAUGUAUAUGUUGCAUCUCUGUCUUGUUAUCAUGUUGUAUUUCAUUGUACUCAAUAGUCUGAUUUGCAUUUUUUAUUUGUGUUAAUAAGUGUUCGUGUAAUUGCAAUUUUGUUCUUGAAGAUAUUUUGCUUGAAUCAAGUUAGUUCUUUCUAUAAGGAUCAUUUUCUUGUAAGGUUAUAACUUCUUGUCCAAUUUUUCCAACAAACAUUUCAACUUGUAGCAGGUGAAUCCUUCUAAAUAAGAGCUUAAAAAGAAAAAAUUGGAACCUUUAACCAUAAAAUCAAGGUACUGCAUCUUAUUUGCAAUGAAUUGCUAUAAUUUUGUAGAGACUCCACAAAUAAAAUACUAAAUUACCCAAACAGUUGGCAAACAGAGACAGCACUCUGUAGAUCUUUAUUUAUAUAUAAAUGCCAAAAGAUACAGUAGAAGGAAAUAUAAAAGAAAGCAAUAAAGAUGAUAAUAUCAUGUCAAACCUCCCCAGGAAAAGAUAGUAGUCCUUCCUAGACCUAGCAGCCUCUACAGACCAAAUGAAGACAAAAAGUUAACCUAGCCCCCAAUCCCGAUAAGGCCUUAUUUAUAGCUCUUUUCUCAUUCUUCCCCGUGGGCCCCACUCUCAUGUUCUUUUCCUAAUAUUCUCCCCUUUUCUGCUGCGUGAGCUUUUACGUUUUUACCCUCCUUUUGUAUGUAUGGAUAAUAGGGGGCCUUACAAUACCCCUCGGUUCCAGGUUCACCUUGUCCUCAAGGUGAAAGUCAGGGAAUUGUUGGUUCAUUUGGAAAACAGAUUCCCAAGUUGUUUCACUGUCCGGCAGCCCUUUCCACUUAAUUAACCAUUCAUUUCCUCCCAAUUCCCGAUUCCAACGGACUCCCAACACUGUUUCCGGCCAUAAUUGUAACUCAAACUCUUCCGUUAGCCUAGGUUGCUGGUGUUGAACAGCUUGUUGACUACCCAGUUUCAGUUUUAACUGAGAAAUAUGGAACACAUUGUGGAUACUGGCUUCCGGCGGUAACAUCAAUCUGUACGCAACUGCUCCUAUUUCUUCAGUAAUUUUGUAGGGUCCGUAAUAUUUAGGUGCUAACUUUUCACACUUCUUCCGAGCCAAGGAGCGUUGCCGGUAAGGUCUCAAUUUCAAGUAGACUUCAUCUCCUACCUUAAAUUUUAACUCUCUUCUAUUUCGAUCAGCCAUUUUCUUCAUCCUGUUCUAGGCUACACACAGGUGUUCUUUUAAGGCAUUGAUGGCUAAGUCACGUUCCUUCAGCAGCGUGUCAACCUCAUUAUUAGGAGUUUUCUUGUAACCAUAGGAUAACAGGGGAGGAGGCGGUCUGCGGUAUACCGUCUGGAAAGGGGUCAUUUUGGUGGAUGCAUGGAAGGUGGUAUUAUACCACAAUUCUGCCCAUGGAAUCAGUCUAUCCAUUUUUUUGGUUGUUCAUUACAGAAGCAUCGCAGAUAAGUUUCGAGACAUCUAUUUACCCUUUCUGUCUGCCCAUCAGUUUGUGGGUGAAACGCGGUACUCCUCUUUAGAAUAGUUCCCAUGGUUGCAAACAGUUCCUUCCAAAAAUUACUAAGAAAGAUUUUAUCCCGAUCUGUGAUAAUCGACUUAGGAAUGCCGUGCUUGCUUACUAUUCUGUCGAUGAAUAUGGAAGCAACUUGCUUGGCUGAAAACGGAUGUCUCAAUGAUAUAAAGUAAGAAUACUUACUCAGCCGAUCAACUACCACCAUGAUCACAUUAACCCUCCAGCUAGUGGCAACCCCUCAAUAAAGUCCAUGGUCCAAUCUUCUAAGAUUCUGUCAGGAAUUGGAAUUGGUUGAAGUACCCCAGCUGGUUUGGUUGCUUCGUAUUUGUUUCUCUGGCAGAUCUCGCAUUGUUCCACAUAUUUCUUUAUUUCAGCCUUCAUACCCCUCCAAUAUAGUUCUCCACUGAUCCUCUUGUAAGUUCUUAAAAAUCCAGAAUGUCCCCCGAGGAUAGAAUCGUGGAAAGUAUGUAGGAUCUUGGGUAUAAGUGUAGAAGUUUGAGAUACUACCAUUCUCCCCUUAUAGAGCAAUCUUCCUUUUUCCACUUGAAACUUGCUUCCUUCUUCUGCAUUUUUCUUCAGAUUUUCCAUAAUUUUCUUAAGUUCAGCAUCAUUCUCAACUUCCUGCUCGAUUAGUUUCACAUCAAUGAUUCCAGUAGUUGUCAAGCUGUGCAGCUCCACCGGUUGCUCCAUUCUAGAUAGGGCGUCCGCUGCCUUGUUCUGAUGUCCGGGUUGAUAUAAAAUCUCGAAAUCAUAUCCAAGGAGCUUUGUCAACCAUUUCUGGAAUUGGGGUUGUACCUCUCUCUGUUCAAGCAAGAAUUUAAGAGCCUUUUGAUCUGAAAGUAUGGUGAACUUCCUGCCCAGCAAAUAAUGCCUCCAUUUUUGAACUGAUAGAACUACAGCCAUCAACUCUCUUUCAUAGAUGGAUUUGUUUUGAGCCCUUGUGGAUAACUUCUGACUGAAAAAGGCAAUCAGGUGGCCAUUUUGAGAGAUCACCGCUCCUAACCCUACGCCAGAUGCAUCAGUUUCGAUAAUAAAGGGAAUGUUCCAAUCUGGUAAUGCCAACACUGGUAGAGUAGUCAUUGCUAGCUUCAAAUUUUCGAAGGCAGUAUUUGCUUCUUCAUUCCACUUAAAAGCAUUCUUCUGUAAUAACUUGGUUAGCGGUGCAGCGAUCUCUCCAUAACCCUUGACAAACCUCCUAUAAUAUAUCCUGUAAGAAGCCCCGCAGACCAGAUAUAUUCGUUGGUGGUGGCCAAUUAAUCAUCUUCUUGAUCUUAUCCUCAUCUGCCUCAACUCCUCUUUUGGAUAUCAUAUGAAGUACUGUAUUUGAGAAUGGGCUAUAACGCAUUUUUUUUUGUUAGCAAACAGCUGGUUAUCCUUCAAAACAUUGAAUACCAUGCCCAAAUGCUUUGCGUGUUCAUCUAUAUCCGCACUAUAAACCAGUAUAUCAUCAAAGAACACCAAAACACAGCGCCGAAGGAAAGGUUUAAAUACCUGGUUCAUCAAAGAUUGGAAGGUUGCCAGAGCAUUCGUGAGACAAACGGCAUUACUAGAAACUCAUAGUGCCCUUCAUGUGUGCGGAACACAGUUUUCUCCACAUCUUCCUCUUUCAUUCUAAUCUGGUGAUAACCAGAUUUCAGAUCUAAUUUCGAGAAAACCGUUGCCCUAUUCAGCUCAUUUAAUAAUUCCUCUAUCACAGGAAUUGGAACUUAUCCGAUACUGUCGCCUGAUUUAACUUGCGGUAAUCGACACAAAAUCUCCAUCCACCAUCUUUUUUCUUCACUAACAACACCGGGCUGGAGUAAGGGAUAGGUUUAUGGUCAGGUAGGGUUAAUAUUCGGUGAUCAAUAGCUCUUUUUGGAGGUAAUUUCUUCGGUGUCUCAAAUAUCUCCGCAUAAUACUUGAGCAGGGAUCGGAUCAUAGAUAUUUCCUCCUCAUCUCCUUUUAAUCUUGUCCCCAGUUCAUAUUCAUUCUCUACUUCCAUCUCAUAAUUCUGGAAUUCUAAGAGGAAGCCUUGGUCUUCUAUAUGUAAGGAUUCAACUUGCUUACUUCACUAUUUCUCCCUUACAAUGGCCAAAAACAGAGGUAGCCCUCUGCUAUCUUUAUUUAUAUAUAGCCAAAAUGAGUACAGAAAAACAUAAAGAUUCAAGAAAAACAAGGAAUAAUGAAGACAAACCCAGCUUCCUCUAGGGAAAGACUGGAUAUUCCUCUAGGCUAAGCAGCCGCCAACUUCAGGAUAAAAAUAAAACCUACCUCCCCUAGACCUAAAAAACCUAUUUAUAUUCCUUCUCUCAUCUUUCUCUUAUUUCUGUGCCUGGGCCCCACCUGCAGGAUCUCCUCCUCUUUUUCCUUCCUCAUUAUUAAUUUGUCCAAUUACUUUUCUGCCCCUCCUUUGAUAUGUAUGAAUAACUGGAGGUCUUACACUAUAUCCCACGUUUUUUCCAAUGUCUUCAAAGAACAUUCAGGUUUCACUAAGGAUGGAUCUCCUCUUAACACGAUUUGCUUGUCUUUUGCCCAAAAGGUCAUGGUUAAUGAUGGCCAAUGUACCUUCAUUGUGCCGGUGGUAUCUAGCCAUUGCAUCCCUAAAAUCACGUCAAUAUUUCCUAGUUCCACCACUAGAAAAUCAGUUAUAACUGUCAUUUCUUUCAAUCUCAGUUCCACCUUUCUGCAAAUACCUUUCCCUUUACAGCGGGUCCCGUCUCCAAUAGUCACUCCAAAUUGUGUACCGGGUUCAAUGUUCAACCCUCCUUCCAUUGCCACUGCUUCAUGGAUGAAGUUGUUCGUAGCUCCACUGUCGAUGAGAAUCACCACCUCCCUUCCUUUUACAUGCCCCUUCAGUUUCAUUGUCCCUUUGGAUGUUAACCCCGUGAGUGUCUUCAAUUCAAUUUCGGUGGUUUCAGCAACAACUAACUGGUUCAGCUCCAUUACUUCUUCGGUCUCUUCCAUUUUGACUUCCUCCCCGCCACUCUCUUCUUCGUUAAGUAUAAAUAACAUUAAUUCCCUUUUCUCUCUCAUCUUGCAUCGGUGUCCCGGUGAGUACUUCUCAUUGCAUCUAAAACACAAACCCUUGUCCAAUCUUGCUCUGAAUUCCGUGUCCAAGAGUCUUUUAACUGGAGGUUCAUUUUUCUGGUAGUUUCCUUUAAUGGGAAUAGUGACUUGCUUCAUGGGGAACUCAGUCUUCUUUGGUGAACUUUUAUCUUGACUGCUUUGUCCCUUGCUUGAGCCUCCUCCUUCCCUAGUCACACUGUUUACCCAUUCUGCCUUGGCUAAUUUCAAGGCUAGGUUUCUGCCACUUACCAGUUGUGCCUCCUUCAUACAUUCCUCUAAGGUUUGAGGAUGUCUACUAAUAACUUCUGCUUGAAGAGCCGGUUCUAGACCUGUCACGAAUGCAUCUAAGAGCACGCUUUCAGCCAUGUGCGGUAGUGGUGCAGAAUAUUGUACGAAUUUCUUGACAUAAUCAUUAUAGGAUCCAUCUUGUUCUAUUCGAAUCAGCCUUGCACCUAAGCUUUCUGCCCAGAAUCUCGAAAAAAUUCAAACAUCCUUACCUUCAAAUCUUCCCAUCCUUCCACCUUCUUUCUAUGGUUACUCCAACGGUACCAAUCGAUUUCAUCUUGUCCGAAACUAACCACGCUACUUUCACUUUUUCUGCUUCCGGUAGGCUAUUAAUUUCGAAAAAAUGCUCAGCUCUAAACACCCAUGACUCAGGAUUUUCCCCGGUAAAAAUCGGCAUUUCCAGUUUCUUAUAUUUGCUUCGGUCGACAGUUACUACAUUGUUUUCCCCUAGAUUGUCGGCUUCUUCCCAUUUUCCUUUUAACUUCAUGACUGAUCCAUCAGAAGUUCCGGAUUCAUCUCGCCUUUUGUAGCUGCUGUUUUUUUCAUUUCAUCAGUCAGUCUAUCCAUGGAUUUCUUCAUUUCCAGAAUCAUUUCCUUCAAGCCCAGUAUUUCUUUCUCUGUUCCAUCUAUUCUUUCUUCUAUUUGCCUUUGCGCCAUCAGUCGCGUCACCACCCCCAGCAUUUGGGCUCUGAUACCAGUUGUAGAGACUCCACAAAUAAAAUACUAAAUUACCCAAACAGUUGGCAAACAGAGACAGCACUCUGUAGAUCUUUAUUUAUAUAUAAAUGCCAAGAGAUACAGUAGAAGGAAAUAUAAAAGAAAGCAAUAAAGAUGAUAAUAUCAUGUCAAACCUCCCCAGGAAAAGAUAGUAGUCCUUCCUAGACCUAGCAGCCUCUACAGACCAAAUGAAGACAAAAAGUUAACCUACCCCCAAUCCCGAUAAGGCCUUAUUUAUAGCUCUUUUCUCAUUCUUCCCCGUGGGCCCCACUCUCAUGUUCUUUUCCUAAUAUUCUCCCCUUUUCUGCUGCAUGAGCUUUUACGUUUUUACCCCUCCUUUUGUAUGUAUGGAUAAUAGGGGGCCUUACAAAUUUCUUCCAACACUAUGAAACAUUUAUGGUAUAGUUUUAUUAUUGUAAACAUUUUUGCUAAACAUCAUUGUAAUUUCCAAACACAACUCUGCCAAAGUUCCCAAGAUAGUUCUAUAGCAAUGUUCCACAGGCUAUCUUGCAAGUGAUGUGGAACUCCUUUGCUUUUUUGAAUAGUAAACUGGCCUUCCUCUUUUGUUAUGCUUUGUUUUGUUCUUAAUACUUGCUUUUAUCUUCGCCUAUUUCAUUCCUAGUUGAUAUAUUACAUAGUCCUCUUAAAUCUACAUUCUUUUUCUGUUUUAUGAUUCGCUUGAGUUUAAUGACUAACUUUGGCAAAAUAAUGUUGAACUAUAUUACAUGUUUUGCAUCUAAACCUCAAUUGAAAAGGUUUGUUACCUGUAUCAUUAUAAGGUUUCCAUCCAUCUUUCUUAGGCCAUCAAUGAAGUUUUUGCUUAGAUCUAUCUUAGUUCGGCCUCUUUAAUAUGUUACUCCAUACAAGGAAGAUCGAAAGUUGUGAUUACAAAGUGUAGAUUUGUAUUGUAUAGUUGCCUUAGUUAUUUUUUAAUUAUUCUUUUUAGACGUUAUUUUUUAUAAUUAGUUCUCUUUAGUUAGAAUUUCUAUUAAAUUAUACUUGCCUAUUAUCAAGUCCUUUUUCAUUAAUAAGAGAAAAUGGAGUUUUUCUCAAAUAACAAAAAGUGAUUAUUUAAGAUACUAUGCUAAAGGGAACACAUCCAAUUACCAUGUUGAGAAUAUUAUCUUUGCCUAUUGAAGGUCUUGGAUUCUUGGUCAACUUUGAAUGCGAAUUUUUCUUAGUUGAUUAUUAAAUAUCAGGGUAAAAAGAUCUUAUAUUGUAAUGUUGUUUUGCUUCACUUGCAUCAUACACUAAAACACAAGAUUAAAAAAAAGUUAUAUUUAGACUUUUGUAUGGUAGAUUAGGUGUUCUCUUUGAAUUGGUGUUGGUAUUGGCUUUCUAAUUAUGAUAUGAUUUUGGGAACCUUUGAAUUAUGUUCUUCAAACCUUCUCUCUUCGAUUGAAGCUUAUUAUAUUUUAUCGUUGUUAGUAUGUUUUUUUUUUUCCAUUUUUUCCCUUCUAAUAUUUUUAUUUGAUAUAUAAUGUGCAUAAAAGAGAAAGUAGUUAAUGUGUUUUACAUUGUUGUGUUGUGCAAAGUUGGUGUUGUUGGUUCAAAUAUUUAAGAUUUGGUGAAGCACUUGGAAUAAGUUCAAACUUUUAAUCUGUAGGAUAAUUUACUUUAUAAGAAUCACACAUUUACCUUUUUUUCUUUUUUGAAGUAGGAAAGGAGCCUCUUCAUUAAGCUGAAAAUGAAUAGACAAGACAAAAGGUAAUACAAAGAAGCCCUAGGAUCAGUGAGUGCACUAGGACAUCUCAUCUAUGUUGACACCUACUUAGCAUUCUCACCAUAUCGAGACUUAAACCAAAAGACUAAACCAACGACAAGGUUUGGAAUAGAUCAUACAAACUGCCCAAUAACUAUACAACAUAGAUUUAAGACCACUAGAAAUCCAAAAGAAAUAAAAUAAGAGUACUGUAGUGGACUAAGAAUUAAAAAUGAAAGUCGGCCAAUUAUGACUUAUAUCUUGUAUGGAGAAAUCUUUGAAAUCUUUUGAAAGAGAGCAUCAAGAAGAAGCAUUGAUUCUAGCCAUUUCGACUCGAGUUGUCCAAGAGGAAGCUUUAUUUUGAAAUGUUAGCUGAUUAUGUUCAAACCAACUUUGAAUGACUAUUUCUAAAUAUGAACCUACAAUAACCCCAAAUGAAUACCGGAUUAAAUUGGAAACAGGGCAGAUAGAGAGUGAGAUGGAGAGUGUUUGUGUGUGCUUUAGAGUAGUUUUAAGCACAUUUUUUAGAUUUGUUUAACACUAAGUUUGUUUCACUUGCACAAUUGGUUGCCAUUUUAGGUCUCAAAGUGCAUUUUCACUCAUUUUGAACUUUUUGUUAGUUUGUGAGUUACGAACUUACACUUAAGCAUUGUUAGGUCGUUUCAAACACAUUUUGUGUUUGUUUGGAACUAAGUUGUUUAGACAUUUGAUUGACAUGUUGGGUCUCCAAGUGCUUUUUUCCACACUUUUUGAAAUUUUGGUAGGUUGUGAGUCGCGAACUUACGCUUGAGUAUUGUUUGGUCCGUUUGAAAGCUUAGACACAUUUUGAACUCUUUUUAAGAUAACUUGAAACUAAGUUCAUUGCACUUACAUACUUCGUUGCCGUUUUGGGUCUUGAAGUACCUUUUUCACACUUUUUGAAAUUUUGGUAGGUUGUGAGUUACAAACUUACCCUUAAGCAUUGUUUGGUUGUUUUGAAAAUUCAAGUGAUAGUUACACACGUUUUGAAUACAUUUUAGGUUAGAUUGAGUUUGUUGCACUUGGUUGUCAUUUUUGGUCUUGAAAUGCUUUUUUCAAACUUUUUGGUAGAUUAUGAGUUACGAACUUACACUUAGGAUUUGCUAGGUCGUUUUGAAAACUCAAGUAAUACAUAGACACGUUUUGAGCACGUUUUAGGUUGGUUUGAACUAAGUUUGUUGCACUUACACACUUGGUUGCCAUUUUGGGUAUUGUAGUGCUUUUUUCACAAUAUUUGAACUUUUUUCGUAGGUUAUGAGUUACGAUCCUACACGUAAGCUGUUUUAGGACAUUUUGAAAGUUCAAGUGAUACUUAGACACGUUUUAAACUCGGUUUAGGUUAGUUUGAAACUAAGUUUGUUGACCUUAUCCAAUUGGUUGCCAUUUUCGGUCUUGAAGUGCCCUUUUCACACUUUUUGAACUUUUUGGUAGGCUAUGGGUUACCAACUUACACUUAAACUUUGUUAGGUUGUUUUGAAAGUCCAAGUGAUACUUAGACACGCCUUGACCACUUUUUAGGUUGGUUUGGAACUAAGUUUGUUGCACUUGCGCACUUGGUUGCCAUUUUGGGUCGUGUAGUGUUUCCUUUUUUUCCAUACUUCUUGAACUUUUUGGUAGGUUAUGAGUGAUGAAUUUACAAAUAAACAUUCUUAGGUCGUUCUGAAAGUUCAAGUGAUACUUAAACACGGUUUGAAAUUUUUUUAGAUUUGUUUAAGACUAAGUUUGUUUCACUUGCAUACUUGGUUGCCAUUUUAGGUCUCAAAGUGCAUUUUUCACGCAUUUUGAUUUUUUUGUUAGUUUGUGAGUUACGAACUUACACUUAACGAUUGUUAGGUCGUUUUAAACACAUUUUGCGUUGGUUUGAAACUAAGUUUGUUGCACUUACACAUUGGAUUGAAAUGUUGGGUCUUGAAGUACUUUUUUUCACACUUUUUGAAAUUUUUUUAGAUUGUGAGUUACGAACUUACGCUUGAGUAUUGUUUGGUCGGUUUGAAAUCUUAGACACGUUUUGCACUCUUUUUAGGAUGGCUUGAAACUAAGUCCGUUGCACUUACAUACUUCGUUGCCAUUUUGGGUCUGAAGUGCUUUUUUACACUUUUUGAAAUUUUGGUAGGUUGUGAGUUACAAACUUACACUUAAGCAUUGUUUGGUGGUUUUGAAAGUUUAAGUGAUACGUACACAUGUUUUGAAUACAUUUUAGGUUAGAUUGAUUUUGUUGCACUUGGUUGUCAUUUUUGGUCUUGAAAUGCUUUUUUCAACCUUUUUGGUAGAUCAUUACGAACCUACAUUUAGGAUUUGCUAGGUCGUUUUGAAAACUCAAGUAAUACCUAGACACGUUUUGAGCACGUUCUAGGUUGGUUUGAACUAAGUUUGUUACAAUUACACACUUGGUAGCCAUUUUGGGUCUUGUAGUACUUUUUUCACACUAUUUGAACUUUUUUCGUAGGUUAUGAGUUACGAAUCUACACGUAAGCUGUUUUAGGUCGUUUUGAAAGUUCAAGUGAUACUUAGACACAUUUUGUUCAAGUGAUACUGUUUUAGGUCGUUUUGAAGUGAACUUUUUUCUUCUUGUAUUGACUGUUUUACUAUUUCUUCAUGGUUUGUAUUCAUGGUAUUUAUUUUCGUAAUGAAUCUUUCAUGUUCUGGUAAACAUUGCAGAAACACAUAAUUUCAUCAAUCUGUCAAAGAGUUGAAGGAGAAGACAGAAGAACUUAAAGGUCACAUGAAACCUAAAAGUUAGGUAAUUUUUUGAAAACUUUUUUCUUUGUCUUGCUUAGUUUUAGUGGUAUUUGUUAACAGGCUGAGACAUACUCUUGUAUGCCAAGGCUGGGUGGCCAAUUCAAUGGAUGGCCUGAGACGGUGAAAUGACGAGUGUAGACAAUCGAGCAGAUUUACAAGUAGGAGGAUGGUGUUUGGUCUUACUCAAAAGCUACUGCUAGAAAGGUGAUUCUCCCUUUAUUUACACAUGUUAUCUAUAUUUAAUUACUGUUUUUAUGUGAUGGUGAAUAAAUAUUUAAGUUGUUUCAAGUUUGUACAUCAUGCUUGAGUUAAUACAUUUCUCAACUCGCACUAAUUUUAAAGUUGAGACUAAGUUUGUUGCACUUACACACUUGGUUGCCAUUUUGGAUUUUGGAGUGCUUUUUCUACAUUUUUUGAACAUUUUGGUAGGUUAUGAUUUAUGAAGUAAGACUAAAGCAUUAUUAGGUCGUUUUUAAAGUUCGAGUGAUACUUAAACAUUUUUUGAACACCUUUUAGGUUGUUACAAACUAAGUUAGUUUUACAUACAGCCAUGGUUGCCAUUUUGAGUCUUGAAAGAUUUUUUUUCACACUUUUUGAAAUUUUUGGUAAGUUAUGAGUUAUAAACUUACACUUAAGCGUUGUUAGGUUGUUGAAAACUUAUACGUGUUUUGAAUACUUGUUAGGUUUGUAUAGAACUAAGUUCGUUGCACUUACACACUUGACAUUUUGGGUUUUGGAGUGUCUUUUUAAAAAAUUUUGAACUUUUUGCUAGUUUAUGACUUAUGAACUUGUAUUGAAUAUUUGUUAGGUCGUUUUGAUAAUUCAAGUGAUACUUAGAAAAUGCAACCGAGCUUAAACAAUUCCGCUCAUUUUUCUAAAAUUUUUAGUUUAACCUAUUGAAUAAAAUUCGAUGGAAAUUCUUGUUUUCUUUUUGUAGGAAUAAAAGAAAUGAAAUAUAACCAAACUUGGGAUCUUUGCAAACAAUCUUCCAUGAAGAAACUAGGCUACAAGUGGUUUGGGGUUUGGGUUUUUAGGGCUUAGGGCUUUUUGGGCUUAUGGCUUAGGGCUUUUAGGGCGCUUAGGGCUUUUAGGUUUUAGGGCUUAGGGCUUUUAGGGCUUAUGGCUUUAGGGUUUAGGGUAUAGGGUUUAGGGGUUUAGGGUUUAGGGUUUAGGGCGCUUAGGCUUUUAGGGAUUUUAGGGCGCUUAGGGAUUUUAGGUUUUAGGGCUUAGGGCUUUUAGGGAUUAUGGCUUAGGGCUUAGCGCUUUUAGGGCUUAGGGCUUAGGGCUUAGGGCCUUAAGGGCUUUAAGGGUAUUUAGGGAUAAGGGAUUUUAGGGCUUUUAGCAUUUAGGGCUUUUGGGGCUUUUAGGGCUUAGGGAUUAGGGCUUGGGCUUUUAGGGCUCGGGCUUUGGGCUCUUUGGGCUUUUAGGACUUUUAGUGCUCUUAGGGCUUUUUGGGCGCUUAGGGCUUAUGACUCUUAAGGCUUAGGGCUUUGGGCUUUUAGGGCUUUUAGGGCUUUUAGGGCUUUUAGGGCUUUUAGGCUUUUAGGGCUUUUAGGGCGCUUAUGGCUUUUAGCUUUUAGGGCUUAGGGCUUUUUGGGCUUUUAGGGCUUAGGGCUUAGGGCUUAGGCUUUUAGGGCUUUUAGGGCUUGGGCUUUGGGCGUUUAGGGCUUUUAGGACGCUUAGGGCUUUUAGGUUGUAGGGCUUAGGGCUUUUAGGGCUUAUGGCUUUUAGGGCUUAGCGCUUAGGGCUUAGGGCUUUUACGGCUUUUACGACUUUUAGGGCUUUUAGGGCUGAGGCCUUAGGGCUUAGGCCUUAGGGCUGAGGGCUCAGGGCUCAGGGCUUAGGGCUUAGGGUUUAGGGCUUAGGGCUUAGGGCUUAGGGCUUAUGACUUUUAAGGCUUUGGGCUUUGGGCUUUUCGGGCUUUUAGGGCUUUUCGGGCUUUUAGGGCUUUUAGGGCUUUUUGGGCUUUUAGGGCUUAGGGCUUAGGGCUUAGGCUUUUAGGGCUUUUAGGGCUUGGGCUUUGGGCGUUUAGGGCUUUUAGGGCUUUUAGGACGCUUAGGGCUUUUAGGUUGUAGGGCUUAGGGCUUUUAGGGCUUAUGGCUUUUAGGACGCUUAGGGCUUUUAGGUUGUAGGGCUUAGGGCUUUUAGGGCUUAUGGCUUUUAGGGCUUAGCGCUUAGGGCUUAGGGCUUUUACGGCUUUUACGGCUUUUACGACUUUUAGGGCUUUUAGGGCUGAGGCCUUAGGGCUUUUAGGGCUGAGGCCUUAGGGCUUAGGCCUUAGGGCUGAGGGCUCAGGGCUUAGGGCUUAGGGUUUAGGGUUUAGGGUUUAGGGUUUAGGGCUUAGUUCUUGUGCUUUUAUUGCUUAGAGCUUAGGGCUUGUAGGGCUUAGGGCUGAUGGCUUAGGGCUUGGGCUUUUAGGGCUUGGGUUUUUAGGGCUUGGGCUUUGGGCUUUUAGGGCGUUUAGGGCUUUUAGGGCGCUUAAGUCGUUUAGGGCUUAGGGCUUUUAGGGCUUAGGGGUUUUGGCUUAUGACUUAGGGCUUGAGAUUUUAGGGCUUAGGGCUUGGGCUUUGGCCUUUUAGGGCUUUUAGGGCUUUUACGACGCUUAGGGCUUUUAGGUUUUAGGGCUUAGGGCGCUUAGGGCUUUUAGGUCUUUUAGGGAUUAGGGUUUGGGCUUUUAAGGCUUGUGCUUUGGGCUUUUGGGAUUUUAGGGUUUAGGGCUUGUGCUUUGCGCUUUUAGGACUUUUAGGGCUUUUACAGCGCUAAGGGCGCUUAGGACUUAGGGCUUAGGGCUUAAGGCUUAGGGCUUUUAGGGCUUAGGGCUCAUUGAGGAACUGGAUUUAUCUAAUGAGUAUAGGUAAAAUGGUUUUUUAUAUUGGAUUUGAUCAAUGCAAUGAAUUGUUUUAUCAUAAGACCGAUCCCUAAUUAAAUUGAUGAUCCCCAUCCUAACGAAAUGAAUUUGAUUCAUACAUGUACACACACGAACUGAACAUAUAUACAUUCACCGAAUCAUUGAUAAAGCAAUUCUACUUGGCGAGGAAAAAAUUUUCAAUAACUUGUUGAUCCCUAUCCCCAAAUUUUAAAAUUUAUCGCUCUUGAAUUUUUUGGCUUAGUGUGAAAUCGAAAUAUACCUAACAUAAUCUUAACAAUGAGUUAAUCAAUGAGCGCCGAGAUCCCCCUGUUUGAGAAUUUUCGUGGGGAUCCUCUCCGCUUUUCUUGCCUAAGCAAAACCCGACACGCCUAGUAGGUCCAUAGAGUUUUUCACCGAGCAUGGCAGCCGGUAGAGAGGGAGAGAGAAAAAAAAGAGGGAACCAAGCCAGCCGCUUAGGUCAAGUAAAAUGCGCGCCGAGAUCCCCCGGUUUCAGAAUUUUCGUGGGGAUCCUCUCCGCUUUUCUUGUCUAGGCAAAACCCGACCCGCCUAGUAGGUCCUUAGAGUUUUUCACCCAGCAUGGCAGCCGGUAGAGAGGGAGAGAGAAAAAAAAAGAGGGAGCCAAGCCAGCCGCUUAGGUUAAGUAAAAUGCGCGCCGAGAUCCCCCUGUUUCAGAAUUUUCGUGGGGAUCCUCUCCGCUUUUCUUGCCCAAGCAAAACCCGACCCCGCCUAGUAGGUCCUUAGAGUUCUUCACCCAUCAUGGCAGCCGGUAGAGAGGGAGAGAAAAAAAAUAGAGGGAGCCAAGCCAGCCGCUUAGGUCAAGUAAAAUGCGCGCCGAGAUCCCCCGGUUUCAGAAUUUUCGUGGGGAUCCUCUCCGCUUUUCUUGCCGAAGCAAAACCCGACCCGCCUAGUAGGUCCUUAGAGUUUUUCACCCAGCAUGGCAGCCGGUAGAGAGGGAGAGAGAAAAAAAAGAGGGAACCAAGCCAGCCGCUUAGGUCAAGUAAAAUGCGCGCCGAGAUCCCCCGGUUUCAGAAUUUUCGUGGGGAUCCUCUCCGCUUUUCUUGCCUAAGCAAAACCCGACCCGCCUAGUAGGUCCUUAGAGUUUUUCACCCAGCAUGGCAGCCGGUAGAGAGGGAGAGAGAAAAAAAAAGGGAGCCAAGCCAGCCGCUUAGGUCAAGUAAAAUGCGCGCCGAGAUCCCCCGGUUUCAGAAUUUUCGUGGGGAUCCUCUCCGCUUUUCUUGCCUAAGCAAAACCCGACCCCCCUAGUAGGUCCUUAGAGUUUUUCACCCAGCAUGGCAGCCGGUAGAGAGGGAGAGAGAAAAAAAAGAGAGCCAAGCCAGCCGCUUAGGUCAAGUAAAAUGCGCGCCGAGAUCCCCCGGUUUCAGAAUUUUCGUGGGGAUCCUCCGCUUUUCUUGCCUAAGCAAAACCCGACCUGCCUAGUAGGUCCUUAGAGUUUUUCACCCAGCAUGGCAGCCGGUAGAGAGGGAGAGAGAAAAAAAAAGGGAACCAAGCCAGCCGCUUAGGUCAAGUAAAAUGCGCGCGAGAUCCCCGGUUUCAGAAUUUUCGUGGGGAUCCUCUCCGCUUUUCUUGCCUAAGCAAAACCCGACCCGCCUAGUAGGUCCUUAGAGUUUUUCACCCAGCAUGGCAGCCGGUAGAGAGGGAGAGAGAAAAAAAAAGGGAGCCAAGCCAGCCGCUUAGGUCAAGUAAAAUGCGCGCCGAGAUCCCCGGUUUCAGAAUUUUCGUGGGGAUCCUCUCCGCUUUUCUUGCCUAAGCAAAACCCGACCCCCCUAGUAGGUCCUUAGAGUUUUUCACCCAGCAUGGCAGCCGGUAGAGAGGGAGAGAGAAAAAAAAGAGAACCAAGCCAGCCGCUUAGGUCAAGUAAAAUGCGCGCCGAGAUCCCCCGGUUUCAGAAUUUUCGUGGGGAUCCUCUCCGCUUUUCUUGCCUAAGCAAAACCCGACCUGCCUAGUAGGUCCUUAGAGUUUUCACCCAGCAUGGCAGCCGGUAGAGAGGGAGAGAGAAAAAAAAGAGGGAGCCAAGCCAGCCGCUUAGGUCAAGUAAAAUGCGCGCCGAGAUCCCCCGAUUUCAGAAUUUUCGUGGGGAUCCUCUCCGCUUUUCUUGCCUAAGCAAAACCCGACCCCGCCUAGUAGGUCCUUAGAGUUCUUCACCUAUCAUGGCAGCCGGUAGAGAGUGAGAGAAAAAAAAAAGAGGGACCAAGCCAGCCGCUUAGGUCAAGUUAAAUGCGCGCCGAGAUCCCCCGGUUUCAGAAUUUUCGUGGGGAUCCUCUCCGCUUUUCUUGCCUAAGCAAAACCCGACCCGCCUAGUAGGUCCUUAGAGUUUUUCACCCAGCAUGGCAGCCGGUAGAGAGGGAGAGAGAAAAAAAAGAGGGAACCAAGCCAGCCGCUUAGGUCAAGUAAAAUGCGCGCCGAGAUCCCCCGGUUUCAGAAUUUUCGUGGGGAUCCUCUCCGCUUUUCUUGCCUAAGCAAAACCCGACCCGCCUAGUAGGUCCUUAGAGUUUUCACCCAGCAUGGCAGCCGGUAGAGAGGGAGAGAGAAAAAAAAGAGGGAGCCAAGCCAGCCGCUUAGGUCAAGUAAAAUGCGCGCCGAGAUCCCCCGGUUUCAGAAUUUUCGUGGGGAUCCUCUCCGCUUUUGCCUAAGCAAAACCCGACCCGCCUAGUAGGUCCUUAGAGUUCUUCACCCAUCAUGGCAGCCGGUAGAGAGGGAGAGAAAAAAAAAGGAGCCAAGCCAGCCGCUUAGGUCAAGUAAAAUGCGCGCCGAGAUCCCCCGGUUUCAGAAUUUUCGUGGGGAUCCUCUCCGCUUUUCUUGCCUAAGCAAAACCCGACCCGCCUAGUAGGUCCUUAGAGUUUUCACCCAGCAUGGCAGCCGGUAGAGAGGGAGAGAAAAAAAAAAGAGGGAGCCAAGCCAGCCGCUUAGGUCAAGUAAAAUGCGCGCCGAGAUCCCCCGGUUUCAGAAUUUUCGUGGGGAUCCUCUCCGCUUUUCUUGCCUAAGCAAAACCCGACCCGCCUAGUAGGUCCUUAGAGUUUUUCACCCAGCAUGGCAGCCGGUAGAGAGAGAGAGAAAAAAAAGAGGGAGCCAAGCCAGCCGCUUAGGUCAAGUAAAAUGCGCGCCGAGAUCCCCCGGUUUCAGAAUUUUCGUGGGGAUCCUCUCCGCUUUUUUGCCUAAGCAAAACCCGACCCGCCUAGUAGGUCUUAGAGUUUUUCACCCAGCAUGGCAGCCGGUAGAGAGGGAGAGAGAAAAAAAAGAGGGAGCCAAGCCAGCCUUAGGUCAAGUAAAAUGCGCGCCGAGAUCCCCCGGUUUCAGAAUUUUCGUGGGGAUCCUCUCCGCUUUUCUUGCCUAAGCAAAACCCGACCCGCCUAGUAGGUCCUUAGAGUUUUCACCCAGCAUGGCAGCCGGUAGAGAGGAGAGAGAAAAAAAAGAGGGAGCCAAGCCAGCCGCUUAGGUCAAGUAAAAUGCGCGCCGAGAUCCCCCGGUUUCAGAAUUUUCGUGGGAUCCUCUCCGCUUUUCUUGCCUAAGCAAAACCCGACCCGCCUAGUAGGUCCUUAGAGUUUUUCACCCAGCAUGGCAGCCGGUAGAGAGGGAGAGAGAAAAAAAAGAGGGAGCCAAGCCAGCCGCUUAGGUCAAGUAAAAUGCGCGCCGAGAUCCCCCGGUUUCAGAAUUUUCGUGGGGAUCCUCUCCGCUUUUCUUGCCUAAGCAAAACCCGACCCGCCUAGUAGGUCCUUAGAGUUUUCACCCAGCAUGGCAGCCGGUAGAGAGGGAGAGAGAAAAAAAAAGAGGGAGCCAAGCCAGCCGCUUAGGUCAAGUAAAAUGCGCGCCGAGAUCCCCCGGUUUCAGAAUUUUCGUGGGGAUCCUCUCCGCUUUUCUUGCCUAAGCAAAACCCGACCCGCCUAGUAGGUCCUUAGAGUUCUUCACCCAGCAUGGCAGCCGGUAGAGAGGAGAGAGAAAAAAAAGAGGGAGCCAAGCCAGCCGCUUAGGUCAAGUAAAAUGCGCGCCGAGAUCCCCCGUUUUCAGAAUUUUCGUGGGAUCCUCUCCGCUUUUCUUGCCUAAGCAAAACCCGACCCGCCUAGUAGGUCCUUAGAGUUUUUCACCCAGCAUGGCAGCCGGUAGAGAGGGAGAGAGAAAAAAAAGAGGGAGCCAAGCCAGCCGCUUAGGUCAAGUAAAAUGCGCGCCGAGAUCCCCGUUUCAGAAUUUUCGUGGGAUCCUCUCCGCUUUUCUUGCCUAAGCAAAACCCGACCCGCCUAGUAGGUCCUUAGAGUUUUUCACCCAGCAUGGCAGCCGGUAGAGAGGGAGAGAGAAAAAAAAGAGGGAGCCAAGCCAGCCGCUUAGGUCAAGUAAAAUGCGCGCCGAGAUCCCCCGGUUUCAGAAUUUUCGUGGGGAUCCUCUCCGCUUUUCUUGCCAAAGCAAAACCCGACCCGCCUAGUAGGUCCUUAGAGUUUUUUCACCCAGCAUGGCAGCCGGUAGAGAGGGAGAGAGAAAAAAAAGAGGGAGCCAAGCCAGCGCUUAGGUCAAGUAAAAUGCGCGCCGAGAUCCCUCAUUUCAGAAUUUUCGUGGGGAUCCUCUCCGCUUUUCUUGCCUAAGCAAAACCCGACCCGCCUAGUAGGUCCUUAGAGUUUUUACCCAUGCAUGGCAGCCGGUAGAGAGGGAGAGAGAAAAAAAAGAGGGAGCCAAGCCAGCCGCUUAGGUCAAGUAAAAUGCGCGCCGAGAUCCCCCGGUUUCAGAAUUUUCGUGGGGAUCCUCUCCGCUUUUCUUGCCUAAGCAAAACCCGACCGCCAGUAGGUCCUUAGAGUUCUUCACCCAUCAUGGCAGCCGGUAGAGAGGGAGAGAAAAAAAAAAGAGGGAGCCAAGCCAGCCGCUUACGUCAAGUAAAAUGCGCGCCGAGAUCCCCCGUUUUAGAUUGGUUUCAAACUAUGUUUUAAACACAUUUCAUUGACAUGUUGGGUCUUGAAGUACUUUUUUCACACUUUUUGAAAUUUUGGUAGGUUGUGAGUUACAAACUUACACUUAAGCAUUGCUUGGUCGUUUUGAAAAUUCAGGUGAUACUUACACACGUUUUGAAUACAUUUUAGGUUAGAUUGAGUUUGUUGCACUUGGUUGUCAUUUUUGGUCGUGAAAUGCCUUUUUCAACCUUUAUGGUAGAUUAUGAGUUACGAACUUACACUUAGGAUUUGCUAGAUCGUUUUGAAAACUCAAGUACUACCUAGACACGUUUUGAGCAUGUUUUAGGUCGGUUUGAACUAAGCUUGUUGCCCUUACACACUUAGUUGCCAUUUUGGGUCUUGUAGUGCUUUUUUCACACUAUUUGAACUUUUUUCGUAAGUUAUCAGUUAGGAAUCUACACGUAAGCUGUUUUAGGUCGUUUUGAAAGUUCAAGUGAAACUUAGACACGUUUUGAACUCGUUUUAGGUUUGUUUGAAACUAAAUUUUAAACACAUUUCAUUGACAUGUUGGGUCUUGAAGUACUACUUUUUCACACUUUUUGAAAUUUUGGUAGGUUGUGAGUUACAAACUUACACUUAAGCAUUACUUGGUCGUUUUGAAAAUUCAAGUGAUACUUACACACGUUUUGAUUACAUUUAGGUUAGAUUGAGUUGUUGCACUUGAUGGUCAUUUUUGGUCUUGAAAUGCUUUUUUCAACAUUUUUGGUACAUUAUGAGUUACGAACUUACACUUAGGAUCUGCUAGGUCGUUUUGAAAACUCAAGUAGUACCUAGCACGUUUUGAGCAUGUUUUAGGUUGGUUUGAACUAAGUUUGUUGCACUUACACACUUAGUUGCCAUUUUGGGUCUUGUAGUGCUUUUUUCACACUAUUUGAACUUUUUUCGUAAGUUAUGAGUUAUGAAUCUACACGUAAGCUGUUUUAGGUUGUUUUGAAAGUUGAAGUGAAACUUAGACACCUUUUGAACAUGUUUUAGGUUAGUUUGAAACUAACUUUUAAACACAUUUGAUUGACAUGUUGGGUCUUGAAGUACUUUUUUCACACUUUUUGAAAUUUUGGUAGGUUGUGAGUUACAAACUUACACUUAAGCAUUACUUGGUGGUUUUGAAAAUUCAAGUGAUACUUACACACGUUUUGAUUAGAUUUUAGGUUAGAUUGAUUUGUUGCACUUGAUGGUCAUUUUUGGUCUUGAAAUGCUUUUUUCAACCUUUUUGGUAGAUUAUGAGUUACGAACUUACACUUGGGAUUUGCUAGGUCAUUUUUAAAACUCAAGUAAUACCUAGCCCCGUUUUGAUCAUGUUUUAGGUUGGUUUGAUCUAAGUUUGUUGCACUUGCACACUUGGUUGCCAUUUUGGGUCUCGUAGUGCUUUUUUCACACUAUUUGAACUUUUUUCGUAAGUUAUGAGUUAUGAAUCUACACGUAAGCUGUUUUAGGUCGUUUUGAAAGUUCAAGUGAAACUUAGACACGUUUUGAACUCGUUUUAGAUUGGUUUCAAACUAUGUUUUAAACACAUUUGAUUGACAUGUUGGGUCUUGAAGUACUUUUUUCACACAUAUUGAAAUUUUGGUAGGUUGUGAGUUACAAACUUACACUUAAGCAUUGCUUGGUUGUUUUGAAUAUUCAAGUGAUACUUACACACGUUUUGAAUACAUUUUAGGUUAGAUUGAGUUGGUUGCACUUGGUUGUCAUUUUUUGUCUUGAUAUGCUUUUUCAACCUUUUUGGUAGAUUAUGAGUUACGAACUUACACUUAGGAUUUGCUUGGUCGUUUGGAAAACUCAAGUAAUACAUAGACACGUUUUGAGCACGUUUUAGGUUGGUUUGCACUAAGUUUGUUGCACUUACACACUUGGUUGCCAUUUUGGGUCUUGUAGUGCUUUUUUCACAAUAUUUGAAAUUUUUUCGUAGGUUUUGAGUAAUGAACCUACACCUAAGCUUUUUUAGGUCGUUUUGAAAGUUCAAGUGAUACUUAGACACGUUUUGAACUCGUUUUAGGUUGGUUUGAAACUAAGUUUUAAACACAUUUGAUUGACAUGUUGGUCUUGAAGUACUUUUUUCACACUUUUUGAAAUUUUGGUAGGUUGUGAGUUACAAACUUACACUUAAGCAUUGCUGGGUCGUUUUGAAAAUUCAAGUGAUAGUUACACACGUUUUGAAUACAUUUUAGGUUAGAUUGAGUUUGUUGCACUUGGUUGUCAUUUUUGCUCUUGAAAUGCUUUUUUUUCAAACUUUUUGGUAGAUUAUGAGUUACGAACUUACACUUAGGAUUUGCUAGGUCGUUUUAAAAACUCAAGUAAUAGCUAGACACGUUUUGAGCACGUUUUAGGUUGGUUUGAACUAAGUUCGUUGCAUUUACACACUUGGUUGCCAUUUUGGGUCUUGUAGUGUUUUUUUCAAAAAUUUUUGAACUUUUUGCUAGGUUAUGACUUAUGAACUUGUAUUGAAUAUUUGUUAGGUCGUUUGAUAAUUCAAGUGAUACUUAGAAAAUGCAACCGAGCUUAAACAAUUCCGCUCAUUUUUCUAAAAAAUUUUAGUUUAACCUAUUUAAUAAAAUUCGAUGGAAAUUCUUGUUUUCUUUUUGUAGGAAUAAAAGGAAAUGAAAUAUAACCAAACUUGGGAUCUUUGCAAGCAAUCUUCCAUGAAGAAACUUGGCUACAAGUGGUUUGGGGUUUGGGUUUUUAGGCUUAGGGCUUUUUGGGCUUAUGACUUAGGCUUUUAGCGCUUUUAGGGCUUUUAGGGCUUAUGGCUUUAGGGUUUAGGGUAUAGGGUUUAGGGGUUUAGGGUUUAGGUUUAGGGCGCUUAGGCUUUUAGGGAUUUUAGGGCGCUUAGGGCUUUUAGGUUUUAGGGCUUAGGCUUUUAGGGAUUAUGGCUUAGGGCUUUUAGGGCUUAGCGCUUUUAGGGCUUAGGGCUUAGAGCUUAGGGCUUUAAGGGCUUUAAGGGUAUUUAGGGAUAAGGGAUUUUAGGGCUUUUAGGACAUUUAGGGCUUUUGGAGCUUUUAGGGCUUUUAGGCUUAGGGCCUUUGGCUUAGGGCUUAGGGAUUAGGGCUUGGGCUUUUAAGGCUCGGGCUUUGGGCUCUUGGGCUUUUAGGGCUUUUUAGUGCUCUUAGGGCUUUUUGGGCGGCUUAGGGCUUUUAGGGAUUAGGGCUUAUGGCUUAGGGCUUAGGGUUUUGGGCUUUUAGGGCUUGGGCUUUGGGCUUUUAGGGCUUAGGGCUUCGGGCUUAGGGCUUUUAGGCCUAGGGCUUUUAGGCCUAGGGCUUUUAGGGCUUGGGCUUUGGGCUUUUAGUGCGCCUAGAGUGUUUAAGGCGUUUAGGGCUUUUUGGGCACUUAGGGCUUAUGCCUUUUAGGGCUUAGGGCUUAGGGCUUAGGGUUUGGGCUUUGGGCUUCUAGGGCUUUUAGGGAGCUUAGGGCUUAGGGCUUUUUGGGCUUUUUGGGCUUUUUGGGCUUUUUGGGCUUUUAGGCUUAGGGCUUAGGCUUUUUAGGGCUUUUAGGUUUUAGGAUUUAAGGCUUUUAGCGCUUAGCGCUUUUAGGGCUUAGGGCUUAGGGAUUUUAGGGCUUUUAGGCCUUUUAGGGCUUAGGCCUUUUAGGGCUUAGGGAUUUUAGGGCUUUUUGGGCAUUUAGGGCUUUUUGGGCUUUUAGGGCUUACGGUUUGGGCUUUGGGCUUUGGGCUUUUAGGGCUUGAGCUUUGGGCUUUUAGGGCUUGGGCUUUGAACAGCUUGUUGACUACCCAGUUUCAGUUUUAACUGAGAAAUAUGGAACACAUUGUGGAUACUGGCUUCCGGCGGUAACAUCAAUCUGUACGCAACUGCUCCUAUUUCUUCAGUAAUUUUGUAGGGUCCGUAAUAUUUAGGUGCUAACUUUUCACACUUCUUCCGAGCCAAGGAGUGUUGCCGGUAAGGUCUCAAUUUCAAGUAGACUUCAUCUCCUACCUUAAAUGUUAACUCUCAUCUAUUUCGAUCAGCCAUUUUCUCAUCCUGUUCUGGGCUACACACAGGUGUUCUUUUAAGGCAUUGAUGGCUAAGUCACGUUCCUUCAGCAGCGUGUCAACCUCAUUAUUAGGAGUUUUCUUGUAACCAUAGGAUAACAGGGGAGGAGGCGGUCUGCGGUAUACCGUCUGGAAAGGGGUCAUUUUGGUGGAUGCAUGGAAGGUGGUAUUUGUUGAUUUUAUGGAAUUAAUCUAUAUUUCAUUCAUUACUUAAUAGAGAUACAAGCCUAUAUAUAACCAUAGAGAAAUAUACUUAAGGAAAUAAUAUCAAAUAAUAUCUCCAGAAUAAUAUCUCCUAAGAAUAAUCUAAUUAUAUUAAUACCCUCCCUCAAACUCAAGGUUGAAAUCACAAACUUGAGUUUGCUAAGAACUAAGAAAAGAAACAAUAUAUCUAGAAUAGAAUAAAAAACCCGAAGAACAAACACACAAAGAACUUCUAGGUUAGAACAAACCACGAAAAACUUCUGGGAUAGAAACAUAGAUCCUCGUAUAGAGAUCUAUAACAGAACCUAGGAAGAACGAAACAAGAACUUCGAGGGGCAAAAUGAAAGAGCAAAACUGAAGCAAAGUAGAAUCAAAGCUGGACGAAAACAGGGUCGGAAUUGGACAGAAGUGUUUUGUCGGAUCAGAUGGAACUGAACGAACUAAACUAGAGCAAGUCAGAAUCAGAUUAAACGGAAAAUCUGGGGCGAACAGAACGGAAACUGAACUGAAUGGAGCAGAGAGGCUUAGCGGAUCUGAACAAAAACAGAAUGGAGGCGUCGUUGGAUCUGGGCUUCGAUCUAAACUUCAAAGGCAGACAUGAAGAAUGGGUCUGAACGAAAUCAGACAGGUCUGGAACAGAUUGGAGGCGGACGCGAGGAUCUGAGGACAUGGGGUUUCAUGGGUUUUGUCGAGACAACAUAAGAAGAUGGAGCAACGACAACGAAACACAGCGGCGAGCGGAGCUUCUUGGACGACGGACAAAACCGAAACUCUUCGGCUGGGCGUUUGGCUUCAACUGGCAGAGGUUCAAUCGGCUGCUUGGCUAACAGAAAAACAAGAGGUCGGACGCGGACGCUAGUGAAAAACAAAUGGGGUUUCUGGGGUUUGGAUAGUGGCAGAUUUGAACAGCAAUGAGUGACAAAGGGAAGGUGCAACGACAACGGCAGAUUUGCAGAUCUAAGGGGUGGCUUCGGCUAAUGGGAGAUGAUUUUCCUCCGUUGAUGGCUAAUGAGAGAUGAUUCUGCCUCCGUUGAUGAAUGAUCAACGGAGGCAGAGAUCAAACGGGAUGUGGAGGCUAGAAUUCAAUAAGGCGAAAACCCUAGAGCUCUGAUACCAUGUUGAUUUUAUGGAAUUAAUCUAUAUUUCAUUCAUUACUUAAUAGAGAUACAAGCCUAUAUAUAACCAUAGAGAAAUAUACUUAAGGAAAUAAUAUCAAAUAAUAUCUCCAGAAUAAUAUCUCCAGAAUAAUAUCUCCUAAGAAUAAUCUAAUUAUAUUAAUAGUAUUAUACCACAAUUCUGCCCAUAGAAUCAGUUUAUCCCGUUUUUUUUUGUUGUUCAUUACAAAAACAUCGCAGAUAGGUUUCGAGACAUCUAUUUACCCUUUUUGUCUGCCCAUCAGUUUGUGACUGAAACGCGGUACUCCUCUUUAGAAUAGUUCCCAUAGUUGCAAACAGUUCCUUCCAAAAAUUACUAAGAAAGAUUUUAUCCCGAUCUGUGAUAAUCGACAAAAUAGUAAGCAACUUGUAAGAGUUGUUGCACUUGAUUGGUUUCAAACUAUGUUUUAAACACAUUUCAUUGAUGAAGUACUUUUUUCACACUUUUUGAAAUUUUGGUAGGUUGUGAGUUACAAACUUACACUUAAGCAUUGCUUGGUCGUUUUGAAAAUUCAAGUGAUACUUCCACACGUUUUGAAUACAUUUUAGGUUAGAUUGAGUUUGUUGCACUUGGUUGUCAUUUUUGGUCGUGAAAUGCCUUUUUCACCUUUUUGGUAGAUUAUGAGUUACGAACUUACACUUAGGAUUUGCUAGAUCGUUUUGAAAACUCAAGUACUACCUAGACACGUUUUGAGCAUGUUUUAGGUCGGUUUGAACUAAGCUUGUUGCCCUUAAACACUUGGUUGCCAUUUUGGGUCUUGUAGUGCUUUUUUCACACUAUUUGAACUUUUUUCGUAAGUUAUCAGUUAGGAAUCUACACGUAAGCUGUUUUAGGUCGUUUUGAAAGUUCAAGUGAAACUUAGACACGUUUUGAACUCGUUUUAGGUUUGUUUGAAACUAAAUUUUAAACACAUUUCAUUGACAUGUUGGGUCUUGAAGUACUUUUUUCACACUUUUUAAAAUUUUGGUAGGUUGUGAGUUACAAACUUACACUUAAGCAUUACUUGGUCGUUUUGAAAAUUCAAGUGAUACUUACACACGUUUUGAUUACAUUUUAGGUUAGAUUGAGUUGUUGCACUUGAUGGUCAUUUUUGGUCUUGAAAUGCUUUUUUCAACAUUUUUGGUACAUUAUGAGUUACGAACUUACACUUAGGAUCUGCUAGGUCGUUUUGAAAACUCAAGUAGUACCUAGACACGUUUUGAGCAUGUUUUAGGUUGGUUUGAACUAAGUUUGUUGCACUUACACACUUAGUUGCCAUUUUGGGUCUUGUAGUGCUUUUUUCACACUAUUUGAACUUUUUUCGUAAGUUAUGAGUAAUGAAUCUACACGUAAGCUGUUUUAGGUUGUUUUGAAAUUUGAAGUGAAACGUAGACACCUUUUGAACAUGUUUUAGGUUGGUUUGAAACUAACUUUUAAACACAUUUGAUUGACAUGUUGGGUCUUGAAGUACUUUUUUCACACUUUUUGAAAUUUUGGUAGGUUGUGAGUUACAAACUUACACUUAAGCAUUACUUGGUGGUUUUGAAAAUUCAAGUGAUACUUACACACGUUUUGAUUAGAUUUUAGGUUAGAUUGAUUUGUUGCACUUGAUGGUCAUUUUUGGUCUUGAAAUGCUUUUUUCAACCUUUUUGGUAGAUUAUGAGUUACGAACUUACACUUAGGAUUUGCUAGGUCGUUUUUAAAACUCAAGUAAUACCUAGCCACGUUUUGAUCAUGUUUUAGGUUGGGUUGAUCUAAGUUUGUUGCACUUGCACACUUGGUUGCCCUUUUGGGUAUUGUAGUGCUUUUUUCACACUAUUUGAACUUUUUUCGUAAGUUAUGAGUUAUGAAUCUACACGAAAGUUGUUUUAGGUCGUUUUGAAAGUUGAAGUGAAACUUAGACACGUUUUGAACUCGUUUUAGAUUGGUUUCAAACUAUGUUUUAAACACAUUUGAUUGACAUGUUGGGUCUUGAAGUUCUUUUUUCACACUAUUGAAAUUUUGGUAGGUUGUGAGUUACAAACUUACACUUAAGCAUUGCUUGGUCGUUUUGAAUAUUCAACUGAUACUUACACACGUUUUGAAUACAUUUUAGGUUAGAUUGAGUUUGUUGCACUUGGUUGUCAUUUUUGGUCUUGAAAUGCCGUUUUCAACCUUUUUGGUAGAUUAUGAGUUACGAACUUACACUUAGGAUUUGCUAGGUCGUUUUGAAAACUCAAGUAGUACCUAGACACGUUUUGAGCAUGUUUUAGGUUGGUUUGAACUAAGUUUGUUGCACUUACACACUUAGUUGCCAUUUUGGGUCUUGUAGUGCUUUUUUCACACUAUUUGAACUUUUUUCGUAAGUUAUGAGUUAUGAAUCUACACGUAAGCUGUUUUAGGUUGUUUUGAAAGUUGAAGUGAACUUAGACACGUUUUGAACAUGUUUUAGGUUGGUUUGAAACUAACUUUUAAACACAUUUGAUUGACAUGUUGGGUGUUGAAGUACUUUUUUCACACUUUUUGAAAUUUUGGUAGGUUGUGAGUUACAAACUUACACUUAAGCAUUACUUGGUGUUUUGAAAAUUCAAGUGAUACUUACACACGUUUUGAAUACAUUUUAGGUUAGAUUGAUUUGUUGCACUUGAUGGUCAUUUUUGGUCUUGAAAUGCUUUUUUCACCUUUUUGGUAGAUUAUGAGUUACGAACUUACACUUAGGAUUUGCUAGGUCGUUUUUAAAACUCAAGUAAUACCUAGCCACGUUUUGAGCAUGUUUUAGGUUGGUUUGAUCUAAGUUUGUUGCACUUGCACACUUGGUUGCCAUUUGGGUCUUGUAGUGCUUUUUUCACACUAUUUGAACUUUUUUCGUAAGUUAUGAGUUACGAAUCUACACGUAAGCUGUUUUAGGUCGUUUUGAAAGUUCAAGUGAAACUUAGACACGUUUUGAACUCGUUUUAGAUUGGUUUCAAACUAUAUUUUAAACACAUUUGAUUGACAUGUUGGGUCUUGAAGUACUUUUUUCACACAUUUGAAAUUUUGGUAGGUUGUGAGUACAAACUUACACUUAAGCAUUGCUUGGUCAUUUUGAAAAUUCAAGUGAUACUUACACACGUUUUGAAUACAUUUUAGGUUAGAUUGAGUUUGUUGCACUUGGUUGUCAUUUUUGGUCUGAAAUGCUUUUUUCAACCUUUUUGGUAGAUUAUGAGUUACGAACUUACACUUAGGAUUUGCUAGGUCGUUUUGAAAACUCAAGUAUACCUAGACACGUUUUGAGCAUGUUUUAGGUCGGUUUGAACUAAGUUUGUUGCCUUACACACUUGGUUGCCAUUUUGGGUCUUUAGUGCUUUUUUCCACUAUUUGAACUUUUUUCGUAAGUUAUGAGUUAGAAUCUACACGUAAGCUUUUUAGGUCGUUUUGAAAGUUCAAGUGAACUUAGACACGUUUUGAACUCGUUUUAGGUUUGUUUGAAACUAAGUUUUAAACACAUUUCAUUGACAUGUUGGGUCUUGAAGUACUUUUUUCACACUUUUUGAAAUUUUGGUAGGUUGUGAGUUACAAACUUACACUUAAGCAUUACUUGUGUUUUGAAAAUUCAAGUGAUACUUACACACGUUUUGAAUUACAUUUUAGGUUAGAUUGAUUUGUUGCACUUGAUGUCAUUUUUGGUCUUGAAAUGCUUUUUUCACCUUUUUGGUAGAUUAUGAGUUACGAACUUACACUUAGGAUUUGCUAGGUCGUUUUUAAAACUCAAGUAAUACCUAGCCACGUUUUGAUCAUGUUUUAGGUUGGUUGAUCUAAGUUUGUUGCACUUGCACACAUGGUUGCCCUUUUGGGUAUUGUAGUGCUUUUUUCACACUAUUUGAACUUUUUUCGUAGUUAUGAGUUAUGAAUCUACACGAAAGUUGUUUUAGGUCGUUUUGAAAGUUGAAGUGAAACUUAGACACGUUUUGAACUCGUUUUAGAUUGGUUUCAAACUAUGUUUUAAACACAUUUGAUUGACAUGUUGGGUCUUGAAGUUCUUUUUUCACACAUAUUGAAAUUUUGGUAGGUUGUGAGUUACAAACUUACACUUAAGCAUUGCUUGGUCGUUUUGAAUAUUCAACUGAUACUUACACACGUUUUGAAUACAUUUUAGGUUAGAUUGAGUUUGGUUGCACUUGGUUGUCAUUUUUGGUCUUGAAAUGCUUUUUCAACCUUUUUGGUAGAUUAUGAGUUACGAACUUACACUUAGGAUUUGCUAGGUCGUUUUGAAAACUCAAGUAGUACCUAGACACGUUUUGAGCAUGUUUUAGGUUGGUUUGAACUAAGUUUGUUGCACUUACACACUUGGUUGCCAUUUUGGGUCUUGUAGUGCUUUUUUCACACUAUUUGAACUUUUUUCGUAAGUUAUGAGUUAUGAAUCUACACGUAAGCUGUUUUAGGUUGUUUUGAAAGUUCAAGUGAUACUUAGACACCUUUUGAACUCGUUUUAGGUUGGUUUGAAACUAACUUUUAAACACAUUUGAUUGACAUGUUGGGUGUUGAAGUACUUUUUUCACACUUUUUGAAAUUUUGGUAGGUUGUGAGUUACAAACUUACACUUAAGCAUUACUUGGUGGUUUUGAAAAUUCAAGUGAUACUUACACACGUUUUGAUUACAUUUUAGGUUAGAUUGAUUUGUUGCACUUGAUGGUCAUUUUUGGUCUUGAAAUGCUUUUUUCAACCUUUUUGGUAGAUUAUGAGUUACGAACUUACACUUAGGAUUUGCUAGGUCGUUUUUAAAACUCAAGUAAUACCUAGCCACGUUUUGAUCAUGUUUUAGGUUGGUUUGAUCUAAGUUUGUUGCACUUGCACACUUGGUUGCCAUUUUGGGUCUUGUAGUGCUUUUUUCACACUAUUUGAACUUUUUUCGUAAGUUAUGAGUUAUGAAUCUACACGUAAGCUGUUUUAGGUCGUUUUGAAAGUUCAAGUGAAACUUAGACACGUUUUGAACUCGUUUUAGAUUGGUUUCAAACUAUAUUUUAAACACAUUUCAUUGACAUGUUGGGUCUUGAAGUACUUUUUUCACACAUAUUGAAAUUUUGGUAGGUUGUGAGCUACAAACUUACACUUAAGCAUUGCUUGGUCAUUUUGAAAAUUCAAGUGAUACUUACACACGUUUUGAAUACAUUUUAGGUUAGAUUGAGUUUGUUGCACUUGGUUGUCAUUUUUGGUCGUGAAAUGCCUUUUUCAACCUUUUUGGUAGAUUAUGAGUUACGAACUUACACUUAGGAUUUGCUAGGUCGUUUUGAAAACUCAAGUAACUACUAGACACGUUUUGAGACAUGUUUUAGGUCGGUUUGAACUAAGCUUGUUGCCUUACACACUUGGUUGCCAUUUUGGGUCUUGUAGUGCUUUUUUCCCACUAUUUGAACUUUUUUCGUAAGUUAUCAGUUAGGAAUCUACACGUAAGCUGUUUUAGGUCGUUUUGAAAGUUCAAGUGAAACUUAGACACGUUUUGAACUCGUUUUAGGUUUGUUUGAAACUAAAUUUUAAACACAUUUCAUUGACAUGUUGGAUCUUGAAGUACUUUUUUCACACUUUUUGAAAUUUUGGUAGGUUGUGAGUUACAAACUUACACUUAAGCAUUACUUUGUGGUUUUGAAAAUUCAAGUGAUACUUACACACGUUUUGAUUAGAUUUUAGGUUAGAUUGAUUUGUUGCACUUGAUGGUCAUUUUUGGUCUUGAAAUGCUUUUUUCAACCUUUUUGGUAGAUUAUGAGUUACGAACUUACACUUGGGAUUUGCUAGGUCAUUUUUAAAACUCAAGUAAUACCUAGCCCCGUUUUGAUCAUGUUUUAGGUUGGUUUGAUCUAAGUUUGUUGCACUUGCACACUUGGUUUCCAUUUUGGGUCUUGUAGUGCUUUUUUCACACUAUUUGAACUUUUUUCGUAAGUUAUGAGUUAUGAAUCUACACGUAAGCUGUUUUAGGUCGUUUUGAAAGUUCAAGUGAAACUUAGACACGUUUUGAACUCGUUUUAGAUUGGUUUCAAACUAUGUUUUAAACACAUUUGAUUGACAUGUUGGGUCUUGAAGUACUUUUUUCACACAUAUUGAAAUUUUGGUAGGUUGUGAGUUACAAACUUACACUUAAGCAUUGCUUGGUAGUUUUGAAUAUUCAAGUGAUACUUACACAGUUUGAAUCAUUUUAGUUAGAUUGAGUUGGUUGCACUUGGUUGUCAUUUUUGUCUUGAUAUGCUUUUUUCAACCUUUUUGUGAUUAUGAGUUACGAACUUACACUUAGGAUUGCUUGGUCGUUUUAAAACUCAAGUAAUACAUAACACGUUUUGAGCAUUUUAGGUUGGUUUGCACUAAGUUUGUUGCACUUACACACUUGUUGCCAUUUGGGUCUUGUAGUGCUUUUUCACAAUAUUUGAAAUUUUUUCGUAGGUUUUGAGUAAUGAACCUACACCUAAGCUUUUUUAGGUCGUUUUGAAAGUUCAAGUGAUACUUAGACACGUUUUGAACUUGUUUUAGGUUGGUUUGAAACUAAGUUUUAAACACAUUUGAUUGACAUGUUGGUCUUGAAGUACUUUUUUCACACUUUUUGAAAUUUUGGUAGGUUGUGAGUUACAAACUUACACUUAAGCAUUGCUGGGUCGUUUUGAAAAUUCAAGUGAUAGUUACACACGUUUUGAAUACAUUUUAGGUUAGAUUGAGUUUGUUGCACUUGGUUGUCAUUUUUGCUCUUGAAAUGCUUUUUUUCAAACUUUUUGGUAGAUUAUGAGUUACGAACUUACACUUAGGAUUUGCUAGGUCGUUUUGAAAACUCAAGUAAUAGCUAGACACGUUUUGAGCACGUUUUAGGUUGGUUUGAACUAAGUUCGUUGCAUUUACACACUUGGUUGCCAUUUUGGGUCUUGUAGUGUCUUUUUCAAAAAUUUUGAACUUUUUGCUAGGUUAUGACUUAUGAACUUGUAUUGAAUAUUUGUUAGGUCGUUUUGAUAAUUCAAGUGAUACUUAGAAAAUGCAACCGAGCUUAAACAAUUCCGCUCAUUUUUCUAAAAAUUUUAGUUUAACCUAUUUAAUAAAAUUCGAUGGAAAUUCUUGUUUUCUUUUUGUAGGAAUAAAAGGAAAUGAAAUAUAACCAAACUUGGGAUCUUUGCAAGCAAUCUUCCAUGAAGAAACUUGGCUACAAGUGGUUGGGGUUUGGUUUUUAGGCUUAGGGCUUUUUGGGCUUAUGACUUAGGGCUUUUAGCGCUUUUAGGGCUUUUAGGGCUUAUGGCUUUAGGGUUUAGGGUAUAGGGUUUAGGGGUUUAGGGUUUAGGGUUUAGGGCGCUUAGGCUUUUAGGGAUUUUAGGCGCUUAGGGCUUUAGGUUUUAGGGCUUAGGGCUUUUAGGGAUUAUGGCUUAGGGCUUUUAGGGCUUAGCGCUUUUAGGGCUUAGGGCUUAGAGCUUAGGGCUUUAAGGGCUUUAAGGGUAUUUAGGGAUAAGGGAUUUUAGGGCUUUUAGGACAUUUAGGGCUUUUGGAGCUUUUAGGGCUUUUAGGGCUUUUAGGGCUUUUAGUGCUCUUAGGGCUUUUUGGGCGCUUAGGGCUUUUAGGGAUUAGGGCUUAUGGCUUAGGGCUUAGGGUUUGGGCUUUUAGGGCUUGGGCUUUGGGCUUUUAGGGCUUAGGGCUUCGGGCUUAGGGCUUUUAGGGCUUGGGCUUUGGGCUUUUAGUGCGCCUAGAGUGUUUAAGGCGUUUAGGGCUUUUUGGCACUUAGGGCUUAUGCCUUUUAGGGCUUAGGGCUUAGGGCUUAGGGUUUGGGCUUUGGGCUUCUAGGGCUUUUAGGGAGCUUAGGGCUUAGGGCUUUUUGGGCUUUUUGGGCUUUUUGGGCUUUUUGGGCUUUUAGGGCUUAGGGCUUAGGCUUUUAGGGCUUUUAGGUUUUAGGAUUUAAGGCUUUUAGCGCUUAGCGCUUUUAGGGCUUAGGGCUUAGGGAUUUUAGGGCUUUUAGGCCUUUUAGGGCUUAGGCCUUUUAGGGCUUAGGGAUUUUAGGGCUUUUUGGGCAUUUAGGGCUUUUUGGGCUUUUAGGGCUUACGGUUUGGGCUUUGGGCUUUGGGCUUUUAGGGCUUUUAGGGCUUGAGCUUUGGGCUUUUAGGGCUUGGGCUUUGAACAGCUUGUUGACUACCCAGUUUCAGUUUUAACUGAGAAAUAUGGAACACAUUGUGGAUACUGGCUUCCGGCGGUAACAUCAAUCUGUACGCAACUGCUCCUAUUUCUUCAGUAAUUUUGUAGGGUCCGUAAUAUUUAGGUGCUAACUUUUCACACUUCUUCCGAGCCAAGGAGUGUUGCCGGUAAGGUCUCAAUUUCAAGUAGACUUCAUCUCCUACCUUAAAUGUUAACUCUCAUCUAUUUCGAUCAGCCAUUUUCUUCAUCCUGUUCUGGGCUACACACAGGUGUUCUUUUAAGGCAUUGAUGGCUAAGUCACGUUCCUUCAGCAGCGUGUCAACCUCAUUAUUAGGAGUUUUCUUGUAACCAUAGGAUAACAGGGGAGGAGGCGGUCUGCGGUAUACCGUCUGGAAAGGGGUCAUUUUGGUGGAUGCAUGGAAGGUGGUAUUAUACCACAAUUCUGCCCAUAGAAUCAGUUUAUCCCGUUUUUUUUGGUUGUUCAUUACAGAAACAUCGCAGAUAAGUUUCGAGACAUCUAUUUACCCUUUUUGUCUGCCCAUCAGUUUGUGACUGAAACGCGGUACUCCUCUUUAGAAUAGUUCCCAUAGUUGCAAACAGUUCCUUCCAAAAAUUACUAAGAAAGAUUUUAUCCCGAUCUGUGAUAAUCGACAAAAUUACUUAGGAUAAUCGCCUAGUAGGUCUUUAGAAUAGUUCCCAUCAGCCGUGCUUGCUUACUAUUUUGUCGAUGAAUAUGGAAGCAACUUGCUUGGCUGAAAACGGAUGUCUCAAUGAUAUAAAGUAAGAAUACUUACUCAGCCGAUCAACUACCACCAUGAUCACAUUAACCCUCCAGCUAGUGGCAACCCCUCAAUAAAGUCCAUGGUCCAAUCUUCUAAGAUUCUGUCAGGAAUUGGAAUUGGUUGAAGUACCCCAGCUGGUUUGGUUGCUUCGUAUUUGUUUCUCUGGCAGAUCUCGCAUUGUUCCACAUAUUUCUUUAUUUCAGCCUUCAUACCCCUCCAAUAUAGUUCUCCACUGACCCUCUUGUAAGUUCUUUAAAAAUCCAGAAUGUCCCCCGAGGAUAGAAUCGUGGAAAGUAUGUAGGAUCUUGGGUAUAAGUGUAGAAGUUUGAGAUACUACCAUUCUCCCCUUAUAGAGCAAUCUUCCUUUUUCCACUUGAAACUUGCUUCCUUCUGCAUUUUUCUUCAGAUUUUCCAUAAUUUUCUUAAGUUCAGCAUCAUUCUCAACUUCCUGCUCGAUUAGUUUCACAUCAAUGAUUCCAGUAGUUGUCAAGCUGUGCAGCUCCACCGGUUGCUCCAUUCUAGAUAGGGCGUCCGCUGCCUUGUUCUGAAGUCUGGGUUGAUAUAAAAUCUCGAAAUCAUAUCCAAGGAGCUUUGUCAACCAUUUCUGGAAUUGGGGUUGUACCUCUCUCUGUUCAAGCAAGAAUUUAAGAGCCUUUUGAUCUGAAAGUAUGGUGAACUUCCUGCCCAGCAAAUAAUAUCCUGUCAGUCCUAAGAAGCCCCGCAGACCAGAUAUAUUCGUUGGUGGUGGCCAAUUAAUCAUCUUCUUGAUCUUAUCCUCAUCUGCCUCAACUCCUCUUUUGGAUAUCAUAUGUCCCAAGUACUGUAUUUGAGAAUGGGCUAUAACGCUUUUUUUUUUUUUGUUAGCAAACAGCUGCUUAUCCUUAAAAACAUUGAAUACCAUGCCCAAAUCCUUUGCGUGUUCAUCUAUAUCCGCACGAUAAACCAGUAUAUCAUCAAAGAACACCAAAACACAGCGCCGAAGGAAAGGUUUAAAUACCGGGUUCAUCAAAGAUUAGAAGGUUGCCGGAGCAUUCGUGAGACCAAACGGCAUUACUAGAAACUCAUAGUGCCCUUCAUGUGUGCAGAACGCAGUUUUCUCCACAUCUUCCUCUUUCAUUCUAAUCUGGUGAUAACCAGAUUUCAGAUCUAAUUUCGAGAAAAUCGUUGCCCCAUUCAGCUCAUCUAAUAAUUCCUCUAUCACAGGAAUUGGGAAGUUAUCCGAUACUGUCGCCUGAUUUAACUUGCGGUAAUCGACACAAAAUCGCAAUCCACCAUCUUUUUUCUUCACUAACAACACCGGGCUGGAGUAAGGGCUAUGACUAGGGCGAAUAACCCCGGCUUGAAGCAUCUCGACCACCAGUUUUUCUAUUUCUUCUUUCUGCACAUGACCGUAUUUGUAAGGUCUUACGUUGAUAGGUUUAUGGUCAGGUAGGGUUAAUAUUCGAUGAUCAAUAGCUCUUUUUGGAGGUAAUUUCUUAGGUGUCUCAAAUAUCUCCGCAUAAUACUUGAGCAGGGAUCGGAUCAUAGGUAUUUCCUCCUCAUCUCCUUUUAAUCUUGUCCCCAUUUCAUAUUCAUUCUCUACUUCCAUCUCAUAAUUCUGGAAUUCUAAGAGGAAGCCUUGAUCUUCUAUAUCCCACGUUUUUUCCAAUGUCUUCAAAGAACAUUCAGGUUUCACUAAGGAUGGAUCUCCUCUUAACACGAUUUGCUUGUCUUUUGCCCAAAAGGUCAUGGUUAAUGAUGGCCAAUGUACCUUCAUUGUGCCGGUGGUAUCUAGCCAUUGCAUCCCUAAAAUCACGUCAAUAUUUCCUAGUUCCACCACUAGAAAAUCAGUUAUAACUGUCGUUUCUUUCAAUCUCAGUUCCACCUUUCUGCAAAUACCUUUCCCUUUACAGCGGGUCCCGUCUCCAAUAGUCACUCCAAAUUGUGUACCGGGUUCAAUGUUCAACCCUCCUACCAUUGCCACUGCUUCAUGGAUGAAGUUGUUCGUAGCUCCACUGUCGAUGAGAAUCACCACCUCCCUUCCUUUUACAUGCCCCUUCAGUUUCAUUGUCCCUUUGGAUGUUAACCCCGUGAGUGUCUUCAAUUCAAUUUCGGUGGUUUCAGCAACAACUAACUGGUUCAGCUCCAUUACUUCUUCGGUCUCUUCCAUUUUGACUUCCUCUCCGCCACUCUCUUCUUCGUUAAGUAUAAAUAACAUUAAUUCCCUUUUCUCUCUCAUCUUGCAUCGGUGUCCCGGUGAGUACUUCUCAUUGCAUCUAAAACACAAACCCUUGUCCAAUCUUGCUCUGAAUUCCGUGUCCGAGAGUCUUUUAACUGGAGGUUCAUUUUUCUGGUAGUUUCCUUUAAUGGGAAAAGUGACUUGCUUCAUGGGGAACUCAGUCUUCUUUGGUGAACUUUUAUCUUGACUGCUUUGUCCCUUGCUUGAGCCUCCUCCUUCCCUAGUCACACUGUUUACUCAUUCUGCCUUGGCUAAUUUCAAGGCUAGGUUUCUGUCACUUACCAGUUGUGCGUCCUUCAUACAUUCCUCUAAGGUUUGAGGAUGUCUACUAAUAACUUCUGCUUGAAGAGCCGAUUCUAAACCUGUCACGAAUGCAUCUAAGAGCACGCUUUCAGCCAUGUGCGGUAGUGGUGCAGAAUAUUGUACAAAUUUCUUGACAUAAUCAUUAUAGGAUCCAUCUUGUUCUAUUCGAAUCAGCCUUGCACCUAAGCUCUUCUGCCCAGAAUCUCGAAAAAAUUCAAACAUCCUUACCUUCAAAUCUUCCCAUCCUUCCACCUUCUUUCUAUGGUUACUCCAACGGUACCAAUCGAUUUCAUCUUGUCCAAAACUAACCACUGCUACUUUCACUUUUUCUGCUUCCGGUAGGCUAUUAAUUUCGAAAAAAUGCUCAGCUCUAAACACCCAUGACUCAGGAUUUUCCCGGUGAAAAUCGGCAUUUCCAGUUUCUUAUAUUUGCUUUGUCUCGGUCGACAGUUACUACAUUGUUUUCCCCUGGAUUGUCGGCUUCUUCCCAUUUUCCUUUUAACUUCAUGACUGAUCCAUCAGAAGUUCCGGAUUCAUCUCGCCUUUUGUAGCUGCUGUUUUCUUUCAUUUCAUCAGCCAGUCUAUCCAUGGAUUUCUUCAUUUCCAGAAUCAUUUCCUUCAAUCCCAGUAUUUCUUUCUCUGUUCCAGCUGUUCUUUCUUCUAUUUGCCUUUGCGCCAUCAGUCGCGUCACCACCCCCAACGUUUGGGCUCUGAUACCAGUUGUAGAGACUCCACAAAUAAAAUACUAAAUUACCCAAACAGUUGGCAAACAGAGACAGCACUCUGUAGAUCUUUAUUUAUAUAUAAAUGCCAAAAGAUACAGUAGAAGGAAAUAUAAAAGAAAGCAAUAAAGAUGAUAACAUCAUGUCAAACCUCCCCACGAAAAGAUAGUAGUCCUUCCUAGACCUAGCAGCCUCUAUAGACCAAAUGAAGACAAGAAGUUAACCUAGCCCCCAAUCCCGAUAAGGCCUUAUUUAUAACUCUUUUCUCAUUCUUCCCCGUGGGACCCACUCUCAUGUUCUUUUCCUAAUAUUCUCCCCUUUUCUGCUGCCUGAGCUUUUACGUUUUUACCCCUCCUUUUGUAUGUAUGGAUAAUAGGGGCCUUACAAAUUUCUUCCAACACUAUGAAACAUUUAUGUUAUAGUUUUAUUAUUGUUAAACAUCAUUGUAAUUUCCAAACACAACUCUGCCAAAGUUCCCAAGAUAGUUCUAUAGCAAUGUUCCACUGCUAUCUUGCAAGUGAUGUGGAACUCCUUUGCUUUUUUGAAUAGUAAGCUGGCCUUCCUCUUUUGUUAUGCUUUGUUUUAUUCUUAAUACUUGCUUUUAUCUUCGCCUAUUUCAUUCCUAGUUGAUAUAUUACAUAGUCCUCUUAAAUCUACAUUCUUUUUCUGUUUUAUGAUUCACUUGAGUUUAAUGACUAACUUUGGCGAAAUAAUGUUUAACUAUAUUAGAUGUUUUGCAUCUAAACCUCAAUUGAAAAGGUUUGUUACCUGUAUCAUUAUAAGGUUUCCAUGAUUUGUUACCUGUAUCAUUAAAAAUAUUGGGUCGGGUGCAUUUGCUUACACACCAUUCCAUGGCCAGCAGCAGAGGUUGUACUCUACGAUUCAAUUCCUUUCCUAAUCACAAUUUUGAUAGAUUUGUUUCUGAAAAACAAUAUUUAACUUCCUAUUUUUUUGUUUUUUGAUAAAUCUAUUAGUAUAUUUGAUGUAAACUAUAGCUAGUUAGUUAGUAAAAAUCCCUAACUAAUUAGAAAUACAGCUGUAACUAACUUCCUAAAACAGUCUUGUAACUAACUAAAUAAAACAACCUUGUAACUAACUUGUAACUAACUUGUAACUAACCUUGAGAUAUCAAUAUAUAACAGUCUCCUAGCCUGAAAUAUGGCAGAGAAUUCUUUUGAAAAAUCAAUCCAACUUGAAUUACAUCAAAUUGGUAUCAGAGCAGCCCCGAUUCUUGGACGGAAUGGCUGGCCGAAGAGUUAACAACCCUGCCACGGGGGAAAACCGUGUGCAAGAAGCGGCGGAGGAAAUCACCGUCCUCUCUCCAAAGACAUCAACAGUUCGCUUGCUGGCUGUUGAAGAAUCUUUGGGAGAUCUCCACAACAAAUUUGAUAGGUUGAUGGAAAGUGUCGAACUGUUAAACCGAAGAGGAGAAUUCCCACAGCCACCACCACGGAAUGAAAUUAACUUCCAAAACGACCAACGUUUUGGUGAAGCAAGAGGCCGGCGAGCAAGGGGAUACAUUAGAAACAUGAACAACCCACGAGGACUUCAAAGAAGGAGACCCGGUUACGCUAUACAGCAACAACUUGACGAAGACUUUCAAGAAGAUCAAGAAGCUUGGCAAGAAACCCAAGAAGAUGAUUCUUCAAGCGGGGAUGAACAAGGAAACAUGUGGAACUUCAAUGAUGAAGCACGAGCAGGAAGAAAUAACCGAAGAAUUGAGGCCAGAAGAGGAGAAUACCACGAUUAUAAGAUGAAGAUUGACCUUCCCAUGUAUGAUGGCAAACGAAACAUAGAAGCAUUCUCGGACUGGAUAAAGAGUACUGAAAACUUCUUCAACUACAUGGAUACGCCUGAACGCAAGAAAGUCCACCUGGUAGCCUUAAAAUUAAGGGCUGGUGCAUCAGCUUGGUAGGAUCAGUUAGAAAUCAAUAGACAAAGAUGCGGGAAACAACCGGUUCGCUCAUGGGAAAAGAUGAAAAAAUUGCUGAAGGCAAGAUUCUUACCACCAAACUACGAACAAACUUUAUACAAUCAGUACCAAAACUGCCGCCAAGGUGUCCGGACAGUAGCUGAGUACAUUGAAGAAUUCCACCGCCUGAGUGCAAGAACAAACCUAAGCGAAAAUGAACAGCACCAGGUUGCAAGAUUUGUGGGAGGCCUUCGAUUCGACAUCAAGGAAAAGGUCAGACUACAACCAUUCCGUUUCCUAUCUGAAGCAAUAUCAUUUGCAGAAACGGUAGAGGAGAUGAUUGCAAUCCGAUCCAAGAAUCUAAAUAGAAGAUCAGCAUGGGAAACAAAUUCGACAAAAAGCAAAACAAACGACCAACCUUCAACCUCAACAAAAGCAAAAGGGAAAGAGAUUGAUAAUCAAGAAGUAGCCGUUGAAAGAAAGAAAGAACAGACGUUCAAGCCUAGUGGUCAGAACAGCUACUCCCGCCCGUCAUUAGGAAAAUGCUUCCGAUGUGGCCAAACUGGCCACCUGUCCAACAACUGUCCGCAAAGAAAAACCAUUGCAAUAGCCGAAGAAGGAGGACAGACAAGUGAAGACAGUAUAGAAGCAGAGGAAGAAACUGAACUGAUUGAAGCAGAUGAUGGGGAAAGGGUCUCUUGUGUUAUCCAACGGUUACUAAUUACGCCCAAGGAAGAAAAGAACCUGCAACGCCACUGUCUUUUCAAGACAAGAUGCACCAUAAACGGAAGAGUAUGUGAGGUAAUCAUAGACAGCGGCAGCAGCGAAAACUUCGUAGCAAAGAAAUUAGUAACAGUCUUGAAUCUAAAGGCUGAAGCACAUAUGAGUUUCAAUGGAUGGGAAGAAAGGUAGUCUUACUCCCUAUAACGAAAAAGAUUAACGAAGGGUUAAGAGGUGAGAAACAGUUAUUCAUCACUGUUAGUGGGAAAAACAUGCUUAAAGAAAGGGAAGAAGACAUCCUAGGACUGGUUGUUAUUGAAAAAACCAAAGAAAAACAGGUUGAAGACAUAGAACCCAAAUUACAGCAGCUCCUUCAUGAGUUCCCUCAUAUAAAGGAAGAACCGAAGGGACUCCCACCCCUUCGAGAUAUACAGUACCACGUAGACUUGAUUCCGGGAGCAUCACUACCAAAUUUGGCUCACUAUAGGAUGAGCCCCCAGGAGUACAAAAUACUUCAUGAUCAUAUUGAGGAAUUACUAAAGAAAGGGCACAUCAAACCUAGCCUCAGCCCGUGUGCAGUACCAGCACUUCUCACGCCAAAGAAAGAUGGAAGCUGGAGAAUGUGCGUUGACAGCAGAGCCAUCAACCGCAUCACGGUAAAGUAUAGAUUUCCCAUUCCAAGGAUUAGUGACCUGCUAGAUCAACUCGGUAAAGCCAGUAUCUUUUCGAAAAUUGACUUGAAAAGUGGCUAUCAUCAAAUACGGGUAAGACCUGGCGACGAAUGGAAGACAGCCCUCAAGACAAACGAAGGAUUAUUUGAAUGGAUGGUCAUGCCAUUCGGCCUUUCUAAUGCACCCAGCACCUUCAUGAGAUUGAUGAACCAGGUACUUCACCCAUUUCUCAACAAAUUCAUAGUAGUUUACUUCGAUGACAUACUUGUUUACAGCACAAACAAUGAUGAGCAUUUACUACACCUAAGGAAGCUGUUUCAAGUCUUAACAGAGGCGGAACUCUACAUAAAUACUAAGAAAAGCAUGUUUAUGAAAAAAGAAAUUGCAUUCCUCGGCUUUAUAAUCAAACAAGGAAGCAUAAGCAUGGAACCAAAGAAAAUCGAAGCCAUCCAUACAUGGCCGACUCCUGCCUCCAUUAAAGAAAUACAAGCCUUCCUCGGCCUGGCUUCGUUUUACAGGAAAUUCAUCAGAAAUUUCAGCUCUUUAGCCGCACCACUAACUGACUGUCUAAAGAAAGGAAACUUCAAAUGGACCCCAUUACAACAAGAAAGCUUUGAAGAUAUCAAAAAGAAGCUCACAUCCAGCCCUAUCCUUAAAUUACCAGAUUUCUCUUCACCUUUUGAAGUAGCAGUUGAUGCAUGCUGUACAGGGAUUGGAGCUGUCCUAGUACAACAAGGACAUCCUAUCGAAUACUUCAGUGAAAAACUCAGCACCGCAAGACAGACCUGGAGCACAUACGAACAAGAGCUGUAUGCCCUCGUCCGAGCACUAGAACAAUGGGAACACUACCUGAUCUCUAAAGAAUUUGUACUCCUAACUGACCAUUUCUCACUAAAAUACUUUCAAGCUCAAAAGAAUAUCAGUAGGAUGCAGCACGCUGGAUAUCCUUCCUCCAAAGGUUUGACUUCGUGAUCAAACACCAAUCAGGCAAAGAGAACAAGGUGGCCGAUGCUCUAAGCAGAAAAGGCUCCCUACUCACAAUACUGUCCUCGGAAAUCAUAGCAUUCAAACAUUUACCCGACUUAUACGAAGGUGAUACUGACUUCAAGGAUAUCUGGUACAAAUGCUCCAACUUCUUAGACGCUGAUGACUACCACAUUGUUGAAGGAUAUCUAUUUAAAGGAGAACAAUUAUGCAUCCCGCACACCUCACUACGUGAAGCCUUAAUAAAGGAAGCACAUUCUGGAGGGCUAGCUGGACAUUUCGGACAGAACAAGACAUUGGAGAUCACUUCCAAACGAUACUACUGGCCGCAAAUAAGAAAAGACUCCAAUAAUUUCGUAAAAAGAUGCCCCAUCUGCCAAAGAACCAAAGGCUCCAGCACGAAUCCAGGAUUAUACUCGCCACUACCCAUCCCGACCUCAAUUUGGGAAGAUUUAUCAAUUGACUUCGUGAUUGGAUUACCAAAAACACAAAGACAAUUUGACUCAAUAAUGGUCAUAGUGGACAGAUUCAGCAAAAUGACACAUUUCGUAGCAUGCAAAAAGACAAAUGAUGCAAUCUACAUAGCCAACCUCUUCUUUAAAGAAGUAGUACGACUACAUGGAGUACCUAAAAGCAUAGUAUCAGACAGAGAUGUCAAGUUCCUGAGUCACUUUUGGCGAACACUGUGGAAGAAGUUUGACACAACACUGAAAUUCAGCACCACAGCCCACCCACAGACAGAUGGACAAACUGAAGUAACAAACAGGACCCUCGGUAAUCUGCUACGCUGCCUUAGCGGGUCAAAACCAAAACAAUGGGAUCUAGCAUUGGCUCAAGCUGAAUUCGCCUUCAAUAAUAUGAAGAACAGAUCAACAGGAAAGUCCCCCUUCGAAGUAGUUUAUACCAAACUACCACGAUUAACCUUUGAUCUCACUACACUCCCCACAACCGUGGAUCUCAACAACGAAGCAGAAUGCAUGGCAGAAAAUAUCAAAAACUACCCAAGGAAGUCCAUGAUCAUCUUAUACAGACAACAGACUCCUACAAAAAGGCAGCAGAUAAAAAAGAAGACAAGCCCACUUCAAUAAAGGAGACCUAGUAAUGGUACACCUGAAAAAGAGCAGAUUUCCUACUGGCACCUACAACAAGCUGAAAGACAGACAAAUUGGGUCAUUCCCUAUAUUAGAGAAAUACGGAGAUAAUGCCUUCAAGAUCGAUCUACCACAAGACAUACACAUACACCCAGUCUUCAAUGUUGCUGAUCUAAAGCCAUACCAUGCACCAGAUCGUUUCAGGCUUGCUGACUGAUGGACCCUGGGACAAGUCCAUCCUUAGGGGGUGGAAUGAUGUAAACUAUAGCUAGUUAGUUAGUAAAAAUCCCUAACUAAUUAGAAAUACAGCUGUAACUAACUUUCUAAAACAGUCUUGUAACUAACUAAAUAAAACAACCUUUUAACUAACUAAAUAAAACAACCUUGUAACUAACCUUGAGAUAUCAAUAUAUAACAGUCUCCUAGCCUGAAAUAUGGCAGAGAAUUCUUUUGAAAAAUCAAUCCAACUUGAAUUACAUCAAUAUUGGUAAAAUGGUCUAUCGAUAAUGAAAAUCUAUAACUAAUACACAAGUGAUGGACUAACAAUUUAAAAUAUCAUCGUAUUUAUAAAUCACGUGGUUUUGUGACAUAUUUGCUAAUGCCAUAGAAACCUAAAUUAUAUAUACAUUUUAGGUUAGUCACGAUUUUGAGUCUAGAGUUUAGACUUUAGAGAAGCGUCGUAAAUGAACUCUUUAAUCUUUCAGGCCUUUGCGUCUGGAUCUAUAAUACAAUUGUUAAUUUCCUCUAUUCGUGAACAAAUUUAACUAUAUGUUAGUGAAUAAUCGCAUAAAUCUCAUUGUCGUUUCUUACCGUUCACAUUUUUACUUUUGAAAAUACUUUUGUUAUCAACUUAUCUAUGACAAUUAUCUUUAAACGAAAGAUUCUUUUUAAGUCGUCAUGUAUGAAACGAAGUGAUCUUUUCGUUCAUAUUCUUAACAGGUCGGUCUCUCUCCUGCUAUUCAAAAUCUUAGUACUGCCACAUCGAUGAAGAUGACCAAGGUUUUCCAAGCGUUUCUCAUGCUCCAACCCCAACUCGUAGACCUUAUCCACGAGAUGCAGCCAGAUUGUAUCGUUUCUGACGUCUUUUACCCAUGGACGAGUGAUGUGGCAGCCGAGCUCAGAAUCCCACGGCUUGCCUUCAACGGUUCAAGCUUCUUCAGUUAUUGUGCGGAACAAUGUAUAAAGGAGCAUAAGCCACAUCUUGAAGUUGAAUCCAACAAUGAAAAGUUCAAACUUCCGGGGUUGCCUGAUGUUAUUGAAAUGGUGAGAUCUGAGUUGCCAAGUUGGAUCACUAGACAUAAACCAGAUGGUUUCUCACAAUUGCUUGAUGUCAUUAGAGAAUCAGAGAAACGAUGCUAUGGAAUGUUGAUGAAUCGCUUUCAUGAAUUGGAAGCCUCAUAUGAAGAACACUUGAAUAAGGUGAGGUUUACCUCAAACCAUUGUAUAUAACUACACAUUACUCGUUUCUUAACGUAAUCUUUUGGUUUUGAAAUUUGUACUUGAUUUAUGAUCACGAUUUCGUUAGAAUUAUAUUAUUCAUAUUUUUUUAAAAAAAGAGAAUAUUUGAGAACAAAAAUUACAUCUUGAAGUAUAUAUUUGUUUAGAAGCUUGAUUUUUAGAAGUUGUUAAUUAAGCUUCACAUAUUUUUAAAACACACUUGAAUUCUAAGUUAAAGUUUUUCAAGAAAACUACAAAUUUUACUUUAAGAACGUGUUUUUAAAAGGGUUGUUGUCAAAUAAUACAACAUGAGACAAAUUAUUUACUUAUGUAGCAUGAAAUUUUAUUGUCUAAUAAACACUAAUAAUAUAUAGAAAUAGACAUGUGAUAAAAAAAAAUUAUCAUUACGUUGGCCUGUUGCACCCAGCCUUGUAUAUCUCCUUCGGUCGCAAAGAAGAAAAAAAUAUUCAAAUUAUCGUUUUUAAAAAAGAGAAGUUUGUCACGUGGUAACGUGUAAUCUGGACAUUGAAUAAGCUAUACAAAAUAGAUGGAGCUCAAGAUGCACCCAAAUAUUUUUGAAUUGAUUCGAGACUUCGAGGAUUUGUUUUUAUUAUUAUUAUUAUUGUUUGAUAGAUUAUAGGGAUCAAAACAUGGAGCAUAGGGCCAGUAUCAUUGUUGGCAAACAAUGAAAUUGAAGAUAAAGAAUCAAGAGGUGGAAACCCCAACAUUCAAACCACCAACUUACUCCAAUGGCUCAAUGAGAAAGAACCAAAUUCAGUUCUCUACAUCAACUUCGGAAGCUUGAUUCAGAUGAGUCGUAACCAAAUAACCGAAAUAGCACAUGCGAUUCAAGAAUCCAGUCAAAGUUUCAUUUGGGUCAUAAAAAAGAACGACGAAGACAACGAUGACGACAUAGUAAACAAAGGGUUACAAAAAGGGUUUGAGGAGAGAAUGAGUAGAACCAAAAAGGGUUUGAUAAUAAAGGGAUGGGCUCCACAAUUGAUGAUAUUAGAGCACAAAAGUGUUGGAGGGUUUUUGACUCAUUGUGGUUGGAACUCAAUUCUUGAAGGAAUAAGUUCAGGCUUACCAAUGAUCACAUGGCCAUUGUUUGCUGAACAGUUUUACAAUGAGAAGUUGUUGAUUGAAGUGGUGAAGAUUGGAGUGGGAGUUGGGUCAAAGAAAUGGUGGCAUUUGGGAGAAGAACCAGAAAUUAUUAAGAGGGAAGAGAUUGGUAAGGCCAUAGCUUUUUUGAUGGGUGAAAGUGUUGAAGCUUUGGAAAUGAGAGAGCUAAAGAAAUGGGAGAGGCUGCAAAAACAAGUGUGAAUUGUGGUGGUUUCUCUCAUACCAACUUGGUUUCAUUGUUUGAGGAACUUCAAGAAAUGAAGCUUAAGAGAGUGAGGAAUGGUCAGAAGAAUACUUAGAUGUUUGUCAAAGGAUAAAGUAUUGUUUUUCUUUAGGUCAGUCUAUUCAAUCGAACGGCUAUAGUUUGUUGUAAGGUAAAGUAUUUUUGUUCUAAAUAUAUUUUGAGUUACUUUUACUAUGCGACUAAGUGAGUUGUACUAUUGUAAUCUUCUACAUUUAGUUUAUGAGAUGCAUGUUCAUGUUUAAAAAUAUUUGUGAUUCACCCGAGUGUCAAAUUAUAAAUUAUCCUCUAGUAAACUUUUUUAAAGAUAAGAAUUAUUUUGUGAUCAAGGAGAUGUACAAAGUUUGUUGGACUAAAGUUGGAUAAUAUAAAUUUGUUUUCUUCUAUUGGCUUAAGGCCUUGGUUCCAAUUUAAUUAAGAAUCACUUCUAGAAUCUUAGUUGAGAUUUUCUUAAACAUUUGACGAAGUCUACAAAAUGUGUUAGAAUAGAAUUUGUAAUCGUAACAAAAACUCUAAAUUGAUUCUCAUGUUUUGCAUGAUAUUUUUCAAACCAAGUCCAAGGACGUAAAUUUAUAAGCUUAUGGAAGUUUAUUGAUUAGAUUACUAAAUCCUAUAUGAUUUAAAUUAUACAACCUUCCAAGCGUAGGGGCAUAAAUUAUUUAAAAGAAGUGAAUUUGUUAUCAAGCUGUCAAUAUUGAUGUAGAAAAAAGCUUUUGGAGAAUCUUUAUUUCAAGAAGGAAGCUGCCCUUCCUAGAAUCAAUUUGAGCAUUAACAUGGCUUUUAGAAUCAAUUUGAGCAUUAACAUGGCUUUUAGUCGUUGGAAGCUGCAAAGAGAGCGUUCCUAGAAGAUGAAUGUUGAUGUUGCAUGGUUGGAGAACACUCAUAGAGGUGGGACUGGUUGAAUUAUUCGUGAUUGGGAACCCAGUUAGGGUUGGGUGCUUUCCAAUGUCUUUCAAUUGGUCAAUCCAUGCAUGAGACGAGUAUCAUAUGCUAAUGUCAUAGUCAAUUACUUAAGUCACACCUUGGUUUUCCAACUUAUGUUGGGGUUUAGUAGAACAAAGUUGUCCAUAAUCAAGUAGGUUUGUCUUCUUCAUUUGGGAAUUCCUCUUUCUAGGAGAGUUUUUCUCCUUUUAUAUUAUCUCUCAUUCUCGGGAGGGAUUUAUGAUAUAUGUAUGAAGAAAAAACAAGUGAAUACUACUAACAGAAGUGAACCACGAGUUUUUAAGUACAACAAUCGAGGUAUGAAGGAUCGAACCUCCCAUCUCUAAGAAUUUUCGUGGGGAUCCUCUCCGCUUUUCUUGCCUAAGCAAAACCCGACCCGCCUAGUAGGUCCUUAGAGUUUUUCACCCGGCAUGGCAGCCGGUAGAGAGGGAGAGAGAAAAAAAAAGAGGGAGCCAAGCCAGCCGCUUAGGUCAAGUAAAAUGCGCGCCGAGAUCCCCCGGUUUCAGAAUUUUCGUGGGGAUCCUCUCCGCUUUUCUUGCCUAAGCAAAACCCGACCCGCCUAGUAGGUCUUAGAGUUCUUCACCCAUCAUGGCAGCCGGUAGAGAGGGUGAGAGAAAAAAAGAGGGAGCCAAGCAGCCGCUUAGGUCAGUAAAAUGCGCGCCGAGAUCCCCCGGUUUCAGAAUUUUCGUGGGGAUCUUCUCCGCUUUUCUUGCCUAAGCAAAACCCGACCCGCCUAGUAGGUCCUUAGAGUUUUUCACCCAGCAUGGCAGCCGGUAGAGAGGGAGAGAGAAAAAAAAGAGGGAGCCAAGCCAGCCGCUUAGGUCAAGUAAAAUGCGCGCCGAGAUCCCCCGGUUUCAGAAUUUUCGUGGGGAUCCUUUCCGCUCUUUUUGCCUAUGCAAAACCCGACCCGCCUAGUAGGUCCUUAGAGUUUUUCACCCAGCAUGGCAGUCGGUAGAGAGGGAGAGAGAAAAAAAAAGAGGGAACCAAGCCAGCCGCUUAGGUCAAGUAAAAUGCGCGCCGAGAUCCCCCGGUUUCAGAAUUUUCGUGGGGAUCCUCUCCGCUUUUCUUGCCUAAGCAAAACCCGACCCGCCUAGUAGGUCCUUAGAGUUUUUCACCCUGCAUGGCAGCCGGUAGAGAGGGAGAGAGAAAAAAAAGAGGGAGCCAAGCCAGCCGCUUAGGUCAAGUAAAAUGCGCGCCGAGAUCCCCCGGUUUCAGAAUUUUCGUGGGGAUCCUCUCCGCUUUUCUUGCCUAAGCAAAACCCGACCCGCCUAGUAGGUUCUUAGAGUUUUCACCCAUCAUGCAGCCGGUAGAGAGGGGAGAGAAAAAAAGAGGGAGCCAAGCCAGCCGCUUAGGUCAAGUAAAAUCGCGCCGAGAUCCCCGGUUUCAGAUUUUCGUGGGGAUCCUCUCCGCUUUUCUUGCCUAAGCAAAACCCGACCCCGCCUAGUAGGUCCUUAGAGUUCUUCACUCAGCAUGGCAGCCUGUAGAGAGGGAGAGAGAAAAAAAAAGAGGGAGCCAAGCCAGCCGCUUAGGUCAAGUAAAAUACGUGCCGAGAUCCCCCGGUUUCAGAGUUUUCGUGGGGAUCCUCUCCGCUUUUCUUGCCUAAGCAAAACCCGACCCCGCCUAGUAGGUCCUUAUAGUUCUUCACCUAGCACGGCAGCCGGUAGAGAGGGAGGGAGAAAAAAAAGAGGGAGUCAAGCCAGAUGCUUAGGUCAAGUAAAAUGCGCGUCGAGAUUGCCUGGUAUCAGAGCUUGCAUGGGCAACCUCUCCGCUUUAGAUGGAAUUUGAUGAAAUGCUUAUGUCGAAAGUAGGCAUUUCUCUACAGAGUCCUAAUGGUCAUAGAAAUUUAUUAUGCUUUGUAUUUAUUUUACUUUGUUGUCAAGAAUCAACUUCUUUUCUGAUUUGUAUGUUUAUGUAUAUGUUGCAUCUCUGUCUUGUUAUCAUGUUGUAUUUCAUUGUACUCAAUAGUCUGAUUUGCAUUUUUUAUUUGUGUUAAUAAGUGUUCGUGUAAUUGCAAUUUUGUUCUUGAAGAUAUUUUGCUUGAAUCAAGUUAGUUCUUUCUAUAAGGAUCAUUUUCUUGUAAGGUUAUAACUUCUUGUCCAAUUUUUCCAACAAACAUUUCAACUUGUAGCAGGUGAAUCCCUUCUAAAUAAGAGCUUAAAAAGAAAAAACAAUUGGAACCUUUAACCAUAAAAUCAAGGUACUGCAUCUUAUUUGCAAUGAAUUGCUAUAAUUUUGUAGAGACUCCACAAAUAAAAUACUAAAUUACCCAAACAGUUGGCAAACAGAGACAGCACUCUGUAGAUCUUUAUUUAUAUAUAAAUGCCAAAAGAUACAGUAGAAGGAAAUAUAAAAGAAAGCAAUAAAGAUGAUAAUAUCAUGUCAAACCUCCCCAGGAAAAGAUAGUAGUCCUUCCUAGACCUAGCAGCCUCUACAGACCAAAUGAAGACAAAAAGUUAACCUAGCCCCCAAUCCCGAUAAGGCCUUAUUUAUAGCUCUUUUCUCAUUCUUCCCCGUGGGCCCCACUCUCAUGUUCUUUUCCUAAUAUUCUCCCCUUUUCUGCUGCGUGAGCUUUUACGUUUUUACCCCUCCUUUUGUAUGUAUGGAUAAUAGGGGGCCUUACAAUACCCCCGGUUCCAGGUUCACCUUGUCCUCAAGGUGAAAGUCAGGGAAUUGUUGGUUCAUUUGGAAAACAGAUUCCCAAGUUGUUUCACUGUCCGCAGCCCUUUCCACUUAAUUAACCAUUCAUUUCCUCCCAAUUCCCGAUUCCAACGGACUCCCAACACUGUUUCCGGCCAUAAUUGUAACUCAAACUCUUCCGUUAGCCUAGGUUGCUGGUGUUGAACAGCUUGUUGACUACCCAGUUUCAGUUUUAACUGAGAAAUAUGGAACACAUUGUGGAUACUGGCUUCCGGCGGUAACAUCAAUCUGUACGCAACUGCUCCUAUUUCUUCAGUAAUUUUGUAGGGUCCGUAAUAUUUAGGUGCUAACUUUUCACACUUCUUCCGAGCCAAGGAGCGUUGCCGGUAAGGUCUCAAUUUCAAGUAGACUUCAUCUCCUACCUUAAAUUUUAACUCUCUUCUAUUUCGAUCAGCCAUUUUCUUCAUCCUGUUCUAGGCUACACACAGGUGUUCUUUUAAGGCAUUGAUGGCUAAGUCACGUUCCUUCAGCAGCGUGUCAACCUCAUUAUUAGGAGUUUUCUUGUAACCAUAGGAUAACAGGGGAGGAGGCGGUCUGCGGUAUACCGUCUGGAAAGGGGUCAUUUUGGUGGAUGCAUGGAAGGUGGUAUUAUACCACAAUUCUGCCCAUGGAAUCAGUCUAUCCCAUUUUUUUGGUUGUUCAUUACAGAAGCAUCGCAGAUAAGUUUCGAGACAUCUAUUUACCCUUUCUGUCUGCCCAUCAGUUUGUGGGUGAAACGCGGUACUCCUCUUUAGAAUAGUUCCCAUGGUUGCAAACAGUUCCUUCCAAAAAUUACUAAAGAAAGAUUUUAUCCCGAUCUGUGAUAAUCGACUUAGGAAUGCCGUGCUUGCUUACUAUUCUGUCGAUGAAUAUGGAAGCAACUUGCUUGGCUGAAAACGGAUGUCUCAAUGAUAUAAAGUAAGAAUACUUACUCAGCCGAUCAACUACCACCAUGAUCACAUUAACCCCUCAAUAAAGUCCAUGGUCCAAUCUUCUAAGAUUCUGUCAGGAAUUGGAAUUGGUUGAAGUACCCCAGCUGGUUUGGUUGCUUCGUAUUUGUUUCUCUGGCAGAUCUCGCAUUGUUCCACAUAUUUCUUUAUUUCAGCCUUCAUACCCCUCCAAUAUAGUUCUCCACUGAUCCUCUUGUAAGUUCUUAAAAAUCCAGAAUGUCCCCGAGGAUAGAAUCGUGGAAAGUAUGUAGGAUCUUGGGUAUAAGUGUAGAAGUUUGAGAUACUACCAUUCUCCCCUUAUAGAGCAAUCUUCCUUUUUCCACUUGAAACUUGCUUCCUUCUUCUGCAUUUUUCUUCAGAUUUUCCAUAAUUUUCUUAAGUUCAGCAUCAUUCUCAACUUCCUGCUCGAUUAGUUUCACAUCAAUGAUUCCAGUAGUUGUCAAGCUGUGCAGCUCCACCGGUUGCUCCAUUCUAGAUAGGGCGUCCGCUGCCUUGUUCUGAUGUCCGGGUUGAUAUAAAAUCUCGAAAUCAUAUCCAAGGAGCUUUGUCAACCAUUUCUGGAAUUGGGGCUGUACCUCUCUCUGUUCAAGCAAGAAUUUAAGAGCCUUUUGAUCUGAAAGUAUGGUGAACUUCCUGCCCAGCAAAUAAUGCCUCCAUUUUUGAACUGAUAGAACUACAGCCAUCAACUCUCUUUCAUAGAUGGAUUUGUUUUGAGCCCUUGUGGAUAACUUCUGACUGAAAAAGGCAAUCGGGUGGCCAUUUUGAGAGAUCACCGCUCCUAACCCUACGCCAGAUGCAUCAGUUUCGAUAAUAAAGGGAAUGUUCCAAUCUGGUAAUGCCAACACUGGUAGAGUAGUCAUUGCUAGCUUCAAAUUUUCGAAGGCAGUAUUUGCUUCUUCAUUCCACUUAAAAGCAUUCUUCUGUAAUAACUUGGUUAGCGGUGCAGCGAUCUCUCCAUAACCCUUGACAAACCUCCUAUAAUAUCCUGUCAGUCCUAAGAAGCCCCGCAGACCAGAUAUAUUCGUUGGUGGUGGCCAAUUAAUCAUCUUCUUGAUCUUAUCCUCAUCUGCCUCAACUCCUCUUUUGGAUAUCAUAUGUCCCAAGUACUGUAUUUGAGAAUGGGCUAUAACGCUUUUUUUUUUUUGUUAGCAAACAGCUGGUUAUCCUUCAAAACAUUGAAUCUUGCAAUAAAACUCUCAAAAUUAAAUAUAGUAACAAACAUUAGCUAUUCUUUGGUUAACUCUUAUCCGAUGAAAUUUAGUUUAUUAUCCCAUUGUAAAUACUAGCUCUGAGAAUCUGUACAUACUCUACUCUUAAGUUAAAUCUAUUACAUUGAAAAAUGUGAGACCGACCAAAGAAGAAGUUUCCUCCUCCCUAGCUUACUGCACUGUUGUCCAUGGUAAGAAAGGUACUUCAAAAAGAAAAUGUCUAAGGUAUGCAAAUUUCAUCAAUGAAAAGUUCACAAUGUUUAAAGUAGAGCAAAAUAACCAUUUGUAGUCCUUAAAGUUGGGUCGUUCCUAGUCCUUACAACAAAAACGCUACGACAAUACAUGUAUGACAAUUUUUAGUCCUUAAAGUUGAACAGUUUGACAUAUCCUUGAGGGACCAAAGAAACGUAGUUAGAAAAACUUAAUAAGAAUGAGAAUAAAUACAAGUAAGGAGGGUGGUAUUGUCCCAAAUUUCCACAACUCUUCUCAAACCUUCAAAAUUCUAUGGAAACUCAUCAAUAAACAAUAGAGCUUUAGGUAAACUUUUGAAAUUGGAAACUUACCAUGGCUCUAUUCGGUGCAAGUCCACAUACUUUACUCUUUUUUACCUUUGAGUUAAACAAACAAUAGAGCUUUAGGUAGACUUUUGAAAUUGGAAACUCAUCAACCUAGCCAUAUAAAGAUCAAAUUUGCUUUAACAAAACGUACGUUGAAGUCCUUCCAACCCGAUUAAAAAAAAAACAGAUAAGUCUAACACUUUAACAAAUUUCUAGUGCAUAUUAUGCAUCUCAAUUGAUCACAACAAAAUAAGAUUGAACAUAAAUACCCGUAAGUAAUACCUUUUCAAUAUUGCAUUUUCAUAAAACUUACAAGGGUGUAAACAAAAGGACAUGGUGUCUUCAUGAGAAUAAACUAGAGUAACAGUGCCUCAUGUAAAAUUAUAUCAAAACCUCACAUACCAGACAAAUAUAUCCUUGAUAGAAAUAGAAAUUAGAAACUAAAAAAUGUUGUUUAAAUCCAAGUUAUAAAUGAAAACUAAUGAAAUCCACAACUAAUAACAAUAUAAAAAGGCUUAACUAGAUACAAAUAAGUUCUGUCUGUAGUCUAACUCUAAAACAACAAAUACUCAUCAUUACCUCUAAAUAUCCCUGCAGCUGGUACAACAUUCAAAAAUGUUUCAAUAGCUCCCAACACAUAACUGAACCACCAAAUUGAGGAGAAGGCAGAAGUUAAGAUACACAGAAGUAGUGCACAUUUUGACUUAAAAAAAUAAAACACAACAAAAACGCUGCUGGACAAUGAAAGAAUGAUAAGACAAAAACUUGUCGUUAGAAUUUAUAUGUUCGCCUUUGUAAAAACUUGUUAAUUCAACCAUUUCUUCUUGAAGGUGAAGACAAUACUAAAGAAAUGAUGAUGAACCUAACCUAAAUUAAAUGCCCCAAACUAAAAACGAUAUGGUUAUAAUGGGGCUAAUUCUGAAUCUUUUCAAAUCCCUUCCCUUCACUCUCUUUACUAAUACAAUGUGGGAUAAACAAACCAUUGUGUGUUUUUUUUUUUUUUUUUUGGUGACUCUCAUAAAAUCCAUAGAUAUUCACAACAAACCAAUUUCAACAAACCCUAAAGAGAACUAUGUACAUAAAAGACAUGUCUCUAGAAACAAAAGCUAACGAGAAACUACUGUUCAACUUACUUUUCAUGGUUUAUAAACUUUAAGAAAGAUUAAAAAAAUAUAACAAGAUAUAUAUACACACCUUAUAUAGGACAUUAUGUAAUGGGAUAAUGAAGAAUAAGUUCAAUAAACUUUAAUGUACCCAAUCUACCAUAAACUUGAGUUCACUCAAAACCUUUAAGAAAAUGGACAAAUAGAAAUAUAAUCAAGCAAACAUAAUCAUUUUGUUAGGUACAUGCAAGAUAAACUAUUUCACACCAACAUAUAUAAUCAGUAUACAAAUGAAAUCUUUGAGUUUCACAAGCUAAACUCAAUUUAAACUUUGAACUAACAAGUCCAAACAAUUUUCAUUGUAAUUCAAUAGUUAAAAACGUACCUUGGAGCCCUUCCAACCCUAUCAAAAAAACAUAUAAGUCUAGCACUUUAACAAAUUUCUAGUGCAUAUUAUGCAUCUCAAUUGAUCACAACAAAAUAAGAUUGAACAUAAAUACUCAUAAGUAAUACCUUUUCAAUGUUGCAUUUUCAUAAAAAUUCAACAAGCAUUGUCACUCUCUCGAGGAUUCUUCAAGCCCUAAGUAUGAAAAAAUGUUCAAUGAUUAAAUCGUACUCCAUUUACAUGACAAUUUGACAAAGUUGAGUUAACCCCCCCCCCCCCCCCAAUUUCCAACACUAUUGUUGGAAAGGAACAACAAGAUCUUUCAAAGUAAGGAAAGAACUACUAUGAAGAUUUUAGAUGAUAUUAAUUCAAGCAAACGUUUAUAUACUACUAAUAUACCAUACUAAUUCGACUAAAACACUUUCAACGAGACUAGAAUUAUACAAAAUAUACUUUAAACCACAAUAGUUGAAUAUGUAUUUUUGGUAGGGAGGUAGACACUACUUACUUGAACAAAUAACGACAACGUCCUUGAAGUAAGAGGACUUUCUGCUAAUCCUCAAUUCAAUCAAUUAUUCAAAAUGUCAUAAGGUAGUCAUAGGAAGAAAAUAUAGUUUAAAAACGUUGAUAAAAAGUGGAGGUAAAAAAAGUGUAUAGGCUUAAGUUUCAAAAACUUAAAGCCAAAAACCAAAUAGAUAACAUACAGAAAUUCUCUUGGAAUGUGUAUAGGCUUAAGUUUCAAACUUAAAGCCAAAAACCAAAUAGAUAACAUACAGAAAUUCUCUUGGAAUGUGUAUAGGCUUAAGUUUCAACAUACACAUUCAUACCUUUCCAAUGUGUAUAACAUACAUCGCGGUUUAUGUUUCAAGCAGAGGGUGUAUUUCGACAUUUUCAAAUUUACUCCUCUUGGAAAGAUCUAGCAUGGUAAGUGGCAAAUAAAAUUCUACCAUACAAAAUAAAUCUUAAUUCACCAUCAUUUUUUUGUCUUUCCUUUCAAUAUAGAACAUGUAGUAAUUUUUGUUGCUACUAUCCUUAUUGUAAGAAAGGGAGAGAGAACAUACCUAUAAUUAUCAAUAAUCACUUCCCUCUAUCCUUCAAUCAAAGCAACUCAAUAGCAACCAUAAACAAAAUAUCAAUAGAAAAAUCAAAAGUACUAAAAUUCACUUGGAAUGCAUAGACAAACAAAAAGACCCUACACACCAUCAAAGUUUAAAAUCUCACAUUUCAUUUUUCAUUCUCUUUUUCUCAAAGCUUCAGCCCAUAGCCAUGACAUCUCCUUGGCCUUGAUUUCCUAAUUCGAACGAAAAAAAUCAAUCAAAAAUCAACCAAAUGCUUCAUUGAGGCAUUUCAUCAAACACAUUGUAAGCUACCAAAAUGUUUCAUCACAUAGCCAACCAUAAAGAAAAAAUGUAGAUUCAAAUUAGAAAAAUGAUUGUAAACAACAAUAUUGAAUAGGAUGGUAGACAAAACAAACACAUAUCUCAUAUAAAAGCAAAACUAUGAGGGAUGUUUUUCAUAAAAAGAACCAUCAAUAUAUCACAUUGUGGGUAAAAUGAAAGCAUUUGAAGUUAAUAUACUGUAUAAAUACAAACAAUAGAAAUAAUGGUUGAGAUUCACCAGUGAGUUCAGCGGUGCAAGGGGUGUUGGGUGGUUGCGUCGGCUGAAGGAGAGAAAGAGAGGGAUUUCGCGCAUUGUUGACAAAAGUCUAGUCUUUCCCGGCAUGCGUGAGAGAGGGAGAGAGAUGGUUAGCGGAAGGGGGAAAAUCGAAGAGGGGGACGUGUGGAUCUUCCACAGAGAAGAAAAGAAGAAGAGAAGAAGAAGAGAAGAAGAAGAAGAAGAGGAGGAGGUAGAGAAAGAGUUUUGGAGAUGUUUUAUUUUAAUAAAUAAAUUAUUUAAUGUUUUUAGAAUUAGGAAAAAAUCUGAUUUUAAUAAAUUUUUAUUUAAAAUAAAUUUUAUUUUAAUAAAUUAAAUAAAUAUUUUUUGUAUUUUAUGACAUCAAAUAACUGUUGCGGAAAGUAAAAUCCGAAAAAUUCCGUCUUUUUCCGCCAAAAACGCGGUUUUUUAGCUUUUGUGACAGUUUUUUCUUUUCUCCUUUCAAUUUGGGAUGUAUACAACUGUCAUAGUAGACCACUUUUCUACUAGUGCCACCACCCAAAAUUAGAAUAGAUCAUAAUUCUAGCCCAAAUUUCAGGUCAAUCAAUUUCAAAUUUAUAAAUUUUAAAAUCCAAAACAUAUCAUCAAGCAAAAUUAUUUUAUUAUUAUUAUUAUUAUACAUAUGAAAUAUCAAUAAAUAAAUCAUUCUUCGGGAAACAGUUAAAAAUAGAAAAGCAUUUACACUUGAAAAUGACAAAAUACUCUCCAUUCUCUAUUUGUCAUCUUUUAUUUAUAACAGCCUUAACAUUAAUAUCUAAUUUUAAUAAAUACCUAUUAUUCUCUAUGCUCUAUGAUUUCAUUGUAUUAUUUGUCUUGUCUUGGACAAGUUUGCACGGUGCUUUCUCUAUUAUUUUCUGAGUUCCCAAUCCUUCUUCUUGGGACGUGGCUCCGACCACAUAGAAGUGCUCUAGGAGCUAGUUGUGGAUUGAAUCAUGGGGUUUUUUUUUUCUCUUUGUAACCAUUAAAAUUUAGUAGAUUCAAACCUUCAAUCUCUAAAAUAUAAUAUUGAAAGAGCCUAAGCUUGCCAUUUUGAAAAAUGGACAUUUAGCAAAUCUAAAAAUAAACUUAAAAAUAAUAAACAAACCUUGGUUAGAAUUCUCGUCUAAGUGAAACGUUGAGGUAUAUUGUUUCCCCAUUUUAACAAAUACUUACUUAAUUAUUGAACCUUAAAAUUUGGACUUAGAAAAUGGAUGGUUAUAACUAAGCAUCUUUAGUUUACGGAUUUGACGAAAAAAGUGGAAUUGGGAUUGGAUACGAAAAUUAUAUAUAUGUAUAUAUUGAGUUAAUUAGUAGUCUUAUCUGUUAGAUUGCAUAUUAUGGCAAAUCAAGAGGUAGCAAACGUGGAAGUUGAGAUGAGAACUUCGGGAUUACGUAUUGUGGAAGUGAAGGAAGCAAAUAUAGAUUGUAUAUUCUGUCUUAUUUGUUAGAUUGCAUUUUAUAUAGACUGCAUGUUAGAUUGCAUUUUAUAUAGACUGCAUGUUAGAUUGCAUUUUAUAUAGACUGCAUAUUGCAUAUAUUAGGACAAUUCUGUCUAAUAGAGGCUGUUGGCACGUAAGAAAUUUUUACACCUAGAAUAAUUUAAAUGCAUGCAGAUUAGGUUUCGUGCUUGUGAUGCCAUUUUGGUAUUGGAUUGUUCACUUCUUUACAAGUUGGACGACUCUCCUACCACUCCCUUUAAUUUAUUCCCUUUAUCCUACCACUCCCUUUAUUCCCUUUAUCUCACUACAUGGAAUGCAACGUUUUUCUUCUCUACACUUCGUGACAUAAUGGUUAAUCUUUUCAUUUAUUUUUGUGUUAAAUUCUUUCUAGUUUUAUUUUAAUUUAGUUUUGCAAUAUGUGUGUUGGAGGGAGGAUGAUCAAAACUACAACACUAUACGCAUGUAUAUGCCCAUUUAAAUUUAUAUAUUUACUUGAUUUAAUUGUUUUUAAACUUACCAUACAAUACAGAAUUGAUACCAUAGCAAAUGGGACCUCACUUUCUUCUUAUUUCCAAGUAAAUAAAUAAAAAUAAUGAUCAAAUGUUAAAAUAAUACAAAUAUCGUCCCUCACUUUGUACAAUAGAUCCUAUUGUUGGGUCAGUUGCCAAAAUGUUGAUAAUUGGUUUCAUUUGAACAUAAGAAACCAAGAAAGGCAACAACAAAAAAAAUAUGUGUGUGGUUUCUUAAAUAAGACCAGACCCUUUUCUCUCUAUAAAAAAACUUACACCGAUCAUCAGUAUAACUCAUGUCUGUCUAGGCUAGCAACGCUCUAUCUAGGAAUCACACAACUACUCCAAGCACGGCUUCAUAUCAUUUAAAAUGACGAGCACAACGACGAAAAUGUGGUGUUCUGCAACUGAGGACAUGGUGUAGGAAAGACUGAAGUGCUAAAACCCGAGACAAAAGCACAAUGCCAUUUUGCGGAGGGAGUGAGACCGAGAAUGGUCACAUUUUUCAUACAUACACCGUCAUAUGAUGUGCCUGCAAUCCCGUAAAGAACCGGAGCCUUUGUCGAAUUUAAGCUCAUGAGAUUGGUAAUGAAAAUGCCCUUCACUUUAGGAACUGCCUUUGGAUCAAAUUGUUCAUCAGGAUGGUCAUUUGAGCCCCUGCUAAACCUUAUAGCCAUUUUCACUCUGUUCAUUACAAAGUUAGUUAUACUAACAUUUGCAAUGUAUCCUCCUCUACCUUGGUCGGAUUUGAUUCGAAUGCCUGCUGCCGAAUCCCAGACGUUUAAAUCCUCAAUUGUAAUGUUUGAUAUUCCACCUGACAUCUCACUUCCUAUUCCAACACCAGAACAGGUAGGGGUGGUGCCAGAAACUCGCCUUAUGACGAUAUUUGAGCUUGGGCGUGCAAGGUUGAUUCCAUAUUGAUCCCAACCACUCUUCACUGCUACUAGAUCAUCUCCGCUUUCGAUAUAACAGUCCUCGAUACAAACAUUGGUACUAGAAUCUACACCAUAAUAAAGAUGCAUUUGGAAUUUAGAUAACUCCAGCAUUGUUUUACAUUUAUUUCUCAUACCUCCUAGCUCCAAGAAAGAAGCAAAAUACCUGGAUCGAUACCAUCUGUGUUCGGGGCAUUGAGCGGAGCCAAGAUCGUCAUGUCUUUGAUAACAACAUUGCUGAAAUCAAACAAAAGUUCAAGAACCAGUAUAUAAUUGCAAAGAGUAGAUAAUUAUUGAAAAUGAAACCUGCAAUAGACAGGAUGAAUUGUCCAAAAGGGGGAAUUUUUGAAGGUGAGAUUGGAAAUGAGAAUAUUGUGAGAGUUGAUGAGCUCUACAAGAUGGCCCCUUGUGUGAUUUAAUGUUCUAUUCCACCAAAGCUCCCACCACAUCUUGCCUUGCCCAUCAAUGGUUCCAUUCUCUCCUGAAAAAACAACAUAAAAACUCAAUAGAUUUUCAUGAUUAAGAACAUUCUCGAACCCGAGUGCCGUCAAAGCUAAAUGAGAAGAAGAGUUCACACUAGUUCCAGUUUCGAUGCACAAAGCUAAUGUAGAUCAAAAGAUAUGAUCCCAUUUGAUACUUUUUUUAAGGUAGGUAGAACUUCUUAUUCCUAGUUUUUAUCACUGGACUCUACUCAUAUUCUUUUUAGUUCAACAAUAUGUAACGGUGAGUUUCAAACAUAUGACAUUUUGGUCAAAUUUAUAUAUGUUUUAACUAAAUGAGCUAUACUGAUCACAUUGGUGACCUAGUGGUAUUUGGCUAGGGUAAAAAACAAGAAAAUCAAAGAAAGAAAAUGGGUAAGUCAAGUUAGUCUUAGAAGGUAGAUCUUAAGCUUAAAAUUGAAAUACCUAACUUUUCUCAUCUCAAGUGACCCCUUAACAUAAAAUACUAUAAUGAUCUUCUCCACAACCAAAAUGUACUAAAAGGUCAAGUGCCCUUACAAAAAAAACUCCUUAUUGCCAAUUUCACUUUUAAAAACAGUUGAAAUGGUAUACCAAGAUUCAGUUCUUUAUCAUUCCCACCCCAAACAUAAAAACACACCAUAGAAAAUAAAGCAUGAUAUCUUGAGAGAGAGAAAUAAUAUUCUUAGAUCCUAAAUCCCUUUUUUUAAUUUUUAACAUUAUCAUGGUUCCCUAGCUAAUUGCUUAGUCAUGAUCAAAGUUUGAUUCCAUUACUUUACAAAACCCAAGAUAAGAAUCCUCAUGAAUAUAAAAUCCUAGCAAUGAAGAUGAAGCCAAAAACAAAAACAAAAAAAAAACAAAAAAAGAUAAAGAAAAGUGAAAGCACCUGUAAUUACAACAUUUGAAAGGGCAUUGCCAUGAAUAAGGCUGAUGUGUCUUCCUCCCAAUCUCUCUCUUCCUCUUCCAUAAGAAGGAAGUGGCUCUAUAAUGGGCCACUCAUCUGGAUCCUUUUUUUUUUUUUUUAAUUUCAAACAAAUAUUUAAUCAAGUGCACACUAAACUUUUGACAAUAACAUGCCACCAUGAUUUCUAAAAGCAAAGAUUUAUCAAUUCAUAAUUAACAAAUUUGAUUUGAUAAUUUAUUUUACUGAUCAAACCAAAGCUUAUUCAGUUUCAAAUAAUACCCAACAAAAAAAAAAAAGUCAACCAGUUAUCAUAAAAGCUCUGUUUCAUUUACACACCUUGGGGGAAGGAAUCACACUUUAAUUUUAUUUUAUUUUUUCUAAGGAAUUUUGUUAAUGGGAAAUCCCAAACACUAAUAUAAAUUAGCUUCAAAAGCACUAAUGAAUGCAUUAAAUGAUAAUUCAUAGUGCCAAUAAAUCAUUAGCAUAUACAACCUUUUUUUCUCAUAAUUUCACUGCUUUAUUAUUAUUUAUUAUCAUUACUUUUUUGGUUACAUACAACUUUACUUGUUUUAUUGCUUUUUUUUUUCUUUAAAAAAUAAUAUUAUUAUCAAUUCACAUUUUCACUAUAAAUAAGUUCAGAUAUUACAUUUUUCUUGCAUGCAAAAAUAUUUAUUAUCUUAUUAUUAUUUAAUCAAUUUGGAUGGAAAUAUUGGAUAUAUAUAUAUAUAAAUAUGGUGGAUCCCACUUGCUAUGUUUUUAGGUUUAAAAAUGCAAUAAGAACUUAGGUGACACCGCCAGAGUCAUCACUCUGAUUUUACCUUUUCUGCUAAGUUAUGAAAUCCCAUUUGUCAUUUUCUUCUUCACCAAAAUCACAAAGAAUUUGUCCUUUCCAAACUCAUUAAAACAAUAAAAAUAAAAUUCCCCAACAGUUUAAAAGAAACACCACACAAAGUCUUAAACACAUAAAUAUUUAAAACAAAAAAACAAAUUACAAAAGACAAGCUUAAAAUUACCAUUUAAUUUUCUAAUAACUAUUUAGUUUAACCGUAAGUAAUUUUAGGGGUUUAGGGUAAAAAAGAAAAAAACUGACCUGGGAGGCUAAAAUAAGAGCGCCACGUUGGAGAAAGAGGGUAAAAUUACUGGUGAGAUUAAAGCUGCCCGUGACCCAACUGCCCUUAGGGACGGUCAGUUUAGACCCGCCUUUGUCGCCGAACCGCCGCAUGUACUGAAUGGCCUUCCGAAACGCUUCCGUGUUGGAAGUCUUUCCGUCCCCUACUCCUCCGAAAUCCGUGAUCGACAUGACAACCCCCGCCGUAGCAUCUGGGCGGAAGAAGGCGGAGCAGGUGGGGAGUUGGAAAUCAGAGGGUGGGAGCCAGAAGGGGAAAGGGGGAGUUCUGGUGGCGAUUUGGAAGGUGAGGAUAGCGAGGAAGAUGAAGAGAAGGAGAAGGGAAGAACAGGAGGGAUUGAUCGGAGGGCCGAAAUAGAAUUUUGAUUUAUCACUGUCCAUUAAUGGAAAACCAAAUUACAAUAGAGAGAAGAAGAAGAAGAAGAAGAAAGAAGGGGUAGAGGUCUAGAAGGCAGGCUAGAACUGGAAGGGUGGACAAUGGACAUUGCGCUUCCGCAUGCUAAAUCUUUUCCCUUUUUUUUUUCUUUUUUGCUUUCUCUUCUACUUCUUUCUUUUUAAUAGUUUUUUUUUAAAUAUAAAAUUUUCAAAUUUAGUUAAUUACAAUUUGAUUUGAUUAUAAUAUUUAUGGAAGGUAUUUUCACAUUUUUAAAAAUAGAUUAGAUGAUGCUUUAAAUAGUUUGAAGUUUCAGCCCUACUAAUUUCCUAGUUUUGUUUUCAAAUUCCAUAAUUACCCUUACUUCAAUGCACUUAUUUUGUUUUUGCAAGAAGCAUGACACCUUUUGUUUAUUUUUUUUAUUCUAUACAAAAUUUCUAACAACAUUUAUAUAUAACCAAAUAUUACAAUAUAUUUAAUAUAUUAAACUACUAUUUAUCUUUAUUAUAAUAUAAAUAAACACAUAAUUUAUUUUAGGCUAUCAUGGUUGUGUACUAAGAACCAACGUUCAUUGGGUUUAAGUUCCUCACGUUCCAAUUUGUAUUAAAAAAAUUAAUGAAAAUUUUUUAUUACAUCAUUUUUUUAAAAUAUAUUUUUCUUAAUAUUUUUGAAAACUAUUUCAUUUAUUAUUUGAAAGUAAGCUAAAUUUGAAAUGUAUGCAUAUUAAAUAUGAGUGGAAUUUUAGACAGGGAGAGAGAGGACAUCAUUUAAAAAGUACUAAUUAAUUUCUUUGAUAGCCUUGUUAUUAUUAUUUUCUAAAACAGUUUGAUAGCGUUAUUAUUAUUUUUAUAGUCGGAAUUCUGGUUGUAGUAAAAGAACAAAAUUGUCAUUAAAAUUAAAAAAAAAAAGAGGGAGGGGGGCAAGAUGGUAAUUAUGUAAAAAGAAGCCGUGGGCUUUUGUUUGCUUAUUUGAAAAAGUGGGAUUAUGAGACGUGGCAAGUUUAGAGUGGUGUUAAUAUGGAGUGAUAGCGUGAUAGAUGUUGUAGAAGAAACCUAAUGGUGUAAAAAUGGAAGCCGCUAUUCACGGGCAUCUUUCAACCUUUCUCAUCAUUUCUUUUUCAUUCUAUUUUCUUUAUUUUAUUAUGUUUUCUCUUAAAUUAAUAAAAAAAAUAAAAUUUAUUUAUUUUAAUUUGAGAAUGUAUGAUGAUAAAUAAUUUUAAUUGGAAAAGGAACGAAACCUUUUGAAUUUAUUAAAAACGCAAACAAAUACUAAAUAAGAGAAUAUCAUAGUUAUAUAUAUAAAAAAAAAAAAUGCAACAUCUCCAUUAUUAUGAAACAUUUUAAAUGAAGCUAAAAGUAAAAUUAUGCAACAUUAAUGUAAAUUAUCUCAACUUCAAAUGACAUUUGAACCAAUGUUUGAUUUUAGAAUUAAUAUUAUAUAUAUUUUUAAAUAGAAAAUUUAAUUUGAUUUAUAGUUCCAAGAGAUGCCUUCCUAAAAUGAUUGUUUAUUUACUUGUACCAAUUGAAGCCCUAGUUUUAAUUUAAAUUUACUAUCAAACAAAUAAUUAGGAUCAGAACACAUUUCAAGUAAAAAUAAAAAUGUACUUUUCCAUUAUUUUUCUUUCAAAUGUACAAAAGUCUACUUUUUUGGUGCCAUAUGUCUAUAACUAGUAAAGGUAAAUAAAAUAUAAAAAAAAAAGGAAAAAAAUAUUAAAAUUUGUUUGAAAAUUUUGUGUAAUUUCAUUUAUGAAUAUGUUUACAUACAAAAUUAGUUAUUUGCAAAAGAAAUUGAUUUCGUCUUCUAAAAUGUUAAAAGUUUUUUUUUUCAAUAACAAAAGAUAGUCCAUUAAUAAUUAACAUAGGACUAAAAGAAUGAACUAUGGUAAUAUUUUGAUAUUUUUUAUUCUCAUGUAUAAAAAUUUGAAAAGUGAGGAUAUAAAGAGUUAUGAAAAAUGGUAUUUUGAUAUAGUUUCUACCUAAUACCUUCUCUCAUUCUUUUAAAUUUGAAUCCAUCUAAUUGUACGUUGUUUUAAGCUUUUCAGUUGAAGUUACUAUUUUUUAUCAAACCUAGAUUAACCCUUUGAUUAUAUAUUUUCUAAUAGAAUUAGAUGAAUUAGAGAGAAAAAUGAAAAACAAAAAACCACAGCCAAUGUUUUAUUAGUUAUGUUUUGCAAUAUUCAUCAUGAACUUAUAUAACCUUGCAAUUUAGUACAAUUUAAUUGAAGCUUUUCUGUGGUUGUCUUACCAAUCAAUCCAUUGGCUGAGUUGACACCCGAGUUAAGGGCGACAUCGGUAGAUGACUCGGAAUUUUCAUUCCCAAUUCCCUUUUCAAAUUCUAUAACCUUCGUCACCACGAACAAUUUGCAAUAGAUACGAAACCAAGAUCAGGGUCUUCUUAAUUUUCCUUCUAUCUUUCUUUUUCCCCUUCAUUGGACGCGCCAUCAAUUCUACAUUGGAUUGCAGCAUUUGGGUAUUAAAUUUUGAUCUGUUUUUACGGGAUGUCAUGUUCGAUUUCAUUGUGAUUCAUUCAAUUCCAUUUCUGUCGCAUGUUUUCGUAUCUCUUUGGUAAUGGUGCAUGCUGUUUUGCAUUUGUUGAAUCAGCUGACAUUUGGGUUUUCUUUUUCUUUGAUUAGGUACGUGAAUCGGGUAGCGAUCUUGUUUUUAAAAAUUGUUGAUUGGGUUGGAGCCAUUGGAGGACGGAUUUGAUGGAUUCGACGUCAAACCAAACCGAGUUUGAUUACUUGUUCAAGUUGUUGAUGAUUGGGGACUCUGGGGUUGGAAAAAGUAGUCUGCUUUUAAGUUUCACUUCCGAUAACUUUGAAGAUCUCUCACCGACGAUCGGUUAGUUUUGCUAUACGGAUCAGAUUUGAAGUAUUAGUUUGGAAUUUCCUUUUUUGCUUUUGUGGGAUCUUGCGCAUUCUUUUUGAAAAUGAGCUUAGACAAAUCGGUUUUGUUGUUUGCUGCGGAAUAUUGGUUCAUCAUUUUAAAGAAACAUGUGGAAAGACAAUGAUAUACUUUUGCUGAAUAUUGGUUCAUCAUUUUCACUUUCACCUUCACCUUCUGCAUGGGAUUGAGAUGAGAUUGAGGGCAAAAAAUUAAAUGAAAGGGAAAGUUGAGAGGACCAAGAUUGAGAGAGGCAAUUAAUCUUAACCGUAUUUCAUCAAGAGAAGAAUGAAGCUCUUAGAUAAUCAGGUCAGGUGUCAUUUUUUUAGGACAGUGUAAGGAACUUAGCUAUAAUCGUAUCUGAGAAACUAAAAUGAGAAGUCAUGAAAGAGGUAAUUUGUGCAUUAAUUUCUAAUGGAAAAUACUAUAUUUCAAUGUAAAUAUGUAUUGUAUACUUUCAGGUAUACAAUGAAAAGUUCAUUUUCUUUGUAAUAUUAUAUAUAUAUACACACACUGUAUACUUUCUACCCGCUCUAUUAUCACUGGUCAUCUAUACUUUUGCAUUCUGUUCAGUACUUACUGACCCUGUGUAAAUCUAGGCAUAUGCUCAUCGUCCUACUGUGGGGCUAUUAGUAGAAUAGAUUUCCUUUUACCUGUGUAAGUUUGGUUGAAUUUCAAACCGCAUAGCUGAAAUUUUGGAUGUUCUCUUUCUUAUUAAAACAUUAUUAACAAAAUUGAGAAUUUAAAAUGAUUUUGAUUAUAAAUCCUACGUCUGCAUGUUUAAUUGUGCUGGUUUGCUUGUUUAAAAUGGAAAACGGCACAAGCCUUGCUAACUUCUUAAUUUGCCUUGCAAUGGCAUGUAACCAUCAAUAGACUAGAAAUGACUUUUAAUUAAUUGGUUGUUUUUGUGCGCAGGUGUGGAUUUUAAGGUAAAGUAUGUUACUGCUGGUGGUAAAAAGCUGAAGCUUGCAAUUUGGGAUACUGGUAAUUAAGCUUCUCCACACACAUAAAUAGGCUUCUUCUUCCUCCAUUUUUAUUUUUGAGAGGGCGUCUAUUCUAUUUUCCACACAUGCAAGAUGUAUGCUUUGGCAGAGAAGCACCAAACGGCUAAGUUAGAUAAUUAAUUUACAAAAAGAUAUUGCUUAGCUAAUUAUAUAAGCAGCUGGACGGUAUACUAAAUUAUAAAUACAUUGAGGCUUGGCCAUUUGCGUAGCUUGUCCUUUGUUCACCAGCUCAAAGUUGACUUUUCCUUCAUGGUCCGGCAAUCUAUGCAGUAAUCCUCGAUUCGGCACAGUUUUCUCCUGUUUUGAAUGUAGAAGCUAGAAAAUUUUGUUACCAAAUCUUUGAGGCAUUAAAUAAAUGGAUGAGAAGACAAUAAAUUUAACCAAUUGACAAAUAGAUCUGGAAGGUGAAAACGGAUGCUAACUGUUGACCAUAAGUGUGCCUGGAUGAUGGUUCUGCUGUGCAGAAAAAUGCAACAUGAAUGAACUUUUCACGUUCAUGUAUAGAACUUUGUUGAACCUGCAGCCGGCUAGAGCUUUUUCAUCAAGAUUAGAAACUUGUUCAUAUUUGUGUUUGAAUUAAAUUUGGAUCUUGACCUAACAGACUAAGAAAUUGCUCAAAGGAUUGUACAUGCUUAUUCUAAUUCUUAACUGUUAUCCAGUGGUCCUAGUGCUGUGAAUUAUAAAGAUAAUAUAGUUGUUCUUGUUGAUUAGCCAUGAUGUAUUUGAUGGUACUAGGGUAUUACUUCCUAUAUUUUCUUGUAAUGAAUCUGUAUGAAAGAAAUCUGGUUUACCACAUCUCCAAACUAUGCAUCUUGUAGAAUCUAACUCAAUGUUCAAUCGUACAGCUGGGCAGGAGAGAUUCAGAACACUGACUAGUUCAUACUACAGAGGUGCUCAAGGGAUCAUUAUGGGUGCGUUCUACUCCCUUCUUUAUUUGAUUGUUUUAAAGAGAAGAAAUUCUUUGCUUGGCAUAAAUGUUAAAUUUCUCAGCUGUGUUUAGUUUAAACGCAUUCAUGAUUUUAUCAAAUGAUAAGUUGUUCAUUUGUUUGGCCGUCCAAUAUUAUUCUAUUGCCUUUUGUAUUAUGUUAUCUUGAUUAUGACAUCAAAUAUUAACUGUCAGUUUAUGAUGUAACGAGGAGAGACACGUUUACAAACCUUUCUGAGGUAUGGGCAAAGGAAAUAGAUCUAUAUUCAACCAAUCAAGAUUGCAUCAAGAUGCUUGUUGGAAACAAAGUUGAUAAGGUAAGCGUCUUCAACUUCCAUUUGAAAUUUUCCAUUCACCUGAAUUUGGUUACUCUAACAUUUGUAUAGAUGUCGAUUAAUUGUUCAAGUGUAUGGUGAACUGAAAUUCAUAUUCCAAAGAGUUUUCAGGUUAAUUACCAAUAACAUAUUGAUAAUUUAAGAACCGAUUAAAUGAGUUAUGAAUAUCAAAGCUUUUUCCGUAUGAGUUUGUUAGGUAUUCAAGCUGUUAUUUACUACUAUUAUUAGAAAGCUUAGAAGAUGGCCUAAUGGUAAAAACGGAGACAUAGUCUGAAUAACUAACUAAGAGGUCAUGGGUUCAAUACAUGGUGGAAUUAAUUUCCUACAUGUUAUCUUGACACCCAGAUGUUGUAGGGUCAGGCGGGUUGUUCCGUGAGAAUAGUCGAGGUGCUCGUAAGCUUUCCCGGACACUCACGGUUAUAAGAAAAAGAAUUAGAAAGCUUAGAAGAGUGUUGAAACACUGUACAAAUGAAAUCUAACUUCUAGGUCUGGCUCAUCUCCACGCACAAAGCCUAUCCUAAAUUAUGACUCAAGAAACCAAACUUCCAAUAGGAAGAACAUAAAAACAAAAAGGCAUGUGCGAAAUACACUAAAUGUGAAGUUCAGGUUUUUGAGAUUCUUUUAAAUUUCUUAUGAUAAUGUUUUUCAUUGUCUGCAUCUAACUUACUUUUUAUCUGGAAUUUUAUUCUUCAGGAAAGUUAUAGGACAGUAACCAAGAAAGAGGGAAUUGACAUGGCUAGGGAAUAUGGUUGUCUUUUUACAGAAUGCAGUGCCAAAACUCGGGUUAAUGUACAGCAGUGCUUUGAAGAACUUGUUUUAAAGGUAGCAAUUUCAGUUUAGUAUUACUGUUGGUUCAUUUAUUGGUCAAGGGAUUGAUAUUGAUUGGUGAGUAGCAGGAACAUGGUGUUUCCCUGUUGUAAUUGUAACAGUCACAUUUCUGAUAUUUUUUAAAAGAUAAAAGCAAUCACAUUCCUGGUAUAUUCAUAAAUAGGUUAAGGCAGUGAAAAAUUUUGAACCCUCUUGAAUAGUCAUAUUUUAACGGCUAAAAUUUUCCUCUUCCUUUUUCCCAUUUUAAGAUUUAGAAAUAUCCUGCAAACUCACUGAAUGUUGCUUGGACGAUUAAAACAUGAUGAUAACGAUUCUUAUAUACAGAUUCUUGAUACGCCCAGCCUUUUGUCUGAAGGCUCUAAAGGAGUGAGAAGGAACAUCUUCAAGGAAAAACCUCCACAGUCUGAUGCAUCCACGAGCAGUUGUUGCUGAAAUUGAUUCAUUGUCUCUAACUACAUUUGCUGGUUGUUUCUACAUUGUUGUAAAACUACAGUAGAGGAGCAUGGUGUUAUAGCUUUUAUUUGUCUCACUCUCACAAAUUACCUUACAAAUUGAAAAGGGUGGUUUUGUCUUCUUGCUGGCUUUCUUGUACAGGGAAAAAUUGAAAUGGAAAUAUAUGAUACAUGAUUUCAGUCUUUCUUGCUUUAAUUUAGUUGCUGUCCUCUGGACUUUUGUUUUGUUUCUAUACACUGAGUCAUAGAUUCAGUACGAUUAAAAGAUGAUUCUUGUUAAUGUAAGAGCUGGGGGGAGGGGGGUUGGGAAGAAGUGUCCCACCUGCAAGUGUUUAAUUGAAGGGCAUAUUUGGAUGACUUUUAAGGGGUUAUAAAAGGGUUCAAGGAAAAUCCAAAUAGGUCCUCAUCCGACUCAAGUGGGGUUGAUUUGAAGUCGAGUUGGGCUUUGUGACGGAAAGGAAGAACAACCCCGUUUGGUUGUAUAUGCAUAAAUUUAGCGAUCUAAUAAAUAGGAUCUUCUUUUACCGGUUACUCGUUUCUUUCACCGGUUCAUGGAAGGUAACCGCUAGAUUUGUUUUUUAGAUGGAGAAAUAAAAACCACUUGUUAGGGGCUUCUUUUUAUUGAACUUAUAAAGUUGGAGAAUGGUGUGACUAAAGGUAUCAGCUCGGUAUGUGUUUGUUACAGUCGAGACGUUAAUAAACUUAAAUUCUUGAAACGUUGAAGAGGUUCUUUUGAUUUCCUUUUAUGGAAGGUAUAUCAAGAAUGUAAAUAUUCUGAUUGAUUUGUGGAAACCUUUGAGUUCAUUAUGUAUGGUAAACAAAGUGAAUGUUGAUGGUAGUAGUAAAUGAGAUCAAAGUUUAUGAUAUGCUUUUCAAGAGAAGAAUGAUGGUAGUAGUGACCAAGAAAGAUCAAAGUUUAUUUCUCUCGUUGAUGCCGUAUAAAAAACAUUGUAAAAGUAGUAUGCUCCAAAAUUGGAAAAUAUAAGAGUUCUAUAAAAUGUUCUUGGCCAAGAAAAUGUGAAUAAAAAAUUCAAUUAAAUCGAAACAGUCCUUAAAUCUAUCAAAAUGUGAAAAAUUCUCAAUCUCUCACAAGUAUUGAAAACUCAAGGUUUUAAUUGAUGUUGGUUAGGUUCCUAAUAGUAAAUACUCUAGGACUCCGAUGUACAUCUUUAUGAUUAUGUUGUGUUUAAGGAAGAGAUUGAAAGACACAUACAAAAUGUAUCACCAACAAGGAUCAUCUAAUCCAAUAUGAGCCCUUACUUCAACCUAGUGUUGUUAGUCAAGAAAAAAAGACAUGAUUUGACGUUUUUGUGUUAUUAUAGAGCUUUGAAGGAAGCCAUUGUUCCACGUAGAUUUUCAAUCCUUGUCAUUGAGAAUUGCUAGAUGUUACAUAAGUCUUUCAUGUAUUAUAUGUUAGACCACAAAUUUGACUAUUUACAUCCAUAGAGGUUACUAUAAAUUUCUUGUGAUGCGUUUGAGUUAAAAAAGAACACUUCAACCACUUUUUAAUCUACGAUGAAUCAAAGUAUUUAUACAUGUUAUGUUUUUGAUAAAACGUCUUAUAGUUUUGUUUGAAGAUAUAUUGAUGUAUAGCCUCAACUUGAGACCCACGUAAUAUCCUCGGCCACAAUUUUCUAUUAGCAAACAUGAAAGAAAUGCAAGUGUGAGGAAAGUUGUGUGUGGAUCUAACUAUUCAUAAAUGGUUUGUGAAAGCAUUGGACGUGGAAACCAUUAAAAAAAGGUCAAAGAAGAUGAAUAUCUGUGUAAGAUUUGAGUGGAGUGGCACGAUGAUUCUCAAUCCCAACUUUUUUUUACUUUUUUUUAUUUGUCUUUGACACUUUUCUCCCUAAUUCUUCCCAAUUUUGGAGCAAUCUAGCUUAAUCUAGCUUAAUCUUUUGAAGAUAUUUGAAUCAAGAAUGAUGUUGCGAAUUUCAAAAAAUGAUAAAAUUUAGAUAGUUGUAAACUCUAAGCUAUGAGUAUAUAAUGUGAGAAGUUGACAAGACAUAAAAUUGAUAUAUUUUAGUCACGGACUCAAUAACUCUUUAGACCAAACAAGGAGUGUAGCUCACAAGUCGAAUCUUUCUAAUUCUCUCCUCUUCAUACCUUAACUUUUUGGCCUAAACACCUCGGUAAGUGCUUGCAUAUGUAUCGCUUUAUUUCUAUGUCACAUAUUAGACUCUUUCGACCACUACCCAUUAGUCCAUAACUAAUUUGAAAUGAUAUCUUUUAAGGAUUUCAUUGACAUGGGCUCCAUAGACACAUCACACAAAUGGAAAGGCUAAUUCUAUGUCUAAGACAAGGUGGCUCUCACCACCCGGGUAUUGUUAAGCUCUACUAGAAAAUAAGAUGUGAUUUGAAUUUAAAUCAAAGUUGAAAGAGAUUGUUACCUUCCCAAAUUGGUAGAAAUUUUGGUUGUAUUUUGUUUGAAGGUGAUCAAAAUAUCAAAAAAGAACCUUAGAUGUUCAUUCCUCAAGUGCUCAUAAAUUACAUUGAUUCAUCUUACAUAUUACACUUAGAAACAGGUCAUAAUAGCAUUUAAAUCUAAAUAAACAUAGGGAAGUAAGAAGAAUAAAAGUUCGAAAAUGAGAAAAAAAGAAAUACACAAUUUGAUUCCAAAAUUAUAUCUAAAGUAUAAGCAAUUUAGUAUGGAAAAUAUGAAAAUAAGGCUGAAGUUUUGCCACCAAAACAAACCAACAGCCAUGGGUUCUACAACUGCAAGACUGCUGAUUCCUCAUCUUCUUCUUCCCUCUUCUUCUUCUUCUUCUCACAAUCCAUCAACAAACACUCGCACCAAAUCUUCAAAACCCCUUUCAUUUCCCAACCAUAAUUCAUUACCAACCAGGCGUUUGUUGCUUUUCUCCCUCCCCAUAGCCACUGCCUUUCUUCUCCCAAUUCCGGGCAAUCCAAUUCAACCCAGUUCUUCCUUUGCUGUGGAGAGCUUUGACCCUGUCAGCCGUUCCGAGAAAGAUGCCAGUGCCGCCAUUUCACGAAGAGUAUCUGAAGCUGUGGAGCUUCUCGAUAAAGGCAGGGAGUUGCAAGCUCUUGGUGAUUUCAAUCAAGCUCUUCUCUACUUCACUCAGGUUUGUACUAAUUUUGCAUCUUCGAAUUCGUAGAUUUAACGUCGAGUCCCCAAUAAUUUAAACAAUGAUAAGUUAUAGAAUUGUUGAGGAUUGAUGCUUAGCUGAAUUUUUCCAUUCUUUAGAGUCAACUAAGUUUUAGAUGUAAAGUUCUUGUGAUGGACAUCGUGUUAUCAGAUAGCAAUGGCUUUUUUCCAAAAACAAAUUAACAGGAAAAUUUUCAGAAAAAUUAAUAUGCUCUGGAGUGUUGUUAGUUUAUGUUAUUGUAUCUAUAAAUCUAAAAUGUAUGUUGGACAAAGCAUAUCAACAAAAAGAAACCUUUUAGGAAAUCCUGCAUGCAGGAUCUGGUGCAUAAAAGUAAGGCAUAUUAUCCACAAAUGAUUUACUUAUCUGACUUUAUGGAUAAUUCCCCAAUAUAUUUUGGCGACCCAUUGGGAUGUUAUUAGUCUUUUCCACCCACAUUUGGUGUGAUUAUGCGAUUUACCUAGUUGGAAUUUUCAAGUCUUAAGCAUACUGAUGGGUUUUCAGCUGAAUGGAUUAAACCAUUUCUUACAAAAUGUCAAAAUCGUGAAGAUUUGUGGAAAGGGUACUUGUCUUUUUUGUUUUCAGAUAAGUUGUAUGUAAGGAACUUUCUUGUAAGACAUAAGAUCCACGUAUUUUUUAAGGCAGUUCUAUGAAUGGAAUUUUGGAGGCCCAUUUGGGUGUGGUUUGUUAGAUCCAUAUGUUCUAAUCACGAGUGACUUAACUUAACAACACAGUUCUGUCACUAUCCAGAUAGAAGAAUGAGAAAACUAUUAUGUUUUUCGUUUUUAAUCGUGUUUGAGACUAGGAUCCGCGGUGGAUCAUUAUAUUACUGAUCUUCAGAAAUAUUCACUACUUCAAUUUGGAUUUGCUGUAGGCUUCAAAACAUGCAACAUGAAAUUACUUUCUGAUUUCUAAACACCUGUCUCGCAUAGACAAAAAUUCUAUAGCCUCUAAAUACUGAGUGUUCCUGAGGUUCAGGUAGGGGGCGACAAAACUUUGAUUAUAAACUUUUUUUAUUAUUUAUUUUGCUGAAGAAAACUCAAAACGAAAAGUGUUUAGCAUGUGACGAGAAGACUUCAGAUUCCUUUCCCUUUGAAGCUCAUAUUCAAUCUGCACUCCUCAUUUAAUUGAGAGAAAUUAUUUAACUAUUGAUUUAUUUGUCAAGUCAACGUAUUUUGAGUGUUAGUUCUUAUUAAAAAUUUGAUUUUAGUUCUUUUCUAAUUUCAGGUAAUUGAUAAAUAUAAAGAUUUUGCUUUCUCGGAUUAUGCCCGAGUAGGCAGAGCAUUGGCCCUGUACGAGAUUGGUGACCGAGAAGAAGCCAUUGCAGAGAUGGAGGAUGUUUCCAUAUCAUUGAAGGGAUAUCCAGGUACUUGAAUAAAUUUUGCACAAAUUUUGGGUUCUAGACGUACAGAUUGAAGAGGGUAUCACGUAGAUGCAGUGCAACAACAGUUUUAGCUAGAGAAAGAGACUUUAACAUACAGUAUACAAGUACUUGAGAAUAUAUAUAUAUAUAUUUAAAUGAUUCUUCAAACAAUUUUCCUGAGGUAAAAGUUUAGUUAAAUUAUAUGUUUAGUUCAUAAAUUUUGAGGUUUGUGUUCAUUUUAGUUCUUUAGCUUUCAAUAGUCGGUUAAAUUUUAAAAUAAUUUAUUCAAGUAAAGGUCAAAAUUGCAACUUGAAAGUGAGAGUUUAAGAUGAAAAUGGAUGCAUAUUGUUUAGAGUUAAAAGUAGAUGGAUGAUUAAGGCUAUGAUGGCAUAAUUGAAUCGUGCCAAGGAGCUUGGAUGCAACGCAAAUAACUAUAGAUAUGGGUCAUGGAUGUGUUACCAACAUAAUUAAUGCCAUUUAAAAAAGAGUCAAUAGUAUGCACAGGAUAAUUUUAUACAUUCAUGGGUUUGAGGUAUGCAAAAGUUUAUUUAUUUUUAUGUUAUAUAUCUAUUUAGGAUGCUCAACCAGUGUUUGAUACAUAUCUAACAAAUGUGGACUAGUAUUUAUUUGUACAAUUAGUGUCAAAUGCAUUUAUUGUAGUUACAAGAGUUCUAUGCUUGUAUUCUUUCUCUAUCAUUUUCUGGUGUGGUUGGAUUUUGUAAAACAUCAUUGAAUGUGGAUUGAAAUUUUGACUGCUCUCUCGAAGCUAUGUAUAGCAAGCCACCUAGAAUCUAAAAGAUCAUAAUGUUUAACAGUAGUACUCGACAGUUGGUGUCUUUUCUCUUACAUUAUGUGGCCAUAAUGAAUCAUGUGUAGUACAUAGUACUUACUGGCAUUUAUGUACCGGUAUAUUGUUUUGCAGAAGUGCAUGCGGCAUUGGCUGCAGCUUUAUACGUGGAUAAGCAUGCUGCAUUGCUGGCUGAAAAUCAAUUCACCAUUGCAACCUUGCUUGAUCCUCACUAUGUGGAUAUCUCGUAUGUGAAAGAAACAAAGCACUGGCCUCCUAGUUUGAUCAGUUCUUUGCAACAUUUCUUAACACUUUCUUAGACAUUUGUAAUAAAAUAUAUACAGUUUCUGUCAUAAAAAACUCAAUUCCUUGUUUUGUAAGUGCACAAAAUUUAAUACACUUUAAACAUCCAUGUAAUUAUUAGUAGAAAUAUAGUUUAUGUUUACUCUCUUAUCCCCUUUGACUUGUAACAUAAAUUCAUUUCUUCAUUUAAACUUACCUGAUGCUCAUCCUCAUUCAUGUUCUGAGUCUAUUCAAUGCACCUUCUUUAUUGACGGAGGAUACAAUGAUGGUUUUGCUAGUUUUAUACCAUUGGAUAUAAGUAAGUGAAAUUACAAAACAUUUUUUGUAUUGGAAUCUUGAAUCUAUAAUUGAGUCAACUUCAUUCAUAUUUGUGUUAUUGAACUAAUCCUAGAAAUUGGACAGAAACUUUGAACACUUGAGCUGGAUAAUGGAUGUAUCAGAAUUGUCCUUAAUUAACCAAGGUUGAUUGACCUCUACAAGACAAUGGAAGUCACCAUUUAGGAAGGCUUUUCUUUCACGCUGAAAAGUCUUUGCUGUGACUCUGCACUCAUUUUUGUACUUUUAGUGCUUUCAUAUUAACUUUUUAAAUGGUGAGACCACAAUACUUUGUCCUAGAGUAACUAUAGGUCUUUAGUGGGUCCUCAUAUUAAUAAAAAAAAAAAAAAAUUGCUCUUUUAAUGCCAUUCUGGUGUUCAUAAAAUGCUUUCACACAUGGAAAUUUUCCCACUUCUUCAAGAAAGAUCACAGAAAAUAUUUUGCCACAAGUAACUUCUGGUUUGUAUAACCACAUCUUUCAAAUCAGCCUUCUCUUUCUGAUUUUUCAAUUAUUUAUAGUUUUGAUGGUUUUUUUGGGCAAGGUAAAGUCCCAUCAGAAGUACCUGCCAGUAAUUGCAACUAUUUUAGAAAGAUGCUGGGGAUUCAGAAUUCUGAUGUGCUCUCAUUCAUUCAAGCUAAAUGCCAUUGCUGACAGGCAAGCAGUGAAGUGCUUCCAGCAAAUUGAGUGGGCCAUCAAGCAUGUGCUUUGCCCCUGCCUUUCUAAAUCAUAUGCAAAUCUCUGCAGUUACUCAUACUAUUAUUAAGUUGUAAAGUAUUGAACACUUGUCAUGAUUAUUAAUCAGUUGUAUCAUGACAUUUACAGGCUUUCAAUUCUGAUGCUCAUAUUGGACAUGGGAGGCUUAUUUACACAUCAUCAAUGGCUCUGAUUGAGCCUCAGGUUCACUUAAUCCAAUCUGCUUUAUUGAUUUUCUUUUAUCAAAUCAAAUCAUACCAAAAUUUGGAUUGUGAACAUUUGAUUAAUGAGAAAGCUAGGUAUAUUAUAAUUAAAGUUUUUCCAAUCUGAAUAUAAUGAUACUGAAAUGCAUUUGCAUGUGAUUAAAAAUCUCCAAUGAGUGAAUUUUUUCUAUACUUGAUUGUGUACACUACUAGAUAUUUCUUCCAUAGCCAAUCAAUUUUGCUGGCUACAAUGUAAAGAUUCACAUUUGAAAGGGAAAAAAAAAGGUCCCAAAAGGGUUGAGGGAUAGAAUAUUAUUAUCACACAUUACAUAUUCCUUUUGUCCUCAACCCACUUGGAUCUAAGAAGCUUGAGUAGGAUUCUUGCCUUUGUUUUGGUUUUUGCACAACACUGACUUUGCAGAAGCAGAAGUAAUUGACUCAAAACUCCACCUCUAAUGGCCUUUUCUCUUGCCUCUACUGAAUCAUAACAUAAAAUUAUAAGUGAACUAACAGCACUUUCACUGCCUCCGUGAUCUGAUACUCUAAAAACCAUCUUCACAAUAACAUUUACACCAUCUGGAAUAUUUACCACUUCCUCUUUUGCACUUCUAAAUACCAAAAGUUUCUCAAUUGCUGCCAUUGCUUCUCGUGCAGAGCUUCUUUCUCUUUGUUGAGCAUUAGAAAUGUAUGAAAUAAGUCCAGUAACUGCACCUUCCACAACCAAAUUGUUGAUGUUUUGUUCCAAGUUACUUAGUGAACAUAUGGCUUUGGUUGCUGCAUCAGAUGCCUCUGAGUUGUGGUGUAGAAGUUGCACGAUUUCUCGUAAAAGCUCGGUUGUGUUUCCGAGUAAAACACUAAGAUCUUUAGUCUCAACUGAAGAUGAAAUUGCCUGAACCAAAUGACACAAACUGAUCUUGAUCAUGGAAGUGCCAUUACUGAACAAAACCAUGAACCGUGAUAGUUUUGACUCAUCCAUUAGCACAUUUAGGGACUGUAUCUGUUCAAGAGAAACCAUAGCAACCAUAAAACUAAGCGCUUGCUCUACAAAUUCCUGAUAUUCUUGUGAUAGUUUGGUUUCUUCUUGCCCAAAAAUCAACUCCAAAAGCACUGACAAGAACCCAAUUCGGAUCAAACAAGAAUUACGAGAAGGAAACUCUUCACAUAAAAUUCUAACUCUUUGAAGAACUUGUAGCUUGUAUUCAUAAGAAAACUCAUCAGAUUCAAGUUUGAUUCUCAAAGCAGCCAUAGAAUCAAUAGUAGAAACACAUUGAGGGUUUAUUUGGUCACUCAUCUGAAGCCACUGACAAAUCAAAUGACGAAGAGUAUUAUUAGGAACAAAAGAAGGAUCAUGAAGCUUCUGCAUUGUAACAGGACAUGUAAGAUUCCCUGAUGCCAACCAUUUCUCAAUGCUUGAUCUUUCAUAAGUUUGUCCUGUGCAAAGAGUGACAGGAUCCUUAAACAAAUCAAGACUUAUUGGACAUCUAAACAAGUGAGGGAUGGUCUCAUGAUCAUCAGCUUCUUUCAUGGAGAAGAAAAAGAAUAAAACUAAUUACAAAAACCAGAGAAAGAAGAGAGUGAGUACCCCCUAUUAGAAAUUUGGUAAAAAGAGAGAUGGAAAUGAAAUCUUUGAGAGAGGUGGAAUGAUAAAAAAGGAAGAUACGGUGGGAAAGUUUUCAAAAGAAAGAGAAAAAAGGGAGACCGAUUGAGUUCUUAAAGGCUUUUCUUUUCAAGUCACAAAAGAAGAACACAACAGUGUGAUAUUUGAGGAAAGGAAAAUGGAGACCCCAAAAGCUAAAAGGCAUAAAGAGAGAUGAAAAACAGGUAUAGAAAUUGGAAUCAGAUGGUAUAAAGGUGGAUUUAGAAAGCAAAAAAAGCUGAAGGAAAGAAAAGUAGGCAAAAUAUUAAGACUUAAACAGUGAGUUUCUAUGGGGGAAAAGUGUACUGAUUUUGGUCUGAGCUAAUGCUGUUUCACACUGGCAGAUAUAACGAAAAAAAAAGAUAAAAGAGUAUAGAUCAGAAGAGAGGGACAAAGUAGAGGUUAAUCCUAGUGAGAGAGAUGAACAAAGUAAAAUGAUAUGGAAGAAGUAUGAGAAAAAUUGGUCCCCAUUACUCUAAUAUAGAAUUCAGUCAAAGUGACCCACCAUCAAAUAAUAAUAAUUAUUAUUGUCUUUGAAGUUUGAAUCAACCCUCAUAAUAAGAAAAAAAAAUGGGGAAAAAAGGAGAAAAAUAAUGGGUCUAAUUCCCUGUGAUAGAGAGAGAGAGAGAGAGAGAGAGUUUUGACUAAGAAUUUUUCUUAUUCCUUGAGAUAUAGAUAGAGAGAGAGAGUUUGACUGUGAAAUGUUAAUGGUAAUCACAAUUAGAUUUUGAUGAGAAUUCUGAUCUCAAUUAUGAUUAUAAACACUCAUACCAAUCAUAUAAUGCAAAUCUAAACUGGAUAAUUCUCUAAUAUGUGUACUAAUAAAGGUGGCCUUUUUUUCCCCUAUGUUCAUACCUUUAAGAUCUUUCAAAAUUCAAACAAAAUUUGAAUUCUAAAUUUUAUAUAUUUUAAAAUUUUGGUUUUAUUUUUAGAAAUUGGAUAUGAGUUAAAAAGAAAAAAAAUAAACCCAAAAUUUAAAAAUAAAUAAUCGAAUAAUUAUCAAACGUAACCUACGAGAUCAUGUAAAUAUGUACUUAAUUACUUUAUUUGAAGUUGCAAUUACUUGCUUGAUCUAGGCCAUAAAUAUGACAUAGGAUGGUCUAACAAUAGCGAAUCUAUUUGAACAAUAAUCAUAUCAAUUAUUAAAAGUUGAAGCAGUUUACACAACAAAAUGGUAUAUUCUUUCCUAUAUAGACAUGAUUUAACGACUAUAGAUAUAAAACAGUGAAGAAAAGUCAGAAUAGAUGACUUUUACUCUUUAAAUUUUUAUUUUUUCUUUAUAAAACGUAGACCAACUCAAAUAUUUAACUAAAGGAAUAGUCAUUUAUUUGAAGGUUCUAAUUUUUUAAGAUAUAUUAAAAUGAAACUACAAAUUUCACCUACAUCCCAAACACAUGUAAUGAGCUAAUAUACAUAAAACAGAAAGAGAAAAAUCAAUUGACUCUCCCACUUUGAAUCGCAAUUAUUUAUUUUUGAUUCAUUUCUAUUUUCAUUUAGAAGUUGAAAAUUAUUUACAUAAAAUUAUUCUUAAAAAAUAUCACAAAAUCUCUCUAAACAAGUAAAUAAAAGUAGAGAAGGAUUAGCAAGUGAAAAGUUACUCAAAUUUGAUGAAAAUCACUCCUAUAUCUAUUUAGAUCCACGACUUUAAAACAAAAUUUUAAAUAAGAGUCUAAAUAAGUUAACUUAAUUAAAUUGAUAGAUAUAUAACAAUGGGUAAUUAGUAUAAAGUUAAAAAAGUUUUAAUUAAACUAAUACAAAGUCAAAAUUUAAAAGUAUAGAUUAAAUUUUGUAGUCCCUCUAGAAGUGAUGUUAAAUGCGCAACAUCAUUCAAGUAAUUAAUCCACUUAGAAUCCAUAGUUUUUGUUGAGUAGAGAAGUCUUCAACAAUGGAAUUCCAUCACAAACUAAGAACCUUUUUUGUAACAAAAAGAGGCCAAAUUUAAUUUGUUCACGUAAAGUGUUACAAAAAAAAGUCACUCAAUUUUAUAUUAUAAAUAAAAAGAAAGAAUGGAAACUACCAAAUUAUGGAUUAUACCUGAUUAUGGAUUCAAAUAAAACUUUGUCUCAUAUAUAUAUAAAACUUAUAGCUUAGCUUAUAAGUUUACUUUAGAAAGACUUCCACAUUUUGCUUCCAAACCGUCUUUAAAGUUGAGGGACCUAAUAUUCAUUAUACAAAAUUAAAAGUCAUGAUAUGUAAAUAAUUAAUAAGGUCGUAGUUGUACAAUCUAUAAAACAUAUGUCAUAUUUGAAUAAUUAAACGGUCAAAGAUCGAGGAUGAUAAUGAUGACGAACUAAGUUGAUUCAAUGAACAUGAUACUUUUAUAUGUAUAUUCAUGUUAAUAUGAUGAAAAUUGUUGACAUGAACAAUAUUUGAAAUGUAAGAUAUUUAUGAUUUAGACUAGUUAACAAUGAAAUGAUGAAAAAGAGAAGGAUUAUAAGUUUUGAAACGUUACAAAAACGUUGGUUGAGUUAGGUCAUAUUUUGAAUAGUGUUGAAAGGAUGAUGUUUAAGAUUGAAUGCAUGCACACCCACCAUAUUUAUUUGAAGUGUGCCGGCCAAAGGCAUCAUCACAAAAACACAAAUUAAUUCUAUCAACACUUUGACUUUUUGACUCUCAUUAUAUACACCAAACUUCCCCACCUCAUGACUUCCUAAUGUUUAGUCUAUUUUUUCCAAUAGUGUGUUAUGGGGAUGAUCCAUUGCCCAUUAUGAACGAAGGGGUGAUUCCAAAUUCUCUCCAUAGUCCCACUUUUAUCAUACGACUUUCAAACGUGGAUCAAACUUUAGGUAUUUGUGUAAUGAUGUCAACCAUAUAUCGUGUCAUUUCAUUGAGGUUUUAAGUCUUAUUUGUAGUCGUUUGUCAAAAUUCUAGAAGCUUUUUUGUGACGGUAUUGUGUGAUUAUAUUAUAACAUCUAGAGGUAUAAUAAUUUGUGUUUGAAGUCAAGCAUAUAGAUACAUACACAAACAACUUCUCUAACUUCAUAAUAUUGGACAAAAGUAUAUAUCUAAAAGUGGUAUUUGCAAAGUAUAUAGAGAACAACCCACUAAUGAUACAAAAAGUAUUUUCAAAUUAGACGAUAAGAGUUCAAGAUGAAGGAAUCAUCAAAGUACGUUUAUCGAGAUCAAAAAACUUACGAUAUACUAAAAUAAUUUCUUAUAUAUAUAUAACAUGAGUGGAAAAUGUAUAAAUCGUUAGAAAAAUUUCUCAUUUUAUUCUCUAAUAUUAUGCAUAGUUUUUUGUUUUAAGCUUUGUGAAGACCCAUAAAAUGUAUUACAUAUACUUAAACACAUGGUUGGAUUGACAAAAAAAAAAAGAUGUUUUAAAUAAAUCAUUUUCAUCCAAACACUUUGUAUAACAACUUAGUUAUACUUAAUUACAUUCUUGAAGACAAAUUUGUUAAGUCUGACAUAAUCAAAGUGGAUGGUUGAUAUCUAUAGUUUCAAAAAGAAAAAUAAAUAGCAAAGAGAAAGUACUUGUGAAUUAAAUCAAAGCAAUGAGAAUGGUUAAUUAAGUAAACCAAUAUCCACAAAAGGUAAAAGACCAAGUUCAUUUCCCUUUCAAUGUUUACAAUAUUUUACACCCAAUUCUUUUAAUUUGAUAAAAAGGAAUUCAAAUGUCAAAAAGGAUAGUCAAGAAUAUUUUAGCUUUAAUGUUCCCUCAAGAUUAGGUAAGUUUGGCCAAAAGAUAUUGGAAGAGAGAGAGAGAGAGAGAGAUAUCCAAAGCCACAAAAAGACAAAUAAAUGAGCAAAAUACACAAACUAUUCAAAAUAAUAUUUUUUUAUUUUCUUCUUCUCUUUAAAAAUGAAGAAAAUGAACUUUGAACUUAAUCUUGUCGGCUUCUUCAAUACUUUAAUUUGAAAUUACAAUAUUAUUUCUUUUUAAAACAACUAUUAAUUAAUAAUCUUUUGUUAGAGACUUUUAUCUAAAGAAAAUAAAAUCUUUUAUUGGACUUUGUUACAUUCCUUACUUUGUACCCAACAAUUGUUUGAAGAUAAUAAACUAAUAGAAAUGUAAACAAAAAUUCUUACAUUGAUCCAAGAAAAAAGUGAUCGUGGAUAUAUAUAAGCAAUUAUUUGUAUUGAUAAGACUUCUACAUAUGGUCAUGAUUUGUGAAGUUGAAUGUAGGUAAGAAAAGGAAUGUAUAUAUAUAUUUCACAAGUUUUUUCCCUAGGUAGCCACUUUAGGUCAUUUUUAAAUGGGUACUAUUGGUAUAAAUUUUUAAGAUAUCGAUCCUUUAUUUUUUUAGUUUUAGUAUACAUUCAAGUUUUAAUUCCUUGAUCAAAGUGAGCUUAGUUUAACGGUAAUUGAUAUGACUUUCUAUUUUAGAGAUGUGAGACGUUCGAAUCUCUCAACCUUCAAUUGUUGUACUAAAAAAAGUUUCAAUUACUUGUAUAUAUUUCACCUCAAGCUUUAAUAAUUAUUUUUAUUCAUUUAGUAGUAAUUAAAACUUUAAAGGGAGAGAUUAUAAAAAGAAAAUUGAUAGGGAUUGAUUUAUUUUGAUGCAUUGUGAUAAAUUGAAUUAAUAUUUUUAUCGACGAAUUGUAAGUAACGCCCUCGAACAAAAUUUGUAGAUCCAACAACUGGCUCGAUUAUAGUCCCAUUUUGAAGUUAGGUUUCACGCAAUAACAUUUGCAUAUAUUCUAAUAUACUCCUCGUUGAAACUCAUGGAGAGAUAAUCAUUUUUACCUCAUGAUAUGCUCAUAUUUUCUUUGUCAACUCAUCAACGUGGAAUCCAUAUCUCUAUGCAUAUUGUAUAAUUAACUUACCAAUUAUACAUUUCAUUCUUCACACACACGCACACUAAAAAGAAAUCCAAUGUAAUUUUAUUUCCAUGCUACUAUUCUAGGCAACUUUUAAGUAGUUAGUCAAUACUUAAUUAGCGGUAAUUUGAUAUGAUCUUCCUUCUAUCUAUUGUACUAAAACGCAAACUUUUAGAUGGUUAAAAGUUGUUAAGUGUUUAUUGUGAAUUUUUUGGUCAAAUUUUGGUUGAAACAACACUUCAUAUAUUUUAUAUAUGUGUGUGAUCUAACUGUUGGGUUGGCCAUGCCCAUGCUCUAGAUGAACAUUAUUUAUAAUGAGCCCUCAGUCCAUGUAAUAUUCCUCCAAUUAAAUAUUAUAAACAUGAUGAGAAAAGGGAAAAUAAUAAUAAUCCAAGACAAAAUUAAAUGAGGUUUAAUAAUUAACUAAGAUUAUAUAUUGGAAAUUCAAAUAUCAUCUAAACUCAAAUACAUCUCAUCCAAAUAAGAAAGUUCACUUUCAUCAUCAUCAUCAUCUUCCUCAUAACAAAACAUACUUCUUCCAAUAAUAUUAUUGUUUUCUUUUGCUUCAAAUACUCUACAUACAACCCAUAUUCCAAACUCCUGUUCAAAUCACAACACAUACAAUCACCUUAAUAAAUCAACCCAACAAUAAUGUUUAAAUUAAAUAACCUAACAAUUCGAACAAUCUAGACUAUCCAAUCUAAAUUGUAUAGACUAGGUUAGGGUAACCCAAAAUUUAGAAAAUGUAACCAACAACUCACUCUAAUCUAACUCGAAUUUUAAAGAUUUGGUUCGAUUGGGUUGAAGAUACAAUCAUUUUGGGUUGCCAAUUUGGUCCAAAAACUUUCCAUAAUCCAACUCAAUCAACCCAUUUACCUUCACCUAAUUAAUCUCUAUACACAAUUAUAAAAUAUACCAUCAUUCAACCACUACUACAUAGUUUUAUGUUUUUCUCUAUUUAAUUUAAUUAUGCUCUUAGGAAAAUACAUACACUAGUUAAGUUUUUUUUCUUGAUAUGGAUUGUAUAGUUAUAUAAUCUUGUAUCUAUUCAGUAUUUGAACUUUUGGAUUACAAUUUAUGUGAACCUCCAACUUUAUCAAAUAGGUUAUUGAUUUUCUUUCAACUAUUUUUAUAAUUUACAUACCUUAGUGAUCGUAAAACAUUAAUAAAGCUUGAAGUCUAGAUUUGUUAUUAUUUUUAAAAAAUUUAAUAUGUCGUGAACUUAUUAAAUACAAAAUCUAAAGUUUAAAGACACAUUUAAUAUUUAGGAACCCUUUUACCAAACUUUAAAAGUUUAAGAGAUAAAUUUGUAAAUGAAUCUGCAUCCAAAUUAUCUAAAUACUUUUUUGGUUUUUUAAGCUUUUAAAUAUGAUUUUCAUUUUGGUCCUUAAAAUUUCUACUUCCGUUCCUAAGCUAUAAAUUUAGUUUUUAUUUGGUGAUAAUACUUAUCUAAAUUAAAAUUUAAAAAGUUACAUUUUGCCAUUGUGUUUGAGUUUUUAUUUCCAUUUAGUCUAUAAGCUUUAUAGUUUUAUACUUUUACUUAAGAUAGUAAAAAGACCAUAGUACCAAAACUAGUAAUUUCACAUAUAUUUUUUUAUUUAAUAAAAAAUUAAGUACUAAGUGCCAACUAGAAUGAACAUAUACUUCAUUUAGCAAAAAGUUUGUACUACAAAUUUCAAGAUUAGAACUUUAUUGAUUAUUCACUCCACGUAUUAUUUUUCUAGAAAAACACCCGCCAUACCAAUUACUUUGUCUGAUUUUGAGGGGAAAACAUGGUGAUCGAAUCUAUAACGAAAUGAAAAAGUGUAAAAUGAAAGAAAACGAAAAACGAGAAACAAGGAAAAAUAGUGAAAAUGUAAGAUUCUUGAGUUGUUUCACUUACUGAUUUUGUUUGUGAUAGAUUAUUGUUGUUGUUUUGAGAUGGAUGAGUAUGAUCAUGAGUGUUCAAAAGGUAGUUGUAAAUGUGAUACUCUUGCAUGACCCAACUUGUUUGAAUGGGUGUUGGUGAUUCAUCAUCUUCUUCUUGAUCACCAACAAAGAAAAUAUGAUAUUUUUUGAUACCCACUUCAUCCCCAUUGGCACCGCAAAAGAUUGGUUCAUCCAUUAAAACAUCUUUCCAAUAUCCACUCUCUGUUGCUCUACUUUCUCCCACUCUGCUGAAAAAGUAAUGAAUGUCCCCAUUUGACAGUGUUUUACCUGUGAAACACAAUAAAAUUUUAACUUUAAAAUAUGUGUUUUGGUUGUUUCAAUUUGGUUCAUAUAGAUACAAAAUUUAUAAAUAUAGAACUUUUACUUUUCACUUAGUAUUAUUGCUCUCGAAUUUGAAACUUAAAUGAAAACUAAAACAAAAACUCAAGAAACAAAAACAUUUUAAGUUCUAAUGAAGUCUACAAGUUUUAGAGAAGAUAAAACAAACUAGAAUCAAUAUUUACUUUAAAGGAAAACGUAAAAUAACACACACAUAUAUAUAUAAAUUUUAAAAGCAAGAUCUUAUGCUCUUCCAAUGCUCCUCAUCAAUCUAACUUAAAAGCUAGCUUGACUUCUUGUACCUACUGCAUGCAUAUAUAGCUAGCUAUAUUGUUCUUCGCAUAAUAAGAGAAAAGAUAGAGGGGGGGAGAGAGAGAGAGAGAGAGAGAUUAUGUAUAUAUUAUAUUAUACCAUGGAAUUGCCAAGGGUUAUAGAGAUGAAGCUGAAGAUGAGGAAUAAUAAUGGAAUUGGAAAAACGAUGAUGAGAGUUAGCUUUGUGAUAGAGAAAGUGAAGCACAAGGUCUUCAUCAGUUGGGCAGAAUCUAAGACCAGGAGGCAACAGAUUUAAGCUAUUAUUUCCACUUAUCCCACCUUCAUCCAUAUUAACAAACUCAAUCAUAAUAAUAUAAAUAACAAAUACACAAUAAUAGUAUUCUUUUCUUUUUUCUUUUUGAGGAGGUAACUAGGUUAAGGCCUAGUAGGUUUUAAUGGAGAAACUUUGCACCACAUUUGGCCUAUUUAUAUAUAGAAAUUAAAUGCAUAUAUGAAAUUAAAUUAAAUAUAUAUUUAAGAAGAGGAUAAUAUUAGUGCAUAUAUGUGUUUUGUUUCAUUGAUUUAAUAAAGGCAUUUUUUCCCAACACCAUGCUUCCUUGACCCACACUUUUGGAAUGAAAACAAAAUCAAAAGUAACUUUUUCUUUUGCUUUGUUUUUAUUGUAAAAGAGACACAAAAAGAAAAAUAAAGAAAACAGUAACUACUACUUUAUAUGGUCUACUAACACCAACUUGUGAUCAUAAACUUUAGGUUUAGCUUACAUUUAUAUUUUAUUUAUUAGGUAUAUGGUGCUAUAAGAUAAUGUUUAAGUUAAUGAUGGAAAAUUAUUUUCAACCAAAAGAUGAAAUUUUCAGUACUUUUUUGGGGGAGAAGUGACAAAGCAAUAGCAAUUAAAUGUUGUAAUUUUGUUUUAUUUAUAGAAGCAAUGAAUUAAUGGUAUUUAGUGAGAGUGAAAUGGUGUGGAUUGCAAAUGGAUGAAAUGAUAAAUGGGUAAUCAAUCAAAUCUGAACAUAGUGGGUGUCGUUGUUUGAUGAACUACUGCCUAAAUCAUUUUGUUUAAUCUAAUGCAUAAUUACGUUUAAAUUAUUCCCUCUCUUUGAUUAUUGACUUCACCAAUAUUUCUACCAAACAAAAAUAGAAGAUGAGAUGUAUUAAUCCACUAAAUGUUCCUUUGGAUUUUAAAGUCUCUAUCUAGUACAAUAAUAAUGACAAUUAUAUAUGUAGAGAGAAGAGUCACACCCUAACAAUUUAAUCGUGAAAGAAAUUAUUAACAUUUUGGGAUAGAUUUGAAUAAUGUUAAAUAUAAUCAUCAAUAUUGAUCCAAAAACUUAAGUUAAUAAGUGCACGUUCUAACGUUCAACAUUAUUAAUAUGAAUUCCUUAGGGUUGCUUGCUCAUGAACAUUUUGUAGUAAAGGAUCUUUCCAAAGAAAAAAAGAUUUGAGAGGUGUGAGAAUUGAUUAUAUAUUAAAGAUGAAAGACAAUUAUCAUAUAUUAAAAAUACUUAGAAUAUUGAUUGAUUUACAUAGUAAAGACAAGAUUAUCAAGGUAUUAAAACACUAAUAUAUACCUUCAAAAUUCCCAAUAAAUCAUACCAAUAUACACAAACAAACAGGAUGAAACGUUAGUUGACUCACCAAUUGAUCAAAAACUACUUUAAGUUUUUUUUAAAAAAAUAAGUAACAACAAAAAUAAAUAUAAAAAUUAGUAUAUUAUUAGAUUAAAAUACUUUGUGAAAGGGAUCUAAUAAUAAGUGGUGACAAAUAUAUUAUUUUAUGGAGUGAUGUAGAAUCAAAUCUAAUGAAGCCCUUAAAAUUAAUAAACACUCACGAGAUCGAUCAUUCAUUGUUUAUAAAAAAUACAUCAUCAUUGUUUAUAUGAAAGCAACUUCUUUCUAUUAUUUUUUAUUCUCCCAUCUCAUCAUUUUGUUGGAUGGGAUCUUAACACAUAUAUACAACAGAUUCUGCCAAUUAGAAUAUCUAUAUAGUUCUUUGAAAACAAAACAUAUAAUUCUAAUCCAAUAUAGUUGACAGACAAGUUUUACCACUCCAACACAAUUUUUUAUAUUAGAAACUUUGGUAACACUCUACUCCCUGUUAUGAUCACUUUCCUACAUAGGAGAAUAAACAUGUAUUUAUGCGUGCCAUUUAGUUGCAUUCAAAUUUUCUCGUGAUAGUUGUUCUUUAUUUUAGAAAUUCAAUUGUCCUAUACAUUGAAAUAGUUUAUAGAAAUGAUGGGUUUCAAUAUGCCUUUGGUUUCAAAUCAUCCUAAUUAGAAACACUUUUAUAAGUUUGAAUGUGCUAAUUAAUUCUUGUUAAAUUCUCUUUUGUAAUUUUAGUUUUGAGAGGUGAGAUUAAAAGGUGUGAGUAAUACUAAAGUUUUGAGAGAGUGUUCUUGUAAUUGAGAUUGGAAAAAGAACUAUUUAUAUUAUGUGUGAUAUAUUAUAACAAUUUUCACACGGUAAACUUCUUUUUAGUUAGUAGGUCAUGGUUUUUUUCUAGGUUAAGAGAUUUUCGUGUAAGCCUUGUGUUUUCUAUUAUUUUCUUUUAAUUUCUAUAUCAUCUUUCUACUUAUUUUGUCAAAGAGAUGAUAGAUUUUUUUUUUCUUCUAACAAUUGGUAUUUCAUAGCCUUAAAUUCAUAGUUUCUUGAAUGUUUGAGUAUACGUUUUAUAGUUACCGCACUAUUUAUAUACUUUCAUGUCACUAUUUAUAUACUUUCAUGUUAGAAAAUCGUAAACACUAAACAUUAAACGUAUUAUGAAUAUUGUGAAUUGGUUCACGCUACUUAUAAAUUAUUUAGAAGUGCAGCAAAUAUACGUUAAUUAGGUUUAUAAGGUGAAUAUGAAAUUUGUCAGUAUAGAAAUGAACUCAACUAAGGAGAACAACUUCAACUUGUACUGAUCAUAAUUGUAUUAUGAAUUAUACAUGAGAAUAAAGAGUGGUAAGUGCAUUGGCCUAAUAUUAUUAUGCAUGCUUUGGUUUAUCAAAAGCCAUAUCAUUACGUUACAACUCAUUAGGCUAUUCAAAAUGAUUCCCAUUUAUUGUUUUAGUUGAGAGGUCAUAUCUAAAAGCAUUUUGAAGGAAUAAUCUCAACCACAAAAGCGAAGCCACUUUUGUGCUUAUCCCAAUACAAAAGGAAAGAAAAACACUUUGCAAUUGCAAUUGAGUUGCAACCCAACUCUUUUCCCAAUAUUAUCUUAUUUAUUUAUUAUUAUUAAUUAGUUAAGUUUGAAUGCAACUUGUUUGUAGUUGCAAACAAAUACUAUAUUAUUUGGCAUUUGUUAUAUAUUUGUUUUGAUAAUCAUUUAAACUAUUAGAACACAGUUCUAUACAACUAAUAAGUGAUGAUCACCAUUAGACAUUUAGGAGAGAUUUGUAGUGCGAAAGUUUAAGAACCUAUAGUUUAAAAAUGGUAAUGUAUAGGAAAUCUACAAUUCUGGAGAUAACUAGACAUAGUAAAAAAUUUAAGAAUCUCUAGUUCCUUUACAAUUAUCAUGAUUAUAUGUAUAUCUAAUCAUCCAAAUUAGUUCUAGAGUAGUACUUAGCUUCAAUGUAUAACUAGUAUUAGUCCACGUGAUAUAGCAUUAGAUCAAUAGUUUAGUGCUUUUUCAAAGAAAUUAAAAAUGGUUGAUAAGAGACGAAUAAAUUGAUAGAUAAUCAUAACUAUUAAUUUUAUUUCUUGCUCCUUUUUUCUAACCACCACUCACUUUAAAAAUUGACAUAUGUUUCUUUUUCGAUAUAGACAAGGCAUUAUUAGUUCAAUCUAUAUAUUUAAGUUAGCAUGGUUUAUUCUUAACUCAAUCAUAUAAACAUGGAAAUAAUCUUUCACCCUAUACUUACCUAGAAAUUUAAUUCAUAUUAGUACCUAUAAUAUAGGUAUUUCAAAAUCAAUAAAGGGAAGAAUAAUGAAUUGAAAAUCCCAUCAUUAGUUCAUCUUGUUUUCAAUCCUUACAUAAAAUUGACACAAUAUCCUAGCAUGCAUUUAAUCUUUCUUAUUGAUUUUAAAAGUCUAAUUUAUUUUAUAACAUUUAUAAAAACUUUUAGACUUAAUCAAUCAUUUUAUCAAUAUAUAACCUUAUAAAAACAUUCAAUUAAUAUGGAUUUUAAUUUAUUUAACUUUAAUUAAAUCAUAUUUAAUUUUAAUUUAAUUAAAUCAUAUUUAAUUAAAUUAAAUCAAACAAUAACUAAUUAAUUUGAUUAAAUCAUAUUUAAUCAAGAAUAACUUAAUUAAUUAAUCAUAUUAAUUAAUUUCCAUAUUAAUCAAUUAACAUGCAUACAAUACAAUAUAACAUUUAUAUUAUACAUUUUAAUGCAUGAACAUGUUAACCUAUGGUGGGAUUUUAAAUCUAUAUGACAUUCAAAAUGCACAUACAAAUUUAAAGUAAUUUAAUCAUACAUCACAUGCAUAAAUAAAAAAACACCCUAAAAUGGACUGAUUUUUGGCUCCUAAAUUAAGUUAAGUACUAAAUUAUUACAUAAUUAAUUUGGUGUAGUACAGAACCACUCCCAAAAACUUCGAACCGGCUGAAAAACUAACCGAAACCCCUUGAACCGGCCCAAAAACCAAAUUUAUUGGCUUGAACCGGCCCAAUUAACUAAACAGGCCCAGGCGCACACGGGUCGGGCGCAGGCGGGCGCGGCGGGACAGGCAGGAGGGCGCGCGGCGCAGGAGGGCGCACGGGCGCAUGCGGGCGCGCGGCACAGGCGGGCGCGCGGGCACAGGCGGGCGCAGGAGGGGCGCGCGGCGCGUGGGACGCAGGCGGGUCGCGCAUCGGGUCAUGACCGGGUUUUCGGGUCUGUGACCUUCUUUUCUUCAUUUUUUUUCAAUUCUCUCACCCGGUUGAACCCGUUACAGCCUAACUUCAACUCUAAUGACUUUUUUAGUUUUUAAAAAAUUACAAACACUUUGCAACAAUAAAAAUAAGCCAUUAACAAGGCUAAUUACAAUAAUUAGAACAAAAACACUUAAUCUAGAGCCAAAUUCAUAAUAUAUCCAUUUUAGUUCAAACCAAAAUUUAUCUAAUAAAUAUGAACCCACCACAUACAAUUGGGUAAAAAUGAAGCAUGCUCUGAAACCACAUGUACCAACUUGAUCACCACAAGUCCCAACUUGAUCACCACAAGUCCCAACUUGAUCAUUGAUGGUACUUGUGGUGAUCAAUGAUCAAGUUGGGACUUGUGGUGAUCAAGUUGGGACUUGUGGUGAUCAAGUUGGGACAUGUGGUUUCAAAGCAUGCUUCAUUUUUACCCAAUUGCAUGUGGUGGGUUCAUAUUUAUUAGAUAAAUUUUGGUUUGAAAGUAAUGGAGAUAAAAUGGGAUUGGAAGGUUUCUUUUUUCUUUUGUUGAGAUGAUGAAAAUGAUAAAAGAGGCAAAAGUUCUUCAACAUUUGAAAACACCUCUAUUUAUAACCUAAUUACAUGCAAAAAUGCAUGUAAUUCAUUUGCCAAAUCUCAACACCUAAUGUUCCACUAACAAUUAGUGGGCUAGGUGUCUAUAUCUCAUAUAGCCACAUAUCCCACUAAGAGUUAGUGGGAUUAUCCAACAAAAUGUUGGAUUUUUCCACUAACUUAGUCCAAGGGUAAAAUGGUCAUUAGAUAUUUCUAGUCAAAAGUCAAACUUUGACUUUUCUAAGUCAAAAGUCAAUAUUUUGACUUUUUACCAUUUUGUCCGUCUUGACUAAUUCCAACCUCCCGAGCAUGAAUCCGCAUUCAUUUUUCCAAAAUUCAAAUCACAUUUGAAUAUAAGGCCGGUCAAAGUUUGACCUUUUCAAAGUCAAAAGUCAACAUUUUGACUUUUUACUAUUUUUGACCAAUUCCAUCAAUUCUGAGCUUCUUAGUAUGAAUCCGCAUUCAUACUUAUAGUAUGUAAAACAUAAAGCUCUAUUUCUAAUUAGAAGACCGACGACUAUAUCACUAUAUUUGUCGGUUUCCCUUUCUUCUCCCAAUUCGAAACAAUUCGAGCUUAUUUCAUCACACUGUUCUAAGUUUAAUCCAUAUGAGCUAGCAGAGGAACCUAAUGGACCUAUAGAUCAUGGGCUCCAACGAUUCAAGAUUAACUAGCUAAACUCUUUUAAACCGAGUUAAUCAACAUUCGUUAACUAACGGGUCAUUCCACUAAAGUCCCGUAGUUGCACUCCCCUCACUAUAGAUAUAUUUGUGUCCAUUUGAUAAAACCAUAAUCAGUAAGUUAAUCCUUCACAGGUUGCUCGUAACCUUGGCUGGGUCAAAAUACCGUUUUACCCCCAAGAUUACAUCUUGCUCCUUAAGUCCCACUAAUCCACUAUUGAACAAUUGGUUUAAGGUUCAACCUAUAAACUUAAUCCCUCUCGGGCCAAUGAGAGGGUGGGGCCCCUUGUUCAAGACUUGGAUUCAGUGCUUAAGAGAGCAACCUAUCUACUAACCCUAAAGCGGGUAGGAGUGAAUUCCAUCUUGUACCCUAUGUUCCCAGCUAUCCACCGAUCUUACCCCUGAAAUGGGAGGCUUAUUGGGCCAACGCUGAUGAGCUGCCCUCACCUAUGCAGAUCUAAGGAUAAUCUCGUGUGAACAGGAGUUCAUAGUUAACUCAGGAUUAAGACUAAGUUACCUAGGUCAUCAAUAAUUGAGAUAGUCAGUUUUAAACAGUAAACGGUGUUAUAACGUAAAAAUGACUAAUUCAUGGUUCAGUCUUAUGUAAACAUUUUACAUAGGAUGCCCCCACUUUCAUGUCUCUACAUGAACGAUUAGGAUCACCUCGUUUGUACUACAAAGUGGGCCGCAUCCAUAGUUUCUCUAAAUAAGGCGCCCAACCUUUAUUUCAUAUACUAUAGACUAUUUAGGCUAUAUACUCGAACUUGAUCCACGUUUAUGUUUACACAUAAAGUUCAAGUUUAUUCAAAAAAUAGCCUUGGAACUUGAUUUAUUGGAUUUAAGAUUAUAAUAUUUAAUUUCUCAAUAACAACUUUAUUGAACAGAAUAUGAUUUACAAACUACGAGUUUUAGGACAAAAAAUUCCAACACUAAAGAGGUGCAAGAUAAAAAUAAAACAAUUAAACCCUUCAAAAACAAGUUUUGGGAUAAAAAAAAUGAGUAUGUGGCAUCACUGGUCACUUUUUGUGGAAAUUUUUUUCAAUAUUAUUCAAAAUGAGACUAUCUAGUAGUCAGAUUUGAAUUUUCGAUACUUUUCACAUUGUUCUAAAUUGGGUCGUUUCUUUGUAAGCUAUAGCAUGGACAUUUUUAGAACCGUUUUGGGUGCUACCAUAAUACAUCACUAAGGAGCACCAGUCUCGACCAUUAUGCAAUUUUCUGUGUCAUAGAGUAAUGCAAAAGAUAGGAUGUCGCACUUAUCAACCCACAAUCAUUGAGUUAAAGAGGUGCAAGAUAAAAACAAAAAAAAAAAUUAAAAUAAACGCUUCGAAGACAAGUUUUGGGACAAAAAUAAAACAUGAGUCUUAGAGCAUCAUGGAUCAGGUUUUAGUUUUUGUGGGGAAAAAAACUUUAAUAUUACUCAAAAUGACACAAUCUAGUAGUUAGAUGUGAAUUUUCGAAACUUUUUAACAUUGUUCUAAAUUGGGUCGAUCCCAAUUAAUUUUCUACUUUGUAACAAUGUUUCAUUUAUGUCAAUGGUUAGGUUGGAACAAGAUAUAAGCGUUAGGUAUGAAAACGGGUCAUGUUUGUUUAUUUUUCUAGAAAAAAAAAAUUGACAUAAUCCAACUCAAAUUUGGUUUCACAAAGAAGUUGUUCGACUUGACUCGGAAAAAAAUUAGAAACAAAGAGGAAGACCUUGAACAACCUAAAUUUGAUAGAAUUUAGGUAAUGAAAAUGAUUUGAAGAUCCAUGAAUGUGAAGGGCAGCUCAAUUAGAUAUGAAGUACAUAAUGAUCAUGUUGAUUAUUAUUGCAUGCAUUUAGGUUUGAAAACCAUGAAGUAUUGAGAAAACAUAAAAGUGAAAUUCAAAGUUUAAUUUGGAUGAUUGGAUGUUUUUGUUGAAUAUGAUUUGGGAUAGACACUAUUUUUCCACCUCUCUUAAUUCAUCAUUCGCCAAAUGGCUACACAAUUAUAUACAUCCAAUAUAUAAGAGAUAUAUAAUGAUGAACAAUGUUUCAACUUUAAUUAAAGUGAUGGAAUCAUGGAAAUAUAUGUAAGAACGAUGAGUUCGCAUGCCAAAUUGCCAUAAACCACUCCAUCUUCAUUGAUUUCAUAAGUUAUAUGAUAACCUUUUCUUUUUCUGUUUUUCAUUUUUUACUAUAGAUUUUUUAAAUUAUUAAUUUCAUUUUUCGUUUUCAAUUUUUGAAAAGAAUAAACAUUAGUAAGAUUGAAGAUAAACCCAAAUAAACAUUGGCCCAACAUAAGAUAAAACCCCAUUAUUAGCAAAAUGGGCUCAUAUGGGCUGUAAGCUUAUAAGGGUAACUACCCACGUGGGUCAUGUCUAUCGUGCGGUCAGCCGUCAACUCCAUAAUGGGUUGGAAUCUUUUUGGAUCUGGGCUAAUUGGGCCAAUUGGGUUUGCUCCAUUUAUCUUUAAAGCUAUGUUUGCUCCAUUUGAGUCUUGCACUCAUCCGUAUAACUCCAAAAGGCACUUGAGGCUUCUAAAGCUAGCUAGAUUUUCUCUAUCAAUAAACAAACUUGAAGACAAAGUUAGUAAAUUGGAUUAAGUGAUUUUAGUUUCAUUAGAGUGACCUAAAGUAAAAAAGUAGGAGAUGAGAUCUUCUGGUUUAGGGAUACACAGAGUCGUCCUAAGAUUGAUUUUGUGGAGUGAGUGGGCAUCCCAUUGGGUUUAACCAAACAACAUCUAGAGAUGUGAGAAAGGGUUGAAAUAGUUGGAUGGAAGAAAGAGAGAUGAAUGGAAAGGAAGUAAGUAUUCACGGGGUAACAAAAGUUUGAUAUUAUUAAAAAAGAAAAAGAAAACAAAGAGUUGAAAACAUGGAAAUGAGUUGUAAGGAAGGAGUGAUGGAAAAGUUUGGUUGGGUACCCAUUGACCACAAAACAAUGGUUCACGGGUGCCUUUACACUCUCUCACUACAUCCUUUUUUUAAUCACACAUUCCAACAAACACUAAGGCCAUUUUUCUUUUAACAAACAUAUACAAUUUACAUUAUUGAUAUCUUUUCAAUAUUUAACACAAUAUUAUAUAUAUAUAUAUAUGAAAAUUUGUAUGGAUGAAAAAUGAAUCAUAACGAAAUCAAUUUAUUUAACUAUUUUAAAAAAAACAUUAAUUUCAAAUAAAAACAAAGGAAAGAAAAUUGAUGUAUAAUUUCCACACAUAAAUAGUUUUAGGGCAAAGGACAAAAUAGAAAUAGGUAACUUUUGAGGACAACCAAGCAAUUUUUGAAAAAGUGAAGAAGAGCUGAAUCUUCUCUUUUGCUCUCAUCCACAAAAAAGAUUUGCCCAUUUUUUUCAUCUAUUUUUCCUUCAAUUUUAACCUUUUGUUUGAAUAGGAAUUAAUUCUCCACCACACAAAAUAAUGAAAAGCUCAUAAAUCCAAAUGCCUUUCUUACAAAAAUAUAAUAACACUAAUCACCCUUCAAUUUUUGUGGUCCACUAGUUUUGCAUGUAAAUCCAAAUCUUUGGACCCAUGGGGUGGAAAAAUUGAAUAAAUAUCUAAAUUUUUAACAUACUUUAUACUAAAUAUCAAUUCAUACAAAAAUAGAUUAUAAAUGUAAAGGAGUACUGUAUAGAAUAGAGAAACACCUCAAAUUAACUACAUAAUUUUAAUUAACAUUUAAGUUAACUAUACAUUAUUGUUUACUACAUGUAACAUUAAUACAUAAUAGAGAGAAAGUUUACCAAAAGAAUGUAAAUUGAACUUAUGGGUUCACUUGCAUGGUAAAAUUAGUAGUUACAAAGUAAAAAUGUUAUUAUUAUCAUCCCUAUUAAUAAACCUUUCUUGUUGGCUAAAAUAAUAACAAAGACAUGAUUGAGUAUUAAUUUAGGAAACCACAUAAUAAAAGUGCUAAGAAAUAGAAGGGAUAUGUUAUAUUACUUUAUAGUAUUGAAUCAAUUAUAAAGGUGAAUGACAAAAAAUAAUGGAGUUAGAUUAGAGUAAUGUAUGGUCAUAUGUACUUAAUAAUUAAUUAUUCUUUUACAUUAUGUCAUGUUUUUAUUUAUUUAUUUAUUUUUUUUUGGUCCAAUUCAUCUAAUUAUCAAUACAUUAAACUUAAUUAUUCAAGUUCCUUUUGACAUUAAAACUCAUCAUUUUAACUCUAUGAAAGGAUUUGGAUGAAAUGUGCAGUUGUAAGAUUCCUUACCAUAUCAAUUAGCUAUUUGUAUUUUUAAUUUGAUAGGAUGAUGUAAUUAUCAUUCUACUACAUAAUAAUACAAUUGAAUGAAGAUUGAUACAAACAAAAAGUAGUUGCAAAUAUAGCAAUCAAACCUAAACAAUAACUCAUCAUCUUUCAGUCUCUAAUAAGUUUGAAGUAGUAAGAAAAAAGAAAAGAAAUGAAAUGAAAAAACAAAACACUAAGAAUAAUUAUAUUUAAAGAAGAGAUAGAAUGCCAAUGUUGGCAUAUUGAGAGAGAGAGAGAGAAUGAGAAUGUGAAGAAAACAGUGUGUGUGUGUGUGUGUGUUUAAGGGCUUAGAAAGAAAGCAGUGAGCUGAGUUAGUAAGAAAAACCCAAAUCAGAAGAAGAUAACUGAAAUGAAGAAGCAAGAAGAAGAACAACAUCAAGAACAAGAAGGAUGCGACAUUGAAGCCAUAGGAAUCACCUACAAGAUUCAAAUCCAUAACUCCAAAUCCCCAUUUCUCAACUUCUUCUCCACCUCAAAACCCUCCCUCCGCCAUCGCCAUGUCCUUUCCGACGUCAAUUGCCAAGCCAAAUCCUCCCAAAUCCUUGCCAUUGUCGGCCCCAGCGGUGCCGGAAAAUCCACUCUCCUCCAAAUCCUCGCCGGCAAAACCACCCCUCACGGCGGCUCCCUCCUUCUCAACCACCUCGCCGUCGACCCUUCCUAUAUCAACCGAAUCUCCGGCUACGUCCCUCAAAAAGACUCCCUUUUCCCUCUCCUCACUGUCGAAGAAACUCUGACCUUCACCGCCCGCCUCCGUCUCUCCCUCCCUUCUGCCGUCCUCACCGCCAAGGUUACUUCUCUGAUCGACGAACUCGGUCUGACCCAUGUCGCCCGUUCCCGAGUCGGCGACGACCGAGUCCGUGGAAUCUCUGGCGGCGAGCGGCGGCGGGUUUCAAUCGGCGUGGAAGUGAUUCACGACCCCAAAGUUCUUAUUCUUGACGAACCCACUUCCGGUCUCGACAGCACUUCCGCUUUUCAGAUCAUCGACAUGCUGAAAACAACCAUGGCUGAAGCUCAGCGAAGAACCAUCAUUCUUAGCAUCCAUCAACCUGGAUUCAGAAUCGUGAAGCUUUUCGAUUCCAUUCUUCUUCUUUCCAAUGGCUCUGUUUUACACCAUGGCUCUGUCGAACAUCUCGGACUCAACCUCACUCUAAUCGGCCUUCAACCUCCUCUUCAUCUCAACAUUCUCGAAUUCGCCAUUGAAUCCAUCGAAACAAUCCAACAAACCCCAAAUCAAACCCAAUUGUUAAUCCCUCACUCCCAAUUAAAACCCCCUAAAUUCACCCUGCAACAGCUAUUUCAACAAUCCAAAGUCAUCGACGAGGACACCAUCAAAAUCGGAAUCCACAAAUCAAUCCCUCACCAUUUCGCCAAUUCCCCAUUCAAAGAAACGGCCAUCCUCAUGCACAGAUUCUCCAAGAACAUAAUCAGAACAAAGGAGCUUUUCGGUUGCAGAACAGUACAAAUGUUGGUAACAGGGCUUGUUCUUGGUUCAAUUUUCUACAAUCUCAAAUUCGAUUUAAUUGGUGCUGAAGAACGCGUGGGGUUAUUCGCCUUCAUUCUCACAUUCCUAUUAACAACCUCGAUCGAAGCCCUCCCAAUUUUCUUACAAGAAAGAGAGAUUCUAAUGAAAGAAACCUCCUCAGGUAGUUACAGAGUAUCCUCAUACGCCAUAGCCAACGGAUUAGUAUACCUUCCGUUUCUACUAAUCUUAGCAAUUCUGUUCUCAAUUCCAUUAUACUGGCUAGUGGGGCUUAACAGAAACAUAAUAGCGUUUCUUCAUUUCAUGCUGUUGAUAUGGCUGAUUCUAUACACAGCAAAUUCAGUGGUGGUUUGUUUCAGUGCAUUAGUGCCAAAUUUCAUAGUGGGGAACUCAGUGAUAUCGGGGGUAAUGGGUUCGUUCUUCCUGUUCUCGGGGUAUUUCAUAUCGAACCAGGAAAUACCAAAGUAUUGGAUAUUUAUGCAUUACAUAUCAGUGUUUAAGUACCCAUUUGAAGGGUUUUUGAUAAAUGAGUUUUCGAGAUCAGGGAAGUGUUUGGAAAUGAUGUUUGGGGAAUGUGUAGUGAGAGGAGAGGAUGUGCUGAAGGAAGAAGGAUACGGGGAAGAAAGUAGGUGGAGAAAUGUAAUGGUAAUGGUGGGGUUUGUUUUGAUCUAUAGAUUUGUUUCUUAUGUUAUUCUUAGAUGUCGAUGCUGCAGGAAAACUGGUUUUGUUUAACAGAAAUGAAGAAGAACGAAGAUGAAGAAGAUGAAGAAGAUUGAAGAUCGAAGAAGAAGAAUAAGGACAAAAAAAAAUCUCUCUCUUCACGAGUUUGGAUUUGAAAGAUGCUCUUAGUUCACGUGGUAGUUUUAAUUGUAGCCAAAGGUUAUACUCACACGUGUUUCUUUGUUCUUUCGGAUUUUUAUUUUUAUUUUUUGCCCUUUCUCUCUAACUAUAUAUAUAUAUAUAAUAUAUGUAAAAUUUUCUUUUAAAUUAACAAUUUGGUGUGUGGUUUGUUCAUCUAAGUUCAAAUUUAUUCAACCAAUUAUUUAGUAGAGAAAAGCUUAAAUGGUGAAAGUGAUUUUAAGUAAUCAAAAUUUCUUCUUACAAAAAUUGUGAAGUAUCAUGAAUAUUUCUUUUACAUAAUUCUUUUCUUCGGUAAAAGAUAAGUUCAGGUUAAACAAAACUAUUUUUUUAUUUAUUUGCCAAAUAUGAUAUUUAACAUAUUAUUACUUAUGAAACACAAAUAAAAGAAAGAAAGAAAAAAAGAUCUGUAAACAUAGAUUCAGAAAUCCAUAUUAAUAGAGAUAAAUCGUGUUAAUACCAUUAAAACAUACAUGCUUUGAAAGAACUAAUUUCAAAUGUUAGUUGUUUUAGGAAAAGAACAAGCAAAACCGAGAACAAUGACUAAGCAAACAAAACGUAGAUCCAAUCACAACUUUCAUAUAUGCGUGAGUAGUGUCACCUCAUUUCAACAACAAUCAUGGUUCAAGAUUUGAUUUAACUAACAAUUCUAUUCAUCACUCCCUAACUAUAGAAUCACCAAUUCAAUCAAUUAUAUCACCAUCAAAGAAAGAAAAAAAAUGGUAAAAAGUAUUUUUAUUUUUGAAUAAUUGAAAUGCUCCAUAGUUUUCAACCUUUAAUAGUUUAUUUAACAAAAAUUGUAAAACAUAGAAAUAUAUUCUAAAUAAAAUAAACGACAUAUAUCUCACAACUCCACCUUAACAAAUUUAACACUUGAAAAUAAACAUCAUGAAUGAAGACUAAAAAUCCAAACUUUCAAAAUUAAUAAAAAAAAUUCUCAAAUUUGAAUGAUUUUUAGAAAAGCUCUACAAAUAGUGUCUCUUCCCAAACUCGGUUAUUCCAAUUCUUUUUCUUUACCGUUAUUUUCCCCCUUCUUCAUCAAUAAUUUAUAAAACACUCUCCCAAAUUCCAUCCCCACCCCAUCCCUUCUUCUAUAAAACAAUGGACAAACACACGGUAACCUCCGAUGAACUUCUCGGAAUCAAAAUCUACACCGAAGAACACGCCAACGGCGGUGGGCGGAAAAGACGAGCAAUGGCAAAAGGAAUGCAAAAAACACGCUCAAAAACCUCAAUGCUAGCUAGUAAACUUCCUUCCAACCGGCACUCUCCUAACCUUCGAAAUGCUUCUGCCGUCGGUCUCCGGCAAGGGGGAGUGCACGCGGGUGAACACGAUGAUGAUAUAUAAACUUCCUCUUGGGCUUAUGCGCUUCUAUCCUGUUUCUUGUUUCACUUCACAGACAGUUUCAAAUUAGGCGUGGACGGGAAAGUUUAUUACGGGAUCGUGACGCGGAGAGGGCUGGCGGUGUUCAAGACGGGGUUGAGUGAGGUGGAAGUGGCGAAGGAGGAGAGGUUAUGGAAAGCUUUCCUUUGAUGGUGGGAAGCAUUUGUAGUGCUUUGUUUUUGGUGUUUCCUAAUACUAUAUAUUAUAUGGUAUUGGUUGUAUGGCUAAUUGACUCUAUUACCCCCCACCUUUUUUUUCUUUUUCUUAAUUGUUAGGAUUUUUUUAAUAAUUAUUAUUCUAAUUUUACUAAACUAUAAUCACCAAUUCAAUCAAUUAUAUCUAUAAAAGAAGAAAAAAAUUGGUUAUAUCUAUAAAAGAAGAAAAAAAAUUGGUUGUAUGGUCGUGUAUGUUGCCAUGGCCUUUGUUAAUUCUUCGAAACUAGAAAGAACAAAGAUCUCACAUAUUCAUACAGGUGGAAAAGAUAGAAACAUGCAUCGUUUUGAUUGAAACUUCUUUUAUUGAUAGAGGACGAAAAAACAAAUACAAGUAGUCAUACACCUAAAAAACGAUCAUCCAAAUCAAAAGAUAUGACCUAGAAACUAUCCAUUUCUCAUGUGUCGUCAAAUUUUGCCUAAUUGCUUCUUAGAGAUAGUUUGUUUUAGCUCCAUUUUCGUCCUUACACUCAAUUGUGCUUCUUUGAUGCUUAAAACCAGUAAAAUAAUCAAACAUAAUAAGAACCUAGAAUUAAGUGAAGCUAGAUAACAUAUUUAUGGUGCUAUCAUUUAUUUACCAUUUCACACUAUAAUUUUAUUAUUUCUAGUUUAUCUUACCAAGCCAGUGUCAAUUUUCUUUUCUCAUUCUCAAUGUUCUUUUAUUUGCUUCAAAAAUUCAAUUUGAAAAAAAAAAAUGUGAGAAAGUUGAGAAUUGAAGAGGAAAAAAAAGAACAAAAUUAGUUUUUUUUUUUGUUUAUUUGAUUAAUUAAUUCAAGAAUGUUGAUUAUGUUUGAGUAUUGACAUGAAAUAUUUAUCGAAAAAUUAGGAAGAAUUUUCAUCAUUUGUUGAAAUCAAAGUAAGGCUCUCUCUAAAAGUGCUUGUAAAAUUUGGUAACAAAAUAGGGUUUAAACCAAAAGAUUAUAAAAGAAGAAAAAAUAAUAAUUACUAAUAAUUAAUUAACAUUGUUGGGGCAGCCCAAAGAACGGUUGUGACCUCCAUUGCAGAAACAGAAGAACAAAGCUCAUUUGGUUGUAAAACCAAUAGAACGAAUCGAAAGCCUCCCUUGAGAGUUAUACAGUUGAAAAUGGAGCUUCAAGAUUUUGCGCCAAUUUUUGGUAAACCCACCAGAGUGGAGUGGGUAAACAGGGGUUCACUUUCUUUGCUCCAAUUUUUGUUCCAUGUUUAUUCUCCAAAUCCUUCGCACCUCAGAUUUCUUGUUACUGAUUUUCAUUCUAACACUUGGGAAUCCACCAAAUCAGCUUUCCAGCUUGAGGAUAUGGUGGGCAUCUUUGAUUUCUCCCUGUACGUCGUCUCUUUGUUGCAUCCUUCUUCUUUGAUUUCUAUUAAUAUGUUGUUCUUGCUUCUUUUUUUCCUCUUAGCAAAUGAUGAAAUGGGAUUGUUUUUUAGAAUUUGUUGGUGCGAAAAGCUCUACUAUUUUAUGUAAUCUUUGAUACAGAGAGAUGACAUUGGAAUUGGAGGGGCUUUUUCAGAGUUUGUUGAUUAUAUUGUUGCAUCUAUGAAAUUUGGAGAUGUAAGGCUUUGUAUGGAAGGACAAUCGGGGAAAGAUGGUAAUCUUCCUGAUAUGUAACUAAUUCAAAUUCUCUUUCCCAUUCAAUAUAUUGUGAAACUCACUCCUUUUUUUAUUAUUCUACAGGUGCAGCAUCUGUCAAACUAAUUGCUCAGAAAUCAAAGGGAAUGCCUGUAUUUUCCAUUUCUCUCACAAAACUUGUUGACUCUGCUGCUGCUGAAGCUAUGGCAACUAUGUCCUUGGGGCUUUUUAACUCAUUAAAAGAAAAGGAGUGUUCACUUAUGAAAGGUUUUCAUCGCUUAUCUAUAGACUGCCUAUAUUCUGUGCUAUAGUCAUCAAAUAUGUCGAUAUCGUUUGGUUAGAAAAAAAAAGAAUACAUUUUUAUAGUGUUUGAACAGAAGGAAAGAUGUUGGAGGUUCUUAUGAAAUAUAGUGAUCGGGUGGGCUCAGUGUGUGGAUCAUUCUAAUUAGAUGGAAGGAUAGGCAUCUUUAGUUUCUUUUCCCUUUUUGUUCCAUCUAGAUUUUGGUAUUUGGCUUUCAUUUCUCUCAAAUAACUUCUCACAGCAUUCUACAAAAUUGUUUGGUAUUUUGUUAAGGCCUUAGCCACAAUUUUAUUUAUCAACUAUGGGGAAGGAUUUGAGAGUUCCCCAAUCUCUCCACACUACUCUAAUGAGAGUCUAUACCAAAAUCAUUUAGCCAAAAAGAUACCCACCCCCAACAUUCACAAUACCUAAAUAGGCAAACUCUAAGAAAGCUAACAGAAUACUUGGCCCCACUUUAACAGUCAUACUCCUAAGGGCCCACCUUACGGGAAAUUACUAACUAACUCUCAAUCAUUCUUUCUUCUUCCCACUUUUAUUCCUAUGUGAAUACACCUUUACUAUGGGGGGUCUAUCAAAUUUGUAUCUGAACAUUGGCAUGUUGCAUUUUUUGUUAUGAAUUAUGCAUAUACAAAAUAAUUGUCUUAUAUUCAAAUGGAUAUAUUAGAAUGUGUCAACUCUCCGGUGUGUCUGUGAACUUUAAGAAUACCUAAUUUUGGUUCCAUUCGUAUGUGAUGGGCCAAUCCAGUCAAGCUGAUUUGAAGUAGGGAAAUAAACACAGUACUCUCAAUCAAAUCUGUCUUGGGAAGCUGUUUCUUUUUAGUCUCCCAUUGGUGUGGUUUUGUAGGACUGACUCAAAUAUCAUGUGCGAACUGCUUGAAAAUGUUUGUACUUGAAAAUUACUUUGUUUAGACUUUAGGGUACCGUGUUUAUUGAACAACAAACUACGUGAUGUACAUGGUUUUAGUUUUUCUUUCUUUAUUAUUAUUAUUUUUUUUUGGUAACUGUGAUAGCAUAGUUUGAUGUAAUAUUCAUUUAUAGGUUAAAUUUAGAACAAGAUUUUUCUCAGAAAUGUUCAAUUUUUUGCAUGCUUGCAUUGAAACUUAGCAUCUGUAGCAUUGACUUUUCUCCUAUACUGUUCUUUCAGAACAAGAGCACUCCCUUCAGUUGACAACCAUGAUAUCAACUGAAAAGGUAUAUCCAUCUUCGUCUUGCACCACUGUAAAUAAAUAUGAUACAUGGUGAUGGGCACUUUUAGUUUUAUACUUAUCGAUAGACUUCAUUAAUAAAUACAUUUAAUAAUACACAAUAUAACGAUAACAAGAUUUCUUCUGAUUUCUUCUCUUCCACAGCCUCUCUUAUAUAUCAGAACUCAAACAGUUUACUCUAGUCAAUACUGUUCCCUGUUAUUAGUCUGCAUAUGUUUUGUUAAUUUUUACUUCCUUUGAAACUUUAUUUAUUAAAUGUUAAUAAGAAAAAAGAUUAAAAAUUAAAAAUGAAGAACACGGAUGUUCUUUAUGUCUCACUUAUUCUUUCAUUAUAUAUGACCUCAUGUAACUUUGUUAGCCAUUUCUUGGUUGAAAAACAUUUUCCAUUACAAUACCAAUUGCUUCCUUAUCCCCUAUGGAUUCAACUCAUGGGUCUUUGAGUUUCUCUAUUUUUGUAUUAAACAUUUCUUAUUUGAGAUUAUACUUUUUGUUGAUGUCAGGAAAAGAACGAAAAUAUCCAAACUCAGCUCGGGCAAUAUAGAAAGAAACAGAAGUUACAAAAUAUGAAUGCCUCAAAUUCUCCUGGUAUGUUCCUAUAAUCAAUCCAUUUAAGGUAUUAUGAAAUUAUAUGUUAUGUACUAAAGGACUGAUCGAUUUUUUCCGUUCUUCACAGAUAAAUCUGGCGUACAUAAUAUUGGCUUGACAAAAGCCACCAAUCGUGUGGUGCCAGUACACCGGAGGUCGGUUUCUCAAAGUUACAUUCAUCACAUAAUUCAAUUGAUUUAUUCCCAAUACUAAUAGAUGUACUUAGCAUUGUAUUUGAACAGGGCGAAAGCUAGGGGUGCCCUUCUGCAAGACUCUGAAGAUGACAAUGGUAGGUAGAGAAGUUGAAUGUCUUGUAUCCAAUCUAGUUUUGUACAGAAUUUUGAUUUCUGAAAAGCUGCUCUAGCCAAUCACUCUCUUCCCUUUGAAUGGAGAAAAAAAAUCCCGUGGUAUUGAGUUCCUCAAUGGUUUGCUUAAAAAGGAACAGGAAAUCCUUGUUUAGGGUCAAGAGGCUAUCUCCCUGUCGUUAUCCCAAAGCUUUAAAACUUUUGUUUCUUCCAUGCAAGUUUUACUUUCUAGCACAUCCACGUUAAAUGAUCUCAUUUUUUCAUAUAUUUUCUUUUAAUCUACACUAAUAGAGAUGUUCCUUCCAUUUUUUUCCCAUUUUUUCUUACAGAAAAAGAGCGCUCCCUUCAGUCGACAUUCGAGGAAAAGGUAUAUUCAGUCUCCUGUCCCCUUUAUGAAUAAAGCACUUUGUCCUUUUAUAGACGGGUUCUUAUUGUCUUGAAAUACCUCAAAAUUAGUACAAGUAUGACCAUAGUCGUGGUGUAUUUUUGGUGCCUUCGGAGCGUAUUUUCAUCUUGCUCAUUAAUUGUUUGUAAAUUUUUUAAUCUACUUUUGAAUAUGUCAGGAAAAGAAAGAGGGGUUGCUAAAUACAGAUACCUUGGCCAUUGUAGACAAUCUUCAUAAGCCUCCUAGUAUGUUUUUUAUGGUUCCCUCUAAAAUUUAAGCUUAUUUGUUUUUAUUGAAAAGAGAGACAACGAGUUCACACCAAUUUACGUGGAAACUCGAGUACCGGGAGAAAAACCACGAUUGUUUGUUGUUAUUAUUUUCUAAUGAAUAAAACAAUAGGUACAGGGAGAAUAAAUAGAGUACACAAUGGAAUAAAAAAGGAAAAGAUUUAGGAAAAUAAGGAAUACAUUCCCAUAAUCUUUCCAUAAUUAUUCUAGGAUUCUAACAAGGAAAAAGCCUAGAAAAAAAGGAAAGAAUUCCAACACUCCCCCUCAAGUUGGGACGUAAAUAUCAAUGAGGCCCAACUUGCUAACGCAAAGUCGAAGUUUGGUCUGAGAAGCCCUUUGGUAAGAACAUCAGCAACCUGUUGACUCGAAGGGAUGUACGGAAUGCAUAUGCUCCCACUGUCAAGUUUUUCUUUGAUAAAAUGUCGAUCAAUCUCAACAUGUUUAGUUCUAUCAUGUUGAACAGGGUUGUUAGCAAUACUAAUAGCGGCUUUAUUAUCACAGAAAAGCUUCAAUGGUGUCUCACAUUCCUGAUGAAGAUCUGUCAAAACUUUCUGAAGCCAAAUUUCCUCACAUAUUCCUAAACUCAUAGCUCUGUAUUCAGCCUCAGCGCUGCUCCUGGCCACAACACUUUGCUUCUUACUCCUCCAAGUUACAAGAUUGCCCCAAACAAAGGUACAAUAACCAGAGGUAGAUUUUCUGUCAACAACAGAUCCUGCCCAAUCCGAGUCAGUGUAUGCCUCAAUGGUCUUUCUGUCUGUUUUUCUAAACAUCAGCCCUUUACCAGGUGUUGAUUUUAAGUAUCUCAAGAUUCUGUUGACAGCUUUCAUGUGUUCCUCAUUAGGGGUCUGCAUAAACUGGCUGACAACACUCACAGCAAAGGAAAUAUCAGGACGAGUAUGAGAUAAGUAAAUUAAUUUACCCACGAGGCGUUGAUACUGUUCUUUAUCAACUGGAACUUGAUCAUCAGAGUUUCCUAGUUUGCAGUUGAAUUCAAUAGGAGUGUCAGUGGGACGACAUCCUAACAUACCUGUCUCGGUUAACAAAUCAAGGAUGUAUUUUCUUUGAGAUACGGAGAUACCUUCUUUAGAUCUGGCCACCUCCAUUCCAAGGAAAUAUUUCAAAUUUCCCAAAUCCUUGAUUUCAAACUCAUCGCCCAUUCUCUGCUUUAGUUGACUGAUUUCUGCCUGAUCAUCUCCAGUCAAAACAAUGUCAUCCACAUAAACUAUUAGAACAGCAAUCUUUCCUGUUUUGGAAACCUUUGUAAAUAAAGUAUGAUCAGAGUGUCCCUGCCUGUACCCUUGGGACUUGACAAAGGUAGUGAAUCUGUCAAACCAUGCUCUGGGAGACUGUUUCAGACCAUAUAUAGAUUUCUGGAGUUUACACACAUGCUGACCAAACUGGGCUUCAAAUCCAGGCGGAGGGCUCAUGUAGACUUCCUCUACGAGGUCUCCAUUCAAAAAGGCAUUCUUAACAUCCAGCUGAUAUAAAGGCCAAUCUUUGUUCACAGCAACAGAUAACAGAACUCUAAUAGUAUUCAACUUAGCAACUGGAGAAAAAGUUUCUGAAUAGUCAAUACCAUAGGUUUGAGUAAAUCCCUUCGCAACUAACCUUGCCUUGUGUCUGUCAAGAGUACCAUCAGCUUUGUAUUUGAGAGAGAACACCCAUUUGCAUCCCACAGUUUUGUGUCCCUUAGGUAGAGUACAAAUGUCCCAAGUACUAUUCUUUUCAAGAGCUUUCAUCUCUUCCAUGACAGCAUUCUUCCAUUCAGGAUACUUUAAAGCAGUGUAGAUAUCUUUUGGUAUUAUGGUAGAGUCAAGGCUUGCUGUAAAAGCUCUGAACUGAGGAGAGAGACUAUCGUAGGAAACAUAAUUGCAAAUGGGGUGUUUAGUACAAGACCUGGUGCCUUUUCUCAGAGCAAUGGGAAUGUCAAGAGAGGAAUCAUACUCAUCUGAUUUUCCUGUAUGACCCUGUUCCGCUUCAUUAUUACGGGUUUCUAUUCUGACCUCAAUCUCAUCACCACUGUCCUUUUCUUCCACGUUUUCAAGAACAGCAACAUUAGACCUGUCAUUCUCACUUAUCAUAUUCUUAGUACAGGGUUCAGUAGGGUUUUCCAUACCUUGAUCUCGAGGAGGUUCAGAGUCUUGGACUGGAGCCGGCGGCUGACUAGUAGGGGAACCGACUUCCUUUUUGUGAUUCCUCCUGUAGUACGUUUUCCAGGGGACUUGGUUUGUGGGUAGGACUAUGGAAUGAGGAAUGAUGUUAGACACGACACUAGGAGUGGGUUCGAUGAAUUCAAAGGUGUUGUUAGACUCUUCACUCACACUCUCCCCCUGAAGAUGGCUAACGGGAAAGUAGGGUCGAUCCUCACAGAAAGUAACAUCCAUAGUGACAAAGUAUUUUCUGGAUGGUGGGUGAAAACAUUUAUAACCACGCUGGUGAGGGGGAUACCCAACAAACACACAUGCCUGAGCCCGAGGGGUAAAUUUGGUUUGAUUAGGGCCAAAAUUAUGGACAUAAGCGGUACACCCAAACACACGAAGAGGAACCUCAGAAACAUGACGAGUCGAUGGGUAGGACUCCUUAAGACAAUCUAAGGGAGUUUGAAGAUGAAGAAUACGAGAAGGCAUUCUAUUGAUUAAAUGAGCUGCUGUAAGAAUAGCAUCUCCCCACAAGUAUGAAGGAAGGGAAGUAGAAAGCAUAAGGGAACGGGCUACUUCCAGAAGGUGACGGUUUUUUCGCUCGGCCACUCCAUUUUGUUGAGGAGUGUAGGCGCACGAGUUUUGAUGAACAAUCCCCUUGGAAGCAAGAAAUUCACUAAGGUUAUGGUUUUGGAAUUCCCGACCAUUAUCACUCCGAAGAAUAGCAAUUUUUUGAUGGAAUUGUGUUUCAAUGGUGUGAUAGAAAUUUUGAAACAUAGAGGAAACCUCAGAUUUAUCAGUGAUAAGGUAGACCCAGGUAAGACGGGUAUGAUCAUCAAUGAAGGUUACGAACCACCGUUUUCCAGAUGAGGUUGUUAUCUUGGAUGGUCCCCAGACAUCACUAUGAACAAGAGUGAAGGGUUGGGUUGGUUUGUAUGGUUGUGAGGGAAAAGAGACUCGAUGUUGUUUGGCCUGAAUACACACAUCACAAGAUAAGGUAGUCAUCUCAACUUUAGAGAAGAGAUGUGGAAAUAAAUGUUUCAUAUAUUGAAAAUUAGGGUGGCCUAAACGAAAAUGCCACAACAUACAAUCUUGUUCAGAAGUAGUGAAAUAGGAAGAUAAGAGACUAGUCCUAGGAAUGCUACUAGAAGAGGUAUCGUCAUCAAGGAGGUAGAGUCCCCUACUAUGCCGGGCAGUGCCAAUCAUCCUCCCCGAGCUCAAGUCCUGAAAAGAGACAGAAUCAGGUAAGAAUAUUGCUUUGCAGUUUAACUCAUGAGUGAUCUUGCUUAUCGAAAGCAAAUUAUAAGAUAGUUUGGGCACAUGCAAAACAUUAUGUAAGGAGAGCCCUGCACAAGGAGAAAUCUUCCCCUUUCCAGCAAUGGGGGCCAAGGAGCCAUCUGCAAUUCUAAUUGUCUCGUUCCCAGCACAAGGAAUGUAAGAUACAAAAUGUUCAGAGGACCCAGUCAAAUGAUCUGUGGCACCAGAAUCCAGAAUCCAGGGGUUCUUCCCAUCAAUACUAACAAGACCGAAGGAAUGAGGUAUACCUGAUUGGACAAUGGCACCUAAAGUGGCAAGACUGAGAUCAGUUUGGUUUUUGUGUGGAUCGGAUUGUUGAGGAGGUUCAGCAGACUCACUCACAUACGCCCGCCCUGUGUUCUGUUUGUCGUUGGAAGGGCGUUUCUUACUUCCUGGGGGACGACCAUGUAACUUCCAACAUUGUUCUUUGGUAUGCCAUUGUUUUUUGCAAUGCUCGCAGACAGGAAUUGGUUUUCCAUUAUGCUUGUCACUGCUACUGUUAGAAGAUCUUGCACUAAAAGCAGCAGAGUCAAUAGUAGGGGUUGCGGAAAUAUUCAUAGCACUUGUGCGAUCUUCCUCGAGGCGGAUUUCAGAGCAAACUUCCAUCAGGGAGGGAAUCGGUCUUUGACCUAGUAUACGCCCUCGAACUACAUCAAACUUAGGAUUAAGACCAGCAAGAAAGUCAUAAAUCCUGUCAUUCUCUUCAAUUCUCGAGUACUGUACACCAUCAGUGGGAUCACGCCAGACUAGUUCUCUGCAUAGGUCCAUUUCUUGCCAUAUAAGAGAAAGCUUAUUGAAAAAGGAUGUGACAUCCAUGGUUCCUUGCUUGCAUUCAUGAACUUGCUUUCUCAGCGUGUAUAGACGAGAGGCAUUCUGACGUUUUGAGUAAAGUGUCUGGGCUGUGUCCCAAAUAUCCUUGGCUGUUGCAGCAAACAAUAACGGCUUGCCAAUUUGAGGUUCCAUACUAUUGAUCAAUAUGGAUCGAAGAAUAGAGUCUUCUGCCUUCCAAUAUCGUUCAUGUGGGUCGCCCGGUAGGGGGCGAGGUAUUUCCCUGUCAGAAAGCUAAAUUUUUGUCGUCCUUCGAGGACCAUCUUUACUGACUGAGACCAUGAGAAAUAGUUGUUGCCAUUCAACUUUUCUCCUGAAAGAUGAUACAUGGAAGACUGAGCCACCGUAUUAGUCACAUAAGGAGAGGAUACAUUAGGGAACGAGUUUACCGGAUUCUCAGAAUACAUCGGUAGAGUGGAUGUCGUCCCUAAGGUAGCCUCAAGUGCUGCUAUCUGUUGUCGAAGCCCUUCCAAUUGUUGAUGAACUAUUCCCGAGGAAGCUUGCACGUUACGGUUGGAAUAUGCCGAAGAUUCACCAACCUCAAAUGUUGAGUGAAUUUGAGAGUUUUUAACAUCGGGAUGGUAGCUAGGAUCAUUGGGUGGCUGGCCAUACAGAUUUGACGAGCAGAAGCGGUGGUAGCCGAUUGGAAUUAGAUGGCAGAACAUAAAUCGGGGCGUGGGGAGCAAUAUAGGCCGCGGACGAAGAAAAGGGUUGGACAGAUGGGAUGGUCGGCGCCGUCUGAGGAAGAAAACCAGGCGCGUGGUGGUCCGGUGACGGCGCGGACGACUGCGGUAAUGACGAAAAAUUAUUUUCGGACGUUUUCUGUAGCCGGCUUAAUAAUUCGUCCAUGGCAGCACUCAUCCGAGCAUCGGUGGCAGCAGCUACGGCAGCACUAAAAUUGAUGGUUGUCCCUUCUGUUUGAUUUUAAUCAGUGGUUUGGUUUUUUUGGGUUUCUAGGGUGUUUUCAUUGUCCCGCUCUGAUACCAUAUUGAAAAGAGAGACAACGAGUUCACACCAAUUUACGUGGAAACCCGAAUACCGGGAGAAAAACCACGGUUGUUUGUUGUUAUUAUUUUCUAAUGAAUAAAACAAUAGGUACAGGGGAGAAUAAAUAGAGUACACAAUGGAAUAAAAAAGGAAAAGAUUUAGGAAAAUAAGGAAUACAUUCCCAUAAUCUUUCCAUAAUUGUUCUAGGAUUCUAACAAGGAAAAAGCCUAGAAAAAAAGGAAAGAAUUCCAACAGUUUUCAAGGUUUAAGAACACUUUUGGUCCCUGAGCUUUCACGAAAGUAAUAAUGUAUUUCCUAAACUUUAAAAUGCAAAAAUUUUGUCUAUUUACUUUCAACUUUGUAUGGACUUUAGUCUCUAUGAUGAAAGUGUUCAUUCAAAUUAAGUGUUAAUUUAUAUUACAUAAUGGCUUAGUCUUCAUAGUUUAUAUGUGAAUUUGAUCAUCAAUGAGUUAUAAACCUACCCGGGUAAGAAACUUAACUCAAUCACAAUAAUAAUUUCCACCAUAGAGAUUUGGUUCUUACUAAUUGUAAAUUACAAGAACUAAAUUGUUACAUUUUAAAGUUAAGGAACUAAAUUGUUAAUACAUUUGCAAGAAUGAGGACUAUCUUUUUGUUACCAACUAAAGUUGAGGGUCAAAAUCGUUAGUUUUAUGCUAGUUUAGGGACGAAAAGUGUUUUUUAAUUAUUCGCUACACAGAACUCAUUAUUGAAUUAUCUUAUUCUUAACAGACAAAUCUGUUCAUGAUAUCGGCUCGACAAAAAUCACCAAGCAUGUCGUGCCAACACAUCACAGGUUGGUUUCUUGACUAAAUGAACCUAAUUUUGUUUGUUAUUUCCCCACGAACGAUGGUAAACAUACUGUAGCAUUGUACUUGAGCAGGGCAAGAACACGAGGUGCCCUUCUGCAAGAUAACGAAGAUGACGAUGGAAGGUAAAAAAAACAAGACAGUUUCAAAAUGUUGAGUCCUUGUGUUCAAAACUAGUGUUAGACAUGGAGUAGGUAAACAAAAUAAUAGAUAUGAUUGUGCAAUGCAGACAUUUCUUUGUUGUAUAUGAUUACGUAAUUCUCAUCUAACUUUGGCUUUCUGCUCAAUUUAGAUUCGAAAAUGUGUAAAUUUUCGAAUGACGAGUAGAUACAAAUUUGAAAUAUAUUGUGCAGCUUAAAACAAGUCACAGUGUGAGACUUUUCAUUAAUUUCUCAAACAAAUCAGCACUUGUUGACAACUUUAUAUUACCAUAUGAGUUAGCUUGAAAAAUAUUAUUAUUAUUAUUAGAAUGUAGAACACAUUUUAAUUUCCAAUAUAUCACGUUCUACAAUUUUUUAAACAUUUAUUUUCAAAACUCUUGACUUUUCUUUAGAAAAAACCAAAAGCUUUUGUUCCAAUAUAUCAGGUUGUAGUCUUUGGCCCUUGAAUUUUGUUAACAUUUAUUUUCAACUAUAUUGACUCUUUCUUUAGAAAAAAUAAAAAAAAAAUUCAAACGAUUACCGAUAAUAAAAAUAGAUAAAGAUAUAAUUUGAAAGAUAUUUAUGAAUAAGUUUAUGAGUAAAAAUAGAUAAAGAUAUAAUCUAAAAGUCGUAUCAUUAAUAAAAGUUUAUCAAAUCAAAAAAUUUAUUACGAAAAAAAAAUAUAGAUAAUCUAACGAAGAGGGAAUCCAAAAAUGAUGAUGUAAAAAGGAAUGAAAAAGCAUUAUCCCCACACUUUAGUUUCUCGUACAAUGAGAACCAUCCAAAUUGUGACAAAGACAGAAAUGAGAUAAGCACAAACCACCAUUAUUGCAAUACAACAAUCAACUAAACUCAAACUCACUCACUCACCUAGACACAACUUUUAAUGCACUCUUUUUGAAAAAGCUUUCCCAAACAAAAGAAGAAGAAAAAAAAACUUAUAUAAUGUGUUGUAUACAAAUUAUUUAUGUUUAUAUGCAGAGUUGCAUUCAUGAACCACUGAUAUAUAGUGAAACUGAUAUGAGUUGUAACUUUUGUAGUUCUAUUUCAUUGGUGCCUCAUAUGGAAGUGGUGGUGAUUGGUGGGUCAUAUACUCAUUAAGAACAAAAAUAAUAAUAAAUCAAAUGAAAAAGUUACUUUUUACUUUUUAGAAAAAGCGAUUGCAAAUGACUAAGUAAUGGAGACAUUGAUAGGUCUAUCAAUAUAUUUAUAUAUAUUAGGUGAGGCAAUUGGAUUAGAAUGAUAAAAUAGCAACUUUUAUCCAAUCAAUUACUUUAUAAAUGUUAAAAGAAGAACGAAGAAAGAGUUGUUUUUCAAAUUAAGCAACAUAAACUCUAUAUUUUGACAACAAAGUUAAAAAGAUAACUUUAUAUUUUUCUUCUUCUUUUAUAAAGAUAUGAUUGAACAUACACCAUUUCAGGAGGUGUCGGUGUCCACUAACAUUAUGCCCAUCCCAUGGUUGCUUUCAUUUCAAAAGGAUCAAAAUUUGGAUAUGAACUCUUACAUUUUGCCUUUUGGUGUUACCUAACUUUUCUUUAAUUAAAAUUAAAGUGUGUUUAGUUUGGAGCAAUUCUAUGUUCGGUGACUUUUUGAAAAUUUUCUUAGAAUGGAUGUGAGUGAAAACAAAACAUGCUGAAAUGACUCUAAUUGGUUCGUGGAACAACUUUCACUCUAAUAAGUCUUUAAGACAAGUAAGAAUGAUAUUGUCAAGUCGCAAGUAAUUAGACGUUACAGAUAUAUAGUUUUAUUUAUAUAUAAACACAUAUCUACAUUAGUGAGGGUCAUACGUUUUACAGAGUGUUUGUAUUUACUCAGUAACACUAAUAUCAUUUUCACACAUUUAAAUUUAUGCACGUUAUAGAUUUUAUUAGGUAUGUAUACAACUUAAUAACACUAGUAAGUAUAAUGUUUUGUUGGUGUAUAUACAUAUAUACAUAAUACGUCUACGUUUUUGCAGAUUAUUGAUUUAGUAACUUUCUUUGGGUGAAUUCAAUUUGUUUUUUUUUGUAACAAAACUAAAUUGUAAAGUCUAGUGUUAGAAAGUAUGGUUUCUCUCCUUCACCCUUUGUUUAAUAAUUUUAAUAAUUUUAAGUUUUAAUAGAUUGUGUUCAUAUUAAGACGAUGGCAUAAGCAGAGUUGGGUGUGGGGCACCGCCGUCACCACCACUACCAAUCUUCAACAAAUCACUUUAACGACGUAUGGGUAAAGGCAGUUAGUAUUAUUGGGUUAAUCAAUUUUAAAUACAUCUUGUACCACUAAAUUCUUUUACUUUAUUAUCUGUUUUUUACCAAACCAAAUCUUUCUUACACUACAAGAGUUUUUUUUCUUUUUCUUUUUUAUCUUUAUAAAAAAAAUACAAACCAUCAUAAUAAGAAAUUAAGAAAGAAGUAAAAGUUAAAAAUCAAAGGUUAAUCAAACGGAUCUUCAAUGUUGAGCUAUUACCAUUUAUAUCCACGAUUUGUUUAAAUAAUAUUUAAAUUCUAAGUCUUCAGUCAUUUUGUGAUUGAGUAAUUUUUAAUAUCAUCCUUCAGAAAAGAAAAGGAUUAGGAUUAGGAUUGUCCUAAUGGGAGUGGGAGUGGGAGUGGGGAGUAGAGAAUUUUGUGAGGAUGAAGAUGGGAUAGGGGGGCGGGGACGGGGAUCGGUAGUGGCAUCCCCGGCCCUCCUCGUCCCGUGGACAUCUCUACUCCUCAUCCCCGUCCCUCACCAUUAAUACCGCGCAUAAGGAGUGAUCCAUUUCCGAUAACGAAAAUCGUGCGUGGGGAAUGGUCCCAACGCUCGACGCGCAAGUGAAACCGUCGUGUGUCGAGUGAUGGAUCUUACAAGGUGGGUGGGAGGGGACGGGGGGGGGGGGGGGGGGGGGGGGGGGAAUAUUUAUAAUUUUAAUUAAGAAGGAUAGAUAUUGAAGAGAGGAAUGAGAAAUUAGAAUGAAAUCAAAACAUUAUAUGGUAGAUGAAACUUAACAUAAAUCAAAGCACAUAGAAACUAAAUAGAAGAGAGAGAGAGAGAGAGAGUUGGAUGAAUUCAUUUGUUGGUGGUGGAGGAUGAGUUGGCGGCGAUGCCGAAGUUGCCUGUGGAGAGAAAUUGGUUUUUGAGUGCGCUCCUCGACGCCGGAUAUUGAGAAGAAUAGGAAUAACCCGGAUAUGGAGUAGUACAUGGUUUCGAUUUCCGUUCGGCGCCGGACUUCAUUUUUUCUCCGUCUUUGUCUUUUGAUUUUUGCUUAUCGCUUCUCUCACUCAUCUUUUCCCCUUUCAUAAUAUUAUCUUCCACCUUCCAAAUAAUAAUAAUUGAGCUUGAGCCACCCACGCAUUUAUAACCUUAAUUUUACACGUGUCUUUUUCUUUUUACUCUUUUAAAUUUUCCAUAAAAUUACAUAUUCUAUAUACAGCUUACCUUCAUAAACCCUAUCUACUGUUGAAUCACUUUAUCUUUACUAUUUAGGAUAAUUUUCUAUAAUCAUAAAGGCAGAUGAAAUUUUAAUUUGGUUGCUAUGAUUCCAAAAAAAUAUAAU